This 690676-nucleotide long non-coding RNA is filed under the name Medicago truncatula (barrel medic). Lineage: Eukaryota; Viridiplantae; Streptophyta; Magnoliopsida; Fabales; Fabaceae. The record is from RNAcentral.
UAAGGAUCAUUCAUGUGUGCUGAUGAUAAUGAACUCAAAUUUGUUGAGACUUCAUCUGUUGCUUUUUUUCGCACGACUGUUGCACCGGACUAUUCAUUAACUUCUCAAGUCCUUUGUGGUUGUGUGUAUUGCUUAGUGGAUGGUUACAUCAACGGUAUAUACUUCUCUACCCCCUUCCAUUUAGUAGAUAUUGUAAAACCAAGGACAACCUCCUGAGGCUUAGGAGAAGCUAUAUAUAACUCUUUUCAACAUCUGUUAUUAGUUGGAAUUAAGUUCGGCUCAUGUGUUGGAUCACCAUUAUUCACUGCCUUCUUUGGAGAUUGAUUUUUCAGGCCAAAAUACAUUCAGUCCCUUGCCUGUAUGUAUAAACAAAAUACACUCAAUUCCUUUAUAAAAUCUUACCAUACAUCUACAAUAUACUAUUUUUUCUUUGCUAUAAGGAUGGAAUUUUAAAUGUUUGGUGAAAAACUGAUAUGUGAAGGUAAUUAGCAUUAUAAAGUCCUGAAAAUCAACUCCAACCACAAGAAGGUGGAAAGAGUAUUACUUUGUUGAAGCAUCCAAUAAAAAGAAAGCCGACUAAAGUUUUGAUAUGUAUGUUAAAAUAAAUUAGUUUGACGAGGCAGAAAAUUCAUGUUAAAGUAUUCACUAAGAUAUGAACUAUGCCUUACCCUUGAAUUAACCAUAACCAGCACAAAGCUAUCAGUUAGAGGAAAUUGAAAUCUUCAGCAGCAAACUUCAUUCCUAAUAUUGCUUAACAACGUCGCCAAUUCUGGCUAUUGGUGUUUCCCCUGAUCGAACAUGAAAUUCCGACUCUUUCAUAAAUAUAUUAUACAUGAAAGGGCUAUUUCAUAAAUGAAGGACCAUCACCUGCAUAUUUUCAUGGAUACAUGUAUUUAAAUUGAAAUCAAGUAAUAUAUGUUAAAAUUAAUACUAUAGGAAUGAAGAUCUAUACCAUAUCAAUACCAGCAUCAAUGGAAGUGGAAACGCGAUAACGAUAAUCUGACGUAUAAGGUUGACAAUUUUAAUCGAUUUUGUCUCAGACAAAAGACAAAAUCACAAGGUUCACAUAAAUCAAGUCUCUUAAAAAAUGUCUUCGUUCCAAUAAAUAAAUUUUGGGUAACCACGAAUAUUCAAAAACUUAAGUGAAGUGAGGUGUCAAAUACCUUAUGGCAGGGAUCUCAAUUCCUCACAUUCAAGAAUAUCCAUAGUUCGAAGCGAAAUAAGUGUCACCUGUUCAGUUUCAUAGGAGAUGCUCUCUGUAAGUGAUAUGACUAAUGCUAAUAUACUAAAAUAUAAAGAGUUAAAAGAUAAAAAAUUCACUUUGUUAUCAAAUUAAACGGUUGAUUUCUCAUUCAUAUCAUCCAAAAUCAUCACCUCUUAUAGUUUCUGUGGUUUAGCUGAAGCAUCCUCUUGCUUUCAGGAAAAACAGUGGACACAACACAACUUGAUCAAUAACAUUGUUCGACACAAACAUGGCUGCGAUUUAGCAGCAUUCCACAACAUAUCUGACACAAACAUAAUGAAAUAACAUGAGUGACUCGACUAGAAUCAUGAAAUAGCUAAAUACACACCUUCCUAAUGAAGAGCUGUAUACACACCUGGCUAAUAGCUUGAACCAAGAAUUUUGAUUUGUUGCAUUAACAAGCUCAGCGUCAAUUCUAAAGAUAUGGCCCAAUUCUCACAAUAAUUUUACUCGUAGACAUAUUCCAUACAAAAACAGAGAAAGCAAGUGAUUCCUGCAUAUAGAAAUUUAAAUUAGAAAGUAAUUUGGGGAUAAGAAGAUGCAGGGAAGAGAUAAAACUAGCAUACAUCUUCUUCCAGAUAAUUGUCUUGAGAAAUGCUUAGAAAUCAAAUAUGCAUGAAUCAACAGAGUUUAGUGCAUGCAUCAACAGCCAUCAAUAUUCUUUAAAAAUUAGCAAAUAACAUACCAAGACAAUUUUAGUACUAUGAAAUUCUGAACAAAAUUCUGACUCAAAGCCAUAGAAAGAUAAAUUCUCAACUAAAUUUGUCCUAAAGGAUCACCUAAAAUCUGUACCAACAAAUUAUACUUAUUAUGUAUGCAGGUCCACUCGUCAUGAACUAAGUUUGUAAUUAAAAAGUGUGGCUAGCAAUCAUUGAUGUAGUUAACGUAUUACAAAUAUUGCGUCAUCAAUGCUCUAAUCACAGUGCCGUAAAAAUAAAUCAAAAUGUUCAAAGAAUUAUAAAAGGGACAUAUACCUCUGGAAAACAUUGAAAAUCUCCUGUCAGGGAGAGAACUCUAUCAGGAACCAUUGCUGCUAUUUUACAAGCUAUCAUAGAUCAUGUUUCAAUAGGCAAACAAUAUUAAAAAUAAACUCAACCUAAUCAAAUCUUAGGAAAAACCAUCUGAAUUUUAACUAAAUCAAAACUCAAUAACACAAAAUAAUAACCGGUUGAGCGCCCAAAAACACGAGCCUUUUUCCAACCUAAAUGACCCAACAAAGUAAUUGUAUCUUUUGCCAUGAUCUUUGUAAAUUAUUCAAAUUAAUGUAGCACCAACACUUCAUAUUGAUGACAUGUCUGAUGUUUAGAUACUGAUAUAACACCAAACCAUAUAAUUUACAUUCAAAAACUUUCAUUUCUUCAAAAUAUUAUCAAACAAUAUAUCAUUCAAAUAAACAAUCUAAAGCAAAUAAAUACAAAAGACCAAUAAAAACCUUGAUGAUCAGACUUUCUAUUGUGUACAGAGCUCCGACCCACGCCCCAAUGAUCAAAAGCGAAAACCUCUACCACCACCGGACUCAUUGUCACAUCCUCCACUCCGAACGAUGUCAUCUUCAUCAUUAGGAACCUAUUAAUCCAUUUAUUUGUCGACCCCACCCUUGUGUGUCAAAGGAAAUCCUAACCAUUCAAUUCAAUCUCCACAAAAUCAGCAAAAUUUAAAAAAAUUUCAAAAAAUAAAAGUAAAAUUGAAUAAAAAUAAAGUGAAUUGAGGCAGAUAAGGGGAAAUAGAGAUCUUACCAGUUAAGUGAAUUGAAUUUUGCGAUGGUGAUCGAGGCCAGAUAAGGGUAAACAACAUACGAGUAAUCAGACUUGCUAAUCCCAUGGAAAAUCAUGAAUAUCUCUUUUUGGAAUAUGAGCUAUCUUAGGUAGAAUAUCUUUCAUGUACUCUGGAUCUCUUCCUGCAGAAUGGGUUCCAAAGAUGUCGACAAUGAGAAUAAAAAUAAAGAUUUUUGAGCAGUUGAAAUCCAAACAUAAGAAGGGGAAAUUGAGAUCCUACCAGUAAAAUUGAUUUUUGCGAUGGUUAAUGAGGCAGAUAAGGGUAAACGUCUCUGCUUCUUAAAACUGUAUUUUUGGAAUAUGAGAUAUCUUGUCCCAAUCCUCCCCUGUUCGCUUCUUGCAUCGUUCCUUUAAUGUUCGGCAACCAAUGAUAGUCAGAAGCUCAAGAGAAGUGAGGUGUCGAAUACCCUCCGGCAAACAUCGCAAUCCUUCACAGCUAUAAAUAUGUAGAGUUCGAAGGGAUUGAAGACCUUCCCAAUUUUGCUCUGGUAAGGACUCCAACUCAUUACAAUAACAGAUACACAGAAGCGUCAAAGCUGGGUUAAAGGUUUCAUUUGGUAACUCCUUCAGUUUUGGGAAAUUAUAUAUUCUCAGAGAUUGAAGAGAAGUAAGGUUUUUGAACAUCCCCUCUGGGAAGGAUGUUAUUCCUUCACCCCCAUUUACGAAAAGCUGAGUAAGACCACGGAAGGUAGAGAUUGACCUCAGUAACUCAUUGUUACAUUCCGAUACAGUGAGGGAUUUAAGAGAUGGAAGACAUGGCAGUCCAAGUUUACGGCAUUCAGAGAUAUCCAACUUAGAAAGACAAGGAAACAUCUCCCCUCUUUCCACUUUCAAUAAACCCUCUAUGUUUGGUAACUGAUAUAAUACGAGUUCCUCCAGAGAUGGGAAAACCCUCACCUCCAUACCAUCCUCAGAUUCAUCAUCAUCCAAGUAUUUCAGAUUAUCCAUAUAAGAUAAUUCCAGGUUUUUUAAAGAUGGUAGUAUACCAAGUAACUGAAGCCGCACAACUUUCUUACAACGCUUAAGUUUAAGAGAAACUAAAUUACUAAGAAUAAUUAUCCAACUUGGCAAGGAUAAUCCCUCAUAGAAACUUAUUUUCAAGCAGUUGAGAUUUGAGUGAGGUUGAAGAACUUCAAGUACUUGCUCAACACUAACAACAGGGUUCUUUGGAAUUCCUUGUUUGUCUUUCCAUGACAAGUAUAAUUCAUGAAGGUCUUUUUUACCCAUCAAAUUAGCCGCUUCAGCUUCAAAUAACCUGCCAACAUUGUUUAAUCCUUGGAUAUGCAGUUUUCCACCGAGGUUUAGAUCACGUAACUCUGUCAAGCUAUUCCCUUUCUCUAAACUAACAAUGUACACACUUAAUGUUCUUAGACAAGUUAAUUUUCCAAUGUUAGGAAACAUGAGAGACAAAGACCGACAUACUUCAAUGACUAUAUGUCUAAGAUUUUGUAAGCAAGCCAAGCGUUUUGGGAGACAACUCAGUUUACGACAGUCUUUUAUUUUCAAGAUUUCCAGUUUUUGUAAGUUGUAAAUUGAGUCAGGCAACUUUUUUAUAUCAAGAGAACGAAGUUCCAAAUACCUUAAAUGAAUUAAACUACCUAGUAAUGGCUCUCGGAUAAAGGUUAUGCAUAAAACCCGAAGAGAAAGGUUUGUUGGGAAGUAAUCAUGUUUUUCUUUUGAAAAAGUACUACAAAACUCAAACCAUGUUCGCAAGGAUUCAACUAUUUUGAAAGCAUCCUUGUCGAAGGAUAACGAGUCUUUAUUGUCAAAACUAAUGUGGUGUGUGCUUUUUGACAAACUAGUCAAGUUUGCAUUCUCCAAAUACAUACAUUCUUGCCCCAUUACUGAUUGAGCAAGAUCAUGGACAAGGUCAUGCAUCUUGAAUGAAAUGUCGCCAGAAAAUUCAUCCAUUUUUCUAUCUUGAAAGAAUGAUUUUUGGUACAAUUCAUCCCACACCAUGAUGCCAACAUCUUCAACCUCCGUAGUACCCCUAGAUGAAAUCAAUCCAUUAGCCAUCCAAAGCCAAAUCAAUUCUUCCUUUAGGAUUUCUGCAUCUUUGGGAAAUAUAGCACAAAAAGAGAAACAUUGUUUUAGGGCUGCCGGUAAAUAAAAGUAACUCAACCUCAAAGCAGGCAAAAUGGAAUUUUCAUCUGAUAAAUCCCAAAGUUCACUGUCUUUAAUUUUAAGCCAUUCCUUUUCAUCUUUCCUUGAGUUCAUUAAACUUCCCAAUGAUUUUGCUGCAAGAGGCAAUCCAUUGCAUUUCUUUACUAUCUCCUUUCCUAUUGCCACGAGAUCAGCACGCUCUUCUUUGUGAUGUCCAAAUGCAUAUUGUUCGAACAACAACCAACAUUCACUAUCAGAGAGAGAAGACAAACGAUGAUGAGUUUGGUAUGUUCCUGUGAUCGUUGCAACAACUUCAUCACGGGUGGACACUAAAAUGGAACUACCUUUGGAUCCACAAGACAACACAGGUUUCAAUUUGUUCCAUUUCUCUCGUGUUAACCCUGAUUCCAAUUGUUGAUUUUGAUUCCACACAUCAUCCAAAACCAGCAAAUAUCUUUUCCCUUGCAACAAUCCUUGCACCUCUCUUUCCAUUACAGCAUAAUCAAAGUCAGGACACUUCUGUAAUGUGAUAGAUUCUAUAAUAGAACACAAAAUCCUCUUUACCGAGAAAGUCUCAGAAACACAAACCCAAAUUUUUUUUUCAAAAUUGCCACUCACCCUAACAUCAUUGUAGACCAAUUGAACAAGAGUUGUUUUUCCAACACCACCUAAACCAACUAUGGGAUAGACGGAAAGGAAGUCAGAGUCCCUUGCUUGGGUGAGAAGAAACUCAACAAUCUUUUCUUUAUCAACUUCUCGUCCAAACACUUUUGGUUCAGCAAUAAUGGAGCCGGUUUGGCGCCCUUCAGCUACUUGAUCUGGGAUUUCCCUAAGAGUGCCACCCAUCUGUAGAGAAAACUUGUUCUUACUUUCAGCAAUAUCAUCUAACCUCCUUGUAAUCUCUUUGAACCUGUUACCAAUCUCAUGGCGAAACAUGAUGUUCUUUGGUUUGAAAGAGGUAAAUCCUCUCAGUCGACAAGACUUGAUCGAGUACUCAUCAAGGAUAUCAUCGAGCACAUAAACACCAUCUUUGAGGUCUUGUAACCAUAGCUUAAUAGAGAGUUCUUUGAAUUGUUUCUUCUCAGCAUCUUCAAGAACAGCCUUGAUGUGAACUAAGUUGUUUGAUAGCUUUUGAACCUUUGACUUAAUUCCAGAAAUGGUUGAAAAUUCAUUUUGAAGGAGAGCCGUCAAAUUUUCAAACACAACUCCAAGCAAAGCGUCGGCCAUUUUUUUGUGAAAACAAAUUAAAGAGUUGAAAGUGAAAUGAUAAGAUGAUGAGAAAUUUGUUUAGAAAGAGUGAGUACUGAACCAAGCUGGAGACCUUUGAGAAUAAAUGCAAUGGUAGUAGGAACUCAGCAAGUAGGUGUUCAAUAAUUGUGGCCGACAGAACUAUUAUCGUGGUCCAUUAUUAUUGAUCCACUUUAACCUUUAAAACGUGGCCGACAGAAUAAUUAUCUUUGGAGUAAUUAGUUCUGGUGUGUGUCAUUUACUGAUAUUUGUUUUAUGCAUCCACUUUAAUUCAAUGUAUUGAGAACAUCUUGAACAAAUCUUAUCUAUUAUACCAAUGUAUGGACCACUAAAAUUAUUUAUAUUAUAUAAACACAAAUUUAAGUUGCUCUACUGUAAUAAACAUUUAAAGAAGUUGAAACGGCGGAGUUCGACUAAAAAUUAGCGUGAAUCUUAAAUCAUUACGUAUUUAACAACUACUAUAAAUUAUGAAGAAAAAAAUUCGUACAUUACAAUUGUUAAUUGAAAGAAUUUUCAGUUGACAUGACAAUAUACGGGAGAUUUGAAACCCACCUAAAUUCGAAAGUCUAUAAGUCUUCGCUAACAUGCCAAGUAUAAGCAUCACAAAACUCACGUAUGUCACUUUUGAAACCGCGGAAAACUAUAAUCGUUAAAAGAUAGAUCUAUGAUUAUUUAAAUUUUCAAGUUUGCCACUCCACCACUUUACGAAAAUUUGAAUCAACUAAAACUAAAAACCGACACAAAGUUGUAUAAAAUAUCAUAAAAUAGACCUAUAAUCGUCAAUUUUUUUUUCGAAUGGGCCGCCCCAUCCCAUGAAGGGCUCCGCCACCGGAAAGAACACCAUUCUUGUGUAAAAAAUAAUAGAAAUAAAUUUAUAAUAGUAACCGUACUUGUGUUUUUGACAACUGUUUUUUUUUUCUAAACAAAAAUCCUUUUCUUUUAAAAAUAAAAACUUUUACAUCAUUAUAAAAAGUGAUAAAUUGUUAUUUCCCAACUAUAUCUUAUUUCUGCAUGCCAGUUUAUUGUUAUGAGAUUUUUUUUUAAAAGACUUUAUUGUUAUGAGAUUACUUUGUGCAGAUUAGCCACUGCAAAGUGUCGUUCGAAGAUACAAUUAAUAGAGUCGGCGGUUGUUGUUAUUAGUCAAUUAUUUGAAUAUAAUUUUUAUAUCUUCUAAAUAAAAAUGAGAAUAACUAAUAUAUAUAAUCGAGUCAGUUCAUGAAUUAAACGAGUCGAAUUAUAUAAAUUUAUGUUCAACUCAUAUAAUUAACGAAUAUAAUUUUCAGCUAAGUUCGACUCAUUUAAAAAUUCAAUGUUUUGAACUCAGACUGUGAAUCUUCAACGUUGUAAAAUGAAAACUAAACGAUUACUAAUUACUCUUAGGGUAAGAAUAAUAGAAGAUAACUAGCAAAGUUAAAAAAAUGUUUAGGUUGUUAUUUGUGUCCUACUAGAGUACUAGUAUUUCUUGAACUCUAGAAAUUAACUAAAUUUUCAAUUGUAUGAAUACUAUAUUUUGUUUUAUACAUGAGUUAAUUAGCUGACUACCUCAUUUAUUUCUUUUCAAAUUUAUUUUCUUUGUUUGAAGUUUUAAUAGUUUGUUGUUCUCUACGAAAGCAAAAACUAUUUUUUAUUUUAUUUUUUAUUCUUGAAUUGUAAUGUCAUGUUGUGUAUUUCAACUUCAAAAUAAGUUGAUUUUGCAUGGUUGAGCUGAUUUGGUAUUCUCUCAUUGCCUUAGUCCGAUCUUUUAAUUUACCACACAAACAUUGUUUAUCCUCUAAAUUACCACACCCUUCCCAUACAAUAUUGAGAGGUAGUCAUAAUCACUCCUCUCACAUAUAAAUUGGUCAAUCGUUGGAAGGCGGUUGAAAAGAAGACGUCACAUAAAAAGAUUGACUUACAGAAAAACAUCUUUAUGUCAAAGUACACGGUUCUCAUCUGCAAUGAUAUUUUGAUUGGCUAAUUGUUGAAGGAAAUUAUAAACACUACUAAUAAUGUAAUUAUUUGAAGAAUGUAAAUUCCACCGCCACCUGUUAUUAACAUCAUCCUACGGGAACAGUAAGUUGUCGCUGAAUUGAAGCACUAAGUAGAAGAAAUAGCACUGCCUCUUCUCUGCUAACAUUCAUAUCAACAACAUGAGAUGGUGUGGUAACUGGUAAAGGAGCCAUGAAAAAUCAAUCGGAUCCUUGAAAAUGAACAAAGGAGAGGCACGUUGAAAAACGAAACAAGAGGAAUGUAAUAUAGAAACAUACAAAGCUUCCCUAAGAACACGUUUCAAUUCAUUAUUAGAUAUAUGAAUAAUUUUUAAAAGAAAUUUUAGUUUACAUUCAAUACCAAAUUAUUUUUAAAUCAAUAUGAAUUAUAUAAUUGGUUUGAAUGAUAAUGUAUAAUAAAUCAUGCAAUUACAAAAUUAAAUACACAUUCACAUUUUUUUUAAUGAUUUUAUCAACAACAUGAAUUGAUCCUACCAUACAUUUUACUUGUGUAUAAAUAGUGGCGGAGUCAGAAAGAAAAUCUCGUAUGGGUUAAAAAAAUUAUAUUGUAAUACAUAAUAAGCACAAAAUUGAUCAUUAAAAAAUUAAAUUACACAUGUUAAAAAUUUAAAAUAAUUCUCAAUGUGAUUCGAAUGAUUUAGAUUCAUCAAUAAUAGAUUAAAAUAAAAUGGGUUCUUAAACUGAAAUUGAAACCAAAUGGCUAGCUGCAAAGCAUAAGGCAAGAUUAGUGGCUAAAGGCUUUAUGCAAAAAGCUGAAAUUUAUUACUUUGAAGUAUAUGCAUUUAUAGCAAGACUUGAGACAAUCAGGUUGAUAGUUGUUAUUGCAUGUGAAAGGAACUGGCCACUGUACCACUUAGAUGUGAAGUCAUCAUUUCUAAAUGGUCCACUAUAAAUAUAUAUAUGAAGUUGUGUAUGUCACAAAACCUGCAGGGUUCAAAUUCAAAGAAAAUGAAGAUAUGAUAUUCAGAUUACAUAAGGCUCUAUAUGGUUUGAAGCAAUCUCUAAGAGCAUGGAAUAAGAGGAUUGUCAACUUUCUAGUGCAGCAAGAAUUUGUCAAAUGCAAAGCUGAAUAUAAUGUCUAUGUAAAAAAUAGCAAAGAUAGUAAUCUGGUGCAUAUUUGCUUAUAUGUUGAUGAUUUAAUAGUAACUGAUAGCAAUUUGGCUGAGAUAGAAGCCUUUAAAGGUCAUAUGAUGAAAAAGUUUAAUAUGACUGAUCUAGGAAAGUUAACAUACUUCCUUGGUAUGGAAUUCACUAAAACUUCUGAAGGUCUAGUUAAGCAUCAGAAGAAGUAUGCUUCUGAUAUUCUCAAGAGGUUCAACAUGUUGAACUGCAAUCCUGCAUCUACACUGUUCAAACAAAUUGUAGGAUCCUACAUUGCUCAUUGUUCAAACUAGUAAAGAAUGAUGACGAGGAGUUGGUUGAUUCUACAUUUUUCUAACAAAUUGUAGGAUCCUUGAGAUGUAAGUGCAAUAACUAGCCAACUAUAGCUUAUGUUGUUGGUAUAAUCAGCAGGUUCAUGAGUGAACCUAGAAGCUCUCAUCUACUUGUAGCUGAAAGAGUGAUAAGAUAUGAUGACAAUCAUUCAUUCGUUAUUUUUAGAGUCUUUUUAUGAUAUUUUUGAAUUCACAAGCAAGAUUAAGCAACAAGAAAAAACUGAAAAAGCUUAAAAAAGGCAUCGUGUCACGAUUACUAAAAAAACGUGACACGAUUUGGAGCUUUCAAGAAAUAUGCAUUCGGCAUUGGUGAAAACGUGUCACGAUGGCAAAAACGUGACACGGUUAUGGAAACCCUAAUUUGGGUGGUUUGUUACACAAGGAAGAAACGUGUCACGAUUUACAUAAAUUGUGCCACGAUUUUAGGAGCAGUUCUUGCCUAUUUAAGCUUGAGACAAUUCUGAAAACAAGGGUUACGAAUUGGAGAGAGCAAAGUGCGAUUUUGAGACCUAAAGACGGCUAGGAGGGCGAUUUCUUCAACCUUCUAUCAGUUCAUGUAAGUUUUGAUUCCAUUAAUGAUUAUGCUAUUUGUAAACUCGAUUAUGAGUAGCUAAAUCUCUUAGAGAUUAGGUCUGAAAUGAUUCUUUGUAACCCUAAUUGAACCAUGUUGCUGUGAAACUCUAUUUAUUGUGAAUGACAAUCUAGUUUUUAUUCAAUUCAAUUAUUCUUAAUGCUUUUUAUAUCUUGAUCAAAUAUAAACAUGAUUUAAUGAGAAUGAAUGACUACUGACCAUAGCUUUCUACUUAGACCUAAAUGAAUUGUUCUAACAAACAUGGUUAGUCUAGGAGUGGAUAAUCGUUUGUUAGAGAUAUUAGGUUAACGUUCUUAAACCUUCAAAGAUUAUUAGACCACCUAAGGAAUUAAGGGAUUGAUUAGCACUAUUUUGUUAACUAUCGCGGAACUAGAAAAUCAUUCAUAAGAAUAGGUGCAGUAUACCAAUUAGGGGAACAUAGAUGAUUCGAAAGACCUGAUCUCAUCUCUUUUCAUAUUUUCUAACCAAAUCUAUAUUUUCAAGCCGAAUCUUUAUUUUAUGUUAUUUAAUUUUAUGCAAUCAAAUCAAAUCUACAAACAAAAUAAUUUAUACAUCCUAAAUAUUUACUUUAUUGCUAAAUUGAGAUUAACACAGUCCUCGUGGAUACGAACCUAUUUUAUUACUUCGAUGCAUUUUUAGUACAUUUGCUAAAAGUUUAUCAAGAUACAUUAAGGGAACCAUAGACUAUGGUGUAAUUUUUCCUAAAUGUAUCAGCGAAGCUAACAUGGAGUUAAUUGCCUACUCAGAUGCAGAUUGGUGUGGAGAUAUGCAAGAUAGGAAAAGCACUUCAUGCUACUUGUUCAAAUUUCUGAAUGCUCCUAUAUCAUGGUGUACAAAAAAGCAACUUGUAUUAGUACUUUCAACUUGUGAAUCUGAGUACAUUGUAGGGUGUUUAGCAGCAUGUCAAGCAGUAUGGCUAGAUUAUGUGUUAAAGGAACUGAAUAUUGAAAUCUGCAAGCCUAUUGCAUUGUUUGUAGACAAUCAAUCUGCCAUAAACUUAGCCAAAAAUCAUGUGUUGCAUGGAAGAAGCAAGCAUAUUGAAGCAAAGUUUCAUUUUCUCAGAGAACAAGUGAACAAAGAGGCUCUCAAGCUCAUAUAUUGCUCAACUAAACUGCAGCUUGCUAAUCGGUUUACAAAGGAUGUGAAGAUUCAAAGAUUUAACGAGCUAAGAGGCUUGAUUGGAAUGAUGAAGUGCGAAAACUUGAAUUAAAGGAGGAUGUUAUAGUUUUAAUUCAAGUUAGAUGGGUUUAACUCAAGUUUAGUUGCGAUUAAAUAAUGGUUAGAAAGUAUGUUACAAGUUUCUUGAAAGACUUAGCUAGUAGUUAGCAAGUUAUGUAAAUAAGCACUAUAUAAGCAUGUUGUAAAUAGAUUUUCACAACUUAAUGAGAAUAUAGUUUUACAACAAUCAAUUACGCUUCUUCUUUCUCUUAAUUCUCUCUAUUUCUUAAUCCUAAUUUUCAUGAAAAUUCUUGCUUGAUACGAACACAUUGAUUUAUACUAUUAAUUUGAAGGUGUGUGUUGUGUUGUGUAUUAUUCAUUUCCUUGACUCCAUAUCCAAUGGAGACUCAAAUGUUGGCUAUUAAAAUAUAUAAACAACAAGCAAUAUCCAUUAGCUUAUUUUAUACGAACAUCAUUAUUAAACCUACUAUACUUGGCAUUUUUACUAGCAAUAAACUUGUUGAACACAACAUUGUUCUUGAAACUAUUUAUGCUUAGCAUAAUCCAAACGAUAACUUGGUAUUGCGUGCAAAUGCUGAGCUCUUGGUAUAGUGAGUCCAAAUUUCUCCUCCAUAUUCAAAUUGAAUGGACUAAUAUUAUGUGAAAGUUCCCAAUUAAAGCAAUGCACAAAUUGAGCUAUAACCAACUUAACAGUAGUUAAACCCAAUUGAAUUCCAGGGCAACGUCUACGACCAUAAUCAAAUGGUAAACUUUCAAACUCUUGUCUUUGAUAAUUCAUUUUCUUUUCAAUAAAUCUCUUUGGAUAAAAUUCUUCAGCAUUUUCUGACCAAACAUUAGGAUCUCUCCCUAUUGCCCAUGCAUUUACCAUAAUUCUCGUCUUUUCCUUUAUAAAAUAAUCAUCAAUUGUUAUGUUCUCUCUACAUUUAGGAGGGACUAGUAAGGGUGCAACAGGAUACAGUCUUAAGGUUUCAUCAACCACCAUAUCUAAGUAAUUCAACUUCUUCAAAUCCUUCUCUUCAACCAUUCUUUUAUUUCCUACUUCAUUUUGUAUCUCAUCUUGAAGAAUUUUCAUCACUCUUGGAUGCCUUAAAAGUGCAGAUAAAGCCCAUUAAAAUCGAGGUAGCAGAUGUAUCAAUUGCUGCCACUAUCAUGUCGAGCAAAAUAGCUUUGAUGUUAGAUCGAUCAAUUACGAGAUUUUGUUCACCCUCGACAUCAAUGGUUUGAUGCAUAAUUGAAAGAAGUAUGUCUACGAAAUCUUUAUGAUGAGUUUUGUUUACAUUAGCAGCUUGUAAUCACCUCUAGCACCUCAUCAAUUUCUUUACUGAGUUUCUGGCAAGAUCGUGUUAAUCCCUAACAAAGAGUUAAACUUAAAAUAUCAAUUAUUACAUCAAUAUUCUCAGUGUACUUAACAGAACCAUUAGAGCAUAUAUUUUUUUUAAGAGGAUUGUGUUCUCCAAUUUUCUUCUUGAUGACUGGGUCUGGAACCCACAACCCUAUAGGUGUAGGUAAAACAUCUUAUCAACUAAACUGCACUUCUAAAUCGAUAACAAUAUAUUUAAGGGAAUGUAAAAUAUUUAAAAAUUAAUCACCACCAAAACAAAAUUACAUCACCGAAAAAUUAUCAAAAAUUAAAUAAAUUUAUCGCGACCUUAAUAUUUUUCAGUUGUAUAAAAAAAGAGGUCUGAUUUUUUUUUUUCCUCAAAGUUUCUCCUACAUUUAGCACCUCAAAUAUUAAGAUAUCAAAUUUAGCCCGGAAUUUCACACAAUCAUCACUAGGAAUUUGAGGUAUUAAUUAUAACUAAAAUUGUCAGAAUACCUAACUACAAUUGCAGGGUAGUUGAGUUUAAAAAUUAGGUAACCCUUUUAUUUAUUGAACUAGAGGAAAAAACACUAAAGGACUUUCGUGCAAUUACAUAUUGAGUGACCAAAAUUAUACAAUCACGAUAUUUAUUUAAGAGGCUUAAAGUUAAACUUAACUCAAUAAUUAAUGUUUUAUUUCUUAUACAUAGUACUGAAGGUGAGAAAAACACAAGAAGGGGGGGUUGAAUUGUGUUUUCUUUUUCUCUCUUAAAAAAUCUUCUUCUGAUAAACCUUCAGAAGCAGUUUGUGAGUGCUUCUGAUGAAAUGAUCAGAAUUAGAUAUGCAGCGGAAAAGAACAGAGCAGAGAAAAGAAAGACAAAGACACAAGCAGUUAUCCUGGUUCCUUCCACAACACGGAAGUAGUCCAGUCCCCCUUGCACUUCCAAGGAGAUUUCACUAUAAUCACAAAGAUUACAAAUGCUCAAUACUUUCUAAGUAUGAGACUUCACAAAAAAUGCUCACGCACACACGCAAGAGUCUUCCAAUGCUCAAGCACUAAGCAAGAGACUUCUAAUGCUCAAGCACGCAGGCAAGAGACUUCUGAUCAAACAAAAAUACAGAGAAUUGAGUUUGACUUGAACACUUGAUAUACAAUCAGUGGUGUUCUCAAUACAAUACAAUAAAGACUCUAGACUUUGAAUUUCUUAAGAUGUAUCAAAUCAGUGCAGAAAUUCAGUGUGCUUUGUAGAAUCAAUUUGACAGAGUUUUGGCGCUUUUUAACUUGUAUAUCUCUCUAUCUUCAAUCUUCAAGUCUUCACUCCUUUAUAUAGAGGCGUGAAAGAGACGUUGAGAUAAUCAGCACGUCUAAAGAGUCGUUUGAAAUCCUUUGAUCAUCCACCAGUAAUCCUAUGCCUGAUUUGGGUGUAGUCCUUUGAAGAAUUAGCUUCAAAUUCAUUCCCAUCUUGAAGGCACAAAUUCUGCAGGCAUAGCUGUUGUUUUGUCUUGUAGCGUGGACAAAAACAGAGUAGUGGAGGUAGUGGUUGUACACUUGUACUUUGUCAACUCUGUCAACGAAGGACAAAUGCUCAGUGCUAUCCAUAUGACCGUUGAUACCUCCCUUUCAAUUCUUCGUUCUUCUUAGAUAAGACUGAAUUGAGAACCAGCUACUUUGGAUCUUCAGUUUGAUUAAUGGAUCAAAUGUAGCUUCUGGUGAAGAUAUCGCUUCUGAUGAAAACCUUGCUUCUGAUGACCUUCUGCUUCUGAUGAGCUUCUGCUUCUGAUGACGUCAUCACUUCAGAAGCACUUCAGCUUCAGGAGCACUCUAGCUUCAGACACAGUUUUCUUCAGAUGCUUAGAAUUUCUUUUGCUUUUCAUUGUUCUUCUAAGACCUAUUGAAAUUACUUGACUAGCCUUUGGUCCUGUACACUUGAACAAUAAUUAGUAAUAACCAAUUGACAAUUUUUAAUACCUUGUUAUCAUCAAAACUCAUUAAGGUUCAUUGUGAAACACAUUUUGUUCCAACAAGUACUGCCACCCUCUCAAAUUGUAAGUUGUUUUAGAAGAAAUUGUUCUAAAUUAUUAGUUAUUUUACAAUAAUAUUAAUAUUAUUAUUUUCUAUACUAAUAAUAAUAAAAGGUAAUUUUAUAAAAUAAUUAAUAAUUUUGUUUUCUCAUAAAAAAUCAAUUAUACCUUUUAAAUGUCGCAAAAUCCAUUUUUUCUUGUAGUGUUUAAUUUGUGUAAGUCAUCAUAACGAGUUAUAAUUUGACAAACAUACCUGAAAGGUCAAAAAAUCUUUAGCCAAGGAACAUAAUCAGCCAGAUUAAAAGCUCCAAUCAAAACCAAUUCUUGUUGAACCAAAUUUUUCAAGUCAAAUUGCUCAUACUUACUCCGUCCAAACAUCAACUUAUACACAAUAUCUUCUAUUAGAUUCUCUACUACCUCACUAACAUUCACAACCUCACCAACCAAAGCAGCUUUCUUCAAAGUGUUAACCAAAAUACUCAACUCCUCUUUUCUAAUAGGACCAGACAUCUCAACUUUUGAAGCACUAAGAAGUUUCAAAGUGCAAAAUUUCCUCACACUACGCCAAUAAGGACCAUAGUCAGAAAAAACUAUCCCUUUGGAACCAUAUAACAUGAGCUCAGAUCCUUGACUCUUUGGUCGGCUUGCAAAAACGAUGUCAUGGGUUUUGAGAAAUGAUUCUGCAGCUUUUGAAGAUGAAAUGAUAAUAGUUGGAACUUGACCAAGUUGUAAGGACAUGAUUGGACCAUAUUUUUUGGAGAGUGAUUGAAGUGUUCUAUGUGGAAGUUUGCCUAAUAUGUGAAGAUUUCCAAUUAUUGGUAGUGAUGGUGGACCUGGUGGUUUUUUAUGGUUUAGGGUUUUUUGUUUUGGAUGUAAGUAGAGUUUGAAUAGAAAGUACAUGAAAGUGAAGAGAAGAAAAGCAAACAUUGUUGUUGUUAGUGCAAAAGACAUGUCUACAAUGAAUGGUUUGGUUUGGCUGAAGUACGUAACAAGGUUGAAGACUAUACAACUACAAGUUGAUCUCUUAUUAUCUUGAAGCCGGUGGUGUACGUGUUUGGUUUGUAUAUCUAGUGAGAUAUUUCCCCUUAAAAAUGUAUUGAGAUAUUUAUGGCGGCCAUACUAUAUACUCUAUAAGGAAAAAAGGAAAGUUCCUUUCGAAAAGACAAAAAAAGGAAAGCGCUAAAAACAUUUAUUAGUCAACCUACUCCCGCAAUUAUAAAUGAGCAUUGCUAUUUAUCUAAAGAGUUUUUAUCUAGAAUUUAACAAGAAAAGGUCUCAACCAAUUAAAUUUAUUAUUUGUUGGAAAUCAUGGAAGGUAGUGGUGUGUAAUUGAGGAAAGGAGUUAGCAAAUACAUUGUCUUAAAAUUUUCUUCAUAAAUUUUGUCACUCUAUCUAUCAUUUCCCAUUAUAAAUGAUGAUUAAUUUUGUUUACUUUACAUAUGUUAAUGCACAAUUUCUACUCACUCUCAUAAGGUUGAACCAUUCUUCUCCCACGGUCAGUGAUUCUCAAAUCUCAAUGGGUAUCCAUUAUUCUUACCAUGUCAUUUUACAUCUUCCUCUAAAUCGAUAACUACAAACCUCCACCUUGCAUAUUGAUGACGGAACAUCAUGUGUUAUUUUGGCUAUGUUUUAAGUACUUUUCUUUGGAUUUGAAGACAAAUAAGAUGAGAAUUAGAGGAGUUGUCAAUGGUUUGAGGAACAGGUGUUUUGAGUGCUUUGUAGUGGGAAAUCAUAUUAAUCGACAAAUCAAGACAUCACAUGAAGGAUCAAAGAUAUGAAGAUUGAAGAUUAAUGGUUCUUAAAAGGUUUUUAAAGACAAUACAAAGUGAAGAAAUUUCAUUUCAAGUUCGUAUGCGUUUCCAAACGGAAGAACGAUAAAAAAAAAAAAAAAAAGGGAUGAAAACGCAAGAUUUCACACACAGGGACUGUCUCAUGUGCCACUAUCGCAUGAGGCAGUGUUACCACUGCCCCAGGCGCCUCAUGCACACGACUGUGGGCAUAAAUUGCCUGCAACUUGUUUUUCAAGCUAAAACGGUGGUAAAAGCUCAGUUUUCUUCUCUUAAACCUUAAGUAAUCAUUUAAUAUAAAUAGAGACCCUUGUACACAUUAUUUUUCAUUCAUAAAGCUAGCAGUUCAAGGGGUAAAGCAUCAGAGUUUCAAGGCAGGAUUCCAACCUCAUCUUGACUCUCUCUAGGGUAUAUUUUUCUAUUGUUUUGUUAUGAUGUUUGUUUCUAUUAUUUUUCAUUCAUAGUCACUUUCUACUGAGAUCAAUUUAAUCAUUGAGAUUAAAAGUACAAUCAACUUUCGAUCUUAGUAGUUGUAAGAACAACAUUAAUCAUCUUUAGGAAGAAGGAUUAUAAUACACAUACAUGAUUUAUACAAAAAUAUAGAGUAGGAAUAAGUAUAUUUCAGAUUGCUUUUAAUAUUUGUAAUUAUAAGUGAUUAUGAAUUUGAUCUCAGUAUUCUGCAGACUUUUGUAAUCGGGUCUUUUUUAUCAGCUGUAGUGAGAUAUGAUAUAUCUUUGAAUGAUGCCCCUUAUAUAGAAAAUGUGGGACCUAUCUUGUCAUGGUGAGCAUGUAACAAAGUAUGCUUCUUCCAAAAGUUAUUGUUGUGAUUUAGUUUUGAAUUUCAUCUUUUGAAGAUCAAUCUCAUAUUCUAACACACUUUUGAAGUUGUUUCCCUUCAUCAUUCUUUUGGUGUUUUUUAAAUUUCUUAAUUUGAAGUUUGAUCUUUAGAACUUCAAUAUGAUGUGUUGUUGAACUGCAUUGCUUAUAUAUUUGAUAUGCAUUUUAAAGUACAAUCUAAUCUUCAUUCUGAUCUAAUUUUGAUUCUGGAUUUUGAAGAAUUUUGAUCAUUCUUGAUGUGACAUAAGUGAAGUUGCUUAUAGUGUUAGAUUUGUGUUUUGAUGAUGUUUAUUAGCUAGAUUCAUUUGAUGAUGUUUAAAUAAGUUUUAGUUAUAAAGCAUAGAACAUGUUAAAGCACCCAACAAUCCUUGUCUCAUUGUGUCAUAUGUGUUUUGUAUAUCAAAUGUGUCUUUGUGUGUGAAAACCUUCAUUUUUGAGUGGCAAAAACUUUUUUCCAGGUCCUUGAUUCGAUUCAAAAUAUUUUGAAUCGAAUCAAUCAUUAUCUAUGCCACUGUUUCUUGUUAGUCAUGUAAGUUUGAUUCGAUUCAUGAUUCUUUGAAUCAUAUCAUUGACUUUCUCUUGUCUUGUGUUUUGGCUUAUUGAAUCAUAUUAUAGUUCUUUGAUUCGUAUCAACCUUCAUCAGAGUUUUUCUGAUUCAAUUCACAUAAUGCUUGAUUCAACCUUUAUAGCUACUUAUAUGUCCAUUUACACAUAUCUGAAUCGAAUCACACAUUACCUUAUUCGAACCAUUACGUUGUUUUUGCCUAAAAUAUUGCAUUUACCACACAUACCACUCCCAAAUUAUUAAAUCAAUUGCAACUAUCAUUCUUGAGUCUUCAAAUCUCUCUCUCUCUCUCUCUCUCUCUCUCUCUCCACUUGUUCUUCAUAUUAAACACUUUUUCUAAGAAUCUUUGUGGUUUUUGAGUCAUAGAUUGCUAGAGUUCUAUUGGGAUUGUAGAUUGGUUUCUUUCAAGGAAAUUGAUUGGAAAUCAAGGGUCCAAAGGAAAAAGAGUGAUUUCUUUCCACCUCCAAGGGAAUUGGGGGUUCUUUAUAAUCUUCUCAAGUUCAAAUGGAUCCAAGCUUCAGACAUAGCAAAGAAGAGUUCGAGGUGAAAAACUUCAAGGAUUGCAUGGGAGUUUGAGUUUCGGAGACUUGAAGAAUCACCAAUUUGAAGAGUUACUUGAAGAUUGGGGGGUUGUCGUUGCUUAGGAUUAAAGAUUAGGGUUAUCGAGGGAAUUCUUUGUAAUCAUAACAAUUGUAAUCAAAUUUCAACAAUAAUGCAUGUCCUUGAUAGAGACAUAUUCUAUCGAGAACCCUAAUCUUUAAUCCCUUUCCUCUUUCCUCUUUGAUUAUGGUGUUAUUCUCUUCCCUUUCCUAUUUGAUUUUGCUUUAUUAUUUGUAAAUGAAUUUUAAUGUUUGUAGCUAUUUUAUUUGAUUGUGAUUAAUUUUCAUACUUAACCCAAUCUUAAUUCAAGAUUCUUUUCAAAUUCAAUUUUAUCAAAAUUAAACUUCUAUUAAGUUUCGAAUCAUUAAUUCAUAUAUUUUGUGUUCCUUAGUGUUAGUUUGGUUUAUUGCAUUUAGGUUUGGUUUAUGAAUUGUGUUAUUGAUGAUUGAUAUUUGAUGUGCUUAUUAAUAUUCAACAUUUGAACCUCUCAAUUCAAUAUUGAAUCUUAGUGUUUUAUUCAUUGUCUUAAUUUUUGUUAUCGUCGUUAUUGUGCGCGAAUCCGAAAAUUCAUACGUUUUCUAAUCACGCUUUCGCUAAACUCUUCUGAAAUUUGAAAAAUACUAUUCAUCCCCCCAAUUUGACUUUAAAUCUGAAGUUUUUUCGACAUGCUUCUAAUCUCAAUCUGAAGUACUUUUGAUCAAUCUAGAGUUCUUCUUAAUACAUUGUAAUAUUUAGAUUCAUGUUUCUUGAAUAAAUUUUGAUUUCCCACUUGUAAUAUCAUGUUAUAAAGAACAAUCAAAGAAACUUCUUAGAAAGCAAAACACAUCAAAAUUAUAAUUGAUCUGUGUUCUCAUAUGUUUGUUAUCAUUAAAACAUGUUCUAAAAAUGGAUUUUGUUAUUUUCCUCAACAAUCUUCCACUUUUUGAUUAUGACAAGCUUCUUGAAUUAAGGAUCAUAUUUUUUAGAUUCUGAUGUUUAAUCAAUGCAUUGAUAUGAGAUAAAUGACCUUUAAACUUAUUCCAUAAUCAUAAUUGAGAAUUUUAAUAAACAAAAACUCCCCCUCAUGAUUAGAAAUAAAAUUAUGCAAUAAUUAAAAUUGAACCAUAAUUGUACUUUAUUAUUUAUAGUCCAAAUAUUACAAAAUAGCAUUCAUGAUGCAGAUACAUGGUUAAAAAAAUAGUUGAUCUUAACAACGAUGAUAGCAAACAUCAUUUUUUACUAGCCAAAAUAAGAUCAUAAUAGGACUAUAAUGCCAAGUUUUUUUUCAUUCAUAACCAAAAAAUUGAUCCUUUUCUUCUCCCUCUUUUUUCAUUAGCAAAAGGGUACAUACAAGUAGCAAGCCACUACUUGGUAAGGGAGGAAUCAUUUGAAUAUAGAGCUUGACUAGAAGUAGAACAAUUGAUGUUGUAGAGUAGCAUUGGGAGUAAUUCAGUUGAAACCAAAGCUUUCCACCCAAAGUCUUUUUUGAGAACUCUCAACAAAAUUUGUUAAAUCAUUUCCUUCCAAACAAGAAGCUUUUUAAUGUCCAUUCUUGUCUUUCUUGAAUUGUCUUAUAAGAGGUUGCAUCAUCUUUUUCUUUUGAACCCCCUUGCUCAUUGAUGACAAUAUCAACCGAGUCAAGUUGUUGAGGAAACAUUGGUAGACCACAAUUACUAGGCUUUGGAGGGUUUGGUUUUUGGUGGUGAUGGCUUUGUUGGUUCAUUCAAAUCAUUUGUGUCCAAAUGCUUUGAUGGUUGCAUCAAACAUUGGUAACUUAGGUAUUGUACCGACUCUUGAUCGGAUUCUAGAUGAUCUCUUUAAGGAAGUAUAACUUGAUUGUUUUGAAGCUUUGGCUAUUUAGUUCUUGGUUAUAUGGGAGCGGAAGCUUUAGUUGAUGGUGGUUCAUGGCCAAUCAUUAGAAUGAAUCUGAGAUGGUGAUGGUUGAGGUUGAGAGCCAGACUAAGUUUUAGUGCAUAAAAUUGACUUUCUCCACUAGUUCUCUUUAUUUCAAAUUCAUCCUCAACAUAAUCGGCAUCACAAUAUUCUACAAGAUCAAAAGAACAACCCUUGAUAUACCAAAGACCAAGAUCAGUAGUAUCUACCAAAUAUAUGAAAAUCCUUAUACAACAAUAUGUAGAUAUUAUUUGGACAAGAUUAAAAUCUAGCACAUAACCUUACUACAAAGACUAUAUAUGGUCUACUUGCAAUGAUUCAAUCAUACCUCAAAAUUCAUUUUUUGAAACAGAUUUUUCAUUCACAUCUUUGUCUAAACUAGAUGAUGGGUGCAUAGGAGUCAUGAUCUCAACUUCAUUCAUUUUGAACUUCUUAAAAAUAUCUUUGACAUAUUUUUCUUAACAGAUGAAAAUACCAUUAAAAUGUUGUUUGAUUUGCAAGCUAAGAAAAACAUGAGUUGUUCCAUCAUGUUCAUCUCAAAUUCACUUUGUAUAAGGUUAAAAAAUUCCUUACACAUGUUUACAUUAAUUAAACCAAAAAUGAUAUCUUCAAUAUAAACUUGUACCAUCAACAUAUCAGAUUGAUUGAUUUUUUUUUUCUUUUUUCUUUUAAAAAGAGUGGUAUCAAUAUUUCUUCUUGCAAAACACUUUUCUUUAAGAAAAAGGUCCCAAUCUCUCCAACCAAACUCUUGGAACUUGUUUAUGACUAUGUAGAGAUUUUGUAAGUUUAAAAACAUGAUUUGAUUUUUCUUUGUUGAUGAACAUUGACUUCUUCAUUCAUAAAACCAUUUAGAAAGUCACUUUUAACAUCCAUUUUGCACUUAUGAGUUGUAAAUGUAAGUAAGAUUAUGAUAGAUAUAAACCUUAUUAUUGGUGCAAAAGUCUCAUCAUAACCAAUACUCCCUUCGUCUCAAAUUGUAUGACGUUUUGGGUAUUUCACACAUUAAGAAAUGUAAUUAAUAUUCUGUGGAAAAGAGAUAUUAUGAGUUGUUUUACAAAAUUAUCUUGAUAAAUAAUAUGAGAAAAAUAAAUGAAAGAAUUGAAAGAAGAGAGAGUAAUAAAUAGUUAGGGUUAUAAUAGGAAAAACAACAUUAAUAUUGUAUUAGUAUUAUAAAGCAACAUAUAAUUUGAGACAACUUUUCUCCUAAAACGACAUACAAUUUUAGAACAAGCUUGUUUCUGAAUACUCUAUUCCAAUAAUUUUUUUGACUGUGAGACUUAAAGACAAGAUUCCAAACUUUAUUUUUUUUCAAAUUCUUCAUGGUUUAAAGAAUUUUUGGGAUUGUUUUCUACUCAUAUUUCUUACAUGCUCUUAACCUUAUUGGUAAUACCGAUAUUUAUUUUCGUUGUUAUGCAGUUGAGAUCCUAUCAAUCCGAGAUGUUUUAAAGCUUGAUUGGACCUUGCAAUUAAUUCACAGUUCACACCUCAAGCGAAGAUAAUCAAGAUGUUGAUCUUAUAAUGACGAUAAGUUCUACCUUUGACAUGAACCUCCUCCUGAUCUCCCUUCCAUUGGAAUAGUUUAAUUAAGAAAGUGUAGAUUUUCUUGGUUUUCUUUGUUUUUUUCUUCCAUCUUUGUACCCAAAAAAUAUCUAACUUCCAAAGGAAACGUGAAUCAAUGUAUGGCUAAAGUCACACAUUAAAAAAAAUAUAUAUAUAAAUAAAAUAUAAUAUGUUAAAAAUAAGAGCAAUAAGUCAACUCUUACAAUGUGUUUCUUGUUUGAGUCCUGCAAUGUUAUUUACUGCUUUUGAUGUGAUUAAUUAUUGAGAAUGACUGAGUUUUAUCCAAAUAAUUUUAUAGAUGUGCUGAAGCGGCGUUACACCAUCAAUAAAAUCAUUUGAAUAAAACAUUUUUAUGAUUUAUAAGCUUUUAAAGUUGAUUUUGCUCUUGCCGGUAGCAACUUCAAGUGUUGAACAUGUUUUUUCAACAUUGAAAAUUGUUGUGAAGAGUAAUUAUGUAACAAAAUAGGUGAUCAAUGUAACUUAUAUAGAAAGAAUUGUUCUUUUAGCAAUUAACUUAUAUAGAAAACAAUUUUCAUUGUAAUAAUGUUUUUUUUUAGGGAAUGUAUUAUAUCAAAUAAUAUUAUUUCCUAUUUUAAACAUUUUAAUUUCACAUAUAUCAAAUGCUCCCUUAAAACUGAUGUAGCUUUUUUUUUUUUUUAAGGAGAAGAAAACGUGAUGUUAUUCGAUUAUUUUGUUAUAUUCUGGACUCUUUAAUUUAUAUUUUUUUCGUCUCAAUCAUUUAUGAUUGUUAGCCCCAAAGGGUUGUUGGGUCAGCGCACUAUAUGGUCAUCAUAGCUGGAUCAUACCUUUAUUAAAGUUAUUUAUUGAAAAAAGAUAUUUUGUUUUUUAAUCUAAUAGCGAAAUGAUAAUAGUUAAUUCAAUUUUGCACAUAAAUAAAGUAUUUUUUUGAAAGAAGCACAUAAAUAAAGGUUGUUUUUUUUAGGAAACAUAAAUAAAGGUUGUACGGUUUAAAUUCUUGUCACAGUCUAACAAUUUUGAUCUUUUUAUAAGUUCAACGAUUUAUAGACACUGACGAGAGCUUUAUUAAAGUUAAAAUAAAGUGAGUUGCGAUAUAUUGUCAUAUUUAUCAACAACCCUGAUUAAAUGUAAUUAAUCACUUAUUUGAAUUAUAUUAACCAUCAAUUUUAUUGUCAAAAUAACAGAAAUGGUGUCACAAGAGAGUAGAAACAAAAACGAGUAGACCACAUGACAAAUAAGUUUCACAAAACUCUGUCAUAUACAUUACUCUUUGAUCAAUACACAAUGACAAUACAGACAAAAUAUAUGUAAAUUUUGAAUUGUGUAAUAUUUAAUUAGCAAUAUGUAUAUGUACAACAUGGUUGUGGAGAGCCAGAUAGGAGCAAAUAUUUUCAUAUUUUAUAUGUUGCUGUCCUUUUUAAAUUAAUAAAAUCCUCGUUAAGAUGUCAUGUGUGAUUUGUUGAGUUAACAAAAAGCAAUAGAAACUUUAUGGUAUACACUAUACUCAAAUUGCUAUGUUUCGUACCAACUUUAUAAUUAGUACUAAUACAGUUAUGAAUAAAGAAAUGGACUAAACAACAAAGACUUUGAGUUAAAGACAGAGGGACAAGGUAGAGAGAGAUUGAGACAGAAGGUGGAGAUUUGUUCAUACUAUGAUUCUCUCUUUAUCAAAAUUUCACAUGGCAAAAUCCUAGAUCAUGAAAAUGUGUUCUGUGCUGUAAUUCAUUACUUUUCAUUCAUAUUCCAGUCUCUUCACCUCCUUCUCCACGUUUCUAUAAUAAUUAUUCAUCAAUGAGUGUAUACAUAAAUACACUUUAUCUUACUAUCUAUGAAUGAUUCAUUCAAUGAGCAUUAUUAUUUUUACUAUAUAGUUGAUCAUAGAAGAAGGGUCAUUCACAUUAUUUGAUUUGAUUAGUACUUAAUUAUAUGGGAAGUUAUAGAGUCUGCGUGUGUUUCCGGCGGAGGUUUAAGUCCGGGGAGGCAGUGGCGCCUCAGGAAGUCAGGGAGAUCUUCAACAAGUAUGCUGAAGGUGGGGCCCACAUGACUCCGGAACAGCUCCGGAGGUUUCUUGUGGAGGUUCAAGGUGAGGUUGAUGAUGAGAAGGAUGGACUUGAUACACAGAAGGUGGUGGAGGAAGUGUUGCAGAAGCGGCAUCAUAUUACGAAGUUUGCAAGACAUAAUCUCACGCUUGAAGAUUUUCAUCAUUAUCUAUUCUCUACUGAAUUCAACCCUCCUAUUAGAUCUAAGGUAAUGCAUUUGACUUGUUUUUGUCAUGUUGUUUUGAUUCAACGGUUUGACUUUUGGUCAAACAUCAUAUGUUUAUGUUCUGUUUCAAUUUGUUGGAUUAAUUGGAUCUAGUUAAGGUGGAUUUUAGAGGAAAUAAGUGUCUCAUAUUUGGCAUUUUUUAAUGUUAGUUUCAUGUUCUUCCUUGAUUGUGAUAAUUUGAACUUGCUAGUAGUAGUGAUGUUAAUUGUAAACCUCUUCUCUGAUUCAGGUUCAUCAGGAUAUGACAGCUCCAUUGUCGCAUUAUUUUAUAUAUACUGGCCAUAACUCUUAUCUCACUGGAAAUCAACUCAGCAGUGAUUGUAGUGAUAUCCCCAUUAUAAAGGCAUUGCAUAGAGGUGUGAGAGUGGUUGAGCUUGAUAUUUGGCCUAAUUCCACCAAAGAUGAUGUUCUUGUGCUACAUGGAAGGUAAUUAUAUUUUUCGUGGAUAAUGUUUGCACUGACACUUCUAAUUGAAGGAGUGUCCCGGUGUCCGACAUGUGUCAUGUCCGACACUAACACCACACCGAUACUUGUGAUUACAUUGAAUUAUGUCAUUUUCUCAAAAUUUUAUCAGUGUCGACAUUUCCGUGUCAUUGUCGUGUCUGGUGUCUGGUGUCCGUGUUAGUGUCCGUGCUUCAUCCUGAUCAACACAGCAAAAAAUGGUUUAAUUUCUAUUUCCCUUUUCAAUGCAGCUAUAUGAGCAUAAAAAAUCACUACUUAUUUGGAAUGUGUAUAGUGUUGUCUCCCUUUUAAUAAACUCUUAGUUUAUGAUUUUGAGAGUGGAAGUAUAAGUAACUGAUAGAACAAAAAUUUCAUAUUCUGCAAAUCUAUAUAAGCUUGAUGAAUGAGCUAUCAGAGUGUAAAUCACAAGAAUUUAUAUCUAUGCACCAAAAGGAUCUCUUCUGCUAAGGACUGUUCAUGAUUCGGUUCAUGAAGGAAGACUGAACCGGAAUGAACCUUUACAACAGUUUAGUAAAACUGAACUGAACCAUCAAUGAUAUAAAUCAGUUUGUUAAACCGAACUGUUUCUUUGUGAACCUUGCACCUUUUCGAACUGGACAAGCUAAAGGCACACACCGUGCGCAUUAACUGAUUUUGGAAUUUUAACAAGAACCAAAAACCGAACUAUUAAACCAAACUGCACCGCACCGAGAAAACUGAAUUUUGAUCGACAGUUCAUGAAUUGAACUGAACUGAGUAAUAAAAACACCAGUUCAGUUCUUGAACUGUCCGUCAUAAUUUGCUUCUUUUCAGUUCGGAUCGGUUUAACGGUUUAGUUUUUUGUUUUUUUUAACAGUCCUAUUGUGCUGGUAAUCUUUUUCUUUGACUUAUAAUUUUUUGCUGGUAGUUCAUGCUAAAUACCUAACUUUUGCAUAUAUUCUACUUGUGUUGACCUGUGAAUGUAGGACAUUGACCACACCUGUUGAUUUGAUCAAAUGUUUGAAAUCCAUUAAGGAACACGCGUUCUCGGCAUCUCCGUACCCAGUUGUAAUAACUCUGGAAGAUCAUCUUACCUCAGACCUUCAAGCAAAAGCUGCUCAGGUAAUUUCUUAUAGGUUUAACCAUGCUUUCAAUUUCUGUAAUUAUCUCGAAUUUUAUUUUAAGUUUCUGUAUCCUCUUUGAGGACUAAAGGCAUGCAGUUUUAUAACUUGUAGAGACAUAAAAGUGGAUACAGCGACUAAAAAUAAAAAGUGUAAAUUUUAUAGGGGACUAAAAACAUGUUUAAUUGUUUGUUAUAUCUGAAAGGAGUAAAUCACUCGGGUUCACAAUUUUUUUGGAAUUAAUCAUCAUUCUCUUUCGACGUUAUUAGAUGAUUACUCAAACAUUUGGAGAUAUGCUGUUCUGUCCAAAUGAUGAAAAUUUAAACAAUAUUCCAUCACCUGAAGAAUUGAAGUAUAGGAUCAUGAUAUCAACAAAACCUCCAAAAGAGUACUUAAAUUCCAAAAGUGUUAGGGAGAAUUCUGAACAAUUGCUGAAAUCAAAAUCAAAGGAUUCUGAUGAAGACGAAUGGGGAAAGGAAGUCACUGAUGUUGUACAUGCACAAAAUGAAGACGACAAGGUGAGAUAAACUAAGAAUUUCACUUUAUAGAAGCCUCUAUUUUCACAAGAUAAUGACAUAUUCGUUUAUGCUGUUUUUGUAUAAGUUAUAAACUGUUCUCGUAAGCUAUCCUGAACAUGCUAUAAGAUGUUUCCAAAAUCUCUUUCAAACAGUCUUACAAAGAGUUCAUGUUAGCAGAUAAGUUCAAAUAAGCCAAUUCUAACAGUCUUGUUUUUUUCUUUCUAUUUUCUUACAGGGUGACUGUGACUCACAUCAACAGAAUGAUGAUGAUGAUGAAUCAAAUGAUGAUGAAUAUGAAACAAAUCACGAGAGUGAGUAUAAGCGUCUAAUCGCUAUUCAUGCUGGAAAACCUAAGGGUAGUUUGAAGGAAGCCUUAAAAGUUGAAGAAGAUAAAGUGAGACGCCUUAGCUUAAGUGAACAAGCUCUUGAGAAGGCUGCUGAGUCGCUCGGAACUGAUCUUAUUAGGUAGCAUCUGAUUUCAUAUCAAAUAUCAUUUAUACGAUUAUUAAUUACCACUAGUGACCAUUUUACAGUUGUUAUCGAGAGAAUUUAAAUUAAGUGUACCUUGAGGUUACAAAGUCAUCAGCGUUAUAAUAGAUCAUGUAGCUUACCACUAAGCUGAUUAUAACUAAUUUCCUAGCUUAAGUUUACAAGUGAUUUACUACUCUUCCACUUUUCCUUAAACUCUUCUACAUUCUAAUUCUAAUUGUAAUGCUUUCUAUUUUGUAUGAUAGGUUCACCCAGAAAAACUUUUUGAGGAUAUAUCCGAAGGGUACACGUGUCACCUCGUCGAACUACAAGCCACUGAUUGGCUGGAUGCAUGGUGCUCAAAUGGUUGCAUUCAAUAUGCAAGGAUAUGGCAGAAAUCUUUGGUUGAUGCAUGGAAUGUUUAGAUCCAAUGGGGAAUGUGGUUAUGUGAAAAAACCAGACUUUCUAAUGAAUGUAGGUCCAAAUAAUGAGGUAUUCAAUCCUAAAGAUAAGUUGGAAGUGAAGAAGACGCUUAAGGUGAGGACUGAGGAUAUUAUCAAAAUGAAAAAGUUAGCAAAAUGAACAUUUUUCUUGCACUGUGUUUAAUUUAUUCUCACUGGAUAGGUUAAAAUAUAUGUGGGAGAUGGAUGGAGUAUGGAUUUCAAACAAACUCACUUUGACUCAUAUUCUCCACCAGAUUUUUAUGCCAGGGUAAGUUUUUUCUAUUUAUUUAUAAUUAUGCUUUGAUUUACAAUAUAACUGCUUAAUUCUUUAUGCACUAAUAGUACUUAUGUAAUCUUUAAUCUUUCACCACUUGAAGCUUAAAUAACUUUAAGGAUAUUAUUUCUCUUUAAUGAAAGUUGUGAGAAUUAAUACUAUGAUUCUUUCUAGAGUACAUUUGUUAAGGUCUAUUUACAAGUUAUUUGGUCUUGUCUAAUGACAUACAUACUUGUGUAAAGUGAGGUUAUCAAAUUGAGUUUAAAUCAUGAACCAGAAAACCUAUACAUAGGGAUUCAUUUGAAAGAAUCAGGGCUCAUCACUGUGAGUCGGGAUUCAUCAUAACGAAUCGGGAUUUAAAAUGAGAUUCAUAUCAAAAUUAGAUACAUACCAGAGACUCAUAUGAAUUGAGUUAAGUUUUGUAUCAAAUUGAGAUAUGACUUGCAUGUAUCAUAAGAUACUAAUAACCAUUUUUGCAAGAGCGUGCGCAUAAGCUGUUUACAGCACAUAUGAUAAUCUUGAAGGAUAACUUACAUGAAACGACUCACAAUUUAUAUGAAAACAGUUUAACCACGUUCUUUCGACGAUUACAGAAAUAGCUUAUUCAUAAGUGUUUAUAUCAUAUAUGAUAAUCACUUAUUCAAUAUGCGUUUAAUUAAGUCGUUUACCAAAACAAACCAUCGGUACUUCUUGCAUGAGCUUACAUGUGAAUUUGUGAGGCAGGUUGGCAUAGCUGGAGUGCCGGCUGAUGUAACAAUGAAGAAAACAAAGACAAUAGAGGAUAACUGGAUACCUACUUGGGAAGAAGAAUUCACCUUCCCUUUAACUGUGCCUGAACUUGCUUUGCUUAGAGUGGAAGUACAUGAAUAUGACAUGUCUGAGACAGAUGAUUUUGCUGGCCAAACUUGUUUACCAAUCACUGAACUAAAACAAGGGAUCCGCGCCGUUCCACUUUACGAUCGAAAAGGAGAGAAAUACAACUCAGUUAGGCUUCUUAUGAAAUUUGAUUUUAUUUAAGCUGUUCUUCUCUACUUGGGAGUAUAUUUAUUUUAUAUUAUGAUGAAGAAUGUUGAAACUUGUUUUCCAUGUCACACUUGAUUCAUGUGGAUUUGGCCUAACCAUGUAAGUAAAUAAUAUUAAAAAUUAAAAAUAGUAAUAGGAUUUUAUGUUGCAACUCAUGCUUCAUUAUGGCAGCGUUUACCUCUAUUGAAGUUUGAGUGGUUUUGGAGUUAUAAUUCUCUUUUGUUUUCUGCAUUGUAAAGCUAUAAUUCUGUUAUGUUACCAACUUAUUAGCAACAAAAUAACCCGCUCAUUUGAUCCUUGUAUAUGUAUUCCUCUGAUAGACCAAAAUGAAUAAGUUAAAUUAAGUAAACAUAAAAUUCUUAAUGAAUGAACAAUGGUACUCAAAUCAUAAAAGAAAGACCAUAAAAGAGAGCAAUGAUACUCAAAUCAUUAUAAAAAAAAAUACCAUAAAAGAGAGCGCAGGAUUGUUGCAAACUUGCUAUAAUCCUGUUCAAUAAAAUUAAUUUUAUUAUAUUUUGAUUGUUCUAACAUUUGAAUGUCUACAUAUAUAAUCACACACGUUUUUUUUCUUCCUGUGUAACCACUAAAUUUAUGGAUAUUGGGACUAAGGCUAUGUUUGGAUUGAUGGAGAGUGGUGGAAUGGGAUGGAAUAGAGUCAGAUUCCAUUGUUUGGUUUUGCAAAAUUGUAAUGGAAUGGAAUGGAAUGUGAUGGAACUCAUUCCAUCCAAUACCACUCAUUCAUCCAAUUUUCCAUUCCUCCCAAAUUGGGGUGUAUCCAAUGGAAUGGAACACAUUAAUAACUCAAUUACAUUUUUAUCCCUACUAUUUCUAUUUCAUUAGCCACUCCUCAUUCCAUGUUUCUUUUUUCCAUUGAUUGUUUCUUGUUUAUAAAUCUCUUUCUUCUUCAUUCAUAUUAAAGUGUCACGAAAAUUGACUAUAGUAGUUACAAAUGGAAAAACACAUAGGUUUCUUAUUUAUAAACCUCUUUGAGAUCGAUUUUGAAUUAUAUCUAAAAACUAUUGAUAUUGAAUUAUAUAUAAAAAUACGAUGAAUAGUAAUUUGCAACUAAUGUAACCUACAUAGGCUAGAAAAUAGAUGAAUUUUAACGUGUAACCUAUAUUAUUAUUGUUUUAUUUAACCUGACAAAUGGAAAUACUGUAGUUGCAAAUUAUGCCAGAACCGAAAUUUAAAAAUGUUUUGUUCAUAUCUUAAUUUGUGGUUAUACUUGUGUUUAUUCCUUUACUUGUUUAUUUUGUGCUAUUUAUGAAUAAUGUCAAAAUAACUACGUAUUGAUUGAAUUGAGUUGAGAAUUCAACAUAGUGAUGUUUUUAAGUAAAGGGUAAAAAUGAAAUAAAAAAGUUAUAAAUCAUUCCGUUCCAUUCACUUUCCAAACAAUGGAGUGGAAAAUUAGUUCAAUUCCGUAGUAAAAUAUCCAAACAAUAGGAUGGAACCUUUGUUCCGCUCCGUUCCACUCCGCUCCAUUCCGUUCCGCUCCGUUAGUUUCAUGUUAUCCAAACAGAGCCUAAAGAAAGCAAGGUAGAGAGAUGGAAGAGAAAUGAUAGGGUCACACCUACUAACACACUCUUUUAAAGUUUUAACACACCCAACAAGAAUUAGUCAUGUGUCCCACUUUUUUAAUUCAAUUAACUUGAAAUCUGUUCAACCAGUUUUUAAACAUUUGUUUUUUAUUUUUUUAAUAUUUUAGUACAACAGUUGGAGAGAGAAAGAGAAGAAAAAAACGAAGAGAGAGAAGAGUGUUGAAAAAUAAUCUGGGUCUUCAAUUUCGAUCUUCAAGCUUGAAAGCUUAAGAACCUAAAAUUUAAAGAGUCACACGUGUCUCUCUCUUGUUCCAGUUUCCCCAGCUAUGUCACCUUUCUCUCUUCUAUCUUAAAUGGUUUUGUUCAUCGUCCAUCCACUACGAGCGUCAUCAUUUACCUGGCGUUUUGAUUAUGUGAUUUGGAGAAAAUUCAUGCAAGUAAUUUUUAACUAAUGGAGUAAAAUAUGUCAUCCCUGGAUAAGUACUUAUAAAAAACCAUUAAAAUAACGAAAGCAAUGGAUCUCUUGUAACUCCAUUUUACUCUUUUAAAAGUGUCACAUAUGCAUAAUGCUUGUAUAUAGUUAACCCAAUUUUAGUUUAUAUAGAGAGAUAGAUAGAUAAAUAUAGAAGAUAGGUAGAUAGAUAUUGAUAGAUUCACAUAGUCAUAUGCACUAUAAAUCUAUAUAAUAUUUUAACUAAUAAAUGAUAAUAUAUACUCCCUCCGUUCUAAUUUAUAAGCAAAAAAACAUUAAUUCACACUUAUUAAGAAAACUAACAUUUAGUAAUUUGAGGUAUAAUUUUUUCGUGUUCUCCUUGAAAUAAGUUUCAUGGAAAGAAGUAAAAAUAAUUCUCAUUGGCUAAAAAUUAUGGAGAAAAUAAAAAGGAGAAUAAAUUGAAUGCAAUUUGUAUUUAAUUUUACAUUGGAAAAGAUGAUUUGUUUGAAAAAACAUAAUAAUGACAUAAAAGUUGGUCUUUUUUACUUAUAUUUUGAGACAAAGAAUACGAGAUUUUUUUGCUUAUAUUUUAAGACGGAGGGAGUAUGUUUUUAGAUAAAUGUUAGUGUUUAGUAUAUUGUUGGAGGGGAAGGGGUAAUAUUAUCAGCAGGGAUCAAAUCUUAACCUCUUCUUAAUCUCCAAUUUUCCAACCCUUUGACCACACAAUCAAUGAUUAAUGCAAAACAAUUAGUUGUUGGUUAACGCAUAAACAUAUAUUGCAUUAACCAAAGGAAGAAAUUUUUUAAAGUAGGAGAAUGGUAUUGGUUUAUAUUGUAAAUUUUUUAAAAAUAUAUAUAUUUAUAAUAAUUAAUAUGUUUUUUAUUUACUUUUUCAACAAAAUAAUGAUAGUAGCACUUUUUUAUACAUAUUUUAGAGAAAAUCUAUUUUUUUUCUCUCAUAUUUUAUCAUGUGUUUUUCAAUAUCUUGAUUAAGACGUAACACUUUCAAAGGUAGAAGAUCAACCAUUAGUGUUAAAAUGAGAGUAUAAGUUGAAAAUGGCAAGGAAGUAGAUACCCUCAUUUAUAUAUUAUUGGAAUUAGAAUAAGAACCAUUAGAGAAAAGGAGAAAAAGAAUGGACAACAAAAGCUAUGAGAAUGUCUUUACCUAUUCAUUUUGUUCUCCUGCUAUUAAUACAAUUUUUUUUUUGAAACAAAAAUGAAUGUGGCUUUCCCUAAAAAAAAAUCAGCUUGAGCUUAUUUUUUAAAGAAUAAUUAAAAAACUCAAGCUUAUUUAAAACAUUUGUUGAUAAAGUUUAUUUUUUGGUAAAAUAAUUCAUAAUUUCCUUUAAAAAGAUAGGUAUUCUUUGACCAAAAAAAAAAAAUAGGUAUCCUCUAGUGUGAAGAGAGUUAUUUUAAGGGAUAGACAAAACCCAACUCUUAAAUUUUCCUCAAAACUUUCUUACUUUUUGAACAUGAGAAAUCAUGGUUUUGCUUCCUAACAUUAACAAAUUUAAUUACAAUAUAUUUUCUACAAAGAAGAAAUAAACAUGCAGGUGGUAAAAAAAAAGUAUAGAAAAUGUUCCACUUAUCUUGUUGACAUUGCCGCAUAACUUGAAUCUCCAAUUUAUGACCUGAGAUAAAGAUUUUGUAAUUGUAAAAAAAGUGUGAAACUUUCUUAGUCCUUGAAGUGCCACAUCAUCAUAAUUCUAGCUUAAUAUAGUUCCAUAUUUUGUCUACAAAGAUGUUAAUCUAGAGAUGCCACAUCAUCAAGUUUGCUUUUUAUAUAGAAGAUAUAGAUAGAUAGUUAUCCGUAGUAGUUUUAUGAAGUUAUUAGUAGUUAUAAAAAGAUAGUUACAUAUUGGUGUGUUAUAUUAAGAUAGUUACUUAUCUCUUGUGAGGAAAACCUUGAUGAGGCUGACUACAUUUUUCCUUCAGAAUCUCACGUCGCAGCUUUAAGGUUUGCGACGCGAGACGAUUCUUUGCAUUUUUUCUCUUGCCUUUUAUGUUUUUCGGAUAUUUUCUUGUCCUUGCAUUUCAUGACUUUUUAUUAUGAAUUCUCACAUUCACAACACUGUAUCACAAAAGAACUGACUCGAUCACUCAAAAAACAUAAUUUAAAAUUUGGAUGAGGUUAAGAAAUUGAUGUCAGCAUGCGAAGUGAGCUUUUGUUGGAACUGUUUUUAACUGCUUAGCUAUGUUUUUUUGUUACAAUGACACAACGCAAUCAUUGCAUAUAUAGCUUUAUGAUGCAUUAAAACAAUAAAGUUACAAAUGCAUCUUAUAUUCUUUUGCAGCCUGAUAAUAUUUACUAAUCAGUUUUGUAAGGUUGACUUAGAUUCGAUCUAAAUUAUACUUAUGUGUGUGGAUCAAUUUGGUUUAAGUUUUUUCACAACUAAUUGUAAAAAACUAAAAGUUGAAUCCGUCUUGCAAUAAUAAUGAGUAUUCUAAUUAAUAGUUUCAAGUAGGCUUAAAUAUGUAUUUCACUAGAUCGUCCAUCCGUGCUGCCGCACGGGUCAUAUACAUUGUAAGUAUUGUAGACAAAAACAAAAUUUUAUAAUACAGUCCCAACUUAUAAUUUUAAAUACAACUAUAGAAGGAAAUUGUAUAAUUGAUUCAAAAUAUUUUUAGUGACAUUGAGCAGCAAUCUAUAAUUUAAUAAAAGAAGAGGUUUUGCCAAAAGCACUGCACACAUCUCUUUUUCUCGUGAGUCAAUUACAUUGAAAAUUCAUAUAUUAUAUAUCACUAACAAAGAUACAAAAAUUAUGUUGAAAGGAAUUUGUAUAAUUCAUUCAAAAUAUGUUUAGUUAACUUUAAUAUAUAAGAAGAUGUAUCGAGAAGUUGAGAAGGGGGAAAAUUCAAUAAGGUUAAACAAAGGAAUUUAGAAUCAGGGUUAAAAUAGUAAAUUUAUACAAUAAGUUUAAGUUAAAAUUAGGGCUAAAAUAUGCUUCUGUGUUAGCCUUAAUAUAUAAGAAGAUAGAAGAAAAUUGUAUAAUUGAUUCAAAAUAUUUUUAGUGACAUUGAACAGCAAUCUAUAAUUUAAUAACAGAAAAGAAUUUGCCAAAAGCACUGCACACAUCUCUUUUUCUCGUGAGUCAAUUACAUUGAAAAUUCAUAUAUUAUAUAUCACUAACAAAGAUACAAAAAUUAUGUUGAAAGAAAUUUGUAUAAUUGAUUCAAAAUAUGUUUAGUUAACUUUAAUAUAUAAGAAGAUCUAUCGAGAAAUUGAGAAGGGGGAAAAUUCAAUAAGGUUAAACAAAGGAAUUUAGCAUCAUGGUUAAAAUAGUAAAUUUAUGCAAUAGGUUUAGGUUAAAAUUAGGGCUAAAAUAUGCUUAUGUGUUAACUUUAAUAUAUAAGAAGAUGUAUCGAGAAAUUGAGAAGGAGGAAAAUUCAAUAAGGUUAAACAAAGGAAUUUAGCAUCAGGGUUAAAAUAGUAAAUUUAUGCAAUAGGUUUAGGUUAAAAUUAGGGCUAAAAUAUGCUUCUGUGUUAACUUUAAUAUAUAACAAGAUGUAUCGAGAAAUUGAGAAGGAGGAAAAUUCAAUAAGGUUAAACAAAGGAAUUUAGCAUCAGGGUUAAAAUAGUAAAUUUAUGCAAUAGGUUUAGGUUAAAAUUAGGGCUAAAAUAUGCUUCUGUGUUAACUUUAAUAUAUAAGAAGAUAGUAAAUUUAUGCAAUAGGUUUAGGUUAAAAUUAGGGCUAAAAUAUGCUUCUGUGUUAACUUUAAUAUAUAAGAAGAUGUAUCGAGAAAUUGAGAAGGAGGAAAAUUCAAUAAGGUUAAACAAAGGAAUUUAGCAUCAAGGUUAAAAUAGUAAAUUUAUGCAAUAGGUUUAGGUUAAAAUUAGGGCUAAAAUAUGCUUCUGUGUUAACUUUAACUAGACCAUUGACCCGUGCUAACGCACGUGUCAUUUAAAAAAUUAAUACUCAUAGAAAAAAUAAGACACUGUAGGUCGCUUGAAUGUAAAAAUUGUCGUGAAUCAAAGCAAAAUGUCAAUUACCAUAGACUUUGUUAUUGUUCCAUAAUUCUAGUACGUAGUACCUGUUACUUUAACAUAACAUAUAAUUUUAAAAGGGAAACUGAAGUUCGUUGACAUGCAAAUAGUUUCAAUAAGUAAGAAAAUGAAUAGUACACAAAAAAGUCCUACACAUUACGGAAAACUUCUCUGUAGACCACACUUGAUGCAACAUCGGUAUCAUCACCGUCGUCAUCAUUAAUCAAUAUCUUUAAACCACCCCUCAAAGUAACCCGCGAUAUUGCGACGUACAACUGUCCAUGUGAAAAAUAACAAAGAUGAAUCCAAAACGACAUCUAAAAAUUUCAAUAAAGAGAUAGCUACCUCAGUUGACUCAGUCAUGCUUUCAAUUGUCAUUCGGUUAGUGUUGAGCAAGUCAUCUGAUAAAGACGCGGGGCUGUUCGUUGAAAUUUGGCUGACACUUCGGGUGAACUAUAUUGAUGCAUUUUUCAUUCUAAUAAAAGGGCACCAAUGUUAAUAGAAGAGUGGUGAGACCUCCAGACAACUUAAUUACAACCAAAAAAACUUGCCUUUAUUCUAAAGCAUAUAAAAAUGUAAAUGGUUACCAUGUCAUGUACGCAGCGACAUCAGGCAAAUCGCCAUUAAGUAUCAGCUUAGUCCCAUUAAAGGCAUUAGCAACUCCCAUAGCACCUAAUUUUUUUAAAAAUCAACAGCAAGUGAACAUAAUUUCACAUUUCAUUGUUGAUAUCAGCAGAAAGCACAAACUUAAAACACGACAUACCUAACUACAUGUGUGUCUUGCAAAACUGCAAUAUUAAUACAGUAGGUGUGUCGUUAUCAUGGUUGCCAAAAAAGGUCACAAUUUUGUCAACAUGUUCACCCCAAAGAGAGCAAUGCAAGCGGUUGUUUCUGUAAUAAAAUAUUACCAAAAUAUCAAUUCAGGAACAUAAGGUAUAUUAAAAUUAUAUUACAACCAGGUACAAAGAAAGAGACAAAUCUUACUCAAGAUCUUCUAAAGUGAGAUCAGUAACCCUACUUUUCCUUCCGUCCUUUUCAGUUUCCCUUACAUCACCUCUUUCAAUUACAUGACCAAUAACAUCUGAAAUUACGUAUACAAAAGCAAAAACAAAUGUAUGAAAUUCCUAAACGAAUGCUUAUAGGUAGAAAUAAUGUACAACACACAUUCAGAAUUGAAGUCUUACCCGUAGAUACUUCCUCGACAGUUGAAGAGAGAAUUUCAUUGAAUGGCUUGAACUAAAAAACGUUCAUAGGGAUAGCAGGCGAGUGUACUUUGGUAAAAGUUGAAUUGUGCAUCAUACUAAGCUUAUGUUUGUGUGAAGUUACCUUAUAAGGACUUUCAUUAAAACCUACAAUUGCAUUUUCAAGCUGAAAUGUACCCCCUUCUUGAACCAUGGACCUGAACUUUGCCACCAAAUCUUUUCUACCUGUGGCGUGAAUACGUCCACCCUAUUGACGACAACAACAACAUUAAACAGCUGGUUAAAUUAGAUAACUAAAAAACAACAAUGACAUUAGUUUAAUUUUAAAGCUAAGAGUGCAAACAUGUAGAAACCUUUUCAUCAACCAAAUGUGAGCAACUCGCACACACAUCUUGAGAUUCUUUCUUCCUCCAGAAACAGCUGAGAUUGGAGUGUAUUUGGAAGACAUCAUUAGCUUGUUUUUUCCUUUCCAAGAAAGAGGAUGCUUAUUUAGAUUGAGAUGGUUUGGCUAAUAUGUUAUGAUAUAUUUAUAGGAAAAAGGUGGAAUACGUGUGAGUAGGAUAUGUCGGUUGAGCAAUAAAGAGUAUUAGUUAUCAGGAUAAGCACAAAAUAGUGGAACAAAAUUAGGAAAUGGCCAACAUUUUAGGAUAAAGAUUAAUAUGAAUAAAAUGAAAUUAAUAUUGUUGAUGGGGCACUUUAUUUUACUUAAGAAUUGACAUUUUUUUGUACUUAAGAAUUACCAUAGUUGAUUCGCCAAAACAUAUUUUAGAGAUGUGGAUGAAAUGUGUAGUAGUUACUUGAAUGAGAGGAAUUAGGAUUUUUAGUUUGUUUCCACCCAAAACAUAUUUUAGAGAUGUGGAUGAAAUCCCCUACUUAUUUGAAUGAGAGAAAUAAGGAUUUUAGUUUGUUUCCACCAAAAAGUUACUUUAGAGAUGUGGAUGAAAUCUCUUAGUUACUUGAAUGAGAAGAAUUAGGAUUUUUAGUUUGUUUCCACCGAAAACAUAUUUUAGAGAUGUGGAUGAAAUCCCCUACUUAUUUGAAUGAGAGAAAUUAGGAUUUUAGUUUGUUUCCACCAAAAAGUUAGAUUAAAGAUGUGGAUGAAAUCUCUUAGUUACUUGAAUGAGAGAAAUAAGGAUUAGGAUUUAAGUUUGUUUCCACCCAAAACAUAUUUUAGAGAUGUGGAUGAAAUCUUUAGUAGUUACUUGAAUAAGAGGAAUUAUGAUUUUUAGUUUGUUUCCACCCAAAACAUAUUUUAGAGAUGUGGAUGAAAUCUUUAGUAGUUACUUGAAUGAGAGGAAUUAUGAUUUUUAAUUUGUUUCCACCCAAAACAUAUUUUAAAGAUGUGGAUAAAAUCCCCUGAUUAUUUGAAUGAGAGAAAUAAGGAUUUUAGUUUGUUUCCACCAAAAACUUAGUUAAGAGAUGUGAAUGAAAUCUCUUAGUUACUUGAAUGAGAGAAAUAAGGAUUAGGAUUUAAGUUUGUUUCCACCCAAAACAUAUUUUAGAGAUGUGGAUGAAAUCUUUAGUAGUUACUUGAAUGAGAGGAAUUAGGAAUUUUAGUUUGUUUCCACCCAAAACAUAUUUUAGAGAUGUGGAUGAAAUCUUUAGUAGUUACUUGAAUGAGAGGAAUUAUGAUUUUUAGUUUGUUUCCACCCAAAACAUAUUUUAAAGAUGUGGAUGAAAUCUCCUGAUUAUUUAAAUGAGAGAAAUAAGGAUUUUAGUUUGUUUCCACCAAAAACUUAGUUAAGAGAUGUGAAUGAAAUCUCUUAGUUACUUGAAUGAGAGAAAUUAGGAUUAGGAUUUUAGUUUGUUUCCACCAAAAACAUAUUUUAGAGAUUAGGAUUAGUAAUUGUUAGUAAUAAUGUUAAGAGGAGACGUUACACCGCUAUGCUACUAAAUUGAUUCUAGUAAUUGUUACUAAUAAUGUUACUAAAAUGCUUCAGUAACACAGUCAUGCUACUAAAUUGAUUCAGCAACACAAAAACAAACACAAAUAUAUAAAUAAAAAAGCAAAGCAAGCAAGGCUAAAUUAUUUAUGAAAUUCAAGGGACAUUUGCUAAAUUCAAAGACAAAAAAAAUAGAUGCUUCCAAAACUCUAAGAAACUAAAACUUAAAAUUCAAAUUGGAAAGGUCUUGCACAAUUUAUCUAAACAUGGACUAAUUGUAAAUAACAUCAAGGUAGAUGGUAUCAUGUGACCCAACCAUCGGAGCACCCCCUCUGAUCUUCACACCGUCACCCACAAAAACCAAGGUCAGGCACCAAGAUCGAUUCCGUAAAAGUCACGAAUUGCUUUCCAUCCCUUUGUGAGAAAAAAUGCUUCGUUUACUCUAUCGACCAAUAAUUCAAACUUGUUGGACUUAGGAUCAAUCAAUAUUGCAUAGCGCCCAAUUUGAUCUCCGAAAUCACCGCCAAACAUGUUUGGCAAGCAUACUGCACCCUAAAAAAAUAACAAACAAAAACAUCACAAACGUUGAUAAAAUAGAAUGCAAAUAAUUGAGAAUAGGUAUAUUUCGCAAAAAACACAUACAGCAUCAAUGUCAUAUUCAACGAUAUAUGAUAUGUAUUUCAGUCUGAGCUUGUUGAUUGCUUUGUCAAGAUCGGAAAAAGGGUUUUUCACCAACGGACCUACAAAAGAUUGAAAGGGAUUGAAAGAAUUAUUUAUACUUUAAAACAGUGAGGAAUAAGAGCAAAAAUCUAUAUAUUUAGUUUAAACCAGAGUGGAAUGAAGAUAUGGUUACCAGUGAGGCAGUGGUAUGACAGUAAAGUCUGAAUGUUUCUGGAAGCCAUGUUGAAAAGAGAUUUCGGUUUAGGAGAAAAGAUAAAAAUAUAUUGGUGAGGGUUUGGAGGAGAGAAAUAUAUGGUUUUAAAGAGAGAUUUCGGUUUAGGAGAAAGGAUUAAAAUAUAUUGGUUAGGGUUUGGAGGAGGGGAAUUAGGAAAUAUGAUUUAGGAGGAGUGAAGUUAGAAGGUUAGGGUUUGGAGGAGGAGAAUUAGGAAAUAUGGUUAGGUUUUAAAGGAGGGAAAAAUUGCUAAAAUAAUAGGGUUAAAAUAUUAGGUUAAAAUUAGGGCAACCAAGCUUUGUUUAGGAAUAAGAAGAUAUAUAACAAGAUGUAUCGAGAAAUUGAGAAGGAGGAAAAUUUAAUAAGGUUAAACAAAGGAAUUUAGCAUCAGGGUUAAAAUAGUAAAUUUAUGCAAUAGGUUUAGGUUAAAAUUAGGGCUAAAAUAUGCUUCUGUGUUAACUUUAAUAUAUAAGAAGAUAGGUUUAGGUUAAAAUUAGGGCUAAAAUAUGCUUCUGUGUUAACUUUAUUAUAUAAGAAGAUGUAUCGAGAAAUUGAGAAAGGGAAAAAUUCAAUAAGGUUAAACAAAGGAAUUUAGCAUCAGGGUUAAAAUAGUAAAUUUAUGCAAUAGGUUUAGGUUAAAAUUAGGGCUAAAAUAUGCUUCUGUGUUAACUUUAAUAUAUAAGAAGAUGUAUCGAGAAAUUGAGAAGAAGGAAAAUUCAAUAAGGUUAAACAAAGGAAUUUAGCAUCAGGGUUAAAAUAGUAAAUUUAUGCAAUAGGUUUAGGUUAAAAUUAGGGCUAAAAUCUGCUUCUGUGUUAACUUUAAUAUAUAAGAAGAUAGUAAAUUUAUGCAAUAGGUUUAAGUUAAAAUUAGGGCUAAAAUAUGCUUCUGUGUUAACUUUAAUAUAUAAGAAGAUGUUUCGAGAAAUUGAGAAGAAGGAAAAUUCAAUAAGGUUAAACAAAGGAAUUUAGCAUCAGGGUUAAAAUAGUAAAUUUAUGCUAUAGGUUUAGGUUAAAAUUAGGGCUAAAAUAUGCUUCUGUGUUAACUUUAAUAUAUAAGAAGACGUAUCGAGAAAUUGAGAAGGAGGAAAAUUCAAUAAGGUUAAACCAAGGAAUUUAGCAUUAGGGUUAAAAUAGUAAAUUUAUGCAAUAGGUUUAGGUUAAAAUUAGGGCUAAAAUAUGCUUCUGUGUUAACUUUAAUAUAUAAGAAGAUAGUAAAUUUAUGCAAUAGGUUUAGGUUAAAAUUAGGGCUAAAAUAUGCUUCUGUGUUAACUUUAAUAUAUAAGAAGAUGUAUCGAGAAAUUGAGAAGGAGGAAAAUUCAAUAAGGUUAAACAAAUGAAUUUAGCAUCAGGGUUAAAAUAGUAAAUUUAUGCAAAAGGUUUAGGUUAAAAUUAGGGUUAAAAUAUGCUUCUGUGUUAACUUUAAUAUAUAACAAGAUGUAUCGAGAAAUUGAGAAGGAGGAAAAUUCAAUAAGGUUAAACAAAGGAAUUUAGCAUCAGGGUUAAAAUAGUAAAUUUAUGCAAUAGGUUUAGGUUAAAAUUAGGGCUAAAAUAUGCUUUUGUGUUAACUUUAAUAUAUAUAAGAAGACGUAUCGAGAAAUUGAGAAGGAGGAAAAUUCAAUAAGGUUAAACCAAGGAAUUUAGCAUCAGGGUUAAAAUAGUAAAUUUAUGCAAUAGGUUUAGGUUUAAAUUAGGGCUAAAAUAUGCUUCUGUGUUAACUUUAAUAUAUAAGAAGAUAGUAAAUUUAUGCAAUAGGUUUAGGUUAAAAUUAGGGCUAAAAUAUGCUUCUGUGUUAACUUUAAUAUAUAAGAAGAUGUAUUGAGAAAUUGAGAAGGAGGAAAAUUCAAUAAGGUUAAACAAAGGAAUUUAGCAUCAGGGUUAAAAUAGUAAAUUUAUGCAAUAUGUUUAGGUUAAAAUUAGGGCUAAAAUAUGCUUCUGUGUUAACUUUAAUAUAUAAGAAGAUGUAUCGAGAAAUUGAGAAGGGGGAAAAUUCAAUAAGGUUAAACAAAGGAAUUUAGCAUCAGGGUUAAAAUAGUAAAUUUAUGCAAUAGGUUUAGGUUAAAAUUAGGGCUAAAAUAUGCUUCUGUGUUAACUUUAACUAGAUCGUCCACCCGUGCUGCCGCACGGAUCAUAUACAUUGUAAGUAUUGUAGACAAAAGCAAAAUUUUAUAAUACAGUCCCAACUUAUAAUUUUAAUGUCAUAAUUUGAAAUACAACUAUAGAAGGAAAUUGUAUAAUUGAUUCAAAAUAUUUUUAGUGACAUUGAGCAGCAAUCUAUAAUUUAAUAACAUAAGAGAUUUUGCCAAAAACACUGCACACAUCUCUUUUUCUCGUGAGUCAAUUACAUUGAAAAUUCAUAUAUUAUAUAUCACUAACAAAGAUAAAAAAAUUAUGUUGAAAGCAAUUUGUAUAAUUGAUUCAAAAUAUGUUUAGUUAACUUUAAUAUAUAAGAAGAUGUAUCGAGAAAUUGAGAAGGGGAAAAAUUCAAUAAGGUUAAACAAAGGAAUUUAGAAUGAGGAAGAACCUCCUUCAAUUGGUGUUCGUGUGUUGCUGGGAAUUGCAGUUGAAUCUGCAAGGAAACUAAGAGGGAAAAGGAAGAAGAUGAAGCCAGGGGUAUUUUGGUCUUUUCGCAAGUUACAUCAACUAAUCGGUGAUGUGGCACUGAUUAACUAGGUUGAGGGACCAAUUUUUAAGUGAUUAAUUUUUAGGAGGGUAAAUUGCCAGAAUUAAUGGAUACAGGGACCAUUUUUUAAAUGACCCCUAAUUACAGGGAUGAAAUACGUAUUUAAGCCGUUUCAAGUACAGAGUAAGUUGAAAUAUUUAAUCUCUGCAAGGAGUAUUUCACAUCACUUUUUAUCCUUUCCACUAAAUAUGAAUGCUUCUUUUCCACUUAACUUUACCAGCACAUCACAUUGAAUAUUCCUUACUUUAAGUAGAUAAUUAUAUGAUUCUACUUUCAUCUAAUUCUAAGGGACAAAUUAAAGUCUUUUGAUAUAUAUGACUUGAAAUCAGUUACCAGAGUUAUUCCUCAUUGAACUGUAACAUCAAAAAGAGUACCAACACACAAACUCAAGCAAUCUCUUUCUUCUUUACAUAGAUAAUAUAGUUAACAAAAACAAAUUACUUUCAGCUUUUUAUUCACCUUCCUUAGAAACAUGGUUAUAGUAUAAAUUCUCGCUUUAGUUAGAAGCUAUCGGGAAAAACACAAGUUUCAUAUUGAAGAGCGAUAAAGUCUAAAAUAGUUUAUAAAGAGUGACACUACUCAUCUAACAAGGCGAUUUUAUAAGGAUGAGUUAGACAUAAUAUAAAAAUCGAAUAUUGAUAUCAGAGUUUAUCCAUUCGGUUCAUCCACCAAAAUAUGAACUCACUAAUCCAAUAGUGUUUGUUUUGUAACACAAUAUAAAACCAAUAUAAAGUGCUUGUUUUCGUGAAGGAGUCUGUUUUAGGUGGUGACGUGUAUUUUGGUGGGUGUUGUCAUCAUGGAUGUUUUUUAGGGUGUUUAUUUUCGGGUGUUCCGCCUAUAUACGGCGUCUUUAGUUUGUAUUCUUUAAUUUACCGGUCUUUGUUCGUCUUAAGCAGAAAUCUAGUUGUUUAAAAAAAAUUGCUGCGAAAAAAUAUAUAUAUAUAAAGAACAUAAUACAAGCCACUCCUGAUAAUCUUAAAACACAACAAUUUUUAUUCUCUCCAAGUGCUGUCUCCCCCUCAAGAGACAUCAUUAAUCAAACACAAAACAAUGGCGACAAAAUUUGGUUUUAGUAAAACCUCUAGGAACAAAUCGAUUAAACAACACUUCAAAGUUUGUUUUUGUUUCAACAGAAUGUUUAAGCUCAAGGUGGCUGAACCACCAGAAGAAAUCAACAAUAUUUUUUAUAGGUAUGCACAAAAUGGUACCAUGACCAUGGAUGAAUUGUACUACUUUUUAGUUCAUUUUCAAGGAGAAAAGGGUGGUGAUGCUACCCAAAAACAUGCUCAAGAUGUUUUCCAUAGUUUAAGACAUCUCAAUAUAUUUCAAAGGAGAGGUCUUCAUUUUGAUGCCUUCUUUCGUUAUCUUUUUGGUGACCUAAAUGGCCCCAUAGGUGAUCAGGUAAAUUUUCUUCCAGUUUAUCCUUAUUAUCUAUGAAGCACGGACACCGGACACUGACACGACGAAACCGUUAAUAAUUUGAGAAAAUCACAUAAUUCAAUGUAAUUAUAGAUGUCGGUAUCGAGUCAGUGUCGGACACGACACGUGUCAGACACCAGGACACACCUAAUCCGAGGAAUGUCCGUGCUUCAUAGUUUAUUAUCAUUUUUUUUAUAUCAUUUUGUAUUUAUGUUAGUUCAACUGCUAACUUUAUCAAAUACUACAAAUUUAAUCGGCUAGUUUAUCUACUAUAUUUUUUUUUUUUGAGAGGAGUUUAUCUACUAUAAUUAACAUGACAGUUAUAAAUUCAUCCGUUAUCAACUAGCGUUUAUCAAAAAUAUACAUGACUUUUUACCAAAAAGAGCCAAAAACAUGCAUAUAUCUUUUGGUUCCACUAAAUCCUUAACAAUUACAAUUAUAUAUUUGAAUUUUUAAAUAAAUUGUCUGUUUUUUAUUUCAGGUGCAUCAAGAUAUGAAUGCUCCAUUGGCUCAUUAUUUUUUGUACACAGGGCACAACUCCUACUUAACUGGAAAUCAAUUGAGUAGUGAAAGCAGUACUGCACCAAUAAUAAAAGCUUUGAAAAAAGGAGUUAGAGUAAUUGAGUUGGAUUUGUGGCCAAAUUCUAGAGAAGAUGAUGUGGAAGUUCGUCAUGGAGGGUAUAAGUUUAGUUUUCAACUACGAAGCACGAACACUCCUUGGAUAAGGCGUGUCCCCGUGUCAGACACGUGUCGUAUCCGACACCGACACAUAUAAUUACACAGAAUUAUGCGAUUGUUUAAAAAAUUUAGUUGUGUCGGCGUGUCUAUGUCGUGUCCGGUAUCCAUGUCCAUACUUCAUAGGUUUUCAAUAGCAUAUUAGUUUAAGUUCAAUAUUAUAGCACAUUGUUGAUUUCUUGUGCAUUCCAACUUUCAGCUUUAUAUAUAACUUAAACUAAUUGACUUAUUUUUGAGCUGUAGGACUCUGACUUCUUCGGUGAAACUUAGAGAUUGUUUGAAUGCCAUUAGGGACAAUGCAUUUGAUGCAUCAAAGUAUCCAGUUAUAAUAACUUUUGAAGACCAUAUAACUCCACCUCUUCAACGCAAAGUCGCCAAAGUUUGUAAAUUUUUUGCAUUAUUUAUGCCACUAUAUAUCAUAUAGUCUUAAAUUAAAGUAACAAUUUAAUAUUUAUAAUGCAGAUGGUGGAUGAUAUAUUUAGAGGUAUGUUGUUUCGUCCAAACUAUGCACAUCAAAUGAAGAAAUUCCCUUCACCAGAAGCGUUGAAGGGGAAAAUUCUGAUUUCGACGAAACCACCGGAGUCUCUUGAAAGUCAAAGCCAAAAGGUACAAGAAGAAGAAGUUGAUGAGUUGCUUGAGGACAAAGAUGAUGGAUCUAGAGUCAAUGAAGAGGUGAAAAUUUGAAUUCAUUUAGCUUAUGAACCUGUUCGCUACGAACUAUGAAAAAAAUUGAUAUUCAAUAAUUUAGAGAUUCAUUUUAAGAGAGUUUGAAGCAGUUUUUCGAUUUCUUUUGAGAUUCUCAUUUGUAUUUUUUUAAGAUAUGUAAUAAACAAAUGAAAAUUUCUAUUUUUUUUCUAAAUAGCUUAAUAAGCAUUUUUUGCAAUUAAUUAGGAUGAGUUGGAUGAUGAGAAUGAGGAGGAUGAGUCUCUUGGAUAUAGGAAUUUGAUUUCUAUUCAUGCUGGGAAACCAAAAGGUAAUGUGGAACACUGGUUGACGGAACAUGAUCAAGUUAGGCGUCUUAGCUUGAGUGAGCAAGUUCUUGAAGAUAUCGUCAAAACUCAAGGAUCUGAAAUUGUCAGGUGAUUUUAAAUGUAUUUUUGGUUGAUCGUAUUGUUGAACCUCAAUAAUUUUAAUUUAGUUAAUCGACUCGUAAGAGUGUGAAACUCUCUCAACACCUAUAUUUUUUCAUUCACAAAACUCUAACACAAAAUACCAAUUAAGUUCAUAUGCUCUAUUUUUUUACCCUAUUGUUAAUUGUUACAACAAUGAAUAUUAUUCCAUUCUAUGCUUUAGAUUCACCCAAAGGAAUUUGCUUAGAAUAUAUCCAAAGGGUUCACGUGUAACUUCCUCCAAUUAUGAUCCUAUGAAUGGAUGGAUGCAUGGAGCUCAAAUGGUAGCAUUUAAUAUGCAGGUUAGACUUCACUUUCCAUUUAUUUGACAAUUGAGAGAAGAGAAGGGAAAAAUAUGAAUUGACUCUUAAAAAGCACUAUGCUACUCUUAUAAAUAUAUUUCAUUUUGUCUCUUAAUAACUUUCAGAAGUGUCAACUUAUAAUUAAAUAUAAGAAGCUAAUUAGGAUAAAACUAAAUAAUAACGGGGAAUUAGUCACUUUAGUCCCUAAGUGAGAAAAGAGUAGUCACUUUAAUCCCUAAAUGCAGAGAAAUUGCAAAACAAUCCUUGAAUGUAGACUUUAUUCAAUUUCAGGGACUAAAGUGACAAACAGAGUCUACAUUCAGGGACUAUAUUGACUAAUGGAGUCUGCAUUCAGGGACUAAAGUGAUUAACAGAGUCUGCAUUCAUGGACUAUUUUGCAAUUUAUCUACAUUCAGGACCUAAAAUUACAACUUAUUUUCUAUUCAAGGACUAAAAUGACUAAUCUUCCAAAUAAUAACAUAAAACUAUGAAUGUAACAUGGUCAAAAACAACAUCAAAGCAUCCUAUUAUAACAACUUGCAUCCUAAGAAAAGUAUUUUUUUUUAAAACUCCUAAGAAAAGUAUUUUCAUAAUAACAUAUGGCGGAAUUUCACACUCAUGCAUCCUUCAUUUUAUACAAUUGUUGGUAUGUUAUGCAAUUUGGUGUCUGCUUUCCAUUAUUUAUUUAUAAAUUUGGGAAUAGAAAUCAAAAAAGUUUGAGGAUUUUUUUUCGAAUCAUGUUAACUAGGGUCACUAAGACACUACUUAACAUUUUCCUUUUCUUAUUUAUUUAUUGGGAAUAUUAAUUAUUAACUUUGUUUUACUUAAAGGGACAUGGGCAUUAUCUUCAAUAUAUGGAAGGAAUGUUCAAAGCCAAUGGUGGAUGUGGGUAUGUUAAGAAACCUGAUAUCUUAUUGAACAAUAAUAAGAUGUAUGAUCCUAGAGUAUACCGACCAAAGAAAACUCUUCAGGUAAAGGGAAUGUAGAUACUUAUAAUUCAUAUUUGGAAUUGAUACUACAAAAUUUAUCUUCUAAUAUAUAAAAAAUAAAAAACAGGUUCACGUAUACAUGGGUGAAGGUUGGCAAUCUGAAUUCGGCCAAACACACUUCGAUUUUUAUUCUCCACCUGAUUUUCGUGUACAGGUAAUUAUACUGUGAUUGAAAUGACUUAAGGACUUGUUUAAAUUGACUUAUUUAAGACCAUCUAUAACUUAGGUAUUUGUGAAACUAAUACCGUACAGUUGAAUUUGUGAAAACAUCUUAUGACAUGUUUAAAACAUGUUUUCAGCUUACUUUCGCAAUCUCUUUAUGACAUAUUUAAAGCAUUUGUUAGUAUUUCACAUUCUUAUAAUAGAUGUAAUGUAACAGUAGUCCUAUGUGUUUCCGUUAAAAAUAGUAUUAUGAAUCAAUCUGCUAUAUUUUCAUGUCAACUAAUUUUAGGAUCAUUGUGCUAAAAUAUGCACAAAAAAUUAAUUGUGAAGUCAGUAUGAACAAACCCCACAAACAUGAAAAUUGUAAGAGAAAUGUUAUUAACAAUUUUGUUGUCCAAAACCGUAUUUACUUACAUCGUAAAUACAAUUUUGUUUUUUUAUUAGUUUUCUAUCUUUCUCUAAAUCAAAUCAACAGCUAUAAAUAAUACAUUUUGAGAUGAUGUUAAAUAGUUGUCAAUUUUUAGAUGCUCAAAUAAAAUUCCUCAAAUAUAACGUGUCAAUAUUGUGCAGGUUGGUAUCCAUGGUGUUCCAGUUGAUACAGACACCAAAGUAACCAGGACCAAGGAAGAUGAGUGGGUCCCAGUUUGGAAUGAGGAGUUAAACUUUCCAUUAACUUAUCCAGAAUUGGCACUAUUACACAUUAAAGUUAUUGAACGUGACUUUUCUGGACAACAUGAUUUUGCUGGACAAACAUGUUUACCUGUAUCAGAGUUAAGAGAAGGAAUUCGUUGUGUUCGUUUGUGUAACCGCAAAGGUGAACCUUAUAAGCAUGUUAGGCUUUUAAUCCAAUUUCGAUUUUCUAAUCACUAGUAGUGAAUUUGUUUGUGUUUGUAUUAUGAAAGAUAUAAACACAUGUAAAUAUAAAUAAUUAGUACAAUUACGAAGAUAUGGUAUGUUCGGUUCGUUCCUACGCAAGAAUUUCUCGUGUAUUAGUACGGAAUAUAUCAAAGAUAUCCUCCACAUAUAGAAGUCACUAAAGAAUGAUUUCUCAUCCCUCUUCAUUAUGUAAACAAAAUUGGCAUACAUGCUUCUCAAAAAAUCGGUUUUCGAACAAAACUCACUAAACCAACGAUACCAGUACUUUGAAAUUUGUUUCAACUCAUACAAAUAUUUCUUCAAAAGACCCACCGUAGAUUUAUCCUCUACAAAACCUUUUGGUUGCUCUAUGUAAAUUGUCUCUUCAAGGUCUCCAUGUAAGAAAACCGUUUACGUAUCCAUUUGUUCCAACUCAAAAUUGUAGAUUAAUAAUUGCCGUAAGUACCCGUAUGAAACAAUGAUUUACGACAUAUAAGAGAAUCUCUUUGGAGUCAAUCCCCUCAACUUGAGUAAACCAUUUGUCACAAGCCUUAAUUGGUUCUUCGAUCGUUGAAUCACCUUUAUUCUUUAAACAAUGAGUUUGAACUUUUCUUUCAUGAAUCUUAGCAAGUCUUUUUUUUUUAUAUCAUAUCCAUUUUUUUUAAAUAGAUCAAAUAUAUCCCCGGAUCCUUUAAAUUUCAUGUUUGUUUCAGACAGAUCCUUUAAGUUUCUAAAAUUUCAGGCCUUUUAAAUACAAAUGUUAGUAUUUUCUCGAUUAGUAGGAUUCAAAUCUUUGAACCUUUAAUUAACUUUUUAUCCAACCUCUUAAUUUCUUAGCUCAACCAAAUUACACAUCCCCGGUAAUAUCCAUGUUUUUUUAGUAUCACGUCUUAUAUUAUUAUUAUUAAGAGUAAUGAUAUUUGAACAACUAUUUUAAAAUAAUUUUUGGGACAAUCUUGUUGUUCUUUUUUCAAUGGUCAAAAACAAAAGAGAAAGAAAAAGUAAGAGAGAGAAUAAAAAUAUAAUGUGAAUAUGAGAGAGAAAAUUGUACAAAAAUUAUACAAAAAUGAUUGUACAAAUAUCAUUUCUAUUAUUAAAGUUGACUGAAAUGGCUUUUUAGUGAACAAAUAAUAGCAAAAGACAAAAGGGUGAGUUUCGGGUAAAAAGGUCCUUGUAGACUCAAAAGCGAGAAAGUGAUAUCUUUUAACUUAUUUUGAUUAAGUGGGCACGGCAUAGGUCUGUUUAAGCUCAGCCACCGAGACAGAAAGACAAGACAAGCACUAACAAAUAUUUGAUCAAAGAAAAUCAAUGUAAAUUACUUUUCAUUUUUAGGAUACAGUUUAUGUUUGACUUGGAUCCAUUAACCUUGAAGAUCAAUUCUAUCAUCUCCACUAACAUGGAUCAAUCAACUAAAAUCAAUGUAUUUAAUUUGAUAAUAAAGAUUGAAUAUAUUAAGUUUUUUUCUCUCUCUUUAUUUACAAAAUAUACGGUUCACACUAAUGAAGAUAUUAUCAUAUCUCUUAUAAAAAUUACUUAAAUUUGAGCAAAACUAUUUAAAUAUAGUAUUUUCUUCUACUUUUAAAGAAAAUAUGUAAAUCUCCGUGAUCUUAAUUCAAUUGUUAGAAAUAUUACAUUUUAAAUGCAUGGUUUAUAUAUGAACCUUGGAUUUCCCACUUGUUCACCUUAUAAAAUAGAGAAUCUAACUACUUGACUACUUACCAAAAAUAAAUAAAUAAAUAAAAUACCAAAAACCUCGUGUUUUUUUUAAGGAAAAACUCUCCUAUUUUUGGUGAAUACAUAUACUCUCAUUUAUUUGUAAAAGUGUAACAUUAAUUAUUAUUAUUGUUGACAAGAAAUAAGCUUCAUUCAUUGAAAUACUAAAAUAGUAACAAUACAAUCAAAAGGAUCAUACGUUGGGACAUUUCUCAUCCAUAUAUUAGGAAUUAUUAAGAUAGUUAGAUAGAUGCUAAGGGUACAUUAUAAACUUUCAAAAGGCAUUAAUGCAAUAGCAAAACAAACUUCAAAUCUUAACAACCAAGCUAAAUUCUUACUCCUAUGACCAUAAGUCAAUAAUAAAUCGAGAUUCACGUAAUCCAACUUCAGAAAAAGAUAUUUGCAGGUGUUUGCACAAAUCGAUUAUUUGUGAUCUUUUAUAUGACCAAUUCUACCACAUAUUGACAAUACAUUUGUGUAAUUGAAAGGACCUUGAAUUUAGUGAUAGACGUUAUAAACCCCCUACUCGAAAUAGAGUACCUUUGAAGCGAGUCAUUCUCAAGCAUUUUAGCAAACAUAUAAGGUGCAAACUUGAAGCAAAUUAAGCAGAACAAUGAAAUAAAUAAGGGUAUUGUUAACAAGUGCCCUCGGGGCACUCUUUAAGCAUCCCAAAUUUAGUAACUAUUUUUUUAAAAAGUCAACAAUUACAAUUUCCAAUGCAUUCAAUACACAACUUUUCAUUAAAAACUUACCACUUAAAGUGUUUAAAGAGUGCUCCGGGGGCACUAGUUAACAUUUCCCAACAAAUAAAACAACCACAAAGACUUUGAAUCUCAAACCCAGUGAAGAUAAUAGAGUAGACCAUGGUGGCUUUCAAGGGGACCGUUUAUACGACUUUUUCACUUGAGAUAAUAGCCAUAACAGCUAGAUACAAAGGACGUGGUGGACGAUCCGUCGUAGGAACGCUUGAAUGAGGCGUGUAGGAAUUGAUCUCAUCGUCAUAGCACAACGAGGGAAAGCACAAAAAGAUAGUCAGAACAUAUUUCACGAGAAAGCGAACGAUGGUAUAAAUGGAUGGGUUGCGAGUGAAGGCGAUUAAAGCCAGAUAUUUACUUUUUAUCUUUUUUAAUCUCUUAACUCAACUAAAUGAGUUACUCAUGCCUAAAAUUUAUGGGUUGUAAUUCAUAUUCAUAAUAUGAGUAAUGCAAAGGGGAAUAGGAUAAAAAGUUAUGUAAAACCUUUAUAUAAGAAAAAAAAUUAGAGUGCAGAGACAUCAUCGUUCCAAGGUAAACUUGUCACCCAUACUUCAUUAUCACACUCAAGAAUGAUGCACAAUAUAUUCUACAAAAUAUACCUGCAAAAGGAUGUACAUAAAAGCUAUGUGUAGUAGUCACAAAGGUACUAAAGAAAGGCAAUGGAAUAGGAAACAUAACAGGGAACUCACUUAUUUCCCUUCCACAUUGAAAGAAUCUAUACCCACCAUCUGUUUGAUUAUGAAUAGCCAAAGUUAAUGGUCCCACACCACUCAAACUAAUCUAUCCCACCAUAAUAUCAACCCCAGAAAUAAAACACACACAAACAAAUACAAUACAAAUGUCAAAAAACACAUCAUAAUCUAAUCUGCCACAUCACCACCAUCAUCAUAAAAAAGAAGAAAAAAUGCAUCCAAAACCAAAUUGGAUUUCCAACUGUCACUAACUACUCAUCCUCACCAACUAGUAGAACAUCUCUAAAACAUCUGAUCUCAAUCAAACAAUCGAUAAAAUAAGUUAACUUUAACUUUUAUUCAAAUUAAAAUUAUCAAAUUUAAAAUUUAAAUUGUCCGAUCUCAAUCAAACUAUCACCGAUCAUCUGACUAAAUAAAUGCGUACAGUCAAUGACAAAGAGAGGAUCACCACUAAGACCAACCAAAAAUAGAGUCACUCUUGGGAGUCUUUUCUCCCUCUUCUCCUCUUGUUGUCAUAACCUGAUAAAUAAUCACUCCAAUUAUAUUUCCACACUAUGAACAAGUAAAGUAAAACCCAAACUAAAUAAACCCUCAUACUAAUUUAUUUCUUCAAUCAUCAUCAUCAUCUCUUCACUAAAAUCCAAACCCCAAAACCUGGUACCUUACAUACACAUAUACAUAUAUCAAUAUUCAAUUCAAUACUAUAGUAUAGUAUGAUAUGUCAUAAUAAAAUAUAAUAUUACUAUUAUUGCUAUUGUGUUAUUUUAUUUUUUAUAUAUGGUUGCCGGCGAUGCCGACGCCGGUAAGCUCCGCUCGUCAAUUCCUAACCGACGAAGCGGCGCGUGCCCUCGACGACGCAGUAGCCGUCGCACGCCGUCGCAGCCAUGCACAAACAACCUCCCUUCACACCAUCUCCGCCUUACUCUCCCUCCCAUCUUCAUCCCUCCGCGACGCCAUCUGCCGAGCUCGAACCGCCGUUAGAUUCCCGUCAUUCUCGCACCGUCUUCACCUCCGAGCACUUGAGCUCUCCGUCGGCGUAUCCCUCGACCGCCUCCCGUCGUCAAAACCAUCUCCGGUAGAAGAGCCGCCGGUUUCGAAUUCUCUCAUGGCGGCGAUCAAAAGGUCUCAGGCGAAUCAACGCCGGUCGCCGGAGAGUUUUCAUUUCUACAACCAUAACGGAACGACGCCGUCUUUGUUGAAAGUUGAACUGAAACACUUCGUUCUAUCCAUUCUUGAUGAUCCUAUAGUGAACCGUGUUUUCUCUGAAGCUGGUUUUCGUAGUUGUGAUGUUAAACUUGCUUUACUUCAACCACCGGUUCAAUCAUCAUCCCGGUUUUUAUCCUCUCCGCCGGUUUUUCUUUGUAAUCUUGAACCGGGUCGAACCGGGUUAACUCCUUUUCCUUUAGGGGUUGAUGAGAAUUCAAGAAGAAUAGCUGAGGUUAUAGCAAUGAAAGGUAAAAAGAUGAAUCCUUUGUUGAUGGGUGUUUAUGCAAAAGAUGCUUUUAGAAAUUUUGUUGAGUUGUUACAAAAGGGUUUAGGUGGUGGUUUGUUUCCACCUGGGAUGUCUGGUUUGAGUGUUGUGUGUGUUGAAAAGGAGAUUGUCGAGUUUGUUAAGGAUGGUGGGAGUGAGGAGAAGAUGGGUUUGAGGUUUAAGGAAGUGGGGUGUGAGGUGGAGAAAUGUUUGGGUGCUGGUGUUGUUGUUGGGUUUGGAGAGAUUGAGGUUUUGGUUGGGGAUGAUGUGGAUGGUGGAUGUAUUAAGUUUGUUGUGUCGGAGUUGGGGAGAUUGUUGGAGGUUUAUGGUGAGAAGGUUUGGUUGAUGGGUGUGGCUGAAACGUCGGAGGCUUAUUCGAAGUUUUUGAGGUUGUUUCCGGGUGUGGAGAAGGAUUGGGAUUUGCAUUUGGUUACUGUGACAUCUGCUACUCCUUCAAUGGAAGGACUCUACUCUAAAUCCAGGUUAGUUCUAUCUAUGAAGCACAGGCGCGGACCUGUCCGGACACCAGACACAACACUUGACACGUAGAUACUGAUAAUAAUUUAAAAAGUUGAAAGUGAUUAAAUGUAAUCACAUGUGACCAUGUACACAUGUUAGACACCAGCCACAUUGAAUUGAAGAGUAUAGAUGUCUAUUGGUUGUGGUUUGUACUUGUCAUGAUUUUGGUUGAAGUGUACACAUAGGUACUAUGCAGGCCUCUUAUAGGUUCAUAUACGCACACAUAUAUCAAUAUACAUUUAUGAAAACAUAUCAGAAUCAUCAUGUAUUUAAGGCAAUGCAUAUUUAGAAUGGUAAGUGAGAUCAUAGAAAAAUUAAUGAAUAUGAUUGUGACUUGGUUGUGUUUGUUAAUUUGUGCCAAAGGUUAUGGGUUUUUGCUAUUUUUGGUUACUCUCUUCUGACUUCUGUCUUCCUUAUUAAUCUUUCCCUCUUGCUUUUUUGGAAGGGUUGUUUGGUAGAAGUGGAAUUUUUAUGAACAAGUUAUUAUACUUUAAUCUCCCUUACUCAAUUCAAACCUCUAUUAUGUUUUUACUUUUUUCUUUUUUCAAUAGUAAAAUGAAAGUUAGUCCUUGUAAUUUAAGGUACUACUUGUUGGCAUUGUCAAAGUUGUGAUUUUAAGCAUGGAUUGCUAGAAAGUUUUCUUUUUUCAAACUCUUAUUGUGAGCCCAAAAAAUUCAUUAGUCUGUUGUUAUAUACAUACAUAUUGGCUACGAUAUACUUGAUUUUCGUAUACGGUGCUUUUAAGUUACAGGUCUCUCUUACUGUGUGCACUUUAGCUUCUGACUAUUGUACCGAUUGUAUCUCACAGUUCCAUGCUCAUGAUAAACUUACAGUUUGAUGGGGUCCUUUGUUCCAUUUGGUGGAUUCUUUUCUACACCUCCUGAAAGCAAAAGUCCCAUUAGCUCUGCAAAUGCAUCAUUUACUCGCUGUGACAAAUGCAAUGAAAAGUAUGAACAAGAAGUUGCUGAUGCUUUUAAGGUAGAUCCUGCUACUCUGGCAUCAAAUUACACAACAAGCUUGCCUUGGUUUAAAAAGGUUGUUGAUGUGGAUACACAUGGAGGACUUGAUGUGGCAAAGGUUUGUUAUGAUCGCCAAAUCUUAGAUAUUCUUGUCUUGUGCAUACUUGGCAUUCACAUGCAUACACAUAAUGUGUGCAACAUGGUGGGGGCAAUUAUUGUACUAAUCUACUUAAAUAAUUUAAGGGUAUAAAUAAUGCUAGAUUUCCUAUACUGGUUAAAGUAAUUUGGCUGCCCUAAAGUGAGAAGUCACUUUAGAGUGUGAAGUAAGUAAUUAUAUUUAUAGGCAUUUAUUUGGAAAUCAAUGGUUGAGUUUGUGAUCAUAUGCAUGCAAGUGUUUGACAAACUAUGAAGUUUAUAUGCCAAUUAUUGAUUUUAGAAUCAAUAGCUAGCUUAUUUAACCCUCCUAAGUGACUCAUUCACUUUAAAGAAGCCAAAUAAGGUAACAAAAACCUUUCCAAUCAAUAAAAAAGAUGGAAAUUUGAUGAUUCGUUUGUAAAAACCAAAUAAAAGAAUAAUGUUUCUCUUUUAUUUUCUCCCUGUGAAUAUUCUUUUGCUGAGCCUAUGGGCUUACGAUGAUCAAAUUUAGAUUUAUAUCAAACAUGUUAUAUCAAAUAAUGGGCAUGGAUAUCUAUUCAACAUCCACUAGUAUAGUGACCUAUAUUUUUUUUGAAGAAGCUAAAUUAGCCCACCUAAAUUAGCACCGGGGGAAUCGAACCUGAGACCUCAAGGAGGAGCACACUCCCAGGUCACAAGCCAAUACCACCAAGCCAACCCAAGUGGGUUUAUAGUGACCUAUAUUAGUUUUGGUUAUACCAUAUAAAUCUGCAGUUGCUGAAAUGACUUUUUUGCUAUCAGUAUUGGGACACAAGAAAAUCAUAUAUUUUCUUUAUAACUCUUAAAACAUCUGCAAGUUAUUCUAGAAUGUUAACCUAUAAAAUGAUUUGGAGUUCUAUUUUUCUCACGAAGAACCGUAAGAUUUUGUUUCUUGAGUUUAUAACUCUUAACAUCUGCAGGUAAAUGAAGAAAAUACAAGCUUGAAUGAUAAGAUAUUGGGAUUUCAAAAGAAAUGGAAUGAUAUUUGUCAACGUCUUCAUCAAGCAAGGUCUCAUGUCCCAUCACUUGAAGUUUUACGGUUUGGUUCAGGUUUUAACGAAGGCAGCAGUAAAGAUUCAUCACUUAAUGAACUCCAACGUUCUAGUCCAUUUUCCUACAUGCCUAAAGAGUUGCAUGGUACUUUUCCAUCAAAACAUUUAUCACCCACUCCAGUACAUACUGGUAGAGUUAGUGUCAAUGUUGGAACUGAUCGUGUGCCGAAAGUUACAGAGACUCAACAAAAUGACAUGACGACUCCUUGGCUCGCCCCUUCACGUAUGGCCAAUAUGAGUGUACUGGAAAACAAAUCAUCUUCAUCCCUUAUUCCUGUGACCACAGAUUUAGGAUUGGGAACGUUAUAUACAUCAACACCAAUUGCUCACAAGCCAGAUACUUCAGAAUUUCAAGAUAAAAUAAAGCAUUUUGAGCACUUUCCAGAGUCUACUUCAGCUGAUUCUGUUGCUGUCAAUGGAAAUACAUCACAUAAGAUUGCUAGAUCCUCCUUCCCGGCUUCAAACAUGGCAACAAAAUUUGAUUCAGUAGAUUUCAAGUCUCUUAAUAAACUUCUCUUUGAAAAGGUUGGCUGGCAGAAUCAGGCGAUAUGUGAUAUCAACCGAACUCUGUCCCUUCAUAAAUCCGGUGAAGGGAAGAGCAGAGACUUGCAUGGUAGAGCAGACAUAUGGUUUGCUUUCCUAGGACCAGAUAGAAUUGGAAAAAAGAAAAUUGCUUCGGCACUUGCAGAGACUAUAUUUGGAAAUACAGAAAGCAUCAUCUCUUUGGAUCUCGGCUUCCAAGACGGGCUUUACCCACCGAACUCGAUUUUCGAAUGCCAAAAGUCAUUAUGUUAUGACUUGUUUAUAAGGAAAACAGUUGUGGAUUAUAUUGCUGGGGAGUUGAGUAAAAAUCCUCAUUCCGUUGUCUUUCUAGAAAAUGUAGAUAAAGCUGAUUUUCUGGUGCAGAGUAGUUUGUUGCAGGCAAUAAGAAGAGGUAAAUUUCCAGACUCGCGUGGAAGGGAAAUAAGCAUCAACAAUGCAAUCUUUCUUUUAUCCUCGACUGUCUGUAAAGGCAACGGCUCUUCUGCUUUGGUGGAAGGCAACUUAUUUUCUGAAGAAACAAUACUUGAAGCCAAAAGAUGUCAAAUGCAAUUACUACUCGGAGAUACAUCUGAGGAUGCCAAAAGAAGCUUUAGUACAAAUGUCAAGAUUGUGCGGAGGAAAGGGUUUUCCAAACCAUCAUUUAUGAAUAAAAGAAAACGAGCUGAUACUAGUGACUUCAAAGAGGGAGCAGCAAGCAAGAUGCAAAAACAGGUUUGCGAGACAUCGAUGUCCUGUCUGGAUUUAAAUAUGCCUCUAGACGAGGGUGAAGAAGGUAUGGACGAGGACAACAAUGACCAUGAACGCGAUUUUGUAGUGGAAAACUCAGAUUCCUGGUUUAGUGAUUUCUGCGAUAAAAUGGACGAAAAAGUGGUUUUCAAGCCAUUCGAUUUUGAUGCACUUGCUGAACAAUUACUAAAAAGCAUUAGCAUACAAUUUGAAAAGGCAUUUGGUUCAGAGUUUCAGUUGGAAGUCAAUUAUGAGGUAAUGGCACAGAUACUUGCCGCUGCUUGGUUAGCAGACAAGAAAGAUGCAGUGGAUAAUUGGGUUGAAAGUGUACUUGGCAAAGGCUUCUUUGAAGCUCAGCAGAAAUACCACCCUGUAACUAAAUAUGUUGUGAAACUAGUUAACUGUGAAUCUAUUUUUGUCGAAGAACCUGAUCUUGGAGUAUGCCUUCCUGCUAGCAUUAACUUGAAGUAAAUUUUGGCUUACUAUUUAGUAUUAUUGUAAUUACUUGUAAAAUGUAGCUUUUAGAUAUAACAUAUGGUAGUUGGUAGCAUUGUUCAGCUUAUUAAUCUCACAUUUUUUGUUGUGCUGAUCAUCGUGUUGUAAGUUUUAUGAUGAUAAAAGAAUGUGUAGUUUUCUCUGGUAUAAUACCUAGUUAACAUGUAUUUUCUCUGUAUAUUUCUUUAUACGUUAUUGUGCUCUAAUAUAUUUGUUUGCAGAGGUUUGCUAUUUGAACACGAUUUUUGGACAAAACACAAAUAAAAAAUACUUAAACACACACAUAGAUAAGAAAAAUUAAAAGAUAAAAGUGAGAAAUGAUGUGACUAAUCUAUUUCUUUUUCAAUUUGUGUGUUCAAAUAUUUUUUAUUUGAAGUUGUGACUAAAUAAGAUUUGUUCACCUAGCAAACACAAAAAGGGAAUUGUACGUUCUAGUUGUGCGUUCUGUUAUCGAGGUGGGUGAAAAUGUUAAUAAAAAAUUAAAAAAGAUAUAGAAACCGUUUUGUUAUACGGUGUGGUUGUUGUGAUUUGUGUUCACAAAUAAUUCCCGUAGUUUGAAAUUGUUAUACAUUAUUGUACCUAAAAAAAUAUCUACUUAUUCCGAUGGUUGAUAUUUGUUCUGGUUACAAUUUUUUUUUAGGUUUAAUUGUUCUUUUGUCCCUUAAUUAUUUAAUUGGUAUCGCUUUGGUCCCUUAAAAAAAAAAAGAUUGUUUGAGUACUUUAAGUUUUUUUUUAGUCUCGUUUUGGUCCCUUCUGUUAGGUUUCCGUUUGGGUUUUAAAAAAAAGUUAACUCCUGGACACGUGUCACCUUGUCAUUGGCUCUGAGUUUUUUUUUUUACAAAAAAAAAAUUAAUUAUUUUUUUUAAAAUAUAUAUAUUUUUUUAAAAAAAAUCCCAAAGCCAAUGACAACGUGACACGUGUCCCAGGGUUAACACGUGUCACCUUGUCAUUGGUUCUGGGAAUUUUUUACAAAAAAAUAUAUAUAUAUAUAUAUAUUAAAAAAAAUUAAUUUUAAAAAAAAUAUAUAUAUAUAUAUAUAUUUUUGUAAAAAAAAAAAAAAAAAAAAACCUCAGAGCCAAUGACAAGGUGACAUGUGUCCACACUUAACGUUUUUUUUAUUAAAACUAACGGAAACCUAACAGAAGGGAUCAAAACGAGACUAAAAAUAAACUUAAAGAACUCAAACAAUCUUUUUUUUAGUUAAGGGACCAAAGCGAUACCAAUUAAAUACUUAAGGGACUAAAAGAGCAAUUAAGCCUUCUUUUUAUAUUGAUAUAAAGGGGAUGUGCUUAGAGUAGUAGCCGUCCAAAUGUCGAAAUGAAGUAAAUCAUCCUCACGACUAGAUACAUAAGGGUUGUUGGCGAUGGGAUAAAUACUUUUUUGGACGGAUCCUUGGGUGGGUCGUAGCCCUAUGUGUGACAGAUACAAACAUUUAUAUGAUUUAUUAGAAAAUUAAUUGACGGAGAAGGUUGUUCGCGCGAGAAAAAGAGAUGGAAGGGGCAUGCUGUGCUUUGCUUCAAAAUAUUGUUUUCCAGGUUGGCAUGGUGGAUAGAUAGGAAAUGACAUUUAGAGCCUACCAAUAGUUAUACAAUUAGCGGCAUUAUCAAUUGUUAACGAAUGUGGAACCGACUGCUCAUUUAGCUAUUAUUAUUUGGCAUAAAGUAGUUCUCUUCUUUUUUUUGGCAGUUUCUCUGCAAUCAGAUUUCAAUUAAGGAUAGCUUAAUCUGGAGAGGCAUCCUUCAACAUGAUUCUUAGUAUUGUGUGAGUGGUUGGGGUUUAGAUGGAAUGUUGAACAUCUUUUUUGGAGGUUUAAUUACUUCUAGAGUAUUUGGUCUCUUCUUCGACAUUGGAUUGACAUUUGCUCGUUUGAUCCGCUUCGAUUAUCAAACCACUUUCUUCAAUUAGGUCAUACAUACGGAUCUUCUAAAUCACUUCAAACUUUUUUUUUCUUUGGUUAAUUUGAUUCUCGUGCGUUUGGAUGAAUUGAAAAGAAAUGAAUAAUAGAAUUUUUUUUCAUAAUGAGGAAGAAUCGUUACAACAAUUGUUGGACAAAAUUAAACCCCUCUCUUUUUGGUGGUCGAAAGCAAAAAAAAACACUACAUUUGUUUUUGAUAAUUAUAAUUGGUGGCUUAAUCCUUUACUUUGCUUGAUUUUGACGCGUAACUUUUCUUUUUUAGCUAUGUUUUAUCUAUUUUGACAGUGUAACUGAUUAUUAAAUUAUGUGUUCGGUUCUGAAACUUUUUAUGUUGGGUAGAAUGAUUUGUUCGUAGUAAUAUAUUCAAUUUUGCUUGUUCAAAAAGAAAAGAUCUAUUUAUUAAUAUAAACAAUACUCAUACGUGAUAUAUAAUAACAAAAGAUAUAUUUUUGGAAAGGUAUAGAGCUCUUACUUUAGCAACCUUUCUUCGAGUCCGCUAUGCUCUAGAGGUUAUCUUUAGUCAAUAAAAAAAUCUUUUUUCAAUUUUUUUUUGAAUAAUUAAUGUAUUUAAAUGAGAUAAUAAAUUAUUCAUUUGUUUAUAAAAAUGACCGAAUAUAAGUUAAGAAGCACCCCUAAAAAAAUAAAAAGAAGUGCUUUGAACUGAUUCAUAGGAGGCCAUCAAAUAGAAAUUUGUGAUAACUUUAGAAACGACAAACAACAAGAGUAUGGGGGAAGCUCACAUAUGAGCCAAAAAACUUAUCAACGUCAAAGAUCUUAAAGAAAACACCAAUGUCCCUCUCAUCACUCGAUAACUUCAAGAAUACUUGUCGGACUUUUCUUAAAUAAUUACUACUAAAAUAUAAGCAAAAUUCAUUUUUUAAAUAUAUUUAUUUAAUAAUGUAUAUGGUUCAUAAUAUGAACCACAUACAUCAUUAAAUAAAUGAAAAUUAUCUUUCAUUGAAUUCUUCCAUCGACAUAUUAACAUAUUUCCUCCAUUUUUAAUUAUAGAUAUUUUAAGAAAACAACUUAUUUUGAUUAAACUCUUUUAUUUAUCUGUUAAUUUCAAAUUUUAAGUUUAAUUAAGGUCUCUCUUAAAAAUAAAAAUUCAGUUCUUUUUUAUUGAUAUAUUUUUUAAAUUAUCCUCGAAUUCAUCAAUUAUUUUAUAUUUACCUUGACGAAAAUAGAGUUAACUCACUAUUAAAAAGUGAAGAUAUAUUUAAAUUUAAAUCUCAAUCAGAAUUAUUUUUGAAGUUUUCUGUUUUGAAAGAUUUUUUUGUUAAGUUGUAUACUAUAUAUUUUCUAUACCAAUGUAUAAAAUACCUCUUUUUUUUAUAAAAAAAAAAUACCGUAUAGUUUUUUAUGAUAUAAAAAAUUGUAUAAAUAAUAAUUUUUUGUCAAAAUGACAAACACCACUAAAACUCUUACUAGAAAAAGAAGAAAACACCAAUAAUACUCACACACGCAAUUUCAUAAUCUCUGAUUCAAACACGAAUAAAAAUGUUCAAGUUAAUAAUAUCAGAAUAAACAACCGAAAUAAGUAUACAACUGUAUCUGUAAAAAAAUACUCCAUCUAUCACAAUGAGUGGUGAAAAAUAUUAUCGAAAAAUGAGUGACCCUUUUGAUUUUUAAAGACAAUAUUAAUUAUGUAUUUUUCAAUUUAAAUACUUACACCAAUACAUGAUAAACGAUAGACAUGACAAUAGGGCGGGGUGGGAACGGGUUUUACAUUCCCCGUUCCCAUAUCCGAUUCUCAUAUACUUACCUGUUAUCUUACCUAUAUCCAAUAGGGAUGAAAAAUUGAACCCCAUCCUCGUCUCCGAUGGGUUCGGGUACAUCCCCAUCUCUGCAUUUAAUUAUUUUUUAAUAAAAAAUCGAAGUUUUUUUGUAACCUUAGAGAAAUGUUGUAAUGCAUUAUCCAACAAUAUGCUCACUUUAACAUUUGUUAGACUGAUCGAUUUAGUUGCUCCUUUAAAUAUAAAUGGUGGUUUUUAUAACACGGCAAUUAUCAAACAAAAUAACAUAGCAUAUCAACAUAAAAUAAUUUUAUGCAUUCGGGACGGGUUUGAAUAUGGGUUCGGGAUGGGUACCAAUAUACCCGUUGUUGAAACAAAAUGUGUUUAGCAAUAAUAAUCCUUAAGAGUUUUGAUGAUAACAAAGUAUUAAAAAUUGUCAAUUGGAUAUGCUAGUAUUUGUUCAAGUGUCAAUUGGAUAAGCAAAAAUUUGACAUCUUAAAAUGGUAUUGGAAGAACAAAUAAAGAGCAAAUACAUCAACAAAAAGGGAAGCUUAAAGCGUCUGAAGAAAACUGCUCCUGAAGUUUGAAGUGCUCCUGAAGUGAUGACGUCAUUAGAAGCAAGUUCAUCAGAAGCUGUGAAUCACCAGAAGCUGCAGUUCAUCAGGAGAUGCAACUUAAAGCUUCAAAAGUUGUUUCAAGUAUAACAACGACUAUUUUGAAAGGAUUGAAGGGCAUUUGAUGCUUAUUCUUCAAAGAGCGUUGACAUAGUACGUUUGUACGAAAUGUACAACCACUAUCUCCACUACUCUGUUUUUGUCUCUGCUACAAGACAAGAAAAACAGCUCUGCCUGCAACAAUGUUCCUUCACAUUGGGAACACAUUUGAAAUUGAUCCUUCAUAGGACAAUAACCAUAUCAGGCAAAUGAUCAUUAGUGAUUUAUCAAAAGCUUCAAACGACUCUAUUUUAAAUGUGCUGGCAAUUCAACGUCUCUUUACACCGCUAUAUAAAGGAGUGAAGACUUAGAGUUUCACAAGAACAAUACGAAGCAUUAGCUAAGCCAAAACUCUGUUGAAAUUGUUCUACACUUCAAAGUUCACUUAGAAUUUCUCAUCAAAGCUCAUAUCUUAGAAAUUCUAGAGUCUUUAGAGUCUGUAUCUGAUUUGUAUUGUGAAUACCACUGAUUGUAUAUCAAGUGUUCAACUUCAAACAAUUUUCUUUGUAAUUCUGUUUGAAUUAAGAAGUCUCUUGCAGUUGUGCUUGAGCAAUAGAAGUCUCUUGAUUGUGUUCAGGAGCAUAGGAAGUCUCUUGCAGUUGUGCUUGAGCAUUUGAAGUCUCUUACUAAGUUUAGUAGUGAGCAUUUGUAAUCAGAUAUUACAUAGUGAACUCUCCUUGGAAAUGCAAGGGGGACAAGACUGACUUCCGGUUUGUGGAAGGAACCUGUAUAAAUUGCUUGUGUCUUUCUUCCCUCUCUCUCUCUCUCUCUCUCUCUCUCUCUCUCUCUCUCUCUCUCUCUCUGUUUUUAUCCGCUGCAAUUAGUUCUAAACAUCUCUUCAGAAGCAGAACUCUAUCUGCUUCUGAUCUGUAUUUUCAGUUAGGAGAAAAAGAAGAAAAAGCCAACAGAAUUUAACCCCCCCUUCUUGUGUUUUUCUCACCUUCACCCGUUAACCGUCCCAUACUCGUGUUUUGAAAUCGGGGAAGUCCAAACCCAGAAUUGCCUAAUAAACGAUAAUUUAAUAAAAAAGAAAGAGAAAUGCAAACUUGUGCCCUUAAGGCACAAGUUAAAAGCUAAAUAUAAAAUUAUUUUUUUAGAAAAUUGUGUAUUCAACACUACAAAAGUUUAAACAUUUAUAAUUUAAAUAUAAAAUUUAUUGCUUAUUUCUUUUUAUAGCUCCUUAACUUGUGCCCCAAGGGUACAAGUUAGCAUGAUCCAAAAAGAAAUGAUAACAAAUACUAUCUCCGUCCUUAAAUAUAAAUAUAAUACGAUUUUGGAAUUUUUUUUGUCUCUUUUUAUAAGACUCCUUUGAUAUUUGUAAGUACAUUAAUUAAUUCUUUACCAACAAACCUCUAUUUAUUUUAUAUAUCUUUUUCUUCGAUCAACAUUAAAUACUAUGUUGAAAACAUACACUAAUCCUAUCUUUUAAAAUAUAAAAUUGUAAAACAAUAGCAAUUACAAAUAAAUUUAUUAACACUUUCAAUUUUCUUAAUUCCUGUUAUUUUUCUUAUAUAUUCCUAUAAGAAAGAGAUAGUAUCCUUAUACAUUGUUUAAAGAGAUAAAAGAAGUAACUUUUGUAUAAAAAUUUGUGUAUUUAUCUAUACAAAUGAUUAAUUGAAUUGGUUAUUGUGAGAUGGCGGAGGUAAAUGAUUUAUGGAGUUAGGACAUAUACCAUAAAGUUGGAGAACUAACCGCUCACUUGAUCAGUGUGCGGAGGCAAACAAAUGAGGUAAACAUAUUAAUUAGCUAAGACGACCAUAUUAUCAGCUAAUUUUUAGUUAUUGAUUAGCAUAUCAGAUUAUAUUAAACACAUACUAAUGAAAUGCUAUAAAUUUAUUCCUCUAAAAAAAACAACAGUUCACUUGAUCAGGAUGACAGUCCAAUAAAAGAGGUUCUGAUAGGGGUAGAGUACAACUGUGAGCUUGUGAUAAAUGACAAAAGGUGACGGGUAGCAUUUGGGUGAUAUAGAGUUGGGUGACAUUGGUGAUAUUGACCAAUCACAAUGUCACAAUGUUUAUGAAAAAGAGAGAAACACAAGCAUUGUGGCAUUAUGAUUGACCAAUAUCACCAAUGUCAUCCAACUCUAUGUCAUCCAAAUAUUUUCCUGUGACACCACAGAAACUUCUCCAAAACAUGAAAUCCAAAACGUGAAAGACGUGAGUUUCCCGGAAUAUCAAUGUUGGAUCGCUUUUCCUAGAUUACGAUUGACACGUGUGUAUCCACUAUUCGGAGAGCCUUUAGAUAUUGUGCGCAGCCCCGGGCCCACAUGCCUUUGUUUUCCACUACUUUUUUUCUAUCUCAUUUCCAUAUGUUUUCGUCAUUCCAUCUCAUUUUAAUAAUCGUUUUAAAGUUACAUCUGUCUUAAAAAUAUUAAUAAAAUUGAUUUUAAUUGUAAAAUUAGUAUGAUUUACUAAAAUGUUUGUAUUAAUUAUAGUUAAUGGAGUAAAAUUCAAUAAAUAAAUGUAUACUAAUGAAAAUAAAAAUAAAUGUUGCAUGAAUAUUCUAAAGUUACAAUUAUUUUAAGAUAUAAAAACUUUUUAAAGUGACAAUUAAAAUGAGAUAGAGGGAGUAUUGGGGUAAUAGUCUUUUUGUCCUUGAAUAUGUAAUGGGUAGCUAGUGUCACAAUAGUUCUUCAAUGUAUCAAAAUUUUAAAACAGUCUCUGAUUGUGCACUUCGUUCCUCAAUAUAUCACAAUAAAUACUUAUUUAUUGUCAUUUAAGUCUUUACAUAAAAAGAGUUAUCGUAAGUAUUGAGAUGUUAUUUUAGUGUCAGUGACUAAUUUGACUAACAAAGAACACAAUCAAAGACUAUUUUAAAAUUGCAAUGCAUUAAGGGAUUAUUGUGACUACUACUUACACAUUCAGAUAUCAAAAUAACUAUUACAUCGAGAAAUAUUUGCAUGCUGCAUGUCACAUGACUUACAUAAUAGACACACAUCAAUGUACAAUUUAAAUAUUUAAUAUUUUUUUGUUAUUUAUUAGAAAAAAUUAUAUAAAUUUGAUAUAUAUUUUUAAAAAAAAAAAGUCAAAUUAGCUCAUUGAAAUUAGAAUCAAAGGGAAUCGAACCUCAUGCAUUGAUAAGAGUACAUUUCAAGGUUCUAAGUCAAAACCAUCAAGCCAAUCCAAAAUGAGUUAAUAUUUAGAAAAUAUUUAUCGAGACAAAUUCAACAAUAUCUUAUAUGCUACCAUUUAUUUUUAUAUACUAUGUUUUUUUUUUAGAAAAUAUGGUUAAAGUAUUAGAUAUUAAUAUUACACAUUAUUAAUAAGGUCAUUGAGUUUCAUCAUCUUUGCUAUAUAGUUUUUUUUUUUGACGGUCCCUAUUUGUCUUGUGCCUGAACUUGAUCAUUAAUAAAUUUUACAGUUAAAAAUAUAUAUUUUAUAUGAUGUGGAGGGAAUAGUAAACAUCAUCUAAAACUUAAUAUUACAAAAUUUUGGAUUUAAAUCCGAUUUGACAUUGUCAAUUGUGCCAGGUCUUACAAAUUUGGUUGUUCAUUCUUGUUUUUUGGUUUUAUUUAUCUACUAAUAUUACAUCAAUUUUAAGAUUUAGUUAAAAACAAAAAUUUGUUAGACUUUAUUAUUCUCAUGUUUCACUUUCACAAGUUUCUGUCACGUAUAAAGAAACAUCCAACCGGGAAGUUAUAAACUUCAUACAAAAGAAGUACUACUAUAAUAUUUUAUUUUGAAAGAAGGACUACUAUAAUAUAUACAGCUCUAUUUGAAUUAGAAAAUGUUACUUAGGCCGAAAAAAUUCGCACAAAAUCUUCACGAUAGAUAUGAAUAAUGAAUAGCUAUUUAGCGGACAUUUUUGGUAUUUACUAGUGUGGAAAAAUGGGUCGUGCCUGAUUGGUCCGUUUAAUCCGACAUUUUAAAUGAAGGAUUUGAACUCGAUUAUUUAAGUUGAUCUACUCUAUUUCAUUUUUGUCGAAUUAAAAACGGGGCGGCCAAAACGGCCCGUGCCAUCCCCACUUUGCGAUCCUAGUAAUUACUUUUUCUCAUGUUUUAUGCUAGAUAGAAGAUACAACACUCUUGCUAAAAAAAAAUCCAACUCUCAUAAAUAAUUCAUGAUAAUAAUAUUCGUUGUGUCCCCGUGAGCAUAGCUCAGUUGACAAGGACAUGCAUUAUUAUACGUUGAGGUUGGGGUUCGAAUUUCGGACACCUCACUUAUUCACUUUAAAAAUGGUAAAUUCUAGCCACUUGAUAAAAAAAAAUAAAAAAUAUUCGCCGUAAAUUGCUUAUCUCUAAUCUCUUAUCUUUAUUCUUUACCUUAUCAAAUUAUGCCAAAAUUGACUUAGCUUUUGGAGUACCAUUUGCAUAAAUCUCAUCCUGUUUCAAUUGAGCCCCUUAUAGUAAACAGUGUGCUUAAUAUCUAGAUUAGUUGGUUCCUUCUAAAAGAAAAUCUAGAUUAGUUGGUCUUUGGUCCGUUACCAAGUUUAAUAAAGAAACGAAAGUUAAAUAAAAAAUUUAUCUUAAUUCUUUUUAAAAAAAGUUGUUUUAACUUUUACCUGUAUGACUUUUACCUUUGAUUCCAAAAUUUGUUUGUAUUAAUAGAUUAUUAUUAAUUAAAUAUUCCAAGUGGUAUAUGUGCGCCCAUAAAGAUUAUCAAAGUUUCUUUUAAAAAUUUGACUGUUUUUUUUAUUUUUUUGAAAGAAUUUUUUUGACUGUUAUAAAGCUAUAUAUACAGAAGUUUCUGUUUAAUAUAAGGAAUUAAUUGAUAUAAAAAUAUUUUCAACAAAAUGACAUUUUGACUUCUGAAAUAAAAAAAUACUAUUAUUUUUUCCAAUGACUUUCUCUUUGUUGAACAAUGACGUAUUAUAUUAUUCUUUAAUAGAAAAAAAAUGGACUUGGUAAAUUUUAUAUUUGUAUAUGGAAAAAAUUGAAUAAAUGGAAUUGGUAAGAGGAGAAAGUGGUGUCUAGUGAGUUCCACUUUUUUGACCAAAACCAAAAUGUAUUAGAAAAGUCUUCCACUCUUUCUAUUAACCUUUGCAACUUUCAUUUCUUCAUCACAAAAGCAACCAAAAAACCAGUCUUAGUUUCUUUGCUUCGUGUCUUGUCUCUUUGUUUUUUAAGGUACGCUUCUUUUCUUAUAUUUCUUGCAUGUUGUUUGUUUUCACUUCAUAAUGACGAGUUUAAAAUGGUUCCACUUCCUUUAUUAGUCUCUUUGAAUAUGUAAUAUGAUGUUUUUGGUUUGAUAGUUAAUUGAUGAAAGAAAAAACAUUGACCAUGUUAAUAAUUUUUAUUUUUAUUUUUCGUUUUGUUUUACCAUGGAAACAACAUAGGACAGGUUGUUUUCUGUUUUCUGUUUAGAUUUUGUUUGUAACGAUUUCUUGUUUCAUAUCUUACCUGUAUUCAUGAAAAUAUUUAUAAUGAUUGGUGUAUAACUAUAAAUGACAGAAAUUUUUGUUCAUCAAAAAAUAAAUAACUGAAAGAAUUAACAUUUUUCAAUUAAAGCAUAUGAUUGUUGUAAAUUUCAGGCUGUUCAUGAUUAUGUAAGUUUAAAGGUUUUUUGUUUUGCCAACAAUUACAUGCAUAGACAAAAUGGGAAAAUUUAGCCCUUUAAGUUGAUUUUAUCUGUUUUAACUUUGUUAUGUUAAACUGAGUUUUGUGGUUUAAAUUUGGAAAAAAAAUCAUGGUUGGUUCAUCAGCAUCUUCUUGAAUCUUUUUCUCUUGUGUGGUUUUUUCAGAAAUCUUCAUGUGCGGUGAUUCUAAGAAAAAAACUUGUCAAAAGGAUUUGAUUAUGGGUUGUGAGUUUGUGAAUGGGAAUAAAGAAGGGCAGUAUCAUGAGGUUUCUUAUUUGCUUGAAUUUUCAGCUGCAGAUGAUGUGAUUGGUUUCAAAAAUGCGAUUGAAAACGAGGGUUGUGAUGUUGAUGGGGUUGGUUUGUGGUAUGGAAGGAACGUUGGUUCAAACAAAUUUGGUUAUGAAGAGAGGACACCUCUCAUGGUUGCUGCUAUGUAUGGAAGUUUGGAUGUAUCGGCUUAUAUUCUUGGAACAGGUCGGGUUGAUGUUAAUCGGUCUAGUGGAUCCGAUGGUGCUACUGCUCUUCAUUGUGCGGUUGUUGGGGGUUCUGCUGCUUCCCCCAAGAUUAUCAAGAUUUUGCUUGAUGCAUCGGCGGAUGCUAGUGCUGUUGAUGCCAACGGUAGCCGACCCGUUGAUUUGAUUGUUUCUCUGGCCAAUUCUAUCUUCAAUCAAAGGAAGAGGAUGCUACAAGCUCUUUUGGAGGGGACAGGCGGUGCUGAUCAGACACAUCUUUUGUUUCCAGAGACAAUUGAUGACAUUGACGAAUAUCAAAGGCAAGAUGUAAACACACCUCGUGUUUCAAAAGAUUAUGCUGUUGAUGUCUCUCUUCCAGACAUUAAGAAUGGGAUAUAUAGUACCGAUGAGUUUAGGAUGUAUACAUUCAAAGUGAAGCCUUGUUCAAGGGCUUAUUCUCAUGAUUGGACCGAGUGUCCUUUUGUUCAUCCAGGGGAAAAUGCAAGGCGACGCGAUCCAAGGAAAUAUCAUUAUAGCUGCGUCCCUUGUCCUGAGUUUCGGAAAGGAUCUUGCAGUAAAGGAGAUUCUUGUGACUAUGCACACGGUAUUUUUGAGUGCUGGCUUCAUCCUGCGCAGUAUAAGACACGGCUUUGCAAGGAUGAGAGUUUGUGCAUGAGAAGAGUUUGCUUCUUUGCUCACAAGGUCGAGGAGCUUCGCCCCUUGUAUGCUUCUACCGGUUCUGCUAUUCCAUCUCCUAGGUCAUAUUACAGUACUGCUUCUACAUUAGAGAUGGGUUCAAUUAGCCCAAUGUCACUUGGUUCUCCAUCUGUUUUGAUACCACCCUCCUCAACGCCGCCUUUGACUUCAUCUGGAGCGUCGUCUCCCGUUGCUGCUACAGCCAUGUGGCAGACACCGUCUAAUGUUUCGAUCCCUACCCUUCAGCUUCCCAAAAGCAGGUUGAAGACUGGAAUGACCGCUAGAGAUAUUAAUUCAGAUAUUGCAAUGCUUAGGGUUGAAACUCAGCGGCGAAAGCAGCAACUACUGAUGGAUGAGAUGUCCGGUCUUUCCUCUCCUUCCAACUGGAAUCAUUCCAUGCCUAACAGUCCAUCUUUUCCGGUUUCUUCGACCAACCAUACCACCGGGGAACUAAAUAGGUUUUCGGGGGUGAAUCCUACAAACCUUGAAGACUUUUUCGGGUCUCUUGAUCCGUCAAUGUUGCAUAAAUUCCACGGAAUUUCACUUGAUUCUGCAGGAUCUCAGUUACAAUCUCCGACUGGAAUCCAAAUGCGUCCGAAUAUGAACCAGCAUCUGCAACAAAACUAUUCUUCAGGCCAUUCCACUUCCAGUGUGAUUGGAUCUCCGACUUAUAGGUUUCAGCCAUCCGGGGAGUUAUCCGCAUCGGCUUUGAAUGCAAGAGCUGCUGCAUUUUCAAAGCGGAGCCAGAGCUUUAUCGAGCGCGGUGUCACAAACCGUCAUUCUGAGCUUCAUUCUCCUGCUAAGCCUUAUGCUUUUUCUAACUGGGGCUCACCCGAUGGAAAUUUAGAUUGGACUUCACACGGAGAAGAACUGAAUAAGCUGAGGAAAUCAUCUUCAUUUGCAUUUCGAACCACCAGUACUCCUUUAACUCCAGCUGCAGCUAGGGCACAGGAAAAUGACUAUGAACCAGAUGUGUCUUGGGUUAAUACACUUGUAAAGGAUGCUACGCCGCAAGAAUCUCAUCAGUUUAGUGUUGAAGAUCAGAAAAGGAAACUGCAGCGCCAUCUUAACAAUGGAACAGAUUCGAUUCCGGCUUGGUUGGAGCAAUUGUACAUGGAUCAGGAGCAAAUAGUGCAGUGAAUGCAAUUUUAGAAGUUACUCACAAUGUUUUGCUCCUUUUUCGCAACUCUCUCAACUCGGCUCUUAAUUCAUUUUAUGAUUUUUUUGAAUCUUAUAGAAUUUGUUUAGAUGACAAUUUGUAAAACUGAUGGAAAAAAUAGUCCCCAAAAGCUAUAGAAUAUACUAUAGAAGUUGGGUAGGAUGCAAAUUUACUGCUCAAGGAACUACAUAUUACCAGAGUAAUUGAUCACAAUUUUUUCUGAUAUUUUGUCAUAUAGUCUAUUGAGUUGUGAGUUUUAACUUUCCAUUGACAAAUUUACAAAGAUGUAGUGAGAUUAAUGAUCAAUAUGAUGAGGCUAAAGAGGUAACAAUUUUCAGAAUGUCAAUUCUCAAUUUACAUAUCACACAAUUUAAUUUAUUUUUUGUCUUAACCAUUUGAUAUAUAAAGAAAAGAAAUCUUAAUAAUCUGGAGUUUGAUUGUGAGAAAAGAUUCUAAUAAUCUGGAGUUUGAUCGAGAGAAGUCUGAUUAAAAAUUGUUUUAGUUGGAUUUAAACUCGAAUACUCUCAAUUGAUUCGAUUUUCAUUGAAGUUUAUUAAGCACACAUCUUAAUUGGUUUUUUCUAAAUGUUUUGAAGUGCUAAACAAGUUAUGAAGUCAACUUUGGCGUGUUUGAUUUUUCCUAUUUACCAUUCACAGUGAUGUUUAAGUGGGUCCAGUCUAGUUGCAACUUAGGUGAGCUAUUGAGGGUCUACUUAAAUAUUGCUGUACUAUUUGUGACACUUGUAGCAGCCAAAUUAGACUGAUUUUUGUUGGAUUCUACUAUGUUUAGAUUUGUAUUGACAAACUAGCUUUAAAGUUAUUAUUUUUUCUCAGAGAUUUUAUUUAAGAUUCUAAAAUUUAAAAUAGUUCAACGUGUUUUUAGAGGUUUUAUGCGAUGUUUUUAGAGAUUUUUAUAGAAUGUUUAUGUCAUUUAAAUUCUAUAAUCCAAACUAUAUAGGACUCGCGAUAAAUUUAUAAGAUUGAAAAAGAAGCAAUCCUAACUUGAACGUGAUUUUAUUGAGUUACAUGAGAUAUACACAUGCAAGGCACUAUAAAUGUGUGACAUGUAGUAUAACUUUCUAAUAUUCCUAAACAUGUAAAAUGUUACUUUUUUUUUUGAAAGAAUGUAAAAUGUUACUAUUGGUUAAUGUUUUGUUGAAGCAUAUAAACAAAUAAAAUCCUUUAAAAUUUGUUUAAAAAUAGACUAAUUUUGUAGACAGCAAAGAUUUUAUUUGCAUUUCUUACUCUUUUUAUUCUUGAGCUUUGUAGAAUCAGCAUAGUUUCAUUUUCUGUUAGUAUAUUAUCUUGUAUUUUUUAAAGUUUACAUUCAUUUGAGCACUAAGAAAAAGCUUUUUACAAAGUUUUUGUCGUAUUCUAAUUGGCUUUUAUCGCACUUUGGCUUUUUUCAUCAACCUUUUUCUUGGGAUGACAUAAUGAAACUUAUAGUUCAGGUCUCUUGACAUAAUUUUGGUCCACACGUUAAUAUUUGUUUAAUAUUUAGGAGCACUAAAAAGUUACAAGUCAAGUAAGUUACGCUUCUUCUAAAACUCUCAUGUUUGAUUUUUAUUUAAAAGUAACCAAAUAUUUCUACCAUUUAAGCCAAUAUCCAUGGCUUUGGCUGAUUCACUAGAAUAAAUUUGAGUAGCCUGAUAUGUUUACUUGAUUUUAAUGUUCUCCACCUUUGAAGUUUUUCCCCCUCAAUACGUUUAACAAUCUAAACUUUGUUUGGAUUUGGAUUAUGUCAUUACUUGCGAUUUUUUGUCAAAUGUAGCUUCAGUUUUUUCCACACAAGGGGCCCCUUGUGCAGAAAAUUAGAGGUAGCUUCAAUAUUUUACUAGUGGAUACAACAUUUGUCCCUCUGUAUGGAAAAAAAAAAAAUACCAUCUCCACUAUACAUGAAGUUGUCUACUUGUGAUGUGUGAAAUGCAUUGUAUAUUUAGAUGAACUUUGUAUAUUUGGUUCGUCUUGGAUCGGUUCGGUUAAUUAGUUGGUUUGAAAAUACAAUUAAAAAAAAAAUCAUAUUCUUUUAAGUUUGUAUUUCCUAUAUACAACUCACCCAAAUAUUUCAUGGAACUUUGUAUUUCAUUUUUUGUUUUUCAUUAUCUUUGAUUUUCAAACAACUUUAAAUUCAUGAAACACAACUUCAUCAAAAUCAAAUUUUUCAAUCCUCCAUAAUAAUUCAUACACAAAUUUAUUUAUAAUCAUUCAUGAAUCAAACACAAAUUCCAAAAGACAUCCAGAAAUUAAAAUAUACUCAAAACAAUACUCCAUGCAAACUAAAAUUUAAACAUCCUAAAAUUAAGUUUCUCGUCAAAUUUUUAAAAAAAGUCCACACUAAAAUUUCAAUUUCAAUUCACAUUCACAAUCCUAACUUUACUUAAGUGUGUGUAUGAGGUGUAAGGGAAAUGAUAUUAGUAAAUUGAGAGGGCGCGGUAAGAAUCGAUUCGGUUCAUUAGUUCUUUGGGUUUCAAAAUCAAAAUCCAAGAACUGAACCAUACUAAAAUAAUUUAGGUUGAUUUAGUUUAAUUUUAAACAGAACCAAACAAGGUCGAAUAUUUUUUUUGUUUGAUUCGGUUUGGAGUUUCGAUUUCGUUGAUUUGGUCUAAACCAUUUACAUCCCUAACUUUUAUUAGUACUUUGUUAUACAAAAAAUAAUGUUACGUAACAUUAUUAUUUUAAGAUCCAGAGCUAGUAACAACCUGUUGUCGUUUAGGACAAACUCCCAAGAAAAGUAAAAUGGAAAUUAUAUUUAGGGUUAAUAGUGUUUUUUACCCCUGUAAUAUAUGUUAUUUUUGGUUUUCGCCCCUAUAAAAUUUUCGGUUUGAUUUGCACCCUUGUAAAAAUUUUAUUUUCCGGAAAACACUCCUAAUAGGCCAUUUUCAGAAUUUUUUUUCCAAGAAAUUUUGGUUUUUGAAUGGCUUAUUAAGGAUGUUUUCCGAAAAAUAAAAAUUUUACGAGGGUGCAAAUCAAACCGAAAAUUUUAUAGGGACGAAAACCGAAAAUUACAUAUAUUACAGGGUGAAAAAAACUAUUAACCCUUAUAUUUAUAAUGAGAAAAUGAAUUACAUCAAAAGAUAGGAGGGGGUACAUUUGAUAAGGCUUACUAUAAGCCAUUGAUUUGGUUAUAGAUCAAUUAAUUUCACGAGUUCCUCGAGCAGAAUCAGUUCGGAACAAAUUAUUUGAUCUAUAACCAAAUAAAUGGCUUAUAGAAUAGUCCAUAAUUCAUAAUUAGAACCUAAGGAUCUUCUGAAAGCCAAAAUUUGCAUUUACCGUUAUAUUCGAAGCACGAUUCAUCAACACUAGAAUUGGUGAAAGAAUAUGGAAUUUAUUAACCAUAAAUCUGCGAAAACAUGAUAAGUUUUGAAGUCUAAAACAAUAAGCCGCAGCGCUGCAAUAGUCGCUGCAACAGACAUGAUGCCAUAGAACCAAAUGUUGAUCAAAUGCCAAAGCUUUCGAAUGGAUGUUAGUUUGUUCUUAUUCGAAGUCGUGUUAGCACGUCUAACCAAAACUCGAAAUGACAAGUUCUUAAAAGCCAGAGCAUUCCCUUUGAUCCCAUGUUUGGUAUCAAACUACUCAUACAUUGAACAAAUUCAAGUUAUCAAGUAUUUCGCGUCAAAUGUAGUAUUUUCGCCUCUUUCACGGUUUUGAAGUGAAACUAUCUACUGCUUGUCAGCUGAAACAAUUGGAGGUUUCUCAAAAUAUCAGAAGAAGACUAAAAUCACAAAAGAGUGGCAUUAUAUUCCAUGGUAAGCAGAUAAAAUGAAAGAAGAUGUUCAGAAUAGAGAUAGAAGGAAUGAUGAUGAAACUCAGAACACAAUUGCAAGAUCUGGACAACAAUUUCAGAUGUACCGACCGGGGAAACCAGAAACAUGUACAUUAUUCUCUUCACACAAAAGUACAUUAAUCAAAUGAGUGUCAAUGAAAGCUAUGACAAUAUAUGCAAGGCGUAAGACCGUCGAAAAUCCUAGCCAAAUUCCAAGAAACGAAAGAUGAGGAAUACAAAUGGUAAACAUUGCACACACAAGUCCAGCUAUAGAAAUAAAACGUGGAAGCUUCAUUUGAUCAUCAUCCCUAAAUAGAACAUAAAUAGCCUGCACAACAAGGAUAUUUACAAAAUCUUCCCCAAAAAUAUGUUACACUCAAUUUGAUUUCAUACAAAAUCUUCAUCUUACAUGAAAGAUAUAAUAUUACAUAAAAAACCGUCUAGAAGUCCUAGCUCAACUUGUAAAUGCCGAAAUUGCAAGGCCGGACAUCGUGACCCGGGUUCGCAUAGAUUGAGAUAGUUUGGGAUGGAUUGAUAUAUUUUGAGAUAGUUUGGCAUAGUUUGAGAUAGUUUAAGAUAGUUUGAAAUGGUUUGUAAAUUUUGGUCUUUAUAAAUAUAUAAACUUUUUAUUUUAGUUCCUCUAAAAUUUUCCUUUAACUUAUAGUUUGUAUAAAAUUUUCAAUUUUUACAUUUGGUCUCUAUUUUUAAUUAAUUUUUGUAUUUUUUUAUGAAAUUGAAUAUAAACGUAUAGAAUAUUGUAAAAGUCACUCCAAAAAAAAUCAUAAUUUUUUAUUAAAACAUAAAUUAAAUAUGAAUCUUUUACCAUAAAAAAUAUAAAAAUUCAUAUUUAAUACAUGUUUUGGUAAAAAAAAUCUAAUUUUUUUUUUGGAGAGAUCUUUAUAAUUUUAUAAAUUUUUCUGCAAAUUUUUAUUCAAAAAUAUAAAUUCUACAUAUGAGCUUACUUUAAAGAAGGGAUCAAAAUGAAGAUGAAAUUUUUUUGGAGGACUAAAAGUUGAAGAAAUUUUUUAAAGGUACUAAAGCGAAAAAAUUAACAUAUUUAUAGGGACUAAAAACAUAAUUAACCUUAUUUUAAUUGAGAAAUAUAAAAAAAUAUUUUUAACUGCCUUUCUUUAAUUGUGUCCCAUAGUUUGACUUGGUUUUAUAAGACAUGUUUUUUCUAGAUUACCCUCUCUUAUUUAGAGGGUAUUUUACGCUCUCAUGAUAUCAACCAAUCAAAAUGUAAUAUACAUUGGCAACAUUAAAUGUCAUAAAUGACUCAAUUUUUUUCUAAAAAAGAAUCAAUUAUAAUCAUAAGGUAACUUUUAAUUUUUUAUUUAAUUAUAGACAUGAUUACAUUAGAGAUCAUUUAUCUUAUUUAUUUGUUACACUUGGGUCCUUUAUCUUUAUUUUUUUUCACUUAGGUCAUUUAUCUCUUAUAAAAGCACAUAUACAUCAUUUUUCUCAUUUUUUUAAUUAUAAAAAAUACAUAAUUUUAUUUUUUAAAAUAUCUUUUUAUUAAAAAUAAAACAAAUCCAGAAAUAUGAUGAAGAUGUUCAUCAUCUUCAUCUUCUUCCUUUGAAUCUUCAUCAUCUUCGUUGAAUCAAAAGAAUUUCUACACAAAUAUAUCUCCAAAUAUCAUGAAUUAAUGUUAUAUUCACCUCAAAUUUUCUUUUAAACACAAAAAUCAAACCCCUAUAGAGAAAGAGAUUUAGUUUUAUCACAACAAAAAAAAAUAGUUAUAUAAAUUGUCAAAGCUGUAUAUUACUAUUUUUAUUAUUUUCUAACUCAAUAUUCAAGUCCGACAUAAAAAUAACCUCAAAAUUGAUAGCAACUUUGCAUAUCAAUUUUGUUGUUUCCAGAACAAUCUUAACUUUCGUAAAGCCUAACCCUUCCGUCAGUGACUAAGCCUCCAGCAUCCGCCUUGCAACAUUUGUGAAAUUAAGAUUUUGAUUUUUGUGUUUAAAAUAAAAUUUGAGGUGAAUAUAAUAUUUCGAGAUAUAUUUAAAAAAAAUUUUUUUUGGGAAAAUUACACUUUUAGUCCUUUAACUUAAUUUCAGGUAACAAUUUGGUCUUUUAUCUUUUUUUAUUUUAAUUUGAUCCUUUUUGUCCAUUUUCAUAUACAUUUUCAAGCUUCGAAUCUAAUAUUUUAUGCAAACAUAGACAAGGAUCAUAGAUUUGAAGACUCAAGGACCAUAAGAAAAUAAAAUCAUGAAUUUUAAGCUUAAAAAUUCAUAUGAAAAUAGACAAAAAUGACCAAAUUGAAAUGAAAAAAAACGAUAAAGGACCAAACUGUUACCCGAAAUUAAGUUAAGGGACUAAAAGUGUAAUUUUGCCAAUUUUUUAUUUAUUUAAAGAAGAUGAUUAAGAUUCAAAGGAAGAAGUGAAGAUGAUGAACAUCUUUAUCAUAUUUUUGGAUUAUUUUUUUUCAGUUUUAAUAAAAUAUAUUUCUAAAAAUAAAAUUAUGUAUUUUUUAAUUAAAAAAAUGUGUAAAAAGAUGUAUAUGUGCUUUUAAGAGAGAUAAAUGACCUAAACGGGAAAAAAUAAAGAUAUAUGACCAAAGUGUUACAAAUAAAUAAGAUAAAGGACCCAUAAUAUAAUAUUGUCUUAAUUAUAUUUAGUGUUCAAUCUUAAUUAAUUUACACUACAGGACUGGCUUAGAACAAUUAAAAUUUCACAUCAAAUUUCUUUCAUCUGAAUGUCCUUAAAUUUAUCAGUUAUAUUCAUAAAAUUUAUUCAUCCCAUUUUGAUUGUUCAAUUUUGUCGUUCCCAACUGCCGCAUUUUUCAAUUUUCGUGAGAAUCGUCAUGAUUUCAAAUAUCGUGAGAAUUGCCUUUACUUCCAGUACAACGUCAAGUAUGAUGACUUGAUUUUUCUUUUUGAUUUGAUUUUUCUUGGUUGUGAGGUAGUUAAUUAUAACAAUUGAGUAAAUCAUCCGUUGUACUUUGAGGGCUGCUAGCAGGUGUUGCCGCUGUGAUGCUGUGGGAGUUUGCUAGCAUUUUUAUGGUUGCUGCUGAAAUGGUUAUGUGAUGAGAUUUUUGUUCUUUUAUUUGGAUUUAAAAGCUUUUGCUGAUAGUGAGACAGGUCUAUGCGUGUUAACAUAUUUUAUUAGGUUGACUGCUUAAAUAAAAUAAAAAAGUCACGAUACCUGACGCAGUUCUAGAAACAACGACAAUUCUCACGAUAAUUGGAAAUUGCGGCAAUUUGGAACGACAAAAUUGAACAAUUAAAAUGUGAAGAAGAAUGAAAAAGAAACAAAAAUUGAUCAAUAUGGAAGAAUAAAGAAGAAGAAAUUUGAAAGAAUGAGAUGUUUUUGUUCUCACGUUCGGGGUUCUGGAAUGGAAGAAAUUUUAUGAAUAUAAAUGAUGAAUUUAAGGACAUCCAGAUGAAAGAAAUUUGAUGUAAAAUUUUAUUUGUUAUAAGUUUUAUAGUGUAAAUUAAUUAAGAUUGAACACCUUAAUAUAAAAAAAAAAUUAAUAAAAAUUAAAAGUAUUAAAAGUUACCUUUUGAUUAAGAUUAACUCGCCUUCAAAAAUAAAAUAAUUAAGACUAACUCAUUUAUUUUUAGAAAGAAUCUACUCAUUUUUUUUUUAAUUCCAAUCUUUUGAUAUUUCUUGAAUGUUGCUAUUAUUAAGGAUUCAUUAUUGCUUGACUCAACAAUAACGUGACACGAGAAGUUUAGGGACAACAAUAGAUACAAACGAUGUUUUUUCAAUUAGAGAGAAGAACAUAAGAAAAGAAGAUAUUAAAAGGAGAAGAACAGAAGAAACAUAGCAUUAGAGAGAAGAGAAAUAAAGUAGAACUCAUCGAUGGUGUUGAUGGAUGCAAUUGGUGAUGUUGGUGUUGAGAUUGAGGCGACGGUGGUAAUGAUUCGAAGAGGGAAUAAUUAUCAAUCGGUGGUGACGAGAAACCCUAUUUUUUAGGUUAGAAGAGGCAAUAUGUUUUUGAUUUUAUUUUAGGGAAGCAAUAUGUUUUUUAUAGUGUUGUCGGUCUUUAUGUAUUUUUAUUUCUUAUUCUUUUAUUACUUUUUUUAAAAUGGAAAUAUGUAAGACAGAAAUCACAUAUUAAAAAAAAGGGAAAAUCAUGCAUACGUAUCGCGAUAAAGUAUCGGUUUAUUCAGCCAUAUUGAAGUAUAAGUUAGCCGUAUCCGACACGUAUUGUUUUUUUUAUUUUGCAAAAAAAAUAAAUAUUAAUGGCCCGAUACUUCUCUAAUACAUAUGUCUGAACGUAUCGAGAUGUAUCAAUGUCGGAUACGCGUCGGACACAAUUCUUCACUAUUUUAAGAGUAUCGAGGCUUCACAAAUCUAUGUUUGAAAUGAGGAUUUUAGUGAUUAAUAUUGUUGUUGGGCAUCAUACUCUUGGUUUUACAAAUACUCUCUUGUGAUUUGGUAACUAUAAUUUGAGGCGUACAUAAUUUUGUAACAUUUUGUUGUUUUUGAUUUUUGAAGAAACAUUUUGUUGUUUAUGAUAUUUUGAUGCAGAGAUGCAUGAUUUUGAUGAAUGAAAAUGAGCUUCAACAGAAUUCAGUUUCGUCCUUUAACUUCUUAUGCUCAAUUCAUUUCAGUCCCUUAUUUUAAAAUUAAAAAGUCAAUUUGGUCCCUUACUUUGUGUCAAAAGUUAUAUUUUUUUGGUCCCUUACAUUUUCUAUAAAGUAAAAUUUGGUCCCCAAUCCGAAAUAGAUGAUUAUGACAGUAUAACUGGAUCAAAACUAACUCAAACCAUAACAUAAUAUAACCUGGUCAAAAUAGUAUAUCAUUAAUAAUAGGUUAAAAAGUGAUUCACAACGAAGACAUAAUAAAAUUCAAAAUAUAUAUCUUAUAAGUCCUAACUCAAUCCAUAAAAAUAUUGAAACUGUUAAGCCGUACAUUAUAACCGGAGUUCGAACCCGGAGUUUAUGAUAACUUUGCCAUCCCUUCCAUCUCUAUAUAGAACAUUGAUAAUGUAACCAAAAAAUAUAGAACAUGACCCUUGUUCUAAAUUCCUUUUUUUCUAUGGCCUUCCCAGCAUCUUCUUAAUGGGAGGUUGCUGCAGAUCUGUAUAUUGUGUCCGCACCCACAAAUUUGAGCCAUUACAUGGACACACUGAAGGUAGGUAAACUGCUUCAUAACAUGCCUUCUUGUAGCAUGCCGGUAUCAAAAGACUUAACCAAAUUAUUGAGUUACAAUAAUCGUGUAUAUAAGUUUGUGGUUAGUGUGGUUCUGCCAAUGGGUGUUUAAUUUUAUAAAAGUCAUAUAUCCAUGUAAGUAUAAGAAAAGUGAUUAUUUAUAGGGAUAACAUAUUAAGAGAGUGUGUAAUUACAUUUAGUCAAAAUCAAUAAAUGUUCCACAAUAUUUGAUAUUCAAUUAAUCCAAAAUUUAGCAAAAAUGUGACUAUGAAAAUUCAUAAGGAAAUACUCCCUCCGGUCCUUAUUAUAAGAAAAAAUUAACUUUUUAGAUACAAUGAAUCAAAAAAGUUAAUUGUUUCUUAUAAUAAGGACCGGAGGGAGUAAGAAACUCAAGAAUCUCCAAAUUAGAUUAACAUAUAUCAAUAAACGUUUCUAUGAAUGUUGGAUUCACCACAAUGAAACGUUUCCUAAGGUUAGAUAAGCUUCAACGCUCAACAAACAUUAACAGAGUAUUUACAAAUCACACAUCAAAGAGGUUCUCAUGUUGGUGACGGAUGAUUUUGCUAUGUGAAUCAACUUCUUAUCAACUGAAUCAAUCUUAUUGAAAUUAACUUAUGGUUUUAGAUAGAUUAAUAUUGCAGAUAACAAUGAUUUUAUUUGCAUUUACAGUUUUAAACGUGUUUGUUUUCUUAUCUUCUUUAUAUUCUUGGUCAUGAUCUUGUAGUCAGAAUAUAAGUAUAGUUUAUCCUUAAAAUAAAGUAUAGUUUAAUUUCCUGUUAGCAUUAUCUUGUAUUUUUUCAAAGUUUACAUUCAUUUAAGCACAAAGAAAAAGCUUUUUAUAAAGCUUUUGUCGUAUUCUAAUUGGCUUUUAUCGCACUUGGCUCUCAUAAACCCUCAAUGAGUUUAACAAUCAAAAACUUUGGAUUUGGAUUCUGUCAUUUUGCUAUUGUUUUUCUCCAAUGUAUUAUGUAGCUUGAGUUUUUUCCACAUAAGGUACCUCUUGAAAUUGAAGUUGUCUUAUGUGAAAUUCAUUGUGUAUUAAGAUGAACUUUGUUAUUUCAGCGUAGUGUCGAUACUUUCAACCAUCUUUAUAUUUUUUAGUGUACUAGUAUUUUCACCCAUGCAUUGCACGGGCGAAAAAGGAUUUAUUGUGACCGAACGUACAACCAAAAUAAAAACAUAUAAUGCAUUUCUUAGACAAAUCAAAUGUUCUUGUCAUCACAAAAAUUUGUCUUAUUGUAAUAAGCAAAUGUUGAUUCUCAAUACAUAAUGUAUAAAUGAGUAAAAAUAUAUCCAAUAUAUUGAAUACAAAUGUUAAAAUCAACAUAAUUUUAUACUAAUAUUAUAUUUAUCGGAAAUGUGUUAUCAUUUGUUAUUUGACAGGUUGAAUUCAAUUCUUAAAUAUUCGACAAAUAACUAUUUGGCAAGUUGAAUUCAAUUCUUAGAUAUUUGGUAAAUAUUGUGCUUGAGGUUAUCCUUCGUGUUUUUUGAAAGAUAAAUUAAGAAGCCAUCUUAUUGCAAUAAAUAUAAUAUUUAGACUUUUUUUUACAAUAAAAAAAACUUCACUUAAUAAAAACAAAACACUAAAAGAAAUAUAUCAAAAAAUAAAAUCUUACACAAUUAAAAUUUGGACUUGGUAAAAAGUCAUUGUCGAUAAUAGCUUCAACAUCUACUUCACAAAUAAGUAAGUAUUUGUUAUGCUUCACACAAAUCAUAAAUCCUUUGUAUCAUACUUUUAGUUACUAUAACUUUUAAGAAAUUUAAUAGGAUCGGUAUAUGAUUUACAAAUUUGAUAAAGAAUUAGAUACACAAUAGGCACAGUAAACCAAAUUGGGUAUAAAAAAGACUAAACCUUGAGCAAAUAAUAAUGUUUAAAGUCUUCUAUUAGUACUUUGUUAUACAAAAAUUAAUGUAUAAGCAACAUUAUUAGUACUUUGUAAUAAAGAUUGCUAAAAUUAAAAAAACAAUGAAAGGAAGAAUUAAAAUAUUUUAUUCUUUACUAAUUUACUUAGCUUGUUUUACAUUCUAAAUGUGCAAUACUCUCAUGAGAUUACAAACAAAAACUAACAAAUUGAUCUAUAACUUCAUCUAAUAAUUCAUCUAAAAUCUCUAACUCAAAAUCAGCACUUAUAUUUUCUAAAUCAUUUUGUUUCCUCUUGACUUCAUGCAAUUCACUUACCAAUUCAUCAUCAACUAGCUUGCAAAUUUUAAUCCAAAUAUCUACACAUUCAUUGUUAUGCCUCUCUUUUUUCCUUGAUCCUUCAUUCAAAUUGUUCUCAAUUUCCUUAACUUUACUCUCUUCUUCAUUCAUAAAGUUACUAUCAGAAUGUAGAAUAAAUAGCUGGUCAUUUUCAAGUACUGGUGACAAUUUUCUUCUCCAACUCAUAUCAACAUCACAAAGAUCUUCCUCUGCAACAUGUUUAUAUAUGUAAUUAGUUAGCAAAUUUAAAACAUGUAAAAAGGAAAAAAAAAAUUAAGCUACACUAUGUAUGUAAAUUCUAAGGAUAAUUGUGUGUAUGAUUUUGUUUGCAUUCAAAUUAAAAUGAGACAAACUAUUAGGUCAUGUUUGGAUAAAAAGUUUAAUUAAACAACUUAUAUCAUUAUCACUUAUCGUAUAAGCACUUAUGUAUUAAACUAUUUCCAAAAAAAAGAUAAAAUCAAUUUAUAUUAUUUUCAUUCAAGGUAUAAGACAUUUUCAUAAGUUAUCCUCUAUGAAGCACAUAUACGGACACGGACACGACACAGAUACCGACACGCCGACACAACUAAUAAUUUGAAAAAAAUCACAUAACUCAUUGUAAUUACAAGUGUCGGUGUCAUGUCCUGGUGUCGGACAUCAGGACACGAUAUGUGCUUCAUAGGUUAUCCUUAAAAGCUUCUAGAAAUAAUCUAAAACCAACUUAUUAUGAGCAUGUCAAUAGCUCUUUACUUGUCUCUAAACUCAAAUAAACAUAACCAAACAUGCAUUAAAAGUUAAGCUAAGAUGAAGAAACAAACCUGUUCCUGAAACAUCAUGCUCAAAAUCAAAGACAGAAACAGGACUAUAAUCUUCUGAACUACAUUCACUUUCAACCUUCUCUUCAACACAACAUGUUUUUCCUUUCUUUCUCUUCUUCACUUUCUCACCAUUUCCAACUGCCUUAAACAAACUCUUCUCAAAAUGAAAUUCACCAUCAUCAUUCACCUUUUCUCUCUUGUUUCUCUUCACUUCACCUCUCACUUCUCUUUUCUUCUCUUUUCUUCUUCCUUUGGACUUGAAUUUUCUAUUCUCACCUCCACUUUCAAAGCUAAACACCAAAAAGUUCUCAUUUUCAAGCAAAUGAAAAGCUUGUGGCACAUAGUUCAAUGACUUGCAAUGUGUAGGUGAACUUGGUUUUGAUUCAGAAACUUUAUCUUCUUCCAUUGAAUCAAUCCCAUUAACCUUGCAACUACACCAGAAGAAGAAGAAGAAGAAAUUAUAGUUCUUGUAGUAGUAGGAGUGUUAGUCUUAAAUUUUUGAACUUUUUCACUUACAAUGAACUUUGAAUGAAACUCUCUAAUCCUAUGAAAAAUGGUUGUGAAACACCCUGCAGCAACAGUUUUUGAGCUGCAAAAUGUUGAGUCAAAGCUAAAGUUUGAUGAAGAUGAUGGUGAUGAUGAUGAUGAAUAAGAUAAUGUUAAGAGCUUCAUGUUUAUAUGAUUUAGAAGAAGAAAAAAAAAGAAACCAAAAUGGUUCUUUUUCUUUAUACUUUUGGAUUUUGAAAUUCUCCAAUGAUAAAAAGCAAUGGAAGAAUCUAAAGUAUAUGAAUAUGAAUAUAAAGAUUUGAAUUUUGAUAUAAUGAAGAGAAGGGUCGCGGGAUUUUUAUUUGAAUAUGUGAGAAAAAGAAAGUGUAAAGAUUAGAAUGGAAUAUGGUGUACUAUGCUUUUGGUUAUUGAAAUGUGACAAGUCAUUUUUUUGUUAUGAAUUUGUCUUUUUAUUUCCUUGUUUGGACCAAACAAAAGACAUGUCUUGGGGCACGUUAAGAGGACACUUUUUUACUCUGCCUCCUUUGAAGUUCAAAUGGUGAAAAGAAUCAAUGAGAAUGUGAUGAGGUAUGAAGCACAUAUACUUCUUGGAUUAGGCGUGUCUCAGUGUCGAUAUAAUACCGACAUUUAUAAUUACAUUGAAUUACGUAAUUUUUUAAAAUUACUAGUUGUAUUGGCGUGUGAGUGUCCGGUGUCCACAUCUAUGUUUCAUAGGGGAUGAGUGUGUUUGUUUAGAUUUUUACUUUUUUUACUUUAUUGAUUUUGAUGAUAGAUUAGAAAGAAAGUGAGGAUUGGAUCAGAUUAUUGUAUGGUCUAAGCUAGGCAGUGAUUGUAUAGUUUGUUUUGUAGUUUUGUGUGGAGGGAGAGACAUUUGACAGAUUGUGUUUUGUUUUUGUAUAAUGUCAGUGGUAUGAUCAAAUUCUUUUGGGGUUUGAUGUUAAAGAUACUGUCAUUUUGAUUGUGUUUGUUCCAACAUAGUCCCUAUUAUUUUGUGGGAUUGAAGGUUAGUAAUUUGAUAUUGAAGUGGGACAUUUGAUAAGCACUUAUAAUUGAAUUGAAAUUGGUUGGUUAAAAUGAUGGAAAAGGAUAUCAACCAUUCCUUUUUAUAGGCUAAGGAAUAAUUUUAGGUUUAAUCUUCAAUUUAUGAGAUACAAGAAUUUUCAACUCAUCAUGAUGACAAUUAUUAAAUUUAAUACACUUUUAGUUCCUCCUAAUUUUAUGAUUCAUGAUUUUAACUCCUUGCUUUAAAAUUCCAAAAGUAUAGUGCUCCAUAUUUGAAAAUUUUAGAAUUUUUCUCCAACCUUAAAUUGAGGUUUUUUUAUAGGCAAAUGUUAGUUUAUUAAUAUAUUUUUUUAAGGGAGUUUAUUAAUAUAUUGUUAGAGGGGACAUAGUUAGUUUAUUAGUAUAUUGUUAGAGGGGAAAAGAAAUGUUAGCAGUCAGGAAUCGAACUCAGAAACUCAUUUUUAAACUCCUCCAUUGUAUAAACUUACUAACAACUAGACUACACCUGUAAUGCCCUAUUUAUUUAUUAGAUUAUUCUAUUGAGUUUAGAGUAUAUUUAUAUGAUUUAUGUGAUCAAAAUGAUUAUGUGGUGUGUUGUUAUUUUAUUAAGUGGUGUUAUUUAUUUAUUUGAUAGAAUAAGAUUUGAAAAUAAAAUAAGAUUAAGUUGUGGGGGUUGUUUUGAGAAUUUAGAGAGUUUAAUAGAAUAAGUGAGAAAUAGGAUUUAAUUGGAGUUUUUGGGUUAAAUAAGAAUUAAGUGAAUAAAGUGGGCGUUAAUUAAAUAUUGGAAGAUUAUAUUUACUGAGAAAAAGGAGAAAAUAUGGUUAGAAGCAGUUUCACGUACAAACAAUUUUUGGGAGAAAAACCAAGAGAAAGCUAGGAGAAGAAUCAAGAGAGAGUUGCGGAUCGAUUUUCUUAAGGUAAGGGUAAGACUAACUUUCAAUAAUUAUAGUGUAUGUAAAUUCUGAAAUUGAUUUAACAUGUGGGUUGUUCUUGAUUUUGGAAAUUGGGAAUUAGGUUUAGAAGUUGUAAUUGGUUGUUUUAAUUGUAGAAUUGAUUGUUGGAAUUAAGAUGUUAAUGAAGUUAGGGUUGUGAAAAGAAGUUAGAGUUUUGAAAAGAAGUUAGGGUUUUGAAUUGCAAUUUGAUUGUUGAAAGUGUAGGCAAUCCAAUGAAUUAACAUAUGAUAUGAUGUUCAGGUUGUAGAAUAAUCAUAGGUUAAGUUUCCAAACAAAUUUGGGAGUUUGUGUUUGAGUAUAAUGAAUUAAUAGUGAUUCUUAAGUGAAAAACGCAUUGUUAAACUGAUUUUUGAACUGCUGUGAAGCUCAAAAUCGGCCCCCGAGUUUUCAAAAUCGGCCACCGAUUUUUGAGCUGAUUUUCUAGCUUUGGUUCGACGAAAAUCGGCCCCCGAUUUGUCAAAUUCGGCCCCCGAUUUUCUGUCAGGCAAAUCUGAAAAUAUUCGUAAUUUUCACCAUUUUCUGUUUUGAAUUUGCUUUCGGUGUAAACAUAAAAGUUUUAGAUAAUUUUGUUAGCUUUCCAAUGGCUUUGGUUUGACUUGAAAAUGAUUUUUAUUUUUUGAGAUAUGAUGAAAAUACUCCAAGGAGGUUUUAGUGAACCUUAUGAAAAUUCAGCAUAACCGUUUCUAAGUUAACCCAAAAUUUAUGGGAUAAUUUCAACCCUCAAAACUAGAAGUACUAUGAGUUCAAUUAAGGUGUUUAAGAGUAUUUAACCCAUGUUGUGAGUUGAUCCUUGGGGUAGGAAUGGAGGUUGAAUAUAAUAUUACUGAUGAUCUGUGAAGCUAUUAUAAUAUGAUUUAAUGUUCGUAGUAAUGUAAUAUAUUUGUAUAUGCAUUAUGUGAAUUAUAUAAGAUGUUUAAGUUGUUGUUGAUUAUCAUUUGAUGUUGUUAUAUCUUGAGAUGUUUACGUUGUCAUCGUCGAAUCGUUGAAGUCGUUGUUAAUGACAAACCAUAAAAUAUUAAUGAUUAUGUUGUCGUUUAUAUUAUUAUAAGAUGAUGAAUAUGUUGUUGCUUAUGUCAUUAUAAGAUGAUGAUUAUGUUGUUGUUUAUAUUGGUUAUGAGUUAAUGAUGAUUAGAAGUGGAUUGGACUAUUAAUGAAGCAUUAUAUGAAGAAUUAUUAUUAUUAAUUAACAAUGUUUAUGUUGUUUAAUAUAAUUGUUGAAUUAUAUGCUUAAUAUUAUUGUUUGUGAAAUCUCACCCCUUCUGCUUGGAAAUGUUGCUCUUUGUAUGAGUAACUUGCAGAUGAUCGAGUUUAAGCUGCUGUUAGAUUGCUGUCGUGAGUGGACUAUCUCUCACGUGUGUCUUUAGGUGCUCUGAUACGUCACGGGAUGGGAACUUUGUUGCAUGUUUUUCUAUUCCUUACGUAUUACUUUAUGAAGUUUAUGACUAUGUUUUUAGACUUGAUUUCUAUGAGAUAUUUAUGAUGAGGCAUUCGUGUCAAAGACUACUAUUUUUAGAUGUUGAAAUAAAUUCCGCUGCAAAGUUUUGAAUAUUUAUGUUGAUUGAACUUUGAAGGAAAAUUAGUUAAUUAUUCCAUUUAUGAUUUUUAAGAAGUGUGACAUUCCGUUUAUGUGAAUUACUCUGAUUAUUUAAACGAAAUUUUUAUGUUGGGAAAACGACGUGUUACAACACGUUUAGAAAUAGUCUAUUUUUAUUGAUGUAUCAAGUUAAAUAAUGAGUAGACAAGUCAUAAGGCAAAGUGUCAAUGCAUAUGUGAAUUUAAUAUUAUUUUACUUUUGAUAUCUUUAAAUUUAUUGUUUAAAAAAACUUAAAAUAGAAAAGAAAUGUAAAAUCCUAAAAUAUUAUAUUUUCCAAAAAUAUGCAGUCAUUUGUCACAUUAUUAUUUUUUUUUGUCAAAAAAUCACAUUAUUCUGUGACUUGUGAGCUUAUUAUUCAUCAAUACACAUAACAAAAAGAAACUCAAAAUUCAAUGGUGGAAAUUUAAAAAAAAAAAAAAAAAAAAACUCGGAGAUCAAAGAGAGUGACGAUAACGAUCAACACACUUCAUCCUCUUCUUCAUAAGAGUGAUUUUUGGUCUAUCAAAUAGCUUGAACGUAAACAUACUAAAACAAUGAAAAGAAGAUAAAAAUUAGCAACUUUGUGCGUAUUUCAUAUUACAUAUGCUAAAACGAAUCAGUAAACGAGAAGAAAAAAAAUGAGCAGUCUAACCACAAAUAUUUGAUAAAAUGUAUACUAACCUCUGGUGUAGUUGUGAAAAACGUCUCUAAUUUGAAGAAUUUGAUGGAAUUUAGCUGAAAAUUGAAACAAUGAUAAGAUAUUUGGAUUUGGUUUUUGGUUGUUGUUGUUGUUGAGGUAUUUAGGUUAAUUUUCAUAAAUUGAAAGUGAGGGGAAGUUGUUGAGCAUUACAUAUAUAAUGGUACAUUUCUAAGCAUGUCUUCUAAAGCAUAUUUUCCAUGUUUUAGAUUGUAUAAUCUAUAUACUUAUAUUAAAAGAAAUGUCCUUUGAAUUUACCAUUUUGCCCCUAUUAAGGGUAAUUUGGUAAAUUACUAAUUGGUUGAGUUUUUUUUUUUUUUUAAGGUUGCCUAUAAAUUUUCAUUUUUGCCCCUAACCAAUUUUUUUAAUUAUUUUCUAAUUUUAAUAUUUUUAAUAACUUUUAAUUAUUUUCCAAUUUUUAUAUUUUUAACUAUUUUUCAAUUUUUUCUCCCAAAUUCAGUUGCUUCUACAUUGCCGUUGUGGAAGAUUAAGGUAUCGUUUGACCCGACUUUUUUCAAACUUCUUUACAUUUUUAAGGAGAAGUUAGGCCAAACACAAUAUCAAUUAAGUACUUGCUAAAAAAAGAACAUUUUUUGAACGCAUAAAAUUGAAUAGAAUGAGCUUUGACCAGAAGUUGUUGAAUGUUACUUUAAAAAACUAUUUCUCCACAAUUUAUUUCAUAAACACCUUUUCAACUCACGCUGGGAACCUUUUCUUUAUUUUUUAAUAUUAUAUAUCAAUAUCUUUUUCUUAUUCAAAAAAACUAAACAUAUAUGUUUCCACGACACCAACAAAUAUAAUAUCAUAUAGUAUAAAUUCCAACAUUUAUAAUAGUAAUUUUCUUAAGAAAUCAUCGGGCUUCUUCAAGAGAUUGUCAAGAUAAUUCCAAUUGGGACUAGAAAGAAACUGUGUACGAAUAUUGUGUUGAAAGAUAAAAGGUAUUAUUUUCUUAUUUGUCGGCAGAAGAUGAUAGGAUUUUGUAUACGUUUGUUAAUGACCUGAAAUAUGUCUUUCCUUAUGCAGUGAGAAUAUAGUUGAUGUAACACUAUGGGAAAAAUAUUUCGUAGCUUUAUCAUUUACCAUCUAUUUACCUUGAGUUAUUUGCUUCCAUUUUGUAGUAAAUGGCAACCCAAAUAUAUAUAAUAAUUGGUCAGGUUCGAGGCUACUCAUCAACCUACAUUAUUCGGUUGUUGAGAAGUUUAAAACUUAGUAAGUUUGCAUUAUGAUUUCACAAUACAGUGUUAGAGUAAAUUAUUAUUUCACAAUCUGAUUUAAUUGUUUUUUUUACCAUGUUUCUUGAAUUGUUGUCGUGACCUUAACACUUCUCAAGCUUAGAGUCAAAGCAUCAAUCAGAACUUAAGUCAGAGUUCGGCUUCUUCUCAAUGUACUUCGUACAAAGAUUUUUUCAAUCUGUCUCAAGUUAGGCCAAUUGUUGAAUUUAUAAACUUAGUCAAGGUCUUCUUUUUUUAUGCACAAACAUGCUUUGAAUUUUUUACGCACAAAUUAAAAAUACAUAUUGCAUUAUUCUUUAUUUCAUGUGCAUAUUUGUGUUAGGAUACAUAUUGCAUGACUAUUUGGAAAGCAGCUAAAUUCAAUCUUAACCAGUUUGGAUAAUAUUAUGAGAGUUUCACCAAAUGUUCAAAGACAUCAUUGUCAAAUGGUGCUAGCUAUAGAUGCACAUGCGGGAGUGAUGCUUAAUUUCCAUUUGUUUCAACAAUGUUAAUUGGUCAACGGGGUUCAUAUAAUGCACAUGAAUGCAUUUAUCUAGCCUUUUUAGGAAGAUAAAUUAGAAGUCAUGAUACAUUUUCUUUAGCUUAAAAUCAGUUAUGCUACCUUUAUUUUAUAAAUUAUAUGUAACUAUAUUCGCAUACGUCUUAUCCAUGUUAAUAUGCAUUAGACUAAUAUUGUUGUUAUUUCCCUGUUUAGCAUUUCCCAAACGAGGUUUCAAGAACAAUUCUAAAAGGAAAGCGCAAAACAAUCACUCUCAUUGGUUUCAAUUAUUUUCAUCCUAAAUAUUAUGUCAAUUCCUAAUCUCAUAAACUGAUUAUAUGAUCUCUAAAUCAGCUCAUACAUAUUUUAUGAUGAAUCACAAUGUUCUGUUGUUUUAACAUCUUUUCUUUCGAAUAUUUUUUUUUAUGCCGUGAUUAUCUAAGGUUAUUAUUUUACCUUAUGUUAUACCCUGUUUUUGGACCUAAAAAAUACUGGGCCCAAUUUCAUUUCAAACUUCGUCAAUUAUCAAAUUUCAGCUGCACAGUUCAAUUUGUCUCUGCCUCGCAGUAUUUUCAAUCACAAUUUUACCUAUGUUUUUCUUGCAUAAAACCUUUUAAAAUGUCUUUACUGGUCUUGUAAGUCACGCAAAAGUGUCUCUGAAUCAUUAUGUUGCUUUUUUUCCACAGUUUAUUUCAAAAUUUGCAAAAAGUCAUACAGAAGGGUAUUUUGGUCAUUUCCUGCAGUGGGACCCAUUUUCAUCCUUGUGACUGUCUCUGAGUCUUUUCAAAUUCAUUUUUUACUUUCCAUCAGUAAACCUUGCUAAUUUCAUUUCGAACUUGCAUCUGAGUCAGUGUCGAGUCAAUUUGAGUCUGUUUAGGUCAUUUUUUUAGCCCUAGGGGCAUUUUGGUCAUUUCACAUAAAAUUUUGGCAUGGGGAGGUUACUUUGAAGUACCUCAUUUAGGCCAUUGGUUCGUUUUAGUCCGUUUUGUCAAUUUUAUUUUAGUUUCACUUUACGUUUCGUCAGAUUGCCAAUUUUAUUCCAAUUUUAUUUUUAUUUUACAUUUUGGUCCCCAAGAGGUCCAAAAUUGCGUGUCAGUCCAGAAUUUUCUUUUUUUAUAUUUCAGUCCUUUUUGUCAAUUGCAGUUUAGUCCCUUAAUUUUUCAAUUUUGCAGAAAGGUCCCAAAUUAAUUCUAAGUCCAAGGCCGUGCCAUUUCCAUACAAAUCCAGGUGUCACAUUUUCAUUGGCUCAAGUGUACACAUGUCAACUAUAUAAACAGUGAGUCAGAAUCAGAAGCAAUAAUCACACGCCACUUCACCAAAAAACAGGAUCAAACUUUCUCUUUCUUGUCAGUUAGAUCAAACCAAAAAAUCACAGAGAAAUCACCAAGAACACAAGAACCCUAAGAUUUCCAGAACAAAAUUCAUACACAAAUUCAUUGAUUUUCACAUCAAUCCUCAGAGAUUCGUGUGAAUCUUCAUCACCGGAUUGAGGAAUUCCCCUACAAUUCAAAGUGCGAGCUCACAUUGAAGCAAGCUCAAGCACUGAUCAUAGGGAUUUUUCACACAGAUUCAAAAACGUUGAAGCAAGCUCAAGCACAUAAUCACAGAGAAGCAGAGAAAGAAUCAGAGAAGAUGAAGAUGAACCGGUAAACCGAUUUAUUUUCGGUCCAAAAGCAAGCAAAAUCAUCAAAACCGUCAAGAACAUUCAAGUUUUCCCAAAGAUUUCCUCCAUUAAAGGUUUCAACCAGAACCUUAGGUAAAACUCAGAAUCUUUUCUCAAAAGUAAUAUCACUGUUAAACCUGUAGAAAACAAUCACGCAAGCAAAGCGUAUCAAAAAAUUUCCAGAAUUCAAAGAAAGCCGUAACCGUAAACACGAAACCUAGAUCCAUAAGGAUCUAAGUUUUGAAAGCAAGAACGAGUACUAGAAGCGUAAUCAAACAACGAAACGAUGUAGAUCUUUAAACGAUCUAAACAUUUCUUUUCAAAAACCAAAAAAAUCAGUUUCAAAACCGUACGGAACUUUUUAGAUCUACAACGUUUCAAACCGUAUUUGAAAAAACAGCUGCUGGAUUCGUGUUUAGGGUUAAAGGACGAAUCAAAAUAUGCAAAAAUAUUUGAGUUCUGGAAAUUUUUCACCGGAAACUGCUAGGUCUCGCCGGAGAAGAUGAAGUUUCCGGCGGACCUUCAAGGUCUCCGCCGUAGCUUCAUCCUCACCGGCGGUGAGGGUUUAGAGAGAGAUGAGAGAAGAGAGAGGGGUUAGAGAGAGAAAGAGGAAUACGAAAUGAAAAAACCGGCGCGCUAGGGUUUAUAUAGAGUGCUAGACCGGACCGGUUCAAGACCGGUCCAAUCCCAUGCGUUGUGAGCCCUUAGAUCUAGGGUUUGGGAUCUUGGAUCAAUCCAACGAUCCCUGAGCAUUCCUGUGAGAUCCGGAUCCCUUGGCUUUGGGCCUGGGCCUCUUUUCUUUGCUUUUCUACGUUUUUGCUUUUUUUGUGCUAUUUGCACCGUGUUUCCUUGCUAUCUGCACCUAUUGCUUGUUUACUUCUUUUACAAAAAUUCCUAAAAAAAUCCUAGUGGUUUCUUGAUACAUUCUUGGCAUUUCUAUAGCGUUUUCUUGCAUAAAAAUGUUAAAAUGGCAUGAACUAAUUCCAUGUAUUUUUGUACUUUUGGUAUGCAUUUUGCUAUGUUUUGUUCUUGACAUUUUGAUAGUAUGACAUGGAUAAAUGAUGCCUGUUAUACCCUGUUUUUGGACCUAAAAAUACUGGGCCCAAUUUCAUUUCAAACUUUGUCGAUUAUCAAAUUUCAACUGCGCAGUUCAAAUUGUCUCUGCCUCGCAGUAUUUUCAAUCACAAUUUUACCUAUGUUUUUCUUGCAUAAAACCUUUCGAAAUGUCUUUACUUGUCCUGUAAGUCAUUCAAAAGUGUCUCUGAAUCAUUACAUUGCUUUUUCUACAGUUUAUUUCAAAAUUUGCAAAAAGUCAUACAGAAGGGUAUUUUGGUCAUUUCCUGCAGUGGGACCCAUUUUCAUCCUUGUGACUGUCUCUGAGUCUUUUCAGAUUACUUUUAAACAUUUCAUCAGUAAACUUUGUUAAAAUUCAUUUCAAACUUGCGUCUGAGUCAGUGUCAAGUCAAUUCGAGUCUGUUUAGGUCAUUUUUAGCCCUAGGGGCAUUUUGGUCAUUUCACAUAAAAUUUUGGCAUGGGGAGGUUACUUUGAAGUACCUCAUUUAGGCCAUUGGUUCGUUUUAGUCCGUUUUGUCAAUUUUAUUUGUGUUUCGCUUUACGUUUGGUCAAAUUACCAAUUUUAUUUUAAUUUUUAGUGUUUUUAUUAUUUUUGCAUUUUUGUCCUCAAAGAGUUCCAAAAUUGCAGUUCAGUCCACUUUUUUUCCAAUUUUCAUUUCAGUCCUUUUUGUCAAAUUGCAGUUUAGUCCUUGAAGUUUUAUUUUUUGCAGAAAGGUCCAAAGUUCAUUUUUCAGGUCCAAAGCCGUGCCAUUCCUUUUCCAAAUCCAGGUGUCACAUUUUCGUUGGCUCAAGUGUACACAUGUCAGCUAUAAAAGCAGUGAGUCAGAGUCAAAGCCAAGGACAACACGCCAACUCAACAAACACAUUUUCAGAUUCUCUCUCCAAUCAGUUAGAUCAAAACAGAAAAAUUUCUCAGAUUCAUCAAGAACACGAAGAACACAAAACCCUAACCGUUUCCAGAAAGUCACAAAUUCAUCAAGUUUCAGUGUUUUUCGCAUCAAUUCUCAGAGAUUCGUAUGAAUCUUCAUCACUGAAUUGAUUGAUUCUCUGCAAUUCCAAACGCGAGCUCGCAUCAAAGCAAGCUCAUGCGUUGAUCACAGAGAGCCUCUCGCAAAGAAAUCAAAGAAGCAAGUUCAAACGUAUAAUCAGAGAAAGAAUCGGAGAAGAUGAAGAAACCAAGCCAGUAAACCGAUUUAUUUUCGGUUCAGAGAAAACCAAAGAACGUUCAAGUUUUCCGAAGAUUUUCUCCUUCAAGAAUCUCAACCAAAUUCAGGUAAAACUCAGUUUUCUCUCUUUAAAAAGCAUAAUCACUGUUAAACCUGCAAACAAGAUCCAAAAAAUUUCCAGAAUCAUAAAAAAAAUCAUAACCGUAAGCAAAAACAUAGAUCCAUAGAAAUCCAGAAGUUGUAAGCAAGGACGAGUGCCAGAGAGAUAGCCAACACGGAAUCAAUGUAGAUCUUGAGGUGUUACAAGCUUCUUUUAAAAAUUCUUUGAAAACCUAAAAAAUUUUUCAAAACCGUGACACAAAAACGUAGAUCUACGUUGAUUCACGCCUUGCAUGAAAAAUCCAGUGGCAUAUUCGUGUUUAGGAUGGAAAAGGAUAUCUGAAAAUGUAAGUUUUUUUGAAAACGGUGGAGUUUGUUCAACUCCGGCGGCGGCGCCACCACCCUUGGGCGGCCGGCCACCACGCCGGAGGAGCAAAACUCACCGGGGAAGAUGAAGAUCUUCCGUGUUUUUCCAGAAUCCGGUGAGGGUUUAGAGAGAGAUGAGAGAUGAGAGAAGAGGGAAGAACUUAGAGAGAGAAAGGGAAGUAGAGAAAUGAAAAAACCGGUGCUCUCUUGUUUAUAUAAGCCAGCGAACCGGACCGGUUCAAUCCGGUCCAUUCCCCUUUGAUUCCUGGCCGCUUGAUCUAGGGUUUCAGAAUCCUGGAUCAAUCGUGUGGUUACUGUGCAUCCGGAUCUUUUAAGGAUUGGGCUUUGGUUUGGGCUUAGUUUUUUUACGUUUUUUUUGUUAUUUUCUUGCUAUUUGCACUGCCUGUCUUUGCUAUCCGCACCUGUUGCUUGCCUACCUUUUUAUAGAAAAUUCCUAAAAAAAUCCUAGUUGUUUCUCAAUGUAUUUUUGGCAUUUUUAUGGUGUUUUCUUGCAUGAAAAAAAUAUUAAAAUGGCAUGAACUAAUUUCCAUGAGUUUCUACACUUUUGGUAUGCAUUUUGCUAUGUUUUGUUCUUGGCAUUUUGAUAUUAUGACAUGGAUGAAUGAUGCCUAAUAUGGUGAUGAACAUGCCUCUGGAAAUGUGUUUAUUUUUGUUGUGUUUGGAUAUGAUUUUAUGGAUUACUUGUUUCACAAGAAAUAAUGGUUUAUUUUUUAGAAUAAAGUGGCAAAUUUCUCUAUGAACUUGGUAUGAUAUUUUGCAUGCAUACGCCUCCAUUAAUUGCAUGUCAUGGCUUGAAACAAAAUUUCUUUCUAAAUUGCCAUGAUGUGAUGAUUAUGGGUCACUAGCAUUUUUAAGUAUCAUAUCAAAUGUCUUCUAGGUUUAUUACCACUUUAUUGCUUUCUCUUGGCCAUCUUUAUGCAUUUCCUCUUAAUUACUUCCUACUAUUGUGUGCUUUAUGACUACUAACCAUUUCAUCUCAUGUGCCAUACAUUUCAUAGCAUUCCACCACUCUCUCCACUUUCUUUAGCUUAGCAUUUAUUUUUUGCAAAUCUUAAUUCAUUUGGUGAUGUAAUUUGUUGUCAUUGGUUUGUAGCUUGGCAAAGGGGCCAUAGAAUGUAUUUAGGCAAUUUUUGUAAUAUGGACUAUGGACACUAUGACGCACCGACACGCACACACUCACCUUAGAUGUAUGCAUAGGAUUGUAUGAUUAAAUAAGCGUUUAGGUUUUAAACACUUAGAGAAAAUCCAUCUUUUUUCAAAAAAUAAUUGAACUUCACUUCAAAAACUUUCAUGAUAAGCAUGAAGUCAACACUUCAUUUUUCCUUUCUUUUUUUCUUAAGAAAAAGUUCAAUUCAUCUUAAUCAUUUAGACUUUCUUUCUAAUCACUAAUCAAACCUCACUUUUUUGCUAAAUCUAAUGCUCAUGAAGCCUCCCAAUCUCCUUCUUCAAAACUUUUUUUUCAAAACUUAAAAUCAAACAAUUAAAAUCAAAAAAAAAAGUUUUUUUAGCAAGAACUACGAACGGUUUUGAUCCCUUAAAAGGGUACGUAGGCAAUGAGUCAAAACUCAUCCAAGCCGAAAUAAAAUCAAAAUUCUACUUCUUCUCACCCCCAUUCUUAACUAAAUAAACCUCCCAUUUUCAAAAGUAAGUAAAAAUAAAGCGUAGAAAUCGACUUAGGAAAACGGCUCCUAUAGAGGACUAUAGUUACUCCGGGUGCCUAACACCUUCCCGUAGUAAAACCGACCCCCGAACUUAGAAUCUAAGGGUUUUUUCUCAAUUUUUCCCUUCCCAAGAAAAAAGAGAGAUAUCAACGGUCGAAAGGUACAAGUCCAAUUAAUGACUUGGCACCCAAAAACCAUGAUAACAGAAAUGGCGACUUCACUGGGGAUUCUUUUUAGCGGGUCGCGCCUAGUUUUCUUUAGUUUAUAUUUACGCUUGUUUUAUUGCUUACAUAUGUGAAUAUUUGUUUACUUUCAUUCAACGUGUGGGGUGAGAAUAUCAAAAGUCCUAACCCGGGCUGAGUGAACUUAUGUUUAGGUAGAGAUAUAAUCGACAAUUCGAUCCGGGGGUUGCCUCGUGUAUUGGAUUAUGCGAUCAAUCUCACAUAGCUGAGGCAUUUUGAAGGUGAUAUUGUCGGCGUGUGUUGUCAUGCUUAGGCACUUCACUUUCAAUUGUUCGACGAAGCUAUGAACCGUAGUUACCAAACCCAUCCUAGCUUUUUUUAGGACGUAGUGCGGUGGCUAAAUUGAGUGUUGUCUCAAACUUUAGUCGUCAUGCGAUACUACACUCAAACUAGACCUUCUCACAAAUAAUCAGGGAACGGGUGUCGUCCUGUACUACCAUGAUAUAUGUGAGAGAGGUUGCAGUUUGGGAACUGUGUUAGAACCUUGGUUACUACUGUCCAAAGCCUUAGUUCACCGGACGCCGUGUCCAUCCGUGGCCCUGUUACUUUGAAUCUCAACCCACAUUGUAACUAAACAACACAAUCAUGCAUACAUGCAUUCAUGCAUAAAUAUUUUUCAUGCAUUCAUCGAAGGGUUUAAACAAAUGGAAAUUUUUGUAAAUAAUCACAGGUAUGAAGAAGACUAAGUGCUACAAGUUCAAGGAAGUGGAUUUGGUUAGUUUGAGAGAGUUGGCACUCAAGGUCAAGAGUCAAACAGGGUUCCGACUCCGAUAUGGGGGAUUGCUUACUUUGCUCCGAACCGAUGUGGAAGAGAAGCUAGUGCACACUCUAGUGCAGUUUUAUGAUCCAAGCUUCCGUUGUUUCACUUUUCCGGACUUCCAGUUAGUUCCUACUCUCGAGGCUUACUCCGAUCUAGUGGGUUUACCUAUAGCCGAGAAGACACCUUUCACCGGUCCCGGGGCUCCUCUUACUCCUCUGGUUAUUGCUAAGGAUCUCUACCUCAAGACUUCCGACGUCUCCAACCAUCUUAUUACCAAAUCUCACAUCCGGGGGUUCACUUCGAAGUAUCUUCUUGAUCAGGCUAAUCUCGGUACUACUCGUCAGGAUACACUCGAGGCUAUUCUUGCUUUGCUUAUCUACGGGCUCAUUCUCUUCCCGAACCUCGACAACUUCGUGGACAUGAAUGCUAUCGAGAUCUUUCAUUCCAAGAACCCGGUUCCUACUUUGCUAGCGGAUACCUACCACGCCAUCCAUGACAGGACUCUCAAGGGCCGUGGGUAUAUUCUUUGCUGCACAUCUCUUUUGUAUAGGUGGUUUAUUUCGCACCUUCCGAGUUCCUUCCAUGACAACUCGGAGAACUGGUCCUACUCGCAGCGGAUUAUGGCCCUUACUCCUAAUGAGGUCGUCUGGCUCACUCCCGCCGCUCAAGUGAAGGAAAUCAUUAUGGGUUGCGGAGACUUUCUCAAUGUACCUCUUCUUGGUACCCGUGGAGGAAUCAACUACAACCCCGAGCUUGCUAUGAGACAGUUCGGUUUCCCUAUGAAGUCGAAGCCCAUCAAUCUUGCCACAUCUCCAGAGUUCUUCUUCUACAUGAAUGCUCCCACCGGACAAAGGAAAGCUUUCAUAGAUGCUUGGUCCAAGGUUCGAAGGAAGAGUGUGAAGCAUCUAGGUGUGAGAUCCGGUGUCGCUCAUGAGGCCUAUGCUCAGUGGGUGAUAGAUCGAGCUGAGGAGAUUGGUAUGCCUUAUCCAGCUAUGAGAUAUGUGUCUUCAUCUACCCCAUCUAUGCCUCUACCUUUGCUCCCCGCGACUCAGGAUAUGUAUCAGGAGCAUCUAGCUAUGGAGAGUCGUGAGAAGCAAGUGUGGAAAGCUCGGUACAAUCAAGCUGAGAAUCUAAUCAUGACUUUGGAUGGUAGAGAUGAGCAGAAGACUCAUGAGAAUCUGAUGUUGAAGAAAGAACUAGCUAAAGCCCGGAGGGAAUUGGAAGAGAAAGACGAGCUGCUUAUGAGGGAUUCCAAGAGAGCUCGAGGACGACGAGAUUUCUUUGACAGAUACUGUGAUUCAGAUUCCGAGUCCGAUGAUCCUCCGACUACUUCCUAUGCUUGAGGACUCCAUGUGUUUAUCUUGUUGAAAUUUCAAAGUAUUCCUGUUAAAAAAAUACUAUGUAGUUUUGAUUAUUUGCAAAGAUUUCUAAUUUGUUUAAAAUUCCUUCGAUGAAAAAAAUAAGUCUUUUGCAUUCGCAUUUGCAUAUCAUGCAUCAUAUGCAUCAUGCAUUGGUCACAAAGGCUUCCAAGUGCUCACUAUCUCCUGGUUCCUCUGCCGCAGUGUGAAAAGUGGCUCGUGCUCAGAGAGUUUACGAACCAGAUAGAAUUGAUCGAACCAGAGAAUACAGAAGAAAGAAAAGGGCUAUGGAAGAAGAGAACGCUCAGCUUCGCACCGAGUUAGCCUCUCUAAAGGAGGAAUUGGCUAAAGCUAAUGACGUCAUGACUGCUCUACUAGCUGCUCAAGAGCAAUCAGCUACAGCUAUCCCUACAACCACAGCUGCACCAGUAACUACAAGCGUGCUCCCUACCACUUCUGCAGACAACCGCUUUACUAUGCCAGUGGGGUUUCCGUAUGGGCUUCCACCGUUCUUCACUCCCGUUGCUACAGCAAGCACCUCGGGCACUGCUAACAAUGUUCUGAUCCCUGCAACAAAUGCCGCCUCCAUCAUUGCUACUUUGCCACAAACAACAGCAGCUGUCACUGAGCCUCUGGUACACACUCUGCCUCAAGGUAUUAACAUCAACACACAGCACAGAAGCAUCCCCGUAACCAAGACUAUGGAAGAGAUGAUGGAGGAACUUGCUAAAGAACUCCGUCACGAGAUCCAGGCCAAUCGAGGGAAUGCAGACUCUGUCAAAACUCAAGACCUUUGCUUAGUGUCAAAAGUGGAUGUUCCUAAAAAGUUCAAGAUUCCGGACUUCGACCGGUACAACGGGCUAACUUGUCCUCAAAAUCACAUCAUCAAAUACGUCCGGAAGAUGGGCAAUUACAAAGACAAUGAUUCCCUUAUGAUCCACUGUUUUCAGGAUAGUCUGAUGGAGGAUGCCGCAGAGUGGUAUACUAGUUUGAGUAAGAAUGACAUCCAUACCUUUGAUGAGUUAGCCACCGCUUUCAAGAGCCAUUAUGGGUUUAACACUCGACUGAGGCCAAAUAGGGAGUUUCUCAGGUCCCUAUCUCAGAAGAAGGAGGAAAGUUUCCGUGAAUAUGCGCAAAGGUGGAGAGGGGCGGCUGCCCGUAUCACUCCUGCUUUAGAUGAGGAAGAAAUGACCCAGACGUUCUUAAAGACGUUGAAGAAAGAUUAUGUUGAGAGGAUGAUCAUCGCUGCCCCGAACAACUUUUCGGAGAUGGUCACCAUGGGAACCCGUCUUGAGGAAGCCGUCAGGGAUGGAAUCAUUGUGUUUGAGAAAGCUGAAUCUUCUACGAGUGCAUCGAAAAGGUACGGUAAUGGACACCACAAGAAGAAAGAAACGGAAGUGGGGAUGGUAUCAGCUGGAGCCGGUCAAUCAAUGGCUACUGUUGCUCCCAUCAAUGCAGCUCAAAUGCCUCCGUCAUACCCAUAUAUGCCGUAUUCUCAGCAUCCGUUCUUCCCACCGUUUUAUCAUCAGUACCCUUUGCCGCCGGGCCAGCCUCAAGUGCCCGUCAAUGCGAUUGCCCAACAGAUGAAACAACAGAUGCCGGUUCAACAACAACAACAAAAUCAGCAAGCUAGGCCUACUUUCCCUCCGAUACCGAUGUUAUAUGCUGAGUUGCUUCCAACUUUACUCCAGAGAGGGCAUUGUACAACUAGACAGGGUAAGCCCCCACCUGAUCCGUUGCCUCCAAGGUUCAGGUCUGAUCUCAAAUGCGACUUUCAUCAAGGUGCCCUAGGUCAUGAUGUCGAGGGGUGUUAUGCUUUGAAGUAUAUCGUGAAGAAGCUCAUCGAUCAAGGGAAGCUGACUUUUGAGAAUAAUGUCCCACACGUCCUCGACAAUCCUCUUCCAAAUCAUGCCGCUGUGAAUAUGAUCGAAGUGUGUGAGGAAGCUCCUAGACUUGAUGUCCGCAAUGUUGCCACUCCUCUGGUGCCUCUACAUAUCAAGCUGUGCAAAGCUUCUCUGUUCAAUCAUGAUCAUGCCAAGUGUCUGGGAUGCCUCCGUGAUCCUUUGGGUUGUUAUACUGUUCAAGACGACAUCCAAAGCUUGAUGGAUGAUAAUCUUCUGACUGUCAGUGAUGUUUGCGUGGUCGUGCCAGUUUUUCACGAUCCGCCUGUCAAGAGUGUACCUUUGAAGAAGAAUGCUGAGCCUUUGGUGAUAAGGUUGCCAGGACCAAUUCCUUAUGUUUCGGACAAGGCAGUGCCAUACAAGUACAAUGCUACUAUGAUAGAAAAUGGAGUAGAGGUGCCUCUAGCCUCCUUUGCCACAGUAAGCAAUAUUGCCGAAGGGACUUCUGCAGCGCUAAGAAGCGGGAAGGUCCGUCCGCCGUUAUUUCAGAAGAAAGUAGCUACGCCGACCAUUCCACCAGUUGAAGAAGCAACUCCAACCGUUGUUUCACCCAUUGCUACAGAUGUGAACCAGCCUGGCAAAUCUAUAGAGGAUUCGAAUUUAGAUGAGAUUCUGAGGAUAAUAAAGAGGAGCGACUACAAGAUCGUUGAUCAAUUGCUGCAGACUCCUUCAAAGAUAUCUGUAUUGUCAUUACUCUUGAGCUCCGAGGCUCACAGGAAUACCUUGUUGAAAGUGCUGGAGCAGGCUUAUGUUGACCACGAAGUUACGGUAGAUCGUUUCGGUGGCAUAGUGGGAAAUAUUACUGCUUGUAACAAUCUCUGGUUUAGUGAAGAAGAAUUGCCGGAAGCGGGAAAGAGUCACAAUCUGGCUUUACACAUCUCGGUGAAUUGUAAAUCAGACAUGAUAUCAAAUGUGUUGGUGGAUACCGGUUCCUCCCUCAAUGUAAUGCCCAAGACAACUCUAGAUCAGUUGAGCUACCGUAGGACCCCGUUGAGAAGAAGUACUUUCUUGGUCAAAGCUUUUGAUGGAUCUCGAAAGAAUGUGCUGGGAGAGAUAGAUUUGCCGAUAACCAUUGGCCCUGAGAAUUUCUUGGUUACUUUCCAGGUGAUGGACAUUAAUGCAUCCUACAGUUGCCUGCUGGGAAGACCGUGGAUACACGAUGCAGGUGCGGUUACUUCCACCUUACAUCAGAAGUUGAAAUUUGUGAAGAAUGGAAAACUCGUUACAAUCCAUGGUGAAGAAGCAUACUUAGUCAGCCAAUUGUCUUCUUUUUCUUGUAUUGAAGCAGGGUCUGCUGAAGGGACUGCUUUCCAAGGUUUGACCAUUGAAGGUGCAGAGUCUAAGGAAGCUGGGGCUGCUAUGGCUUCAUUGAAGGAUGCUCAGAGAGCCAUUCAAGAAGGUCAGACUGCCGGCUGGGGCAAGGUGAUACAGCUCUGUGAGAACAAGCGUAAAGAAGGUCUCGGGUUCUCCCCGUCAUCAAGAGCUUCCUCGGGAGUCUUCCACAGUGCUGGGUUUGUUAAUGCUAUCUCUGAAGAAGCCACUGGAUCUGGUCUCAGGCCUGCAUUUGUUACACCAGGAGGCAUUGCGACAAAUUGGGACGCCAUUGACAUUCCUUCAAUCAUGCAUGUUUCUGAGUAAUGUGUCUUGUUGCUUUAAUGCUUUGUUUUCAAAAUAACAAUCCUCUCGCUCUGCCCAAAGCGAGAGUGAUAUUUUCUGUAAGGGCAUGUUUGUUUCGGCAUUGCCGUUGAUUAAUAAAAUUUUGUCGUUUCUUCCACGACUACUUUUUUUUAGUGCUUUUUCCCUUGGAAACAAUGGUAAUGCCAGAAAAAACCAAAACGUCUGUAUUUUCUUAUUAAUUUCAAAAAUCUGCAUGAAAAAAAAAAAAAAAAAAAAAACUCUUUCUUAAAUCAUCCAACCAUUAUAUGCAGGUUGAACCAUAAUAAACCCGUUGAACACAGUAAUCCUACGGUUCCUCCAAGUUUUGAUUUCCCUGUGUAUGAAGCCGAAGAUGAGGAAGGUGAUGACAUACCGUAUGAGAUCACUCGGUUACUUGAGCAAGAAAAGAAAGCCAUUCAGUCUCACCAGGAAGAAAUUGAGCUUAUCAACAUAGGUACCGAGGAAAACAAGCAAGAAAUCAAGAUUGGUGCUACUCUAGAGGAAGGGGUUAAACAGAAGAUCAUCCAGCUCCUCCGGGAAUAUCCGGAUAUUUUUGCAUGGUCCUAUGAAGAUAUGCCAGGUCUAGACCCUAUGAUCGUGGAGCAUCGGAUCCCUACCAAGCCUGAAUGUCCUCCCGUCAGGCAGAAAUUGAGAAGGACUCAUCCUGAUAUGGCUCUCAAAAUCAAGAAUGAAGUUCAAAAGCAGAUUGAUGCGGGUUUCCUCAUGACAGUUGAGUAUCCCGAAUGGGUUGCCAAUAUUGUGCCUGUGCCAAAGAAGGAUGGUAAAGUUCGGAUGUGUAUUGACUUCAGAGACCUGAACAAAGCCAGCCCAAAAGACAACUUUCCAUUACCUCAUAUUGAUGUGCUUGUUGAUAAUACUGCUCAAUCUAAGGUGUUCUCCUUCAUGGACGGUUUUUCCGGUUAUAAUCAGAUCAAGAUGUCUCCUGAAGAUAGAGAAAAGACAUCUUUUAUCACUCCAUGGGGUACUUUCUGCUACAAGGUGAUGCCGUUCGGCCUAAUCAAUGCUGGUGCUACCUAUCAAAGGGGAAUGACUACUCUGUUUCAUGACAUGAUUCACAAAGAAGUUGAGGUAUAUGUGGAUGACAUGAUUGUGAAGUCAGCAGAUGAGGAGCAGCAUGUUGAAUAUUUAACAAAGAUGUUUGAAAGGUUGAGAAAAUACAAGCUGCGAUUGAAUCCCAACAAAUGUACAUUCGGUGUCAGGUCCGGAAAGUUAUUAGGCUUCAUUGUCAGCCAAAAGGGCAUUGAAGUCGAUCCUGAUAAAGUCCGGGCCAUCCGAGAAAUGCCAGCUCCACAGACAGAGAAGCAAGUCAGAGGUUUCUUGGGACGUUUGAAUUACAUCUCCCGAUUCAUAUCUCAUAUGACUGCAACCUGCGGGCCGAUCUUCAAGCUACUUAGAAAGAACCAGCCUGUUGUAUGGAAUGAUGAAUGCCAAGAAGCUUUUGAUAGCAUCAAGAAUUACCUGCUGGAACCACCUAUCCUUGUCCCACCCGUGGAAGGAAGGCCUUUGAUUAUGUAUUUGGCAGUGUUUGAUGAAUCCAUGGGAUGCGUGCUUGGUCAACAAGAUGAAACUGGAAAGAAAGAGCAUGCUAUCUACUAUCUAAGCAAGAAGUUCACCGAUUGUGAAACUCGGUAUACAAUGCUUGAGAAGACUUGUUGUGCUUUAGCUUGGGCUGCCAAACGCCUGCGUCAUUAUUUGGUGAAUCAUACAACUUGGUUGAUAUCCAGAAUGGAUCCGAUAAAGUAUAUCUUUGAGAAAGCUGCUGUUACUGGAAAGAUUGCACGCUGGCAGAUGCUUUUGUCAGAAUAUGAUAUUGUGUUCAAAACUCAAAAGGCAAUCAAAGGUAGCAUUCUUGCCGAUCACCUUGCUUACCAACCUCUUGAUGAUUACCAACCAAUUGAAUUCGAUUUCCCCGAUGAAGAGAUCAUGUAUUUGAAAUCCAAAGACUGCGAAGAACCGUUGAUUAAUGAAGGUCCAGAUCCCAAUAGCAAGUGGGGUUUAGUCUUUGAUGGUGCUGUCAAUGCUUAUGGUAAGGGAAUUGGGGCAGUCAUUGUAUCCCCGCAGGGGCAUCACAUUCCUUUUACCGCCAGAAUCUUGUUCGAAUGUACCAACAAUAUGGCUGAGUAUGAAGCAUGUAUCUUUGGGAUCGAGGAAGCAAUUGACAUGAGAAUCAAACACCUCGACAUCUAUGGAGAUUCUGCGCUCGUCAUCAAUCAGAUAAAGGGUGAAUGGGAGACCCACCAUGCUAAUUUGAUUCCUUAUCGUGAUUAUGCGAGACGUUUGCUGACAUAUUUUACAAAGGUUGAGCUGCACCAUAUUCCUCGUGAUGAGAACCAAAUGGCUGAUGCUCUUGCUACUCUAUCCUCCAUGUUUCGAGUAAACCAUUGGAAUGAUGUGCCAAUAAUCAAAAUGCAACGCCUUGAAAGACCUUCACAUGUGUUUGCUAUUGGGGAUGUGAUCGAUCAGGCUGGUGAAAAUGUGGUUGACUAUAAACCCUGGUACUAUGACAUCAAGCAGUUCUUGCUGAGCCGUGAGUAUCCGCCGGGUGCUUCCAAACAAGAUAAGAAGACCCUGAGAAGAUUGGCCGGUAGAUUCCUGUUAGAUGGAAAUAUUCUGUACAAGAGGAACUAUGACAUGGUAUUGUUAAGGUGUGUUGAUGAACAUGAAGCAGAGCAGUUAAUGCAUGAUGUACAUGACGGUACCUUCGGGACCCAUGCUACAGGGCAUACUAUGUCAAGAAAGUUGUUACGAGCAGGUUAUUACUGGAUGGCCAUGGAGCAUGAUUGCUACCAAUACGCCAGAAAGUGCCACAAAUGUCAAAUCUAUGCUGAUAAGAUCCAUGUGCCUCCGCAUGCUCUCAAUGUUAUGUCAUCCCCAUGGCCGUUCUCAAUGUGGGGCAUUGACAUGAUUGGAAGAAUUGAACCGAAGGCUUCAAAUGGUCAUCGUUUCAUCUUAGUGGCAAUUGACUACUUCACCAAGUGGGUUGAAGCAGCAUCUUAUACCAAUGUGACCAAGCAAGUGGUAGCUAAGUUCAUCAAGAACAACAUCAUCUGUCGAUAUGGUGUUCCCAGCAAGAUUAUUACUGACAAUGGUACCAACCUGAACAACAAUGUGGUGCAAGCUCUUUGUGAAGAAUUCAAAAUUGAGCACCAUAACUCUUCUCCUUAUAGACCUCAGAUGAAUGGUGCAGUUGAGGCCGCCAACAAGAAUAUCAAGAGAAUUGUCCAGAAGAUGGUAACUACUUACAAGGACUGGCAUGAGAUGUUACCCUAUGCUCUGCAUGGCUACCGUACUACAGUGCGCAGUUCAACCGGGGCAACCCCUUUCUCUCUUGUAUAUGGUAUGGAAGCAGUUCUUCCUUUGGAAGUGGAGAUCCCGUCUCUCCGUGUGAUCAUGGAAGCAAAGUUAUCUGAGGCUGAAUGGUGCCAAAGCCGGUAUGAUCAGUUGAAUUUGAUUGAGGAAAAACGUAUGGAUGCCAUGGCUCGUGGACAUUCAUAUCAAGCCAGAAUGAAGACUGCUUUUGACAAGAAAGUCAAUCCUCGAGAAUUCAAGGUAGGGGAACUUGUUUUGAAAAGGAGGAUAAGCCAGCAACCCGACCCAAGGGGCAAGUGGACGCCUAACUAUGAAGGUCCUUAUGUUGUCAAGAAGGCCUUCUCCGGUGGUGCUUUAAUCCUUACACACAUGGAUGGUGUAGAACUUCCAAAUCCAGUGAAUGCUGAUAUAGUCAAGAAAUACUUUGCCUAGAAAUAUGAAAAGAACAGCGUGGUAGGUCGAAAACCCGAAAGGGCGGCCUAGGCAAAAAUGCGCUUCCCGGUGGAUCGAAAACCCGAAAGGGCGGUCCAGGCAAAAAUAAGGGACAAAAAAGAAACAAAUAUGAAAAGCUCGCUGAGAUUGUACACAACUCAGGCAAGAAUGAGCGUCUCGAUGAGCCGAAAACCCGGAAGGGCGGUUCAUGCAAAAAUGAGAUUGAAACAAAAGGCAAGUAACUAUAUCUAGUCAACCACCGUUCCCCUUGAGGCAUCUGCAGCUGUUAAUGACCGUCUUCAUCAAAAAGCUUAUGUACUCGUGGAUUCAAAGUUUCUAAGAAAUGUAGUGAUUGCUGUGUUCAAUGUACCACCAACCAAUAAAAUUACCAUUUUCCAAGCUUUGUGAAUCCGUGGAGUCACGCCUUUGGCUGACCACCACUCUUACACAUCAAUUUGAGCUUGUGCUUUUGUUUAAAACUCUACCUUUCUUCUACUUUCAAAGCUAUAUACAAAACAUUUUCCUUCUAUUUUGAUAAUGACAAUGCUUGAAACAAACAUUUUUGAAAAUUGAAAACUUUUUGUCUAUUUUGAAAAGCAAACCUGAGCAACGGGGUACAUUCAAAUGAAACAUGCAUGAGCGAGAAUAUGUUAAUGUCUAUUUCAAUAUAUGUUACAAGCAGGUUCUCCUCCAGGAUAGUCUGUGGUCAAUGGCAAGAAUGAAAAAACAGAAUGAAAAUGCAUGAAAAUGAAAAGGCUCGCUAAGUUGAAAACCCGAAAGGGCGACUUAGGCAAAAAUGAGCACCCCGCUGGAUUGACAACCCGAAAGGGCAAUUCAGGCAAAAAUGGGGCAUUGAAAAGAAUUUAUUUCCCCGGUGGACCGAAAACCCGAAAGGGCGAUCCAGGCAAAAAUGGGAUGCGAAAAAUGAUGAAUGAAAUUGAGAAUAUAACAUGCAAGAAGCAUUGACCACAGAUGCAAUGUCUACAACAUGCCCAGCACAACGGCAUUUUCCCCAGUCAAGUCUUCCAAGAUUCUAUCUCCAGCAAGUUGCAUACCUACCUAUCCUCAGCCUUGGUUCUGAUACGUCUCCCAACGACGUCAUCUCCAAAGAGGAUUUCCAAGAAUGUGUAAUAUAGCACGAGCCACUACGUGCCCAAUACUCUAAUGUCUUGUCUUCUCCGUGAAGUCGUGCCUACAAAAUGCCAACAGUCAUGCAUUACAAGCAUUCAUACAUGCAUAAUCAUGCAUAUUACGUGCCCAUGCAUUUAAUGAAAUUGUUAUAUCAUCCAUGCAUAUUGCAUUUCCAAUGUCAACAUCAGUCUCAAUUCAAUACUCAUGUCAGGUUCUCCGUCAAAACCUUGUGAGCCAAUAAUAUCGGUCAAUUUCUGCCUUUCAAUUCAAAUCGACGUCAAGUCAACCUCAAUCUAUAUUUUGUCAACAAACCAAUCCCCAGUGAAUGUGUUUCUGUUUGGUCAAGUUACUAGUUCGCAUCCAAGAACGACUUGUACCCAUUUACUUUUCAAUGUUAUCGGUCGAGUGCCCAGCUCAAUCCAAGAGCAGCUUGUACCUGUCUAUAUGUUUCCGUUUGGUCAAGUGACUAGCUCAAUCCAAGAGCAGCUUGUACCUGUCUAUCUGUUUCUGUCCGGUGGAGUAACCAGUUCGAAUCCAUAAGAACAACUCAUGUUUGUCCAGUAACCUCUAUCCCCAAGUGAGUCACCAGUUCGAAUCCAUAAGAACAACUCAUGUUUGUCCAGUAACCUCUAUCCCCAAGUGAGUCACCAGUUCGAAUCCAUAAGAACAACUCAUGUUUGUCCAGUAACCUCUAUCCCCUGUGAAGUGACCAGUUCGAAUCCAUAAGAACAACUCGCAGUUGUCUGUUUGUUUCAUCCCCGGUCAAGUGGCUAGUUUGAAUCCAAGAACAGCUUGUACCUGUCCAACUUGUUUCUAGUUUCCCGUUACUCUGCUAUUCACUAUCUUUGUCAAUGUCUACCAAUCCCGCAAUGGAUACGACAUAUUUUGUUAAUUCCAAUCCCCAUGAGGUCUUGCAUUCAUAAUCCAAAUGAUGCAUGGCAUGCAUAUUAUUUGAAAAUGGGUAGGCGUAUUUUUACGUCCAAACACAGUGUAAAUGCUAAUAUUUAAGUAUCUUCGUCCUGUCAAGCCAAAGACUCCGUCUCUUGAUUCUCCGGACAAAGAAACUUAAAUAGGGGCAGCUGUUAUACCCUGUUUUUGGACCUAAAAAUACUGGGCCCAAUUUCAUUUCAAACUUUGUCGAUUAUCAAAUUUCAACUGCGCAGUUCAAAUUGUCUCUGCCUCGCAGUAUUUUCAAUCACAAUUUUACCUAUGUUUUUCUUGCAUAAAACCUUUCGAAAUGUCUUUACUUGUCCUGUAAGUCAUUCAAAAGUGUCUCUGAAUCAUUACAUUGCUUUUUCUACAGUUUAUUUCAAAAUUUGCAAAAAGUCAUACAGAAGGGUAUUUUGGUCAUUUCCUGCAGUGGGACCCAUUUUCAUCCUUGUGACUGUCUCUGAGUCUUUUCAGAUUACUUUUAAACAUUUCAUCAGUAAACUUUGUUAAAAUUCAUUUCAAACUUGCGUCUGAGUCAGUGUCAAGUCAAUUCGAGUCUGUUUAGGUCAUUUUUAGCCCUAGGGGCAUUUUGGUCAUUUCACAUAAAAUUUUGGCAUGGGGAGGUUACUUUGAAGUACCUCAUUUAGGCCAUUGGUUCGUUUUAGUCCGUUUUGUCAAUUUUAUUUGUGUUUCGCUUUACGUUUGGUCAAAUUACCAAUUUUAUUUUAAUUUUUAGUGUUUUUAUUAUUUUUGCAUUUUUGUCCUCAAAGAGUUCCAAAAUUGCAGUUCAGUCCACUUUUUUUCCAAUUUUCAUUUCAGUCCUUUUUGUCAAAUUGCAGUUUAGUCCUUGAAGUUUUAUUUUUUGCAGAAAGGUCCAAAGUUCAUUUUUCAGGUCCAAAGCCGUGCCAUUCCUUUUCCAAAUCCAGGUGUCACAUUUUCGUUGGCUCAAGUGUACACAUGUCAGCUAUAAAAGCAGUGAGUCAGAGUCAAAGCCAAGGACAACACGCCAACUCAACAAACACAUUUUCAGAUUCUCUCUCCAAUCAGUUAGAUCAAAACAGAAAAAUUUCUCAGAUUCAUCAAGAACACGAAGAACACAAAACCCUAACCGUUUCCAGAAAGUCACAAAUUCAUCAAGUUUCAGUGUUUUUCGCAUCAAUUCUCAGAGAUUCGUAUGAAUCUUCAUCACUGAAUUGAUUGAUUCUCUGCAAUUCCAAACGCGAGCUCGCAUCAAAGCAAGCUCAUGCGUUGAUCACAGAGAGCCUCUCGCAAAGAAAUCAAAGAAGCAAGUUCAAACGUAUAAUCAGAGAAAGAAUCGGAGAAGAUGAAGAAACCAAGCCAGUAAACCGAUUUAUUUUCGGUUCAGAGAAAACCAAAGAACGUUCAAGUUUUCCGAAGAUUUUCUCCUUCAAGAAUCUCAACCAAAUUCAGGUAAAACUCAGUUUUCUCUCUUUAAAAAGCAUAAUCACUGUUAAACCUGCAAACAAGAUCCAAAAAAUUUCCAGAAUCAUAAAAAAAAUCAUAACCGUAAGCAAAAACAUAGAUCCAUAGAAAUCCAGAAGUUGUAAGCAAGGACGAGUGCCAGAGAGAUAGCCAACACGGAAUCAAUGUAGAUCUUGAGGUGUUACAAGCUUCUUUUAAAAAUUCUUUGAAAACCUAAAAAAUUUUUCAAAACCGUGACACAAAAACGUAGAUCUACGUUGAUUCACGCCUUGCAUGAAAAAUCCAGUGGCAUAUUCGUGUUUAGGAUGGAAAAGGAUAUCUGAAAAUGUAAGUUUUUUUGAAAACGGUGGAGUUUGUUCAACUCCGGCGGCGGCGCCACCACCCUUGGGCGGCCGGCCACCACGCCGGAGGAGCAAAACUCACCGGGGAAGAUGAAGAUCUUCCGUGUUUUUCCAGAAUCCGGUGAGGGUUUAGAGAGAGAUGAGAGAUGAGAGAAGAGGGAAGAACUUAGAGAGAGAAAGGGAAGUAGAGAAAUGAAAAAACCGGUGCUCUCUUGUUUAUAUAAGCCAGCGAACCGGACCGGUUCAAUCCGGUCCAUUCCCCUUUGAUUCCUGGCCGCUUGAUCUAGGGUUUCAGAAUCCUGGAUCAAUCGUGUGGUUACUGUGCAUCCGGAUCUUUUAAGGAUUGGGCUUUGGUUUGGGCUUAGUUUUUUUACGUUUUUUUUGUUAUUUUCUUGCUAUUUGCACUGCCUGUCUUUGCUAUCCGCACCUGUUGCUUGCCUACCUUUUUAUAGAAAAUUCCUAAAAAAAUCCUAGUUGUUUCUCAAUGUAUUUUUGGCAUUUUUAUGGUGUUUUCUUGCAUGAAAAAAAUAUUAAAAUGGCAUGAACUAAUUUCCAUGAGUUUCUACACUUUUGGUAUGCAUUUUGCUAUGUUUUGUUCUUGGCAUUUUGAUAUUAUGACAUGGAUGAAUGAUGCCUAAUAUGGUGAUGAACAUGCCUCUGGAAAUGUGUUUAUUUUUGUUGUGUUUGGAUAUGAUUUUAUGGAUUACUUGUUUCACAAGAAAUAAUGGUUUAUUUUUUAGAAUAAAGUGGCAAAUUUCUCUAUGAACUUGGUAUGAUAUUUUGCAUGCAUACGCCUCCAUUAAUUGCAUGUCAUGGCUUGAAACAAAAUUUCUUUCUAAAUUGCCAUGAUGUGAUGAUUAUGGGUCACUAGCAUUUUUAAGUAUCAUAUCAAAUGUCUUCUAGGUUUAUUACCACUUUAUUGCUUUCUCUUGGCCAUCUUUAUGCAUUUCCUCUUAAUUACUUCCUACUAUUGUGUGCUUUAUGACUACUAACCAUUUCAUCUCAUGUGCCAUACAUUUCAUAGCAUUCCACCACUCUCUCCACUUUCUUUAGCUUAGCAUUUAUUUUUUGCAAAUCUUAAUUCAUUUGGUGAUGUAAUUUGUUGUCAUUGGUUUGUAGCUUGGCAAAGGGGCCAUAGAAUGUAUUUAGGCAAUUUUUGUAAUAUGGACUAUGGACACUAUGACGCACCGACACGCACACACUCACCUUAGAUGUAUGCAUAGGAUUGUAUGAUUAAAUAAGCGUUUAGGUUUUAAACACUUAGAGAAAAUCCAUCUUUUUUCAAAAAAUAAUUGAACUUCACUUCAAAAACUUUCAUGAUAAGCAUGAAGUCAACACUUCAUUUUUCCUUUCUUUUUUUCUUAAGAAAAAGUUCAAUUCAUCUUAAUCAUUUAGACUUUCUUUCUAAUCACUAAUCAAACCUCACUUUUUUGCUAAAUCUAAUGCUCAUGAAGCCUCCCAAUCUCCUUCUUCAAAACUUUUUUUUCAAAACUUAAAAUCAAACAAUUAAAAUCAAAAAAAAAAGUUUUUUUAGCAAGAACUACGAACGGUUUUGAUCCCUUAAAAGGGUACGUAGGCAAUGAGUCAAAACUCAUCCAAGCCGAAAUAAAAUCAAAAUUCUACUUCUUCUCACCCCCAUUCUUAACUAAAUAAACCUCCCAUUUUCAAAAGUAAGUAAAAAUAAAGCGUAGAAAUCGACUUAGGAAAACGGCUCCUAUAGAGGACUAUAGUUACUCCGGGUGCCUAACACCUUCCCGUAGUAAAACCGACCCCCGAACUUAGAAUCUAAGGGUUUUUUCUCAAUUUUUCCCUUCCCAAGAAAAAAGAGAGAUAUCAACGGUCGAAAGGUACAAGUCCAAUUAAUGACUUGGCACCCAAAAACCAUGAUAACAAUGCCUAAUAUUGUGGUGAAUAUAACUCUGGAAAUGUGCUUUUGUUUGCUAUUUGUGAAUAUGAUUUUAUGGAUUUCUUGUUUUACAAGCAACAAGUGUUUAUUUUUAGGAAUAAAGUAGGAAAUUUCUUCAUGAAUUUGGUGUGGUAUUUUGCUUGCACAUGUCUCCAUUAAUUGCAUGUCAUGGUUUAAAACAAAAUUUCUUUCAAAAUUGCCAUGAUGUGAUAAUUAUGGGUCACUAGCAUCUUUAGGUAUCAUAUCAAAUGUUUUUUUAGGUUUUUACCACUUUGUUACUCUUUCUUUGCCAUUCUUAUGCACUUCCUUUUGAUUAUUUCCUACUAUUUUGUGCUUUAUAAUCACUAACCAUUUCAUCUCAUGUGCCAUACAUUCCAUAGCAUUCCACCACCCUCUCCACUUUCUUUAGCUUAGCAUUUAUUUUUUGCAAGUUUUAAUUCAUUUGGUGAUGUAAUUUGUUAUCAUUGGUUUGUAGCUUGGCAAAGGGGCCAUAGAAUGUAUUUAGGCAAUUUUUGUAAUAUGGACUAUGGACACUAUGACGCACCGACACGCACACACUCACCUUAGAUGUAUGCAUAGGAUUGUAUGGUUAAAUAAGCGUUUAGGUUUUAAACACUUAGAGAAAAUCCAUCUUUUUUUCAAAAAAAAACAAUUGAACUUCACUUCAAAAUUUUCAUAAUAAGUAUGAAGUCAACACUUCAUUUUUUUUCCUUUCUUUUUUCUUAAGAAAAAUUCAAUUCAUCUUAACUAUUUAGACUUUCUUUCUAAUCACUAAUCAAACCUCACUUUUUUGCUAAAUCUAAUGCUCAUGAAGCCUCCCAAUCUCCUUCUUCAAAACCUUUUUUUCAAAACUUAAAAUCAAACAAUUAAAACAAAAAACAAGUUUUUUUAGCAAGAACUACGAACGGUUUUGAUCCCGUAAAACGGUACGUAGGCAAUGAGUCAAAACUCAUCCAAGCCGAAAUAAAAUCAAAUUCUACUUCUUCUCACCCCCAUUCUUCACUAAUCAUACCUUCUUUUUUACAAAUAAGCAAUAAAACUAAAGCGUAGAAAUAAACUUAGGAGAACGGUUCUUAUGGAAUACCAUAAUCGCUCCGGGUGCCUAACACCUUCCCGUAGUGAAAACGACCCCCGAAUCUAGAACUUUUUAAGGGUUUUUUCUCCUUUUACCCUUCCCAAGAAAAAAGAGAGAUAUCAACGGUCGAAAGGUUCAAGUCCAAUUAAUGGCUUGGCACCCCAAAACCAUGAUAACAGAAAUGGCGACUUCACUGGGGACUCUUUUUAGCGGGUCGCGCCUAGUUUUCCUUAGUUUAUAUUUACACUUUGUUUUAUUGCUUACAUAUGUGAAUAUUUGUUUACUUUCAUUCAACGUGUGGGGUGAGAAUAUCAAAAGUCCUAUACCCGGGCUGAGUGAACUUAUGUUUAGGUAGAGAUAUAAUCGACAAUUCGAUCCGGGGGUUGCCUCGUGUAUUGGAUUAUGCGAUCAAUCUCACAUAGCUGAGGCAUUUUGAAGGUGAUAUUGUCGGCGUGUGUUGUCAUGCUUAGGCACUUCACUUUCAAUUGUUCGACGAAGCUAUGAACCGUAGUUACCAAACCCAUCCUAGCCUUUUUAGGACGUAGUGCGGUGGCUAAAUUGAGUGUUGUCUCAAACUUUAGUCGUCACGCGAUACUACACUCAAACUAGACCUUCUCACAAAUAAUCAUGGAACGGGUGUCGUCCUGUACUACCAUGAUAUAUGUGAGAGAAGUUGCAGUUUGGGAACUGUGUUAGAACCUUGGUUACUACUAUCCAAAGCCUUAGUUCACCGGACGCCGUGUCCAUCCGUGGCCCCGUUACCUUGAAACUCAAUCCACUUUUAACAACACAAUCAUGCAUACAUGCAUUCAUGCAUAAACAUUUUUCAUGCAUUCAUCGAAGGGUUUAAACAAAUGAGAAUUUUUUUUGUAAAUAAUCACAGGUAUGAAGAAGACUAAGUGCUACAAGUUCAAGGAGGUGGAUUUGGUUAGUUUGAGAGAGUUGGCACUCAAGGUCAAGAGUCAAACAGGGUUCCGACUCCGGUAUGGGGGAUUGCUUACUUUGCUCCGAACCGAUGUGGAAGAGAAGCUAGUGCACACUCUAGUGCAGUUUUAUGAUCCGAGCUUCCGUUGCUUCACUUUCCCGGACUUCCAGUUGGUUCCUACUCUCGAGGCUUACUCCAAUCUAGUGGGUUUACCUAUAGCCGAGAAGACGCCUUUCACCGGUCCCGGGACUUCUCUUACUCCUCUGGUUAUUGCAAAGGAUCUCUACCUCAAGACUUCCGACGUCUCCAACCAUCUUAUUACCAAGUCUCACAUCCGGGGGUUCACUUCGAAGUAUCUUCUUGAUCAGGCUAAUCUCGGUACUACUCGUCAGGAUACACUUGAGGCUAUUCUUGCUUUGCUUAUCUACGGGCUCAUCCUCUUUCCGAACCUCGACAACUUCGUGGACAUGAAUGCUAUCGAGAUCUUUCAUUCCAAGAACCCGGUUCCUACUUUGCUAGCGGAUACUUACCACGCCAUCCAUGACAGGACUCUCAAGGGCCGUGGGUAUAUUCUUUGCUGCAUAUCUCUCUUGUAUAGGUGGUUUAUUUCGCACCUUCCGAGUUCCUUCCAUGACAACUCGGAGAACUGGUCCUACUCGCAGCGGAUUAUGGCUCUCACUCCUAAUGAGGUCGUCUGGCUCACUCCGGCCGCUCAGGUGAAGGAAAUCAUUAUGGGUUGUGGAGACUUUCUCAAUGUACCUCUUCUUGGUACCCGUGGAGAAAUCAACUACAACCCCGAGCUUGCUAUGAGACAGUUCGGUUUCCCUAUGAAGUCGAAGCCCAUCAAUCUUGCCACAUCUCCAGAGUUCUUCUUCUACAUGAAUGCUCCUACCGGACAAAAGAAAGCUUUCGUGGAUGCUUGGUCCAAGGUUCGAAGGAAAAGUGUGAAGCAUCUAGGUGUGAGAUCCGGUGUCGCUCAUGAGGCUUAUACUCAGUGGGUGAUAGAUCGAGCUGAGGAGAUUGGUAUGCCUUAUCCAGCUAUGAGAUACGUGUCUUCAUCCACUCCGUCUAUGCCUUUACCUCUACUUCCCGCAACUCAGGAUAUGUAUCAGGAGCAUCUAGCUAUGGAGAGUCGUGAGAAGCAAGCGUGGAAAGCUCGGUACAAUCAAGCCGAGAAUCUAAUCAUGACUUUGGAUGGUAGAGAUGAGCAGAAGACUCAUGAGAAUCUGAUGUUGAAGAAAGAACUAGCUAAGGCCCGGAGGGAAUUGGAAGAGAAAGACGAGCUGCUUAUGAGGGAUUCCAAGAGAGCUCGAGGACGACGAGAUUUCUUUGACAGAUACUGUGAUUCAGAUUCCGAGUCCGAUGAUCUUCCGACUACUUCCUAUGCUUGAGAGCUCUAUUUGUUUACCUUGUUGAAAAUGUUGUGUAAUUUUGUUUAUUUGCAAGAUUUCUAAUUUGUUUUAAAAUCCUUCGAUGAAAAAAAUAAGUCUUUUGCAUUCGCAUUUGCAUAUCAUGCAUCAUAUGCAUCAUGCAUUGGUCACAAAGGCUUCCAAGUGCUCAUUAUCUCCUGGUUCCUCUGCCGCAGUGUGAAAAGUGGCUCGUGCUCAGAGAGUUUACGAACCAGAUAGAAUUGAUCGAACCAGAGAAUACAGAAGAAAGAAAAGGGCUAUGGAAGAAGAGAACGCUCAGCUUCGCACCGAGUUAGCCUCUCUAAAGGAGGAAUUGGCAAAAGCUAAUGACGUCAUGACUGCUCUACUAGCUGCUCAAGAGCAAUCAGCUACAGCUAUCCCUACAACCACAGCUGCACCAGUAACUACAAGCGUGCUCCCUACCACUUCUGCAGACAAUCGCUUUACUAUGCCAGUGGGGUUUCCGUAUGGGCUUCCACCAUUCUUCACUCCCGUUGCUACAGCAAGCACCUCGGGCACUGCUAACAAUGUUCUGAUCCCUGCAACAAAUGCCGCCUCCAUCAUUGCUACUUUGCCACAAACAACAGCAGCUGUCACUGAGCCUCUGGUACACACUCUGCCUCAAGGUAUUAACAUCAACACACAGCACAGAAGCAUCCCCGUAACCAAGACUAUGGAAGAGAUGAUGGAGGAACUUGCUAAAGAACUCCGUCACGAGAUCCAGGCCAAUCGAGGGAAUGCAGACUCUGUCAAAACUCAAGACCUUUGCUUAGUGUCAAAAGUGGAUGUUCCUAAAAAGUUCAAGAUUCCGGACUUCGACCGGUACAACGGGCUAACUUGUCCUCAAAAUCACAUCAUCAAAUACGUCCGGAAGAUGGGCAAUUACAAAGACAAUGAUUCCCUUAUGAUCCACUGUUUUCAGGAUAGUCUGAUGGAGGAUGCCGCAGAGUGGUAUACUAGUUUGAGUAAGAAUGACAUCCAUACCUUUGAUGAGUUAGCCACCGCUUUCAAGAGCCAUUAUGGGUUUAACACUCGACUGAGGCCAAAUAGGGAGUUUCUCAGGUCCCUAUCUCAGAAGAAGGAGGAAAGUUUCCGUGAAUAUGCGCAAAGGUGGAGAGGGGCGGCUGCCCGUAUCACCCCUGCUUUAGAUGAAGAAGAAAUGACCCAGACGUUCUUAAAGACGUUGAAGAAAGAUUAUGUUGAGAGGAUGAUCAUCGCUGCCCCGAACAACUUUUCGGAGAUGGUCACUAUGGGAACCCGCCUUGAGGAAGCCGUCAGGGAUGGGAUCAUUGUGUUUGAGAAAGCUGAAUCCUCUGUGAGUGCAUCGAAGAGAUAUGGUAAUGGACACCACAAGAAGAAAGAAACUGAAGUGGGGAUGGUAUCAGCUGGAGCCGGUCAAUCCAUGGCUACUAUUGCUCCCAUCAAUGCAGCUCAAAUGCCUCCGUCAUACCCAUAUAUGCCAUAUUCUCAGCAUCCGUUCUUCCCACCGUUUUAUCAUCAGUACCCUUUGCCACCGGGUCAACCUCAAGUGCCCGUCAAUGCAAUUGCCCAACAGAUGAAACAACAGUUGCCGGUUCAACAACAACAACAAAAUCAGCAAGCUAGGCCUACUUUCCCUCCGAUACCGAUGUUAUAUGCUGAGUUGCUUCCAACUUUACUCCAGAGAGGGCAUUGUACGACUAGACAGGGCAAGCCACCACCUGAUCCGUUGCCUCCAAGGUUCAGGUCUGAUCUCAAAUGCGAUUUUCAUCAAGGUGCCUUAGGUCAUGAUGUCGAGGGGUGUUAUGCUUUGAAGUAUAUCGUGAAGAAGCUCAUUGAUCAAGGGAAGCUCACUUUUGAGAAUAAUGUCCCACAUGUCCUUGACAAUCCGCUACCAAAUCAUGCCGCUGUGAAUAUGAUCGAAGUAUGUGAAGAAACUCCUAGACUUGAUGUCCGCAAUGUCGCAACUCCUCUGGUACCUCUACACAUCAAGCUGUGCAAAGCUUCUCUGUUCAAUCAUGAUCAUGCUAAGUGUCUGGGAUGUCUCCGUGAUCCUUUGGGUUGUUAUGCUGUUCAAGACGACAUCCAAAGCUUAAUGAAUGAUAAUCUUCUGACUGUCAGUGAUGUUUGCGUGAUUGUGCCAGUUUUUCACGAUCCGCCUGUCAAGAGUGUACCUUUGAAGAAGAAUGCUGAGCCUUUGGUGAUAAGGUUGCCAGGACCAAUUCCUUAUGUUUCGGAUAAGGCUGUUCCAUACAAAUACAAUGCUACUAUGAUAGAAAAUGGAGUAGAGGUGCCUCUAGCCUCCUUUGCCACAGUAAGCAAUAUUGCCGAAGGGACUUCUGCAGCGCUAAGAAGCGGGAAAGUUCGUCCGCCGUUAUUUCAGAAGAAGGUAGCUACCCCGACCAUUCCACCAGUUGAAGAAGCAACUCCAACCGUUGUCUCACCCAUUGCUACAGAUGUGAACCAGCCUGGCAAAUCUAUAGAGGAUUCGAAUUUAGAUGAGAUUCUGAGGAUAAUAAAGAGGAGCGACUACAAGAUCGUUGAUCAGUUGCUGCAGACUCCUUCAAAGAUAUCUGUCUUGUCAUUACUCUUAAGCUCUGAGGCUCACAGGAAUACUUUGUUGAAAGUGCUGGAGCAGGCUUAUGUUGACCACGAAGUUACGGUAGAUCGUUUCGGUGGCAUAGUGGGAAAUAUUACUGCUUGUAACAAUCUCUGGUUUAGUGAAGAAGAAUUGCCGGAAGCGGGAAAGAGUCACAAUCUGGCUUUACACAUCUCGGUGAAUUGUAAAUCAGACAUGAUAUCAAAUGUGUUGGUGGAUACCGGUUCCUCUCUCAAUGUAAUGCCCAAGACAACUCUAGAUCAGUUGAGCUACCGUGGGACCCCUUUGAGAAGAAGUACUUUCUUGGUCAAAGCUUUUGAUGGAUCUCGAAAGAAUGUGCUGGGAGAGAUAGACUUGCCGAUAACCAUUGGCCCUGAGAAUUUCUUGGUUACUUUCCAAGUGAUGGACAUUAAUGCAUCCUACAGUUGCCUGCUGGGAAGACCGUGGAUACACGAUGCAGGUGCGGUUACUUCCACCUUACAUCAGAAGUUGAAAUUUGUGAAGAAUGGAAAACUCGUUACAAUCCAUGGUGAAGAAGCAUACUUAGUCAGCCAAUUGUCUUCUUUUUCUUGUAUUGAAGCAGGGUCUGCUGAAGGGACUGCUUUCCAAGGUUUGACCAUUGAAGGUGCAGAGUCAAAGGAAGCUGGGGCUGCUAUGGCUUCAUUGAAGGAUGCUCAGAGAGCCAUUCAAGAAGGUCAGACUGCCGGCUGGGGCAAGGUGAUACAGCUCUGUGAGAACAAGCGCAAAGAAGGUCUCGGGUUCUCCCCGUCAUCAAGGGUUUCCUCAGGAGUCUUCCACAGUGCAGGGUUUGUUAAUGCUAUCUCCGAAGAAGCCACUGGAUCUGGUCUCAGGCCUGUAUUUGUUACACCAGGAGGCAUUGCGAGUGAUUGGGAUGCCAUUGACAUUCCUUCAAUCAUGCAUGUUUCCGAGUAAUGCGUCUUGUUGCUUUAGCGCUUUGUUUUCAAAAAUAACAAUCCUCUCGCUCUGCCCAAAGCGAGAGUGAUAUUUUCUGUAAGGGCGUGUUUGUUUCGGCAUUGCCGUUUGAUGAAUAAAAAUUGUCGUUUCUUUCACGACUGCUUUUUUUUUAGUGCCCUUUUCUUGGAAAAAUGGUAAUGCCAGAAAAAACCAAAACGUCUGUAUUUUCUUAUUAAUUUCAAAAAUCUGCAUGAAAAAAAAACUCUUUCUAAAAUCAUCCAAUCAUUAUAUGCAGGUUGAACCAUAAUAAACCCGUUGAACACAGUAAUCCUACGGUUCCUCCAAAUUUUGAAUUCCCUGUAUAUGAAGCUGAAGAUGAGGAAGGUGAUGACAUACCGUAUGAGAUCACUCGGUUACUUGAGCAAGAAAAGAAAGCCAUUCAGUCUCACCAGGAAGAGAUUGAGCUUAUCAACAUAGGUACCGAGGAAAACAAGCGAGAAAUCAAGAUUGGUGCUACUCUAGAGGAAGGGGUUAAACAGAAGAUCAUCCAGCUCCUCCGGGAAUAUCCGGAUAUUUUUGCAUGGUCCUAUGAAGAUAUGCCAGGUCUAGACCCUAUGAUCGUGGAGCAUCGGAUCCCUACCAAGCCUGAAUGUCCUCCCGUCAGACAGAAAUUGAGAAGGACUCAUCCUGAUAUGGCUCUCAAGAUUAAGAGCGAGGUUCAAAAACAGAUUGAUGCGGGUUUCCUAAUGACAGUUGAGUAUCCUGAAUGGGUUGCCAAUAUUGUGCCUGUGCCAAAAAAGGAUGGUAAAGUCCGGAUGUGUGUUGACUUCAGAGACCUGAACAAAGCCAGUCCAAAAGACAACUUUCCAUUACCUCAUAUUGAUGUGCUUGUUGAUAAUACUGCUCAAUCUAAGGUGUUCUCCUUCAUGGACGGUUUUUCUGGUUAUAAUCAGAUCAAAAUGUCUCCCGAAGAUAGAGAAAAGACAUCUUUUAUCACUCCAUGGGGUACUUUCUGCUACAAAGUGAUGCCAUUCGGUCUAAUUAAUGCUGGUGCUACCUACCAAAGGGGAAUGACUACUUUGUUUCAUGACAUGAUUCACAAAGAAGUUGAGGUAUAUGUGGAUGACAUGAUUGUGAAGUCAGCAGAUGAGGAGCAGCAUGUUGAAUAUUUAACAAAGAUGUUUGAAAGGUUGAGAAAAUACAAGCUGCGUUUGAAUCCCAACAAAUGUACAUUCGGUGUCAGGUCCGGAAAGUUAUUAGGCUUCAUUGUCAGCCAAAAGGGCAUUGAAGUCGAUCCUGAUAAAGUCCGGGCCAUCCAAGAAAUGCCAGCUCCACAGACAGAGAAGCAAGUCAGAGGUUUCCUCGGGCGUUUGAAUUACAUCUCCCGGUUCAUAUCUCACAUGACCGCAACCUGUGGGCCGAUCUUCAAGCUGCUUAGAAAAAACCAGCCUAUUGUAUGGAAUGAUGAGUGCCAAGAAGCUUUUGAUAGCAUCAAGAAUUACCUGCUGGAACCACCUAUCCUUGUCCCACCCGUGGAAGGAAGGCCGUUGAUCAUGUAUUUGGCAGUAUUUGAUGAAUCCAUGGGAUGCGUGCUUGGUCAACAAGAUGAAACUGGAAAGAAAGAGCAUGCUAUCUACUAUCUAAGCAAGAAGUUCACCGAUUGUGAAACUCGGUAUACAAUGCUUGAGAAGACUUGUUGUGCUUUGGCCUGGGCCGCUAAACGCCUGCGUCAUUAUUUGGUGAAUCAUACAACUUGAUUGAUAUCCAGAAUGGAUCCGAUCAAGUAUAUCUUUGAGAAAGCUGCCGUUACUGGAAAGAUUGCACGCUGGCAGAUGCUUUUGUCUGAAUAUGAUAUUGUGUUCAAAACUCAAAAGGCAAUCAAAGGUAGCAUUCUUGCCGAUCAUCUUGCCUACCAACCUCUUGAUGAUUACCAACCAAUUGAGUUCGACUUCCCUGAUGAAGAGAUCAUGUAUUUGAAAUCCAAAGACUGCGAAGAACCGUUGAUUAAUGAAGGUCCAGAUCCCAAUAGCAAGUGGGGUUUAGUCUUUGAUGGUGCUGUCAAUGCUUAUGGCAAAGGAAUCGGGGCAGUCAUUGUAUCCCCGCAAGGGUAUCACAUUCCUUUUACCGCCAGAAUCUUGUUCGAAUGUACCAACAAUAUGGCUGAGUAUGAAGCAUGUAUCUUUGGGAUCGAGGAAGCAAUUGACAUGAGAAUCAAACACCUCGACAUCUAUGGAGAUUCUGCGCUCGUCAUCAAUCAGAUAAAGGGUGAAUGGGAGACCCACCAUGCUAAUUUGAUUCCUUAUCGUGAUUAUGCGAGACGUUUGCUGACAUAUUUUACAAAGGUUGAGCUGCACCAUAUUCCUCGUGAUGAGAACCAAAUGGCUGAUGCUCUUGCUACUCUAUCCUCCAUGUUUCGAGUAAACCAUUGGAAUGAUGUGCCAAUAAUCAAAAUGCAACGCCUUGAAAGACCUUCACAUGUGUUUGCUAUUGGGGAUGUGAUCGAUCAGGCUGGUGAAAAUGUGGUUGACUAUAAACCCUGGUACUAUGACAUCAAGCAGUUCUUGCUGAGCCGUGAGUAUCCGCCGGGUGCUUCCAAACAAGACAAGAAGACCUUGAGAAGAUUGGCCAGUAGAUUCCUGUUAGAUGGAGAUAUUCUGUACAAGAGAAACUAUGACAUGGUAUUGUUAAGAUGUGUUGAUGAACAUGAAGCAGAGCAGUUAAUGCAUGAUGUACAUGACGGUACCUUCGGGACCCAUGCUACAGGGCAUACUAUGUCAAGAAAGUUGUUACGAGCAGGUUACUACUGGAUGGCCAUGGAGCAUGAUUGCUACCAGUACGCCAGAAAAUGCCACAAAUGUCAAAUCUAUGCUGAUAAGAUUCAUGUGCCUCCGCACGCUCUCAAUGUUAUGUCAUCCCCAUGGCCGUUCUCAAUGUGGGGCAUCGACAUGAUUGGAAGAAUUGAACCGAAGGCUUCAAAUGGUCAUCGUUUCAUCUUAGUGGCAAUUGACUACUUCACCAAGUGGGUUGAAGCAGCAUCUUAUACCAAUGUGACCAAGCAAGUGGUAGCUAAGUUCAUCAAGAACAACAUCAUCUGUCGAUAUGGUGUUCCCAGCAAGAUUAUUACCGACAAUGGUACCAACCUGAACAACAAUGUGGUGCAAGCUCUUUGUGAAGAAUUCAAAAUUGAGCAUCAUAACUCUUCUCCCUAUAGACCUCAGAUGAAUGGUGCAGUUGAGGCCGCCAACAAGAAUAUCAAGAGAAUUGUCCAGAAGAUGGUGACCACUUACAAGGACUGGCAUGAGAUGUUACCCUAUGCUCUGCAUGGCUACCGUACUACUGUGCGCAGUUCAACAGGGGCAACCCCUUUCUCUCUUGUAUAUGGUAUGGAAGCAGUUCUUCCUUUGGAAGUGGAGAUCCCAUCUCUCCGUGUGAUCAUGGAAGCAAAGUUAUCUGAGGCUGAAUGGUGCCAAAGCCGGUAUGAUCAGUUGAAUUUGAUUGAGGAAAAACGUAUGGAUGCCAUGGCUCGUGGACAGUCAUAUCAAGCAAGAAUGAAGACUGCCUUUGACAAGAAAGUCCAUCCUCGAGAAUUCAAGGUAGGGGAACUUGUAUUGAAAAGGAGGAUAAGCCAGCAACCCGACCCAAGGGGCAAGUGGACGCCUAACUAUGAAGGUCCUUAUGUUGUCAAGAAGGCCUUCUCCGGUGGUGCUUUAAUCCUUACACACAUGGAUGGUGUAGAACUUCCAAAUCCAGUGAAUGCCGAUAUAGUCAAGAAAUACUUUGCCUAGAAAUAUGAAAAGAACAGCGUGGUAGGUCGAAAACCCGAAAGGGCGGCCUAGGCAAAAAUGCGCUUCCCGGUGGAUCGAAAACCCGAAAGGGCGGUCCAGGCAAAAAUAAGGGACAAAAAAUAUAUGAAAAGCUCGCUGAGAUUGUACACAACUCAGGCAAGAAUGAGCGUCUCGAUGAGCCGAAAACCCGGAAGGGCGGUUCAUGCAAAAAUGAGAUUGAAACAAAAGGCAAGUAACUAUAUCUAGUCAACCACCGUCUCCCUUGGGGCAUCUGCGGCUGUUAAUGCCUAUCUUCAUCUAAAGCUCCUACGCUUGCGAAUUCAAAGUUUCCAGGAAAUGUAAUGAUUGCUGUGUUCAAUGUACCACCAACCAAUAAAAUUACCAUUUUCCAAGCUUUGUGAAUCCGUGGAGUCAUGCCUUUGGCUGACCACCACUCUUAUACAUCAAUUUGAGCCUUUGCUUUUGUUUGAAAACUCUAUUUUUUCUUCUACUUUCAAAGCUAUAUACAAAACAUUUUCUUUCUAUUUUGAUAAUGACAAUGCUUGAAACAAACAUUUUGAAAAUUGAAAACUUUUUGUCUAUUUUGAAAAGCAAACCUGAGCAACAGGGUACAUUCAAAUGAAACAUGCAUGAGUGAGAGUAUGUUGAUGUCUAUUUCAAUAUGUGUUACAAGCAGGUUCUCCUCCAGGAUAGUCUGUGGUCAAUGGCAAGAAUGAAAAAGCAGAAUGAAAAUGCAUGAAAAUGAAAAGGCUCGCUAAGUUGAAAACCCGGAAGGGCGGCUUAGGCAAGAAUGAGCACCCCGCUGGAUUGAAAACCCGAAAGGGCAGUUCAGGCAAAAAUGGGGCAUUGAAAAGAAUUUAUUUCCCCGGUGGAUCGAAAACCCGAAAGGGCGAUCCAGGCAAAAAUGGGAUGCAAAAAAUGAAUGAAUGAAGUUGAGAAUAUAACAUGCAAAAAGCAUUGACCACAGAUGCAAUGUCUACAACAUACCCAGCACUGAAAUGCCCAGCACAACGGCGUUUUCCCCAGUGGAGCCUCUCAAGAUUCUAUCUCCAGCAAGUUGCAUAUCUACCUGCCCUCAGCUAUGGUUCCGACACGUCUCCCAACGACGUCAUCUCCAAAGAAGAUUUCCAAGAAUGUGUAAUAUAGCACGAGCCACUACGUGCCCAAUACUCUAAUGUCUUGUCUUCCCCGUAAAGUCGUGCCUACAAACUGCCAACAGUCAUGCAUUACAAGCAUUCAUACAUGCACAAUCAUGCGUAAUACGUGCCCAUGCAUUUAAUAAAACUGUUAUAUCAUCCAUGCAUAUCGCAUUUCCAAUAUCAAUAUCAGUCUCAAUUCAAAACUCAUGACAGGUCCUUUGUCAAAACCUUGUGAGCCAAUAAUAUCGGUCAAUUUCUACCUUUCAAAUCAAAUCGACGUCAAGUCAAUCUCAAUCUAUAUUUUGCCAACAAACCAAUCCCCAGUGAAUAUGUUUCUGUUUGGUCAAGUGGCUAGUUCAAGGCCAAGAACAGCUUGUACCUAUCAAUUUGCUUAUGUUAUCGGUCGAGUGCCCAGCUCAAUCCAAGAGCAGCUUGUACCUGUCAAUAUGUUUCCGUUUGGUCAAGUGACUAGCUCAAUCCAAGAGCAGCUUGUACCUGUCUAUCCGUUUCUCUCCGGUGGAGUAACUAGUUCGCAUCCAAGAACAAGCUCGCACCUGUCUAUUUGCCUUGCUUUCAGUCGAGUAACCAGUUCGAAUCCUUAAGAACAACUCGUACCUGCCAAUUUUACAUGUUUUCAGUCGAGACACCAGUUCGAAUCCAUAGGAACAACUCGUACUUGUCAAUUUUCUCUUUUUCCAGUCGAGUCACCAGUUCGAAUCCGUAAGAACAACUCGUACUUGCCAAUUUUCUCUUUAUCCCCAAGUGAGCUACCCAGUUCGAAUCCAUAAGAACAACUCAUGUUUGUCCAGUAACCUCUAUCCCCUGUGAAGUGACCAGUUCGAAUCCAUAAGAACAACUCGCAGUUGUCGGUUUGUUUCAUCCCCGGUCAAGUGGCUAGUUCGAAUCCAAGAACAGCUUGUACCUGCCCAACUUGUUUCUAGUUUCCCGUUACUCUGCUAUUCACUAUCUUUGUCAAUGUCUACCAAUCCCGCAAUGGAUACGACAUAUUUUGUUAAUUCCAAUCCCCAUGAGGUCUUGCAUUCAUAAUCCAAAUGAUGCAUGGCAUGCAUAUUAUUUGAAUAUGGGUAGGCGUAUUUUUACGUCCAAACACAGUGCAAAUGCUAAUAUUUAAGUAUCUUCGUCCUGUCAAGCCAAAGACUCCGUCUCUUGACUCUCCAGACAAAGAAACUUAAAUAGGGGCAGCUGUUAUACCCUGUUUUUGGACCUAAAAAAUACUGGGCCCAAUUUCAUUUCAAACUUCGUCAAUUAUCAAAUUUCAGCUGCACAGUUCAAUUUGUCUCUGCCUCGCAGUAUUUUCAAUCACAAUUUUACCUAUGUUUUUCUUGCAUAAAACCUUUUAAAAUGUCUUUACUGGUCUUGUAAGUCACGCAAAAGUGUCUCUGAAUCAUUAUGUUGCUUUUUUUCCACAGUUUAUUUCAAAAUUUGCAAAAAGUCAUACAGAAGGGUAUUUUGGUCAUUUCCUGCAGUGGGACCCAUUUUCAUCCUUGUGACUGUCUCUGAGUCUUUUCAAAUUCAUUUUUUACUUUCCAUCAGUAAACCUUGCUAAUUUCAUUUCGAACUUGCAUCUGAGUCAGUGUCGAGUCAAUUUGAGUCUGUUUAGGUCAUUUUUUUAGCCCUAGGGGCAUUUUGGUCAUUUCACAUAAAAUUUUGGCAUGGGGAGGUUACUUUGAAGUACCUCAUUUAGGCCAUUGGUUCGUUUUAGUCCGUUUUGUCAAUUUUAUUUUAGUUUCACUUUACGUUUCGUCAGAUUGCCAAUUUUAUUCCAAUUUUAUUUUUAUUUUACAUUUUGGUCCCCAAGAGGUCCAAAAUUGCGUGUCAGUCCAGAAUUUUCUUUUUUUAUAUUUCAGUCCUUUUUGUCAAUUGCAGUUUAGUCCCUUAAUUUUUCAAUUUUGCAGAAAGGUCCCAAAUUAAUUCUAAGUCCAAGGCCGUGCCAUUUCCAUACAAAUCCAGGUGUCACAUUUUCAUUGGCUCAAGUGUACACAUGUCAACUAUAUAAACAGUGAGUCAGAAUCAGAAGCAAUAAUCACACGCCACUUCACCAAAAAACAGGAUCAAACUUUCUCUUUCUUGUCAGUUAGAUCAAACCAAAAAAUCACAGAGAAAUCACCAAGAACACAAGAACCCUAAGAUUUCCAGAACAAAAUUCAUACACAAAUUCAUUGAUUUUCACAUCAAUCCUCAGAGAUUCGUGUGAAUCUUCAUCACCGGAUUGAGGAAUUCCCCUACAAUUCAAAGUGCGAGCUCACAUUGAAGCAAGCUCAAGCACUGAUCAUAGGGAUUUUUCACACAGAUUCAAAAACGUUGAAGCAAGCUCAAGCACAUAAUCACAGAGAAGCAGAGAAAGAAUCAGAGAAGAUGAAGAUGAACCGGUAAACCGAUUUAUUUUCGGUCCAAAAGCAAGCAAAAUCAUCAAAACCGUCAAGAACAUUCAAGUUUUCCCAAAGAUUUCCUCCAUUAAAGGUUUCAACCAGAACCUUAGGUAAAACUCAGAAUCUUUUCUCAAAAGUAAUAUCACUGUUAAACCUGUAGAAAACAAUCACGCAAGCAAAGCGUAUCAAAAAAUUUCCAGAAUUCAAAGAAAGCCGUAACCGUAAACACGAAACCUAGAUCCAUAAGGAUCUAAGUUUUGAAAGCAAGAACGAGUACUAGAAGCGUAAUCAAACAACGAAACGAUGUAGAUCUUUAAACGAUCUAAACAUUUCUUUUCAAAAACCAAAAAAAUCAGUUUCAAAACCGUACGGAACUUUUUAGAUCUACAACGUUUCAAACCGUAUUUGAAAAAACAGCUGCUGGAUUCGUGUUUAGGGUUAAAGGACGAAUCAAAAUAUGCAAAAAUAUUUGAGUUCUGGAAAUUUUUCACCGGAAACUGCUAGGUCUCGCCGGAGAAGAUGAAGUUUCCGGCGGACCUUCAAGGUCUCCGCCGUAGCUUCAUCCUCACCGGCGGUGAGGGUUUAGAGAGAGAUGAGAGAAGAGAGAGGGGUUAGAGAGAGAAAGAGGAAUACGAAAUGAAAAAACCGGCGCGCUAGGGUUUAUAUAGAGUGCUAGACCGGACCGGUUCAAGACCGGUCCAAUCCCAUGCGUUGUGAGCCCUUAGAUCUAGGGUUUGGGAUCUUGGAUCAAUCCAACGAUCCCUGAGCAUUCCUGUGAGAUCCGGAUCCCUUGGCUUUGGGCCUGGGCCUCUUUUCUUUGCUUUUCUACGUUUUUGCUUUUUUUGUGCUAUUUGCACCGUGUUUCCUUGCUAUCUGCACCUAUUGCUUGUUUACUUCUUUUACAAAAAUUCCUAAAAAAAUCCUAGUGGUUUCUUGAUACAUUCUUGGCAUUUCUAUAGCGUUUUCUUGCAUAAAAAUGUUAAAAUGGCAUGAACUAAUUCCAUGUAUUUUUGUACUUUUGGUAUGCAUUUUGCUAUGUUUUGUUCUUGACAUUUUGAUAGUAUGACAUGGAUAAAUGAUGCCUAAUAUUGUGGUGAAUAUAACUCUGGAAAUGUGCUUUUGUUUGCUAUUUGUGAAUAUGAUUUUAUGGAUUUCUUGUUUUACAAGCAACAAGUGUUUAUUUUUAGGAAUAAAGUAGGAAAUUUCUUCAUGAAUUUGGUGUGGUAUUUUGCUUGCACAUGUCUCCAUUAAUUGCAUGUCAUGGUUUAAAACAAAAUUUCUUUCAAAAUUGCCAUGAUGUGAUAAUUAUGGGUCACUAGCAUCUUUAGGUAUCAUAUCAAAUGUUUUUUUAGGUUUUUACCACUUUGUUACUCUUUCUUUGCCAUUCUUAUGCACUUCCUUUUGAUUAUUUCCUACUAUUUUGUGCUUUAUAAUCACUAACCAUUUCAUCUCAUGUGCCAUACAUUCCAUAGCAUUCCACCACCCUCUCCACUUUCUUUAGCUUAGCAUUUAUUUUUUGCAAGUUUUAAUUCAUUUGGUGAUGUAAUUUGUUAUCAUUGGUUUGUAGCUUGGCAAAGGGGCCAUAGAAUGUAUUUAGGCAAUUUUUGUAAUAUGGACUAUGGACACUAUGACGCACCGACACGCACACACUCACCUUAGAUGUAUGCAUAGGAUUGUAUGGUUAAAUAAGCGUUUAGGUUUUAAACACUUAGAGAAAAUCCAUCUUUUUUUCAAAAAAAAACAAUUGAACUUCACUUCAAAAUUUUCAUAAUAAGUAUGAAGUCAACACUUCAUUUUUUUUCCUUUCUUUUUUCUUAAGAAAAAUUCAAUUCAUCUUAACUAUUUAGACUUUCUUUCUAAUCACUAAUCAAACCUCACUUUUUUGCUAAAUCUAAUGCUCAUGAAGCCUCCCAAUCUCCUUCUUCAAAACCUUUUUUUCAAAACUUAAAAUCAAACAAUUAAAACAAAAAACAAGUUUUUUUAGCAAGAACUACGAACGGUUUUGAUCCCGUAAAACGGUACGUAGGCAAUGAGUCAAAACUCAUCCAAGCCGAAAUAAAAUCAAAUUCUACUUCUUCUCACCCCCAUUCUUCACUAAUCAUACCUUCUUUUUUACAAAUAAGCAAUAAAACUAAAGCGUAGAAAUAAACUUAGGAGAACGGUUCUUAUGGAAUACCAUAAUCGCUCCGGGUGCCUAACACCUUCCCGUAGUGAAAACGACCCCCGAAUCUAGAACUUUUUAAGGGUUUUUUCUCCUUUUACCCUUCCCAAGAAAAAAGAGAGAUAUCAACGGUCGAAAGGUUCAAGUCCAAUUAAUGGCUUGGCACCCCAAAACCAUGAUAACACCUUAGAUAAACAUUAAAUGUAAAAGUCUGGAGGGAAAAAUUAGGUUAAAACUAGAGCUGACAUUUUGCAUAAAUUAAAUCUAGGGUUAAUAUAGUAAAGUCACGCGAAAAAAUACGUUAAAUCUAGGGUUAAUAUUGCGUCACGGGUUAACAUUUAGAAAUAAGAGAUGACAUUUUGCAUAAAUUAAAUCUAGGGUUAAUAUAGUAAAGUCACACGAAAAAAUUAGGUUAAAUCUAGGGUUAAUAUUGCGUCACGGGUUACCAUUUAGAAAUAAGAGAUGUCAUUUUGCAUAAAUUAAAUCUAAGGUUAAUAUAAUUUGUUUAGUAAAUUUAAAGAGAAAAAUUAGGAGCGAUUUGUUUAUUUUGAUUUCCCUAACAAUUAACGUUAACAUUUUGUUUAAGUUAAACAUGAUUAAUUAAAUAGGGUUAAUACAGUAAAAUUAAGCAAAGAAGUUAGGUUAAAUCUAGGGCAAAAUUUUGCGUUGGGGUUAACUUUAAGAAAUAAAAUAGGUUAAGUAUAGCAAGAAGGAUUAACAUUUAUAAGUAAGAGAUUAGAUUAAGUAUAGCGAGACGGGUUAACGGUUAUUCCUUUCCAAAAAAACAACAUAUAAUUGGGAACAUCAUUUUAUUUUACUUUAGAUAAAUAUUAAAUGCAAAAGUGUGGAGGGAAAAAUUAGGUUAAAAUUAGAGAUGACAUUUUGCAUAAAUUAAAUCUAGGGUUAAUAUAGUAAAGUCACGCGAAAAAAUAUGUUAAAUCUAGGGUUAAUAUUGCAUCAAGGAUUAACAUUUAGAAAUAAGAGAUAACAUUUUGCAUAAAUUAAAUCUAGGGUUAAUAUAGUAAAGUCACAUGAAAAAAUUAGGUUAAAUCUAAGGUUAAUAUUGCGUCAGGGGUUAACAUUUAAAAAUAAGAGAUAACAUUUUGCAUAAAUUAAAUCUAGGGUUAAUAUAGUAAAGUCACAUGAAAAAAUUAGGUUAAAUCUAAGGUUAAUAUUGCGUCAGGGGUUAACAUUUAAAAAUAAGAGAUAACAUUUUGCAUAAAUUAAAUCUAGGGUUAAUAUAAUUUUUGUAGUAAAAUUAGGAGCGAUUUGUUUAAUUUGAUUUCCCUAACAAUUAACGUUAACAUUUUGAUUAAAUUAAAUAGGGUUAAUACUGUAAAAUUAAGCAAAGAAGUUAGGUUAAAUCUAGGGCAAAAUUUUGCGUUCGGGUUAACUUUAAGGAAUAAGAGAUUACAAUAGUUGUUAUGUUAUUUUUUAUGCAGUGUUUUAGGCUCUGUGUUGCAAAAUUUUGGUUUACGCAGUUUUGAUUUUCACAUUGAUAAAGGACAAUAAUUUUCCGUAAUUUAUAAGAUUUCUUCUUCGGAGUUAAAUUUUUUAAAAAUACGUUAUUCAACCCGUGCGAAUUCGCACGGGUUUGUAACUAGUUUGAAUGACAAAAAAAUAAAAAUGUGGAAUGGGUUGAGAGAAAGAGAAAGGAUGGAAAAAGAAUUAGUACGUACUUUGCAAUUAUGGAAUUAAAACCUCUUUUAUCACACAAUAAUGUGCUAAAGCUCAUUAACACAUUGAUUUUUUUUUUUUUAUUUUUAUUUUUUUUUUUUUAUUUUUUAUAGUUGUUCAAUAGACCUCUCAAAAUUGUUCACUUAACUACAAAAGCUAAUCAAAAGAUGCAUCUUGAUCGAAAUUCACAUACAAAAUCAAUCGAUCGGGGUCAUAAACUGAUUGAAAGAGAAAUUGAAAGGUCUAUUGAACAACUUACCUAUAAUUUUCUUCUUUUCUUUUCUAUUAAUUGGUGUGGGCUUCCACAUGAGUAGAGAUUCGCCAAACAGUUCUUUAUUUCACAAUUUAAGUGAAGCAAUUUGUUAUCAUUCCAAUAAGGGAUAGUGUCUGAGGGGGCACUUAUUAAGAAAGAAAUUAAAUACUACCUUAAAAAUUGUGUAUUUAUUUUUAAAAAAUUGGAAAGAGAUCAUUUUAAUAUAAAAUUUGUCUUUUCUUUUUACUUUUAAUUCUUUUAACAAAUGUCCCUAAACUAUUGUUACUGUGUCUUCCAACAACUACUACAUCUGUCCCUAAUUAUAAAACCAUUUUGAGAAUUUUUUUUGUCCCUUUUUAUAAGACCCAUUUUCUAUUUCCAACUACAUUAAUUAUUUCUUUACAUGCAUGGCCCUAUUUAUUAUUGUUGUGUAUGUCUUCAAAUUGCAAAGUUGGGAAGCAGAGAAAUCGUGACACGAUUUUGGUAAUGUCGUGAGCUGGUUUUCAGGGCGUCCAAUCGUUACACGAUUUUUGGCUUGCUGGGCAAGAUUUUCAGGAUAAGGUUGGUCGUACCUUGGAUCGUACGCAUCAAUCGUGGCACGAUUGGGGGAAAAACGUGACACGAUUUUGACGCAGAAGACAGCUAUAAAAGUGUUCUUUGCAGAUUUUGAAUGAGAGCUUGAAGAGAGAGAAACUUGGGAAAUCAAAGGAAGCAACUUUAGGGAUUAGGGUCUUUGAUUAGAGUUCUCUUGGGUUGGGAAACAUUGCAAACACCUUGGUGAGUGAAAAUCAUUGAGUGUCUUGUUCAUUGGUGAGAUUGGGAAAAAUGGUAGAAAUUAGGGUUGUUCUUUGUGAACUUGUCAAAGCUAAUUUCUUGUAACCCUUUUCUAUCUCUUUGGAAGAACUCAUUGAUAGUGGAUUGGAGAGUUCAAUCUCUCCUCCAGAGUAUGUCAAGUUUGGACCGAACUGGAUGAACAAUCUUUGGUGUGUUUGUUUCUCUCUUCUCUCCUUUUAUCUUGUGCUUGUGUUUUGUGCUUUUCACUUUGUUUCCUAGAUUAGAUCUAGGUGUUGUUAUUGUUGAUUAUUGUUUGCAUUCACUUUGUUAUUGGUUACUACUUUCCUUUGCUCCACACAUCAUAGUUUGUUUUGGUGUGAUUUUGAGACCGGAAUUCACAACAAUUAUACAUUUUUUCUUCAAUCAGCAAUAAAUAGAAUGUUGAAAACAUAAGCCAACCCUCUUUCUUAAAGGAUAAAAUUGUAAAAACAAUAGUAAUUACAAACAUAUUUAAUACAAAUAUCAUCUAUCUUAAUUCCCGUUAUUUUUUCAGAAGAGUCUUAUAAUUAGAGACGGAGGUAGUAUAUCAUAAGUCUCAACUCUCAACCUUCUUCUUAUGUGAUAAUCAAGAUUUUCUCAACAAAUCAACACCAUUGUCAUCUCUAUCUCCAACAUCAAUUAUAAACAUCACACCUUAGUUAAACAGCCAAAUCACAUGCCAAGUUACUUAGAAGUUAGAACCACCAUUCAACAAAGAAAUUAGGUUACUUCAAACUUGAAUGAUCCUCUUGUCCUAGUAAAAGUCCGCGUGUGUAUUGCAAAGUUCGUUAAAAGUACAUUUCGUUAAAAGUACAUUUAUAGUGAACUACUGAACUUGAUGUCGGUGAUUGCUUAUAUUUUGCAACAACAAAUUCUACACUAAAUUAAUUGAUUUAAACCUAUGAAGGACGGAUACGGACACAGACACUAGACACAAUACAGACACUGAUAUGCCGACACAACUAAUAAUUUGAAAAUAUCACAUUAUUCGGUUUAAUUACAAGUGUCGGUGUCGUGUUGGUAUCAGACACGACACGUGUCCGACACUGGGACACGCCUAAUUCGAGAAGUGUCUGUGCUUCGUACCAAGUCAUUUUUUUAAUAAAAUUACUUGUUCAUCAGGCAAACACCAAUUCUCAUACCAAUUCGCUCUCAUUAUAUGCUCAAAUUUCAAAACUCGGUUUUGGUUGAAAAUGAAAUCUUAACCGAUCAAAGUAGAAGCUAUCUCCGUAUUGUGGAUUAGUUUUUCACUAUAGAAAAAAUGAUUUUGAUAAUUAAAAACUAUUUAGAGGUUAAUUUAUUAUAUUAAAAAAAUUAAAUAUGUUUUGUGUUAGAUUAUUAUAAUGUAAACCAUUUUUUGAAAGAAAUUGUCUUCAGCACAUGAUUGGAACUCUCGAUGAACUCAUUUUGAACGCAUACAUAUAUAGUAUAUGAAUGAUUGGAUUUCAAGAGAGAACAAUUCUUGUGCACAUUUAUUCGGAUUUGAAUAAAUACACAAUUGUUUUACAAAUGAAAGAAGAUUAUUCCUAAGAUAUUUUUAAAUGGUGAAAUCUAGACGAGAAAAAAAAAAUAUUUCUCAUUUUUAUAGAUAAAUUUAGAAAAAGAUGAUAUUUUUCGUACAAAAACAUUUAUCAAGAAUUAUGGUAGUAGAAGAAAAAAGAAAUUGUCCACUAAACAUAGAUCUGUUGGUACGAAUAUUACAUAAUAUACAAAGUGGUCAAAAUUCAAAUCAAAAAUACCCCACUUAUACAAGGUUCAAAUUCCAAAAGCCCACUUAUACUUACGUUAGAUGAUUUCUAGCCACUACCAAAACUAAGUUAAAGGAAAAAAAAAUAAAAUAUUAAUUCAUGUGUUACAUUAUAUAUAUUUAAUUCAUGUGUUACAUUAUAUUUCUGUCAAAUGAGUAUCAUGACUAUCAAAAUUGUUACAACCAUUUUACCAUUUUCAACCUGGCCAACUGGAACCACUAUGCUAUGUAUGCAAUUUUUACACUUUAACAAUAGUAAAAAAAGAAGGGGAAGAGGUAGUGGCUAGAAAUGAAACAAAUCACUUCACCAUUUUGAUUUAAAUUGAACAUGUGAAUGCACAGUACAAGUGGUAAUUAGAAAACAUAACAGAUGAAACUGACAAUUCAAAAUUUAUUUCAUUUAUUUCAAAUAUAUUAUUCCAUUAAGAGUAACUACAUAACAUUGUCUCCAAAAAGAAAAAUUAAAAAUAAAACUCCAAAUAUUUUUGUCUCUAAGUAGCAACUGAAUUUACUAGGCAAUGACACCCAUUCUUUUUAUAAAGUAGACAAAAAGUCAUGUACCCAGUUAACAUGAACCACAACUACAACUUGUACUGCAACUUAUUCAUAGAUAAUUUUUAGAGGCUAGAAUUGAUUUUGAGAACCAAAAAAGUGACUUAUUCAUUGUGCUUCUUGUGGAGCUGAGGAUCAGUUUGAUAAAAGACAACAUCUCCAGUGUCACUUACAAAGUGAUCUUCAUUCAUACUUUGUAGUAAAUAUUUAAUUAGAUGAAAUGGAAGUGGUGAUGAUUUCUCUGGCUCACGGUAAUAGUCUCCAAAAAUUGGUUUUGCUGCUUUAGUCUGCAAAGGAAAAAGAUUGCAAUCAUUGUUUAAAACCACAUCGUAAGAAAUGACCAGUGACCCUGAGACGCUGGUUAAAGAACUAAAAAUAGGAUGAAGCGUGUUUAACGGUAAGUAAUUACCGCUUCAACCAAGUGAUAAUGAGGAAUUUGAGGGAAGAGAUGAUGAACAACAUGAGUGCCAAUGUCAUGAUGAAUGUUAUUAAUCCAACCAUAGUCACGAUCAACGGUUGUUAGUCCACCUCUUAGAUAGGUCCAUUCCUACCAAAAUGUACACGAGUAAUCAGACUCAACAAGAUUUGUGAUACAUAAUCACGUAAUUAUGAACAUAAAUAAUUGAUUGAUUGAAGGUACAUAAUUCAUUAUAUUUUUACCUGGCCACGGUACCAUGGUAAUUUUUGCGUAUAACCAUGGUGAUGCAAGUAUGUGACAAAAUCCAACCACAUGACAAAAAUCUGGAGUUGUACAAAAUAAGCAUAUAAUAAUCAAUUAAUGGACAUAAUAACAAUAAUUCAAUUAUAAUACAUUGUUUAGAUCAACGGUAAAUUUGGUAGAAGUAUGGUGAAACGUUCUAAAUUUAAUAAAAGAUUCAACAAAAUUAUGUUGUCCCCAUAACUUUUAAUAUGAAGCACAGCUACGACACUGACACAUCGAUACCAUAAAUAAUUUAUGAAAAUUACAUAAUUCACUGUAAUAACAAAUGUCAGUCUCGUAUCAGUGUCAGAAAAAUGUCUAACACCAGAACACGCCUAACUCGAGGAAUAUAAAAAAAAAAGGAUUUAAAAAUGAAUUUAACUUUACCCAAUAGGGAACUCCAUAGAGCUUGAGAAUUAAAAGUGGACUAGUUGUGAAGGACAAAUAAAGAAGCAAAGAAAACAUGAGAAGCCAACAAACUGUUGAAACUGUCACUUCUUUUCUCUCAUUGGGUGAGAACAAGUCGCUAUAGGGAUGAAAGUGUGACCCUGAUUUUCCAGGACUUCUACUCCACUGAAACAUUAACAUUUUCACAUUAGAAUAUGAAAAAAAAAAUUAGAUUCUACAAGUAUAUUAUCAUGAUAAGAACAAUAUUUGUAUUAUUUUAAAUAAUAAAAAAAAAACUCACCAAAUAAAUUGGAUAUGCAAACAAUGGUAAAGGCACUGAGAAUCUCACAAAUUUUGUCAUGUUGUCUAGACUGUUGUAAACCUUUUCUGUCAACUAAGAAAAUGACACAAAAUAUUAUGAACAAAACUCAUCAAAUGAAAGUUACUUCAUUUUUGCCCUUUGUUUGGGACUAAACCACCAAAACUAUGCAUAUAAUAUAAUAUAAUAACAUUAAUUAAGAACUUAGAAUAAAAUCAACAAAUCACAUACUGGAACCCAUGACUCAUCCCUUUCAACAUUUCCAUGGUUUUGAUGAUGUGUUUUGUGACUAAUUCUCCUGAAAAAUUCAUUAAAGCAAAAACUUGAAAUUUGUUAUAAUUCAAAGUAAAGUUAUUACCAUGAAACAACAAGGACAAAAAUGAUAUAAUGAACAAUAAAAAAACAAAAAUUCUAGAAACUAUUUCACUCACCAUCCAUGGUAUGGAACAAGAAUUGAGGAAUGCAAAAUAUGGCCCACAAAGUUAUUCACCAAAGAACUAUCUGAGAAGCUUCCAUGGCCACUAUUCCAAACAAAACAUCAAUGUUUACAUAAAAAAACAUAACAAAAACAAAAAACCAUAUGACAUAACAUUAACAUGAGUUAAACAAAAAACAUAAUUGAAAAAAAAAAAUUAUUUCUUACCAAUCAUGUCCAAGAACAAAAAUUGCCCAAAACAUUGUUCCUUGAAGAGGCCAAUAAAUUGGCCAAAAAUACCAGUUAUCAAACCUAAUUGCAGCUACAAUCAAUGCAGUAACAACCACCACAUCUCUAAGAACAUAACUUAGAGAUCUCCAUGUGUUCUUCACCCAACAAUGUUUUGGAAUAGCAGCUCUAAUAUCUGCUAUCUUAAAUGGUGGAGGAGCACUAGGGUCAAAUUCACUAUGGUUGUAAUUGUAGCCACCAUUGGUUACAACCAUUGUUUCUUGGCCUAGUGUUUCUCUUUUUUCAGAUAUGUGGUGAAUAGAGGUUGAUAUAGCCAUAAGAUGAAAUAUUUUUAACCUUUUGUAUGAGUAUACUACGACAGACACAUGGGGUCGUUUGUAUAUAUAAUAGAAAAAUGUUAGAGUGGUAAUAAUAGGUGCACAAGAUUUUAGUUUGACUUGUGUAAUUUUUUGUUUAUUUAUGUUGAUUUUCCUAAGAUCUAGGUGAUGUGGGAAAUGCUAAACUUGUGAAUUUAUGACGAUUUUGCAAAUUUCAAACCGUAUGAAGGUUGAAUAUUGAACCAUUGUAUCUCUUGAAAAACAUGUGCUAACAAAGAAGUGAAUUUAUGGUCGGUUAAUAUAUGGCAUAAUUAAAUUUUAUGUGCUAAUGUGAAUUUAGGGUCGGUUAUAUAUAUGGCAUAAGUUCAAUUUUGGAGGGUCAAGAAUCAUUUUAAUAGUUUUUUUUUUUGUUGAAAGAAUCAUUUUUUUAGUAUUGAUUUUAGGGUUAAUUAAGUUUUUAGUCCCUAUAAAUAUUCACAGUUUUGUUUUUAGUCCCUAUAAAAUAAAAUCACAUUUUUUAGUCCCUAUAAAAUUUUCCAGCAGCAUUUUUAGUCCCUAUAAAUUUUUCUAUCAGCACUUUCAGUCCCUGUCAAAAAUUUUUAUCAACAAUUUUGGUCUCUAAAAUGCUUAAGAAAAAUGUCACAAGAACUAAAAAGUGUGAUUUUAUUUUGUAGGAACUAAAAACAAAACUGUGAAUAUUUAUGGGGACUAAAAACUUAAUUAACCCUUGAUUUUAUCAUUGUAAAAAAAAAAAAAAUUUUAUCAUGUGCGGAUGAUUUAAAAGAUAUUACAAUUGCUUGGUGCUUAUAAUUAUAAUAACUUAACUGCAGUUAAUGUUGAUUUUAAUUUGGGUUUUAAUCUUGUGUUAUGGAUCAAGGCAAUUUCUCUCAAAGUUAACAUUUUUAUAUAAGUUUGUUGUUAAAUCGAAUUUCUGCAAAGGACAAUUUAUUUAGAAGGCAUAUCUUACCUAAUAAUGAUAUUUUUUGCUCGGUUGCUUGUAGUUGUGCGGAAGUCAGAGACCACUUGUUCUUCCCGUGUGAUGUUUAUGGUCGUCUUUGAAAUCUUAAUUAUGAUUGGUUAAGUUUUUACUUUGCUCCUCCUAAAAAUUUACUUGAUCAUCUUCUUCAAUUUGAGAGUUAGGGGGUUUCUCUAAAAAGUUUUAUGUGGCUUUCAACAUUAUUUGAACCUUUGCCAUUUAUGUCAUUUGGGAUUGGAAUGAACUAAACAAAAUAAUCUUUAAUCGUAAGGUGUGGCUUUCAACAUUAUUUGAACCUUUGUCAUUUAUGUCAUUUGAAAUUGGAAGGAACGAAACAAAAGGAUCUUUAAUUGUAAGGCUGAAAUUCUUACUUCUUUAACUUAAAAAAAUUAAGAUUCAGACAUAUUGGUGGUUAAAAUCUUUUUAUGAUUUGUUUUAUUUUGAUUAGAUAACUUGGAGGUUAAAUCCUUUGAUGUGUAUAAAGGUGCUCUUCUAAUUAACUUGUGUUUGUACCCUUUUUCAAUUGUAAUUCCCUGGACAUGUAGUUUCUCUAGUACGUACACCUUGUGUCGGAAGGACUAUUUUUGAUUGUUUAAUAUAUAUUUUCUUAGCCUUUACGGAAAAAAAAAGACAAAAUUUUCGUAAUAAAAUAAUGGACUUAGUAAGGACAAAAAAAAAAAAACUUUUUAUUGAGAUGUCAUUUGAUAUAGUGACUUAAUUAAUAUAUUUUUAUUGCGAACUGAAUAGUUAUUAUAUCAAAAUAGGGAUAUCAUAUAAAAGGUACCAGUUGUCUUGGUUCCAAUAUUAAGAAAUUUUUUUGAGAAAAUUAUUAUUUUUUGCUACAAAAGUAUUAUACAUUUAAUUAUUUUUUGCUACCAAAGUAGUAUACAUUUAAAUUGUCGAAUUAAAAGUAGUAUAUAUUUAAUGUAGAUUGUAACUAGAAAAGGAUUUAUUUUAUUUCAAAAAAUGCUUAUAAUUGUAUUUGCAUACACUGAUACAUUCUUUAGUAUAUCUAAUUUUUAAUUAUCAUUAUUAUUACUACUAUUUUUGAAAACUUAAUUUGAUUGGCUUUUAGUAAAAAAAAAUGUAUUUUGACACAAAUAAUAAUAAUUAUAUACAUAUCGUUCUUCUCUCAAAAAAAAAAAAAUAUAUAUAUAUAUAUAAAUGUUGUUCUUUUUUUUAUUAAAGGGAAAUAGAAAGACAAGAGAUAAGAAAAUUAGUUAACUCAUUGCCUCAAAUUAGUUGUUGGGUAUAGGUUGUUGAUGAGAAUUCGUGAAUUGGGUGAUAAUAAAUGUGUUGUUGUGGUUAAGUUGUUGUGUUUUAUGACUUUUGUGAAAAUGGGUUAAAAAUGGAGAAGUUUGAUUUUGAUGAGUUUGAGUGAGUUAGUAGAGUUGUCGUGAUGAAUUGAAUUGAGGAGAAUUUCUGUUUUCAAUCAAUGUAUUUUAGUGAGGAAUCGUUUGGGAGAAAAUCGAAUUUUUGUGUCAAAAAUUGUUUUAAGCACUUUUGAAAAAUAAGUCAUUUUUAGCUUAUUUGAAUUAAGUUGUUUUGAGUUACAAAACCAUGUUUUCAAGUAUAGUUUGAGUGGUCUAAGUGUUUGGGACACGUUGGCGAAAACGGAUCAAAAAUCGGGUUUUACGCGCGAAAAAUGAAAAAUCAAAAAAAUUGCACCAGAUAAGGUGGCAUGACCAUGCGCCCUGUGGCACAUCCGUGCCAACCCCUUUGUGUCCGGAAACCCCGAUUUUCGUGUUUUUGAGUACUUUUAAGUAUAUCAAUGGUUCCCAAACACCAAAACCUAUUUAAAUGGUAUGUAAUUGGACUUCUAAGAGUGGUUUAUCAUAGCUCCAAGUUAGGAAUGAAUUGGUUUGAAAAAUGAGGUAAAAAUGAGACGAACUUUGAGAAUUAUGCGAAAUAAAUGAACUUUGUGAAACCAAAAUGAUAUGAUUGAUUACACUAUGUGUUAUAUGAUAUGUAUGGAUGUUUUGAUGAUACGUAAGAACGAGGGAACCUAUUUUUGUUGAGGGAAAUUGGAAAUAGACGAUUUUAUGAAAAUAGACGAACUUCGUCAAAAUGGGGUUUUAUGAUCAGAUAACUUGCAAAUUACUUUGUGAACAUGAUAACCAGAUGAAAUAAGAGUGAGCCAAUGUUUGUGGAUGUUAAAUAGGUGGGUUAUCAUUAUGUGGUCGAUGGUACGUCUUUUGUGUGAUUAUACUAUAUGAAACAAUGUUGUUUCUUUGUGAUGAUGAUUACUUGACAGUUGUUUAUUAUUGUUAAAUAUGAAUAUGCAGAGAUGAAUGCUUGAUGAUGAAAGUGUAGAGAUGAUUUAUUAUUUGAUAAAUGCUUGAUGUGUGGAUGUAUUGUUUGAUAAUUCAAUAUGUGGAGAUAUGCGGAGAAUAUGUAGAGUAAAUUGGUGCUGUGUAUUAUCGAGUCAAUACUUGGCAUCCAUGCAUUCAUAAGUCUUAUAUGUGGAGAUACGUAGAGAUAUGCAUAGAUAUGUAGAGGGAUCAAUCGGUAAAACCUACCUUCGACAUCCAAUGGUAUCACAUGCAUGUAGAGUCGAGUCUAGAACAUCGCAUGCAUAUAAAAUGUGUGAAAUGUGCCAUAUUUAAUUACUUGACUUGGUGAAUUAUGUGGGCUAUGUGAUUGAUGAAUGUUGAUAUAUAUGGAGUUGUGGACUUGUAUAUUUUGUAUUGAUAUGCUUGAGAAAUAUUGUCGAUGCGAUAAUUCAUUUGGAAUCUCGAUUAAUAUUUAUUUGAUUAUGUUUAUUAUGUGGAAUAUAAUAUAACCUCAGUGGUCGUUUGGUUGACCGUCUGCCUAUUUGUACGAAUGUUAUUGAUCCAUAUAAAUAUAUAAAAUUUUUGUUUUAGUUUCUUUUAAAAAAAAUCUUCAACUUAGUCCUCCAAAUUUUUCGCAUCAACCCUUUUGGUCCCUCUUUUUAUUUUUGAAUAUUCCUGAUCCUUCUUUUAAGUCAACUCAUAUGUAGACAUCAUAUUUUUGAAUGAAACUUGACAAGAAUAUUAUAAUAAUGUCUCCCAAAAAAUAGAUUUAUUUUAGCAAAACAUGAAUAUUUAUGUUUUUUACACUUAAAUAUUUAUGUUUUGUUAAAAAGUUCUAUUUUUUUAAAGAGCUUAUUAUAAUAUUUUACACAUUUUUGAACAAUUUCGUUCAAAAAUAAAAAAGGUAACACAUGAGUUUAUUUAAAAGUAAAAACAAAAAGCGGUGAUCUUGACAAAAAAAAAAAAAAGCAGUGAUGAAGUUUUUUUGAAGACUAAAAGUCAAAUUUUUCUGGAGAAAUUAAUUAAAACGAAAAAUUAAUAUAUUUACAACAACCAAAACCAUAUUUAACCUUUUGUUAUAAUGACUCACUCUUUGAUGGAAGCAGAGAGCAAUGUUAUCCAUGACUCUUUGGCGCAACCAUAUUUAUGAUAAAUUAAUAAUGAAUGUUUUUGUAGUUGAAUUGGUAAUGAAAUACCGCAUAUUCUCUUUGAUUUAGGUUCAACUUUUGACUCUAACAAAACAUAAAUUUUAUUUAUCUAUAUGUAACUUUUUUAUUGUAUUUUUUUUACAGGAACUUUUUUACUGUAAAAAGGCUUACUAUAGAAGUUGUUUAAGGCCUCUAAUAUUGUUUGACUUGGGCAGGCAAAUGCAUAAGGAAGUGCAUAAGCAAAGUAGUGCACGUAAUUCUUAUGAGUAAAGGCAUAAGGAAGUGCAUGCAUGAGCAAAGUGGUAUACACGUAACCCUUAUAUAUCAUGAGCAAACACAUAUAAGGCAUGUUCUUGGAUGUUCUUGGCAUGAUGGAUUGGGUUUUGCCAAGUAAAGUGGUGAUGGAGUGCAUUUUUUAUUCACGUUUUUUCAAUGGAAUGGAUGAUGUGCAUUCUCUCUUACACGUAAUUUCAAUAGAGUGAUACUUUUAGGAUAAUUUUGAUGUAUUUUGUUGCCACAAUUUUGAGUAAUGCUUGAGUUAUUAUUCCUUAGAAUAAUUUUUCAAAGCACUCUAAAAGGAGAUCAUCUUGCUAUUAAAACAUAGGAAAAUGAACAUAUGACUAUGAUAGAAGCGUGAAAAAUCACUUUUAUGGAAAGGUUGGUCGUCUUAUGAAACUUAACGAUUUGUGUGCUAAGUUGGUUGCGUUAUGGAAGCUUUUGAAAGAAAAAAAAAAUGAGGAAAUGUUUCUUGAGUAUUGCUGUUGACACAUUUGAUUUGACUGAGAAACACGAGUAAAUUACUCAAAUGCCCUUCGGCAGUUAACUGCCGAAAUUUUAAAGAACCGGCUGCAGUUAACUGUCGAGGAAAACUUCGGCAGUUAACUGCCGAGGAAUUUCAAACCUGAAAUUAAAUAAGGAAAUAUACCAAAAUUUUCUUUAAUUAAAUUUAAUUCUUUAAUCCUUUUAAGGAAUUAAACAUAAUUAUUUUUAUGAUUUCAUUCAUAUGAUUUUGUUGUCAUAAAUGAAAAAAUAUGAGAGAUGAAUAAUAUCAGCAAUCGGUAGUUAAUGGAUCUAAAAUGAUGAUUCAAUAAAAAAAAAUGCAACAACAAAAAACAUUAUAAAUGAUAGAAUAAUUAUAUUUGUAAUUAAUUUCAUUGAUGUCUGUCAUUAUUCAUAGGUUUGACUAACCUAUUAUUACCCCAAUUUUUUUUUUUUUGAAAGACCCCCAAAUUUUGUUUUAAUUGUUGGACUUCAAACCUCACAUUUUUUAAAUUAAACGUUAACUUCAAAUUCAUUUAGCAAUUUCCAUCCUUAAAAAUUACCUCACGUCACAUUUUAUUUUAUUUUUUAAUAAUGUAAUAAAUCUGGUAUUUUAAUUUAUUAAAUAAAAACAUAAUUAAAAUUUUACAAAUAAAAUGAUUUACAAAAACCCAAAUCAAUACCAGUCAAAAAGAACGAGAAUAAUUUUCAUUUAUGUCAAAUUACAUUUUUGAUCUAUUAACUAUUUAUUUAAGUAAUAUUGUUUUAGUCCCUUAAUUAAAAUUUAAUUUAGCCUUUCAUUUAUCACUACAUGCUUCAUUCAGAAUUUUCAUUACCAGUCACCAUCCCCUUAUCAACAACACAAUCCUUAUCUCAAACCUUCAUUGCAAAACCCAAAACCCACAUACAAGUGAUAAAGUAGAAGAAGAAAAAAAAUGGAAAAAAUUCAUAUUUUCAUACCCAAUAAAUCAAUAACUCCAUUAUCAUUCCCCAAUAAACCCACCAAAUUUGAUUGCAUUUCUUCAAAAAGGGUCAAUGCAAAUUCCAACAAUGUCUCAACAACCAAACCUUCAAUUCGAAAAUUAAUUGAUUCCCAAUUGAACCAAUUAUGCAUUAAUGGCUCCCUUAGUGAAGCUGUGACAAUUCUUGAUUCCCUUGCUGAGCAAGGGUGUAGGGUGAAACCCAUUACUUAUAUGAAUUUGUUACAGUCAUGCAUUGAUAAAGAUUGUAUUUUUAUUGGUAAGGAAUUGCAUUCUAGAAUUGGGUUGGUUGAAAAUGUGAACCCUUUUGUGGAGACUAAGUUGGUUAGUAUGUAUGCGAAAUGUGGGUUGUUGGGUAUGGCGCGGAAGGUGUUUAAUGAAAUGUCUGUGAGGAAUUUGUUUACUUGGUCUGCUAUGAUUGGUGGUUGUUCGAGGAAUAAGAGUUGGGGGGAGGUUGUGGGUUUGUUUUAUGCAAUGAUGAGGGAUGGUGUUUUGCCGGAUGAGUUUUUGCUUCCGAAGGUUUUGCAGGCGUGUGGGAAGUGUAGGGAUUUGGAGACUGGGAGGUUGAUACAUUCGAUGGUGAUUAGACGUGGAAUGCGGUGGUCGAAGCAUUUGCGUAAUUCGAUUAUGGCUGUGUAUGCUAAGUGUGGGGAGAUGGAUUGUGCGAAGAAGAUUUUUGAUUGUAUGGAUGAGAGGGAUAGUGUUGCGUGGAAUGCGAUGAUAUCUGGGUUUUGUCAGAAUGGUGAGAUUGGACAAGCUCAGAAGUAUUUUGAUGCUAUGCAGAAAGAUGGAGUUGAACCUAGUUUGGUAACUUGGAAUAUUUUGAUUUCUUGUUAUAAUCAGUUAGGGCAUUGUGAUCUUGCAAUUGAUUUAAUGAGAAAGAUGGAGUGGUUUGGUAUUGCUCCAGAUGUAUAUACUUGGACUUCGAUGAUUUCUGGAUUUACUCAAAAGGGUAGGAUAAGUCAUGCUUUAGAUUUGUUGAAAGAGAUGUUUUUAGCUGGUGUUGAGGCCAAUAACAUUACAAUUGCAAGUGCUGCCUCAGCAUGUGCAGCCUUAAAAUCAUUGAGUAUGGGAUUAGAAAUACAUUCUAUUGCUGUUAAGAUGAAUUUGGUCGACAAUGUAUUAGUUGGUAAUUCACUGAUUGACAUGUAUUGCAAGUGUGGUGAUCUUAAAGCUGCUCAACACAUUUUUGAUAUGAUGUCAGAGAGAGAUGUAUAUUCUUGGAACUCAAUUAUUGGAGGGUAUUUCCAAGCUGGUUUCUGUGGCAAAGCUCAUGAAUUAUUUAUGAAAAUGCAGGAGUCUGAUUCACCACCCAAUAUUAUUACAUGGAAUAUAAUGAUCACAGGAUAUAUGCAGAGUGGUGCCGAGGAUCAGGCGUUGGAUCUUUUUAAAAGCAUUGAGAAAGAUGGGAAAACUAAGCGAAAUGCAGCUUCUUGGAAUUCUCUGAUAUCUGGUUUCGUACAAAGUGGACAAAAGGACAAGGCUUUACAGAUAUUCCGGAACAUGCAGUUUUGCCACAUACUUCCCAACUCGGUCACAAUACUAAGUAUCCUUCCGGUCUGUGCAAAUUUAGUGGCUAGCAAGAAAGUGAAAGAAAUCCAUUGUUUUGCAGUCCGUAGAAUUUUAGUGUCUGAACUUUCCGUAUCAAAUUUAUUAAUCGAUAGUUAUGCCAAGUCAGGAAAUUUAAUGUACUCGAAAAAUAUUUUUAAUGAAUUGUCAUGGAAAGAUGCUGUCAGUUGGAACUCUAUGCUUUCAAGUUAUGUUUUACAUGGCUGUUCAGAGUCUGCACUUGAUCUUUUUUAUCAAAUGAGGAAGCAAGGGCUUCAACCAAAUAGAGGUACUUUCGCAAGUAUUCUCUUAGCUUAUGGUCAUGCUGGAAUGGUGGAUGAGGGGAAGAGCGUUUUCUCCUGCAUAACUAAAGAUUACCUGGUUAGGCAAGGUAUGGAACAUUAUUCUGCUAUGGUCUAUUUGCUCGGUCGUUCAGGUAAGCUUGCUGAAGCACUCGACUUCAUUCAAAGUAUGCCCAUCGAACCUAAUUCCUCUGUAUGGGGUGCCUUGCUGACCGCCUGCAGAAUUCAUAGAAAUUUCGGAGUGGCAGUCCUUGCAGGAAAGCGUAUGCUUGAGUUUGAACCUGGAAAUAAUAUAACUCGACAUUUACUUUCACAGGCAUAUUCUUUAUGUGGGAAGUUUGAGCCGGAGGGAGAAAAGGCUGUCAAUAAACCUAUUGGUCAAUCCUGGAUUGAAAGGAAUAAUGUUGUUCAUACUUUUGUAGUUGGUGACCAAUCAAACCCGUAUUUGGAUAAGCUACAUUCUUGGCUAAAAAGGGUAGCUGUAAAUGUCAAGACACAUGUUUCUGACAAUGAACUUUACAUUGAGGAAGAGGAGAAGGAAAACACUAGUAGUGUACAUAGUGAAAAACUUGCAUUUGCUUUUGCUCUGAUAGAUCCUCACAACAAACCUCAAAUUUUACGGAUAGUAAAAAAAUUGAGAAUGUGUAGAGAUUGCCAUGACACAGCCAAGUACAUAUCAAUGGCAUAUGGGUGUGAAAUAUAUUUAAGUGAUUCAAAUUGCUUACACCAUUUCAAAGGUGGCCAUUGUUCUUGUAGGGACUAUUGGUAGAGCAAAUGUUGUGUGAGAGAAUCAAUGAUGUCAGAAAUAUGUAAAUCUGUCUUGAUGUAUAGUUGUUCAUGACGUACACAAACCUUUUGAAGAAUUGAUAGUUUAUAAUAUUAACCUUUCACGCAACUGAAAUUUUUGGCUUCCCUUUUUCACAUAAUGUAUCAGGUUAAACUGUAUAGAAUUUCAUUUGAUUAUUAUUCCAGGAUUUUGAAAUGCUUUUCAGGUGAAAAGAUUUGCAUGUAUGUCCUGUUAGCAAUUUCCAUCAAGAAGAUAUAUUAAAAAAAUUAAUGAAAUCAAUCAUUGUAAUAAUUUCAAAGAUGAUUAUAGAAUAAUGAUGGGAAAUAUAGUGGAGCUAUAAAAUAUUGGUAGAAUCAAAACUGUCCCACGAAUAAGCAUCCAUGAAUCAAAAGUGUCAGCCACCUUAUAAAAGCUGCACUAGGCAGUGAGUGCAUGCAGAAGCAAAAGAGUGAGGGCUCUUGGCUAAAUUCUUCUAAAAUAUUUGUUCCUUUUCUCCAGUCAUUUAUUUCUUUUACUAAAAUUGAGGGAAUAGCCCGUGGAAAGGAAAUGUUAGCUCCUUGACCAUAAAAAGUGCACGAAACUUUCUUAAUAAAAGAAAAAAACUGAUUUCUGUUUGGAAUCUGAUUCUCUGACUUUCAAUUCUUUCCCUCCAUGGUGGAACCAGAAUUAGCUUCUUCUAACAGUUUCUUAUCAUUAUUAUUUUCUAUAAAAAGCUCCUUGCCACAAACCAACUUUCUGCUUCCAUAAAUUCCUCUUAAGCCUUCCCCUGCUACAUCAUUAUUAGCACUUGCAACUGCAUUUUUCUUUCUAAGGUCUAUCAUUCUCUUCCUACAAGCAGAGGAUGGUAGUGCACUCUUACAAUAUCUUAUGACACAUUGCAUACAUAACCUUAUAGGUGAUGUUCAUUAACUAUCUUUUCACUUUUUAACACCUUUGCAUGAUGUUUUGCAUGCAGAGUUCUGUGGAUUCCAUAAAGAAACCUGCAUCUGUUGGGCCAUGGGGCGGCAAUGGAGGGUCCCGUUGGGAUGAUGGAAUAUACUCUGGAGUAAGGCAGUUGGUGGUAGUUCACGGAACUGGAAUUGACUCCAUCCAGAUUGAAUAUGAUAAGAAAGGAAGCUCUAUUUGGUCAGAGAAACAUGGUGGAACUGGAGGAAAUAAAACUGACAAGGUAAAGUUUUCAUCUUGUACUAAGCUGAUCCUAUGACAUAAAUUUUUAACAUUAGCACCAAAGAGUCCGUGAAGGUUUCAGUUAAAUUAUGAGCAUAUAUUAACUAACCACUUUUGACUGUGUUGUAGGUUAAACUUGAUUAUCCAGAUGAGUUCUUAACUUCAGUUCACGGAUACUAUGGUAGCUUGAACCAAUGGGGCCACAACUUGGUUCGGUCACUGAGUUUUGAGAGUAACAAGAAAACUUAUGGACCAUUUGGUGUCGAGCAAGGCACAUAUUUUUCAGUACCAAUGACUGGGGCCAAGAUUGUUGGGUUCCAUGGCAGGUGUGGUUGGUACCUAGAUGCCAUUGGAGUAUAUAUGAAGUCCUUGAAGCAACCAAAUCCAGCGAAAGCCUUGCAUCAUUCUGAUCACGUUAAUAACACUAGUGAGAAUUUUGGCUAUUCAGUGAUACAAGGAACUGUGAACCAGAAUUAUGAUAUUGUUCUUGCCGUAAGACAGAAAGAUCAUAAAGAUGAUUUCGGUAAGCCUAUACCAAACAAGAUGCCAGGGAAGAUUUCUACUAUCAAAGAAUCUAAAAACAUUGAACACAAAGAAAAGGUAAAGAUAUCCUGCAACUUUAGUGGAUGAUCUCUGUCUUUGAAGUGCUCCUGAAGUUUUUAUUUAAAUGUAAAAAAUCUUGCUUUUACACAAAAUGGAUCUUAAAAUCUAUUUAUGUUGCAGAUAACUCAUUCAGAAAUUCCACCCGCAAAGGUUGGUGGUGUAGUUACAUGCGGUCCUUGGGGUGGCGUUGGCGGAUAUGCAUUUGACGAUGGGACCUAUAAAGGAAUCAGGCAAAUCAAUUUAUCGCGCAAUGUUGGAAUUGUAUGGAUUAGAGUUAUGUAUGAUCAUGAUGGGGAUGCCAUAUGGGGAUGCAAACAAGGUGGGACAGGAGGAUAUAAAAGUGAUAAGGUAAAUCAAGAGCAUACAACCAAACUUCGCUUAUUUUACUUAAUAAUCUAAAACAAUCACAUUGAAUUUUAGCAUUUUUUGCAUCACUUUGCAGAUAGUCUUUGAUUUCCCAUAUGAAGUCUUGACAUAUAUAUCGGGAUACCAUGGACCUUUGAUGUACAUGGGACCUGCUGUUAUAAGAUCACUAACUUUCCACACCACAAAAAGGAAGUAUGGACCAUUUGGGGAAGAACAAGGAACUUAUUUCACCACAAAGGUGAAAGAAGGUAAAAUCGUCGGCAUUCAUGGGAGAAAAGGUUUGUUUCUCGAUGCUUUUGGUGUACAUGUGCUUGAAGGAAAAGUGGUUGUGCCGGUGGCAAUGCCUCCGAAGGAAAUCAUCCCUAGAGAAACAAAUAUUGGUGAAAUAGGCGGUACUCAAUGGCCUAACAAACUGGUGCUUGCUAAGCCAACAGCAGCUGAAGAGGUAUUUCUUUUCAUAAUAAACUUUUCGAAGAUAUAUUGAAGACAUUCAAGAAUUUGGUUAUCUUUAUGUUUGAGUUGUCCUUUUCACUUUAGUUCCCUCUUUCCCAGGUUUCUUGUGGUGUGGUCAAAGAACCAGCUCCAUGUGGCCCAGGCCCUUGGGGUGGGGAUGGAGGUAGACCUUGGGAUGAUGGAGUCUUUUCUGCGAUUAAGCAGAUUUAUUUGACAAAAGUAUCAGAUGGCAUCUGCUCUAUCCAAAUUGAGUAUGAUCGAAACAGGCAAUCUGUGUGGUCUAUAAAACACGGCGGUAAUGGAGGAGACACCAUGCAUAGGGUAUGAUUGUUGGUUUCCACUUCCUUUAAGCACAUUUUACUGUUUCACUCUUGGUUCAUUAUUUAUCCAUUGUCAUCGAAUUAGUUAAAUUAUAAAUAGAAUUUAUCUGAAAUUUGAUGUGCUUGAUCAUAAUAUGACGAUAUUCAACGGUUGGAUUGGUAAGUUCAAUGUCUAAACUGAUUUAUUAAGCAGAGUAACAAGAGUUACUCCUAGAGUAAGUUGAUUCCCACCCAAAGUACAUAUAGACAUAUAUGUAUUUAUACAUGCAUGCAUACAUUGAUAAAAAAAAUUCAAGCAUGCAUACAUUGAUAAAAAAAAUUCAAGCAUGCAUACGUAGAUAUGUAUGUAUGAAAUAAUAAGCUAAUAUGUAUGUAAUAUGUGUAUGUACUAAUACAAAAUGUAUUUCUUAUACUUACUCGUGCUAAUUAUGAUGUUAGAUACAACUGGAGUUUCCACAUGAGGUAUUGACUUGUAUAUCUGGCUAUUAUGGGUCAAUCACAAAGGAUGAGAAGCAUACAGUCAUAAAAUCACUGACAUUCCACACCAGCCGCGGUCAGUAUGGUCCAUAUGGUGAGGAAGUAGGGAAAUUCUUCACCUCAACCACUACAGAGGGAAAGGUGGUGGGUUUCCAUGGGAGGAGUAGCUUGUACUUGGAUGCUAUUGGGAUCCACAUGCAACACUGGCUUGGAAGUCAGAAAACUUCAAGGUCCUCCCUUUUCAAGCUAUUUUGAGUUUCUGAUCCGCAGUGCUUGAACAAAACAUCAGUUUGGCAUUUGGAGAAGUGUUGCAAGGAGUUUCAAAUUUUAGUGUAAUCUGAAUAAGCAGAAUGUAAUCAGGUGAGAGCAUGAUUACCUGUAUACUCUGAAUAAUUGUUUGGUGGGGUUUUCUGAUCAACAUAAUAAUUUUCUUUACGAGAAUGAAUAAUGUAAUUUGUUUGUUGAUUUCUUACACUUCAAGGUAUGAUUUAAGAUUUCAAUUUUUGCAGUUCUUCUGAUAUAAAUACCUCCACCCUCUCUUUCUCUAUAGCUAACAAGUAUGACAACAAAGGAUAAAAUAAAGUCAAACUAUUUUUUUUUUGUUGACAAAAAGUCAAACUAAAUAGUCUCACAAAUAUUUAUGCCAUUAAUUAAACUCAAAUAAGGCAAUUCAAACCAGGCUUGGGUGGACUAAAAGCUUGUUCUCAAACACAUACUGAAUGCGGUGGAACUAAAUACCCACGGAACAAAUAGUAUACCAACUAUAUAUAAUGUGUCUUGUGUCAUCAGCAAAUGGCUACUUACUACAGUUGCAAAGACCCAAUUCUGCGCGCCAUUAACAAGAUUUUACAUUGGUUGUCCACCCUCUAAACAAAUCUAGGAUGGUAAUUAAUUAAGUAAAAAGAACAAUAUAUAUAUUUUUUUUUUAAGAAGGUAAAGUACUCCACCAAAAUUGACACCUGGAAGAAUCGAAUUGAGAUCUUGAGAAGAGCAUACUCCAAAGUCGUACAAGUGGAAUAAUAAUACAAUUGUUUUAAGGUAAAAACUAUAUAUACAAAGUGAUUAGUAGUCAACACAGAAAUUAACAAACUAAUAGUUUUAUCAACAGAAAGAAAAAAGACAAACUAAUCAACAACUUAUCUUCUACUUGUUGCAUUUACUAAUAACUCAAUGUUCUACUUUCACAAUAACAAACUUCAUUAACUUGCAUGUAUAGAAAUUGCAAUAUGAGUGGUAAAUCUUUAUAUCCAAAAUUGGAGUGAGGCAGGGAGAACUAAAAAAAAUGUUAACAAGAAACAGUGCUAAUUGAAUUAGACCACAAAUAUGAGCUAAGCAGAUUUCCUCAACAUCAAGGGAGGUGAAACAGACUUCAUUCCAUGUUUUUGAACUGUUUGCUUUGGUAGCACCAGCAGAAGCACCUUGGAAUUGUUCAAACUUCACAAUAAAAUCACUGCUAACUUAGCCCUGUCAGAAAUAAAAGCAUAUACAAAUUUUGCAGCAUGACAGAAUUCUUAAUCGUACAAGCCGUCUCCAUUCCAACCUAUUUAUGUAAUCCAUUACCCUUGAAGGAUCUUCCUUCAAUGCAGUAAGAAUCAGCCAACUUAGCAGAUUGAAGUUUCAAACUAAAAGCAGAAUUAUGUAGCAAUAUCUUUUGGAGAAGCUCAAUCAACUCAUAGGAAAGAUCAGCAAUCAUAAGAACUUUCAGGAAAAGGAGUGGACAUAUAACUAGAUCAAUCAAAUGCCUCCUAAACUCAUAGUUGGGAUUUAGGACCUUCUCACAGAUAUCAGCAGCAUCCAUACGUCCAACAAUUUAUCUGAUACAAACAUAACGAAAUAACAUGAGUGUCCUAGAUUAGCAUUAUAAAAUACAAUGACACCUUCCUAAUUAAGAGUUGUAUACACACCUGGUUUGUAGCUUGAGCAACGGAUUUUUAUUGGUAACGUGCUCAGCAUCACAAUGCACCAUUUGGUAAGCAACAAUGGCAAAUGUAGGGCCCCAUUUCUCACAAUAUUUACCAACAAUACGAGAAUCAUAAUAUUGGUUGGUUAUGAGUAAAUGGUUAAGAUUGACAUCGAUGUCAAUCAUAAUUUUACCCACAUCAUUACAGACAUGUACAUCUUGGCUUUGCUCACUCAAAAGAAGUUCCAACAACUGUGAAUGCAUAGAAAUUGAAAUGAGAAAAUAGUAGUGUGAUAAGCAUAUGCAAGGAAGAGAGAAUGAACUGAAAGUAUAAGACCUUUAAGAACACAUGCAUCUGUGCAUCUGGAAGAUUAGCCUUCAUUAUAAAGUUCUUUGUCUUCUCGAUAAAAUUUUGAUUCCCAGUAUUAGCAGUUGCUUCAAUGUAUUUGAAGUGAAUAUCAGGAUCCUCACUAAAGAAUACAAAAUCAAAAGGCAAAAUUAUAAAAACGAAAAACAACUGCAAAUGCAAUAUAGGCCUAGAGUUUAAAUAUGCACCCAAACAAAGUGUAGUCCCUUAUAGGACCUGAAUUCUUCAAAGAGUUUCAUGAAUGCAUCAACACCCAAUUGCUCAGUAAUAUUUUUAGAAGUAUGCAAAUUAUGUACCAGUAAAAUUCUUUGAUGAAAUCCCAAAAAAAAAAAAUUAAUUGAGAAACAAAAGUUUUAUAGAAACAACAUACAAGCUCUAGAACAUUAUCUGAACAAUUAUUUGAAUAUUGUCCCUAAGAGGUUGCAAAGAACUCAACAAAAUCCUAAAAAUCACUCCAUGAUGAGAAUAUAUAACAAUUUUUUUUAUGAAAACCAGUCAAUUGAGCACUUGAAACUAGACAAGCCAUUAUAACGUUGUACAAAAGACAUACAAGAAGCUUGAAAGGAAUUGUUCGAAUAAAGAAUCAAAGAACCUGAAGAGCCUUUUCACAAAGUUAAGCAAACAAAAAGAGAUAUUCAUAAAAUGUUCGCCUAUUUUGAUUUUUACUUUGAUGAGAGUAAAUGUUCACUUAUUAAAUAGAUAAGAAGUAAGAAAAUGAAAUAAAAUAAAAUCAUCGAAACUUACCUAUGGAAGACAAAAGAGAAACUAACACGACAGCUAUAAAAUAGUGAAAAGAACGAGUGGCAUAUCCUGCAAACACAUUACAAUAGAUUGUUAAUGUAAUAUGAGAAACAUAAUCAAAAGGAUGGCGGGAGAAUAAAGAGCCUACCAGUUUAAGUGGAGAUGUGACAAACCGUUAGGAGCAACAAACAAAGGGAACUUCAAUGUUGAUGGAAGCAGAUAAGAGUAAACAAGCUAAAUCAAUGCUCUUCAAAUGCCUAUACUUAAUUUUCAGAAACAAAAGAUGGAUACUUCCCGAAUAUGUGCUAUCUUGUCCCAGUUCUCCCCUGUUCCCUCCUUGCAUCGUUCCUUCAAUAUUGGGCAACCGAAAAUUGUCAGCAAAUCAAGUGAAGUGAGGUGUCUAAUACCUUCUAGCAAGCAUUUUAAUCUUUCACAACCACCAAUUGUUAUUUUUCGUAGGGAUUGUAGACCUCCCCAAAUUUCCUCUGGUAAAGGCUCAAGCUCGCUGCAACAAGAGAUAUUUAGAUGCUCCAAAGCUAGACUGAAGGGUUCAUUUGGUAACUCUUUCAAUUUUCGGAAACCACUUACUCUCAAAUAUUCAAGACAAGUAAGGUUUCUAAACAUCCCCUUUGGGAAGGAGGUUAUUCCUUCACUUCUCUCAAGGUCAAGGGAAGUAAGACCAUAGAAGCUAGAGAUCGACCUCAGUAACUCAUUGUUACAUUCAUUUACAUAAAGGUUUUUAACAUAUGGAAGACAUGACAGUUGAAGUUUAGGGUAAAAGGCGAUAUCCAAUUGAAAAAGACAAGGAAACAUCUCCUCUCUUUCCACUUUCAAGUUUCAACAACCCCUCUAAGUUUGGUAAAUCAUUUAAUACCUCCAAAUAUGGGAAAAUCCUCACCUCCAUACCAUUGUGAGAUUCAUCAUCACCAUCAUCGUUCCAAAAUCCUCACCUCCAUACCAGAGCUCAACAACAUCACCGAUUCUGGCUGUUGAUAUAUUAUCUGAUUGAAAUGCCGACUAAAUAUUUUAUACAAGAAAGGGCAAUCACCUGUAUAUUUUCAAGAAUAACUAUAUUUAAAAUGAAACCAACCAAUUGAUGUAAAAUUAUUAUCGGAAUUGAAGAUCUAUACCAUAUCUAUUCCAGCAUCCAUGAGAGUGGAGACGCGAGAAUGAUAAUCUGACGCAUAAGGUUGGCAUAAUAAUCGAUUUUGUCCCAGUCAAAAAUCAUAAGGUUCACAUAAAUCAAUGCUCUUAAAAAAUGUAUUCUUCUUCAUUCCAGUAAACAAAUUUUGGAAUGUCUGUUAUCUUGUCCCAUUCCUCUCUUGUUCUCUUCUAACACUGACCCUUUCAUUUUGGGUAACCAGGAAUAUUCAAAAACUCAAGUGAGGCGUCUAAUACCUUCCGGCAAGGAUCUUAAUUCCUCAUACUCAACAAUAUCCAUAGUUCGAAGAGAAAAAUAAAUGGCACCUGUUCAGUUCCACAGGAAAAGGCUCUCUGUUAGUGAAAUGGCUAAUGCUAAUCUGCUAUAAUAUAUGGAGUUAAAAGAUGCCAAAUUCACUUUGUUAUCAAAUAAAACUGUUGAUUUCUCAUUCGUAUCCUCCGAAGUCAUUCGUUUCCUCUUGCUUUCAGAAAAAGCAGUGGACAUAACUUGAUCAAUUAACAUUGUUUGACACAAAAAUAGUCGGGAUUCAGCAGCAUUCCGGACGUUCCACAACAUAUCUGACACAAACAUAAUAAAAUAACAUGAGCGACUCGACUAGAAUCAUGAAAUAAAACUACACAUUCCUAAUGAAGAGCUGUAUACACACCUGACUUGUAGCUUGAACUAAGAAUUUUUAUUUUUAUUGGUAACACAUGCUCAGCAUCACAUUGCAAAAUUUGGUAAGCAACAAUGACAAUGGCCCCAGUUCUCCCAUCACUCAAAAGACGAUUCAACAACUGUGUAAAGUGGUUCCUGCACAUACAAAUUAAAAUGAGAAAAUCAUAUAGUAAUAUGGGAAAACUAGAAUACCUCUUCUCACUAAACAAUGGAAAAUCAAAAGCCAGAGUUAUAAAAACAAUAAGAACUAGAAAAAGCAAUAUAAGGUCGUCUAGAAAACUGUCUUAAGAAAUACCUAGAGCUCAAAUAUGCAUCCAAGAAAAAGUAUAAUCCUGCAUAGGACUUGAAUUGGUCAAAGAGUUUGAUGCAUGCAUCAACACCCAGCUGCUCUGAAUCUGAAAACUAUGUACCAGUAAAAAUGUUUUAUAAUAGCGCAAAAAAAUAAUUUAAUCGAAAGGGAUUUCAGAAAGCGAUUAAACAUGCAAUUAUAAAUUUCAAUUCCCAAAACAAAAAGGGAUUUCAGAACACGUGCACUUACUAAACUAAGACGAAUUAAAUAAAAUAAAAUAAAAGAAUCCAAACUCACAUUUGAAAGACAACACAGAAACUAACAUAACAAGGAGACCAUUGUGAAGAGACAAGAGUGGCUCAUCUUGCAAAGAGAGUACAAGAGAUCGUAAGAAACACAAUCAAAAGAAAGAUGGAAGGAGGGAGAAUAAAGAGCCUACCAAUUUAGGUAGAAAUGAGACAAACCGGAAGCAAAAACACCAACAUCUUUGCUUCUUGAUUCCUGUUGAAAUUAGAAGCAACACCAGCAUCACAAAAUCUUUAAUAUCGGAAUAUGCGAUAUCUUGUACCAGUCCUCUCCUGUUCCCUCCUUGCAUCGCUCUUCUAGUGUUGGACAACCACGAAUUGUCAGAAGCUCCAGAGAAGUGAGAUGUCGAAUACCUUCCGGUAAGCAUCUCAGUUCUUUACAACGACAAAUAUCUAGAGUUCGGAGGGAUUGCAGACCUUCCCAAAUUUCCUUUGGUAAAGACUCAAGCUCAUCACAUGAAGAGAUUAUCAGAUGCUCCAUAACUAGGCUAAAUGGUUCAUUUGGUAACUCCUUCACUUUUGGAAAAUCAUUCACAUCAAGAGCUUGAAGACAAGUAAGGUUUUUGAACAUCCCGUCCGGGAAGGAUGUUAUUCUUUUACCUCCAGCGAGGGUAAGGCUGUUAAGACCACAAAAGCUAGAGAUUGACCUCAGCAACUCAUUGUUACAUCCCAAUACAUCUAGGUUUUUAAGAGAUACAAGACAUGGCAGUCCAAGUUUAGGGCAAAAGGAGAUGGUUAAACGAGAAAGACAAGGAAACAUCUCACCUCUUUCCACUUUCAAUAACCCUUCUAAGUUUGGUAGGAUUUCUAAUAUGAGUACCUCCAGAGAUGGGAAAAUCCUCGCCACAAUACCAUCUUGAGAUUCUUCAUCAUCAUCCAAGUAUUUCAAAUCAUUCAUAUUAUGCAAAGCGAGUUUUUUCAAAGAUUGUAGUUUACCAAAUGACGGAAGCCGCACACAUUUCUCACAAUUCCAAAGUACAAGAGCAACUAAAUUACUGAGAAUACUUAUCCAACUUGGUAAGAAUAAUCUGUUAUAGUGACAAAUUAUCAACCUCUUGAGAUUUGAGUGAGGUUGAAGCACUUCAAAUAGUUGCUCAAAACUAAUAGUAGGGGUCUUCGUAAAUCCGUCAUUGCUGGUCCACGAAAAACAUAAUUCCUGGAGGUCUUUUUUACCCAUCAAAUUGGCUGCUUGAGCUUCAGAUAAACUACAAACAUCAUUUAAACCUUUGAUACUUAGUUUUCCUCCCAGGUUUAGAUCGUGUAACUCUGCCAAGCUAUUCCCUUUCUCUAAACUAACAAUGUACACACUUAAUGUUCUUAGACAGGUUAAUUUUCCAAUGUAUGGAAACAUGUGAAACAAUGAAUGGCAAUCUUUAAUGACAAGAUGUCUGAGAUUCUGUAAACAAGCCAAGCCUUUCGGAAGACAGCUAAGUUUUUGACAAUCUUUUAUUUUCAAGAUUUCCAGUUUUUGUAAGUUGUAAAUUGAGUCCGGCAACAUUUUUAUUUCAAGAGAACGAAGUUCCAAAUACCUUAAAUGAAUUAAACUCCCUAGUGAUGGUACCUGGAUAAAGGAUGUGCAUAAAACCCGAAGGGAACGGUUUGUUGGCGAGUAAUCAUGUUUUGUUUUGGUGUAAUGAUUCAACUGAAACAAUGUUCUCAAGGAUUCAACUUUCCUGAAGGCACCCUCGUCGAAUGAUAACACGUCAUCAUAGUGAAAACUUAUGUGGUGUGUGCUUUUUGACAAAGUAGUCAUGUUUGAAUUCUCCAAAUACAUACAUUCUUGACCCAUUACUGAUUGAGCAAGAUCAUGGACAAGAUCAUGCAUCUUGAAAGAAAUGUCUCCAGAACCGUUGUCCAUCUUGAUGUCUUGAAAGAAAGAUUUUUGGCACAAUUCAUUCCAAACCAUGCUGCCAACAUCUUCAACCUCCAUAUUUUCCCUAGAUAAAAUAAAUUCAUUAGCCAUCCAAAGAUGAAUCAAUUCUUCCCUCACGAAUUCUGUAUCUUUGGGAAACAUAGCACAAAAAGCGAAACACCGCUUUAAGGUUGGAGUUAAAUGAAAGUAGCUCAACCUCAAAGCAGGUAAAAUAUAAUUCUCAUGUGGUAAAGCCCAAAGUUCACUCUCUUUAAUUUCAAGCCAUUCUUUUUCUUCAUUCCUUGAACUCAUUAGACCUCCCAAUGCUUGUGCUGCAAGAGGCAAUCCAUCACAUUUCUUUACUAUCUCCUUUCCUAUUUCCACAAGCUCUGCACGCUCUUCUCUAUUUUGUCCAAAUGCAUAUUGUUUGAACAACAACCAACAUUCAUUAUCAGAGAGAACAUAUAAAGGAUGAGCGUGGCAUGUUCCCAUGAUCGUCGCAACAACCUCAUCACGAGUGGACACUAAAAUGGAACUACCUUUGGAUCCACACGAUAACACUGAUUUCAGUAUAUUCCAUUUCUCUUGGCUUAAUCCGAAUUCCAAUUGCUGAUUUUUGUUCCACACAUCAUCCAAAAUCAGCAAAUAUAUUUUACCUUGCAGCAAUUCCUGCACCUUUCUUUGUAUUACAUCUAAAUUGAAGCCGUCAUACUUCUCUCUUGUGAUAGAUUCUAUAAUGGAGCACAAAAUCCUCUUGACCGAGAAAGUCUCGGAAACACAAACCCAUAUUUUUGUAUUAAAAUUGCUACUCACCCUAGCAUCAUUGUAGACCAAUUGAACAAGAGUUGUUUUUCCAACACCACCUAAACCAACAAUGGGAUAGACGGAAAGGAAGUCGGAGUCCCUCGCUUGGGUGAGAAGAAACUCGAUAAUCUUCUCUUUAUCAUCUUCUCGCCCAAAUACUUUUGGUUCAGCAAUAAUAGAGCUAGUUUGACGCCAUUCUGCUACUUCAAUUGAUCUUUCCCUAAAAGUUCCAUUCUCUCCUAAAUGAAACUUGUUUUUACUUUCAGCAAUAUCAUCUAACCUCCUUGUAAUCUCUUUCAAUCUUUUGCCAAUCUCACGACAAAAAAUGAUGUUCUUUGGUUUGAAAGAUGAUGAGGCAAUAAGUCGAGCAGACUCGAUCGAGCACUCAUCAAGGAUAUCAUCGAGCACAUAAACAGCAUCUUUGAGUUGUUGUAGCCAUACCUUUAUAGAGCGAUUGAUGACUUGCUUCUGCUCAGCAUCUUCAAGAACAGCGUUGACCAAAUCUAAGGUGGUUGAAAGCUUCUGAGCCUUGGACUUGAUUCCAGAAAUGGUGGCCAAUUCAUUUUGAACAAGAGACUUCAAAUUCUGUAACACAACUCCAAGUAAGGCGUCAGCCAUAUUCAGUAACAAAAGUGUUGAAAAAAGAGAAAAAGAUAUAACAAAAGGAGUGGUGAAUUAUCAGAGUGUAGAAUGGAAAAUGAAUAUGAAAUGCUGAUUGUUUUUAUUCAAAAGCAGCAUCCACGAAAAGUAUGGAUGACUAAGCUUAUUGAAUAUCAAAGUCAAACGGUUGUAGUUAAUUUUGGGUCAAAUGCAUCUUUAAGUUUUUCAUUUUUUCAAAAAUCGUCUUUUAAGUUUCAAAAGUCUCAAACAAAUCCUUUUAGUUUUUGAAUCAUUUCAAACAAGUUCUAUUGUAGAUAACAUAGUUGGUAAUUGCUUCCUUGAACUCAUCUUUGAUACCAAAUUUGGCUCCUAACACCUACUUAAAAUUAAUCAUCUUUUUAGGCAUGAUAAAUGGUGGAUAAUGCUCUUUGUUGCUAUCAUCUAAAUCAUCACCAUCAUCCUCUAAAAAGACUUGUUUGAUUCAAAAACUAAAAGGAAUUGUUUGGGACUUUUGAAACUUAAAUGAUUUGUUUGGGACUUUUGAAAUUUAAAGGACAACUUUGGGAAAAACGAAAAACUUAAAGACCUUUAGAUGCAUUUGACUUUUGUAUAUAAAUCUUUUUUUUAAACUUGCAUAUUGAUUUCUUAAGUUUUUACUUUUCAUGUUUCAACAUAAUUGUGUCAUUAUAUUUAAAAUAAAUAAUAAUAAAUGUAUCUAGAAAAUUGCAUAAAAGUUCAUAUUUAUGGAUAAAGUUUUCUUCAAAUGCUUUUCUUGGUCUGGUCUUCAAUGUUUUUAUUUAUUAAUGAAUGACUUAGCUCUUGAUUUUUUUUUGUCAGAUAGUCUACUGGUUGGAGAUCACACAUUUUAAAUAUGGAGAAGUGGGGUGCCCGAGGUUCGAACCCCGACCCCUGCAUAUAAAAUGCAUUUGUCCCUACCAAGUGAGCUCUUGAAUUAUUAUAAAUAGUCAUGUUAUCAUACGAAAAAUUUGUCCCUAAACCCUAAUCCGGAAAAAUAUGGAUUAUAUAAUACGAAUCGUGUUUCCCCUAAAUUCUUGACACAAGAGGGUUGUUUGAAUUUUAUAAUCCAAUAAAAAGCAAAAGAUGCACCCUAUUUUUUGGGGUGUUCGUAUUAUAAAAUUUGAAUUGGUGAAAAACAUUUCCCACCCCAAAUCAAGGGAAAACUCAAUUUGAAUUAUAUAAUCUAAAAAUCUCAUGUUCAUUUUCGUAAAAAAUUAGGGCGCAAGAGAAAUUUAUAGAAUGGAAAAAGUAAUAGUCCAAUUAAAAUAGAUACCCUCUGAAAAUUUGGAGGUCUAGAAAACAUUGAAUGGCCUAAAAUGAAUGGCUAAAACAAUUACCGUUAUUUUUCACACCAUGUACUCUUCUUACGCGCAUGUGCUCUAUUUACGCGCCUUAUUUUUUUUUUCUAUAGCUAACAAGUAUGACAACAAAUAUAAUCUGUAUUUUUCUCAAGCGGAUUGAUCAAACGAGGUUAUAAUACUUCACCAUAAAUAAAUUCAUGGGAGUUUCUAUUACUCCUCCCAAUGAUUUCUUUAACUGAAGAAGUACACUUUUUCGGACGGGAAACACUUUUGUCCUGAUUUACCUAUCCUAGGCUAAGGAUAAAAAAUUUUUUUUUUUUUCCUUCACUCAUUCGAAGUACAUGUCCAGGGUAGAAAAAGAAGGUCCCUGAAUUCAUUUUAUUUUAUUUUAUUAGCAAAAGAUCCUAAUGCCAGUUAAUUAUAACACCAUAGGAAAAUAUAAUCCCAACAUAAUUAAUCCAAAGAAACUGAGGACACUCCUCCGGAGGAUAAUAAAAGACAAACCACAAUGUUAUAAAUUAUAUAAGUGUUUACUAAUAACUCAUUGUUCUAACUUCUACAUUUCACAAUAACAAAUCUCAUUAACUUGCAUUUAAAGAAGUUUCAAUAUGAGUGGUAAAUCUUUAUAUCCAAAAUUGGAGUAAGGCAGGGGGAACUAAAAAAAAUGUUAACAAAAAACAGUGCUAAUUGAAUUAUAACAUUUAGACCACAAAUAUGAGCUAAGCAGAUUUCCUCAACAUCAAGGGAGGUGAAACAGACUUCAUUCCAUGUUUUUGAACUGUUUGCUUUGGUAGCGCACCAGCGGAAGCACCUUGGAAUUUUCAAACUUCACAACAAAAUCACUGCUAACUUAGCCCUGUCAGAAAUAAAAGCAAUCAUAAGAACGUUCAGGCAAAGGAGCGGACAUAACUAGAUCGAUCAAAUGCCCUCUAAACUCAUAGUCGGGAUUUAGGACCUUCUCUCGGAGAUCAGCAGCAUCCAUACGUUUCACAAUUUAUCUGAUGUAAACAUAACGAAAUAACAUGAAUGUCCCACCGAAACUAUCAUUAUGUAAUACAAUGACACCUUCCUAAUGAAGACUUGUAUAAACACCUGGUUUAUAGCUUGAACAAAGAAUUUUCAUUGGUAGCAUGCUCAGAAUCACCUUGUGCCUUUUGCUAAGCAACAAUGGCAAAUGUAGAGCCCCAUUUGUCACAAUAUUUACCAACAAUACGAGAAAAUCAUAAUAUAGGGUUGCUUGUGAGAAAGUGCUUGAGUUUGUUAUUGUUGUCGAUGAUCACUUUGCCCCACAGCAUUACGGACAUGUACAUCUUGACUUCCAUCACUCAAAAGAUGUUCAAACAACUGUGUAAGCAAGUGAUUCCUGCACAUGGAAAUUGAAAUGAGAAAAUAGUAGGGUGAUAAGCAGAUGCAGGGAAGAGAGAAUGCACUGAAAGUAUAAGACCUUUCAUAACACAUGCAUGUGUGCAUCUAGAAGCUUGGCCUUCAUAAUAAAGCUCAAUGUACUUGAAGAAGUGAAUAUCAGGAUUCUCACUAAACAAUACAAAAUCAAAAGCCAAUAUUACAAAAGCGAAAAACAACUAUAAAUGCAAGUUCCCUAAAAAAAACACUAUAAAUGCAAUAUAUAUAGGCCUAGAGCUUAUUAAAUAUGCAUCCAAGAAAUAGUAUAUACUAGUUCUUCAUAGGACUUGGAUUCUUCAAAUAGUUUGAUGCAUGCUUCAACACUCAAUUGCUCAUAAUAUUCCUAGAAGUCUGCAAAUUGUGUACCAUUAAAAUUCUUUAAUGAAAUCCAAAAAAAUAAUUUAAUUGCCAAAGAAAAGUCUUAUAACAUAUUAUAAGACAUUUAUUUUUAGAAAGAGCCCAAUUCUUAGAUAUUUAGAAGGAACCCAAUUCAGUCGUUAACUCUUGAGAAUUGCUUUUCUCACCAAAGCAAUUGCUCACGUACACCCUACUAAUGUCAAUAAUAAAACAACAUAAAACGAUUCUUAUUUUUACUAAUAUUUGCACGCCUUGAGAUUUUUGUUUUGCACCUCAUCAAUCAAGACUGACGAGUCGAACCGGUGACAUUUGAAUUUGAAUGUUUGUUAAAUUUUCCAAAUGGACUUUUAAUGCUGCUACUCCCUCCGUCCAAGUGACACAGUUGAUCCAAUUAGGAAUACCAAUGCGUAAUUUUGAGUUUAAAUAUCUUGAAUAAUAUAUUGGAAAAAAUUAUAAAAAUUUGAUAUUUUGAAAAUACUCAUCGAGACGAAUCUAACGACAUCUUAUAUGAUAUUAUUUAUCUUUGUAUAUUAGUAGAAAAAUAUGGUCAAAGUAAGUUAGAUCAAAAUUGCACAUUUUUAAACAGGUCAUUUAUUGCGGGACGGAGAGAGGAUUAUAUUUGGUAGACUUUUAUUUUUCAAUACAUGAUAAAAACGUAUAACACUACCCUUCAAAAAAAAAAAAAACGUAUAACACUAGUUUCAAACUCAUGUCUAAGGCUUAUACUACUUCAAUUACUCAUCCACUAAACCAAAUCAAAUGCAUUUGAUACUACUUGCAAAUAAAUAAUAUUGAUUUGAAUUCCAGAAUAAAUCACUACUAAUCUUAGGUUUUGUAACCCGUUGUUCAUUAGAUAAUUCUUUUAGGAAUAUUAAAUUAUCAAACCGUAAAAGAGAAGUUAGAGUUUAUUCAUGCUUUUGAUAACAUUAGUUCACCCAAGACAUUGGAUUGAGACACAAUAUUGAUGUUGGUUUAUUUUUCUUUUAAAUCAACAUAAAUUGUUCUGUCAAAAGAAAAUAAUAGUAGAAAAAUAAGUAAAUAAUAACCAUAUACUUGUGUUCUUUCAAAAAAAAAAAAACUCAACUCAGCCAUGGAUCGCGCACAGCUUCUCUUAGUAGGUUUACCCCUCUUCCUCCUCUGCUCCGACCUCUUCUCCCUCUUCACAUCAUCUCCUCCACCGCCAAAACCAUCUCACCACCACCAUCACCACCAUCAACAACCACAACCAGUAAUCAACCCCGUAACCACACCCUUCCCUUCCGACUCCGAGGUAAUUUUCUAUUCCUUCAACCAAUUUACUUCAUCACUGUUAUAUUUUCAUCAUCACAACAUGUCUAAUUAUUAUUCGGUUUGUAUUUGAUCUCAGAAACUCGCUACUAAUAUUGGAGGUGCAGGGUUUGGCAACACUGUUAAUAUCAAUUUCUGCUCUUCUUGCUCCUACAAGUACGUAAUAUACUUUACAGAAUACUUAUUAUAUUUAUAUAUUUUUAGGAAUUAUAUUAAAGACAAAAUUGAUGCCUUAUUCUUUUUUUAUUUAUGCAUCUACAAUGCAAAAUGUUAUGCGGGUUGUUAGACACUUGAUGUGUAUUUUAUGCUUUGAAAUUUUGAUUCUCAGUGGUUAAUUAGCUAGAGAAAUGUUGUAUUAGGUUUUUAUAUUGAGUUUAAUUCAUCCUUACAAAUCAUUCCAUGCAUAUCAAUUUUGAGAUGUUCUAAGUUACUAAAAUACCAGUCAAUCCUGGAUUGCGGCCGACCCCAAAAGUGGGAUAUCGGGUGUAUAGUGGGAAGACGCUACUGAAUGAUACUAUAAAGUGUAAACGAACAUAUAUUUAAUAUAAAAUUAAAUAUAACACUCAAAUCUCAUGAAAUAUUCAUAAAUCAAAACACUCAAACAUCCACAGAACAUUACAUUCAAAUCCAAAUACCAAUAAAUGUCAAGGAUAUAAAUAAGCUUAUGAAAGCUUUCAAGUCUCCAACAAAAUUUCACAAGUCUUAGUUAAAACAUUAAAUCCAAAAGAACAAAGGACAGAGGAACUAAAAAGAAAACAAAGAAUAGAGGAAAAGAUAGAUGGAACAUGAAUAGUGGACGACGAUGGCAAUCGGUUUGCAGAUCGUGUGAGGGUUGCAAAUCAGUUUGCAGAUCGUGUUUUGCAGCGGAGAAGAGAGAAGAGUCAGGAAAAUGUUUGCACACAACAAAAUGUUAGGGCUUAUACGAAAUCCCCAAAAUGCCCUUAAAAUGGUUUUAAAAUUAGGGUCAAUGUGGGAUUUUCCUGUUAAAACCUAAUAGUGGAUCAAAAUCCGCUGCCCGCUAUAGCAGCUAUAGCGUCCUCUAUCUUGAACUGCAUCUCUAUGACGCCCACCAUAGUGGUUUCUUACCACUAUGCUAUGCUAUGCCGCUAUAGCGCACUAUUGACUAAAGUAAUUACUAUCAUGAAAUUCAUGGUGGACUUCCUUAAUGAACUAGAUAUUAAUUCCUUUGUUCACUUUCCUUGAUCUACUUAUCAUUGCUCUGCUUGCUGAAUCAUAUUUCUUAUAGUUGGUAGAUUGCUUGUUGGUUGAUUGUUUGUCAAUGAGUUGGAUCCAAAUUUGGUGUAUGAUAGAACACUAUGGCGUCAUUUGAUCCAUGUAGCCGACCCCACUUAGUGGGAUAAGGCUUGGUUGUUUUUGUUGUUGUUGGUUGAUUGCUUGUCUUUCUGUGCAUGAUUAUGUAUAGAAUGGGAUAGUCAGUGUAAAUGGAUGUUUUUUACGUAUGUAGGGGAACAGCAGUAACAGUGAAAAAAAUGUUGGAGAUUGCUUUUCCUGGAAUUGAGGUUAUUCCUGCAAAUUAUCCCCCACCACUUCCAAAACGUCUGCUAAGCAAAGUGGUUCCAGUUGUUCAAAUUGGUGUUAUAGGUGUCGUAGUGGCAGGGGAACAGAUAUUUCCAAUGCUGGGUUUUGUUGCACCUCCUCCUUGGUAUUUUAGUUUGCGUGCUAAUAGGUUUGGAACCAUUGCUACUACUUGGCUUCUUGGAAAUGCCGUGCAAUCAUUCUUGCAGAGCUCCGGGGCAUUUGAAGUUUACUUCAACGGCAAUCUGGUUGGUGCUCUUCUUCUAUCUUUUACUUAUAUCAUGUGAUUCUUUUGGAAGCACUCACAAUCAAUCAUGAUGGAAUAGGUCCCUUGCAUGACUAGUUUUAUCAACAUUUUGACCACUUCACUUCAUUUUACUGGAUAUUCACCUGACAUUAUGAAAUACUAUCAUAUAACAUGUUAGCAACGAUCAUUGAUCUUGACAAGACUAGUUGAAAAAUGAGAAAUAGCCAAUAUUAGUUGAAAAACAAGAAAUAGUUUUGUUACCUAGUAGUGCUAAUUAAAAAUGGUGGUCCCUUUGAUUUAUUAUAUAAAACCUUUGUACUCGUAGUUUAGAACAUCUACUUUCAGAUUGCAAUCAUUUGAACAUGCUUUUACUGGGAAGUUGUUUCUCGCCAUGUGUUUGACUCUCAACAAGUCAUUUGGUUAGUCGGUAGAUUGUUUUGAUUAUUAGGUUUCUUUCAUUAGAGUUUUUUGGUAUAUAACUUGUUAUAUCAUUACUAUUACGGUUUAUUUGGAAAACACCUAUGAAAUGGACUGAUAGUAAAUAAAUUGUGAUAAACAUGUCGUCUUCUCUGUUUUAAAGCUUGUUAUCUGAAGCAAAUUUUGACUUCCCUGUUGCUUUCAUUUGUGCACUUCUGCGACUAUAAUGUUACUGAGUUGUUGGUUAGAGUAGAUGGAAUGUAAAUGGCAUCUUUAAUGCUUCUGAACUUAACCCGUUGAAAUUCUUCAUCUGUCAUUGAAGGUGUUCUCUAAAUUAAAAGAGGGAAGGUUUCCAGGAGAGAUAGAGUUGAAGGAUCUGAUCACCAAAAGGAUGACAAAUUCUAGACUUGUCAGCAGCGCUUCAGAAUUGGGGCUUUAGCUCUUUUGUCGAAUUGCAUCUCAUGAAGACUUCUAAUUUGAACAGGCAAAGAUGAUGUAAUGGACCUACCAUUGCAUUGUGAAGCCGAGGCUGGUUCACAGAUAUAUCAUAGGAAUGUAAUAUUGUAAUGUUUCCAUACUGGAAAAUUGACUGUAAACCAUGUAACUUCUGAAGCCAUAUUGGUUAAUUCAAGUUUGCUUCAGACGUAAAUUUCAGCCUUACACUAUCAUUUUUCUUUUUUCGACAUUCUGACAUUGUGCUAUUGUCAGCUCAGCUCAAGUAAACUCCACUUACCACGCGAAAAAUAGAAUGAUAUUAAGGACAAUUUUGACCAUAUAUCUAACUGGAAGUAUAUGACUUCUGAACUAAAUGUGUAUAGAAAUUAAUAAAUCAAAUUAUCGAGAUACUGUAAUAAAUGAAAAAUAGAUCUAAGAAAUGAAUAUUAUCAAUGGCAAUGCGAGGAACUCAUUCGGUUAAUAGCCCUGAAAUGACGGAAAACUUGUCUGGCCAAAGAUUCUGUUAAAAAAAUAAAUCAAGUGCAUCAUCAAAUUGCUUUCUGAAGUCAUGCAAUUAUUGGAGAUGUUUGAAAUCAUAGCCUAAAGUUAUUGUUAAUUUUUGUUUGACAAAUAUUUCACACUAAUAUCUAAAGUUAAAUAUUUAAAAUUAAAUUAACCCCUAAAAUUAUUUAUGAAUAUCAGAUUAGUAGUCUUCAUAUUUGUUAUGUAAAUCUCAAAUUUCUUAUCAAAGAUAGUGAGACAUGACUAAAUUAUUUUACAAUAUAAUUUCAAAGAUGUAGUCAAUUUCUUUAUUUGAGGGACUAACUCAUUGUCUCGUACAAUUUUAGGCAUAAUUUUUUCAUACAUUAUUUUGAACAUACAAUUGGUGAACAGUUCAUUAUGAUUUUUGCUUGAUGAUGAACAGUUGAUAUAAACAUGAAAACUGGUUUGUUGUGCUCAGUAACUAAUAUACGUGAUGCCUAGAGUUGAAUCUCGAUGUGUAUACAUUGUUGAUUAUAAUAAGACCAAAGACUGCCAUAUUUUAUUGCCUUCCUCUUCAAGCUAUCUUUUGUGUAAUCUCCUUUCAAGUGCCACCAAUUUCUACCAAAUUGAACAUACACGAAGCAAAUAUCAUGAACAAGUACAGUUCCUUGUUGUUCAGCUAACUGGAAUUCAUCACUUAUCCCUUUAAUAAUGACCUGCGAUGCAAACAAAUAAAGCUAAGUAUGUUAGCAUUUCAAAGCCUUAAUAAAAUGUCACAACUAAAUAGGUUUAAGCUCUUUGGAACAACUCCUAACCAUUCUGAAAGUAUUUUACCUAAAAAUUUUCAUAUUCUGCUUAUAUCACGGCCAAAAACAAAAGUUGUAGCCCAGUUAAUAGCUACAUAGAAUCUGUUCCUCCAGCUAAUGACACGAGUUAGAUAAGCUGAGCGCCAAACAAACCAACUGAGAAAACCUGCUAGAGACAAUCCUUUUGCAUCCUGUAGGAGAAAAGUUAGUGAAUUAAACUGUUCUAUGUUUUUAAGAGCACCAAGAAAAGGACCUUUAGGUCGAGCACUGAUAAGUCUAGUGGUCCCUUUCUCCUGGGAUACUAUGCGUGAAAACCAGAUAAGCCUCACCAAAAGGUUAAGGAAUGAUAAAAAUUACCUUGUUCUGUCUGAGGUCUACUAGAGCCUUGUAACUUCCAACAGUUGCCAUGCUUCCAAGAUGCUUGUACACAAACUGAUUCCCCAAGUCUAUAUCUUUCAUGCUGUUUGCACGGCCUCCAUUGGCUUCACCUACUUUGUUUAACAAGGCUGCUAAGUAUUUACCUUGCCUCUCUGCUACCUGUGGAAUUCAAGUGGCAAUACAUUAAGGCCCUGUUUAAUUAGGCACUUAUAAGGUAAGUGUUUAUAUCAUAUAAGUGCGUAUGUAUAAGCCAUUUCUAUCGCAAGAGAUAAAAUAAAGUCUAAUUAAUUUCACGUAAUCUAUAAGCUGCUUUCAUAAGCUAUCCUGGAGAGCUUAUGGAAAUAAACCUAAAACAACUUAUGGACAUGCAUAAGAUAAUUCCAUAAGCUCUCCUAAACAGUCUCACAAGUGCUUAUACCGGAAGAUAAGUUGAAAUAAGUCGGUCCAAAUAGACCCUAAUUUGACAUGAAUAAGCUUUCAGGCAAAGGAAGAUACAAUACAUGAACCUCUACCAAGUAAAGGGAGUAACACAUUCAGAAUGGAAUGUGUUUAGGGACUAACUAAGUCCUUAGUGUUAAACUAAAACCAAACCUACACAUUGACAGGAAUUCAAGAAAUGAAAGUGAGCGUUGGAGAAACUAAUGAAACCAAUGUAAGUUACUUGGGCAAGAGCUGGAAGUGUUGGUUUUCCAGUACUUUCAACAAAUCCACUGCAGUCACCUAUUGAGAAGAUAUCUUGUACUGAAGGAACACGAAGCCACUCAUCAAUACCAAUCCUGUGAAGAGAGAACUUUGUACAUAAAUACUUACACGCUUUAGUGUUAAAACAUAAUAUAUUUGGAGUAUUGAUAAAAAUAAUAAUAUAUUUGGACCAAUGUGAUCCUGCUUUCAUGAUAAUACAGAUCCGAAUACUAUAUGUAUCCAUAUAGAAAUCAGCUGCCAAUUGUAAAUUUUGCAACGGUUGUCCAUGGAAUGAAAAUAAAUGCAACUACUACGUUGAGUAAACAAACCUUCCACCAGGAGAUUUAGGGAGAUCCAGCGAGUGGAUAAAAGGUGAUGGACCAACUCCAGUAGACCAAACCAGCAAUCCGUAUGGAACCUCAGUACCAUCGUUAAGUAUAAUCUUCUUUUCUUGUACAUCUUUCACAAUGCCUCGAACAAGUCGCACUCCUGACUGAUAGAAAUCUUAACAUGAGGAAAGGAACAUAUUGAACAAACAGUAAAGGGACUUUCUCGUGAUAUUCAUAGGUACAACACGAACAUAUUUAACAAAAAGUAAAGAAACACUUACAACAUAAAGCUCACCUUUGUCAACUGGUUGGUGGCAUAGUGCCUGAGUCGGUCAUCAAAGGAAGACAAUAUCUCAUUAGCCUGAAGAGACAUGAAUAAAUUGAUUAGCAACAAAAAUUAUUGUGAAAGACAAAUUUUGGAUGGAGAAGAAAUAUUGUUACAAAUUUACCACAAAAUUGGCUUCUAUGAACUCUAAGGUAUUUCUAACCAUUUUAUUAUUACAAUGAAUUGCCGAAAAUGACAACGGCAAGAGCAAGAUGACUGUUGCUAAUUUCUAUAACAUGUGUAUAAUCUAUUUAAUUGCAUCACAUAUCUAAUGAUACUAAGCAUACCUCAAUCAAAGUAACAUGGAUAUAGUCCUUCACAUGAGCAUAUCUCUGACGAACAUCUCUCAUGAUAAAAUCACUAAGUUCACCACUAAAUUCAACUCCCGUAGGACCACCUCCGACAACCACACAGUGUAACAGCCUUUUCUUCUCCUCUUCCGAAAUCCCUGCAUCCAAAUCAGUUACAGAUUACAAAGGUAAUGCAUAAAAAGCAUUAUUUUUCAAACACAGGAAAAUUAUCGCAAACCUGGAACGUCAGACAUCAUCAAAUUGAGGAGCAACUUGCGACGGAUUUCCUGUGCAUGGUAAACUUCACGAAGAAAAAUUGCAUGUUCAUAAACUCCAUGAAUUCCAAAAGUGGUGGGUUGUGCUCCUAGUGCAAUUACUAACUUAUCAUAGGAGAUUGUAAACUUCCAAGGAUCCAGUGUCUGUGUUCCUUCAGUUACAGUCUCACAUUGUACCUUCAAAACAAUGUGUCAGACUCUCCCAAAUUAAGCUGCACUGUGAUUACAUUUAUUUCAACCAAUACUAGUAUCACACCCUUUUGUUCGUUGCUGUCUAAAGGAGUAAGAGCAUUUGAAGAAGACUAAAACAGUGUUAUAAAAACCAGGAAAGUUACGAUGUUUCACCCAAUUUUUCAUAAGAAUUGUAAAUUGAAGUUUUAUACAAAGUAAGAUACAUAAAGCAGAACACACAACAGUACUACGGCUAUGGAAUGUAGUUUUAUACAUAAAAAACUAUAUUUCUCAAAAUAUCCUAACUAAACUGCCAGGAAACAGUAAGGAAAAUCGAAAGUUCAACACUCCUCCUGGUUUGGCUUGUUACAUAAUCCCACCUUCUUUCUUAGCUGCAAAAACCAAGUCCUAGGCUAUUAGGAAUAUAUUGUAUUCAGAGUUUCCCUUUUCCCAAAGUCAGAAUUCUGUUACAAUUUUGUUAGUCACGGUUAGGAAUUUAGUAACAAGUUAAUUACAUCUAGUUGCACUAUAAAUAUACCACUGUGCUCUUAUGCAAAUCAGAAUGGAAUAUACAAGGCUCUCUCAAAUCUGAUUUCUAGACCUUUCUUUCUUUUCUACACUUUCCUUUACUGUUUAUGCAUCUCAGUUUCUAAUAAGAAUCACUCAAUCUUUAUAAACUCUAUUUAUGUCAUAACCCUAAGCAACAUGGGAUUUGAGCUUUUCUCCAAUAAUGAACACCAAACGAAGAAGUCACAAUGUUAGGAUGAGUAAUUUCACAGAACAAACUGACAAACGAAAACACAUUGAUUCUAGCGCCAAUUUAACAAACUGACUAGCAAAAGAUACAUUUGAGAGUGUUUUUAUAAUUGAUAUAUUCAGGGACUUUAGUGGCACCAUCAGACAUAUUAAACAACCCAAAUGACUAUUUACUCGGGUCGGUUACAAUUUAUAUAUGAAAUUGAAUUUCCAUUGGGGCUUCCGGUGUCAGGGACAGGAACUGCUUUGAAAGUCAAGAUUCCAAUACAACAAUAACCAACUAUCUCACUAGUUAGGGUAGGAUAAAAGGAUACUACGUAUUUCAACCCUACAAAAAUGCAAAAAGAAAAAAAAUAAACAUCUAUAGUAAAUUCCAAAUCCCAAAUAAGGUACCUUUUAAUGGUUUGAAUUUUCAAACCUCAAAUAAAUUCCACUUAGCUUCAGAACAUUCUAAAGUUCUUCUCUACAUAAUAAUAGCUAUGAUUUUUCAUAGCCAAAAACGCAUUUUGCAGCACAAACUUCUAAUCUUAAAAUCAAAUAUAUCACAGCAUUGCUAAAUCCUCAAUACAUAGUUUGGCAGAGGAAAUUCCAACUUACAACCAUUGCAGAAUCACAUGCCAAAGGCAAAGAUCGUAACUCAUAAUGAUACUUGUUUGCCACAUCAUAGUCACAUUAACAUGACAUUGAAUUCAAUCACUUCCAACCACUCAUCAUUCUUAUUAAGAAACACAUUCAUGUGAAAAAUUGAAUUAUAAAAUCUACCACUCCUAAAGUUUCAGACAAACAUUAUAUAUAUAUGCCUUUUUUUUUUGUUUUGUAAAACUCGAUAUCCUGCCCAAUUACCGGCAAAUCCGCGAGACUAAUCCCACCGUUAACUAGCUGGGGGGUCAAUUGAAAUGAAAUCAAAACUUUGUAUGGACUGAUCAUAGUAGUCAAUAGCGGCCAAUAGCGCCGCUAUAGCGGCUGCGCGGUGCGGUGCGGUGCCGGAGCGCUACGCAACAAGCCAUAGUGUUGCGGUGUGAGAUAGCUGCGCAACGCUUCGUAGCGGUUUUACGGUUUAGAACCGCUAUUUCAUUUUAAGAGAAAAUACAAAAUUGUCCUUGGUUUAAAAAAAAAAGAAGGGUAUUUUUGUAAAUCUUCCUCUGCUUUUCUGCUGUUCUGUAAAACUUUUCACCUCUGCUGUAAAUCUUCCUCUACUUUGUCGUGUUUGCUCUGUUAUCCUGUUAUUUUUUUGUUUAACAAUCUCAAAACUCUGAUGUCCUGUUACUUUUUUGUUCUAGUUUUCUUUGCUAUUAUUGAUUCCAAACUCCAUUCUGCUCUCUCUGUUUUUGUUUGUAGUUUGUACAAACAAUCCUCUGUUUUGUUCAUAUAAAACUCUAUUCUGCUCUCUCUGUUUCCUUAUUUUUGUUGUUUUUGUUUUUAUGAAAUAGCGGUCAUAGCACUAUGCGCUAUCCCGCUAUAGCAUUUUUGGGGUCGGCCACUAUGCGCCGCUAUCCGCUAUUAACUACUAUGGGACUGACCCAACACAGGAAUUGUUAGCAAUUGGAAGAAUUGAACCCAAGACUUUGAGAGGAGCAUACUCAAAGGUCCUGAUCCUACAUCACCAGACCAAGCCCUAGGGGUUUUACAUAUUUAUGCCUCGAUUAGUUAAUUGCUAAUUCUGAUUCUUAGAUAUCAGGUCUAACUCAACUCCUCAAAAACCAAUAUUUUUUUUUUUUUUUGAGGGAUCCUCAAAACCAACUUGUAAAGUAAGAAUCACUCAAAAUUUCAAAACUCUAUUUAUGUCACAGCUCUAAGCAACAUGGGGUUUAAGCUUUUCUCCAACGAUGACCCACCAACCAAGAAUUCAAAAUGUUACAAUGAGUAAUUUCAAGGACCAAACUGACAAACAAAAGACACAUACCAGCACCAAUUUAAGUAAAAAAAAAAAAACAUUUAACAACUAAACUGUCUAACAAAAGACACAUUCGAGGGUAUUUUUUUUUAUAUAAUUUUGAUGCAUUCAGAGAUUAUAGUGUCACCAUCUAACAUAUUGAAUGACCCAAAAUGACUAUAAUAUUAUAAUUUAAUCCAAUGAAAUCGGUAAAAAUCAUUUUUUUUCCCUCCCACCAUUACUAAACCAUAUAAAUAUUCCCAAUUACAUUAGAUAAAACAUACCAUGAAUUGAAAAGAGAAAAAAAAUCAAACACCUGAUAGACAUGUACAAAUAAGUUUAGAUACAAUACAAUAAAAAGAAAAAUAAAGAUACCUCAUGUUUAUCAGCAUUGAUACCAGUACAAUUAGCAAGGAAGAAAAAAGAACCAGGUUCUUUAGAAAUAGUGGGUUGAAUCCUUGCAACAGGUUCAGCAACAGAUCGAAACUCAAGAGUUCCAACACAAGUAGAAGCCAAAAGAGGUGUGAAAACCAUGUGAUUACGCGGUGAUACACAAACGAUAUCAUAGAUAUUAGAAUCUAAUCCUUUCAUGAAUCUGCAUCCGGCCCAACCGGUGCCGAGAACCACCACGCGUGGCUUCUCGUGUGGUUUGGUUGGUCCGAGAGCCGCAUAACGAACCGGAGCGGUUGAACCGGGUGUUGAAGUGGAGAAGCGAGAGAGAAGAGUGAGAGAUGGGAAGAGGUGAGAAGGGUUGGUUGAGUUGGGGGGUUUGAAAAGUUGUUUCGUGGUGAAGAAGUAACUUUUUGAGAGGUUUCUAAACAAAGACAUGGUUAGUGUGUUUGUGUUUGAGAUGUUGAAGAAAGAAGAAAUGAAGUUCCAAAGAUGUAGACUGAUGGGAUGGGAUGAUCAGAUCAUAUUGAGUUGACUGAUAAUGUCACCAACUUUGUUGGGCUGCUUGUCUGCUUUUAUGGGAUCAAAUGAUGUAAUGAGAUGAGAUUGUUGACAUUAUUAUUGCUUUGAAUAUUCAUGUAGACUACUAGUCGUACAUCACAUACUGUCUUUUUUGUCCAGGUGCUCAUAAAAUAUAUAUACAAUAAAAAAUAACAAAUUUCAAAACUCGGAAGAUGCUAAUACAUCAUAGUUGAAACGAGAGAUUGAAGUUUAUCAAUUUUUUUUUUAGCAAAGGAAAGGUAAGUAUUAUCAUUAAAUCAAUCAAUGUUCAAUAUAAGAAGAAUAAGACUAAAAAAAUACGCUAAUUAUGUCAAGAACAGGCCGCCCUAAUUAAAGUAUGAGCAAUCAUGUUUGCAUGUCUCUUAACAAACUUCACAUCAAAGUUAGAAUGUAAAGAUAAUUGAUAAAAUUCUAUAAACAAUAGCAUAGAAUUCCGAAUCACCGUGACCCGAAGACGAUAGCGCUUGCACUAGAGUAGCUGAGUCAGAUUCGAAGACAUCAAGUAAAGCUACUGUCUCCCUCUCCAAAACUGUCAAAUUCGCUUGCUGCAAAUUCGUUUGAGCCCGAAUAAAUUGCCCAUGGAAGUCUCUAACACAACACGCAAAAGAUGUAAUAUGGUUACAGUCAUGGAACGCGACGUCCAUGUUGCACUUUGACCACGUCUCGCACGGUUUCUCCCAAACAGAGUUGUUACCUUGCACUCUAUUCUGCCCGUGUUGCACAACUGUUGGUGAGGGCUGUUUAUGAACCUCUUGUCAUUGUUGUCAUGCAUCUAGUGUUGUUCUUCCAAUAAUUGUUGAAGUAUGAUGAGCGUCAUUCUAAAUGACUUCAUUACGUGCUUCCCAAAUUUGCCAAAGAAGCAAAGCCACCCGACCAGCAAUGUCUCAGCUUUCUGAACAACAUAUGUCAAAAACAAAAUAUGUCAAACUGCUCACAGUUCCAACUCGCGGUUGCAACACAGUCGAAAGCCCUGCCCAAUACCAACUCUCACGCGCCACCAUAUAACCCAUAAAAGCAUGUCAAUCACCCUUAACAAUCGUAUCACACCAGGAACAUAUCACCUUACAUUGUACAUGUCGUGAUUGUAGUCAGAGGCGGGUUGGAACACACCCUCUGUAAAUCCUUCAUAACAAAUUACGAGUUUUAUGAGGGGGAUUCACCUUCCAGAUCCUACACCACUCUCCGUCAACAUGGAACCAAUCAGUGUGUAACAACUCCAUCAUAGCCAUUUGCAACCCGUCUUAAUAGUAUACCUUUCGUUACGUUCCAUCAUCCACUCUAUUCUUUCAUUCUGAACUUCCGCAAACAAUGGUGUGUUGAGAAUAGCUUGCACCAUCUCAUCUAAAAAGGUUUAAUUGUAGUUUUGAUCCCCUUUUUUCAUCAUUUUGCGAAAUUGGUCCCUCAAUUUUUAAAUUCGACAGUUUUGGUCCAUCUAUCAAAUAUUUUGUCUAAAAUAUUGUUAUAUCAAUGUUUUAAAUGAAGUUUUCAAUGGAAUUUUGUUACAAUUUCAUCCAUGUUAAUAUUUUUUCAUCUUCAGAUCAUAUUCCACGACAUUUAAAAUUUAUCACAUCACAUUUUUAAAUUUUAAAAUAUGAUGGAGGGAUCAAAACUGUCGAUUUUUACAAUAGGGGGACCAAUUAUGCAAAAUGAUAAAAAUAAGGGGAUCAAAACUGCAAUUAAGCUCAUCUAAAAACAAAGAUUCAAUCAAAGAAAAAAACAAAAAAACUAACUCAUAUGAAAUCGAAGAUAAUAAUAAAAAUAUAUGUCGACAUUAAUUAAAACGAUUCAAGUAAGUCGUUGUAGCUUAAUGUAAAUUGCCUAGAAAACGAAGAUAUUGAGAUGAAUGCGGAAAUAAAAGAUUAGUUAAUUUGUUGAGAAUAGAAUAUACACCAACUAAUGCUAUCCAAAUUCUUGUAAUGUAAAUGUAUACAUAAACAUGAGCAAAUUUAUAUAUGAUGUCUUAUGCAAAAGUAAAUCAUCUCAUCUUCUUUGCUAACUUGAUUUUGGACGUGUCUUGGUGACAAUACAAUUUAGUAAAAUAUUUCUUGUUAAAACAAAUGUUCAAGUGAUUAGCAACUCACGAAAAAAUAGCAGUAUAAUACAAAAUUUUUGAUGAAAAAUGAGAGCUUAUCAUCAACGUAAACCGAGAAAGAAGAUGGUGAAAUCUUUGUUCUUGAAAGGUAAAAAUAGCGAGUAUGAUGAUUGUGGCUUGUGAGUAUAUAUCAAAAGAUAAUAGAAGAAUUAGGAAAUAGAGAAAGAAACAAAAAGAAUGAAGUAGAAGAAUAAAAUUGAAACGUUUGGAAUUUGGAAAUAUAAAAUUGAAACGUUUGGAAUUUGGAAAUUAAUUGUGAACAUUUAUUCUAUUAAAAAAAUAAAGGAAAGACUAACCGGUGUCUCUCAAGUACUAGUCAAGGAGGAUAUUACAAAAUGAAAUUAUAUAUAUAAGGGUUAAUUAAGUUUUUGGUCCCUAUAAAUAUCUGCACUUUUGUUUUUAGUCCCUAUAAAAAUAAAUCACACUUUUUAGUCCCUACAAAAUUUUCUAUUAGUGUUUUUAGUACCUGUUAAAUUAAAAUUUGUUUAAUUAUGCUUAAACUUCUAAAUUUUUGAAAGAUUUUUUACAUACAAGUUCACUUGUUACGUGACUUUCUCUUAUCUUAUUUCCUUACUUCUUAUAGCGCAGUAACAUGUCCUGAAUAUCCCUUUUUUAUUUGGGGCAUUGAAAUAUAUAAUGGCAUGUUUAGUCAUUAGGGCUAUUUAGGUUGAUGGGUUCUUCAUUUUGAUGACUGACUGUAAUUUCUAGUCAGAACAAUUUCUUGAAGCUUUUUGUUUGUCUCUUGUACAUCUUUAUGCCGCGUUUUCUGAUAUCAAAUAUGCCAGUGAAUACGCAUUCCAUUGAACCACAUGGUUGGAUUUCAUGCUCUCAAUUUAAUGGAUUUUCAUUUAACACAUUGUUGAAUUCGUUGGAGUGAUUUUCAGGCUUUUGUUCAAUUUGUUCGUUGGAACCCUUUCCGAAGAAUGAGAACAGGAGAGCAUGAAAGAUCUUUUAUUGGUAAGGCUUAGGGGAAAUAUACAAAUAAUCGCGCAGGUAAUGUAUUAGGACUUAUGUAUUCUUAUCACAAUAAGCCUUUUCAUUUUGAGCAGCAAGUUGUUGAUCCUGAUAUUCACUUCAAUUACAUUAAAGCAGCAGCUAAAACUGGACAAAUUAAGGUGUAGAGAAUGUGACAUGGGAAUCAAUUAAUGUUUUAUUGAGUGAGGGAAGCAAAGACAUAAAUGUGUGUAAUGCUCUGCAGUGCAAGUUCUUAUGAUUGCUGAUUUCCGCCAUUAGUUGAUUGAGCUCCUUCAACAGAUUGUGCUGCACAAUUCUGCCUUUGGUUGAAACUUCGAUCAGCCAAUUUAGGGUGCUUUCUUAUGUAAAAUAAGAUAGCAACUUUUUGUCAGAAAAUUCUGCUCUAUAUAUAAACCAGAAACAAUUUACUUUCAUUCACAUGAUGUAUCUGAGUUUAGUCUCAUUAUUGUUUCAAUGAUUGUUAAUUAACCAUUUAUUUAUUCGGGUUUACUAGAAUUUGUAUUGACACAUAACGUUGACUGAUCGAUCUACUUUGAUUGGAUUGUUUUUAUUAUACUAAAAAAAAAUGAUUCAGUUUAGUUUACCAAUUACAUACAUAAUAGUUUACCAUCUUUUAAAUGUACAGGUUGGUAUGUAACGAUUUAAAUGAUUAGGUUGGUAUAGUUUACCAUCUUUUAUAUAGUUUUGAAUAUUUUGUGCAAAUUCAAAACCUUGAUGUUUCUGCUGGCUACCAAAACAGACAGUUAAAAAACAUGGAAUGUAGUUUUUUUCGUCUUCCUUGAGGACAAGGAAAUAUAUUUGGCUCAAAUUCAUUACAUGAAAGUUAAUGAACUCUGUUAUUGUUGAAAGUAGAAGAUUGGGUUACAAGUAAAUGUAACAAGUAGCAGAUAAAUUGUUGAUUAAAACAAGUGUGUUGUUAUUCCGGUCAAUAUCCAAUCUUUUAUUUUUAUGAUCAGUAUUUAAUGUUCUAUCUGCAUGUGAUCCUUUGAGUUUGAAUAUUAUCUUAGCUUACUCUUAUAUUAUGCUAAAACUCAACUGAAACUGAAAGAUACUAAAUUCCAUUCCGAAUUUUAUUCUCAAGAGUGCAUCGCAGCAAUAUCCUAAUGACAAACUGACCAAUUGCAAGAAAACCAAAGAGUUAAUGUUUUCUCCUCCAAAACUCCACCACCUCGAAACUCGAAUUAACCUGGUGGAGUUCCAAACAUGAAUUUUACCUGCAUUAUGAAAUACCGUCUGUACUUCUAACCAACCGGUUAUCUUCGCCCAAACCCUAGAAAAAAACGGACACUCAAAAUAAAUGUCGAACUGAAGGUGAAAAACACAAGAAGGGGGGGUUGAAUUGUGUUUUCUUUUUCUCUUAAAAAAUACUUCUUCUGAUAAAACUUCAGAAGCAGUUUGAUUGCUUCUGAUGAAAUGAUCAGAGUCAGAUUGCAGCGGAAAAGAACAGAGCAGAGAAAAGAAAGACAAAGACACAAGCAGUUAUCCUGGUUCCUUCCACAACACGGAAGUAGUCCAGUCCCCCUUGCACUUCCAAGGAGAUUUCACUAUAAUCACAAAGAUUACAACUGCUCAAUACUUUCUAAGUAUGAGACUUCACAAAACUAUGCUCAAGCACACACGCAAGAGUCUUCCAAUGCUCAAGCACUAAGCAAGAGACUUCUAAUGCUCAAGCACGCAGGCGAGAGACUUCUAAUCAAACAAAAAUACAGAGAAUUGAGUUUGAAUUGAACACUUGAUAUACAAUCAGUGGUGUUCACAAUACAAUACAGAAAAGACUCUAGACUUUGAAUUUCUAAGAUGUAUCAAAUCAGUGCAGAAAUUCAGUGUGCUUUGUAGAAUCAAAUUGACAGAGUUUUGGCGCUUUUUUUAACUUAUGUAUUUCUCUCUUUUAUCUUCAAGUCUUCACUCCUUUUUAUAGAGGCGUGAAAGAGACGUUGAGAUAAUCAGCACGUCUAAAGAGUCGUUUGAAAUCCUUUGAUUAUCCACCAGUGAUCCUUUGCCUGAUUUGGGUGUAGUCCUUUGAAGAAUAAACUUCAAAUUCCUUCCCAUCUUGAGUGUACAAUUCUGCAGGCAUGGCUGUUGUUUUGUCUUGUAGCGUAGACAGAAAACAGAGUAGUGGAGGUAGUGGUUGUACACUUGUACUUUGUCAACUCUAUUAACGAGAGACAAGAGCUUAGUGCUAUCCAUAUAUCCGUUGAUACCUCCCUUUCAAUUCUUCGUUCUUCUUUGAUAAGACUGAAUUGAAAAUCAGCUACUUUGAAUCUUCAGUUUGAUUAAAGGAUCAAAUGUAGCUUCUGGUGAAGAUAUUGAUUCUGAUGAAAACUUUUGCUUCUGAUGACUUUCUGCUUCUGAUGACGUCAUCUCUUCAGGAGCAGUUUAGCUUCAGGAGCAGUUUUCUUCAGAUGCUCAGAAUUUCUUUUUCUUUCCAUUGUUCUUCCAAGACCUAUUGAAAUGACUUGAGUAGCCUUUGGUCCUGUACACUUGAACAAUUAUUAGUAAUAACCAAUUGACAAUUUUUAAUACCUUGUUAUCAUCAAAACUCAAUAAGGUUCAUUGUGAAACACAUUUUGUUCCAACAAUCUCCCCCUUUUUGAUGAUGACAAACAAUAGUAUUUAAAAUGUUCAAUUGUUGUUGAUCUAAUUAAUAAGUUGACUACUGGGACAGAGGUUUGUAAGCUCCCCCUGAGUCUAAUAGAUCUUUAAGGUGAGGUUUGUAAGCUCCCCCUAAGUUCUAUUCUUAUUAAUUAAAUUUCAAUAAAAUACUUAUAAAAUCAAAUCAGAAGUAUUUAAAAGAAAUUUAGAGUAGGGCUCAGUGCCUUAAAAAAUACUAUACAUUUACUCCCCCUUUUGUCAUCAACAAAAAAGAAUAGAAACAAAAGAAAGAGUAUCAGAGCAAACAGCAUUAAAAACAGUAAAUAUCAUCAGAGUUAAAGCUUGUAAAACAUAUUGAAGGUGAAAAAGCACAAGAUCCAGAAACAAUGAUAAUAUAUAUAAAGAAAGAUUAAGAUACAAAGACACAGCUACUAAGAACAAAAGUAAAAAACAAGCUAGAGUUGGGUGUGCAACUAAGGUUGGGCUUGCUUAUACAACUGUUCUAAGAGAUACUUGAUCUGAUCAUCCUUCUUCUGAAGUAGCUCAUCCUUUUCCCUCAUUCUUCUUUUAUAUCCAGCCUGAAUUCUAGCAGCCCUAGUGAUGUACUCUUCUUCUGGAUAGAAAGGAGUAAUGUCCAGCAGAGGCACAAAAUUCAGCUCUUUCUCCUUAGCUGCUUCAUGCAUAUCUUCCAAAAGCUUCUUCAGCAUAGCAGAGUGAGAUGACACACAUUUAGUUCUAAGCUGAUCCAGCAGCUCAUCAAAGCUCUUCUGUAGAUCCAUCCACUGAUCAUAAUAGUGAAUAGGAGGUGCAGGAACUGUUCUGCGAAGAAUCAGUGCCUGAAUCUCAUCACUAAGUCUGAUCAGUUGUUCCUCUAUAUACUCAGACUCCAGGAUAUGGUCAGGGAUGGGUGAAGGUUCAGUUUGAGUUGUAUUUGAUGUGGAAGGUUGGUCAGAGGUUAAGUCUAUUAUAGUGGGUGAGUCUGGUUGUUGUUGUUGUUCUGUUGUUUGGUCAGAAGUUGUUUGGUCAGGAGCAACUUGUUCAGAAGCAGUUUGCUCCUGAACAGUUUGCUCAGGGAUGGUUUGGGUUUCUGUUUGGGUUUCCAAGACAGUCUUCUCAGAAACUGUCUUAGAGGCCUUAGUGGGUGUUGGUUGCAUUUCACCACCUAGAUGUUUUUCUAAGUUGUGAAGGGUUGAGGAUUCUUGGUGUUGGGGGGUUUCUGAAGUAGUUGCAUCUGAAACUACUUCAGAGGCCCUUUGUGGAGUUUGGUUAGGUUCUUGGUUGGGUUCAGGUUGUUGUAUACUAACAGGCUCUGGAAUAUCUGGAUAUAGUGGAUGAGUAGUAGGCAAAUUGAAUUUCUCACAAAGUUUUAUCCUAUUUUUUGAAAAUUCUAUUUGAGUACUCUCAUAGUCAAGUGUUCCAAAUUCUGUUAGUUUGGUAGGUUUGGUUUUUAGAAGCUUGUCUAUAUGUUGGCUAAGGGGUUGGUCAUCUGAUUCUGUGGAUGAUGAAGAGGGUGAAGAGGGUAGAGAUAGAGACUGAGUAUUAGUUGGAGCUUUAGAUGGAUUACCUGAGGACUGAGCUUCUGGAGCCUUUGAAACUGGUUCUGAUGAAGUUGUUCCUGAAGCUUGCUUAUUCUUCAAGGCUUGAGAAAGCAGAGUUGCUCCAUACUGAACUGUUUCUUGCUCUAACUCAGAAGCUAAAGCAGCAAUGUCAGGAGUAGGCACAUACCCUGCAGCCUUGAGACGCUCAUCCCUUUCUUUUUCAUACAAAAUCUUCAUCCUUUUCUUUUCUGCUAUCUUGGAUGCAGAAACCUCCCUAGUAUACUGCCUCAUUUCUUCAGUCAUUUCAAAACUGGGCAUGACUAUGGGCUCAGAAGUUGCAGUCCUUUUUGCCUUCUUGGGGCUUGAGUCUUCAUCCCAGUUCUCUUCCAGUUCUUUCAACAUUUCUUCCCUUCUUCCUUCAGCUGUCUUCAGAUUUCUUGUUAAAUUAGACCUCUUCCUUUUGAUGGUCUGAAGAGCAGCUUCUCUUUUAUUUUUGGGACUUGAAGGCUUUUCAGAAGCAGCUUGAUCAGAAGCAGCUUGUUCAGAACCAGCUUGUUCAGAAGCAGGCUGUUCUGCUGUUUCUUGAGUACUCCUUGUCCUUUUUCUGAUAAGAGGGACAUCAUCCAAAUCCUCCACUUCCUCAAGAAUGGUGGACAUAGCAGAUUUUUCCUUCUUAGCUUUCUUAUGCUUCUGAGCACCCACCUCAGUAGCAUCUUCAGCAAGGUAUUCUUCCUUGGUGAUCUGCUUCUUUUUAGAUUUUCUGCCUUUGGCCACAGGCAGAUCACCACCAUACAUUUCUUCUGGGAUAUCUUUCAGGCUGAUUUUCUUGUUGUAGCUCUUGUAGUAGUCUAAGAUGUAGGCCCUCUGCACAUCCAGGGGAUCUUUCUUGCAGAUAGGGAUGUGAUGAGUGACUAGAUCAGAUAUGACAUCAGAUUCAUGCAUAUCUGUAUCUAGUUUCCUGCAUGUUGAAAUCAGCCUCAUCUUGACUAGAGUUGCCCCAUUGAUUAUUUUUCCUGUGACUGCUCCCAGCUUCUGAUUAUCAUAAAUACCCACGUCUUUCAGGGCACUUAGGAGUCCUCCUUCUUGAAAGAUUAUGGAGAGCAGCCUUCCAUAGGGAACAAACUUCCUGUUCUCCAUCUGGCUCUUCUUGAGUUCCUUGAUCAUGUAUUUAAACAUAUACUUGGGAACGUUCAUUGUUGUUUCCUGAGAGAUGGUGUGAUGCAGAAAGACUUUGUGACCAAGUGAAGGUUGAUCAUUUCCUCCACCUUUGGGAAAAAUGUUUUCAUUCUGGAUCUUCAGCAGCAUUUUCUUUUCCAUGCUUAAGGUGCUGUAAGGCUUAGCAUCCUUUGAUCCGUAGAUAGUGUUGUUUACUAUCUCCUUCCAUGGGCUUGUUCUGGGGUUAGGAAUCUCUUCUCCAUCGUAUGUCCCAGAAGCAUCUCUCCUCAUAGCUUGAGCAAUCACUUGCUCAUUGAUUGUUACAGGAAUCCCCAUGACGUUUGAUCUAAUCUCAGUCCCAGUGAAGGCGAGUAGACCCAUUUCUUCUCUGGUUUUUCCCUCCAAAGUAGGAUCAACCAGAAUCAUCUGAGCUUCUUCCUGUUUAGCAGCAACUUUGUCAAACACUGAAGCUCUUACCCAGAAUUGUCUGACAAGCACUUCAUAAGUAGGACCGUUGAGAAGACUGAAGUAACUCAUUAGCUUCUGCUUCUUGUAGAAUCUUACCAAGUCGCAUCCAUGAUGAGUUAGAGAAGUGAAAUCCACAGGAUUUUCCGCUUGAAUGAUUAGCUCCCAUUCCUCAAUAGACAUAGUUCUUCCUUUGAUUUCAUAAGCAGGAGUAUCUAUAUCCAUAUUCGAUGAAGAACCACCGGCAGAACUUGAAGAUGCCAUUGAUUUGAAGUAGAAUUAGGGUUCUAAGGUGUUUUGAGAGGUUGAGAGAAUGUGCUUACUUACACAGAGGGUUGAGAAGAAAUUAGAAAGUGUUUGUUGUGAAGUGAGAAGUGUGUGAAAUGACUUAGUGUUUUUAUUAAAACGUUUGUAAUUCAGAGGGGACAAACAAACACAGCAUUAAUGACAAAUUGGGGGCGCGUGUAAGUAUGUUAAAAAGCGAAUAAAAACAUCAUUGCCCUUUUUGUUAUACUCCAAUACAAAUAGACCACGUCAGAGACUCUUCAGAAAACUACCUUUUGGGUAAUGGGACAGCUGUUACAUAAAGUAACUGCCAACGUUCCCACUAGCCAAGCUAUUCAGAAGCAAAGAAUAACACUUCUGAAGUUUUAGUGCUGACGUCAUCUUCAGAAGCACAUUUUCCUCAGAACCUCAGUUAAGAGCUUCUGAUGAACCAAAAUGCUUCUGAAUAAACUUCAGAACCAAACUUCUUAUUCAGAGGCAAGCAAUUUUUCAAUCAGACACAAAAUGCAUGUUCAAAUUUUUCUUAAUAAAAUCAAAUCUUUCAACAGACAAAGGUUUUGUAAAUAUAUCAGCCCAUUGAUGUUCAGUAUCAAUGAAUUGUAUAUCUAAAAUCCCUUUUUGAACAUAGUCUCUGAUAAAAUGGUGUUUGAUUUCAAUAUGCUUGGCUCUUGAAUGUAGAAUUGGAUUCUUUGACAAACAAAUAGCAGCAGUAUUAUCACAGUAAAUGGGAAUACUGUUAGCAUUAAUCUGAUAGUCUUCCAACUGAUGUUUCAUCCAAAGUAGUUGUGUGCAACAACUUGCAGCUGAAAUGUACUCUGCUUCUGCUGUAGACAUAGCAAUAGUUGCUUGUCUUUUGCUUGCCCAGGAUAUCAGAUUCUUUCCCAGGAAUUGACAAUUUCCACUGGUUGAUUUUCUUUCAAUCCUAUCACCAGCAUAAUCAGCAUCACAGAAUCCAAUCAACUUAUAAUCUAGGGAUUUCCUAUACAGGAGUCCAAGAUUAGUUGUUCCUUUCAGAUACCUGAAGAUUCUCUUAACUGCAGUUAAAUGAGAUUCUCUAGGAUCUGAUUGAAAUCUUGCACACAAGCAUACACUGAAUAAAAUAUCAGGUCUAGAUGCAGUGAGGUAUAACAGAGAACCAAUCAUACCUCUGUAUAGCUUCUGGUCUACUACUGUUCCAGUAUCUUCUUUGCUUAAGGUGCAGGUUGGAUGCAUUGGAGUGUUCAUCACUUUACAAUCUUCUAGCUUGAACUUCUUCAGAAGCUCCUUUGUAUAUUUUGUUUGAUGAACAUAUACUCCUUCUUUACUUUGGUUGAUUUGAAUUCCCAGAAAGAAUUUCAAUUCUCCCAUCAUACUCAUUUCAAAUUCAUCCUGCAUUAACUUAGAAAAUUCUUUGCAAAGAGAUGCAUUAGUAGAACCAAAUAUUAUAUCAUCAACAUAUAUUUGCACAAUCAAAAUAUCUUUCUUAAGAGUCCUUCUGAAGAGUGUUGUGUCAACUUGUCCUCUUUCAAAAUCAUUUUUAAUUAAGAAAUUACUUAGUCUAUCAUACCAAGCUCUGGGAGCUUGUUUCAAGCCAUAUAGUGAUUUCUUAAGUUUAUAAACAUGGUCAGGAUGCUUAAGAUCCUCAAACCCAGGAGGUUGUUUAACAUACACUUCUUCUUCAAUGACACCAUUAAGAAAGGCACUUUUGACAUCCAUUUGAUAUAAUAUUAUGCCAUGAUUAAUUGCGUAGGAUAGAAGUAACCUGAUUGCUUCCAAUCUUGCAACUGGAGCAAAUGUUUCAGUGUAAUCAAUGCCUUCUUGUUGACUGUAGCCUUGAGCAACAAGUCUGGCUUUGUUUCUGGUUACUUCUCCUUGUUCAUUCAGCUUGUUUCUGAAUACCCAUUUUGUUCCAAUAAUGUUCUUCUGAGAAGGUUUGGGUACCAGAUCCCACACAUCAUUCCUUUGGAAUUGAUUUAGCUCUUCUUGCAUAGCUAAUAUCCAUCCAUCAUCUGAGAGAGCUUCUUCAACAGUUUUAGGCUCAAUUAUUGAAAGCAGUCCUAUUAAUGACUCUUCUUGUCUAAAAUGUGAUCUAGUUCUUCUAGGACUAUCUUUGCUUCCAAUGAUUAGCUCCUCAGGAUGUGAAGAUUUGUGCUUGAAUUUAGGUUGUAUAACCUGCUGAGUGUUAUCUAGAAAGUCCUCAGAAGCAAUUUCAUUCUGUACUUUUGAGCUAGGUUCUGCUUCUGAAUUAGACUCAGCUUCUGGAGUGAUUUCAGCUUCUGGACUAGAUUCAACUUCUGUAUACUUUUCAGAAUCAGAAGGUUGAUCAGAUUCUGAUGCAUCUUCAGAAUCAGUUGUACCUGCAUUACUUUCACUUUGCUCUGAAGUUUUACUUCCAGGCUCUCUAUCAUCAAAUUUUACAUGCAUAGAUUCUUCAACACAUUGUGUUUCUGAAUUAUACACUCUGUAUGCCUUUGACCUUUCAGAGUAACCUAAAAAGAUUCCUCUUUGAGCCUUGGCAUCAAAUUUCUUCAGAUAGUCUUUAGUGUUUAAGAUGUAACAGGUACAUCCAAACUGAUGAAAGUAAGAGAUAUUGGGUCUUCUUCCUUUAAAGAGUUCAUAUGCUGUUUUCUCCAACAUAGGUCUGAUAUAGAUCCUAUUUUGAAUAUAACAUGAAGUAUUGACUGCUUCUGCCCAAAAAUGUUUAGCUAAGUUGUUUUCAUGGAUCAUGGUUCUGGCCAUUUCUUGUAAAGUUCUGUUCUUUCUCUCUACAACUCCAUUUUGUUGUGGAGUUCUAGGAGAGGAAAACUCAUGGAGAAUCCCAUGUUUUUCACAAAAAAGUUCAAAUGGCUCAUUUUCAAAUUCUCCACCAUGAUCACUUCUGACUUUCAAAAUUUUCAAUUCUUUUUCAGAUUGUAUUUGAGUGCAGAAGCUGCUAAACACUUCACAUGCAUAGUCUUUACUUUUAAUGAAUUUUACCCAAGUCCAUCUGCUGUAAUCAUCAACAAUGACUAAUCCAUAUUUACUUCCAUAUAAGGAUGCAGUGUUAACUGGACCAAAAAGAUCAAUAUGGAGUAAUUCUAAGGGUCUGGAGGUUGAUACAAUGUCUUUAGAUUUGAACGAACUUUUCACAAUUUUCCCUUUCUGACAUGCACCACAAAGUGCAUCUGAAUGAUAAUCAAUGUUAGGCAAUCCUUUGACCAGUUGUAACUUGCUAAUUUUAGAAAUUAAUCUCCAAUUAGCAUGUCCCAACCUUUUAUGCCAUACCCAUUUUUUAUCAUUCAUUGACAGAAGGCAAACUACCUUCUGAUCAGCCAGAUCAGAGAAAUUUAUUUUAUAGACAUUCUCAACUCUCUUUCCCUUGAAUGUAAUGGAUUUGUCAUCCUUGUUAACUAGUGUGCAGUUGGUCUUACUGAACGUUACAUCAUACCCAUUGUCACAAAAUUGACUUAUGCUCAAUAGGUUAUGCUUCAGACCAUCUACUAGCCACACAUUAUUAAUUGAGAUGGAGGAAUUACCAAUAGUACCUGUACCAAUGAUCUUUCCAGUUUGGUUGCCACCAAACUUCACUUCUCCUCCAUCUUUCAUUGUAAGGGUAAGGAACAAAGCUUUCUCUCCAGUCAUGUGCCUUGAACAUCCGCUGUCUAGGUACCAUGACCUUUGUUUCUCUCUUGCCCUUAAGCACACCUGCAUUUUUGGCCAAUUCAGAUUUAGGUACCCAUAUCUUCAUGGGUCCUUUUGGGUUAGCUUUGGAGGUUUUACUUUUCCUCCCUUGUACCUUAGGGUGAAUGCUGAGUGGCUUCUGAUCAUUCAAUACUUUAGGUUUGACACCUUUUGGUAUUGUUUUCUCAGAAGCAGUAGCUGCUUUGUUCUUCUGAUCCUUUUGUUUUGGAAUUUUAGAUUCUGGUUUAAUCAGAUUCUGAUGAACAGGUUCUGAUCUUUUCAGAAUUUUAAUCUUUUGACUCUUAGGAUCAGAUUUUGUCAUUACCUUGAUCUUAAGAUUCUCUGGCUUUGAUGUGAUCUUAGCCUGUGAACCUGAAGCUUCAGGUUUUGACUGAACAUCAGUUAUAGCAUUUGUACCUUCAGGCACAAAGGUGGAUUUCAAUCCAUCCUUGAUACAAUCACAGUAGCUCUUGAGACUGUAUUCUUUGGAUUUCUCCUCAGAAUAUCCAAUCCCUUUGCCUUUGUUCUUGUAUGUGCUGUAGAUCAUAGAAGCAACUUUGCUUCUGUCUAUUCCAGCCAUAAUAAAAUCAUCCAAGGCAAUCUCAUGUUUAUUGCCUGAACCUUUAUCACAUUUUUCUUGUAGCUUCUGACAAAGACUCUUGAGUCUAUCUUCAUAUGUUGUUGAUAUGAGGUUAAACCCUUUGAGUUCUUCUUCAGAAGCUUUCAGUUCCAAUAGAGUUGACUUUUGUUGUUUCAUCAAAUCAACAUAUUUUUCUUUUAAAUCUGUCAACUCAUUGGUUCUGUGUUCAAACAGUGAUAAAAGUUCUUUUAGAGAAUCAACAAGUUCUUGUCUAGGGAUUUUGGAAUAUACCUCAUUUUCAUCUUCUGAAUCUGAUUCAGCUUCUGAUACUGCUUCUGAUGAUACUGUUGCCACUAACCCAACAGCUGCCUUAGCAUCAUCAUCAGCUUCUUCUUUAUCAGAACCAGAUUCACUAUCCAAAUCUUCCCAGGUCGCCAUCAAGCUCUUUUUGAUUUGCUUUCUGAAUUUACUGGAAUUGAAGCUUGAUUUCUUGGAUUUGCCUUUAAACUUCUCCUUCUGAAGAUCAGGGCAAUCAGCAAUGAAAUGACCAGGCUUCUUACAAUUGAAGCAUCCCUUCUGAUCUUCUUUCUUGGAGUUCUUGUAGCUACCUCUCUUGCUCAAAAAUUUCUUCUGCUUCCUUGCCAGAUACUCAAGCUUGUUGGACAACAUAGCCAUUUUUACAGAUUGAUCUUCAUCAGAAUCUCCAUCAGGUGAUUCUUCUUCAGAUUCACUGGCUUUGUAGGCUUUGGAAGAUUUUGAGAUCUUUCCUUUAGAUGGUAAAGCAAUGGAUUUACUCUUCUUAGAGGUUUCAUGCUCAUUUAAACUCAUUUCAUGCACUUUGAGUGAGCUAACAAGAUCUUCAACACUUAAAGUAUUUAGAUCCUUAGCUUCCUCAAUAGCAGUUACUUUGGGUCUCCAUCUUGAAGGUAAGCUUCUCAAAAUCUUACUAACAUGAUCAGAAGCAACAUAGCUUUUCUUCAGUAUUUGCAAUCCAGAAACUAAAGUUUGAAAUCUUGAGUACAUUUCUUCUAUACUCUCAUCAUCCUUCAUUCUGAAAAGUUCAUACUGAUGAACUAGCAUCAAAGCUUUAGCCUCUUUUACUUUCUUGCUGCCUUCAAAGUUUGCACAUAGAGAAGCAAACAUAGCCUUCGCAGUAGAUUUGUCACUCAUUUUCAUGUAUUCGGUGCGAGGUAUAGAAGCCACAAUAAUCCCUCUGAUUUUGUGGUGCUUCUUGUAAAGCUUCUUCUGAGCAGGAGUAUGUAUUUUUCUAUCUAUAGCAGCUCCUUCUUCAUCUAAAUCCAGGUCAUCAACUCCAUCUUCCAGUAUGUCCCAUAACUCUUCAUCUAAUCCCAUGAUAAAGCUGUACAUAUUAGUUUUCCACCAAGAAAACUCUUCUGGAUCUCCAUUAAACCUUGGAGCUUUUCCAGAGUCUGUUUUCUUGUCAGCAGUAUCAUAGUCAUGCUUGACGCUUGUGUAUUUUGGAGUAACUGAUUCCUCAUCUCCAGACAUGUUUUUCUAAUAGAUCUUGAACUGUAACACGGUUAAGUGCUGUGAUAACAGAGCAAGCUCUGAUACCAAUUGAAGGUGAAAAACACAAGAAGGGGGGGUUGAAUUGUGUUUUCUUUUUCUCUUAAAAAAUACUUCUUCUGAUAAAACUUCAGAAGCAGUUUGAUUGCUUCUGAUGAAAUGAUCAGAGUCAGAUUGCAGCGGAAAAGAACAGAGCAGAGAAAAGAAAGACAAAGACACAAGCAGUUAUCCUGGUUCCUUCCACAACACGGAAGUAGUCCAGUCCCCCUUGCACUUCCAAGGAGAUUUCACUAUAAUCACAAAGAUUACAACUGCUCAAUACUUUCUAAGUAUGAGACUUCACAAAACUAUGCUCAAGCACACACGCAAGAGUCUUCCAAUGCUCAAGCACUAAGCAAGAGACUUCUAAUGCUCAAGCACGCAGGCGAGAGACUUCUAAUCAAACAAAAAUACAGAGAAUUGAGUUUGAAUUGAACACUUGAUAUACAAUCAGUGGUGUUCACAAUACAAUACAGAAAAGACUCUAGACUUUGAAUUUCUAAGAUGUAUCAAAUCAGUGCAGAAAUUCAGUGUGCUUUGUAGAAUCAAAUUGACAGAGUUUUGGCGCUUUUUUUAACUUAUGUAUUUCUCUCUUUUAUCUUCAAGUCUUCACUCCUUUUUAUAGAGGCGUGAAAGAGACGUUGAGAUAAUCAGCACGUCUAAAGAGUCGUUUGAAAUCCUUUGAUUAUCCACCAGUGAUCCUUUGCCUGAUUUGGGUGUAGUCCUUUGAAGAAUAAACUUCAAAUUCCUUCCCAUCUUGAGUGUACAAUUCUGCAGGCAUGGCUGUUGUUUUGUCUUGUAGCGUAGACAGAAAACAGAGUAGUGGAGGUAGUGGUUGUACACUUGUACUUUGUCAACUCUAUUAACGAGAGACAAGAGCUUAGUGCUAUCCAUAUAUCCGUUGAUACCUCCCUUUCAAUUCUUCGUUCUUCUUUGAUAAGACUGAAUUGAAAAUCAGCUACUUUGAAUCUUCAGUUUGAUUAAAGGAUCAAAUGUAGCUUCUGGUGAAGAUAUUGAUUCUGAUGAAAACUUUUGCUUCUGAUGACUUUCUGCUUCUGAUGACGUCAUCUCUUCAGGAGCAGUUUAGCUUCAGGAGCAGUUUUCUUCAGAUGCUCAGAAUUUCUUUUUCUUUCCAUUGUUCUUCCAAGACCUAUUGAAAUGACUUGAGUAGCCUUUGGUCCUGUACACUUGAACAAUUAUUAGUAAUAACCAAUUGACAAUUUUUAAUACCUUGUUAUCAUCAAAACUCAAUAAGGUUCAUUGUGAAACACAUUUUGUUCCAACAGAACUGUUUUUUCAAUAUCAUACCCACCAAUACAAAACUGAGCUUCACUACUUAAGAUCCCUAUUCUGUAAAACUUGUCAAACAAACAAUAUUACCUUCAGUGAAGUGAACACACAGUGUAAGCUGAUGGUCCUCCUUCCACACCCCCAAAUUAAUUUCUUGUAUCAAAUGACAAAUUGGGCAGGAGUCAGAAUUUACCAAAUUGAGAAUACUAACGUAGAGCUGCACUAAUAUAUUUACAUUACAGAAUACUAAUGUAUCCAAUUAGUAACACUGCAUAUUCUCUAAUAUAUUCACAAUGUAGGAAGUAAGGAAUAUGGAACACAAGAAGAUACAUUUUGGCAAUACUUUAGUAUCUCUGAUAUGUCUUGGAGAAUACAUUUUGUGAUCAAUGGAUUGGAAAUUACUUUCAGUGAGAUCAUUUUGGGUCUUGUAUUUGAUACAUUCUGCAUAAUAAAGAUACUAGUGCGAGUGUCACAUUUUAUUUUGAUUUGUAUUAAGACAUUGAAAAUUGGCAGUCAUAAAUUUUCUUUGUAUAUGACUGGAGAUUGAGUACCAACUAAGUUAUAGUGUUUCAUUGAUUAAAUAAUCAAUAACUUUUUUUUUUGGUCAGGUAAAAUAAUCAAGGGUUAAUUAAGUUUUUAGUCCCUAUAAAUAUUCACAGUUUUGUUUUUAGUCCCUACAAAAUAAAAUCAUACUUUUUAGUCCUUAUAAAAUUUUCCAUCAACAUUUUUAGUCCCUAUAAAAUUUUCCAUCAGCAUUUUUAGUCCCUAUAAAAUUUUUCCAUCAGCAUUUUUAGGCCCUAAAAUGCUUAAGGAAAAUGUCACAAGGACUAAAAAAUGUGAUUUUAUUUUAUAAGGACUAAAAACAAAACUGUGAAUAUUUAUAGGGACUAAAAACUUAAUUAUACAUUUUACUUUUUUUGUGAGUGCUUAAAUCUUGUGACCAUAAUAAUACUCUCACCACUAAAUGCAUUAAACAAUAAAACAAGUGUGGACCCACAAAGAGCUGGCUAUCGUUUUUUAUGCUUAAUCAAACGCUUCCCAACAAUUGUACCAGCUAGUGGUGACUAUAUAUAUUAAAAAAUGUUGAUGUAAAAUAUACAAUAAAAGAGACAAAAAGUCAGUCAAUAAAAGAAACUCACCAUACAUUUCAUUUUUUUUAUUCAACUCAUCACAGUCCACCCUCUUCCAUUUUCAUUCAACCACGUUAGAUCAAUCUAAAUAAUGGCUGAGGCCUUACUUGGUGAUGCGUUUGAUAAUUUAUUGUCUCUUGUUCAAAAUGAAUUUGCAGUCAUUUCUAGAAUCAAGUUCUACUCCAAGAUAUAUUGGGUCAUCUGCUAUUAGGUUUUUCGUAAUCGGAUCAUCCAUCAUUUAUGUCUACGACUGGUUUGUAAGGUGAUACCAUCUUAUAUAUCCACCCACUAUUUAUGUCCAUGAACUAAACUCAAUAGUGUUGGUCGUGAGAGGGUGUAUCACCUUACAACCCGGUAUUGUGGGGUUGCGCCCACAUUGUAAUACUACUUUAAUCAAUAAUGAAAAGCUAUAAACUUAUUUCUUUAAAAAAAAAAUGAGUGAUGAGGUGUCGACGAAAAAAUUUGGGGUCUAAUUUAAUAAAGAUAAUAGAGAGAUAAACAGAUCCUUUAAAAAAAAAAAAUAGAUAAAACUUGUUCCAGAAAUGCACAAAAUUAAAUUAAAGGUAUAAAACAAAUUACAUGUAGCCUGAGUUAGUAUGAUUGAACAAAGUUUGAUAUUUCUUUUAAGAGUUUUAUUGAACUGAGCCCAAGCUAGUAUGUAAUUAAAAUACCAAUGACAUGAGAUUUCAAAAACAAAUAUCAGUGAAUGACCAUCUUAAACCAGAACUGGAAUGAAAUUUUACAUUUAAUCAAAUAAAUAGAAUGUAAAACAAAUACAUAUGACAUCAUAACUGUCCCAAAAGAUACCUCAAAUUUAUUAUAAAGUAAAUUUUAUUAGUGUUCAUGUAUGAAAACAAAGAAAUUAAAUAAAAUUCUUUCCAACAAUUAUACAUGCCAGUAGGGACACCCCAUCUCUUAAUGGACCCCGAUCAAUAAUAAUGGAACCUUGCAAGCAAGUUGCAUAAAUUUGUGGUUAAAAAUAUGCCUACUUGAAUGUUUGCUCACAAUUAUUGAUCACCUAGUUGCCGACUUCCUACUACCAUUGCAUUUAUUCUCAAAGUUCUUCAUUCUGUUUACUUUUAACACUCAGUCAAUCUAAAACCAAUUUCUCAUUUACUUAUCUUUUCAACUCUUUCUUUUACCAAAAAAUGGCUGAUGCGUUGAUCGGAGUUGUGUUUGAUAACUUGAAGUCUCUCCUACAAAAUGAAUUUGCAACCAUUUCUGGAAUCAAGUCAAAGGCUCAAAAGCUGUCAGACACCUUAGAUAUGAUCAAAGCCGUUCUUGAAGAUGCUGAGAAGAAACAAGUCACAGACUGCUCUAUUAAGGUAUGGCUGCAACAACUCAAAGAUGUUGUUUAUGUGCUCGAUGAUAUCCUUGAUGAGUGCUCGAUCAAGUCUAGUCGACUGAGAGGAUUAACCUCUCUCAAGUUUCGCCAUGAGAUCGGUAACAGGUUGGAAGAGAUUAACGGGAGGUUGGAUGAUAUUGCUGAUAGGAGGAAGAAGUUUUUUCUGCAGGAAGGUACUGGAACUGUUCGGGAAAGCCCAAAUGACGUAGCUGAAUGGCGUCAAACCAGCGCUAUUAUUACUGAACCAAAAGUGUUUGGACGAGAAGACGAUAAAAAGAAGAUUAUCCAGUUUCUUCUCACCCAAGCAAAGGACUCCGACUUCCUUUCCAUCUAUCCCGUUUUUGGGUUAGGUGGUCUUGGAAAAACCACUCUUCUUCAAUCGGUCUACAAUGAUGUUACCGUGAGUAGCAAUUUUAAUACUAAAGUUUGGGUUUGUGUUUCUGAGAAUUUCUCUGUCAACAGGAUUUUGUGUUCCAUUAUACAAUUUAUCACAGAAAAGAAGUAUGAUGGCUUUGAUUUAAAUGUAACACAGAAAAAGGUGCAGGAAUUGUUACAAGGUAAAAUAUAUUUGCUAGUUUUGGAUGAUGUGUGGAAUCAAAAUGAACAAUUGGAAUCAGGGUUAACACGAGAGAAAUGGAACACAUUGAAAUCUGUGUUGUCAUGUGGAUCCAAAGGUAGUUCCAUUUUAGUAUCCACUCGUGAUGAGGUUGUUGCAACAAUCACAAAAACAAGGGAAACUCACCGUUUAUCUGGUCUCUCCGAGGAUGAAUGUUGGUUGUUGUUCAAACAAUAUGCAUUUGGACAUUAUAGAGAAGAGAGUACAAAGCUUGUGAAAAUAGGAAAGGAGAUUGUAAAGAAAUGUAAUGGAUUGCCUCUUGCAGCGAAAGCAUUGGGAGGUUUAAUGAGCUCAAGGAAUGAAGAAGAGGAAUGGCUUGAAAUUAAAGAUAGCGAGCUUUGGGCCUUGCCACAAGAAAUUUUGCCUGCUUUGAGGUUGAGUUACUUUUAUUUAACACCAACUCUAAAACAAUGUUUCUCUUUUUGUGCUAUAUUUCCCAAAGAUGGAGAAAUCCUGAAGGAAGAAUUGAUUCAGCUCUGAAUGGCUAAUGGAUUUAUUGCAAAGAGGAAAUUAGAGGUUGAAGAUGUUGGAAACAUGGUUUGGAAGGAAUUGUACCAAAAAUCAUUUUUUCAAGACAGCAAAAUGGAUGAAUAUUCUGGAGACAUUUCUUUCAAGAUGCAUGAUCUUGUCCAUGAUCUCGCUCAAUCAGUAAUGGGGCCAGAAUGUAUGUAUUUGGAGAACAAAAACAUGACCAGUUUGUCAAAAAGCACACACCACAUUGGUUUUGACUACAAAGACUUGUUAUCCUUUGAUAAGAAUGCUUUCAAAAAAGUUGAAUCCUUGAGAACAUUGUUUCAGUUGAGUUAUUAUGCCAAAAAAAAACAUGAUAACUUCCCAACAUACCUUUCUCUUCGGGUUUUAUGCACAUCCUUUAUCCGGAUGCCAUCACUAGGGAGUUUAAUUCAUUUAAGGUAUUUGGAACUUCGUUCUCUUGACAUCAAAAAUUUGCCUGACUCAAUUUACAACCUAAAAAAGCUGGAAAUCUUGAAAAUAAAACAUUGUCGUAAACUGAGUUGUCUCCCAAAACACUUGGCUUGCUUACAAAAUCUUAGACAUAUAGUCAUUAAAGAAUGUCGGUCUUUGUCUCUCAUGUUUCCUAACAUUGGAAAAUUAACUUGUCUAAGAACAUUAAGUGUGUAUAUUGUUAGUUUAGAGAAAGGGAAUAGCUUGACAGAGUUACGUGAUCUAAACCUCGGUGGAAAACUGAGUAUCCAACACUUAAACAAUGUUGGCAGUUUAUCUGAAGCUGAAGCGGCUAAUUUGAUGGGUAAAAAAGACCUUCAUGAAUUAUGCUUGUCAUGGAUAUCCCAACAUGAAUCUAUAAUUAGUGCUGAGCAAGUACUUGAAGUGCUUCAACCUCACUCAAAUCUCAAGUGCUUGAAAAUAAGUUUCUAUGAGGGAUUAUCCUUACCAAGUUGGAUAAUUCUUCUUAGUAAUUUAAUUUCUCUUGAACUUCGGAAUUGCAACAAAAUUGUGCGGCUUCCGUUACUUGGUAAACUACCAUAUCUAAAAAAACUGGAAUUAUUCGAAAUGGAUAAUCUGAAAUACUUGGAUGAUGAUGAAUCUGAGGAUGGUAUGGAGGUGAGGGUUUUCCCAUCUCUAGAGGUACUCCAAUUAUCUUGUCUACCAAACAUAGAGGGGUUAUUGAAAGUGGAAAGAGGGGAGAUGUUUCCUUGUCUUUCUAGUUUGGAUAUCUGGAAAUGCCCUAAACUUGGACUGCCAUGUCUUCCAUCUCUUAAAGACCUCUUUGUAUGGGAAUGUAACAAUGAGUUACUGAGGUCAAUCUCUACCUUCCGUGGUCUUACUCAGCUUAAACUAAUUCACGGUUUCGGAAUAACAUCCUUCCCAGAGGGGAUGUUCAAAAACCUUACUUCUCUUCAAUCUCUGUCUGUAAAUAGUUUCCCACAAUUGGAGUCCUUACCAGAGACAAAUUGGGAAGGUCUUCAAUCCCUUCGAUUUCUAAAGAUUCAUAGAUGUGAAGGAUUGCGAUGCUUGCCGGAGGGUAUUCGACACCUCACUUCUCUUGAGGUUUUGAAUAUUUAUAAAUGUCCAACAUUAGAGGAACGAUGCAAAGAGGGAACAGGGGAGGAUUGGGACAAGAUAGCUCAUAUUCCAAAAAGAGUGAUUUUUUAGAAUGAAGAAGGGCAGAGACGUUUACCCUUAUCUGCCUCAAUCACCAUCGCAAAAAUCAAUUUUACUGGUAGGAUCUCUAUUUCCCCCUAAAAUACACCCUUCUUAUGUUUGGAUUUUAAGUGAUUAAUUUACUCGAAUUUUAUUAAAAAAUCGUUAUAUAUUCUCAUUAUAGGAUGAUUUGCAGGCUUUUCUGUUGAGUUCUUUUGAACGCAUCCCCCAAAAGAUAUAUGUUCUAAUAUUCUAAUUCAGGUAAUUUUCUUCAUCAUAGUUUAUUUAUUUUUUUAAUUUCCUUUUUGAUUUUUGAUUUCAUUUUUAAUUUUGCUGAUUUCGUGGAGAUUGAAUUGAAUGGUUAGGAUUGCUUUCGACACACAGGGAUGGGGUCGACAGAUAAAUGGAUUAACCGGAACAAACGUACCUAAUGAUGAAGAGAACAUCUUUUGGAGUGGAGGAGGUGACAACGAGUCCAGUCGUGGCAUCGAGGAUUGCGAUUUUGAUUAUCAGGGUGUGGGUAGGAGCUCAAUGCCCAUUAGCGAGUCUGAUCAUCAAGGUUUAUUCCAUUUUUAUAAGUUUUUGUUGGUCUUCUUUAUUUAAGUUAUAUGUUGUUUGGCUUCCUCUUUGCUUAGUUUUGAUAAUAAUUUGCAGAAAUAAAAGUUUUUGAAUGUAAUUAUAUGGGUUGGUGUCAUAUCAGUAUCUAAACAUCAGACAUGUCAUCGAUGUGAAGUUUUGAGUAUAGGUGAAUGAUUGUUUGGUGCAGAACAAAGGUUGCAAUUACUUUGAUGGAUCAUUUAGGUUCGAAAAAGGCUCAUGUUUUUGGGCACUCAAUGGGUUUCUAUUUUGUGUGUUUUUUUGUCUGUUUUACUUUUUGAUUUAGUUAAAAUUCAGAUGGUCUGUCCUACGAUUUGGUUAGGUUAAGUUUUUUUGUUUGUGUUUAUUUUUAAAUAUGUUUGCCUAUUGAAACAGGAUCUAUGAUAGUUUGUAAAAUAGCAGCAACAGUUCUUGAUAGAGUUCUCUCCUUGGCUUUGCUAAAUGCAAUGAGUGGAGGUUUUCAAUGUUUUCCAGAGGUAUUGUCCCUUUCAUAAUUCUAUGAAAUGUUUUGAUUUAUUUUUACAGCACUAUGAUUAGAGCAUUGAUGACGCAAUUUUGUAAGACUUUUUGAAUAGAAACUUAGUUUAGGAUGAGUGGACUUGCAUACAUAAUAAGUAUAAUUUCUUAGUACUGAUUUUAGUUGAUCCUUUAGGAGAAAUUUAGUUGAGAAUUAUCUUUCUAUGGUUUAAGUCAGAAUUUUGUUAAGAAUUUCGUAGUACUGAAAUUUUGCUGGUACGUUAUUUGCAGAUUUUUAAGGAAUAUUGACGGGUGUCGAUGCAUGCACCAAACUCUUUGGCCAACCUGUGAAGGAUUAAACUUUUUCUUGGUUGCAUAUUUGAUCUCUAGGUAUUUCUUAAGACAGUUAUCUAGACGAACCUAUAUUGUAUGCUAGUUUUAUCUCUUCUCUGGAUCGUCUUAUCACCAUAUAUUACUUUCUAAUUUAAAUUUCUAUAUGCAGGAAUCACUUGCUUUCUCAGUUUCUAUGUGUAAUGUCUAUGGGUAAAAUUAUCAUCGACAGAACAGCAACUCCAGCAUUUUGUCACAGGCAACCUAUUAUGCUGUGUUUGUUAAUGUUACAAAUAAAAAUUCUUGGUUCAUGCUAUUAGCCAGGUGUGUAUACAGCUCUUCAUUAGGAAGGUGUCAUUGUAUUCAUGAUUCUAGUUUGACUUGGAUAUUCAUGUUAUUUAAUUAUGUUUGUGUCUGAUAGACAUGUUGUGGAAAAUAUGGAGAAGAUCUACAAAGAAAGUUUUUACGAUUUCUGAAGUUCCCCAUGAGUUGAUUGAGCUUCUACAAAAUACAACACAAUUAUGCAUUUAUUUGAAACUUCAUUCUGCGAUUUUGGUAAAAGUUCACUUGACUCCGUAUCUCAAAAUAUUCAGCUUUUCGUGGAUGAUCCAGAUGUUUGAUCACGUAAAGGUAAACCUGGGCCAUUCUUCAGUUCCUAUAAUAUUUUAACACAUAUUGUUUGUUUUCAUUUUAAAUUCAUAUAUUCAUGAAAACAUGCAGGCGAUGAUGGUCUUUCAUGUAUGAGAUGUUUAUGGAAGAGUUGGCAUUUCAAGUUUAAUCAGCCUAAACACCAAUAUUCAGAAUUGGCGAUUUUCUUAAGCAUAUUUUUGGAGUAAAGUUUGCUGCAGAAGUUUUCAAUUUCAGUUAACUGAUAGAUCUUUGCCUGUAAUGGUUGUAGAAGAUUGAGAUGCUUUCCUUAGGGUACUCGAAACCACACCUCACUUCUCUCGAGGUUCUGAAUAUUCAUCAUUCUCCAACAUUAAAGGAGCGAUGCAAGAAGGAGACAUGGGAGGAUCGGGACAAGAUAUCUCAUAUUCCGGAAUUACGCAGUUGAUUUGGUGUUUCUGCUUCUGGCUUGCCACAUUUCCACCUGAAUUGGUAGGCUCUCUAAUCUCCCUCCGUCUUUAUUUCUAUUGACUGUGUUUCUUACAGGGCAGUAACAAUUUCUUGGUAGUCUCUUUGUAGGAUAUGCCUCUCAUGUCUCUUGACUUUGGUUUCCUUGUUAUGCGACUUUAUCUUUUGGCUAUCAUAGGUAAGUUUGGAUUAUCUUAUUUCCUUACUUCUUAUCAGUGCAGUAACAUGUCCUGAAUAUCCUUUUUUUAUUUCGGGCAUUGAAAUAUAUAAUGGCAUGUUUAGCCAUUACGAAUUUAUCACUGUAACAAUAUUUCUCAACAUUUUGAAAAGGCUUGCCUCCAUUAGGGCUAUUUAGGUUGUUGGCUUCUUGAUUUUGAUGACUGACUGUAAUUUCUAGUCAGAACAAUUACUUGAAGCUUUUUGUUUGUCUCUUGAACAUCUUUAUGCCGAGCUGUCUGAUAUCAAAUAUGCCACAUUGAAUACACAUUCCAUUGAACCACAUGCUUGGAUUUUAUGCUCUCAAUUGAAUGGAUUUUCAUUCAAAACAUUGUUGCAUUCGUUGGAGUGAUUUUCAGGCUUUUGUUGAAUUCGUUGGAACCCUUUCCGAAGAAUGAGUACUGGAGAGCAUGAAAGAUCUUUCAUUGUUAAACCUUAGGGGAAAUAUACAAAUAAUCGCGCAGGUAAUGUAUUAGGACUUAUGUAUUCUUAUCAUAAUAAGCCUUUUCAUUUUGAGCAGCAAGUUGUUGAUCCUGAUAUUCACUUCAAUUACAUUAAAGUAGCUGCUAAAACUGGACAAAUUAAGGUGUAGAGAAUGUAACAUGGGAAUCGAUUAAUGUUUUAUUUAGAUGACAAAGAACUGUAUGAUGAAAGCCAAGCUUCCGGAUAUUUACUUCAAAUACGUUGAAAGGUAAAGUUUUUGGUUGCGGUUGUAUUUAAUUUAGAAUCAUUCUUUGACAAUCUUAAAUGUCCAUUUUUCUAAGAUUAUAUUUCUUGCUUCUAGGUCAAUCGAACAAAUUCUGCUAUAGUUGUCGGGAAAUUGUUAGAUGAUGAAUACUUUGAGCUCAUUCUCUUGUUCCCAUUGAACCAUUGGUUAAAGAAUGUGAGAAGAGCUAAUUUUCUCUCUUCCCUGCAUGUGCUGGAAUCACUUGCUUAUUACACUGUUGUUGGAACAUAUAUUGAGUGAGGGAAGCAAAGACAUUAGUUGAUUGAGCUUCUUCAACAGAUAGUGCUGCACAGUUCUCCCUUUGGUUGAAGCUUCAAUUUGCUUUCUUAUGUAAAUUAAGUUAUAAGAUAGCAACUUUUUGUCAGAAAAUUCUGCUCUAUAUAUUAACAUGAAACAAUUUACUUUCAUUCACAUGAUGUAUCGGAGUUUACAGUCUCAUUAUUGUUUCAAUUAUUGUUAGUUAACCAUUUAUGUAUUUGGAUUUACACUGUAAUUUACUUUCGUUCACAUGAUAUAUUUGGCUUGUUCUUAUUCAUACCAAAAAAAAAUGGAUCAGUUUAGUUUACCAUCUUUUUAUUUGUAGCAUCUUUUUAUAUAACUUAUAAUAGCGUUUGAACUUAUAAAAUACUAUUUUUCGUUUAUUUAUACCCUUAUUAUCUUAUUGUGAAAAGAAUAUAUUAAUUAAAAAAAUAUCCUUUCAUAUUUCUUUUUUUUUUUUUACAAAAUUGUCAUUUUAUAUUUUUUUUAGUUAGUUCAACGGUUAAUUUUAUCACAUACUUCAAAUAAAAUCAAUAAGUUUAUCUUUUUUUUUUGUUGACAAAACUAGUUUAUCUGUUAUUAAAUUGCUUAUCUAUUAACCGCUAUAAACUCAUCAUAGAGCACCUAGAUAUCAACCACCGGCUAGUUUUUACCAAAUAGAGCAUUAGUUUUUUUUUUUUAAGAAGUUAAAAUGAAAUUUUUCAAAACGCAAAGAAUCCUAACUAGCACGAGAAAUACUAAGCUAUGAGACUUAAAUAGCAACAUACAAAGAAAAAGUGUGCCAUACGCGAAACACUCAAACAAACACUCAUAUAUCAAAUACAAACGUCUACAAACAAACCAAAAACACCCUCCACUAAGGGCCUCCGAAACCAAUAAAAACUAAACACCAAAACCAUAAAGUCAUCUCCCAAAAACAAACUCUAAACGCCCUCUAAAAUAACCUUCAAACCUACCAAAAAAUCGUGCAACCGUACCUUGCUUCUCUUCUGCAGUUGAGCGCAAUUAAGCACGGGUUGAUUAUAUAUCUCACACUACGUGUUGCGGGUUGAAUGUCCACGCCCUUGUGGUGCAUACUUGCAGGUUGAUGACGCAUAUUUGCCGUGAGUUUUUCAAGGAUGGAUUUGGUGCCUACUCGUAUUUUACCGCUUACUUUUGGAGUCUUGUUUAGUGGUGCUGUGAUUAAGACGGUGUGGGGUUUUUAUGUUAUUAUUGUUUUAUUGGUGGAACCUUUGCGUUCAUUUUGAUGAUGUAUCUUGAGAUAUGAUAUUUACUCUAUGUUGUUGAGAUUUUAUUUUUCUCCAUCAUACCAAGAACCAAUGAUACAAAAUAUAAGGAAACUCGCAUCUAUGUUGUUCCUCGUUCUAUUUGUCAGCCAGAUCACUAUCAUGAACUGAGAUAAUUUAACCUACACUCAGGGGCGGAGCCACCCCCCAGCUAGCCUGGGCUAGUGCCCAGGCUCGGCUCCAACUUUCUUUGUAGCAAGCCCAACUAUUACUAGAAUUUUUAGCUUUUUCUGCGGAUUUUUGUGUAAAUUCCGCAGGAAACACAUUUCCUGCAGAUUUUGCCAAGGAUUUAGGUUCCGCAGGAAAGAUAUAUCCGUAGGAAAUGUGAAAUUAUCUGCAGAAAAUGUGAAAUUAUUUGCAGGAAGAAAGCAACGUUUUGCGAUAAAUUUUUUGCCCAGACUCUGUAAAAUUCCUGGCUCCACCACUACCUACACUGGUUGCACAAAAAUUGUUCCAACAACAAUAUGAGGUAUAGAUUCCUCAAGAUUAAUUAUAUCUCCCACAUGAGGAGUAGUUACCUUUUCUUUAGAACUUAUUAUAUCAAUAAAAACAAGAACCUUUCAACAUGCAUAAUUGAUAGUUUCGUACCCCAAUUUUUGACCUAGGAACCUACAUUCAUACACCGUCUGACUCAGAAUAUUCUCUGGUUUUUCAAAAAAAAUCGGCAGAAAAGUAUUUUAAAAUACCUCAUCUUUGUACCGAUUCCGACCCCUCUUCUCACUUUUUUAUCUUUUUUAUUUUCUUAGUCUUUUAGUUUUAUCUUACCUUUUAUUUUCCAUCUUUUAAUUUUAUUUUACUUUACAUAAUUUAUUUUAAUUUGUUUUUAUUUUAUUUCGUAUUAGAUUUAUUUUAUUUAUUUCUUUUUUAAUUAAUUAGUGUCCAAAAAAAAAAACAAAGUGUCAAUAGGUCCAAAAAUAAAAUGUCCAAGGUCUAAAAAAAAAUUCAAGUCAAGUGUCAACUUUAACAUUCCUUUUUCAAAAUUCACCAUAAUUGUUCAUCAUUUCCAUUAAACCAAUUUUUCAUUUUUCAUCAACCUCCUCACCUAUAAAUAGAGCCCUUAUUCCACACAAUUUCACACACCAAAAGUUCUCUUGAGUUGUCAAAGAACUUUUCUCUCUUCUCCCUACUUAGCUUGUGUUGACGAGCUAUUCUUUUCUUCUCCCUCUUUUUUCUGCCCCUUCGGAAUUUUGUCCCUUCGGUAAUUUUGUCCCUUUGAAAUUUUGUCCCUUCGGUAAUUUUGUCCCUUCGAAUGUCCCUUUCUUUUAUUUUAUUUUAUUUAUUCCCCUUUUAUAUAUAUUUAAAAAAAUGCAAAAAAUAUUAGGUUAGAAAAGGGUUUUUCGUGGUGAUCCAACGUCACUACGAAAAUUCCUCGUGCUUUUAUUUUCUUGUUACGUUAGUUUACUUUUAAUUUUUUAAUUAAUAUCAAAAACAAGAAAAACAUUCAAAUAAUCAAAAAUCACAAAAUAUUUUCAUAAUAAACCUUGAUUUUCAAUCAAGUGGUCGUUCUUUUUAUUUUCUUUCUUAAUCAAACUUCAAAUCAAUUUUAAUUCUACUUUGAGUCAUUUUUCUUUCAAUAUAAAAAACACGAACAAAUUCUUUUUGACACUUGGCUUUUCUCUUUAAAACUUUUUUCAAAACUAAUAAAAACCACAAAACCAAUCAAACGUCAAUUUCUACCCCGAACUACGAGGUUUUGAUCCCUUACGGGUACGUAGGCAAAGGACCAUGUCCUUCCAAAUCAAUAAAAAAAUGUAAAUAAAAAUGUUCCUUUUCCUUUUAUCACUUUAAUUCCUUCUUUUAGAAAGCAAGCAAGUUUAAGCACAAAAAGUUAAAUAAAAUCAAGAGGUUCUCGUAGAGUACUACGAAUAUUUAGGGUGCUAACACCUUCCCUAAAUAUAACCAACCCCUGAACCCUUAAUCUUUAAAAAUGUGGUAUUUAAACCUUUUUCCACUUUCUUUUGAAAAAAUUAAAAGUUCAGUCGCGAAAUAAAAAAUGAGUCAAAACUAAUCAAAUAGCUUGACCUCCGAAAAAUUACACGAGAGAUAGGAACUAGACUUGUAAGAAGUGUGGUGUCACUUCAUCAAUUUUCUCAGCUUUAGUAUUUAAUGUGGUAAGCUCAGAAAAUGUCUUCACUUUGUGUUACUUGUGCACAACUACUGAACUUGCAGAAAUAAUUUUUUAGAGUCUUAAUAUUUUUAAUUCUUAUAAGAUUAUCCAAUUAUCUUACAUGAGUUGCAGAAAGGUGGAAUUUUCGCAUGCUCAACAUCCACAUAAAAAUCAAAUUCAUUCCUUUUCAACAAAAAUUCAUUCACGCGAAUUCAAAAUUUAAAUCAACAUAUAUAUAUUAACACUCGUGCAAAGUGGCUGAUUUCCUCAUAAUAGUUGCCUCAUCAAAAGUCAAAGGAAUGUCGAAAACCCCCUAGAUUUUCAAACAAAAUUUUAGCGUCUAACAUUCGCGAGUAAGUCCAUAAAUGUGUACUAUCCAUAGUUAGGUCUUAGUUUGGUGCACUAUUUAAGGAUUAAACCCAAUAGUCCAAACUAUAUUCUAAGUAAACCUGGUGAAAGGUUCCAGGAUCAUAUGGUUCUUACAAGACAUAAAUUACACCAUGGAUUAGAGAGCACUUUUUUUUCCACAACCUUAAGAUUCUUCCAUUCAAUUCUAGCAUGAAAGCUAGGGAAAACCCCUUUGGAAAAAGUGAACCGUUUGUGGAUAUUUUGACAAUCUAGAACACCUUUGACCCAUGAGAACUCUUCGCUGAUCUAUCAUUUGAAGAUCUGAAAUAAAAGCUCACUUUCUUCGAUUCCCACAAUAUUUCACACAAAAAUUCAUAUAUAACUUCCAUAUAUUUUUUCUUUAUACAAACUCAAUAUGAAAUUCCCCGAAUGGAUUUUCCAUUUCCAUAAAGAAUAUAAUUGACAACUUUGAGUUCCAGAUUAUCCCUUUCCUGGAAUAGAUCUCGGGGAAAAAGUUUUACAAAAUCGAUAUUGUCCGAUAUUUCAUAUAAAAUUACAGGUCGAACCAAAAAAAAAUAUUUUUUCUUGGUAGUUGCGAUCCAUUGGACACAGAUAUAUUGCACUAAUCAAAGCUUUUAGGUGCCUCUUUUUACCACAUCAUUCAAUAACUUUGUAAUAUUAUAACUCACAAUAUUCAUAUGGGUCUUGGUAACCAGUGCCCUAAGGGCAAUGGUUAAGGAUUCCAUUAAUAGAAAUUUUGUCUUGGAAAUACAAGUCUUUACUUUUUUCUUAGCAAUAAUUACACCACUUUUCGAUACAAAUAUAUUUAUUUUAGUACUUUAACCAAUACCUCAAAUGCAAUGGUUAGAAUUCUCCUAUUCUUAUUUCACAAUCUACUAUUAUUAACCAAACAUCACAAUCCACACUCCAGCCUUUAAUUUCACCCUUUUUUAAGAUACUAUUAUAUGUUUUCUCCAUAGCCACAAUUGCCUUCAUUGUCUCCCCAUUUGGUCAAAAUAAAAUCUUCGUUGUAGAGAUAAAAACACGAUUAAGAUUGUUUUUAAUAUGUAUGGUUCAUGAUUGCUUCACAUAAGUUUGGUAUAUUUAUUACAAAAUUAAGACCAUCUAUAAUAGGGGUUCUUCCCCUUUUUAGCGUCAAGCUAACUAAACACCCCAAUUAUAACAUCAAUUAAUUGGGUGCCUAUAGAGAUGGAUGUUUUUAUAGGCACCAUCUCUCCCAUAUUACAUGUGGGUCCCACAUAUAUAAUUAAUUGUAAUUUUUUUCUCUAUUCAAUUAUUAAUUAUUUUAAUAGUAACAAAAUAAAUUAAAUAAUACUUAUAAGUCUUAUAUUUAAUCGAUUAACUUUUUGAAUUUUCAAUGAAAGACUUUUACUACAUCAAAUAAUUCAUUCAUCUUAAAGUUAAAAAAUUGAAAUCAAGCUGAUGUAAUUUAUUAUAAUUUGAUUUUUUUUCAAGUUUAAUUUUUUUGAAUUAUUAAUAAAAUUAAAAAAUUCACUUUUUUAUUGUUUAUAAUGAAAUUAAUUCAAUAUUUAAAAAUUAUAUAAUUAUGAGUGAAUAUAUAAAUUAUUGUUAAAAUUUAAUGAUAUAUAGUUAUUACUUAGACUCAUUUAAUAAUUUAUUUCGGGUGCUACGUUGGAGAGAUUAUGUGUUUAUUAUAUAUUAAUUACGAAAUGAGUGAUGUGUACAGUCGGGACCCGUUUAAGCACCCAAACGAGGUGCUGCAUUGUGGAAGGUCUUAGUUUAUUAUAAAUAUGGUUUCAUAAUAAAUGUAGAAGUUUCUUUAAGAAAAAAUAAGUACAAAAUUUUAAAUAUUGUUUCUUUUAACAAAAACAUUAAAGACUCAUAAGUGAAUGAAAACAGGAAAAUUUGGUAACACUUGUAUAUUAAUUGGUUAUCUAGACAGAUCAAUCUAUUAACUCCUCCUAUUUGAUUACUUCAUUACAUUAAUCGAUUAAUUGUCAUAAAAAAAGUUCUAAACUAUUCUAGCCAUCUCAUAUUGAUGUUCAGAUGUCUAAACAUUUAACAAUUAGAACAAUUGACCAACAAAACUAAUACAUAAAUAAUCAGAGCUUUGGGGUAUUACAUUUCUAAUUUCAAUCACUUAAAUCAAGUUUUCAUACUUUUCUAGUCAAGUAAAUUUAAUCAAUAUAAUAAUACAAUUAUAUUCAAUUGCUAAUUUGAAUGUUCUUUUUAACUUAUAAUUUUUAUGUGUCUAGAACAUCAAGACAUGAACAACAAUUUUUUUCUUCAAAAAUAUAAUUUAACGUGAUAGAAUUGAAAACUUAUUUUAUCAUAUGCAAGUAUUGGAAAAGGGAAAAAAACAUUUAUCUAACAACUAAGGCUUAAUACAUCAUCUGAUCCCCUAACUUGUUUUAUUUUUUCAGUGUGGUCCCUCAACUAUUAAGUGUGUCAAUUUGGUCUCAUAAGUCUUCCUCCAUUUACUUAGUUGGUCCAUUUUGUUAAGUUUUUUUCAAAAAACGUUAUGUUUGCACAUGUGACUCUCCACAUUGGCAUAACCCUUACAAUUCGGAGAAGAUAGAGAGAGAAUGAAGAAAACGUAUAGAGAGAAAGGAGAAGAAAACGCAGAGAUAGAAGAAGAAGAAACGAAAGGAAAAAGAAAGGAAAGCUUAGAAACGAAGACGAAUCUUCAACUCGGAUCCAAUUCUAGGUUUGUUUCCUCAUCUUCGUUGUGAAUCACAAGUAGAAAAAGUAUUUUUGUUCUGAUUAGGGUUUUGAAAACUUUCUAGGGUUUUGGAAAAUUUUAUAGGGUUUUGAAAUUUGAAUGAUUUUUUUUACCUUUUAAGGUUCUGUAUGCAUGAAUUUGGAUAUUCUAUUAUUAUUUUUCUUCUUAAAAGUUGAUUUUUGUCUGUUGUGUUGGAUUUUAUGCAUACAUUUGAUUAGGGUUUAUUCCUUUCUUUCCUUAAUGGCUCAGAAGAGAUGGACCAAAUCUUUGAGUGUGUCAUACAUCAUGUUGGGGACUUUUGUAGUUUUAUGGACUUUGAGUAUGUAGGUCCAGAAGAAGUACUAGAAUGUGACCCAAAUUAUUUCUCCUAUUUUGCAUUAUUAACAACAUUAAAAAGAUUAGGUUACCAAACUCUUCAAUCUCUGUGGUAUUAUGAUCCUGCUUUGGAAGAUGGAAUGAUUGUUUUGAAUAGUGAUAAUGGUUGUAGAAGGAUGCAGAAUAUUGCACAUCAAUUUGAUAGGGUCCAUUUGUAUGUUGUUCACCUAUGUCACAACCUGAAAUUGUAGUUCUUAACCCAUUGAUAAAAUAUCCUUGUAUGGCCCCACCUGUUAGGAAUGAGACAAAUGAAGGUCGCACUAGUUUAGGUCCCACUCGUGAGGGUUGAAAUGAUGAUGGUGGUGUAAGUGGUGUAGGUCCCACUGCUGAUGGUACAAAUGGACGUGGUUUUGCAAACUAAAAUUGUUACUAAUACCAACUCAACCCAAUCCUAAGAUUUUUAAAAUUGUUCCUAACAACUGAUAACUAACUAUAGUCGUUUUUUAAAAAAAAAAAAAAAAAAAAAAGAUAUCAUAAGAUAAACUAUCUUGAUUUUUUUGGGUUGCAUAAGAUAACAAUUAAUCAUGUACAUAAAAUAUGACACUAUGUGAUAAUUUAUUAUCAGAUGAUCAUCAAACACAUGACAUCAUACACACUUACUUUUAUAAUAUUUAUCUUGACUUAUCUCUUAUUAUAUCUAUAAUUAUCCUGAUCAUCAAAUUGACCAAAAAUAAAAUUUAAAAACCAACAAUGAAUAUAAAUUAUGUAAUUGAAUAAAAAGUAUAUGCAAAAACAUUAAUUUAUCAAAUCAGUUUAAAAAUAUAUAUAUAUUAAUCAAAUCACCAUCAAAUAUUAUUGUGACAUUUUUUUUUUGUCAAAAAUAUUAUUAUGACAUUGUUUUCUUAUUUUAAGCAUAUAUCAAUUAUCAAAACAAAUAUUCGUAAAUGUUCAAACAUCAAAUUUUUUUCUUUCUAGUUUCCAAUCUAAACCGCCCUCUUUUAUCACAUCCCAUUUACUACAUCAAUGCUUUAAUUAAUUUUAUUUCUUCAUUAAAUAUUCAAUCUACGUCCUCGUAAGCAUACCUCAAUUGGUAGAGACAUGCAUUGUUAUAUGCAGGCGCUGCGGUUCGAACCCCAAACACCACACUUAUUCACUUUAAAAAAAGUGAAUUAUAACCAAUAAACUACCUGACAAAAAAAGAAUAUAUUCCAUCUACACAAAAUAAAAACAAAAUCUUUUCCUUUAGUCUCAAAAAGUACGUUAGAGUUUAUAGUAGGGUAGGGUCCACUCUCAAAACGGCGUCGCCUAUACGCUGCACCCUCACACACUGGACCACACUCUAUAAUAAGCCGUUAAACUGAAACAAAAAUAACAUGAGGAAAGGAACAUGGUUAUUAAACAGUUCCAUCAAAACACAUAAGUAACGUGCAUGGUUUUUGUACACGUGGACCAAUCACAACAAAGCUCAGAAUCCUUAUUAUUAUGUUAUGUUGAAGUGAUCAAACUUCAACACUCUCAUAAAACAGAACUGAACUGAAACAAAACACAGAAAGAGAGAGAAACAGAAAAAUAAUCUAAGUUUUUUUUCGAUGGAUUAACGUUGUGGUUUUUGUCGUUUCCUUUGAUUCUGUGUUUUUUUCAUUGUUUUCUUGAAAAAGGGUACGUAUGAAUCACAGUUUCUUCUGCAUUGAUAAGUUUUUUCUUUCUUUCUGAAUUUUCUUACAUCAAUCAUCAAUGGAGGUUGAUGGUGAUAAGAGUGAUAAUGGAAAUCGAAAAAGGAAAAGAAGAUUUUUGAAGAGAAAGCUUCUUGUCAAUGAAAAAGUUGAGGUAAUGUAAUAUGAUUUGUGAUUUCGGUUUUUUCUUCUUCAUUUUUGAUAAAGAUUUUAUUUUUAUUUGGUUAUGAAUUUCUGGGUUGUUGAUUUUGUUUUUGGUUUUGUGAUUUGAUGUUCUUAGGGUUUCUUUGAGGUUUUUUUUUACACAAUUGUUAUGAUUCUUUUGUAUCAAGAAUUUUCUUUGUUUCUCUGUUUAUGAUCCUUUGAUUUUCUUGUAAUUCUGUUGUUGAUUUAUGGUUUCGGUGGAUUUUGAUGUUACUCAUCUAUGAUUUUUGUUUUCAUAAUUCUCAUUUUCUUAAAUUGUUUUGAUUUUUCUUGUUUUACGCUGUUUUAGAUUUCAUGCAAGUGAUGAAUUGGGAAUAGGAUAAAUGCUGUUUAUGGUAAUGUGGACUAAAUGUUAUUUCCUUUAUCAACACUUUUGCAUUUUUUUAACAAUUGUUUUUUGAUUUGAGAUACAUGCAUGUUGUGUGAAUGGUGAUUUCCUUCAUCUGAAAUUUCCACUUGAAAGAAUUUUUUAUGAAAAGUUUAUUUUUUUUAAUUUUUCAGUUGAGAAGUUUGGAAGAUGGUUUUCUGGGAUCGUGGCAUCCGGGGAAAAUUCUCCGCUGCGGGAGGAAGACGCGUUAUGUCAAAUACGACAAUAUUCUUGAUGAUGAAGAAUCGGAUUAUCUUAUUGAAGUGGUGGAUGUUUCUAGUGUUUUGGAUGGUGUUAAUUCUUCAUCUGCUUUAGAUUGUAGCUAUCAGCGAGGCCUGAUUAGACCAUUACCGCCUCCAAUUGAGUUACUGAUAAAGGAUCUUCCAUUCGGACAAUGUGUUGAUGUGAAAUAUCAGGAUGCUUGGUGGGAAGGUGUGAUAUUCGAUCGCUGCAAUGGAAUGAAGGAUAGGAGCAUAUUCUUCCCAGAUUUAGGUGAUGAAAUGAAGGUUGGAGUUAAACAAUUGAGGAUCACUCAGGAUUGGGAUGAGUCAACUGAGAAUUGGUUACCGAGAGGGAAAUGGGUGUUUCUCGAGUUGUUUGAGGAGUGUGAGAGGGUAUCCUAUGUUGCAGUCUCAGUGAAACAGAUUUGGUAUGAUAUUAGGAUGAGAAAGGAUUUUGCUGAAACCAUUAGAGAAUGGACUUGUAAUGUGAAGGAGUUGUGGAGAGACCUUGUUGUUGAGGUAAUUGGUGAUUACUAUACCCUCACAUUAAGCGAAGUUCGCCCUGCCUUAAACAUUCCAAACAAUUUACUCGAAGGAGAGUCAUUUGAACCAACUGAUAAUGUUCAGUGUGAGGCUACUAAUCAAGGUAAUGCAUUUGGUUCUGACAUUGGAAUAUCUGAUAAGCCUGAGGAAAACGCUGACUCCUUAAACUUGUUGGUUACUGAUCAAAACUGUGGCAGCACAAGCAUCAUUCCUUUGGUGGAUGAGGAAUUUGAGAAGGAAAAUCUUUUACAUGAAGAGCUUGAAUCAGAUAAAAGUCAAAUGGUGGAUGUGGAGUUUGAGAAGGAAAUUCUUUUACAUGAAGAGCUUGAAUCAGAUAAAAAUCAAAUGGUGGAUGUGGAAUUUGAGAAGGACAUUCUUUUACAUGAAGAGCUUGAAUCAGAUAAAAAUCGAAAACGGAGACGUUCUAAGUCCAUAAUUUGGAAGCCAUUGGAACUGUCUGAAGUUGAAUUCUGUCCUGAAGUUAUUGAUGAGUAUGCACUUGGAUGUAGGAGCAAGACGGUUCGGGAGCUUUUGAAGACGAAAGUAAGAAAACAUCUUGUUUAUCUUGGAUGGACAAUUGAAUGGACCGAAAACAAUACUCCUCCACAUAGACGAUACCGGUACAAGUCUCCGGAUAAACUUAAUCCAAAGUUUUACACUUCCAUUUUUCAAGUUACUAAAAUUUUGCAAGAGGAUCCUAACAUGAACUCUGGGCCACCUCAAAUUGACAGCAAUCUUUCACAUCUGCUCUCUGAUCCACCCCAAAUGAGUCAAGGUUUCAACGUUUGUCCUCCAACCAAUGAACCUUCUCCAGUUAAAUUUCAAGUUGAACCAGAAUUUUGUCCUCUAGCCAUCGUGAAAUACUACUGUCACUCAUUAGAGAGAAACUCGUCUGAUAAGAGAAAGUGGAAAUUGAAGGCGAAAAAACAUCUGUUAUCAGAAGGAUGGAUGUUUGACUACCCAACUGAAAGAAGGAAGACUACUUUGUACAAGUCUCCACAAGAUCAGUGUUUAGGCACACUUCAAGGUGCAUGCAGACUAUACCUUAAAGAAAAGAUUCCCGAAUGGACUAAUUCUGAUCAUGGUGAUGAUGAUGAUCUACUUUCGAGUGUGUCCCAAUUGCUUCAAAAAGAGCCUGAAUUACGUACUAUAGAUGGUUCACCACCAACUGCAAAGAGAAACCAUAAACGCGCAAGGACUUCAAAGGCUAGCACACAAAAGGACUUAGAGAGUGAAGUACUUACCCGGGUGCUAAGAUCAAGCAAAAGGGUGCAGAAGGUUUUGGGUUCGUCAUAUCAAAAGCCUCAAAAUAUUCUGUCUUGGUUAAUAGAUUGCAACAUUGUGUUGCCAAAGUACAAGGUCUUUUACUGGGAAACCGAAGGAGGAAACUCUCCUAUGUUUGAAGGGAGGAUAACUCGCGAAGGAAUUAGGUGCACCUGUUGUCAGAAUCUAUAUGGACUCAGUGGCUUUGCAAACCAUGCUGGUGGAAGCAGUAACUGCAGGCCUUCGGCUUGUAUAUUUUUGAAGGAUGGUAGGUCACUGUUAGAUUGCAUGAUGGAAGUAAUGCAAGAUCACAGGACAAGAGAAAUUACGGAGAAACCGCACAAUGAUCUGUUUGAAGGUGAAAAUGACAACAUUUGUUCUGUUUGUAACUACGGUGGUGAACUCAUUUUAUGCGACCAAUGCCCCUCGGCGUAUCAUAAGAAUUGUCUUAAUUUGGAGGUAGAUUAUUAACAAGUUUCCUUUUCAAUCAAACAUAUUAAGUUCUAUCUUGUCGCUAUAUUUCCUUUCCUUUUUGUUUCCAUGUAACUCCUUCAAUUCAGUACUUCAUGCCAUAUUAAGUUUCAUUCUGCAUGUGAAGGGCAUCCCUGAUGGUGAUUGGUUUUGUCCAUCAUGCCGUUGCGGGAUUUGCGGCCAAAAUAAAAUUGAAGAGACUGAGGAUGGACACUUUCUUACUUGCAUUCAGUGUGAACAUAAAUGUGAGCUGAUAUAUAGAUUUUAUCCAAUAUUCCAUCCAUUCCUUUGUGAUGUGUUUUAGUUUGUGUGAAUAACUACAUAUUUUGACCAAUGAAAAAUUUGACCAAUGAAAAAUGUCUUCAACUCUGUAGAUCAUGUUGAGUGCCUCAGAAAUGGAGAAAAAGAUGAUUCAAGACGAUGUAUGAAAAAUUGGUUCUGUGGAGAAGAGUGUGAACGGGUAAGUUAAUUCCACCUCCCUUUUUUCUUCUAGUUUAGAAAUAUUUUCAUCUCAUUUUGCAUGAAGAAUUGGUUUCUGCUUCUAUUUAUUCUGAUUUGACAUUUGUUGGAAGCAUUACUUAACCAUUCUUUUUUUCUUUAUCAAAACUAACUACUCCACAUCCAAUUCAAACACUUAGCACUUUCUAGUCCAACAAUGAGCUCUUUAUUCAGAUCAUGGUUGCAUCUAUUAAUGGCUGUCAUUUAAUAGCUAAGUAGCAAGUCGACAAUGCAUGAUUUUUGGUGAUUGGUAAGUGUUAAGACAUCAAAAGCAAAACAGAUUUAAGUUUGAUGCUAGUGAAACAUUUAAGGCCUUGUAACUUAAAUAUACACUGCUAGAAUUAUGUUUUAUGACAAUGGUUUUACUCUACAUUUACGCGUAUGCACUUUUCGCAGGUCUAUACUGGGCUCCAGAAUCUAUUAGGAAAGCCAGUUUUAGUGGGGGCAGACAAUCUAACUUGGACAUUGGUGAAGUAUGUCAACUCUGAGACUUGCGGUGUUGGCGGUGCUGAAAGUGACUUAGUGGUGGAGAAUUACAGCAAACUGAGUGUUGCACUCUCGGUGAUGCAUGAAUGUUUUGAGCCCCUGCAUAACCCUUUCUCUAGCAGAGAUAUCGUGGAAGAUGUUAUAUUCAACCAAAGGUUAGACAUUCUUAUCCUUCAAUUUAUGUUUAUCAUUUUUUUUUAUGAUUGUUUGCAAACUUUGUUUGUCGCAUACUCACAAUUCAUGCAUAUAACAUCAUGAGUUGAACCUGCUGAAAUAGCUUUGCUUACCUUCAAUUUUGAGCCUUUUCCAUUACACCAUGGUGGUAAUAUUCAGGUAACAACUGAAAGUAAUCAAUUCUCUGAUCUACCAACUUUAUCAUCAAUAAAAAAUAAAAAUAAACAAACUCUACUAUUUUUAUACAAUACAUAGAUAUGUUAGAAUUUAGGAUUUCUUUUGUUGCAUAUAUAGUGUUAGGGCAAAGUUUGCGGCUUUACGUUUAUCAUGCAGGAUGGAAUUUCUUGGACCGUAACAUAUUUAUUUGAAGAUACUAAUAAAAACGUUUCCUUAUUUUAUGUACACAUUUCUUGUCGUCCAACUUAUCCUGCAAAAUCUAUGCCUAUAUAGAUGGCAUCAUGAUUAGUGUUUGAGGAGUAAACAAAGUAUUUCGGCUCAUGUUGAGUAUUUAUUGCGAUUUUGGUUAUUUGAUUCAAAUAUGAUUCUAAUGGAUAUAUCAUAUAGCUUUUAACUCCUUCUGUGCUUAGAUUUCUUUUUUUCGAUCAAACAAGAUGGCAUGCAAAAGUAUCACUAUAGGUUUUAAAUUCCAUCCAUGUUUGCACCUCGAAACCUUAGUUUUGAUUGUAUGUACAUCUUUGAGUCCAUUCACUGAUGGAUUUGUUACCAGGUUUACAUUGUUUGUAAUCAUGGUAUUUUACCUCUAACUUGACCGGCAUUAUUAUUACAUUCACUUUGCGCCAAUGCCUGAUGUAUGUACUUCGGAACCUCGUAGGUCUGAGCUCAAUCGACUAAACUUCCAGGGUUUCUAUACUGUACUUCUAGAGAGAAAUGAAGAAUUGAUUAGUGUGGCGACUGUGAGGUGAGUAUAGGAUCUGCUACUACUAAGAAUAAAUACAAUAACAGAUUAUGCAUGAUUCAGUGAUUGCAUUUCAAGUUUCCGUAACUUGGCAUUUCAUGUUUUAGGAUAUUUGGAGAGAAGAUAGCAGAAGUGCCCCUCGUAGGUACCAGAUUUCAGUACAGACGACUUGGAAUGUGCCGCGUUUUAAUGGAUGAGCUCGAAAAGGUGACAUAAAAAUCAUAAAGUUUGUCAUUUUAUCUGGUUGUUUUUGUGAACUAUAUUAAAUCAUCUUGAUAUGGCCUGUGACAUUUGAAUUGUAAUUCAUUUCUAUUGUGUAAGUUAUUCCAAGUUUAUUAUCAAAUUUCUCACUUUAAUUUUUUUCUUUCAUCAGAAGCUAAAGCAACUUGGAGUGGAAAGACUAGUCUUGCCUGCUGUUCCCGGUGUGCUAGACACAUGGACGAAUUCUUUUGGUUUUGAGCAGAUGACGAAUUUUGAAAGGUCACAAUUUCUGGACUAUUCUUUCCUAGACUUUCAAGGAACUGUCAUGUGUCAGAAACUUUUGACAAGAUUUCCAUCUCCGGAAUCGGUUGUAACAAGAGGUUCGUAGCUUCUUAUGAUUCCUGUAUUAGCCGUUAGUUUGGCAUAAUCACAAUGCGGUAAAGUUAUUGUCGCAAUAACUACACUUUAGAGCUUUAACAAAUUUAGUGUCAUUGUGAUAUUGCGAAACUCACCGACAAUCUAAAUAUGCACAUAAUUAAACAGUUUCCUCGCUGAUUGGAUUAUAACCGUAUUUUUUCAUAUUGCAGACGCGACUCCAAAACAAAAAGAUGGUAGCUUCUCUGUUAAAUGUAAAAUUAAUUUUGAAAAGGCUAGUCCAGUAUCUGAAGUGGAUCAAGCAGAAGGGAUUGGCAAAAGAGGAAUGAUGGAUCUACAAGUUUGGAGAUCUUCCUAAUCAAACAAGAAAAUAAAUUUGAUUUUUGUGAAAGAGACAGAAAGACAAACAUGGAGUAUUGGAGGGGGAAAGAAAAGGAGAAUAAGAAAAAUUGUACAAGAAAAUUGCAUUUGAACAAUUAUAUUAAAUGUAAAGUAGGAAUUUUAGUCUUUAGGCUAAGUUUAUCUUCAUGAUUGAAAAAUAAUGUUGGUCUUUAUUUAAAUGAUUAACUAAUGUACUGUUUAUAUAAUGUCUUUGUUAUGGGAUUUUUCCUAAUGAACAAGAAUCUUUAAAGUGAACAUAUACUUGUUUAAAGUGUAUUAUAAUCACUAUAGAGUUUUGACAUUAUCGAACAUUAAAUGUGAGUAUAUUUCUCAGCCAAAAUUCAAAUCUUAAUUUAUCAUAUUAUCAUAGACUAGACUAGUCUCUUCUGUUGAACCUAACCCCACAAGUAGGUACUAUAUGUCCUUUAAUUUCGCCAUAUAUGCAUGGCUUUAUUGGGGAGCAUGGCUUUAUGCAAAAAAAAAAUCAAUUAAUGAGUUCAUUUGAUUAAAAGAGAGUGUGAAUUAAGACUGGGAAAUUUCGGAAUAAAAACAAGAUGUCCCGUUUCUAUUAUGUAAUCAACUCAAUAUGUAAAUCAGAUUUGGUUUUAUCCUCUCUUUUUCAUGAGAAGAAGAUUUUAUUAUAUAUUUUUUUACAAAAUCAUAACAAGAAGAUUUGUUUUCAUCUUUACUAUAGAUAUGCCUUAAAGAUUAUAUAUUAUCUUCAAAAUAAUUACAAAAAAUAUGUCUACAAGAAAUUUAUGAAAAAUAAAUAAAAGAUAUGCCUACAUGAUUAUCUAAAAAAUAAUUACAAAUUCAAAUAAUUCCAUAAUUAAGUAAAUCUGUGUAAAGUUACUCUACUUAAUAACUCAUUAAAUCAAUAGACUCACUAACUUAACUCAACCGUUGAAUUUAAUUAAGAGUGAGCAAGGGAAGAGUUUGAGAUGGAUUAUUGUAAUCAAUCAUAUUCAUUUUAGAAAGGGUCUUGUUAACAUCCUCCUUUUAAAAAAUCAUAAGCAGUCUCUUAAACCCUACCUACUAUAGUUUAGACAUAAUUUUUUUUGUUAAUAAAAUAAUAAAUUUCAAAUUUAUUUAAGAUGAAAUCGGGUCAGCUUAAAAUAUAUCUAAAAUAUUUUUAGUAACUUUUUUACUACUAAAAAACAUGUUUUUUGCUAGAGAGAGGGGUGUUUGUUUUAAGUUUCACAUCUCAACUCUUAACCAAUUCUUUCUAAAAAAAACUCUUAACCAUCUUUUCUCCUAGUUAAAAUAAAAAAUCAAUACUAUCAUUCUAUCAAUACUAUCCCCUUUUUAUAUUUCAAUAGUUUAGAUCAUUCACAUGCUCAUAUUUGUUUUCAUAUAUUAUAGGAUCUUGAUUCAUUCUCAUGAAAAUAAAAGUUAAAAUCAAUGGGGUGUUUAUUUUAAGUUUAUUACAUUUAUUCCUAGGAAUGUAAGGAUAAAAUUGUAUUGCUAUAUAUUUUAAAAGAAAGAUGUUUGAUUAAUAUUAUAAUAUUUUUGAAAGCUUUUAUAAUAGGUAAGUUUUUUUUUUUUGAAGGAUUUUAUAAUAGGUAAGUUAAUAGAUAUUUAUACAUGACUUUAUUCUCAUUUUUAAGACAACUUUAUUCACACUCUUUUUUUGGGAAUUUUUGUCUAUUCCCAUAAACAGUUUUAUAUUUAGAAAUACUUUUUAAAUUUGUAAUGAACAUGUAAAUGCAUAUAUCUAUCAUAUUAUUAAAAAAAAAAAGUGUCUAAGUUCUUUUGGAACCCCUUGGAUUUCUUCUUGUUGUUUCCCAUUCAUGAACCAUACCAUGAUUUCUACUACCUAUUGGACAUCCAUGUCCAAUAGGUAAGCAGGAGAAAACAAUUUCUAGUUAGAAAUUCGAAUAAAUUAAAACCUAGUUUUUUUUUUUUUUGAGAGAGAAAUUAAAACCUAGUUUUGUAUAUGGAGCCUUGGCUCUAGAUUUGGGGUCAAGAUCCUAUCACUAGAUUUGCUCAUUGUAAGAACUAUUGAGCUAGUCUCUAUUAAUUUCCAUCACUAAUUUUGAAUAUGUCAAUAAAGAGCCAAAAAAAAAAUAAUGGUUACUUUUUUGGGAUCUAAAAUCGGUGGUUUGCCUCUUGAAUGGGGACAAUUGGAUUGGAUAAGCUGCAACAUUUUUUUCAAUAUUUUGGGAUCUAAUAUCGGUGGUUUCUCUCCUUUUUUUUUACAUUAAAAUUUUUUCCAUCCUUUUAUUUUGAAUGGCUACUUACCAUUGCACAAGAUCAUGAUUUUAUAUAUACUCUCUUUUGUCAGAAAUCAUAAUUCUAUAUAAAGAAAUGUUGGAACAAUAGAAAUUAUGGCUGGGGAUGUCGGGAUAACCUAACAUGUAAGGAUAUGAUAAGCAGCUAGUUUCCCACAAACAGCAUGCAUAUAGUGACAAGUACUCUAUAGUAUAUUAUAAUUUAUAUCCAAACACUAUCUAUUGUUAUUACUAUUUUUUGAUAGGAAAAAUAAAUUAAAAGACAUGAUAUUUGUUUUGACCAAACCUAUAUUUAAGAAUGAUAUAUACUUCAUCCAUCUCUGUAUAUAAGCAUCAUUUGCCUCUAAUAAAAGAGUGCUUAGAUAUAGGGACGGAGGGAGUAAUUAUGUUUUUUCCGUGUAGUUUUCUUUCUUUGUAAAACGAUAUGAAUGUUAAAGAAUCCCACAUGGGAUAUGAGAUCAUCUAACAAUGUUAUGUUUAUAAGUGGUGACAAUUUUUACCGUAUCAGAGUCUCCUCCAAGAUUUGUUGGAUCACCUGCUAUCAGAUUUUUAUUAUUGGACUAUCCACUAUUUAUAUCCACACUCCAGAUGUUCAAUCUUCAUUGUGAGAGGAUGUGUUAAAUGUGUCUAUAAAUUGAAGCAAUAAUCACCUCACAAACCGAUUUUGCGGAGCUAUGUUAUGUACAACCAUAAUUUCUAAGAUGCAGAAGAAACAAUUGAAAACAAUCCAGGAGUGUAAUAAGUUGGUUUGUUUCAAUCUUUGAGAAGAAAAAAAUGAAACCAAUAAAAUAAUCAAUCUAGUUUUAUAAUAUUUUCUCGCAAAAUCUGAAUUAAAUCUUCGAAGAAUGGGUCGAUACAUACGAUUCAGUUCAGUUGGGUUGAUAUUGAAAAAUUUUAAAUAAAUGAUUUUAAAAUAUAAUGAUACAUGAAGAUAUCAUAUUUUUUACCUCUACAAAUACAUAUUUUUAAAAUAACACUAUGUAACAUAUUGUAUGAAAUAACAACCUCCAACUCUUUAAUUCUUAACCAGUUAUGUUCAAAACUGAACCAACCCAUUAAAAAAACUGUAAACCAAACCAAUUUAAAUCGAAAUCGUAAAAAAUCGCACUUGAUUCGGAUGAAUUCAGAUGACUUUUGCACUAAACCGUACGGUUCGGUUUGCGGUUUGCAUCUCAGCAACCGAACCAAAUCAAACCAAAUCGCAAGAAUAAUGAAUAUUACUUAAUCAUGUGCUAGCCCAAUUACAUAGCUCAAAAAUAACGCUUUCAAUUCGAUUUUUCCAUUGUUGCACCAUCAAGUUCGAUUCUAAUUAUUUUCCAUCUCUUUCAAUUCAUUUCCAGUGAUGAAUUUGUUUCCUUUACUUCCCAAUAAUUUGUUUCAUGCUCUUAUGUUUCUUCUUAAUUUUACCUAUUUUGAUAUAAGUUUUACCUAAUAUUUUAUCAUAUAAACAGCAAAAUAAAAUGUCCUAUGUUUAUUUUGUAAUAAGUUGGCAAUAUUAGAGUUAAUGUAAUUUUUUUUUUUAUCUCGCGAUGAACCGCACAAACCGAACUAAUUCAAGCCGCAUUGGUUUGGUUUUGAUGACUUUUUAAAAAUCAACCGAACCAAACCAAACUGCAUGUUUUUUUAUCUUGCGGUUUAGAUGAUUUUUAUGCUCAAAACCAAACCAAACCGCACCGCGAACACCCCUGUAAUCUUAACUCAAACUAGAUUGGGUUUAGCGAUAAGAAUUGUUUAUCCGGAUCAUCUUUUGAAACGGUUAAACUAUAUAUUAGUAUGGUCACAAAUUAAGUUAAACGUUAAAAAAAAUUCAACCUCUAACAUGUUUCCUUUCAUCUAGUUGAUUAUUGUUUUCUUUUGGUUUGGUGACUUUGCUUUGUUGCCUCUUUUGUAAUCUUUACUAUUGUAUUUUCAAUAUUAACACUUCUUGUGUUAUGACUAUGCCAUUUUAAUACAUUCUUUCUUGACCUUUUCAAAAAUAAAAUUUCUCUUUCCUUAAAAAAAAAAACAUUGAGCUACACAACAUCCAUAAAACACGACGAUAAAAUCGAUAUCCAAAUCAAAAUAUAAUGGUAUGGCGUAGAAUACGUUAACAAAAUCGAACCUAUUUAAUUGGUUUGGAUGGGAUCUUGUUCUUCUACCCUUAAUCAUAUCACUCACACCGGAUUUUUGGAUUUGAAAAACAAAAUCUUUUUUCCUACCAUAUAUCACCACCAUUGUUCAAAUUUUACUAAACCGCGUGAAAAAGUUGCAUGGUGAGUGAGUGACCACGUUCACGUUCAUCCACCUUCACAUGCACACAGUUUCUAUACCUUUUCUCUCAAAACAGUUACCUCUUUUUUGUAUUAAUAAUACAUUUUCAUUUUCCCUCUCUUCUAUUCUCUCUCAAUGUCUCUUUCUUUUUCUGUUUUUGCUUCAUUCUUCUCUCUUCUUUUUCUUCUUUCUCUUCAUUGCCAAAUAGUUUCUUCUUUUCAUUAUCAUCAUCAUCAUCAUCAUCAUCAUCAUGAACAAGUUUAUCAUCAAAAACCCAGUUUGAAAGCAAACAAUAAUCAAAGUAGUUGUGCAUUGUUUGUAGGAAGUUGGGUUUUUGAUGAAAGUUACCCUUUUUAUCAAUCUUCUAGCUGUGAAAUUAUAGACCCAGAAUUUAAUUGUCAAAUGAAUGGUCGUCCUGAUUCUGAUUACCUUAAAUACCGUUGGAAACCACUCAAUUGUGAGCUCCCAAGGUAUAAAAAAUAAUAAAAGCAUAUGUAGCAUUAACACGUCUGAUCAAAGAUGUGUCUGGUGUCUGACACGUGAUUAUGUUCAAUAAUUCAUUUUCUCAAGUGUCAAUGUCGUGUCUGGUGUUCGUGUUUGGGUUUGUGCUUCAUAGCAAAAUAUAGUGUUUUUAAGAUAUAGUGUGUGGUUGCUUAGUAUAAUUUGAAUGAUGGUGUUUUUGUGGUGUUUUGUAAUGGCAGGUUCAAUGGAGUUGAGUUUUUGUUGAAGAUGAAAGGAAAAAGUGUGAUGUUUGUUGGUGAUUCGUUAGGAAGGAACCAAUGGCAGUCUUUGAUUUGUAUGAUAUCUGCUGCAGCACCUAAUGUGGAGACACAAUUGGUUAGGGGAGAUCCUCUCUCCACUUUCACAUUCUUGGUGAGUCUAGAAAAAAUUUCUGAGCUUUAAGUUGAUUGCUAACAAAAAGUUUUAAAUUGUGGCUGUGAUCAUUGAUAUAUUCGGAAGAAUUGCGGUCAAAUGUAUCGAUCUGAUGCAGCCUUAAUUGCAGUUGCUUGUCUGACCAGUGCUAGUCUCUCACACUAACACUUGUGAUUACAUUUAAUUAUAUUAUUUUCUCAAAUUAUUACUGGUAUCAUGUAUCAGUGUCGUGUUUGUGUGAUCGUGUUUACGUAGGUGCUUCAUAGGUAUACCAAAUACCAAUACCCAAUUUGGCAUUUCACACUGUUUCUACUGCUAGUAAGAUUUAAACCAUAAUGACACUGCCCAAGUUUUGUUUGGUAAGAUUUAGAUUUUGGUUCAAAAGGAAGAGGUAGAUAAGAGCUAAUAGCUAUGCUAAUUUCCAGCAAUAAAAUAGUUGUUCCCCUCUUUGUAAAGUUUCAUUCAUGAUAUCACAAAGAGGUAGGGUCGUAUUUGUUUGGUAUAAGACAAAGAAGCUGUUGAAAAAAGUGUUUGUAAAACAGUGUCAAUUGAAUCAUUAGAUAGAUAUGAGGGGCCUCAAAAUAUUUUCAAGAAUUUUGAUUAUUUAUCCUGUAGAAUAUUGACUAUGCAAACAAGAGAAACAUUUUAGAGAUGUUAAAAUUGAAUAUGAUUUGGUAUAUGCAGGACUAUGAUGUGAACAUUUCAUUUCAUAGAGUUCCUUAUUUAGUAGAUAUUGAUGUGGUCCAAGGGAAAAGAAUUUUAAGGCUUGAUGAGGCAGAUAAGAAUGGUGACACAUGGAAGAAUGUUGAUGUGUUGGUGUUCAACACAGGACAUUGGUGGAGUCAUCAAGGAUCACUUCAAGGGUAGGCAAGAAUAGUAUCUUCUCUUUUUUAAGCUUAUUCAAGAAAAUACUAUAGGAAAAUUGAUUUUUUUUUUUGGGCUGUUUUUGUUGAUUAAUUGAGUGCAGGUGGGAUUAUGUAGAAUUAGGAGGGAAUUUUUACCCUGAUAUGGAUCGAUUGGUAGCUUUGGAAAGGGGUAUGAAAACAUGGGCUAAUUGGGUGGAUGCUAAUAUUGACAGAAGUAGAACCCAUGUGUUAUUUCAGGCAAUUUCUCCCACACAUUAUGAGUAAGGACUCUUCUAUGUCUCUAUUUUGGACCAAUUAUUAAUAAUUGAUUUUUUUUUUUUUUACUAAGCUAUAAUUGAUUAUCAAUGACUUGAAAAUAGGGCAGUCAAUAUUAAUUUAGUGAUUUAAAAAUGGUUAAAUUUAACAAGUUACAUAAUUAAUCAGACUCUUGAAGCAAGAUGCCAAAUUAACUUUUUCCCUGAAGUCAAACUAAAUUUUCAUUUUUUUUUUUUUCAUUUGCAUUCAUCUGAUGAGCUGCUUCUAGAUCUGGAAGUAGGACCUUGCUUUUGACUAUCCUUGAUUAUUCUAUUUCUAUCCUGAGGCUGAAAUUUUUUGGCUUGUUUAUUGGUGCCAUCUUGUCACAGAAUUAUGAAUCCGCACUUCAAUGUGCUGAGCUUAGAAGAAAAUAUGUCAGCCUAGUUAUAAGGGAUCCAAUGAAAACACAUAAAAUAGAUAAAGAAUUAGGAAGAAAAAAUGGUUGUGAUAAGAAAUCUUUAAAUCAUGUAAGAUCACAUGAAUCAGAUGGUUCUAAACUCUUUCAAGAGAGUUCUUGGUUCAAAUUCAGACCGGAGAAUGCAAUAAUGUUAAACCUGUUAGAGAAAGCUUUACUAUCUAAUUUGGACCUACCUGACUUAAGAGAUUAGUCUUUGUAAUUGCACGCAAAUAUACACAUCUUUUUUAAUAGAUAGAUAAAAUGACAAAGUCAUUAUAAACUCACACACAAGUGGAAGUGUUGGGGUUCGAACCCUGGUCAUGAUGUCUGACCUAACAAUUUCGGCAUUUUCGCUAGUUGAGCUACAAUACGUGGAUAGAUAUACUUGUUUUAUAUUGAGGGAAAUAUUUUUUGAUGAUUUUUUAGUAUAAACAAGUAUAAUAAAUAAAUUGGUUAGAAAAUAAAGUAUGCUGAAUAAAUUUCUAGGUAAUUAAGAUACAUCUUUUUACUAGCAUUACCAAAAGAAUAUAUAAUUAUGAAAACUAUGUCUUAAUCUGAUGAGCCAAGGUAGCAACAUCACACAUGAAGAUGUUAAGUUAUGUAACACUGAAUGAAAGAAUCAGCCCAAUUGAGUAUGAAGAAAAGAAUUGCUUCUUUACUUGUGGCAUUAACUCACUGAGGCACUGACCUUAGCUAAAAAUAGCUUUUUUAGAAAUCAAGCAUUGAUAUGUAAUAAGGGCGUUUGGAUUCAUUUAUUUACUGCGAUAAACACUCGUGAGAAUAUUGGGAGAGCUUAUUAAAACAACUUAUAACAUGCCCAUAAGUUGUUUUUAGCUUAUUUGCAUGAGCUUUUCAGGUUAGCUUAUGACUGAAAAAGUUUAUAGUUUAUAUGUAAACAGUUUGCUUUGUUUUGUAUUUUACUAUAUAAAUAAUUUAUAUGAUAAGUGCUUAUGCUAUAAGUUCAUAAUUAAAUUGUGUAUUCAAACAGGGCCUAAUAAUUAAAACAGGAAUUAGUGCUUUUCAAAUUUGACAGUAAAAAUGUAACAUGGCUUUAUUACAUUAAUAUUUGGUUAAGCUAGUAUGUAUGUUUUUCAAACAAAUUUAUGCUAAGAUUUGGUUGCACUGAACACUGAUAUUUAUAUGUAGCGAAAAUGAAUGGAAUUCAGCUGUUGGUAGAGCAACAAGUGUAACGACGACAAAGAAUUGCUAUGGUGAAACAGCACCAAUCAGUGGCACAACAACAGACUUUGGAGGAGGAGAAACAUACACUGAUCAACAAAUGAGAGUAGUUAACAUGGUGAUUCGAGAAAUGCGCGAUCCUGCAUAUCUUCUUGACAUCACAAUGUUAUCAGAAAUGAGGAAAGAUGGACACCCUUCAAUUUACAGUGGUGAAUUGAGUUCCCAGCAGAAAACUGACCCUGAUCACUCAGCUGAUUGUAGCCAUUGGUGUCUUCCUGGUUUGCCUGAUACUUGGAAUCAACUGCUCUAUGUUGCUUUAUUCUAUUAAGUUCAUUAGUACUUAAUUAGGUAUUUUACAAGGCUUUAAUUAACACUGUAUGAUUACUCUUAAUAGCUGUGAAGUUAUAUAUAUACAUUUUAUAGAACCAUUUUGAUCAAGAGAGAAAAUAGAGAGGUACAACUCAGGGAGUUGAGAUUUUCCUUUCAUAGAAAGUCUUUUACAAACUGUUGCUGCAUUCAGCUUGAUCAUAGUGAUGGGAUCGACCUCAGUGAGGAUAAAGGAGACAGUUGCUCCGAACCUCGGUAAUCUUUGUGUUUUCAAGAUUUUACUUUCUGCAAUCUUUCUUUCAUAAUCACGUUUAGAUUUGCUUGACCGGUUUCGACUUCAACUUGUUUCGCUAAAGAAUUCUGUCUUGUUCAAAACUCGUCUUUUGUUUCAUAACAUUAUCUCAGUCAAGUGUUAUCAACCAUCGUCUGGAAACUCAACAAGCCACAAUUAAGUCAAUGUCACACAAACACAAACCGUUGAACAAGUAGCAUGAGACGUGAUUAAUCCUCAUGAGUUUAUCUGUGUGGUGCGCAGAUCAUCUAGGAUAUAACAUGCUCACGCCGGCCAAGGUAAAGGUAUCAGAUAAAUUAAAUUAUAACUUUUAUGUGAAUAUCAACAGCUUUAAGCCAGCUUAAUGUGACAGUAAGAGUCGAAACUGUUCCAAUAAGUAAAACUUGAUGCAAUUUGUAUAUAGGCAACACAUUGCUUUGAAACCAAAUAGAUUAAGAUAACAGUUCAAAUUACAGAAUUCCAAAUGAUACAAGAUGCAAUACUUAUUUAAAGCCUUAUAAUUAUAUUAUAUAGCAUCAUUUCAUUGCCCCAGAUAAAUAAUACAGCAGGCGAAUUCUUCAUUCAUGUUAAUUAUUAUCUUCAUUCUAGCACAGUCGCUUCGUGCCACAGCUCAAACUAGCUCUGAAUGGCAACCUCAACUGGAGAAGCUUCCAAUGGUAUAAUCUUCUCAAAUUCUACAGGUUUGUUGACCAAGGUUUUCUGGUUUUCGUAAGCUGAAUCAUGAACUCCAAGUGCUGCUCUACCAGAAGGAUCAAGGUUCUUGGACCAAGAAGCAUCCCACUCAACAGCCUUAGCUGUGCUACAUGCAACAGUUGGUCCUCCAGGAACAGUUAGCCUUGCUGAGUUCUGCAAAACAAUUAAAAAAAUCAUCAAUAUUUUAAUCAACCCUUGUUAAAUUAUGUUGUCUUAUGGUCUACGAAGCACUGACACAGACACAAACACCAAAUACGACCUGAUACUGACACGUAAACACCAGUAAUGAUUUAAGAAUAUAGAAGUGAUUGAAUGUAAUCAUAUAUGUCAGCGGCCAACACCAUCACGUGUCAAACACCAUAUACACCUUUAAUCUGAAGUAGCAGUGCUACAAAGCUUAUAUCGUUACAACCGAUUAAAAAGAGUUGAUUGAAUAACUUGCCUGGGGGAAGAACCUCUCAAAGAUCAUUCUGUAGUAGUAUGCUUCCUUGGUGUUUGGGGUGUUGUGGGGGUAGAUAUUGCCAGCAUUAAGCAUCAUCCUAUCAGUCACCUAAUGGAAAAUGUGAAGAACCAAUUAUAAGUAACAUAAACUUUGUGACAAUAGAAAACUCCAUCACUAAAUUGUAGAGUAAAAAGGUUGGAUUCAAAUACAUGUUUUGCAGCAUGAGCUUUAAGGCCAUCAAUCCAACUAUAACCAACACCAUCACUGAAUUGUUCCUUCUGCCUGUAUAAAAUGUGCUGCAUGAAAAUGAAUGUUUCAAUGUUAGUUUCGCAAACCAAUUUUGCAUAAAUCAAUAGACAUUGCAGCAAAUUACUUAGUAGUACCUUUGGCAGAUAAGGAUUCUCUUCAUCAUCGAAGGCCUUCCUCAGAAUAUACUUCUCAAUUCGUCCUUCAUCUUUUUUUAUCUGCACGUUUUAAACAAACCAGCUUAGUUAGUACCCGCGAAAACAUUUCCUGUUUUCCAAGAUUUGUACAAGAAACACUAAAAACAACUAUUAUGUUUUCGGUAUUUCAUGUAGAAUUAUUGAAUCAACAGAGUAACACUAAUUACUCAUACCAUUUUAUUCUCAGGAUCAAUAUUCAUUGCAACAUUGAUAAACUCCUUGUCCAAAAAUGGAACUCUGGCUUCUAGACCCCAAGCAAAGGUUGAUUUAUUUGCUCUCUGGCAAUCAUAUUGGUGGAGUGCUUUGAUCUGCAUAUGAAAAAGUAAAAAAAUACAUCUAUUAAUCAUUAUACUUCAACUUCUUUUAUUAUUUUCUAACAUUGAACUUCAUAAUUCUAAAUUAAAUGACCUUGCGGCAUGUUUCUUGGUGGAACUCUUCCUUGUUUGGUGCCUUGUGAAAGUACAGAUAUCCACCAAAUAUCUCAUCAGAUCCUUCACCAGAGAUCACCCAUUUGACACCAAGUGAUUUAAUCUUCCUUGACAUAAGAAACAUAGGUGUACUUGCUCUAAUUGUAGUCACAUCAUAUGUUUCAACAUGGUAUAUAACAUCCUCAAUUGCAUCUAUACCAUCCUAUAUAACAUAAAACUAUAUAUUAAUCAUUUCAUAAUCUCGAUUUCAAAAAUUGAAGUAGCCCUAACUGUAAGCUAAAAAAGUACUAUUUCAAGCAGUGUUUUUAGAACCAGACUGUUGGUUGGUUCAAUCGGUUCUUUUUAAUACUUAUUUAACAGUCAACCGAUUAAAUCAUUUGAACCAUGACCUAGAAGGUUUCGUCGGUUCGAUCUCUAGUCAAAUUUUUAAAACAUUGAUUUCAAGCAGUUACCUGAACAGUAAAGGUAAACUCAUGGUGAACAGUUCCAAGGUAAUCUGCAACUUCUUUUCCAGCCUUAAGAUCAGGUGAGCCCUAUUUGAAAUUAGAAGACAAGAUAUUAAGACAACAUUGAAGGUAUUCUUUUUAAAAAUAAAAGAAUUACAUAAAGUUUGCGAAAGUGAUUCAAAAAUUUAAGUGUAUAUAUGCACCUCAAGGCCAACGCAGAAUGAGUGUAAUUUUGAUCCCCAUUGUUCAGCAGCUUUAGUGGUUGCUAGGUAGCGAGAAGUGAUGGAUGCAACCAAUGAUGAGUCCAAACCUCCAGAUAGUAGAACACCAAAAGGCACAUCAGUCAUCAACCUCUUUAUCACUGCCUGUAAUCACAACCAACCAAGAGGUAAGUAAAAUCUAACCAAAAAUUGUUUAAGUCAGAAAUUGAACUUGAACACUCUCGACCAAUACAUUUUAUCUUUUCUAGUCAAACGAGGUUUGACGACAAAAUCAACUGACAUAAACCAUAUACUAAUGUUUUCACUAAAAUCAUAUAUGACAUGACGCAAGAUCAAUCAUGUUAACUAUGCACCGUAAGUCUAAAACUUUCAAUCCAAUUAUGUGCUAUGAUUUUUAUGAAUCAUACCUUCUCAAAGGCAUGCCUCAAAGCUAGAGGAUCAUAAGGAGCUGAUGGAAUAGCCUCAGAGUACCAGGGAGGAUUGUACCAUCUUCUAAAUCCACCAUCUUUGCUAGAGUACAAAUGACCAGGUGGAAAACACUCAAAAUGUUCACAAUCAUCAUUCAAGGCUUUCAUUUCUGAUGAAAUCCAAACAGAACCUGAAUCCAGACACAUUCCAAAACAUGUUCAAAUACAAACUCAAAAAAUCCAUAAAUUAAAUUAUAAGAUAAGAUAUAACAUAACAUUACCAUCCAAUCCCCAACCAAUGUAUAGGGAAGUUACUCCUAUAGCAUCUCUAGCCACUAUGUAACUGUUAUCACGAGUAUCCAAUAGAACAAAGGAAAAGAUACCAUCCAACUUGUCCACAAAGUCUUCUCCAUAUUCCUCGUACUAAUCAAAAGUUUAACAUCAGUAACAAACAGUUCAUAAGCACAUGUUUAAUCAAGAAUCCAAACCAAACAAAUUAUUACAUCAAAGAUUACUAACCAAGUGUGCAAUAACAUCACAAUCACUUCCCGUUCGGAAUGUGUGAUUAGACAGCUGUUUCCUGAGAGCUUCAUGGUUGUAAAUCUCUCCAUUUACCUGAUUUUCCAAUAAUGACAGAAUUUACCAACAUUAAAUUAGUAAAGUACUAACAUAAUCAUUAUUGUUAUGGACACUCACAUAGACAUGAACAUUAGAUACGACAAUGACACUGACACGUAAAUAUCAAUGAUAACAUAAAAAUGACUGCAUAUUAUCACAUGUGUUAGCGUUGUAUCUAUACUGUUGUUGUCUGACACUCACGCCUUCAAUAUAAAGCGUCGAUGCUACAUGUGUUGUAAUUGAUUUAGCAUAUGUCAUAUAAAUGGCCUACCGUGACAAUGACAGAUUUGUCUUCAUUAAAGAGAGGUUGAUCCCCAGAAGCAGGAUCAACUAUGGCUAACCGUUGGUGUGCCAAAAAGCAGUCACCAUGUUGGUGGAGCCCACUCCAAUCAGGGCCACGGUGCUUCAAUCUGUUACGUCAACAAACAAAUAAUCAAUAAUCAAUCAAUUAUCCAUAUUCAGACACAUUAAACUAAAGGACAAUAAUAUUCUUUCAAUGUUACUAUGUCACCACAUAUUUUUUUAAUAAAAUUACAUUUUAUAUGAGUUGAGUUUGGACUUUACAAUGUUGUAGCAUAUAUUACGCACCACCUAGAAAAUCUUUAUAAGAUGAGUCACAUAAUUAAUAAUUGAACCAAUAUUAGUUUAUCAAAAAAUAAAACUUGAGCUUAUGAAAAAUGUAACUUUCAGUAGAUAUAUUCUAUUCGAUUAAGUAUUAUCAUAUGGAAAAAAGAAUAUAGUUCUACAAUUAUUUAACUCCUUUUAAUCUUUUGUUGUUCAAUUGUCAUUGCUCCUUUGAAUUGUUCAUAGUUCCCACUACAAAAUUUACCAAUAAUUCCAUUUCAAACUGGACCCCACAUACCACUUGUUGGUCCUAAUUGAUAAACAAUCAGUGAUCUGAUUGGAAUAUAUAUUGCCCUCUUAUCUUAUAAAAUUCUUGUUGUUUAAUCUAACUUGAUGGGCAUGGUGACCCAAUAUAAAGUUACCAUGGUUAAUUAAACUAAUUAAAAAAUUUAAAAUAAACAUUCUAUGUUCUCUAUAAUAAAUUAAAGAGUGACUUUUAAAUAAAGUGGAGUGUUAUGAUUACAACUGUUGAAGUUAUAAUCAUAUUAUAUAUAAAUAAAUUAUAAAAUUAGUUAAAAACUUCAAUCAUUGGUUAUUUUUAAUUAAUGAAUAUGACAUGUCUCUUUUUUUAGUCUAAUUACAAAUAUGACGAUUGAAACAAGGAAUAUGGAUUAUGUCACUUGGGUCCCACGUUUAUUCUUAAUCAUCAUCCAAAAUGACAAGAUCAUCACGACCCUGCUAAACAAAGAGUAUUAUUCUGUCUUGCUAUCCAAAUCAGCCACUCUUAACAAGGAAUUUGUUGCUGCACAUAGUAAUAUUCAGCACCAAUUUGCAAAUAGAAACACCCAAAAAGUCAUGGUUGGAUAUAAAUUUAUCCAUAUUAUCUAAUAUAUUUUAUUUAAUAAUUAAAGUCUUCCUGAUUGAUUUUAGAAAGUCCAUAAUGAAAAGCUAAGUAAAUACAAUUAAGAAUGAACAAUUUGAUCUGCAAAAUUUAACAAAUUUUAAUGAAAAAUAAACAAACAUUCGUUCACAUUAGUCUUUUUGCAUCGGUCCAUUUAUUUUUUAUAUUGUCGUGAACGACUAAUGUGAUCAAGAAUUUUUCAAAUCUAAUCAGGUCGAAACCACUAUAAUUGGUCUAGUAGUAAAAGAUUUAGAUAGUAAACAUAUGAUUUUGAUGCACGAUCAAUAUACUAUUACACUCUCAAUUAAUCACAAGAUCGUGUGCAUGGUUUUGAAGUUAGAUAUGAUGAAAGUUAAACUUUGGUUACAAUUGAUUAACGGUGUAAAAAAUCUUUAUACCGACCAGUGCAUAUAGAUUAAAUCCGACAAAAGUAUCAUGUGUAAAACAUGAAAUUAAGAAUACAAGAAUAGAAAGAGAAUAAUUGCCUGCGUGAAAGCUCAAGGACACGAACCCUCUUAGCUCUAGUAGGAUCAGAGCAACCAAGCACAGCAAGAAUACCACACAUUGUAGUAUAUGUUUAUAUGAUGAAGAAAUCAAAGAGAGAAAUAAUUUAGAAUAAGCUUAGCUUAGUUAGAAUAAAGAAGAAAAGAUAAGUGAAGAACACAACCACAUGUAGUAGUUGUAGUAAUGGUUUUGAAAUUGAAGGCUUAAAGGAAAUAAUUUAGGAUACAUAACACUUCUUACAACACGUAUUUAUAAGACAUAAUGUGAAUGAUAGACAUAAAAUGCUGACGGUGAAACGACGUCGUUUUUCUAUCAUUCAAUGUACUGUUAUUGCUACUAGUUGGUCCAUGACACUAGACAUGGGACCCACAUCUUGUACCAAGUAUAUUAUGCCAUGUGGUGAAACGUGGUUCGUUCUUGGUAUAGACUUUUUUUGUUAUUUAAUUUUUCUUUUAAGUGUAAAAUAAAUAUCCAGUAAUAUAUCAUUAUUAUUUUUUGGUUUUUUAUUCUAGUUUGUGUUCACAUGCUACAAUUUUGUUCCUUAUCAAAAUACUAUCUUUUGUUAGUAAAUUUCAUGUGUAUUAGGCAGCUAGUUGUUAACUUGAUAACUUCAUCUUUCAUCAUGAACUAAUGAAGGUUUUUUUUUUUUUUUUUUUUACAAAAGCUAAUGAACCUUUUAAACUAUGUUAGAUUUUUUAAUUUGAUCCUUAUGUUUUUGUUUUUAAAAUAAAUAUUCCAACAAAUAAAAGAAAUCAUUAUUAUUUUAUCUAUCAAAUGCUUGAUUGUAUGAGUAGGUCGUCAUACUUCACCACUCAAUUGAAUGGGCUAAUCUUUUACAACGUGAAGAAUGAAUUUUGAUUUGUGGUUUGAAGUGGUCAUAUUUGGCGGUAACAAUGCUUCAAAAAUUAUUAUUUUUCAUGGAAGAAAAGGUGAAAAAAUGGGUGACUAAAUUAAGUCUUUGUCAUGAGCGAGAUUGUUUAUGAUAGAAAGUCUUUCUCUUAUUUAACAUUAUGGUAAAAAGAUACCCUUAUUGUUGCUUCAAAUAAUUUGGUGUCUAUAAAUAUUGGUGUUUUUAUAGGCAUCGUCUCUCUCCUCUUAUUUGCGGAUCUAUAAUACACAAAUAAUUGUAAAUCUCUUCCAUUUUAUAAUAUUUUAAUAUUAAAAAAUAAAUAAAAUAAUUGAUGCAAAUGAUUGAUUAUUUUAUCAACCUUCAAUUUUUAUUUUCAAUCAAAGACCAUUUUUAUUUUUCCUUACUACAGUGUUGAUCAGAAGCAUGAUGUUAUUUAAAUUAGGUAAUUUACCAUCAUUUUAAAUUAUUAUUUUCUAUUUUUAAUUAUUUUUCAAAUUAUUAAUAAAAGUGGGAAAAAAUAGUACAUAUUUUUAUAAUUUAUAAUUGAAUUAAAUUAAUUUUUCAAAAAUUAGAUAAUUAUGAAUAAAUGAAUAGAUAAAUCAUUGAAAAAAUUAAUGAUAUAGGAUUAUUGUUAGAAAUCAGUUAAUAAUUUUUUUUAAAUGCUGAGUUUGAGAGAUUAAGUGUUUAACAAGUAUUAGUUAUAAAACUAGUGACUUGUACAAACAAGAUCUGUUUAAACAUCCAAAUGCGGAGUUCCAUUGUGUAUGAUUUAAGGUCUAGAUUAACCUUAUGAUAGCUUUGUUGGAUAUUAAAUUUGAUUGCAAUGUAAAAGAAUUAUUUUUAUUUAAUUUUGGGGCUAUUAAGGAUGUUAAAUACUCUUUCUAAGGUAAUACUCCACUUUACUCUUAAAUUAUUAGAACUUCUCAUAUCUUUCAUGAUGGUGUUUCAUUAGAUACGCAGAUUUAGUAAAUGUAACAGCAUUUUCCUCGUAGUAUAAUGAAAACAUCUUGUGAUAGUCUUGUUUAGGGGUCUUCAUGUACCUCAAUAUUUUCAUGCCCAAAAGAUUACAAACUCUUUAACCUUGUCUCAUGAAUAGAGCAUUGGUCUAGAUACAUAUUGCAACAAGUUUUAAUACCUAGGGCAUAAGUUUUAAUAUAAUCCCUAGAAUAAAUGCUCAAAGCAAUUGAGUUAAAAGAUGUUUUAAUAUUUAACAGACUUAAAAUGGAGAUAUUUUAAUCCUCGUUUGGCACUAGAUACAUAUUAUGAAUAUAUAUUGGUUUUUUUAAUUUUGAAUUAUAACCACAAUGAGACGUAUUUAAGAUAAUGUAAGAAUUAUGAACUCUUAGUUAAAGAUUUAGUGUAGUAUUGUUAUUAGGCUUAUGGCUUGUAAGUCUAGACAUUGUUUUAGUGGGUUUAGAGUAUAAGAUAAGACCCUCGGUUUAUUGGAUAAAACAUUCUAUGUUGAAGUAUAUUGUUAAUAUUUAGAACACAGUAGAAAAUAGAAAGACAAGUGAUAUAUAAUUCUCAUUGAUCUGUGUGUAAAAGUACAUGACAGGUUUAUUUAUACACUAAAAUAAAGAGAAGACUAAUCAACAUGUAUAAAUACAAUUGAAUAGAAUACUAAUAAGCAGGCUAACUAAUAGGUUAUAGUUAAUGAUAAUUAAAUUAAAUAUUAACAUGUAACAUCCCCCCACAAGCUGGACUAUGAAGAUCACAUAGGCUAAGCUUGGAAACCAAGGAAUUGAAAGCUGGAGACAGAAGUGGUUUUGUCAACAAAUCUGCUAUUUGAGAAGAAGAUGGCACGGGAAAGAGAUGAAUGAGACCACUUUGAAUUCUUUCGCGCACAACAUGACAAUCAAUCUCAAUGUGUUUUGUUCUCUCAUGAAAUGUUGGAUUAUGAGCAAGAUAUAUGGCUGAUUUAUUGUCACAAUAUACUGAAGCUGGUUGUUGAAAGUUGAUAUGAAGAUCCUUGAACAAAUAGGAGAGCCAUUGUAAUUCACAAGUAAGGCUGGCCAAGGCUCUAUACUCAGAUUCAGAGCUGGAUCUAGAAACAGUUGUUUGCUUCUUAGACUUCCAUGAGAUGAGGGAAGAGCCAAGAAACACACAAAAACCGGAGACAGAUCGUCUAGUAGAGGGACAGCUAGCCCAAUCUGAAUCAGCAAAACCUGCAAGUUUGACGGGAGAUGAAGAUGAAUAGAAUAACCCUUUGGCUGGAGAGUUCUUGAGAUACUUCAGAAUCUUUGUAGCAGCUUGAAAGUGGACUUCACGGGGCUUGGAAACAAAUUGACUAAGUUGUUGAACAGCAAAAGCAAUGUCAGGCCGCGUGAGUGUCAAAUAGAGAAGUCUACCAAUCAAACUUCUGAAGGAGAAUUCAUCAUGAUAUGGAGGGGAAUCAGAAUUAUGCAACUUUAAGGAGGUAUCAUAGGGAGUGGAACUAGGCUUAACAGCCAUGUGACCACUAUCUUCAAGAAGCUCAAGAGUAUAUUUGCGUUGAUUCACCGAAAUUCCUUUGUUUGAUCUUGCUAUUUCCAAGCCAAGAAAAAAUCUUAGCUUCCCAAGGUCUUUGAUGCGAAAUUUUUGAUCCAAAAACUGCUUAACAUGCUGAAUUUCAGCAUAAUCAUUUCCUGAUAAAACUAUGUCGUCCACAUAAACUAAUAAGGCAGUAAAAUUGGUACCUUUUAGCUUAGUGAACAAAGAAGAAUCAGCAACAGAAGGAGUGUAUCCGAGAGAAACCAACGCUGCAGAAAGUUUGGCAUACCAUUGCCUACUAGCUUGCUUCAAGCCAUAGAGACUCUUAUUUAACCGACAAACUUUAAGAUCAUUAGAAUCUGAAUUUUGAAGCUUCAGACCAGGGGGUAACACCAUGUAAACUUCUUCAUUGAGGUCACCAUGGAGAAAUGCAUUAUUGACAUCAAAUUGCUCAAGAAACCACCCUUUGAUGGCUGCCAAAGAAAGUAAUGUUCUAACUGUAGUCAUUUUUGCAACCGGUGAAAAAGUAUCAAAGUAAUCAACUCCUUCCAUUUGAGUAUAACCCUUUGCAACUAACCGGGCUUUAUGCCUUUCAAGAGAACCAUCAGAGUGGUAUUUAGUUUUGUAAACCCACUUGCAUCCAAUUGGAACUUUUCCUGGUGGUAAAUCAACAAUUGACCAAGUAUUUGUGGCUGCAAGAGCAUGUAACUCAGCUUUCAUAGCUUCUUUCCAACAUUCAAUCUUACAAGCUUGAUUAUAGGUCUUAGGUUCAGGGUUAGAAGAAACAGUUAGACAAAAAUUUUUAUAUGAAGGAGUGCAAUGAUCAUAUGUCAAAACAGAAGAGAGAGGAUAUGCCGAUUUACCUGAGUCAGAGAGUAAUUGUGAUUCAGAAGAAGUAAGGAGACUGCAGUGAUAGUCUUUAAGAUAUGCCGGUGUUGUUUUAGGUCGUGCAGAUCGUCGAAUAGGUACAUCUGUUGUGGUCUGAUCUGGAAUAGCUGUUGCAGAAGAUGUAGCAUUAGGAGGGGUAGAAUUAUGUGUUGUAGAAGUAUCAGAAUUAUCAAGGUUUUGAGAGAGAGGAAAAGAAGAAUUUGGAAUAACAGAUGAUUGGAUGGGUUCAUGAUAGGAAGAAAGAUGUGAAUUAUCAACGGAGACAUGAGGUGUAGAGGAAUCAGGGGAACAUCGUUCAUGCAAUGUAGAAAAUGGAAAAGAUGAUUCAUGAAAGAUGACAUUUCUUGAUAAGAAAAAUUCAUGUGAAUGAAGAUCAUAAAGAAGGUAACCCUUGGUGCCUUCUCUAUAUCCAAGAAAAACUGAUUUUCUUGCUCUAGAAUCAAAUUUGGUUCUAUGACUUUGGAUGGUGGAGGCAAAAGCAAGGCAACCGAAGACUUUUAGGUGAAUUAAAGAAGGUUGUUGUUGGUGAAGACAUUCAUAUGGGGAUUUAUUUUGUAGAAGGGGAGUUGGGAUUCGAUUAAUGAUAUGGACAGCUUGUUGAAUUGAAAAAUGCCAAAAAUUGGUAGGGAUAUGAGAUUGAAAGGAGAGGGCUCGAGCCACAUUAAGGAUAUGUUGAUGCUUCCUUUCUACAAUACCAUUUUGUUGAGGAGUCUCAACACAAGACCUUUGAUGAAUGAUGCCUUUAGAAAGAUAAAAUGAAGGCAUGAUGAACUCAAGUCCAUUAUCACUUCUCAAGCAUUUAAGUUUCUUAUGGAAUUGAGUAUCAAUGAAAGAAAUGAAAUUCAUGAGAUGAUUUCUUGUUUCACCUUUACAUUUCAUAAAAAUGACCCAUGUAAAUCUACUAAAGUCAUCAACCAAGGUUAAAAAAUAUUUAAAUCCGGAAACAGAAGGGGUAGCAUAGGGUCCCCAAAUAUCAACAUGUAGUAUAUCAAAUAUUUGAGUGGAAUGAAUAAGACUAUGAGGAAAUGAUGUUUUCUUAUGUUUUGCAUAAUGGCAUAUAUCACAAGGAGAGUGGGUACUGGUGUAUUUUACAAUGGGAAACUGAAUGGAAAUACAUUUGUGUAUGGAAUCCGAAAUGUGACCCAAUCUAUAAUGCCAAACAUUUGCAGAAUCAGUUGACUUAGACGACAAACUUGGAAAAACAGAAUUACAAAUUGAAGCAGAAACUAAACCAUUAUUUUGAGAUUUAUUUAGCAGUGAAGAAUCCAACACAUACAGUCCUCCAAACUUCUUAGCUGUACCAAUCACUCUCUGAUUCAAAAUCUGCACAAUAGAACAUGUAUCAAUAGAAAACAAGAAACUGGCAUUAGAAGUUUUCAAAAAUUGAGAUAUUGAAAAUAAAUUGAUGUUGAAAUCAGGAAUGUAGUAAACAUUAUGAAGGAUAAGUGAAUUGGAUAAGGAUACUGUGCCUGCUAUGGUUGUCACUAUUUUAUUACCAUUUGGUAGUGACAUGGAGAUAGGUGGAAUGUUGUAGAAAGAAGAAAAAUUUUGCAAACAGUGAGUGAUAUGAUCAGUUGCUCCUGAGUCUAUGACCCAAAGAGUAGAUUUCUUACCGAUUAUGGGAGUGGAUGUGGAAGUAUAAGCUGCGGGAAGUGAGAUAACUGAAUUGACAGCAGGCUGAGGCAUAGUAGCAUUGGUGUUUGACGUUGAAGCUUGCAAAUUUGAAUGUUGUAGAAGCUGCAAAAUCUGAUUAUAUUGCUCAUGGAUAGAAUUCAGUGAAGGGCUGCUAACAGAUCCUUGGUUCUGGACAGCAUCAGUAUACUUUUGUUCAGAAACCGCAAGAUUCGCUGACUUAGGACCUUUGUUUUGAUAACCAGGAGGAUAGCCAUGGAGAAGGAAACAAGUCUCAAUUGUAUGAUUAUGUCUUCCACAAUGACUACAAGUGCGAGUAAUGCCUUGAUUAUGUCCUCUUGUUCCAUUAUAAGAUCCUUUACCUCGACCUCUAUAGCUAGAAGAACCACCACGAGCAAAACCUUUGUUAGAAUUGGUUUGCUGAACUUGAUUAACAGCUGAUUGUUGAUCAACAGGAAUUUCACCAAAAACAGGAAUAUGUGUUUGUCUUUCUUGUUGAAGUACAAGAGAAAAAGUCUUAUCCAGUUCAGGCAAAGGAUUAAUUAGCAUAAUCUGAGAGCGCACAUGUGCAUAUUGCUCAUUCAAACCUUUCAAAAACUUAAUUACUUUGUCUUGCUCAUUAUACUUUUUGAGAUCAGAAGCAACACCACAAGUGCAAGGGAUGGCACAAGUGCAAUCACGAAUUGGCCGGAAGUUCUGAAUUUCUUCCCACAAAGUGGUUAAUUGUGUAAAAUAGGAGGAGAUAUCAAGAUUACCUUGUUGAAAUUUAGCCAAUUCCUCAAGAAUAUCAGCAACUCUGAAAAUAUCACCCUGUGCAAAACGGUUCUCCAAUCGCUUCCAAACCACGGAGGCUCGAUCACACCAAAUGAUUGAUUUCACAAUGGUUUCAGAAAUACAUCGUUGAAGCCAAGACAGAACCAUGUUGUUACAUCUUAACCAUGGUUCAUGAAGGAGAUCUGAAACAGGAGGAGGAUUUAGGGUGCCAUCAACAAAUUUCAAUUUGUUCUUGGAAAUUAAGGCGACCCGCAUAGAUCGCGACCAAGUCUGGUAAUUCUUGUUAUCCAAUGAUGGAGUAACAAGAACAAGUGAUGGAUUUUCAUUAGGAUGCAAGUAGUAAGGAUUUGAAGGAUUGGUUGCAAAAUCAAAAAAUGGUGGAUUCUCCAUAGAGAUGAAAGAAAUCAAAUAAUCAAGGAAUCAAAUGAACAGCGGAAUGAAAACUGAAAAUAAAAAUUCAGAAAUUGAAUAAUAAAGAGGAUUCUUGAGAUGAAUCGAUCAACAAGAGAAAUUGAUGAAGAGAUUCACAACUGAUACCAUGUUAAUAUUUAGAACACAGUAGAAAAUAGAAAGACAAGUGAUAUAUAAUUCUCAUUGAUCUGUGUGUAAAAGUACAUGACAGGUUUAUUUAUACACUAAAAUAAAGAGAAGACUAAUCAACAUGUAUAAAUACAAUUGAAUAGAAUACUAAUAAGCAGGCUAACUAAUAGGUUAUAGUUAAUGAUAAUUAAAUUAAAUAUUAACAUGUAACAUAUAUUGAUACUAAUACUCUAGAAGUACACAAUAUUUACAUGUUAAUUUAUAUGCAUUUCGUUUGUAAAUGGUGUAGACAAGGAAUUGCUAAUUUUAAGUAAUAACUAUACAUACAAGUGUAUGUAAUUCAAGUGAAUGUUUUUUAUGAUGUGGACUAUUGAAUCUAUUAUAAUUUUUUAUUAUGCAAAUAAAAUUCACUUGCACACAUCAUUAACAUUGUAGAAAAAAAUAUGACUACAAUGUAAAUCAUCAAAGACAUUUUAAUGUUUUUCUACUAUAGUGUAAUCAUCAGAGAUUUAGUAAUGAAGUUACAUAUCUAGUCAUGCUUCUGGUUUCACACUCUACACCUGUGAAACCCGGAUACCAGAUACGAUACUGCACCGAUACGUCGAUACAGAAAAAAAUUAAAAAUCAAGAUACGAUACGGUUGGGAUACGUUAAUAAAAAAAUUAUAUAAUUAAAUGUACAAUAUAGUUAUAACCAUUUUUUUUAAUAUGCAAAUAUAUUAACAAGCAAAAGAAACCGGUCAUAGGCUCCUAGCACAUCAACAUAAAUAUAAAUAAUAUUGACGAUUAAGAGAGUGAUGAUUAGUCAAUUAGAAACACAAUAUAUCCACAAAAAAAAAAAAAACACCAUUAGUGCUAUACUAUAUCCAAAAUGAACAUUGUUAGUGUUAUACUAUAUCGAUCCAAAAAAAGCACUAUAUUCAAAAAAGAACACAUCACUACUCAGGAGUUAAGUUAUUUUAGUUAACAUUAAUUGGGAAAUAUCAGGGCAGAUAUCGGUGCAGAAUAAUUAUUGAAUACUCUCCUGGUACGUGUAUCGGGAAGUAUCGGAUAAUUAUUUUUUUUUAAAAUAAAAUUUAAUCUUCGGAUACUCUCCUGAUACGUAUCGGGAAGUAUCAGGCAGGUAUCGGUGCAGGAUACGCAGGGGAUACGGUACGUCAUCCAUUUUGAAGUAUCGGAGCUUCAGCUACACACAUCAUCAAAGACAUUUUAAUAUUUUGGUGCUAUUAAGGAUAUUAAAUACUUUUUCUAAGUUAAUACUCCACGUUACUCUUGAAUUAUUAUAACUUCUCAGAUGUUUCAUUAGAUACAAAGAUUUAGUAAAUGUACAACAUUUUCCUCAUAGUAUAAUCCAAAACCACUUGUGAUCGAUAAUUUUGUUUAGGGGUCUUAAUAUAUCUCAAUAUUUUCAUGCCCAAAGAUUACAAGCUCAUUAACCUUGUCCGGUAAAUAUGGCAUUGGUCUUUUUUCUUUUUCUUAGUUAAAGAUUUAGUAUUGUUAUUAAGCUUAAGACUUAGUUAAAUAACUUAUUUUAAUAUUUUGUAUUAACUAGUAGUUUUUUAAACAACAAUAGGAUGGGAUUGAGUCCAGAAACAUGAUAUGUGCAUAAUUGGCGUCGAAUUAUUUAUAAUUAUUACUAAUAUAAAAUAUGGUCAAUUAUUUUACCAAAAAAUAUGGUCAAUUGUUAUUGAGCACUAAUUAUGGAUAAAUAAUUUGAUUAUAAAUGGACCGUGAUGGGUUUGACGAUUUAAUAAGUUCAAUAAGAGAUCUCUAUCUUGAAUCGUUUAACUAUUAAAACUUUAUCACUAAGACGUUUAGAAAUACUGUGAAACCUAAUCUAUGAACCUAAAGAUGAUGAGGAUAGUGCAGGCCUCUCAUAGUUGCUCUCUCAUCGGUUGUGUCAAAUCAUAUAUGUCUGAUAAAAUAUGGGUAGAGUUACUUGAUGACAAUCAAAAUCGUUUAUUUUUCUUUAAUUAUUUGUGUUAUAUUUAUAAUAUAAAUAGAAUAUUUUAUAUGUUGCUAAUAAUAAUUUAUCCUGGCAGACAAGCAUGGGAUGAAUGAUCGAUUAUGAGACAAGUAUAUAUGAAGCCAAUGAAGUAGUUGUCUGUCCAAAAACUGCAUGCAACCCGAAAAUUGGAUAUCAGUACAGAUAAACCUCUUCUAUACGCUUAUCAAAAUAUCACAUGCAACAAAAAACACACGCAUGUAUUUUAGUCCCACUACUUUUCUGAAAUCUUUCAAUAUCAAAUCUCAACCAUUUUCUAGUUCAGUGAUUCAUAUUUACGUUUCCAUGUGGAAAAUGAUAAUAACCUUAACUGACCCAUUAAAUUAGGUUCUAUAUUAUUUCUUUUCAAGUAAAAAAUUUAACAGAAAUAGAAAAGUUAGUUUUCUAAGUUGUGUUAUGUUCCUUGCAAUGUAAUGCUUUUACUUGUCGAAGAAAGAAAAGAAACGUGAAUCUACUUAAUUUUAAUUCAUAUGAAUGAAUGAAUGAAUGGAUCCCCAAUUCCCCAUAACUUUACGUCAAGUGUAUUAUUUAAUUUAUUUACAUUAGGGUUCUUUAUAUAAUUUUUAACCAAUUAUAUAUGGUUGAGCUAUUUUAUGCUCACACUAGAUCUUUUUUUUCUUUUUCUAAUCAACAUAAACAUGGCUUAAAUUUGAGAUAUAUGAACAUGAGGCCCGUGUGCAUUACAUCAUGUGCAAUUAAGUUCGAUGGGUUUUGUGGCUUGGCUUUUAGGCAGAUCUUAGGGCUCAUUUAUGUUUGCAUGUGUAUAGUUAAUCUAAGUUUGAGGUUCUAGUUCGUAUAAAAUAAGUGGAGGACUAUAAUUGAUUGACAAGUGGGUGUCCUUUAAUUUGUUUUCAUGGUGGACAAAAAUUGAGGAUCACCCAUGUUUGAUUUAUGAAGAAAAAUAAAAUAAAAUUGUUAAUAAUUGUUAUAAAUUUAAUGAAUGACAUGCAAGAUUCAAGUGAUUAAUAAAUUUUAGUUAAAAACGAACUGAUAGGGAAUUUCGAAUUCGAUAUUUGGCUGAACAAUCUUUAAAAACUAGAGGUUAAGCUUUAGUUUGAUGUUAUGGGAUGCAGUAUCCUCCAGAUUAGUUUCUUCUCUUAGACAAUAAAACUAAUAUCAACAAUAAAAAUGAAAUUAAAAAUAUUAAGCUGAGCAAAAAAAAAAAAACUUGGGGCCUUCAAAACCCUACGAAGUCCCUGUCCACAGAAUUAAGUCAUAAUCUGAUGGUUAACUUUGUUUCUGAAUACGAUAUCGAUUUUUAGCAUCCAAAUCUUAGUGGCUUUUAGAGGUUACAUAGAGUUCUUUUGAUACUUCACUUCAUGACAAUUUAACAUGGUUUAUGCCUUACAAGUUUGGUUUAUGACUUUUGGUAGCUCUGUUAGGUCGUUUAUCAAUUUUUAUUUUCAUUAUUUCCUAAUCCACAUAAGUGAAGAUUUUGAUUGAUAAAGACUUUCUCAACCUCCUCAAUUCAUAUAGUUGCAUACAGCAUACUGUUUAUAUACAAUAAUAGAAAUGUUAGUUUAGUUCACUCUCAAAUCAAUUAAUGGAAUACAAUUACUUGUAAGCACCAAUAUAAAGUUAAAAUAGAAAUCAAAUAAAAAACUUCGCAGCAUUAUUGAACUCAACUGAAUUACAUAUAUAAUUUUGAGAAGUUUGUUUUUGAACAUUAGGUACGUAAUUGUCUAAUAGGUUCUCUCUAUAUGAGGUAAUCAUAUUUGAGGUGUACGUCGGUCUGCGACACCCAACAUGUGUUGGUUUACGUCGGUUUAUAUAAAAUAAACAAGAUACUUAAGAAAUUUGAUGAUUUUUCUAUCAUCUAUCUGCCAGUUUAAAUUGACUUAUUUGAAUUUAUUUGUUCAGUUUACUUUCAUAAACUCUAAGAAAAAUUAUGAUAACAGUUAUGACUUAUACAAAGUAAAUUAACUUUAUUUUAUCUUUGUUGUAAGAAUAUUUUUUACACAAGUGUUUACCAUGAACAGCAGAUUAAGUUACUUAUCCAAGUAUAUCAACGUGAUAAACGACUAAAAUGUUGUGUAAUUUCAUAAUCAUAUGGCAUAAAUACAGCAUCGAAGGGUUUCAUAAAAUCCUUCUUACUGUUAAAAUUAAAAUAUAUGAGCUGCUUAAUUAUAAUGUGUCACUGUGAUGAACACUCAGACAGUAGUAACUAGUAAUGGAAUCUAAAGUUCCUUACAAACUUAGCAUUGAUGAUACUCAACAUUACCGAUAACUUUGAUAAAAAUCAAUAAUGGCCAAAUAGAAACAUAGUAUGAUAAAAUUACAAAAUACAACUAGUGUACUUUCCCGUGCCAUGCCAACAUAAAUUAAAAUUUGGCAUUCUCUCUAAACUCAUUCGAGGAGCUAAUCCAUAUAACUAAUGACCUACUUAACUCUCUGUUUCUGUUGAUUUUUGUCCUUUCCGCGACCUCUUCCUUUUCCUGCUUCUCUUCACUGUGUUGUCUCCUUUGGUUUCCUGCGUAAGAGUCAAGUAAAGGAAACAUCUAACAGAUCAGUAAGAAGCAUGCAAAAUAUAAGUUCCAGCAGAUAAGACACAUUUAAAAUAUGCUAUAUACUAUAAAAUAGCUGAACUAAACUAAGGGGUUUGGAAUUUGUUUAAUAUGCAUGCAUAAACAAAACCAGAACAGCUAAGUAUAUAGCAUCUAAACUGUUUUGCGCAGUUGCAACAGCCAACGCUAUCUUAAAUUGAAAAGAAAACUAGCAUUACAGAAUUCAGUUUUUCAGGUUAGACGGUAUUCUAAAAAAGACAUGGUUAGCAGAAGGGUUCGGCUUGGAACUAUUGUCGGCCUAUCAUAAGCAGCCUUAAUUUGCAAUUUUAAGAGUCAUGACAAAUUGAAGAAAAGUUAACAGAUUAGUGUUUUCAAGUUCAAAUUGAAGAAACAUUUAAAUUUUGCCAACAACCCUACCUUUGUAGGAUUAUUUUGGUUUUCACGACUUUUCUUCUUCUUGCACGAAAGUGGGUUUGGACCCUGCAAAGUUCAUAGCAAUAUCAUCAAAAAGUGACGCAAUACAACUGUUACAACAACAACCAAAUAGUAUCCCACUAAGUAUGGUUGGCUACAUAGAUCAAAUUACACCAUAAUCAAUGCAAUAACUGUUCUGUUUUAUAGGGGAACUGUUGGAAACAAUAAAUUAAUAUGAAUCAUCCCAGCAUACAUGUGAACAUGUUUAUAUUUGUUAAGUUUCAAGGAAACAUCAUAGAACACAACUUAAAAUCAAAACAUAAUACAUCUGCAGAAAAAUCUACCUCUGGGACAUCAUGAUCAAUAAAUGUUCUUAAAACUAUUUGACCCAUCAAAUGUUUUCCAAAUGCAACAAAUUUUAUAGUUACCCUCCUAAUACCCAUUAACAUGACCAUAUUUUCAUUUUUACAAAAUUAUCGUAGGAUAACAUAGAGUAAAUGGAGGGAGAGAAAACCAUAGCUCUUUAUUUUACUAAACCGUUCAAGUUAUAGAAAAUUUUGAACACUCAAAGCCAAAAUCCAAAAUACACGGCCAUAUAACUAUAUUAUCAAAGUGCAUCAAGUGCUGCAGGUAAGAGAGGGGGAGAGAAAAAGAAAUUAAUUUGUGGCAAAAAUAUAUCAAGUCUGUAUGAACAAAUUAAUUUCUAAUUGGCUGCUACCAGCUUGUUUUAUCAACAAAAGAAUACUGUCAGUUAGUUAACAGUCACUUCCAUGUGGUAGUGUAAGCUGGAGUCUUUUAGUUCUGUCAGCAUUAUGUCCCUAAAAUAUUCAGUUACAUAGUUACUGUUAUAAUCAGCUAAGAUAUCACAGAAUAAUAGACCAUCUUUCUCAAGUUAUAUCAUUUCCUUUGGUUUCUAAAUUUCCUAUAUGUUUCUCUCAUUACCUCUAUCAGCUACAAACAAAAUGGUAAGCUAUAAGCCUAUCUAUGUUUAGACAUGUGAAAAUCAAUAACCAAUCAAGAAAAAAGACGCAGCACAAAAUUAAAAUAUAACCUUUGCUUUUCUUCUCUUGAAUUGAGGUUUAUCCCUGACGCCAUUCUGAUUCCUUGAAAUUAUGCUUCUUUUUAUUGCCUGUGCACUUGCAAUCGAAUCUCCUAAAUCAUUGUUUUCCACUAUUUCAGCAUUGGAAUUAUCAGCUUCACCAUCAGCCAGUUUCUUCAUAGCCCUAUCCUUAAAUAUCUGGUACUCUUUAUCGGUCAUAUGCAAUCGUCUUUCUUCAGAAGUUUUGACAUACUCCUUCUGAAAUGCAGAUGGAGAUUCGAGGAAAAGAGCAUUUCUGAGACCAAAUAUGAGGGGCACACCAGGUACCUGCAACAAGCGGAUAAAGACUAAACAUAUGUACAAUGGGACAAAUUUACACAAAGUCAACAUAUUUUAGACGUAAAUACGCAGAAGUUCAGUGGCACUGUGACACAGAACAUGCCAUUAAUGCAAAUAACAUUUUAUCAUGUUUACAAAGUGACAGCAACAUAUUGAAUUGGUACAAUCAACAUUACAAAAAAAAUAUUCCAACCUCUUCCAACUUCUUCCGUAGGUCAGUGUCCUGACUAGCAACAAAGAAGUGCUCGGAAUUAUUUUCUCCAACAACCUCCAUGAUGCAGGAAUCGGCCCUCACACAUUUAUCAUGCUCGCAUCUGCAAAUUGGAAUUUAGAUCAAAUUAUAAAACCAUCACCACAGCAAUACUUGUGCUCAAAUAUCUCAACCCAAAACAACAAUCCUUUCCAGUCUAGUGGACUAAUCAAAUAUUAGAUACUGAUUAUUAAGACUUAAAAAGUUAACAGCUUCGAUUCUUCACAUUAGGCAGCCUUUUAACAUGUCAUUUCAGUCGGCCAGAAAAGUGAUUCAGAGUAGGAAUGUCAAGGUCAGUUCUAUACAUAUUUGGGUCUAUAAAUAUCAAUUCUCAAUGCAAUUAUAUCAUUUAUAACAGAUCUCAAUGAGGGUAACAAAGUAAGUACACUAGUGAUUUGGGUGAUCCGCAAUAUUAGAUACUGAUGAUUAAUCAAUUGGGCGAGGAGCUAAAGGUGGCUUUCUUGCCAAAUAACAAUAUAAGGGGCAGAAAAAAAUUAGAAAGAACUUCAAAUAUGAGCAACAAGAGUAAAUGAAAACCUAAAGGAUUUAAAACGCUUAAAUUCUUCUGAAACUUCAAAGUUGUUUCUUCAUUGAGGCAAAAGGAGGUGUUGCUUUGUGUCUAACAAAAACUUAUUGGACUGAAUUAGACAGACCCACUUUCUUCAAAUUUGUGUUUUCUCAACCUAAUAUAGUGUUGAUAAUGGUGGAAUAUAGAAAAAGGGCAGAAAUUUAUCAUAUAAAGAUGCCAUUGCAGCCUACGGUGCAGCCAUGGCAGGAACCCCUUUACAAAUUGCCUAUGGGGAUUGUCAAAAACUCCGAUAUUGCCAGUGGCCACCAUUUAACAACACUAACCUAACCAAGCCUUCCAAAACUACAUCACCCAAACAUGCUGACCGAAUUAUUCGGAACCAGCCCAUUUGACCCCUCUCUUAAAUAAAAUUAGUAUAAUAAAUUUACAUUUAAAGGGUCUCAGCCUACUCAAUCCGGUAUCAUUCAUCAUGCACAUCUAUCUUAAUGACACAGGAAAAGUUUGUUAAACAACUAGGCUCUGUUUGGAUAACCAACUUAAUUUGCAGCUUAUAGCAUAAACACUUAUCAUGAUAAACGCUUAUGCAUAACCUAUUUCCAUAACAAAAGUAUAAAUAACGUUAAAUUGUUUUCGUAAAGUCUCCUAAACAGUCUCACCAGUGCCUAUAUCACUAGAUAAGCUCAAAUACACAAGUCAAUUCAAACAGCAGUAAGAAGUGUGUAUACCUUGCAAUUAUAAGAUCAUUCGCUGCAUCAAGAGCCUCUGAAUACGACUUCCCAAGCCGUUUCAAUUCAGCAACAACACAUCUACAUCACCACAAUCCAAAACUCAAAUCAACAACACGAAAAAAAAAAUCAAAACAAAAACAAAAGCACCCAAAACAAAACAAAACAAAAUAAAAACAAAAACCUUGUUGUGUAGAGCUUGACAGUGGCACUAAGAAUAUUGGCAAGAGCAGUAUCAGCAGGUGUUAUACGAUUGACAAUAAGGUGAUUAACAAAUGUUCCAUCACAUAGAACUUUGUAAGGUUUUCGAAAACCAAAACAUGCAGUGUAAAACGUUAAACUCUUCCUAUGUCUCUUUUGUUUCUUAACCUUCAUCUACAUAAAAAAAUCAAAAAAGGGUAUUCAAAUUAAACAACAAAGAAACUAAAUUUGAAGUUUGGUGUUCAGUGAUAAUAACAAGUUCUUUCAUAUACCUUAUACAAAAAAUCUCAGCUGCCGGCGACGAUCAACUCCGACGGCGGUUCCCGGCAAUGUUUUGUUUAUUGCGGCGGUUCGGUGACGACAGCGGCUGUGAGACUGAAAGGAGAAUACGGUGUAUGGAAAUUGUGAAGGUUAAUGGAUAAUGGAUAAUAACCGGUUAACUCAAUGGUAACCGACCCGUUUUAAGUUUUGUCAAAAUGGACUGGAUCAGUUAAAAUGAAAUUGCUAUGAAACAUUACCUCAUCGGCGGUUAACUGCCGUCGGUUAGGUUUUAACAGCAGUUAACUCUCUCCGUCAGUUGGCUUUCAACGGUAGUUAAAUACCGUUGCAACUUGCAAUCAAGCAUUCACACAACAUGUUCUGUUUUAAGAAUCAACCAAAAUUCAGUUUCUUUAUUACCUGUAAUUCAAAAAAACAACAAUCCAGAGGUAGUACAACCUUUAAACCAAUUAUAAUCACUCACAAGCAAGAACAAUACAUAAUUUUGUACAAUUGACCAAAAUUAAAUCAAUUCGACAUUUCGUUAAAAUUACACGAAUGUUCGAAAUUCAACAAAAGUGCAAUAGUAGGUGUAAAUAAUAACUUAUUUGAUGGAAGGGGAAAAUAGGUGAUGAUGGAACAGUAAGUAGGAGUAGGUUUUUGUAAUCAACAGUAUCCAUGCGCAAUGGCAGUUAAUUGUCGUUGAAAGCUAAUUGAUGGUGUGUUAACCGUUGUUGAAACUUAAUCGGAAGUAAUUAAUUGUUGAUGAGGUUAUAUUCGUCAUUUCAUGAUAUUUUAUAGCAAACUUUGAUGUGGGAGCGCAACAAUUUUCCAGUUUUUAUGCACACCCCUUAGAUACAAGGGUAAAGUGACACUGAAUGAUGGUGUUUCAUACAUGAUUAUGUGAUAUUUUCUAAUAGUAUAAAUUGUUUUACAUAAUACAUCUUUCGAUUUUAUAUGAGCAUAAAUAACUAUUUUCACACUUAUUAAGAAAAUUAAGUAUUCUCCUUUUCAGCUCUAAGUAAUAGUGUUAAGUAUGUGUUAAGUAAAGUAAGUUAAGUUUUGUUUAUAUUUGAGACCAUUAAAUGAGUUAUAUAUUUAUUUUUUUAUAUUUGAGAAAGGUGUUGAGUAGAAAUCCUUUUGGGGAUAGCUUGUAAAAUGACCAUCAAUAUUACUUGAAUUAAUAAAAAUUUCUCCUUCCCGAUUUUUUUUUAAAAAAGAGUGGUGUAUAAUAAUUAAACACUUGUUAUUAUAAGAAAAUAUAUAAUUGCAAAAAUUACACUUGUUUUAAAAGGGUUAAUUCAAAAUUUGACAGAAACGACAAACUUAUGCUCACAUCAAUAACAUAAGGGACCGGCAUAAAAAAAACAUGCAAUUAAACAAUAAUUUUAUUUCUAUCAUAACAAUUGUUGGCAAUAAAAGAAAUAAGAAUGAAGUCAAUGAAGGCUAACUCAACUGGUAAGUAGUUAACUUUUUUAACCUUGAGGUCUGUCCUAACUUGGUAAAUUAUUUGUUGGAAUCAUGAACCAUGGGGUGGAAGCAUGUUUAUGCACAUUUAGAAUGUACUCCUUCGUACUAAAAUAUAAGUAAAAUUUGAUCAACAAAAGUCAAUGUAUUUGAUUCAAAAUUUAUAUCAAAUACAUCAACAUAUGUUGACUCAUUUUUACUUAUAUUUUGAAAUGAAUGGAGUAUUAUGUUUCUGCCUAUGUAUCCAAGGAAGAACAACCUCAAAUUUUAGUAACCAUCCUUAAUCUCAACGAUAGUGCUUCCGAUGUAUAAAUGUAAACGAUUCAGUGAAUGCAUAGCUGGGUUCAAGGGAUUGUUCAAAGAUUUCAGGAGCUUUCUAGUUGCUCAUGAUAUGCUCUUGGGGGUUCUUAUAAUAUAAACCCAAUUUCCUGUUUUUCCUUUUCUUGUUUUACCUUUUUUAUCAUUUUUUUUUUCUUGAAUUUGAUUUAUAUCACCUCAGGUUUAUGUAUUUUAUUCUUUGGAUCUCGCUAACCAGUGCCCUUAGAGUAUUGGUUAAAGAAUCUACAAAUAGAAAUUUUGUCUUAAAAAUAUAAGAUGUUACUUUUGAUCAAGUAAUGAUUACAUAAUUUUUUCAUGAAAACUUGUUUGUUUUGAAUGGUUAACCAGUGCCCUCCUUUAGGGCACUGGUUACCAUUACGGAUAAAUUUUUCGCUUGAAAAAAAUAAAAAUAAAAUCAAUUUUUUCUCAUAAAUUAUCACCUUUAUCAUGUUUCAUAAUUCAUAGGCAUAUCCAAGCCUCAUCUUAUCUUUUGCACAUGAUAUGAUUCCCUCUUAUGAUUUGAUAUGUGACUAGGAAUAGGAUUAGGCAAAUGCUAUUAUAUAACUAUAAUAUAAUAUAUCUUUGUUUAAGGUUAUCCCUUUAUCAAUUAAUCACAAUCCUCCCAUGACAUUAUAAUUAAAAGACAUUGUUGUGUUAGUGGGUGAUAUUCUAUAAAUUAUUUCUUCCAUCAUGGGAAGGAUGAAGAAAGAUCCAUAAGCUUAUUCAUUUGCUUAAAAAAUUGAAUUCCACGAAAAAGAUCAAACAUAUAUUUUAUGACUAAAUUAUUACAUUGUUCAUUGUUUGCUUUGGCUAAGAUAUGGCACCCCCAAGCACAUCCUAACAACCACGUGUAUAGAUGCUGUAGGUGCGUUAUACAUUCAAGUUUGUCGUUUUUAUUUUGGAAACAUUUUUUUUAUGGAUAAUUACUUCAUUUAAGUUUUAUUUCUUGGAAGCUACAGAUGCAGCUUUUCAACCAUGAAUGAAUGCAUUCUUGUUGCAAAACUUCAACUGAAUGCUACAAUUUGUGAAGUAAAGUAGAUUUGUCAAUCAUAGAUCGACGGAGGGAAAAAGAUUUAUAUUUUGACAAAUGUUUCAUAUAAUAAAUUAAAGGUGGUGAAUGUUUCAUAAUAAAUUAAAGGUCGCUCUAACUUGUACUCGAUAAAGUUAAGGCAAUAGAGAGAAAGUAAAAACAUAAUAAUAAUAAUAUGAGAGAGAAAUUUGUCAAAAAAAAAUUGUCGAAAAAUAGUUGUACAAAUAUUAUUUCUCUUUUAAAAAUGUGCUAGCAAGGAGACCUUGUGUUUAAGGAGGGGCGGGAUAACAAUACCCCCAUCCCGUCUCGACAAGUAUAAGAAAAAAGUUGAAUCGAAACCCACAUUUAGUUAUAACGGAUUUCUCUGAAAAAAGUCUUCGGAUGUGUUAGGUCAUACAAGUUUUCAGAUGAGUACUUAGACUUUGAUAUGACUUUUUUUUAGGGAAGACUUUGAUGAUUGACCUCCUUAAAAAACCUAUUAAAUAAGAAUUUAAAUUAACCAACCUAUUUACUUCAAACACACCCUAAUAGGCAAUAAGUCAAGAAUCAAAAUUGUAGAAAAGGGAGAGGAAUUCAAGUUGCCAAAUUUUAAUUGAAAGCAUACGUGAUGCUAGAAGUAACAACAGCGAUAGCAAUUUGUUGUCAAGUAGAACAUGUCAAGAAUAAACGGAUAAAACUAUGAUUAUACUCUUUAUAUAAAUCGAUGAUGUAAUUCAAAAUCUUUUUUCUACAUAUAGAAACAUUCAAUCAAUUCAUAAUGUCUUUUUAUAAUUCUAUUUGAUACAUCAUCCAACACUAAAUGUGAAUGUAUCAUGAGAGUCUAACAUCUUAAGCUAAACGGUGUUUAUGACUUUAACUGAUGAUGUUAACUAAUGUCUUUGAAACAUUUAUUAACAAACUUCUUUUACACUUUUAAAAUAUCGACUACAUAUAUUUUAAAAUAUUUUUAUUAUAUUUGAUUCUUUAACAAGUUACACGAACAACUUCUUAACAUUUUUUUCUUUAAAAAAAAAUUUCACAUUUCUCAUUUUAUCAUAUUCAUUUUCCACAAUGGAUGACAUCAAAUGUGGGGGACAUGAAAACGUUGUAGGUAUAGACAACAACAAAAACAAUUAACAACAAUACAUUUUAAAAAUCAACAAUAAAACAAAACCUUCUUUUCCCCCACUUUAUCUUUGUAUAUGAUUUUUCUUUGAGAAUAUCGUCACAACCAUAAUUAGAUACAUAAAUAUAAUAACUAAAAAAAAUAUCACAGCUAACAUGGGGUGACUAAGAUCCAAAAUGAAUCAUGCUGGCUUUGAAAAUGAAAGCACAAAAGAGUGACAUCAAUCGAAUAAUUUAGUGUGCGGCGACACGAAGUUGCGUAUGUAAUUAUAACAAGAUAGGUUAGUGAGAGUGACAUGUAUUUUGAAGGAUUGAAUAUGGUUUGGUUUUUGGUUCAUGUUCAACUUACUUGUCUAAAAAGUUAAACUUAAUUUUUGCAUUUUAGGGGUUUAAAAGUAGAUAAUGGACCACCUUAUCUAUGCUUCAAUUGAAGAAAUGGUGAUAUUAUUGAAUCAAUAGGAAGGGACAAUUUAAAGAGAUGGAUGAUAAUGUGGCAAGAGAGUUUUAGCCAAAAAAAAAAAACGUGGCAAGAGAAUUGUUAGUUAUAGCACUCUUAUUUAUUUAUUGGGUCACACCAUUUUCCUUAAUUUUUUUUAUUGAGAAUAUGUUGAUUGGGUUUCAUAUACUAACCAUGAUCAGGAAUUUUUUUAGAAGUUUUAAUGUUGUGAAUUCAGAUCAAAAUUCACAUUAAUAUUUGCUCAUUUGGUUAAGUUUAAAUUUGACAUACAUUUAAUUCUUUAAAAAGAGAAACAAAAAAAAUUACAAGAAAUUAACAUCAACAAUGACGGUCAUAAUUUUUAUCCUUUGUCUGAAUCUCUUGAUGUGGUCAAAAGACUCAAUGAUUUAUUCUCUAGGUGUACACAAGUAUUUUCCAACCCUAAAAUCUAUUCCAAAAGAAACAAUAUUUAUGUAUCUUAAUUUGCUUGAUAAGGCCUACUUUGCCUCACUCCCACCUCAUUGUUAGAACUAAAAACUGGAGCCUUUUAUAUAUGGGUAUCACUCUGCUUGUCUAACACUUCAAGAAACAACUUUGCGGACAAUUGCCAAAAAAAUAAGCAAACAAAGUGAAACAAUCACUUUGUUUGUCUUCCACAUCAUGAAAUGGCCUUAUGAAAUAUGUAUUGUCAAGCAAGAAAACCGCAUUGUUUUUCUACUCUUUUGAGAAACAAGUGGCAUCAUCAACUUUCUUGAGAAGCAAAAAAAAAAAAAACUCAAAAUGCUAACAAAUGUACUUACAUUUAUCCAACAAUGAAAUUAUCACAUCAACAGAGAGAUUCAAAUUCAAGUCCUUGUAAAAUUCGGUUUGAAUUCAAUUAUCAAUUAUUCCAAACUAAAUUGACACUCUAUUUUAUCUACACACCUAUAUUAUUAUUAUUUUUAGGGUUAAUUAUUGAAAUUGACAUGUAAUAUAAACGAAGUCUCAAAAUGACGUUGUUAAAUAAAAAUCACAUAUUCUAACCCUGUAAUUCGAGAUUCUUAUUAUUUAUGAUCAUGUGAUAUACGUAAAGUCCAAAAAAGCAACCUAAAGAUUUAAUUUUUUCAUGAUUUUUUAGAGGCAUGUUAAGAAAGUUAAAAUAUGAACUGACAGAAAAAAUUAGAAAUUUUCGAUAAGCAACAACUUAAUUAUGAAUUUUUAAAGCGUCAAAAGCUCAAAAAACAAGAAUGAAAAUCUCAACCUAUAAAUCAAAUUGUGAGCUCACUAUUUGUAGAGGCAUCUAUAAAAAUACACAAAAAGGAUCUACAAAGUUUCAUAGCGUUUAGAAGAAGUUUCAAUUUAUUUUUGUUUUCCAACUAAAACGUGCAAAAUUGAAAUUUUGUUUCUAUUAAGCGACUCACAUGUCAAAUUUUAUUCCCUAAUUUUGUAGGCAUGGUCAGAACAUAAUGAAUUUUUUCAGUUUUUAAACGAGAGACAAAUUAAUUAUAAAUUGUUUAAGAAAUUCAUAAUUAUGGGGAAUAAAAUUCAUAAUUAAAGACAAAGUGGUCCUUUUAAGUUUCAAAAGUCUCAAACAAGUCCUUUUAGUUUUUGAAUCGUUUCAAACAAGUCCUAUUGUAGAUAGCAUAGUUGGUAAUUGCUUCCUUCAACUCAUCUUUGGUACCAAAUCUGGCUCCUAGCACCCACUUAAAAUUAGUCAUCUUUUUAGGCAUGACAAAUGGUGGAUAAUGCUCUUUGUUGCUAUCAUCUGAAUCAUCACCAUCAUCCUUUAAAAGGACUUGUUUGAAACGAUUCAAAAACUAAAAGGACUUGUUUGGGACUUUUGAAACUUAAAGGACUUGUUUGGAACUUUUGAAACUUAAAGGACCACUUUGGAAAAAACGAAAAACUUAAAUGACUUUUAGAUGCAUUUGACCUAAAUUGUCAUUCCUAGAAACGGAAAAUAACUUUUGUUCCUGAAACAGUAAUUAACGUUUUCUCUAUAUUUCAAUCUAAAUAAGUGAUUUUCACAUAGAUCUAGGUUUUUUCUUUAUGAUUUCAUCAUCUAAGUGUGGUGGUUUGUUGUUCGUCGUCUUGUGCGGCGCUGUUUGAUUUUCCGUCUUCUUGCGGUGUUUAUUUGAUUCAUAUUGAAGAUUGAUUAUUCAAUCAAAGAUUUGGGCGUCAACGUUGCAGAUCUGGAGGCCAUGGAUAUUCCGGCCACUUUAAUUUUAUCAUAUAUUUUUGUAGGCAUUAUGCUGUUAUAUAUGCUAUUAACUUGGAUGUUGUGAGUAUGUUCGCAGAUUCAUUCUUUACGUUUUUAGCGGUGUUGAAUGAUAUAGUCUCUCGAUUUAAAUAAAUGAAUAUCAUUUUGUUUUUGUCAAACAAUAAAAAAAACUAUCAUUAAUCAACCAAACAAUAAUUAAUUACUGCUAGAGCUAUUUUCGAACGUUCAAGGUGCAUAUGAACAAUUCAUAGGUGCUAAAGAGCAAUUUUCGGAAAACAAAGUGUAUUCAACGGACAAUGAACAAGUGGGUCUUAAUACAACCAUGUGAAGAAUUUAUUCCACACCCCUAUAUUUUGCUUGGAAAAAAAUAACUUUGUUGAAUAUAAAUGAUAUAAAAAAUUCCUGAUAAAUAUGAGAUUAUACAGUUUUACUGGUAAAUAUGAGUUAUUAUAUACACCUCUUAUAAAUAAAGGGAUACUCCCUCCAUCCCCAAUUAUUGGAAGAAAAAAAAAACUCUUUGUUUGUCUCAAAAUAUAAGCAAAACAACAAGUGUGACAAAUUAAAAGUAUGGUGCACAAAUUAAAAGUAUGGGCGUCAACAUUGCAGAUCUGGAUGCCAUGGAUAUUCUGGUCACUUUAAUUUUAUCAUAUAUUUUUGUAGGCAUUAUGCCGUUAUAUGCUAUUAACUUGGAUGUUCUGAGUAUGUUCGCAGAUUCAUCCUUUACGUUUUUAGCGGUGUUGAAUGAUUUAAUAUCUCGAUUUAAAUGAAUGAAUAUCAUUUUAUUUUUGUCAAAAAAAACUAUCAUUAAUCAACCAAACGAUAAUUAAUUACUGCUAGAGGUAUUUUCGGAAGUUCAAGGUGCAUAUGAACAAUUCAUAGGUGCCUAAAGAAUUUAUUCCACACCCCUAUAUUUAGCCUUCUACUCCUACUAGUUUGAGACAGGGCAUAUUUUGCUUGGAAAAAAAUAACUUUGUUGAAUCUAAAUGAUAUAAAAAAUUCCUGAUAAAUAUGAGAUUAUACAAUUUUACUGGUAAAUAUGAGUUAUUAUAUACACCUCUUAUAAAUAAAGGGCUACUCCCUCCAUCCCAAAUUAUUGGAAAAAAAAGCUUUUUAUUUGUCUCAAAAUAUAAGCAAAACAACAGGUGUGACAAAUUAAAAAUAUGGUGCACAAAUGAUUUUAGUCUUUAGAUUUAUUUUUCUUCACAAUAAUACCAUGUACCCAUCACACCCCUACUAAAUUCUAAUGCUUCACCCCAACUCUCGCAUACUUUUCACUAUUAGACCCUUAAAUUCAAAGUUAGUACCGGUCUGUUUAGUUAACCCAAAAAAAGAGUUUUUAGCUUUUAGCUUAUAGCUUAUAAGCUCGUUUGACAAAAAAAGCUCUGUUUGGUAACACUUUUUCACCAUGAGCUUAUAGCUUAUUUCACGAGCUUAUAAGCUAUUUUUCAGAAGCUAUUCCAAGUAGCGUUUGAGCUUAUAGCUUAUAGCUUCUCACUUUUUCUUCCAAUUUUACCCUUAUUAUUUCAUUUAAAUUGUAUUUUUAUCCAUUAUAAUUUUUAUAAUAAACUACGUAAUAAAGACUACUAUCCCGUUAUUCCAAUUUUUGUAUAUAUAUCAGCUGACCUUUUUUUUUUUUUUUUGAAAAAAUAUAUACCUUUGUUUUUUUUUUACGAAACAAAAUACUAUUAUUCUAUUAGUGUUACUUUUUUUUUUUUUGAGGUAAGUGUUAUUUUCUUUAUUCUCUGUUAUUAGUAUUACUCUAUUAGUGCUACCUUUUUUUUUUUGUUUUUGAGGUAAAUGUUAUUUUUUUUAUAAAGUGGAAACACUUAAAUGAUAAUAAAUAUAAAAUAAAAUUUUAGUGAAUAAAAUUUAAUUUAAUUUAUAAUACAUAGGAUAUAUUAAAUUAAUAAAUUUAAAGUAUUUUUUUAAAGAAAAAUUAGUUUACAAAAUUACAAAUACUUAAAUUAAUGAUAUAAUUUUUAUUAUGAAUUAAGAAUACCCUUUAUGUCAUUUUACAUUUAUCAGCUAGUUGAACCGCUAUUUUUACCAAACAGAGCCUACAUACACAACACCUAACAUGUUUCUCAUCUCCUUAAAUUCUUCAACCUUAAGUGGUUUUGUUAAUAUAUAAGCUUGUUUGAGUUUUGUUAAUAUAUAAUACUUAGUUUCAUUGUGUUUCUUGGACCACACGCAACUGGAUUUUUGGCUAAGAAAAUUGCAUUAGUUGUUUAUCACCGCCAAAAAAUUGCGUGUUUUGAGAAAUUUGAGGACACAAAUAUGAGUUUGAGAACCCUAUCACUUAACUUUCACACUGCUUCUUAUCAUCAUGAAUUAACAAACCAAAAUAUGAAGUACCUUUUAGAUAUUUCAAAAUUCUUUAUGCAUCAAUCGUAUGUGAUUGAUUUGGAUUCAAACUCUAAUUCAUUAUCUCCUUAAUUAAGUAUCACAUUCAUCAAGAAUUAACGUGAGCUUUCUUAACAAAAUUCAUUUUAACACUCUCACUUUUAUUCGAUAAACAACAAGGUCAUAUUACUUUGGAGACGAAUCCUUUAUAAAGUGGUAGGAUCCAUACGUAUUUUGUUUUAAUAAGAGAGUGAAUGUUAAAAGGUACGUUAAAAUGAGUGUUGUUAGCGUAUUUUACGAAGUAAUGUUUUGUUAAAUAUAAAAGAUGAAAAUAACAAGUGGAGUCAGAUAAUUUAGUUUUCUCUUAAAUCAAGACCACAUAAAUUGCCCUUCUCAAAUAAAGAGUAAAUUAUUUUUUGUUGUUGUUGUUGUUGAUAUAGAGAGUGAACCUCUUUCAAUAAUGGAAAUUUCUCUUUAGAUAAUUGUUCUAAGACACUUUGAUCAAACAAAAAAUGAUAUUUGUACAACUACUUUAUUAUAAUUUUUUAACAAUUUAUUAUCUCGGACUUAUAUUAUAUUAUUAUUCUCUCUCUUUAUUUUUUUCUCUCUAUUGUUUUGGACAAAUGAGAAGAGAGGAAAUGAAAGUUGUCAUCAAAGUUGUUACAUAUGGUUGUACAUAUAUCACUACUCUUAAUCAAAAUAUUUCCAAUGAUAUUAAAUUUUUGUAUAUAUUUUUUUCUUUGUUUUUGUAUUGGUAACUUAUAUGUGAUAAUAAUUCUCUUGUAGCAGAAAACAGAAAAAGAGACAAAAAAUAAAAAGCAGAAGCUUGCUACAAAACAACUCCCAAACACAUAAGGGAAUUAAACCACCACUUAUGUUAGUUUAAAGAAAAGUUAAUGUGAUUCGUUUUCAACCACAAAAAAGAUUAAAGUUUAUUUUUUUUUUAGAAGAUGUUGAACCGCAUUCCCCUUUUGUUGGCGAAUCUGAACAUUUCUUUCCCGCCAAAUGACCCAGACAUAUGAAAAUCAAAUUAGAUGAAGAACUAAACAGAUUCUUUUAAAGACCGCCUAGUAAUCCAAAUUGAAGAAGAUGACUUUAACAUGUUCCAGAUAUUUCUAACAACAUAAAAAUUGAAAAUCUAUUUUCUUCAAACAUAAGGAGGUAAGAUAUAAACUAGUUAAAAAUCUUUUUUUUAGAUAAUAAAUAAACACAAAUAGCUUCAGAUUUUUUUUCUUUCAAAAUCUCUAAAAAUAAUCUCCAGAUUUCUAACACAAAAUCUAUUUUUUUUCUUAAAGUAAAACAAACAUACCCUAAAUUUUUUCAUGCUUCAGCCACGUCAAGAAAGAGGUAAACCGCAUUAAUUUUUUGGAUAAUGAUGAAGGGGUACGAAUUGCUGAUGAACAAGGCAUGAGUCAGGUUGCAAAAGAAUAUUUUGAGACUUUAUUUUUAGAGAGCAAUAGUACUCGUGCACCGGUUGGUAAUAUAAUAGAAAAAGUUGUGUCUGAUGAUGAUAAUAUUAUGCUAACCGCUCCCUUUCAGGCUGAAGAAUUUAAGGACGCUAUGUUUUCUAUGCAUCCAGAUAAGUGUCCUGGUCCGGAUGGUUUUAAUCCGGGAUUUUUUCAACAAUUUUGGUCUGUCUGUAAUUCUGACAUUUUUCAGGAAUGUUGUGCGUGGCUCAAACAUUGCAUUAAUCCCUAAAGGUAAUGAGCAAAGAACCAUGAAGGAUUGGAGGCCGAUUGCUUUAUGUAAUGUGUUGUACAAAUUAGUGGCAAAAGUACUUGCUAACCGACUCAAAAAAAUCUUACACGAAUGUAUCUCUGAGAGUCAGUCAGCUUUUGUACCAGAGCGCUCUAUUCUUGAUAACGUCGUGAUUGCUAUUGAGGUGGUCCAUCAUAUGAAAGUUGGUAAGAGAGUUUGAGAUAAAAAUGUUGCACUUAAAUUAGAUAUUAGUAAGGUGUAUGAUAGAAUUGAUUGGCUUUAUCUCAAGGAAGUGAUGCUUAAAAUGGGUUUUGACAGUAAAUGGGUACAAUGGAUUAUGAUGUGUGUUGAAACUGUUGAUUACUCUGUCAUCGUUAACAAUGAGUUGGUAGGUCCGAUUAUACCGGGUAGAGGUUUGAGACAGGGUGACCCGUUGUCGCCUUAUUUAUUUAUUUUGUGUGCUGAAGGCUUAUCCCCUCUUAUUCGGAAAGCAGAACGAACUGGAGACCUCCAUGGCGUGUCUAUAUGUACUAAUGCACCUACCAUUUCUCACCUAUUGUUUGCAGAUGAUUGCUUUUUGUUUUUCAGGGGUGAUGAUAAUGAGGCACAAGUGAUGAAGAAUAUUCUCCAUACUUAUGAACUUGCUUCGGGGCAGGCCAUUAGUCUUCCAAAGUCUGAGGUUUUCUUCAGUACUGUUAUUCCAUUGCCUUUGAAGGAAACUAUUACUAAUAUAUUAGGUGUCCGAGCGGUGAUGGGCACGGAAAAAUAUCUUGGCCUUCCGUCUAUGGUGGGCAGAAGUAAAGAGGCGACUUUUGGUUUUAUCAAGGACCGUAUUUGGCACAAAAUUAACAGUUGGAGUAGUAAGUGUUUGUCCAAAGCUGGUCGAGAGGUAAUGAUCAAAUCGGUACUACAAUCAAUCCCAUCUUAUAUUAUGAGCAUUUUUUUACUUCCAAAUAAGCUUGUUGAUGCAAUAGAAAAAUUGAUUAAUGCUUUCUGGUGGGGCCAUGGCGGUAAUAUGCGUCGUGGAUUACAUUGGAUGUCCUGGGAAAGAUUGUCUGUUCAUAAAUUUUUUGGAGGCAUGAGCUUUAAGGAUUUGACCUCUUUUAAUGUGGCUAUGUUAGGGAAACAGGGAUGGAGGUUCCAAACAGAGUCUAGCAGUCUUGUUUGUCGAUUAUUUAAGGCUAGAUACUUUCCUAAUUCUGAUUUUAUUGGGUCCAAAAUUGGGCAUAACCCAAGCUAUGUUUGGCGAAGCAUUUUUAGUGCAAAAAUUGUGGUGAAACAGGGUGCACGAUUGCGGAUCGGUUCAGGGGUCAACAUACCUUUCUUGGGAGCCCUUUGGCUCAAUGAUGGUUUGUCUUUAUCCACAACUAAUCCUAUUUUUGAGCCUUUGAUGCAGGUGAAAUUAUGUGACUUUAUCGAGCAAGAUGUUAAAAUGUGGAAGGCGCCUCUUAUUCACAGUUUGUUUGAUGCGCAAACUGCGGAGCUCAUUCUCAAUACACCAUUGCAGCCACUUGUAUUGGAGGACAAAAUGAUUUGGAAAUGGGAGAAGAGUGGUACGUAUUCUGUCAAGAGUGCUUAUAGAAUUUGUGUUACUGAAAUUGCAGACAAUUCGCAUAUGCAUGUCAAUGGCCGGUGGAACCUUACUUGGAAACUAAAAGUGCCUCCUAAAAUCAAAAUUUUUCUUUGGCGUGUGUGUCGUGGUUGUUUUCCAACACGUGCUCGCUUAAAUAGUAGAGGAGUCUCUUGCCCACUUGAUUGUGUUCAUUGUAAUCAUAAUUAUGAAGAUAAUAUUCAUAUCCUUAUUGAGUGUCCUAAAGUUGUUCAAGUUUGGCGGAAUGCGAAUUUAUGGGACACAAUUGGCAGGGUGAUCCAUCAAGACUAUAAUAUUAGUGCUCUCAUUUUCACCCUUUUACAAAAUCUAUCUUCAGGGAAAUGUGAGCUGAUGACAACAAUUAUAUGGAGCCUUUGGAAAUGUAGAAACAUGAAGCUUUGGCAGCAACAACUUGAGACAGAUUCGCAGGUGCUUCAACGUGCAAUUCAUGUACUUGACGAAUGGCAAACAACCCAAAGAAUUAGAUCAAGCAGCAGUAACCAAACCAUAACUCCACAGGUUCGGUCUUUGAGACAAGAGGAUGCAUCCUUUUCUACUUCUCUUAACAGGGUUGGGUUGGGCAUGUGUCUUAGGGAUGAUGAUGGCGCUUUUGUACUUGCAAGAACAGAAUGGUUUGCCCCUAUUUGUGAUAUAGAUGUGGGGGAAGCUGUUGGACUACACACGGCUUUGGAUUGGCUCUCUAAUCAAAAAUUUGAUAAUGUAGAUUUUGUGCUGGAUUGUAAAAAGGUUGUUGAUUGUGUCAAUUCUAGUCUAGAAGAUAGUAGCGAGUUUGGAUGUAUUAUCACUGCUUGUAAACAGCUGCUAGUUGAUAGUUUUCAGAACUCUCAUGUUGAGUUCAGCCGGAGGCAAGCAAAUAGGGUAGCUCACGAGUUAGCUCAGGCAGCCCUAUCUAAUCCUAGCCCCCAUGUGAUUGAUGAUAUACCUACAUGUAUUUGGCAUAUUUUAUCUAAUGAAGUGCAAUGAUUUCCUUUCCUAAAAAAAAAAUGAAGAAUGGAGGGAGUAGUUUUGUCAUUGAAUAAUUAUGUGAACAAGACUCACGCAUUAGCCAAAAUAAUAUAUUAGAUGAGAACAAUUUUUUUGCACAUGAGAUAAUAAUAGUUUGGCUGUGUGAGAAAGAAAGAAAUACCGAGAGAAUAUAUAAAUGUUUAAGAAAUAAAAUAGGUUUUUUAUAAAAAAAAAAAGAAAUAAAAUAGGUUUGAUGUAUCGAUUGGUAUCCUAGAAGUAGAGGAAAGAUGAAGAAAGAAUUAAGAAGUGUCGAUAGUUUUUUAAAAUAUGAUAAUGCCCCUAAAUUAAAAAAGUUCUUCUACUUAAGCUAAUUUAAACUUUUUUUAAUUUAAUUAAUUAACCUUUCUUUUUUACAAUAAUUAAGUACUCCAUAAUUUCAGUGAUUACAUUAAUAUAACUAUUUAUUGAUUCAAAGUAUGUCAAAUAAUUCUAUAGAUUUUGGUUUGUUUAGUGUGAGAUACGAUUGACUUAAUUUCAAAGCACUCCAAUUUAUAGAAUUAUUGAGAAAUGUAAGUACUCUCAACUGUGCAUAAAUUAAUCAUCGGAUUAUUUAUUUUUCCUUCAAAAAUUCUCAAUUAACAAAAUUACUAUCAAUUUUUAUUGCAGCAUACAUAUACUUUAAAUGAAGAAAAAACAAUGUAAUAGUUGAAACUCAUGAAACCAAAAACAAUGUAAUAAUGAAAACUCUUGAAACCAAAAUUGUGAAAGUAUCUUUUUCAUAUUUGAAUUCACUGCAAAUUACGUGCAAGGCUAGCAGGUAUAAGAAAAGCAAACAAAUUCGUGCAAAUUGUGAAAUUACAGACCCAAAAGUGUUAUAAUUUUUUUUUGGUUGGUGAAAGAAAGAUAAAAAGUGCAAGUGGUAUAAUUCUUAAAUCAACUUAGUUAACUUAGUCAAUUCAUUAACACAAAAAGAAAAAUUAGUCCACUAUUUAAUUGUGAGAUUAUUAACAAUUGAGAAAAUAAAUUGAGAGGACUAAUUCAUGCCCGUCCAUUCAACGAAUAAAUUUUAAUCACUUACAUCAAUUUUUUAAUUGUGAGAUUAUUAAUCACUAUUGAAUGAAAAUACUCAUUCUAAAAUAAAUAUAAACAAAAGUGGUAGUUGUUUUUUGAAAAGUGGUAGUUGUUACCAUUCUCACUAUUUUAAUCACAUACAUCAAUUUUUUAAUUACCUUUUAUUUAUAUUGCAUUCCAAAGGGAGUAGGUAAGAUCAAUUAUUAAUAUGAAAAUUGAGAAUAAAUAAAUUUAAUGGUAAAAUUGAUAACAAUUGAAAGACCUUAGAGAAAAUAAAUUUAGAGGAUAAUUAUCAUCGAUUCAUUGUUUAAAAAAUAGUCUCGCAUUCAGUAAAAUGGUAUCAAAAGGAAAGUAAAUUAUGGACGUGGUUAUUUGUCAAUAUCAAGAAAAGAUGAAUGGAACCCACUUAUUGUAACUCUCUGCCUGCCUCUGGUACUCAUUUCAGUCUCAAUUAUUAGUAAUUUUCAUUUUUUAAAUUCAUUGUAUAAAUAAUAUAUGUGACCAUAAUAUAGAUCAUAUAUAUCAUUUAUUCAAUAUACUUAAAAAAAUGAAAAAUUGUCUGCUUGUCACAUUAACCAAAGUUUUACUAAUUUCUUAGAUCUAUGAAUAAGUUCUACAUUACUCUUUAUCAUCACUCACUUUGUUCCUCUCAAUCACCAUCCAAGACAAUAGUUUGUCUCAGUCAUGAAUUCUCAAAGAAAUGUUAGAUUGAUUACAUUAUCAAAAUAAAAGUGAGAAGUAGUACUAGCAAAUACAGAUGUGUAAACAAUAAGUCUCAAUAUAUUUUUCUUGCAAAUUAUUUUGUUUCCUUGGGCCCUUAUUAGGGUUUUGACCUAGCCACACAAAACCCAUCAAUCUCUCAUACAAUAAAUCUAAACCCUCCAAUCACUCAUCUACUAGCCGUCCGAUCAACCAUCUUUCAUUAUAUAACCAACCAUACAACUAUCUCAUUCACCAUCCGCCGUUACCAUCCACUUCUAUUCCUCUUGGCCCCUUUUCUAAAAUUAGGGUUUCUCAAUUAUUAGGGUUUUUCAAUUUUCUUAAUUUUUUUGUUCAAUUUUUGAAUUAGGCUUCACUAUCUGGUCGAUGUGGAUCAAUUCAAUUCCCAUUCAGACUCGUUCCCUUGAAGCAAUAUUAAUAUGUGUUGUUCCUUCAUUUCACUUCCAAAACCCCCUUUUUUGGUUUUGGGAGCAUGAAAGAACAACUAAAUUUUAAAAAAAAUCGUAUUUUUAUCAAUGGGUUUUCGUUUUUGAUUAAUUUGAGCAAAUGGGUUUUGCUAGUUAACUGUGAUGAGUCUUUAACAGACCUGUAAUGAAUUGCGGGUAUGAUCGCAUUUUUAUUGAACAUCUAAGGGACUGAGUUAACUAGUUAAUCUCCCAUUUUCUUAUUAAUUUUUGUUUUUAUUUUUUGUUAUAAUCCAUUUAGUGGCUUCAGAUUUUGAUUUUAAUUAUGCUUGCACCUAAUUUAUUGUGUUUGCAAUGUUCUAUGAAGCCUAUAAUUGUGUUCCCCUCGCUAUCCACUACUGCAAAUCUAAUGCUGUAUAUGGACGUCGGGGAACAAAAUUUCAAUUUUUUUUUACCAUGUGAUUAAAUGGUUUAAGCCGUUUUGAAUUAUUGCUUCUAGAUCUAUGUUUGUUUGUUAAUUUGAUUUGAAUUGUAGAUAAGGAUGAAGCAAUAUAUAUAAUCCAACACUUGAUCUGAUUUUGUGAUGCCAAAUAUAUUUAUUAUGUUUCUGAAUCUACAUUUUGGGCUAUAAUCGUAAUGUUUUGCUUGUAGGUUAAUUUAAUUUAUAUUUUGUAAAUAUUUGAGGAGUCUUAAUUUGCACUAUCAUGUGAUGAGUUUGGAAUAAAUCUUAGGACACCUUCCUACACAACAUAUGUUGUGGAUGAGAUGAAUUAUCCUUUCUGAUGAUGUUUACAAAUUUCUCAUUACUCUGUCACUAAGUUAUUUUCUAGCUACAUUUUAAUUUUUUAUGUGUUUGGCCUUCAUAAUCCCAGUUAAGAUUGAAUUUUUUUCAAGUGAUUACACUGAUUCAUGGAAGGCCAACAAUAAGUGUUGGAAGUUUCGCUGAUAAAUGCCUUUAAUUGAUUUUACAUCAGGGUGUUUACUAGUAACUUUACCGCACACUCAUUUCUAACUUUACCGCACACUCAUUUGGAAUAAAUCUUAGAUCAAAUACCCAGUUAGUAUUAGUGUGACUUAAUAUACGAUUGUUUUAUGGGUUUAUGAUGCAACUGGAAUUAGUCGGAAUUGUGACUGGAAUGAAAAGGUUAAUGUUAACAAAUAUGCGGCUGAUCUUGACCACUGUAUCUGGAUUCACUCUUUAAUUUCCUAGUACGGAGCAUUGGUUAAUUAAACAGUCUCAAGUUCAAGUACAUUUCAGUAUGGUUUCAAUGACGAAAAACUAGCAUGAUAUAAAAACCCUAAAACAAAUUCAAGUUAACCAACAAAUGCAAGACAAUACUAGAAAGAAGAAACUAGCAUUGCGAAAAACUUAGUGUGAAACAAGCUUAAGGCAGUAGAUGGUACUAGUUUAAAUUCAAGCAACAAUUACUAUCAUCUUACAAUACUAGAAACUGGCAUUGCUAGUUAUCAAGAGACAAGAGCAUCCACAAUGGGGCAUAUUUUUUGGUAUGGUGCACAAAUAGCAAAAUCACCAUUGAUUUAAUAUUUAAAAAUUCAACGGUCAGGAUUGCACACCUGGUAAUUGACUAGCAGGUAUUUCGUAAUAGUAUUCGAAAUUGCAGAAAUAUCCUAUGAAUUUAUGUAAUUAAAAUUAUAAAUUGUAGAAAUAAACCUUGAAAUUAAUGUAAUUAAAUUUGUAAUUUGAAAUUAAUAUAAUUAAUUAUUUCUGUUAAUAAAAAAAAAUUAUAUUUUUAAAUAAUCAAAGAAAAGUAUUUUAUAUUAGGCCUUUUUUUUUUCCCUUGUUAAAAAAAAUAUAUAAUUGUUGUUUUAUAAACAGAAUAAUGAAUAAUUUAUGGAUUUUUUUUUUAAAGACGAAGUCAUUAUUUAUUUAUUCCCCUUAAUUAUUCAUCUCUUCAAACAAAUAUUUGAGUUUUAAUAAGGUUUUAAUAAGCGAUGAACGAUGAAGAUGGUGACCGAUGAAAUGUGCGGUGAAUGCAGGUGUGCCAUCAUCGGCGUUUUGAGAUGGACGAUGACGAAGAUUAGGUUAUUUGAGUGGGUAUUCCGAACCGUUUUGAGGGCAAUAAGAUUGGGCUUUUUAGGUGGACCGGGCAAAAAUUAAUGGGUGACGGCCCAAAUAGAAGGUUCUGUUAAGGGUUGUUUUGAAUCUUAGCAUUGGUCGACGGCUGUGAAGAAAUUUGUAGGUUUGAAUUUUGAAAAUCUCUUCAUCGGCAGUGUCUUGUUGUAGCAGGUAACUUCAAUGUUUGAGUUAUAUUAUAAUCAUGUUAUUUACUAGAUGUUGUUGUUACUGCAGCGAUAUAAUUGAUCCGGAGUUGGAAGAAUUGAUGCCCAAUUUUGACUCACCUGCGGACGAAAAUCCAAGUGAAGAAGAAGUUGAUGGCCCAGUAUUUGCACAAUUACAAAAUUUUCAAAACGGUGAUCAUAUUUGGAUGUUGUUGGGAGUUUUUCUGGAUGGUUUUAAUUUUAUUUUUGCUGGAUUAUUUGCAUAUGGGCGCCUCUAUGGUUGGAAAGUAGUCAUUGUAUUUGUUUUGUAUGUGUAGGAUAAUUGAAAGUUGGAAUUGUUGUUGAUGAAAUGGACAAGAAUAUGAAUAUGAAGUUGUUGAUAAAGGAUAUUGGUUAGAGAAAUACGUUUCAAGUGGAUGGGUUGAGUUUGUUAGGGCAAAAGAACUCAAACAUGGAGAUUCGUUGAUCUUCAACAUUGAUAAUCUUCGACAACAAAUUAUUUGUAAAAGUCAUUAGGUGUGAUAGUUAGGUUGUACAAAUUAUUAUUAUGUUGCCAAUUUGGUUUGAUAUGCGAACACCAGUUUGAUUGCAACUAAACCGAUAACUACAUUGUACCCAGUUUAAAAACCUUAAAAAGCCACCAAUUAAUUGUUAAAGUCGCGACCACCGUAGUGGUGAAGUCAAGGGUACCACCGUAGUGGUGAAGUCGUGGUGAAGUCAAGGCUGGAAUAUAUCCAAACCGAAAAUAAGUUUCAACAUCCAAAAACAUAAUAAGGGCAUUAGAUGAUUACAUUUCAUAAAACAUAAUAACUAAUAUUUGGCUUCUUACUCCUUCAUCAUGCUCUUACUGGUGACGGAUAUGUCGAACAUACAUUUUUUUAGGCGGGUCCUCCAGUUGGAAUAACAAUUUGUCAUUCACCUUUAAACCACGGUCAACAACAAAUUGAAACCAUCCACCACCUAAACUCUUCUCAUGGUUCUUUCUUGGGGCUGUCCUAACCCAACAUUGAUAGGUCUUGCGUGUUUCCACAUCCUCCAUCGGCAUUCUCAAAUAUCUUUUUUUCAACACCUUUCUUGAUACUGAAUUUGGAAAAUGCUACAUGUACGAAGGAAACAAAAAAUUAACUUAUAUCAUCAUAGGGUUCAACUACCGAUGGUAGACAACAACAAAAAAAGAUACUUAGGUAUUUGUUUGUUUCACAUUAUUCAUGAAAUGAGUAAACCAUAAACCAUGAUUGGUAAAACAAAUGAAGAUAGAGAAAUAACAUAUAAUUGGAAAAAUAUUAUGAAGUUGACAUACCAGCACUUGAAGCUUUUUAAUGGAAGCCAAUGCUUUUGUGACAGUCUUCUCAAAGUGAUAGAAAUUAAGGUUUUCAGGUUCUUCUUCCUCAUGUUCUGCCUCCUCUUCCUCUUCAGUUUCGUCUUCCUCUACAGUUUCAUCUUCGUCUUCGUCUUCCUCUUCCUCCAUUUCGUUGUCAGAUACAAUCUGAAUUGGCUCCUCUUUAACACGUGUCGGGAAUACAUUUGGAACUAGGAUGUUUCCUAGUGGAGUCAAUCUAAAGAAGUUCUUUGCACCGUCAUAGUCUAGCCUAACUCUUGUUGGAACUUCGCAACCAAAUACCUUAGCAACCCUAACUCCCGGAGUCAUAUACACACCUACGUCAUCUUUUCCAAAAUGUGUUGUAAUGGUUAUCUCUUCAUCAUUUCUUAACAUUCCAGGAGCUUUUAGAUUGAAUUCUUUCUUAUUGUCCUUGUAGUACUGCUUUGGAAUACGUAUCCUCCCCUAAAUAAAAAAAAUAUUGUUAAGUGUGAAUCCGUGAAAAAUUAAUGUAUGUAAGGAUCGAGGUUUUUUUUACCUGUUCAGGCCAGAUGAUGGUCUCCAGAAUGUCACCUCUUAUACCUUCCUUCGACAUCCAUCUACAAUACAACAUAUGCAGAAGAAUUUAAUUUCAAAUUGUCACAAAAAUAGUACGUAAUGGAUAAAGUCGGAGUACAAAUACAACAAAUAUAUAUACACUUAGAAAGAUGAAAUUGUCAGAAACAAUGUUCAAAAUAAAUUAAAAUUGAGGCAGUCCAAAAGUGAAAGUAUGCAAGGAGACAAUUUAAAAUAUAAAAACGAGAAAAACAUCAGAAAAAUAUGCAUUGGACUUGGAUUUUUCACUAUUUGAAGGGGUGUAAAAAGAAGUUAUGGGCUUGUUUAAUAAAAGAAAAGAAACGGGUUGAUUGUAGCCCAAUAAUUCUUCCUCUCUAACCUAGAGAGUGAAAUGCAUAGUAGAGAAAGAAAAAAACCAGAACUUCAAAAAUGACCAUUUAAAAAAAACAGGCAAAAUUGGUAAAUAACAGAGGGAGAAUAAUAUGUUAGAGAACUGAUGAUGUGCAGUAAUGAAGAAGAAAUAUGUUUAUGUGUAGGAAAUUGGUGUAUAACUUAUGGGUAAUUUGGUAAAUAUAGAUGUCACUGAAAAGUUGAAGCUGCGUUUGCUUUGACGCAGAAGCUUGAACUUGUGGCUUCAAUCAAACCUGCGUUUGGACACUUCAUCAUGUUCUGCACAAUGACGUUUUCUUCUAUCCAAACACCACAGAAAAAACAAGACUCACGUUUAUAGAAGAAAACGCAGGUUUGGAACUUGUGGCUUCAAUCAAACCCGCGUUCGAAUCGAUCGAUCCUUUUUAUGUUUGUUUGAUAAAUCGGUUUUGAUAUUACAGAACUUGAGCGUUUUUGAUGCAAAUAAACUCUAAUGCCAUAAUAACCAUGAUAGUUGUGGAAUAGUUUACCUUGAUGUGUCGCCUUCCAUGAUGAUGGUGAAGUGGAUGAAGUGGUCCCGAAAGGUUUGUCUGCUUCUGAGAAAGGGGUUUGGUGGUAUGACAAUUGUGAAAGUGAUUGUUUGUGAGGAUAAAUGUCCUUAACAUAACAGCCACAUAAUUGAUUUCCAUUUUCCUUUUAAUUUUCCUCCAAAUAUUGACGUUACAACUCUCAAUAUUUGUGACAUUAUUUAUUUUUAAAAAAAUAUUGAUUUCCUUCUGAAAUUUUGAACUUCCAAACAAGAGAUCUACGAACAAGAUUGGAGGUUGGAGAUAACUAAUAAUAUUUGAGGUUAGAGAAGAAAAACAAAACAAGGAUGUAUGUGGUGUUUGAUGAACUUGGUAGGUAGAUCUUUGGAUCCGAAACAAGAUGAACUUUUUUUUUUUUUUGACGAAUAAACAAGAUGAACUUGGUAAUUGUUUCUUCAGAUCCAAAUUAUUUUGUAAUAUAAUCGGCUUUCCUUCAUUUAAUAUGCACACCUUUUUAAUAAAAACCAAUACAAAAACAUUUAUUAUUUCGGGGGCCAAAUGUGUAAUUGUCGAAAAUAUUGUGCUGUGUCUGAAAUAACAUUUAACACAAAAAUGGGGGUCAAUGUCAAAAAGUAUAUAAAACCUGCAAAACCGGCUAUCAUAUGUAUUUCCAAUUAUUUUCAUUUUUGUGCACCAUACCAAAAAAUAUGCCCUUGGGCAGGCUAGAUGCUACCCCACAAUGGUAGUUGCUUAAUGGAGAAUCCUUAAAUGGACUCUAUGUUAAUAAAAGUAAGGACUCAAUGAUUCCAAUGGAAAUAUACUAAUAUAGACUCCAAUGAAAAAUAUUUAAUCAGGUCUCACUAACUUUACAUCAUUAAACAAAAAUAAUUUAUUUAUUAAACCUCAUUUAUUUAUUGGUAUAAACUUAAAUUUCAGCCACAUAACAUUACAACUUUUACAUUCUUUCGUUAAAUAAUAAUAAUAACAACUAGUAUAGUGACCCGUGCCAGCACGGGGAAAUAAAAAACUUUUUUGAUCAUAAUUGUGGUUAUAAUUUAAAUUUGAUAAGAAAAAAACAUCAUCUUAAUUUUGUAUAUAUUUUGAAAUAUCUAAACAUUGCAUAUAACGAUAAAAGUAUUUGGAUUAUUAUACUUGUACUAAUUAUUUGUCGCAUAAGAUGCACUCAUUGUUAAACUUAGCAUAUGUAAUAUUUUUGCAAAAAUACGCCGAUGUACUGUAUAAUAAUAUUUGUUGACAAAAUGUAUUUUAUUAAUCAUAAAAACUAAAAAAUGUGUAUUUUUUUUAUAUAAUAGUUAGUGUCACAUGCAUACACGUAGUCGGUAAAUGCAAACGUUUGUUAUUUGUUUUUAAUUUUUACAAAACAAAUGGUCUAAUGUAAAUAUUGUAUUUUAGGAUAACAACGAUGUAAAAAAAAAAGAAUCCGCGACAAAGAAAUUGCAUGUCUAUAAUGAAAAGUACGCCUUACAAAGAAAUUAAAAAUAAAACGACUUCCAAACAAUAGGCAACUUUAGAUUUCUAAAUUAUAACAACAAGAAUUCUAAAACAUAACAAAUGAUCAUACUUUUUGAAAAACUUCAUGAUAUACAACAUUUGUGGUCUCCUUGUCUCCUUACAAACAUUAUUAUCCCUGGCUUAGGAAGAUAAACCCCCACUCGAGAUAAAGAUUGACCCUGGCUUUUAUUUAUUGUUACAAAACAAAGCGUCAAUGAAAAUUGCAUGCGCCUGAAUUUGAAGGGUAGUCCUGGAUCACUCGGAAUAAGAUUCAUCAUGGAAAUGAAUACCAUAGUACAGCUCUUUUUCCUGUAAUUACGGUAGCAGCUAUCGUGCUCUUCCCUAGGUGUAACUGACAACCUAGUACUAUUACACAGUCCAUUUGUUUGAUCGAUGUUUCUCAUCAGCAUAAUUGGACAUCCCACCCUUAGUUUCAAUCGGUGAUUUGGAAUUCCAGAGGUCUUAAUACCAUGAAGAAAUUCCAAAUGCGAGAUACACCAAACCUAAAAAUGUGAAAAACAACACAACCAACCCAUAUGCGAGAUGAGAAACCUUCUAAAUCCAUCAAGAGCUCUGGAAUUCCAGAUCUCUUAAUACCAUUAAUAAACUCGCAUUUGACUUUAUUAUUAUUAUUCUCCCUUCUAGGGGUUUCUUGACACAUUUCUCCUCUUUCAACUGAUUCAAUAUACCCCUUUUUUUUAUAUGACCUUUGAUUGUUUUGUGAAACUGAGAUUUGGUCGGUUAAACAUGCUUCAUAAUCCGUUAAGGGUUUAAUGUGAAUCAUCAUUGUCUCUGCAGCCCAUGCCACCAUCUUUAGUGGCUUUGUUUUCUAGGAUUGUAAGCUUCACCAUUUGGACGAUUUAGAUUGCGUUGGUGCGGUUUUGUUAUUCAAUUCAUUGUUUCAACUGUUGGUUUCCCUUCUUCGUAUUGGCUUCAGACUCUUUGGCUCGUAAGGGCGCUGACUUAGCGUUAUGGAUGUUUUUUUGUGUUUCAGUUCGUUUGAUGGCCGUUGAUUCUUGUUAAUGUCAUUUUCGUUAGAGUGGGUUGUUGGUUAGUGCAUGCUACAAUGUUUCAUUCAACAUGUUUUAGAGUUGGGUUUUGAUUUUUUGUGGUCGUCUUUAAUUUUGUGAUCCCAAACGUUCAUACACCACUUUUUUUUUUUUUGGAAUAUAGUUUCAUCCAUGUACGUGGGUCUGUUGGAUUGUGCUCGUGAUUAAUGUUCAUUUCUUCAUAUCCUGUUUUUACCCGUUUGCGAUGUAUGUUUAUUACCCAUUUGUGUUUGUUUUACUUUUGUGUAUUUUAGCACUGUUUCUAUUAGCAUCUAUGGUGUGUAGAUUUAUUGGGUCAGGUUUUGGUCCCCCAGUCAUUGUACUUCCUUUUUAUUUUAAUCUACUAUAUCCUUCGCUUGAAAAAGUUACACAAAAAAAUACAUCUUACAUACAAUUAACAUAUAUUUAAGUUAUUUGACAUAUAGGUCACCAUAUAUUUAAAGUAAAUUUAGUAUAAAUUAUAAAGCAGUAAUAAUAAUGUACCAUAUAAAAAUGCCAUUUGAUUUAAUAAAGUAUAGUUUAGGGACCUUGCAGUCGAUUCUAAUUUAGAGAUCAAGUUGGUGAGAGAGUGAUAGUUUAUGACUAAUUUUACUCUUUAUAUAUAUAUAUAUAUUCCUCAAAAAUUGGUCAUAGAUGACUCGCUGAAAACCAAAAUUGUGACGCUGUUUAAGCGAUUGGUUAUAAGAUAUUUCUCAACAUCGGUAUAAUAUCUUAAAGCUAAUGUUUGUAAUUUAUCAUUUGAUUUGCAUGUUUGGCGAGUAAAUCUCUUAGUUUGUCUGGGAUAACUCACUUAGUUUUUUUUUGUUAGAUGGGUUGGCUUUGUGAUAUAUCUGUAUGACUUUUUAUUUGUUACGACUUCAUGCAGACUAUGUUUUUAGAUAGUAACCAUAUAUGUUAAUUUCAUUUUGGAUUCUUCAAAAGGAAAAAAUAUAUUAGUAUAAUAGUAGUGAUUAGAUUUUACAUAAAAAGACAAAAGGGAGUUGACUUUGUAUAAUUAUUUCCAACUAAUCGAUGAAAAAUUUGAGUUUUUUUUUGUUUGAAAGAAGAAAAUGUUUUUUUUGUUUGUAUAAAAAAAGAAUAUAAUUUGGUUGCUUUUUGUGGAAUGAAUGCUAAGUGGUGAAUGAGAUUUAACAAUCAAGGUAAGAAAAUACACGUUCAUACGAUAGAAGCUCGUAAUAAUUAAUAUUGAAGAUAACAUGUCAUGAUGAGAUUAAAUAAAGAUAAUGUGAAAUCCUUAACACUUACAUUGUGUAUUUAAUGUUUUGGAAAAAAAAAUAUUAUGGAGCAAGGGUGAAGUGUCAUGUCACCAUGCUCUUUUUUUUACCGAACUUUGGUGUGUUGGAAAGUUGAGAGGAAAUACAUGAAAUGUUUUGCUUGUUAGAAAAGUUAUUUAUCCAUUAUCAACAAUUUCUCCACUUUUUCUUUUGCUAUUGUUUCAAGUAUAGUGGUAGAAUAUUAAACUACCAACAAUUGCAAUCCAUCAAUGUUGUUACCUCCACAUUGAAAUUGUAAUUAAUGGUUUUUAUUCAUUUAAGAUAUAAUUAACAUGUUUUUAAUAAAACGCUUCUUAGUUCCUUUAUAAUAAAUAACAUUAUCAAGACGAUAUAAUUGAUGUGCAAUUAAAUGGAAAAAUUAUUUCAUUACUCAUGAUAUUUAAAAUAAUAUAUUAUUUUCUCUAAAAAAAAAAAUGCAUUCUUUUCACUUUUUUUUUAUUACUUUCUUUCUUUUCAUUUUUUUUAUUACUUUCUUUCUUUACACUUUUAUAUGAUAGAAAAACAAUGUUACAAUUUCUCCUGUGUCGAAUCUCAAACCGAGUUUCUUGAGAUUGAAAAGAGAAACUCUCAACCAAAUGAUUUCUCGGAAGAUAUGCAAAUAAUGUUACAAUUUAAAAGUGACAUUAAUAAUUUUAAAUGAUAUAUGCUUUUCACUUUUAACUUCUUUUUUUUUUCUUCGUAAAUAUAUAUAUAUAUAUAUAUAUAUAUAUAUAUAUAUAUAUAUAUAUAUAUUUUGAUGAAACUUUGAAAUGUCGCUUUAUGAUUUUUCACAAAUUUUUCAGGAAUUACUAUUAUACAUUUAAAGUGAAAAUGACACGAUUCUUAUUGCCUUUUUCAACAAACAAUAUCAAACUUGGAUUUGAAAUAGAACACCAAAUUAGAAAUUCAAAUUAAAAAUGUAGUAUUUAAAUAUAAAAAAAUAUUCAUUUUGAAUUAUGGGGUUUUCAAAUUCAAUAUUUUGUUUUGUGAGUUAAUGGUAGUAAAUUUUUGACUUUUCAUAAUUUGUUUCCGAUUCAACAUCACUGCCAAUUGAGCAUAAAUUAAAUCCAUUCUCUUGCUUAAUACUCCUAUCAGACCAUAUACAUAUUAAAUUAACACACUCCAAAUAACAUUUGAAUCUAUUAGGCACCUACAAAUUAAACACAUGUAAAUUAUUUACCUUCUAUUUAGAUAGAUACACCUUAUCCCAACAUACCCAAUUAUUUUUUCUUUGUUCCAAACCUCCACUUUAAAGGAACCUUUUAUAAAUUUGAGCUACUUCUUUCGCAACCUUUAUUGGUGCCUUAAAGAAAGACAAAAUGAAAAGCGGUAAGCUACUUACACCGAAUUUACAAGGACCAACCUACCUCGUAUAAACAAAUAUUGACCCUUCCACCACAAAAGUUUCUUCUUCAAUAAAUUUAUUAUCAUAAUCAAUUUUUGUGUUAGCACCUAACGAAAUACUUAAAAGCAUAACUAACGACACACUAUCAAUGUUACAAGAAAGAAAAUAUAAUGCCACCUCCAUAAAGGGGUCAUCCAAAUAUUAAUUCGAAACUUUCCAAAAUAGUUUUGAUGCUCCACAAGUUUUCCCAUAAUCCGUCGUUAAUCAAUAUAGUAUCAUUUGCAUAUUGAAGUAUAUCGAAACAUUUUUUUAUGAAGAAACUAAAUUAGUUAAUUCAAAUUAGCAUCAUAGACAAUCGAACCAGAAACUUUAAGGGGAAACACACUCCGACGACUUAAGUCAACACCACUAGACCAAAGUAUAUCGAAACUUAAUUCAUUAUUUACCUUAAAACUUUUAAAAGCUUCAAUAUUUGUGUGUUAAUAUUACCAAAUUUUCCUUUGUUUGUGUGUGUAUUAAAUUUGACUUUUCAUAUUUCAAUGCAAGUUAGUAGUAUUAAUUAGGGUAUGUUAAUGAAAAAAAAAAUGUAUCUAAUAAUUUGAAAAGGGACUUACAUUUAGGGAUAAAAAGAAAAUCAAAUGGGUACCUAGAUAUAAGGACGGAGUGAGUAAUUACAAACAAUUAACAUGAGUUUCUUGUUAGAAUUAAGAUCGAUGGAUGCAAAAAACGAAAUUUAAGAAAGAAUUUUGAAUUACUCAUAGAAUUAAGAUUUGCAUCAAAUGGUAACGGAAAUCAAAGUCAUAUAUGCACUCUAAGUCGUGUCAUUUACAUCCAUGGUUUAGUAUGUUUUAGUUAUCUCGAGUCCUCAUUUUACAUUUAUUAUGAAUUCAAAUUCAAAUUUGAAUAAUAAUGUGUAGAAUAAUUAUAAAAUAUUUCAUUUAUUCACUUUAAUUUGACAUUUUCUUCGAUCGUAUAAAUUAUAAUGAGUGUUCUUAAUAUACGACGUGUUUAGACAAAUGGGUUCUAGUUAAUAAGCCGUUCAAGCGAGGUCGCCGGUAUAAAUGAGCAUAUUAGAAUUGCCUAUAUAAUUUCUCCAUCGUUUUUUAGAAGCACCUCUAAUUUUUUUUCGCAUGUAUUAAAAAAAUUGGUUUGUAAAUUUAAUGUGUACAUUUCAUACGUAAAAUUUAAUAAUACCCUUUGUAUUAUUUUUAAAGGAAAAUACCCAUUGUAUCUUUAACUUUCAUAUUUUAUUUGGGUAAUGAAUUCUUGCAUUAUUUAUGUUCAGAAAAAAAAAAAAAAAAGGGACAGCUUUGAUGAAAAAAAAAAGCACCUAGUUUUUUGCAAAUGAGCUCAUAAUUAUAUUUAGAGUAAAAAAAUUAUUCAAGUAGAACUUAUUAUUAAAGAGGGAUUAAGUUUCACCCAAACAUUGAAUCGCAUAUAUUCUAAAAUAACAUCUGUUUAAUACAUUAAAUUCCAUUUUGAUAGGUACAAAUCCUGUGCAACAAAUUCAGAUAUCAGAUGGUCUCAAUGUGCAACCAAUUCAGAUACUCACCUCUGAUUUGGCUGAGCAACACAGAGAGGAACAACAGAGUGACAAAUAUCUUGAUUUACGCAUUGUUGGUCAUUGGAGUGAUGUUGUCACCAAUCUAGACUACACUCAAGGUUCCUCGUCAUUGUGUGGCACACUUUCCUCAAGAAUUGAGGUUUUAAACCAAACGUCGCUCAUGAAUUGGAGAUUUUGCGGCCACAUUUCUUGAAGGGUAAUGAUGAUAGGAACUUUGUGCCUCAACUUUACACUGAUGAAGAAGAAAGAGAGGCCGCUAUCAAUUAUCUGAGGAACCGCACUGCUGCUUCGGAAGAGCCCUACAUUGAGGUGGCGUCUCGAUCCACAAAGAAAAAGAAGCAGAAGGGUUUUCGGAUUCACAAUACUCGCUCCGCAAGUAGGUUACCAGAUUGAUUCAUGAGCUUUCUAUGAGUUACUUUCCUUGUUCUUGUUCUUGUUUGUUUUCUUUUCCCCUUUGUUUGUAUGCUUUUAUUUUCUUGUUCUUUUUAAGUUUGGCAUUUGGCCCCUGUUUUUUGUUGCCUUUAUCAUUUGAGAAGGUUUUGGUUAGGUCCCCCUUCUCCUUUUGUCCUUGUUUCUUUUUAUGUUUAUAUAUCUAGGGUGUUGCAGUUGAUUCUUCAUCUGCGCCCCUUUUGUUUGUUUAAAAAAAAAAAAAAAAAUCUAUUAUGAUUUGUUAAAAAAAAAGUUUGAUAUGUUUAAAUACACAUGUCUGGAUUAUAAAUUAAAAUAAAAAGAUUAUCAUUUUCUUUGUAUGUUAUACAUAAUAUUAAAUGAGCUUUGUAACAAAAAAGAUGUAUUAAUUGCUUUAAAAAAAAUGUAUUAAAAUGAGAUAACAGAAAAAAGAAAUGAAAUGAAAGGUAGUAUUAUUAAAAUCAUUGCAAAAUAAAACUUGUCAAUCACCAUAUAAUUAUAAAAAGCACAAGGUAUUUUUUCUUGGUCACAAGACCAAAUCAAUAAUGUUUGGAUACGCGCACAUAAAAAAUUCUCUUUAAAAUAUUCAAUCAUCUUUUUUAUCAAUUUCCUCCUUCUUAUUAAAAAAUACAUAAGAUUUGCAUCAACAACGUUACUCAUAGAAUACAUUUUUCCCUUUGCAUCAUACUCUUGAUACACAAGAUAUAUACAUCAAAUUCAGUUUACAAUAGCAAGAAUUGGCAAAAUUCUCAAACAUGUAGCGCUGCUAAUGCUGGAUUCGACCUGUAAAUCAAAGUUUGGCAAAAAUGUUAAUCAAAGUUCAGCAAAUAAUAGCAAGAAUUAUACACCCCUAACAUGACAAUUAAAAAAAUGAUUAAUAAGAAGUCUACAAAUUCAUCCAUUAGAUCGAUUAGAAUUAAAACGAAAUCAAUGUAUAUUAUAAUUUUUAAAAAUGAUUAGUAAGAAGUAAGAAUGGAAGAUUGUGUUGUACCAACAAAAAAAAGAAGGAGAUAUUAUCACUUCACAAAUAAAUCAAAACAAAACUUCUACAAAAAAAAAAUCAAAACAAAACAAUAGGAACAAUCAAUCACCUUUGAUUCUCUCACAUGAUUAAUUUUAGAAAUUAAACCUUUUAUGAAAUGAGAGCAUGAUAAACAAUAAAAGAAUAAGAAAACAAAACCGAUUUAACAAACCAAGAAAAUACUGGUUUACUAACGACACUCUCAAAUACUAUUUGUGUUGAAUUUUGAAAGUAGUGUUAGUGAAAAGCAUGAGUCUCAAGACGAUUAUUUAUAGCCAAAGAAAUCAAAUAAUCACAACAUAAUUAACUUUGAUUGGUAGAAAAUUAAAAUAAAUGACAAAUGAUUGGUUGAAAUAGCAAACAAUGAUGCUAAUAUAAAAAAUGACCGAGCAAACUAAUGGGUAUGAUUAUAGGCUUAUUAACAAUAUUGAUUAUCAUUUAAAUCCUAUAAAGAAAGGAUAACUAUUUAUUGGAAUUUACAAAUUAGUUGGCCGGAAUCAAUGGAAUUUGGAAUAACUUUGUUUUGCUCGAUCAAUAGUUUAUGGACCAAUUUUAAUGUACUGUUCAUUAUACAAAGAAUGUUUAUAUAUUUUUUAAAGAAAAACUAUUAUUUUUUAUUAAUAAACCUAAAAAAACUAUAUUUUAGAAAGACACAUGAUUAAAAUAACUGAAUGAUUUCAGAAACAUUUUCAAUAGACAGUUUGUCCUUGUUCAUAUCCCUAACAAACCAAAGUUGAAUGACUCGAACCAUGAUAUUCCAAUUUUCUUUCGAAGGGGAAAUAUCAGAAACAUAAUUGAUUUUUUGAACCAUUUGAAGUGUAAAGAGAGAUACGAAAUCGAAAGAAAGAAAAAUGGAGAAUUGAAAUUCUGAUGUGAAGAAAGUGUUAGCCAAGAUGUCUAAUUUAUAGUAUAUUUUACAGGAUAAUUUCGUAAAAUAUUCACAUUCAACUCGACAAUUCAUAUUUAAAUUUAUAUCUUAGUCAUUAAGUAAUACAUUUUUUUUUUGUGAAGCAGCGUAAUUAACUUUUUCAAUCAGCCCAUGACUUAAGGUUUAUUUUAGCAAGUCCGUUAAAUACAAUUAACUGAAAUCAUAUUUUUGAUAUUCUUUGUCAAUCAUCCAUUUAUGAUAUUCUUUGACUAAUGAACUUAAUGAUACGUAUUUAAUUCCAAUUAAUUUUUUUGAGGUUAAUUUUUAAUUCCAAUUAAUCAGCUUCAAUUCCCUUUUUUUUUUUUCUGUCCUAAAAUAAAAAUAGCACAUUUCAAUGAAAUUUAUUGAAAAGAAAGAACAGUUUAAUAAAAACCUUAUCAAUCAGCCCAUGAUUAUUGUUUUUGAUAUUCUUUGCCAAUCAACCAUCUAUAUAAUAUAAAUUUAGGAAAUAGAAUAUCAUAAAAAAAUAAUAAGUUUGCAAUUAAUGGAAAUAGAAUAAAGUAAAUUUUAAUGAGCAAUAAACACCGAAAAUUGAAAUAGAGCAGGAUGAAAGUUAUUACUCAAUUUGGUGUUUAGAGUAAUUAAAAUGGGAAAAUAUCAUAGCAAUGGAAAUAGCAUUUAAUGAGCAAUUAAAUUUUUAUCACUAAAAAAAAAAAAUGACAUAGAGCAACACACUUAAUAAGAAAUUUAAUUGAAACGCUAUUUUGUUAAAAAAAAAAAAAAUUUGUCUAAUACCAUUAAUAUCAUUAUUACGAAAAUAAAAAGUAAGAAAUGUCUAACAUUAUUUGGUGUUUUUUUUUAAUAAACACUAUUAUGCGUUAUUAUUAAUAAAAAACAAAUUUGAAUAAUUCAAUCGAUUGUUUUAUUUUAAUCUUUGAAUUCAAAUAUUUUAAUUCAAAACUAUCUUUUUUGAAAGAAUUUUAAUUUAAACUAUUUGAUUAUUAAAAAAAAUUAUUUGAUUCAAAUUUGUACUUUUUGAAUUCGAAAUGUUUGAUUUCUUCUAAUAUAAAUUCAAGUAAUAGAAUUUGAUAUUGUAAAACUUCCUUUUAUACAUGAACAUUAAAUACAAAUAUGUAAGGAUGAUUGUGGUGAGAGCAUUUUGUGAGGAUCAAUAUGGUGAGAGUAUUUGUAAAAAAGAAAGGGACAUGUGGCAACACCAAAACAAUAGUAAUUCAUUUCCAUAAAAGUCUAUGAAAUAUGUCCUAAAUUUAUAUUAUAUAGAUUCAUUUUUUAGACAUAAUUUAAAAGUACCUAAAUUAGAGUUAUUUUAUUUGCCAAUAUACGACGACUGUGACCGGGUGAGUGCUCUCAAGUUGAGAACUGGUAUAUAAUAUUAUCUUAAUUUAUUUCUCCUAAAAACAUUUAUUCAUUUUAUAUAUUUAUAAUUUAAUUGAGAAUAAUUAUUAUACUCCAAACAAUCUUUAUCUCUAUUAUAAAAAUUUGGCUUCAUGAUUUUAAAAUGUACGUGUGUCACUUCUCCAUUCUAAUGAGCAUCAAUGUCUAAUCCUUCUCAUAAAAAUUGUUUACACAUAUGAUCCAUUUCACAAGACAAUGUCAAUGUAAUUUAGCAUUAAUCAUAGGGAAUAAAAAGAAAUAAAAUCUCCACAAUUUUUAUUUUGAAUUGAAACAAUAUCUACCAUACUAAUUGAUUACCUUAAAUUAUAUCUUUUCAAAAAAAUAAAAAAUGAUCUUAACUCUAUUAUGUUACAGAGACAAAAAAUUAACAUGGUAAAAAAAAAAACAAAAAAAAUUCAAUUGCCACAAAAAUGAUAUGAACGAAAAAAUUGGUUUAAUGGUAUGUCAAAAAUAAUAAUUCUUAACGGUAUCAAAAAACAAAUAAGCCAAUUAAAUAUAAUAUAAAGACUAAUAUUAUAUAUUUGUAUUAUACAAUUCAUUUUCUAAUGGAGGAAACAUAAGUAUUUGAUUGAUUGCAUUUUUAAAAAAAAAUACGUCUCAAUAUUUAAUAGAAAUUAAUGUCUCAAUUUAAAUACAUAUUAUAUCAGUUUCUAAUUUAACCCUUAAAAAAAUCAGUUUCUAAUUUAAAUGCAUAUAUUAUCUCAAUCAAUUAUGUUUAAUGGUAUGAAACAAAUAAGUAUAAAUUUUUAAAUGUUUUUAAAAAUAAGUAAGCCUAUUAAUUCUGUUUAAUAGUAUACGUUUGCAAAACAAAAAAAAUCAACUGUAUAUCUACUUAUAUAGUAUAUGUUUGUAAAUGUUUUUUUCCAACGGUUUUGUAUAUGUAUUUUACCAAAGGUAUAUUUCUACAAAUAAGUAAACCAAUCAAAUUUUAUAACGUCGUCACAUUUUAACACUUCAACCAAUAACAAUGUAGCAUGUGGCAUCUUUUAUCUAAUAAUCCAAUCAGAAUACGUUGUUUUGUUUAUUUGCAUCAUAUUUUUUAUUUAAUCAAAUUGCACUUUACUUAUACCAUUUAUCUACAUAUGCUUUAUGUUUCUUCAAUCAUUCCAUCUUCCUAUUUCUCUUCCAUAUAGCGUUGUCAAACUCUUAAAAAAAUUAUCGUGGUACCAAAAUAUAAUUACAUCUAUCAUAUCAACCCGAUCAAAGUUGGUUCCACCCUAUUUUUCAUCAUGGUGCCUAUAAAUAUUGCUACAACUGACUUCUUUAAAUCUCGCAUAUUUUUCUUUGGUUCUUAAUUCUUCUGAGUUUGCAUUAUAUUAAAAACCAUCAUUUUAUGUUCAAACAUCUUUCUCCCUUCAAAAAAAAAAAUGUUCAAACAUCUUUCUAUCUCUCUAUAUGUUUCAGACUAUGUCUCUUUUUUGUUCAAUUUUCUUCUUUUUUUAGAAAGGAGUGAAAUAUGUUGAUUGUUCUUCGACCAAUUAUUUUUUGGGUUUGUCUAAAUUUUAUUGAUUUGUUCUAUUUUUUUCCAGUUAUUUAAAUUCAUUCAAAAAAUAGAAGCACGAGACUACAAUACAAGGAUUGAAGUUCAACACUAUAAAGAAUAUUCUUUUUAGGGGCACCGCAAAUAUUUUAGAGUUGUAUAUUUUACAGAACUAAUAAGUUGUAUAACAUCUCAUAAAUAUUUGUAUAUGUAUACAUACAAAGUUGUAUAUCUUAAUGAAUGCAUACGUUGUAGAGUUGUAUAUUUCCAAUCGGACAACAAAAUAUUGAAUGCUUUUGCUAUUAAUUUUUUUUGGGUGUUCAAAGAACUCUGAUCUACAAAUUUAAGGAGUUAAGGAAGGAAAAAGUCUAUUCUGAGUAACUUUGGUGUUGCUACAAAUCUUGGAUCUUAUUGGACAAAAAAAACAAGACAAAUUUUGAUUAUUAAAUGUUUGCUUAAACGGAACAUAGCAAUAGCCAAAUAAAGCCAGAAGGAUGCACAACAUGCUAAAAACUAUGGGAUUGUGUGGUGGUUUCAUUCAAGGAGCUUUUUUCCCGUUUCUUUCAUGAGAAAGUAAGGAUUAAACGAAUGACAUCAAAAAAUGAAGAAAACAAUUCGUCGUAAUGACAAGACUUCUCAUGAGCCUAAAUUGAGUUGGAUAAUCAUAUUAUACUAAGAGAAAUUGCACAAGUGAGAUUAACAUCACACCUUCAUCCAAAUUCUAAAGGCAUUAGAUACAAGGGCAAUCUCACUAUAUGUUUUCCACUUUCUAAUAUUGCAUGCAAUCUGGAACUUUAACUAAUAUAACACAUAUUAACAUCUCUUCCUUUACGUGUUAGACUCUUCGCAUCGGUGAUUUUGUAAUAUAGCCAAAUAAAAUCAGAUGAAGUCAUUUGAUGGUAAAAAAAAAAGGUGGGUUGAUGGUGAUUUAAUACAUGGGGAUUUACGUUCUUUUAUUUCAUGAGAAGUUAGAAAAUAAAUUAGAAAAGGAAAGAAGAUAAAAAAAAUAAUUUGAACAUGAGAGAAAUAAUAAGAGAAAAAUAUGUAAUGUGGGUUUUAUCGGUGAUAGUAUAUAAUAGUUUGAGUUACCGGUAAUUAUAUGGUUUUGUUGAAGAAGUUGAAUAUUUUUGGGUUAGUAUUACCAAAGAGUAUGACUUUAUUAAAAAAACAUCACAUCAUUUUAAAAUGUCUAAUAAACAUAUAUUUUAUAAACUCAUCAUAACUCAUCUGGAUUUUCCAUUGUCACAUCCCCCAAAGACUAGAAGUGAAGGAAUUUAUAAUAAUGGAGGUUGACUACAAAAAUACAAUGAAAGCUAAUGACAUCCGACAACAAAGUUUUACAGAAAAAAGGUUAAUUAAAAAAAUAUUGCAUAUAAAUAAGAUUUUUUUUUGGUUUUAGUCCAUAGAAAUAAGUCACAUUUUUAAUCGUUGUAACAUUUUCCUUUGAACAUUUUAUAGCCCAAAUUGUUGACGGAAAAUUUUACAGUGACUAAAAAUAAUGCUGACAGAAUAAUUUUACAAGGGCCAAGAUGUGCGAUUUAUUUUUGUAGAAAUUAAAAAUGAAAUUCUUCAAUUUUUUUUUUUGGUACAAAGAAAUUCUUGAUAUUUAUAGAGACCUUUUAGCUAAUUAACUCUUCAAAAAAUAGCAAAUAACAUCGAAAAACCGACAAAAUAGUUCAUCAUAAUGUUGAGUCUACAAAGGAAGCCUAGAAUUGGUCGAAAUAUCACAUUAUGAUAAUAGCAAUCACACAAGUGAGACUAACACCACAUCUACGCUUAAAAUGUAUAAUAGAGUAGUGCUAGCACACUCUCUUUUGAACACUCUCUCUAAUACUCACUUUCUUAUUGGUUUAAAUCAUUGCGGAUCUACACUUUGGAGAUAGAACUCGCAUAAAGUGGUGAGACAUACAUUGAUUUCAUCCAAUAAAAUAGUGAGUGCUAAAGAGAGUGUGCAAAAGUGAAUGUUGCUAGCAUUCAACAUUUAAUUUGUCAACUCAGUAUUACGCGUCUACAAUUUUAUAAUCUAUAAAAUACUAAAGAUUGACUAAAAAAAUAAGUAAAAUUUUUAAACAACGGGCAUCUAAAAUAAAUAAAAUAGUUUAUCAUAAUGUUGUGACUUUCAGGGGAACAUAAACUGAGUUGAACAAUCACAUUACAUCAAUAGAAACCAUAAAGUGAGACGAACACCACAUGUUCAGUUAAAACCUUAAAGCAUUAUGUAUGAGUCAUCUCACUUAUAUUAUUCUUACCACAUACUCACUCAUAUAUGACAAAUUAACUUCUCUCUUAAAUGUGAGACUCUUUACAUCUGCAAUCUGGUAACAUAACCAAAUAAAGUUAUACUUAGUCACAACAUUGUAAAAAAAAAAAAAAAAGACUUGCGGUGAUUUUAUGAAGAGAUGUUUCUAUUCCUCUCAUUCAUGUGAACAAAGAAACUAAACCAGAAAAAGAAAUAAGAUGAAAAAGAAAUUUUAACUUGAGAGAAAUGGUUAUGAAAAAAAAAAAAAAAAAGGAGUGUGUGCUUUGACCGUGAGAGUAUAUGGAAUAUUGUUUGUUGCUGGUAAUUUUAUGGGUUUCUUGAAGAAUUUAGAGUAAUUAAUAUACCAAAAAUUAGACUCAAAUUUAAAAUUUUAAAUAAGCGUGUAUAUUGUCAACUUAGCAAAACGGCAUAUGCAUUUUUCCAUUGUGAAGUUCUACCAAAGACAAAAAAUGAAGGAAUUUGAAAUAAGUGAGGUUGAAUAAAAAAAUAGCAUGAAAAUGAACGAUCUCCAAUAACUAAAAUUUAACAUACAAAAAUUAAAUAAAUGAGACCCACCAGCUAACAAAUAAUUCAUCAUAACUUUGGGACUUCCAAGGGAUCCUAUCUUGAGUUUUAUCACCACAUUAGACCAAGAAAAAAUACACAAGUGAAAUUGAUAUCCUUCCAUCUCACUUAUAUGUUGUUCAAAAUUUAUCAUUUCAUCCAAUAUAAAUUUUUAACUCAUACUUGACACAUUAACACCUCUUAUUCAAAUUUGCAACUCUCCUGUUCAUAAUUACGUGAUAUAGUCAAAUAAGAUCAAAGGAAGAUACAAUAUGUUUAAAAAAGUUUGUUGGCGAUGGUUUCAUUACAAGUGGUUUAUGUUCCUUUCGUACAUGGGAAGGGGGGAAAAAAUAGAAGGAAAUCAAUUGAAUGUAUUUCAUGACCGUCUUUUCACUAGUUUAUAUAAGAAAUGUACUAAUAGAUUCGACGAUAAUUUGAUGAGUUAAAAACACAUGACUUAUCAUAUCUGUUUAAUUCACGUGACAAUACAUUAUUAAAUGUAUUUGUAAAACUUUUGUACAUUGAUGUAUAUAAGUUAAGGAAAAUGUUGGUGAGUACCUAAAAGCAUUCUUUAAGAGUUUAAAAUAGUAAGUUUAUAUGAAAAAUUUGAGUAAUGCAUUGAAAAUUUAAAUGUUUAACCUUUUAAAUAUAUGCAUUGAAUUCUUCAAAAAUAUAUAUAUGCAUUGAAUUAAUUUCUUUAUUUAAAAUUCUUAAAGAGUGUCCUAAGGACACUCGUUAGCAAGACCGUGAAUUAAACUCUCUAUUAGUUGUUCCAUAAGUGUAGCUCAGUUGGUAGCUAUCAGAGAUAAUUUAUGCAGGGGCCGGGGUUCGAACCCCGAAUUCGCCACUUCUCCACACAUAAUAUGUGUGAAUCUAGCCACUAAACUACUUGAUCAAAAAAAAAAAAAAAACUCUAUUUGUUUCACAUUAGUCAUUUAAGUUAUACAAUGAAAAAUAACUUGGUUGAAGAAAGAGAGAUGAUGAGUUUUUUUUAUUAUUAUAAGUUUUUAUAUAUUUUAUCGAUUUAGAUCUGUCACGUCAGAUGUUACAAACCUUAAAUUUAGAGGACCACAAACGUAGUUUAGUCUUUAUUAAUAAAUAACUUACUGAAUUAGUUUUCGUUAUUGCUUCCUCAAUAUUCUUUGAAUUCAUACUUCAUAGGUUGACAGUGGCGGAGCCACGUUCACCUCAGGGGAUGCACAUGCACCUCCUCACUAUUAUAAUUUUGCACCUACUAUGCUAUUAUAUUUUUAUGUUGAAUCCCCUCAAUUUUCUAUUUUGCACCUCCUUUGCAUCUGACUUUAAAAUAUGUUCGUAGAUUUAGGCACACAUCUUUUUUCUAUUGGAUUUAUUUAUGUGCUGGCCUGCUGGAACCCGCCAUUAGUUAUUACCGAUGCAAUUCAGCUUUUCUUGUCGACUAUAUUUACCUUCUUCUUAUUAUUAUAUGGGUUUUUCCAUCAUGUAAUUUGCACAUGUUAAGAAGUUUAAAGUAGUAACUUUAACUUGGAACUUGUGUUUUUUAUAUUAAAUAUGUAGCUUUUAAUCAAUAAUUGUUGGUUUUUAAUGAAAAAUGACUACUUUUAGUUAUCUUAACAUGUGCAAUAUUGCACAUGUUAGACAAACCCUUAUUAUUAUAUUAUAAUAAUUAUUUACUGAAAUACCAAGAUUGAAUCUCCUGCUAUUGAAUUUAACAAGAUAUACCACCAAGCCCAUACGAAUCAGAUUGGUUGAUGCGCGCAAGUGUUAUUUAUAACUCAUAUUUCAUAAAAAACUUUUAUUACCUUGUUAAAAAACUUUUUCUUUUCUAAAUUAUUCAUGAUAUUACUUUUCUAUAUUAUUGGUGAUUGAUGAUAUUACUUUUCUAAAUGUUAAAUGGUAAAUAUUAGAAUUUACGGUUAGUGUAAGAAAUUUAAAAAAUUUAUAUGUUAAUAUAACAACUUUUGAAGUUAGCCAUGAUCAUUUUUAUGUUAUGAAGAUUGUAAAGACUAUGUUGUGUAAUCAAAUGGAAGCAAUGGGAUGUAUUACACCACAAAAAAAAAAAAAAUAAGGAGGUAAUGGAUGACCGAUUAUUAUCUCAUGACUUAUAUUGAGAGAUGAGUUUGAUAACAUGAAUAAUAGGUUGAUAAACCGCAUUUGGGACCAAAAAAAAAAUCGAUAAACCACAUAAUGAAAAAUUGUAUAAUGUUUUUAAUUUUGAUUACAAUUUUUUUAUGAAGGAUUACAAUUUUUAAUCAGUUGGUAGAGACAAUGCAUAAUAUACGCAAGGUCCGGGGUUCGAACUUCAACCACCAAAAAAAAAAAAAAAAACAUCUAAAUUCGUGGCUUGAACCCCCUGGUCCAGGGUCCUGGCAACGCCAGUGGGUUCACCAUAAGCCAGCUGCUUAAACUUUCAGAGCCUAUUGUACAGUACAGUUUAUAAUCUUCUUCUCUUUUCAUCUGUUGCGUUUUUUAAAUAUGACAGAGGCCUUACUUGGUGUUGCAUUUGAGAAUUUAUUGUCUCUUGUUCAAAGUGAAUGUUCAACCAUUUCCUGAAUCAAGUUUAAUGCUCAAAAGCUAUCAACCACCUUAGAUCUUAUCAAGGUUGUUCUUGAAGAUGUUGAGCAUAAGCAAGUCUCAGACCGCUCUAUUAAGAUAUGGCUUCAACAAAUCAAAGAUGAUAUAUAUGUGCUUGAUGAUAUCCUUGAUGAGUGCUUGAUCGAGUCUGGUCGAAUUAGAGGCUCAUCCUCUUUCAAACCAAAGAACAUUGUAUUUCGCCAUGAGAUCAAUAGGUUGAAAGAAAUUACCAGAAGAUUAGAUAAGAUUGCUGAAAAUAAGAACAAAUUUCAUCUAAGAGAGGGUAGAUGACUUAGGGAAAGGCCACAUGAAGUAGCUGAAUGACGCCAAACCAGCUUUGUUAUUGCUGAACCAAAAUUGUAUCGGUGAGAAGAUGACAAUGUUAGCGGCCAACUCUCGGGAGGGAUUUAGUCCCACAUCGGAUAGAUAGGAUUCUUGAGAAGAGUUUAUAAAGAGGAGGAACUCCUCACCGUACAAGUCGGUUUUGUAUGGAUCAGUUAGGCCUCGAUAUUCGUGACAUGGUAUCAAAGCCUAUCGGGUCCAUCGUUGGGCUUGCAUCGUCCACGCUUCAGGCCCGUUGGGACCGCGAUGAAGUGUGAGGGGGUGUGUUAGAGGCCAACACUUGAGGCGAUUUAGUCCCACAUUGAAUAGAUAUGAUUCUUGAGAAGAGUAUAUAAAGAGGAGGCACUCCUCACCGUACAAGCCGGUUUUGCAAGGAUAUGAGUUAGGCCUCGAUAUUCGUUACAGACAAAGAUAAGAUUGUCAAGUUUCUUCUCACCCAAGCGAGGGACACUGACUUCCUUUCCAUCUAUCCCAUAGUUGGUUUAGGAGGUAUUGGAAAAACAACUAUUGUUCGAUUGAUCCACGAUGAUAUUAGGGUGAGUGGAAAUUUUAAUAUAAUAAUUUGGGUUUGUGUAUAUGAGACUUUCUCUCUCAAUAGGAUUGUGUGUUCUAUUAUAGAACCUAUCAUAAGAGAGAAGUGGGAUGGCUUCAAUUUAGAUGUAAGGUAAAAUAUAUUUGUUGAUUUUGGACGAGUGUGGAACAAAAAUCAAAAACUAGAAUUCGGAUUAUGCCAAGAGAAAUGGAAUAUGUUGAAAUAUGUGUUGUCGUGUGUAUCCAAAGGUAGUUUCAUUUUUGCGUCCACUCCUGAUGAGGUUGUUGCGACAAUCAUGGGAACUUGUAAAACUCAUCCUUGUUCAAACAAUAUGUUGGGAAAAAUCCAAGUCCCACAUCGGAUAGAUAAGACUCUGAAUUAGAGUUUAUAUAGAGGAGGCAAUCCUCACCUUACAAACCGGUUUUGUAAGGAUGAGUUAGGAGUGAUGAAGUAGUGAUAAAAAAAAAAGAAAAAGGAAUGACUUGAAAUUAAAGAGAGCGAACUUUGGGUUUUACAACAUAAUGAUUAUAGUUUGUCUGAUUUGAGGUUGAGCUACUUUCAUUUAACUCCAACCUUAAAGCAGUGUUUUGCUUUUUGUGCCGUGAAGGAAUAAUUGUUUUAUCUCUAGAUGGCUGAUGGAUUUAUUUCAUCUAGGCGUAAUUUGGAGGUCCUAGAUGUUGCUAGCAUGGCUUGGAAUGGAUUGUGCCAAAAACCAUUCUUUGAAGACAUCAAGAUCUAUGAAUAUUCUAAAGACAUUUCUUUAAAGACGCGUGAUCUUUUCAAUGAUCUUGCUCAAUCAAUACUGGAGCAACAAUAUAUGUAUCUGGAGAAUGCAAACAUGACUAGUUUGACAAAAAGCACCCAUCACAUAAGUUUUGACUCCAAUAAUUUGUUAUCAAUCGAUGACGGUGCCUUCAAAAAAGUUGAAUCCUUGCGAACAUUGUAUGACUUAUAAAAAUAUAUUCCACAUAAGAACCUAUAUUGCAUUUUCUUAGGUGCAUAUUUUAGCUAUGACAUUUCUUAACAAUGUUUUGUAGAGAAACCUAUGUUGCAUUUUUUAGUUCGUUUUAGUAACUUUUUGAUUUCGUAUUGUUUAGAAGGGACCUUAUAGCCACUUCGAGUACAUCGAAGCAGCUUUUAAAACUUGACAAAUUAACGAGGUAGAGCAUGUGAUAUGGGAAACAAAGUUUGUAUAUGUUGAUAUGUAAACUAAUGAAAUAGAUGUCUAAUUGAUUUUCUAUUUGGGACUCGAGAGUUUCAUAUCUUAAUUAUGUGUAUGCACAAACGAUGUAGAUGCAAUACAAGAAUGAUAUUAGAGGUCCACAUAGCAAUAAAAUUAAUUAAUGAAAAUAUUAUAACUAUUCUCAUCUAUACUAUAUAUAUAAAGAAAAUAGUGUGUUGUAUUUUUUUUCUGACUUUUUCUCUUUUUAAAAUAACCAUCAACUUUCAAUAUAAAUAACAACUAUAACAAAUUGAUAAGAGUAAAUGAAGUAUAACAAACACGAUGAGUGUAAAUAUGUUCAGUUUUUUUCUUUUAUCCUUUAAAGGCGUAACAGACUAGAUAAGUAUAUUUAUACUUACUUUUUCAUUAUCCCAAUUAUACACUUAUACAAUGUUUUCUAUAAUAAAGAUUGUUGUUGGUUUUAUUAAAAAAAAAAAAAAAGAAUUUAGAUUAUAUUUUUUUAAAAAAAAUUAGAUUAUAUUUUUUUGUUAUAUUGUUGAUGUCAUUGAAAUGGAUAGUCGUGAUUAGUUUGAUUUGUUAUAAUUUGAAAUUAAAAAGAAUUUAUAUUUUUACUUUUAAUCAAAAUCAAAUUUCAUAACAAAAAACACUUAUCAUAAUUUUCAAAUGUUAGUGUGAUAAAAAAACAGAAAGACGGACACAUGAGUGCAUGUCUUUCUACUAGUUUUUAUAAUUAGAAUAUUAUAGUUAUUCUCAUUUUAAUUUAAAAGAUAUAAAAAUUAUAAUUAAAAAAUGGCUUAAAUAUGUAAAUCGUCCCUGUAAUUUGGCGUAUUUUUUGUUUUCGUCCCUGUAUCUUUUUUUGUUCUAAAACAACCCCUAUAAGUUAAUAACUUUUUGAUUUUCGUCCCUCCUGUCAACUUCCGUUACAAAAACGCACAUGUGGAAAACGGAGGAUGACGUGGCAGACAAUGCUGACGUGGCAAACUUAUUGAUGAGUCACACAGUGAAAGGUACCAAAAUCAAAAAACGAAAUUUGUAGAAGGACCAAAGCCAAAAAAACAAAAUUCGUAAAGGGAACAAAACCAAAACCAAAAAACGAAAUUUGUAGAUGGACUUGACUAUUUCCAGGACCAAAACCAAAAAACGAAAUUUGUAGAGGGACCAAAACCAAAAAACGAGAAGACGAAAAAUUCAAAUUUAAUUACAUUUCUUCAUCUUCUUCUUCAUUACUAUCAUUGUCUUCAUAAACUUCAUCAUCAUCAAACAAACACAAAAAUUUGUAGAUGGACUUGACUAUUUCUAGGACCAAAACCAAAAAACGAAAUUUGUAGAGGGACCAAAACCAAAAAACGAGAAGACAAAAAAUUCAAAUUUAAUUACAUUUCUUCAUCUUCUUCUUCAUUACUAUCAUUGUCUUCAUAAACUUCAUCAUCAUCAAACAAACACAUAAAUUCAUCACUUCAAAAUUCAAAAAUCCAUCAACUUAAAACAACAACAAACUCAAUCCAACACCUUCAAUUAUACCUUCAUGUGAUAACUUCUCUUUUAUUUCUUCUCACAAACAACAAAAUCAAAUUAAACCAAUAUACCCACUAUUCAACGUGCAAUCCAAUUUCACACACUUUAAAAUCGUUUAAAAUAAAACUUAUCUCAAUUCAACAUUCCAACAUAUUUUUCAAUUCUAUUUAUUAUCCCUCUAGAUCUUCAAAUGAAAAGAAUAUUCAUAUCAAACUUGAACCUUUCUCUUAUAAUCCAAUUUCACACAACAAUCUUCCAAAUCAAUCGGAAAAAAAGAACACAACCCAAAUGUUCGAAACAAAAAUGAUGAGAUUAGAGUUCAAAGAAUUGACGAAGAAAGUAUUUGGAGUGACCAAGAAAUAGCAGAGAUGCGAGAUCAAUGAUGAGACGAGAGUUGGUAAUGAAAAAAAAUCAUUCUUUAGGUUUUUCAAUUUGAGAAUUUUGUGAAUUUUUCAAUAUUGGGAAUUCGAGCAUUCACAAUGAGGAUUUUGUUGUUAUAAUUUGAUUUUGAUAUUAUCAAUAAAAGUUUAGUGGGACUAUGAACAUUGUGGAUUUUAGUGUUGAGAUGUCAAUCUGACCAUUGUCAAUGGGAAUUUUGUUUGGGUUUGUGAGAAGUUGUCUAUUGAGAGGGAGAUGAUGAUUUUGAAGUUUUUUUUUUUAUCUCUUUUCUGAGUAUUUUCUCUUGGGUUUUUUGAUGAUUUAUGAAGACAAUGAUGAAGAUGUAUAAGAGGUGGAAGGAAGAAGAUGAAGAAAGCUAUUUUUUUCUCGCUUUUUGGUUUUGGUCCCUUUACGAAUUUUGUUUUUUCGGCUUUGGUCCCUCUACAAAUUUCGUUUUUUGGUUUUGGUCCCUCGCACUGUGUGACUCAUCAAUAAGUUUGCCACGUCAGGCACUGCCAUGUCAUCCUCCGUUUGCCACAUGUGCGUUUUGUAAUGGAAGUUGACGGGAGGGACGAAAAUCAAAAAGUUAUUAACUUACAGGGGUUGUUUUAGAACAAAAAAAGAUACAGGGACAAAAACCAAAAACACGCCAAAUUAUAGGGACGACUUACAUAUUUAAGCCUUAAAAAAUUGACUAAUGACAACGAUCGUUGCCUCAUUAUAUGAAUUGUAUCUUCGAACGACGUUCAGUAAUAACUCAUCUGUAUAAAAUAAUCUCAAAUUAAUAAAGUGACAAACAAAAAUAAGGCAAAAUUUACAAAUAACAAUUUAUCACUUUUUAUAAUGAAUAAAAAUGUGUAAAAGUUUUUUUUUUUUAAAUAAAAGAACUUUUGUAUAGAAAAAAAAAAGUUAUAAAAAACACAAGUAAGGUUAUUAUAAUAAAUUUGUUGGUCAACUUGUUUUCCUAAAUUUAUUUAUUUAUAGUAGAUAGAUAGGUAUCGGUGAAUGACCUCCUUGCUUGGAUUGAUGGUGCAUAAUAUUAGUACCUUGACUUUGUAAUUAUUGUAACUGUUGCAGGUGUCUUUCCUUCUCACACCUUGUGCAGGGAGUCACUGGUGUCUAUAAUAUAUCUCAUUUUAAUUUGUUAAAAAAAAAAAAUUCAAAAUCGUAUUGAAACUUAUAUUUAAUUAAAUAAAUAGAAAGGUCUUUUUUUUUUUUGACAAGGUGUUCUUUUUGUUAAGCAGUACAUAUAUGCAUAUUAUAUUUUAGAGGAGUAAUAUUUGAACACUCAUUUGAGACAACUCUUGUGACAACUUUCUCUCUCUCUCUCUCUUCAUUGGUCAAGAACAAUGGAGAGAGAAAAAAGAAGAGAGAAAAUAAAAGUAUAAUGUGAGUAUGAAAGAGAAAAUUGUCAUAAAGUGGUUGUACAAAUAUCAUUUCUCAAUAUUUUAUUGAAAAAUUGGUAAAAUAGAUAAGACUUGUUAAGCUGUCCAAUAGACUUGUUCAAGCUGUCCUAUACAUUAUUAAAUGCAUAAAACAAGUCCUGCACCAUAAACAAUUGGUUAUCGUCCUUAGCCAGAGCAGGGGUGGAUCCCAACAUGGCAUGGUGUGGCAAGUGCCACACCAAUUUUUUUUUUUUAUAUAUAUUUUUAUUAAUUUAUUGUAUAAUUUUACUCAUAUAUUAAUACAAAUAUCUAUUUUUUUUUAUUUUAUGUUUAUACAUGUAUCUAUAUAUUUAUUCAUAUAUUAACAUGGUGUUAUAUGUUAUUUUUUUAAUUUAUACAGAUGUCUAUAUUUGUAUUCAUAUAUUAAUAAGAGAACCUAUUUAUUUAUUUAUAAAUGUGUCUAUAUUUGUACUCAUAUUUAAUAAAUAAAUAUUUUUUUUGUACAAUUUAUACACAUAUAUCUAUAUUUUUUAUUCAUAUAUCAAUACAAAGAGAUAUGCUCUAAAAAAAAAAUCAAUACAAAGAUAUAUAUAUAUAUAUAUAUAUAUAUAUAUAUAUAUAUAUAUAUAUAUAAAAUUUCUACACAAUUGCAAAUUACUUCGAAAAAAAGCGCACACGGGUAUCUUGUUAGAGCAUUUGAUUCAUCUCUUGUAACCUAUAUAGAAAGGGAUAUUCUUAGAACAAUUAGUAAUUAUAUAAUUUUAGUUUAUAUUCAACAAAUAAAAAAUAGAUUAUUUUCUUUGUAAUUUUGAUUGCUACAACUAUUUUUAAUAUAUCUUCUUAUUAAAUUUAAUAUUAUUUAAUUGUUUGACAAAAAAAAAAUUUGCCCCACUAAUAAUAUUGUGAAAUCAGAUCCGCCCGUGACCCAAAGUACUAAAUUUAAAUACUAGUGGCAUGAAAUUUUAAAGAUUAAAUAUAAGUGAAUGACGUUUCACCAACUUGAAUGAAAUUUUAUAUGGAACGUAAAUAAAAAAAGGGUUUUUCUAACCUGUGCAAGAUUGCACAGGAUAAGAAGUGAUUAAUGCACCAUAUUUUAUGGGUUUCUCCAAAUCCUAUUAAUGAGCCAAUUUAUUAGCUUCUUAUUUGUUUUUUUUUUUUGACAAAAUUUAUUAGCCUUUCCUUAAAACUCGUUCUCUUCCACGCUCACCGCACCAAUAAGUAAGAACAAAAAACUGUUCUCUCUCUCUCUCUCAUAUUUGUUUUCUUCUAAAAGCUCUCUCUCUAAUAUUCAUUCCAAUGCAGGUAAUAACCAAAUCGGAAUCAAGGUAUAACAUGAAUUAUAUCUUUUGUAAUAAUUUCUUCUGGUUCUUCUUUUGCUUUGAAUUUGGCUAAUUCUUCUCACAGUGUUCAAAUUGACGGGAGAACCAAAAUUGGGCUCAAGUACACUAUAUUCCAAACCUCUCAAACUGCACUAACCCGUAUAACUGCAAAGCUUCUUUUUUGAAGGAACUGCAAAGCUUUUAAAAGCAAACUGUAAUAUUUCAAACGAAUGAAAGCAAACUGCAAAGCUUUUGUGACGUGAGAAGAAACUGUAAUAUUUCAAGCUUAUAAAAGCAAUCUGUAAUCUCUUAAAAAAAAACUGUAAUAUUUCAAACUUGAAGAGUGACGUGAGAAGAGAAUAAAAUGUUUUAAUGUCUUUGUAGAAUGUGUCUUUUAAGGGAAGAAGAAGAAAAUGUAUUAGAGAAGAGAAGAAGGAAAAAAAACAAUUUUCAAGGAAAAGACUCGUUAAUAAGGUUUGGAAAACCCAUAAAAUAUGAUGCAUUAAUUACUUCUUAUCCUGUGCAAUCUUGCACAGGUUAGAAAAACCCAUAAAAAAAUGCAGGCACUAGAUUCAUAAACAUUUUCUGAAGAUCGUUAUUCUGUCUGUCGGCCACAUCUUAUUGUCUCCAUUGACAGAUUCAUGAACUUGUAGAUUCUUUAUUCGUGCUCAAGUAUCAAACCAACGCAAAAGACACAAUUACACAAAUAGAAUCAAUAAUGGGCCCCAAUAACGUUAACAUUUACAUAUUUUUCAUUCAUGCCGACAUUAAUAUAUUUUUUGUAAAUUGUUUGUGAGCACCUACAUGCUGACUUUCUACUUUCAUUGCAUUUAUUUUCAAAGGUCCUCCAGCUUGGUUCAACACUCAUUCUAUCUAAACAAAUUUCUCGUCUUCUUAUCUUUUCAACUCUUUAAUUUGUUUUCACAAAAAAAUGGCCGACGCUUUGCUUGGAGUUGUGUUUGAAAAUUUGACGGCUCUCCAUCAAAAUGAAUUUUCAACCAUUUCUGGAAUUAAGUCAAAGGCUCAAAAGCUAUCAGACAACUUAGUUCACAUCAAGGCUGUUCUUGAAGAUGCUGAGAAGAAACAAUUCAAAGAACUCUCUAUUAAGCUAUGGUUACAAGACCUCAAAGAUGCUGUUUAUGUGCUCGAUGAUAUCCUUGAUGAGUACUCGAUCGAGUCUUGUCGACUGAGAGGAUUUACCUCUUUCAAACCAAAGAACAUCAAGUUUCGCCAUGAGAUCGGUAACAGGUUGAAAGAGAUUACAAGGAGGUUAGAUAAUAUUGCUGAACGUAAGAACAAGUUUUCUCUACAGAUGGGUGGAACUCUUAGGGAAAUCCCAGAUCAAGUAGCUGAAGGGCGCCAAACCGGCUCCAUUAUUGCUGAACCAAAAGUGUUUGGACGAGAAGUUGAUAAAGAAAAGAUUGUUGAGUUUCUUCUCACCCAAGCGAAGGACUCUGACUUCCUUUCCGUCUAUCCCAUAGUUGGUUUAGGUGGUGUUGGAAAAACAACUCUUGUUCAAUUGGUCUACAAUGAUGUUAGGGUGAGUGGCAAUUUUGAAAAAAAAAUUUGGGUUUGUGUUUCUGAGACUUUCUCGGUAAAGAGGAUUUUGUGUUCUAUUAUAGAAUCUAUCACAUUAGAGAAGUGUCCUGACUUUGAUUAUGCUGUAAUGGAAGGAAAGGUGCAAGGAUUGUUGCAAGGGAAAAUAUAUUUGCUGAUUUUGGAUGAUGUGUGGAAUCAAAAUGAACAAUUGGAAUCUGGGUUAACACAAGAUAGAUGGAAUCGUUUGAAAUCUGUUUUGUCGUGUGGAUCAAAAGGUAGUUCCAUUUUAGUGUCCACUCGUGAUGAGGAUGUUGCAUCAAUCAUGGGGACAUGGGAAAGUCACCGUUUGUCUGGUCUCUCUGAUAGUGAUUGUUGGUUGUUGUUCAAACAACAUGCAUUUAAACGUAACAAAGAAGAGGAUACAAAGCUUGUGGAAAUUGGAAAGGAGAUAGUAAAGAAAUGUAAUGGAUUGCCUCUUGCAGCAAAAGCAUUGGGGGGUUUAAUGGUCUCAAUGAAUGAAGAAAAGGAAUGGCUUGAUAUUAAAGACAGUGAGCUUUGGGAUUUACCACAUGAAAAAUCUAUUUUACCUGCUUUGAGUUUGAGUUACUUUUAUUUAACACCAACCCUAAAGCAAUGUUUCUCCUUUUGUGCUAUAUUUCCCAAAGAUAGAGAAAUCCUGAAGGAAGAAUUGAUUCAACUUUGGAUGGCUAAUGGAUUUAUUGCAAAGAGGAAUUUAGAGGUUGAAGAUGUUGGAAACAUGGUUUGGAAGGAAUUGUACAAAAAAUCGUUCUUUCAAGAUAGCAAGAUGGAUGAAUAUUCUGGAGACAUUUCUUUCAAGAUGCAUGAUCUUGUCCAUGAUCUCGCUCAAUCAGUAAUGGGGCAAGAAUGUAUGUGUUUGGAGAAUAAAAACACGACUAAUUUGUCAAAAAGCACACACCACAUUGGUUUUGACAGCAACAACUUUUUAUCCUUCGAUGAAAAUGCUUUCAAAAAAGUUGAAUCCUUGCGAACUUUGUUUGACAUGAAGAAAUAUUAUUUUCUUAGAAAAAAAGAUGAUCACUUCCCAUUAAGCAGCUCUCUCCGUGUUUUAAGCACAUCUUCUCUGCAGAUCCCAAUAUGGAGUUUAAUUCAUUUAAGGUAUUUGGAACUUACUUAUCUUGACAUAGAAAAGUUGCCUAACUCAAUUUACAACUUACAAAAACUGGAAAUCUUGAAAAUAAAACGUUGUGAUAAACUGAGUUGUCUUCCAAAACGCUUGGCUUGCUUACAAAAUCUUAGGCAUAUAGUCAUUGAAGAAUGUCGGUCUUUGUCUCUAAUGUUUCCUAACAUUGGAAAAUUAUCUUGUCUAAGAACAUUAAGUGUGUACAUUGUUAGUUUAGAGAAAGGGAAUAGCUUGACAGAGUUACGUGAUCUAAACCUCGGUGGAAAACUGCAUAUCCAAGGAUUAAACAAUGUUGGCAGGUUAUCUGAAGCUGAAGCGGCUAAUUUGAUGGGUAAAAAAGACCUUCAUCAAUUAUGCUUGUCGUGGAUAUCGCAACAGGAAUCUAUAAUUAGUGCUGAGCAAGUGCUCGAAGAGCUUCAACCUCACUCAAAUCUCAAUUCCUUGACAGUAAAUUUCUAUGAAGGAUUAUCGUUACCAAGUUGGAUAAGCCUUCUUAGUAAUUUAAUUUCUCUUAAUCUUUGGAAUUGCAACAAAAUUGUGCUGCUUCAGUUACUUGGUAAACUACCAUCUCUAAAAAAUCUUAGAGUAUAUCGUAUGAAUAAUCUGAAAUACUUGGAUGAUGAUGAAUCUGAGGAUGGUAUGGAGGUGAGGGUUUUCCCAUCUCUGGAGGUACUCUACUUACAACGCCUACCAAACAUAGAGGGGUUAUUGAAAGUGGAAAGAGGGGAGAUGUUUCCUUGUCUUUCUAACUUGACAAUCUCCUAUUGCCCUAAAAUUGGACUGCCAUGUCUUCCAUCUCUUAAAGACCUCUAUGUUGAGGGAUGUAACAAUGAGUUACUGAGGUCAAUCUCUACCUUCCGUGGUCUUACUCAGCUUAUCUUAUAUGAAGGUGAAGGAAUAACAUCCUUCCCAGAGGGGAUGUUCAAAAACCUUACUUCUCUUCAAUCUCUGUCUAUCAUUAGUUGUAAUGAGUUGGAGUCCUUACCAGAGCAAAAUUGGGAAGGUCUUCAAUCCCUUCGAACUCUACAGAUUUAUAGCUGUGAAGGAUUGCGAUGCUUGCCGGAGGGUAUUCGACACCUCACUUCUCUUGAGCUUCUGACUAUCAUUAAUUGCCCAACAUUAGAGGAACGAUGCAAAGAGGGAACAGGGGAGGAUUGGGACAAGAUAGCUCAUAUUCCAAAUAUACAGUUUAAGUGAUAGAGUUAAUUGAUGUUUAAGAAGCAGAGACGUUUACCCUUAUCUGCCUCAAUCACCAUCGCAAAAUUCAAUUUUACUGGUAAGAUCUCUAUUUCCCCUUAUCUGCCUCAAUUCACUUUAUUUUUAUUCAAAAGUAUUUUUAUAUAUUUCUCAAUCUUGACUUCUUUGGAACCCAUCCCCCAGAAUGAGCACCAGAAUCUUUAUACAUGAAAGAUAUUUCACUGCUCAACUAAAGUUACAAAUGUUCUAAUUCAGGUCAUUUUCUUCAUCAUAGUUUAAUUUUUUUUAAUUUGCAUUUUCGAUUUUUUUUUUUAAUUUUAUUGAUUUUGUUGAGCAUAUUUUAGGAGUGAAGUUUGCUGCUGAAGAUUUCAAUUUCCUUUAACUGAUAUCUCUUUGCUGGUUAUCGUUGGUUUCCAGGUAAACAUAGUUCAUAUCUUAGCGAAUACUUUAAUAUGCAUUUUCUGCCUUAUCAAAUUGAUUGAUUUUAACACACAUAUAGAAACUUUCAGUUUGAUUUGAACAUAUAGAAACUUCAGUCGGCUUUCUUUUUAUUGCAUGCUUCAGGACUUUAUAAUGCUAAUUAGCUUCACACAUCAUAUUUAGAUGUAUGGUAAGAUUUGAUAAAGGAAUUGAGUGUAUUUUGGUCAUACUUACAGGCAAGGGACUGAAUGUAUUUUGGCCUGAAAAAUCAAUCUCCAAAUAAGGCAGUGAACAAUGGUGAUCCAACACAUGAGCUGAACUUAAUUCCAACUAAUAACAGAUGUUGAAAGAGUUAUAUAUAGCUUCUCCUAAGCCUUAGGAGGUUGUCCUUGAUUUUACAAUAUCUACUAGUACUAAUGUUGCUAACAUAAGUGAUUCUUUAUAUUAAUCUCUUUCCCAUUUCUCUAGUGUAGUUUUUUGUUGGUGAGCUUAUAAUCAGACAUUUUGUGUCUUGGUUAUUCCAAACAGUGUACAUACAUUAUUUAUUUAAAAGGGAUAAAUGCUUUUUUGAAUUCAUACUUGAUCAAAUUAUUGCCUUAUGGAAGCUAAAAUCAGUGACUACGAGAUUUUUUUGUCAUUUAUAAAAUUCACUUGUCAACAGAAAUGUAACCAGACAAAGAAUUCAAUAAACAAGGCACAAUGAAAGCGAAAACGAACACUUUCAAAUCUUGCGAAAUCACACACGCAAAUAAAUUGUGGAAGCGAAAACGGACAUGAGUUUGUUAAUCACAUAUGAAAUUUGCCUGGUUAUGUACAAAGGGGAGGGAAAAUUUGGUGAUAAAGUUCAAAAUAUUGGGGUCUCUAGAUUGGACUUGUCUAGUACAAUGAAAGUAGAAACAUUGGUCAUACAAUGUUCUUGCUUAAUUUUUUACUUAAGCAGCAGAAGAUUUUUUAUUUAAUUAACAUGAUUAGGUCUAGUUUUACUCUUUCUAUGUUACCAUACCAACCUCUCUAAUUUUCCCUCUCUAAACUGAUUUAAUUUUUUUUCACAUUAUAAUUAAUUUUUAAUUGAAGUAAAAAAAACAGUACUUUUUUGUGCAUACUAUUCUGUUCUUUUACUUUAUUUUUCGCUUCAAUUCUAAUCCAAUUCAUAUUCAAUUCUAAUUCAAAUAUUUCAUAUCAAAUUAAAAAUCAAACAUUUUGAAUUCAAAUAAUACGGAUUUAAAUCAACUAAUUUAAAUUUAAAUAUUUAAUUUCAGGUAUUAUAUAAUAAAACAAAUAAUAAAAUUUAAAUAUUUUAAUGUCAAAGAGAUCAAAUCAUUGAUAUAUGUCAAAUAAUAAAAAUACGAUUUGAUUAAAAGUAUUGAUAUUGAAAGAAUUUAAUGAAAUGUAAAAUUGUUUCAUUUUUAUAUUCACAAUAAUAAUGUGAGCUAUUAUAAUAUUUUUAAUUUUAAUGAUUGCAAAACAAAUAUGGAAAAGUUAUACUUUUAAUAUAAAAUUUAAUUCAAAAAAAAAAUUGUGCAUUUAAUCUCUUAAAAGUUGCAAAAGUUACACUUUUAAUAUAAAAUUUAAUAUUUGUUUUUUAUCAAUAAUGUUAGAAAAAAAAACACUUAUUAUUCAAACAAUACCGUAUAAUAGUGUUAUAUACAAGUAACAAAGUAAUAAUAAAAAUAUAAUUAUUUAAUAAAAUAUAUUAAUCGAUAUUUCCCUCUGUAACCAAAAAAAAUAUUAACGUGAUACAAACUUCCUAAACAAGUCAUCAAAUUGUAAUAUUUUGAAUAAACAUUAAUUUUUAUGAGAAUAUUUUCCUUAAUGAAUAAUGAUGUCUUCAAAUAAGUCAUUUUAUUAUAAGAUUUUAAAUAAUAAUUAGCUUUGAUGAGAAGAUUAUCCUCAAUGAUAAAUUUUAAUAAUAAUUGUUAUGUACAAUGUAUUUAAUUUUUUAUGAAUAAAUUGAUUAAUUUGUUUACUAACUUUUUUAUUAAAAAAAAUGAAAUAUUUAUGAAUAAAAAUACUUUGAUCUUUUUAAAAAAAUUUAAACCUAAAGACAUUUUUAAAAUAAUUAUAUUAAUCUUUUUUGAAAAAGCGGUUAAUUUCAUUUUAUCAAAAGUUGAUUUAAUUUGGUGAUAUGUCUUUAAUAUCUAAGAUAUGUCUUUUUACCACUAGACUAAACUUUUACAAAUCUAUUACAUUAAUCUAUUAUUUGCUAAUUUUAUUUUUAUUUUUUUUGAUACUUCAUCUUACUCUUAUGUGUGUGUGUGUCAAAUUUUAUCAACUUGUGAUAAAACGAAAUGUGAUAAAAUGAAAUGAAAAGGGUUUCCAAUUUUUUUUACUAAUACUUAUUAGUUUAAUCUUGUUUUUUAUCAAACCUAUUAAUCUAUUGUUCCUGUAUGUUAUUAACAUUAAAAGAGUUUUCUUUUACUUUAUUUUGGAUAUGUAAAUAUUGAUCCAAAUUAUAGUGCAUUAUAUUUGAUUGGAUUUUUUUUCUUCAAAAGAUUCAUCCAAGUCAAAGUUAACCGUGUUUGAUUUUAUAUUUGGAUCAUAUGAUAUUUUGCCUCAAAAACAUUUCGAAUUAGACUUCAAACAAACCUAUAAAUGAUUAUUAUAGUUUUUUAUUUACAGUAAUUUCAAUUUUUUUUUUUUUUUGAAAUCAUUAAAAAAGUAUUGAUUUCUAUAAUCCUAAUGUGCAUUAAUCAUAAUUAAAAAAGAUAUUUUAUCAAAAGAUAAAAGAAUGACAAUUGAAUAUUUAAAUGUUUGAGUUUUAAUUGUUCAAAAAAAAAAUGUUUGAGUUUUAUUAAGGAAAUUAAUACAUAAUAAAAGAGAGUACAACGGGUAGUCUAACUCAUAUUAUACCAUGCAAACCAUCUCCUUCUCCUGAAAAAUAAAAUAAAAAUAUACCUGUUUUUUGUCCUAAAAAAUAACUUUUUUUUUUUUAAAGUAAAAGUGGGAUGAGCACUUUCAAUAUGUCAUUGUUUUUUAAUGAACUGAAGAGAGUUUCAUUGAUGAGAAAAUUAAAAUCAAUCAAUAGUAAAUGACCACUAACAUAGGAAAUACAAUCAUUUAAUUCCUUCGUCGUUUGUAAGAAAAAUCAUUCAAUAAAAAAAAAUUAAAUUUAAGCAAACAUAAGUUUGUGAUCGUCAUGGGUAUAAAAAAAAUUAAUUAUGGAUGAUGAUAACUAUUUAAAAAGAAAUUAAGCAAACAUGCUUCAGCAUCCACGCCUACAGGUGUUCACGGGAUGAGUCGGUUUUCAUUAUAAUCUAUUACCCGAUGCAAUCAAGUUUCAUUAGGUUUGAUCAAUAAAUAAUUACACGUAACUUUAUUUUAAACAAAUCUUAAAAAUAUAUAUAAUUAAAUUACAUUCUAUAUUAUAAAAAUUUCAAGACUUGGACUAGAUUCUACUAAUUAAAAUUUGAACACACUUGAAUUUAAUUGAAACACUUUAAAUCUCUAUGACAUGGACCAGGUAUAUAAUAGUGUGAAACUGGGUCAAUGCGUAGAAGAAACGCGUUGUAUAGCUCAAAUACAAUGUUAAAUGAGCAAGGAUGGAUACAUCGCUGCCUGAAUGCAGUAAAAAAUAAGCAAGGGUCUCCACAUCUUUGUAACAUUCAAUUUAAGGUGUUUUACUCUGAUUAAUUUAUGAAAUUUUUAUGUUGGGAAAACGGGGUGUUACAAUUGGUAUCAGAGCAGGUUGGUCCGUCCGGCCAAGUAGUUGAGUCGUUUGUGUCGUGUGACAGUUAAAUAUUGUCGUUGUGUUUUUCUAAUUAAUAAUUAUGUUUUAUUAUGUGAUCAAGUUGACUGACUAACUUUAAUGUGAUUUUUGUGUAUUGUUGAAGUUUCUAUUUGUUAUCCAUAGUUUAAGAUAUUUAAGCAAUAACUGAAUUUGUUUUCGUUUGUGUUUUGAAUUUCGAGGACGAAAUUAUUUAAGUUGGGGAGAGUUGUAACACCCUAAUUGUUAUUUAAUUAUUUUUAGUUGAUUUAAAGUCUUUCAUAUGAUUUUAAAUGAUUUAUGUUGAUUUUGUGGUGUGGUGUAUUUUAUUAAAUGGCUAUUUUCAUUAUUUAAUAGAAUAAGUGAGAAUUAGGAUUUAAUUGGAGUUUCGGGGUUAAAUGAGAAUUAAUAGAAUUAAGGGGAGUUAAAAGAAAUAAGUGGGAGGUUAUGUUUUACCGAGUUAUUAGAAAAUAGAACCAAGAGUCAGAGAAUCAGUUUUACGUGAAAACAGCAGUUUUGGGAUAAAAUUAGAGAAAGCAAGAGAACCAAGGGAGAGCCAAGUGAACCAGAUUUCUGUUGGAAUUAUUCUUCUGAAUUCAGGUAAGGGUGAGGUUUGCUUCAAUAGUGUAGAUUAUUAUAAUUCUGAUUUUGGUUUAACGUAGUUCUGUUAAAAAUUUGGAAAUUGGGUUUAGGUUUGAUUCUUAGAUUUUUAUAUAUUCUAUUUAAGAAAUUUGAAAUUGUAGUGUGACAUGCCCGUUUGGGUUUUACUCUGAUGUUGAACAAUUAUUAUUUAAUUGAUUUUGGGAAACGGGGUGUUACACUCCACAUCUUUGUAAACGAGUGUGGGUAAUCAAGUUAGUUAAUGAGAGUAUGAUCUGUUUUAGAACAUAGAAUAAAGGUACUCUUAUUUGAACAUAUAUGAAAAUAGUUUUUUUUUUUUUUUUAGAUCACAUAUAUGGAAAUAGUUGACGCUAUGACUAAAAUGAAGAUUAAUUUUAUGUGCCAGCAAAAAACUAUGUGGGUAGGUGAGAAGAUGAGAAGCCAUGAUUGGGAAACAAGGAUCAAGUGGUGACAUUUAAAGGAUCAAAACCAAAGUGUUUUUCUGCAAAAGAUUUUGAAGGAAGGUUGUGUGAAGCUACAUAGAAGUGAAAAUGAUAUGUGGAACAAGAUGACAUAUGAGAUUAGAAAAGUAGCAAAAGAGACACUGGAAGAAUUAAUAGGUUUUGGACCUAGCUAGGAGUAAAAAAUCUUGGUGGAACCAAAGAGUUCAAAUUAAAGUGAGAAUCAAAACAGUACUUCACUAAUAAAAAAAUAGGGAUAAGGGUGAUACACAUUCCAACCUUGAUGACAGGGUUGUUUUCGAGGGGUGUGUUUUUUAGGAUAUAGUAAAGGCUGAUUAGAGUAGUUUAAUAGUUAAAAGGUAACAUUUUUAGGAUAUAGUAAAAAAAAAAAAACUAAGAGUUACUAACUCAACGAUACCAUUCAACAUUUUCUACAUUUUUUAGGAUGAUACGUUUAAAUAUAAAUCUAAUAUUUUUUUCUUUCUCUUCAACGUGCACACAAAUGCAUGCAAAGGUAUUAAUAUUAAUUUCGUUACUUUACAUUUAAUAUACAGAUCUGCGUAUCGGUGACGAUGACUUUAAGAACCUUUGUUUGAUUGAAAUUGAAAUGUUGUUUCAGGAAAACGGAGAGUCGCUUACUGACUUCAAAUCUAUACCCAGGCCAAACGCAGCAGACAUGCCAACUUUCACAAACAAGCUUAUCGUUGAUGAGCUAAAUUACAACAAAGAUGAACUGUAAAAGACACAUGCUGAUAUGUUACUGAUGCUGAUUGAUGAACAAAGAUAUGUGCAUGAAAAGAUCAUGGAGUCUGUUGGUUCUGACGACGAUGGUUUCUUUUUCUUAUAUGGUUACAGUGGUAUUGGAAAAACCUUUAUAUGAAAACAUAGUCGGCUGCUGUUAGAUCGAAGGGGUUAAUUGUAUUGAAUGCUGCAUCUAGCGGUAUAAUGACUCUUCUAUUACCAGGAGGAAGAACCGCACACUCGACGCUGACAGUCCCUAUUGAGAUUAUGAGGCAUCAUCACUUACGAUGGAAAAGGAUAGUCCUAGGGCAGACCUGAUGCGUGCUGCAAAGUUGAUAAUUUGGGAUGAGACUCCAUUGAUGCACUGAUGGUGUUUUGAGGCAGUUGACCGAUCAAUGCGUGAUAUCAUGUCCAAGAUUGAUCCCCUAAACGAGUUUAAACUAUUUGGUGGAAUGACAAUAGUUUUAGGUGGUGAUGUCAGGCAGAUAUUGCAUGUUGUCCGAAAAGGAACGAGGCAGGAUAUUGUUGAUGCAUCAAUCAAUUCAUCAAAGAUAUGUGCUUAUUUUAAUGUGUUAAGACUUACUGUUAAUAUGAGAUUGGGUGCAUCUUUGGUACCUGCAGAGCAGAAAGAAAUUGCUAAUUUUGGCAAGUGGAUACUCUGAAUUGGAGACGGCAACAACGCUUCGGAUGAGAAUGGUGAAAUGAAGGUAGAAAUUCCUGAAGAUUAUUUUUCCAAGAAAGGGGAAUACUCGCACCAACACUUGAUUAAGUUGAACAUGUUAACGAAUAUAUGAUGUCACUGAUUCCAGGUGAAGAGAAAGAGUAUUUAAACUCUGAUUCUGUUUGUCGCUCGGGUGAAAAUUCUGAUGUCCAAAGUGAGUGGUUCACAACGGAAUUCCUUAAUGGUAUUAAGAGCUCUGGAAUUCCAAAUCACCGGUUGAAACUAAAGGUGGGAUGUCCAGUUAUGCUGAUGAGAAACAUCGAUCAGGCCAAUGGACUGUGUAAUGGUACAAGGUUGACAGUUACACAUCUAGGGAAGAGCACAAUAGCUGCUACUGUAAUUACAGGAAAAAGGGCAGGUACCAAGGUAUUCAUUCCCAGGAUGAAUUUUAUUCCGAGUGAUCCAGGACUAUCCUUCAAAUUCAUGCGCAGAUAAUUUCCAUUGACGCUUUGUUUUGCAAUGACAAUAAAUAAAAGUCAGGGUCAAUCUUUAUCUCGAGUGGGAGUUUAUCUUCCUAAACCCGUGUUCACGCAUGGGCAACUCUAUGUCGCUGUCUCUCGAGUUACUUCUAGAAAAGUUUUUUAAAAAGUCUGAUCAUUGGUUAUAUUUUAGAAUUGUUGCUGCUAUAAUUUAGAAAACUAAAGUUGCGCAUUGAUUGAAAGUUGUUGUUGUUUUUUUUUUUUUUUAACUUCUUUGUAAGGCGUACUGGUCAUUAUAGACAUGCAAUUUCUAUAUAAGCGGAUCUUACUGCCAUUGACUAUUAAUUCAUGCAGUUUUCAAGUUUAACAAUCCGCGGAACCUUUUUUUUUACAUCGUUGUUACCCCUAAAAUACAAUAUUUACAUUAGACCAUUUGUUUUGUAAAAAUUAAAAACAAAUAACAAUCGGUGUUUCUGUAGCCCAAACUACAUUUAUACACACCCGUAAAAAUUAAACGUUUGCAUUUACCGACUACGUGUAUGCAUGUGACAAUGACUAUUAUAUAUAAAAAAAUACAUAUUUUUUAGUUUUUAUGAUUAAUAAAAUACAUUUUGUCAACAAAUAUUAUUACACAGUACGUCGGCGUAUUUUUGCAAGAAAAUUACAUAUGCGAAGUUUAACAAUGAAUGCACCUUAUACUAUAAAUAAUUAGUACAAGUAUAAUAAUCCAAAUAUUUUUAUCAUUAUAUGCAAUGUUUAGAUAUUUCAAAAUAUAUACAAAAUUAAGAUGAUAUUUUUUUCAUAUCGAAUUUAAAAUCUAUACAUUUGAUCAAAAAUGUUUUUUAUUUCCCCGUGCUGGCACGGGUCACUAUACUAGUUGUUUGUAAUUAAUCACUCCGUCCUUAUAUCUAGAUACCCAUUUGAUUUUCUUUUUAUCCCUAAAUGUAAGUCCCUUUUCAAAUUAUUAGAUACAUUUUUUUUUCAUAAACAUACCCUAAUUAAUACUACUAACUUGCCUUGAAAUAUGAAAAGUCAAAUUUAAUACACACACAAACAAAGGAAAAUUUGGUAAUAUUAACACACAAAAUAGACACAUUAAGUAAAUUAACAACUUUUCUUCAGAAAUGUGAAAAAAGCAAAGAGGGCUUACACAUAGGGACGAAGGGAAUAAGAAAAAGUUAAUCGUAACCCAUCAAUCUUAUAUAAACUUGGUCCUAUUUAUGAGAAAAAUUCAAAAAAUUGAUGGGUAUAUUUAAUACUCCUUCGGUCCUUAUUGAUCCUAUUUAUGAGGAAAAUUCAAGAAAUUUAUGGGUAUACUAUCUCUGGUUCUUUAUAUAAGAAACAAAACACAUAAAUCGAAACAAAACACAUAAAUCAAAUAGACUAAGGAAACAUUUUGAAAAUAGUUAUUUGCAUUUAAUACUCUUAUAAAUUGACAUGGUGAUGUAUAACGAGGAAGCGUCGACCAUGUUUCUCGCGCGGUUUGAAGCAAAUCAUCGGUUUGUAGGCGGUCGCGAUCUAACAUAUGCUGAAUUUCCAACAAAAUUUACUUAUGAGAAGAAAUAAAAAUAGUGGCAGCCACGUAAACUAGGAUAUCAAACCAAGCAAGUUCUCGGAAUCAAGAGAAUCAAUCAUAGUAUGAAGUAAAAAAUUUGGGAUAAAUAACUUAUUUGAUAUUAUGUGAUUGCUAAUUAAUAUAAAAUUUAAUGGAAAAAAAUUAUGGUCAAUCUUAAAUUUUAAAUUAAAGUUAAAAAUAAGGUAACUAAUUAGUUGUGGAAGUUUCUACUAUAUUUAUAAAUGAUUAUUAUAGUUUUUUAUUUACAGAAAUUUCAAUUUUUAUUGUUUUUAUUAUAGAUUUUUUUAUUAAAGAAAUCAUUAAAAAAAUAUUGAUUUCUAUAAUCCUAAUGUGCAUUAAAUCAGAAUUAAAAAAGAUAUUUUGUGAAAAGAUAAAUAAUGGAUAUUGGAUAUUUAAAUGGAUAUUGUGAACGAUUGUGGGUAAAGAAGUUAGUUAAUGAGAGUAUGAUCUGUUUUAGAACAUGGAAUAAAGGCACCCUUACUUGAACAUAUAUGGAAAUAGUUGACGCUAUCACUAAAAUGAAGAUUAAUUUUAUGUACCAACAAGAAACUAUGUGGGUAGGAGGUGAAAAGACAAAAUAAUUAGAUAGUUCAAGAUCUAAGCAUUGAUAAACCGGAAAAGUUAGAUCGAGAAAUGGUGUAGGCAUUACUGUGGAUAAGGAAUUGAAAAAGGAAAUUGUGGAUGUAAAGAGGAUGUGAGAUUUGAUUGUAUCCCACAAAUUUUUAGUUUAAUAAGACAUCUUUAUUAUUUUUUUUUUUUUAAGGAAAUAAGACAUCUUUAAUGUUAUGAGUGUUUACUCACCUUAGGUAGGUUUGGAAGAAUAUUCUAAAGUUAAAUUUUGGAAGGAUUUGAAAGGUUUAAUUCAAGUAAUACACAAGGAGAAAAUGUUUUUCUAAACCAAGUUGUUUGGGCUCCAGUGGCAAGGAGUUCCUUCCAAGGACGUAUCCGGGGAAUACCGGGUUUGAUUUCUAGGGGGAACAAUGAUUGGCCAGUGCGCAUGCCUCUAUGCAUGAGCUGAAUUAGUCGUCCACCUUAGGUGGGCCGGAAACCGGUGCGAAAGCCAAAAAAAAAAAGAUUUUCUAGGAGGGGAUCUAAAUGGGCAUGUAAGGAGUGUUUGAUAAGUUUUAAAGGCGUGAACAAGGGUAUGGCCGUGGGGACAUAAAUGCAUAGGGUAAUUCCAUCCUAGAUUUUUUGUAGUCUUUUAAUCUUACUUUAGGAAAAUAAAAAGAAAAUUUAUUACAUACAAGAGUGGAAUUUCAUGUUCUCAAAUAUAUUUAUUUCUUAUUAGGAAUUAUGACAGAAAUAUUUGUUUGAAUUUAAUGUUUUACAAAGAGAGAGUUUGACUAUCCAAGAUAUAAUAUUGGUUAUGGAUGUAAGGGUUAAGAUAAGAGCGGAGAUGAGAGGAAAUGAUUGAGAUGCAAGAAUCAAGUGGUGACAUUUAAAGGAUCAAAACCAAAGUGUUUUCCUACAAAAUAUUUUGAAGGAAGGUUGUGUGAAGUUACAUAUAAGCGAAAAUGAUACGUGAAACAAGAUGACAUAUGAGAUUAGAAAAGUAGCAAAAGAGACACUAGAAGAAUUAAUAGGUUUUGGAGCUAGCUAGGAGUAAAGAAUCUUGAGUUCAAAUUAAAGUGAAAAUCAAAAUAGUAUUUCACUAAUAAAAAAUAGGGAUAAGGGUGAUACAUUUGAAGACUAUUACACAUUAAGAAAUUUAGCACAUUCCAACCUUGAUGACAAUGUUGUUUUCGAGGGAUGUGUUUUUUAGGAUAUAAUAAAGUUUGAUAUAGACUCCAAUGAAAAAUAUUUAAUCAGGUCUCACUAACUUUACAUCAUUAAACAAAAAUAAUUUAUUUAUUAAACCUCAUUUAUUUAUUGGUAUAAACUUAAAUUUCAGCCACAUAACAUUACAAAUUUUACAUUCUUUCGUUAAAUAAUAAUAAUAAUUUGCAUGAAUUACAUUACAUUUUAUUUAAAAGAGUUAAAUAUGUUUUUGGUCUCUAUAUUUUACCUUCCUUUAAAAUAUAGUCCCUACAUUUCAAUAAAUAUUUUUAAAAUUCCUAUAUUUUUAUUCCGUUACGACAAAUAGUCCCUACCCUCAAAUCUGUAACGCUUCAACAGUAUUGUUCACUUUCAUCUUCCUGUUCAUGGUUUUCUUCAUCAUAUAUCAUCACUACCAUCUCUUGCUCCUUCUUAGAUCUUCUCUCUACCAACACCACCAACUUAUUACCACAUCACCAAAAACAAAACAGACCCACAAAUUUUCCUAGAAAUUUUGUCAAAGUCUAUCACUCUCCUUUGUUCCUUUAUUUUUUUCCAAACUAGAAAAUCUUCCACCCUGUAAAUUUUGUCCUUCAAUCUUCUUAGCUCCCACUCUCUUUGUUUUCCAAUCCGACCUUGCACAUCAACCGUGGCCAUGUCACAUGCGGCGAUUCCCUGAUUCUGAAACCUCAUUCUAUGGGUGUUGUUGUGUUUCGAUCAUGAAACCUCACUUCCCUUCCUUCAGACUCCUCUCUCUCUCCGCGAUGUUUGUUGUAUCUGUGAGGUUUGAUCGGAAUCGGGAGAGGGUUCAAUGGUGGAAUAAAAUUAGGCAAGAGAGGGGGUGAUGGAGAAUUUAUGAAGUGGGGGGACAGGGAGGAUUACAUAGGUGACUGGGGGGAGGUGCUAUUGAUUGUGUUUGAGGUGUCGUGGAAGAAGAGUUGAUUGAAACCAGUGAGUUAAAGAUCUCUUAUUGUGUGGAAUGGUGGAGGAAUUGAUACCAAUGUGCUAUUAUUGGAUCCAUUAAUCUCUAUGAUAUAACAUGACGAUUGAUGAAUAGUUCUCAAUGGGGAGAAAUAUUUAUGGGUUUAUUGAAGUUGUUGAGAUGAUGAGAGUUUUGGGAAGGAUGAUGAAUUUCUGAGCAGCCACUUGAGGAACAUUUUAUUGUAAUUCACUUGUUUUAUUUUGUUUUUGUUAAAAGGGGUUUUAUUUAAAUUUUUUAUAAUUAAUAAUUGUAAUAAAAUAAAUAUUAGAUUGCCACAUCACCAUUCUGUUUGGUGACUGAGUAUAAUUUAACAGCAGGGACUAUUUAUGCUAACAAAAUAAAAAUGUAGGAAUUUUAAAAAUAUUUAUUGAAAUGUAGGGACUAUUCUUUAAAGGAGGGUAAAAUGUAGGGAUCAAUAACAUAUUUAAACUCUAUUUAAAAUGGGGACAAAUAGAUAAAAUAAUCUUUAAAACAACUAUUAAUUUAAAAAAAAAAAAAAUUAAAACAACUACUCCAUCCGUCCCUUAAUAAGUGACCUAGUUGACCAAAUUACGUAUACCAAUGCGUAAUUUUGAGUUUAAAUAUCUUGAACAAUAUAUUGGAAAAAAUUAUGAAAAUUUGAUAUUUUGAAAAUACUCAUCGAGACGAAUCUAACGAUAUCUUAUAUGAUGUUAUUUAUCUUUGUAUAUUAGUUGAAAAAUACGGUCAAAGUCAGUUAGGUCAAAAUUAAAAAAAUUCCAAAUGGGUCACUUAUUAAGGGACGGAGGGAGUAUUAAUUAUUAAAAUAUUACUUCUUUUGUAAGCGAGCCCACAUAGUACAUAUUUUAUUACUUCUUUUGAACAUGGGACCCGUUAGUUGCUUUGGAGAGAGGGCCCUUAUGCAGUUACCCAUUCCUUAAUAGGGACUCAUUUUUUCUUCCUCCAAUGGAGAUCCUUAAUAGGGAUCCCAUUGGAGAUGCUCUAAAGGAGUCUUUGCAACAUCAAAUUUAAGGUCUCAAUGCCAUUUUUUUUGGUAAUAAAAUGUGGUUAAUAAUAGAAAUCUAAAUUCACGUUAGAACUGAUUAAAGAAAAUCGAUGUUUACACAUAUCGUAAGGAUGAGACAUACAAGUAAAAUACGUAAUUGUUUUUUCAGCAGUUAAAAACAAUUAUGCAGACAGUGAAUUUUGCAUAAUUGUUAAGCAUUUUCAAGCCAUUUUUCGAUCAGUUUUUAUCUGUAAAUAAAUCAGAGCAUUUCCAAAUGCAAUAUAAGCCAUACAACAUUUAAACUCAGUCAUAAAAGAAAAAUACAAUAUCUUUUUGUCCAUAAUUAAAUCAAACCAGCAUUUGGUUCAAAAUACACAAAAGUUUGAAAUUCAUCAAAACGUUACACAGUGUCCAUAAUUAAACAGCACAUUACAACUCAUUACAUAUCAAUAAAUUAAAUCUUUACUUACAUUCAAUGCAAUUGCAUAUGGAAAAAACAUACAUAUAUAAUAUAUUAUUUUCCACAAUAUUCCGAAACAUAAAUACGACGUCGCUAUCGUCUUUAACAAGCCAAGGCAUAUAACUUGCCGUUUUUCAUGCAUAUUCAUCUCUAUCUUCUCCUAGGUCUAUGCAUGACAUUUGACCAAACAAGUGACAUGUAUAUUGAUUUUCACCAAGAUGCUCAAAAUAAGUGUUAAGUUGUGCCUUCAAAUCAUCAAGAAAGUCGGUCGGCGUUAUCAUAACCUUAAUUGUCUUUUUUAAAAGCGGAGUACCUAACAUGACCUUCAAUUUUUGCAACCUCAUACAUGUUUCACUUCACAAAAGCUUUAUGAAAAAAAAUCAUACAUUAGGAUGUAAUUAAACGAAACGUAAUAAUAAUCAAUGAAAUGUACAUAAAAUGCAUAAACAUUAAAAAAUAUGCACUAGUUUCACCACAUAAAAGUCAUAUUAUCAUAUAUUUAUAUAAGUUACAAAAUGUUAUUUAUAUAUUGGCCACAACAAAUUGGUGUUACAAUUUCGACCCAAAAAUACGCGUCGGUGUAAUUUCUACCAAAAAAAGGACUAACACCGACAAGAAAAUCACUCAUUAAAGAUCAAAUGAUUGGGGAAGAUCACGUGAAUUAGAAUCUUCCUCAUCUUCCGCAAUAACUUCAAAUGGUUGCUUUGGUUUUUCGGGAGUGCCCAACAAAAUAGGCGCCGCUUUGUUCGACUCUUUUUGUGGUUUCGGCGGUUUCUUUCCACUUUCAAUAACUACGAGCUUUCGGAACAACUCAUGUUCCCAUGUCACCACAUCUUCUUUCUUAUGAUUGUGUCACUCCGUAGAUGAUGGAGGUAGUUGACAACCAUUCUUCAAAUAAAUAAGCACGAAAUGAUUUGGAAUUACUCCAAGGCACGUGAUUGGAUUGAUCAAGUUUGAUCUUUGUGUAACAGUUAUAAAUCCUGCCUUAUUUGGUUUACGACGUACUCACUCAAACAAUUCUUCCCUAUCUUUCGACUUAACAUCGUCUGGAAAAAAACCUAGCCAUGUCAACUUUGAGGGCAUGAAGUGGGAGGACAUCGGAGGACACAUAAACUCCAUCAAUGUUUGGUUUGGCUUCAACCUUAGGCGGUUUCACAUCUCCGAAAAUUUCGACAAAAUUUGGUUUUGUCUCUCCCGGAACAUCUUCCGUGUUCUCUACCAUUACUAUUAUUAAACAACACAAAAAUAUGAAAUAACAACUAACUAAUGCAUAUACAUCAAUGCCAUAAUGAAUUAAAACAAAAAAAAACAAAGAAUUUUUUUUGGAAAAACUGGCAAUACCGAGGAUUCCGAUGACAGGGUUCUACGUAACUGACGUAGAAACCCAUAACAAACCAAAAAAUAAACUGAUUAAAAUGUUCAAUAGUUGUUUUUUUUUACGUGAAAAGUGUGUUGAUAUCUCCUAUGCUUGAUACUUGAAUGAUUUUGGUGCAAAAUUUGAUGAAAAAAUAUUGAAUUUAAGAAUUGGAUGAAAGUGGUAUGGAAGUUGAUGAUGAAAUAGUAUGUAGGGUGAGCAGGUGACUGUUUCAUUUGAUGAAACAUAUUUCUCAACAGUUAACUACCGAGGUUUUCCUCGACAGUUAACUGCAACCAGUUUUUGAAUUUCUCGACAGUUAAAUGCUAAGGGGGUAAUUACGUAUUUUACUUGUGUGUCUCAGCCUUACGAUACGUGUGAACAACAUUUUCCUAAUUAAAAACAUAGUUUAAGAUAACUUCACGGUAGAACUAAAUGAAAAUCUUGUCACAUGAAAGUAUUUAGCAUAAAUUAAUGUCAAUAUACAAGGUCUAUUUUCUAUAAUAAAAGAGUAAUGAUUACUCCCAUUUGACAAUUCCAUCAUGGGUGGUGGUUGAUGGUGUUCAACCUUAGUGAAGCUUAAUCUUCUCUAUAUUUGUCUACUGACUGGAUGUCCCCACUCCCCAUAUACAAACCAUUUUGAAGAAAAAAUAGACGGGUUAUAGUUCAUCCAUAUUUUGAAAUGAUGGAUUCGAAUUAAUUCUUGCAUUAAUAAAUUAAUAAUCACGGCUCCUUCCGUUUCAAAAUACAUAUUUAAGUCAACAACUUCACAUAUGUCAAUGCACAAUUUUGACUGUUAAUAUAUUUAAUUAUCUGAUGUAAAAAAUUAUAAAUAAAAAUUUAAUAUUUUGAAAAUAUUUGUCGAGACAAAUUAAACAACAUCUUACAUGCUAAUAUUUGUAUUUAUAUAUUAGUUAAAAUGUAUGGUUAAAGUAAAUCAAGUGAAUAGUGCAUAUUGCAAAAAUUGGACAUGUAUUUUGAAACGAGGGAGUAUUUUGUAAAGUGUGUGAGUUAAAUGGAUACUUCCCCCACACCUCAAUUGGAGUUAAGAUCCACUCUAUUUUUUAUUUUCUUUAUUUCUUUAAUUUGGAGAGAUAAAGACACAAAAAAUCUUACAUAUAAUUAAAUUAAAUUAUACCAUCAUUAAUUAAAUUAAUGAGGGUAGAAUUCAUUUAAUGAUGGGACCCACAAUCUAUUUUUUUGUGCCUAUCUCUUUCAUAAUUGCAAUCUCCAUUUUUAUAAUGGAGAGAAUCUCAACUCCCUCAAUUGUCGGCUACCUCCACCCUCCACCUUUCUCUUUCAAUAUCCAAACCCCAUUCCUUUGGAUGUAGCUUUAUUUGGGGUAUUGCGUUCGCGUCUUCAUAGUGUUGUCACCUCACCAUCCACAACCCCUUGUGGGGUAAUUUAAGUAGUUGUCGACGGGUGGUUUACUCUGUCUCUGACAAUUUUAUGUUUGUCAUAUUUAAAACCCUCUUUGUACCGGAUUUUCUCGUGAUUUAGCAAGUUGGUUGCCUAGUCGUGAUGGAGUUAUGGAUCUAGUUAUCCAAAAGGGUAUGUGAAACGGAUGUUGUCAUGUCUAGUGACGUUCUCGUUCUUAGAUUCUUUGAUUUUAUUCAGAUUUGUUGUAAUUUACAAGUUUUAGGUUUGGCGUCUUGAUGGCUUAAUGUGAUUUAUCAAGGGGUUUGUUGGUGUCAUGGUGCGUGAAUCAGUCCAUGUUAGCGGCCAGUUCAUUCCUCGUAGUUCAUAUUGAGAUGUGAAGAGUAAUUGAGAGUGUUAUCUAUGACUCGUCAAUCAACUUUUAUAGAGUGUUAUCUCUGGACACCAUUCUUACUGCUAAUGAGGUGGUUGAUGAGGCAAACAAAUUAAAGAAAGAGUUACUUAUAUUCAAGGUUUACUUCGAAGAGGCACAUAAUUAUGUCAACUGGAAAUAUUUAGAGUCAGUUAUGGAAAAAAUGAAUUUCCCCGUUUUGUGGUUGAAGUGAAUUAUGAAAUUUGUAACUUCUGCAAUGACAUUAAUACUUGUUAAUGAGAGUUCAAAAAAUAAGUUUUCUUUUGGGAGGGGUUAUGACAAGGCAAUCACCUCUCCAUUUUUGUUCUCAAGAAGGGGGAUAUUAGGAAAAGACCUUGGAUUAAUUGGAAUACCAUUAUCUACCUAGGCAAGGAGAACAUAUGUUUAGGGGUGUACAAAUUGCGGGAAUUUAAUUUAGCUUUGUUAGGAAGAUGACGUUGGAGGGUUUGUGUUGAACAUGAUAGUUUGUGACUGAAGGAGGGAGGAUGAGGGAGGCUGGGCGUGGUGAGUCUGUGUGGUGGAGGAAUGUUAAGGGUCUGCAUAGAGGGGAGGGCUUGACAAUAUGAAGAUGAUUUAACGACAACUUGGUGAGGGUGGUGGGAGACGGCACAAGAACGUUUGUGAGAGAUUGAGAAGGUUGUUCGACUAACAGAGAGUUGUUUCGCUACACUAGUAGAUAUGUAUGCGAUAGAUUGACAGUUUGGGGGUGGGGGGGGGGGGGGGGGGGGGGGGGGGGGGGGCUCUGAAAUGACGAUGUCGGUUAUUUGCUCAGGGAGGAAGAGAUGUUGGGGGAAUGUUGUGAGGCUUUAUCUUGCAUUCUUUUACAUGUGGAGUUGGUAUCUUACACCUAACAAAGGUUACGCUGUUAGUGGAGUACACCGAUUGUUGACUGCGGUAGAGUCGAGUACCCGCCAUGAUCUUUAGGAAAUCAUUCAAAAUAAAACAAUACCACCAAAAGUUUCAAUUUUUUCUUGGAAGUUGGGAAAGAAUCGACUUUCUACCAAAGAUAAUCUACUAAAACAUGGUAUUUUCACACAAAUUUAAAUGUUUGUACUAUUGCCUGUGACUUUGAGGAAAAAUUGGAUCACUUGUUCUUGGGAUGUAAGUUUUUUUGAGACCUUGUGUUAUGGGUUUAACCAGUCAGUUGUAUUCUCUUUUUAUGUUUUUUGUUCGUGUAUAUUUUUAACUCUUGUAGUACUUUGUGUUCCUUACACAAUUACACUCCUUGAGUUUGAGAGAACAUAUUUGUAUAUAAUUUCAUUUUGCUUUAUUCACAAAACAUAUACAAUAUAUAUCUUUGUAAUUUUAUUUAAAAAAUAAAUAAAUAAAAUUCACUAACUACUUUUCUUGAUAUAUGUAAAAUAAAAAGUAAAAUGGACUUAUACUAUAAAAAGACAAAAUAUUUAGCGUUUAAUUGUUUUUUUUGUCAAGUAAUAUAUAUAGUUGCUCGAUCUCACACAUUUUAAAUUUGAGGCGUUCGAGGUUUGAACCCCAAUCUCUACAUGUAUUAUACAAUGUUCUUACUAACUGAGUUAAUCUUACCGAUUAAAUUAUUAGUGCAUGAGUUGGAAUUAUAUAAAAUUCUUCCAACUAAGUAAAACAUUUUUUUUAAGGGCACAUGACUUCUUUUUAUUAAUGUAGUUCACAUAAAUUGAGUGCGGACUAAAGUGCAUGAAUAAUAUAAAAUUGGAAAGAUUUAAAGAAUAAUUUAUUUAUAAAUUAAUUCCUAAAUUUUCUGGCUCAAAAGACAAAUUCUUUCAUUUUGUUAAAAAAAUUAAAUUCUUUAUUAUAUGAUAAUUUGCCCGUCUUAAUUUACAAAACUAAUUGUCCUAAUUUAUUAAAAAAAAUUGUCCUAAUUAAGUUCUUGGAUUAAAUAUAAAGUCCAUAUAUCUAUUCCCUUUUUUUAGUUCAUUCUAUAUACACAAUCAAUCUAAUGUUUUGUAAACUACAAGUAAAUCGCAACCAAUCAAAUGAAUGACUAAAAAUAAAAUGAUUAAAGUUUAAUUUCUGUAAUUUUUUCUUUAAAAUUGUAAUUUUUUAUUUUAUUUUUUUAAUUUGUAUAUACCAAUAAUGUAAAAUUAUUUUAUACAUGUAUCCAAUUAAAUCACUUUAUGAUAUCACUAAUUUAAACCCCGACCUUAUAUAUAUAUUAUACAUCGUCUACAACUACACAUUAUAUAUCCUAAUAAUAAAGUUUCAAUUGUUUCAAAAAUAAAUAAAUAAUAAAGUUUCGACAUAAAAUAAUCUCUUCCGAAAAACGUAACGCAAAUUUAAACAUUGGGAUUUGUCAAUUUCCUACGGCUUCAUGAUUAACAUCACCAAAUGACUCAUCUUGCAGUUUUUCUUGCAUAAAAUGCUCUCAUUGACACAAAUGUUAUUCAUGCAAUCAAUUAAUUAAAAUCAUCAUAUGAUAUGGCAUUCAACAUUGUUUUUCUUCUCUGCCUCUUUUCUCAAAUUAUUACUACCACAGUGACAUUGAAAACUUUCUCAGAACCUAUUUCUCCCAAUAUUCUCGAUGUUACUUCAUUAAAUCGAAGUAGUUUUCCUACAAACUUCAUCUUUGGAGCAUCAAACUCGGCAUACCAGGUUUUUUCGGUUUAUUCUUUAUCUAGAUCUUUUUUAUUUUCCGUGGUUAAAAUUGAUAUCGUUUCAAAUAGUUAGUGCAUGUUUGAUUAUGUGGUGAGAUUAAAAAAUUAUGAUGAACCAGAACCACCAUGAUAGUGUAUAGUUUUUGUCAAAAUUCAUCGUGAUUUGACCAAUUUGACCGCUCAACCAAACAUGCUCUUAGUGCCCGUUUGUUUUCGCGCUACAUAAAAAUCAAUCAUGCGUCAAGUUCAAAGCUAGAGUUAAUUCGUAGCUUUUUGUAGUGUAUUGGGAUGUAGUGCAAAAGUGAAUUCAAACAUACACUUAAUAUACUCUAAUCACAUUUUGAAGCAACUUUCUACGUCACAAAUUAAUUUUUUAUUUUUAUUUUUGCUACCAAGACAUGAGUUUUGUUGUGUUCAUUGUAUAUAAACAUGUACAGUACGAAGGUUCUGCAAAGGAAGGUGGCAAAGGAACAAGUAUAUGGGAUACCUUUACUCACAAAUAUCCAGGUUAUCUCUAUCUAUUUACCUUUAGGAAGCUUUUAAAUUAUUUAUUAAAAGCUACUUUGUUUUAUACGAAAUUAAUUAAGCUUCCCACACAAAAAAAAAAAACUCUCAUGUAUAAAUAAUAAAUAUAUAUGUAUACUUUUUAAAAGGAUUGGACAGAAAGAUGACAUUUUUUUGGUCAAGUCCUCUUUCUUUAAUCUUUUUUCCAACUCUUUUAUAAAGUACAAACCAUUCCUAAAGUGAUUUGGUUCGGAUAACAACUUAUGAUUUCAAACCUACAAACUUAAUCAUUUGAAAAACACAUGAGAAUAUCUACUAGUGUUUCAAUUUAGUUAAAAGUGAUUUUAAAUUAUGUAAUUUAGUUCAAAUGUAUGAAUUCUAUUAAAUAGAGUGUCAUUGUUUUUUAAUUUUAAAUUAUAUAUAUGUGUGUCAUGACAUGAUCCGAAUCAAACCAAUUUGUUCAUUACUUUCAUUGGGUUGAUUGCGUAUCAAAAAAAAAGUACAAUUUUUUGAGCCAAUCUGAACUAAUGAUUCUUGACCGAAACUGAGCCAACCCAACCCAACUCAUUUUAUUCGUUGAUCGAAAUAUAUUUUCAAUUUUUUAUAUAAUGUUUGUUUAUUUUUUCUUCCAUAAAACAAAUAAGUUUAUAGGUUUAGUCCUUGUAAUAUAGGCAAUUUUUUUAUUCCCUUAAACUAGAAUUAAACAUUAAUUUGAAAUAAAGAAUAUGUUAAUUAUUGUAAUUUAGGGUUUCUUAAAGAGUAAAAUAUAUUACAAGUACGUAAAAAUAACAACAUUAUUAACUUUUUUAAUCUUGUACUAGAAUAAACUUUUUUUCCCUCAAACUUUAGUUGGGGUAUAUUUAUUUCUUAAGAUCAAAUAAACUAGAAUAUAUUUAAGAGUAAGUAUAUCCCUUAAAAUACAUAUACUAUAAGGAUUAAAACAAAACAACUAGAAUUAAAGUAUGUCAAUGCAUGACUUACAUUUAAUAAAUGGUGAUCGAUAUACAGAAAAAAUAAUCGACAGAAGCAAUGGAGAUGUCUCUAUUGACGGGUAUCAUCGGUACAAGGUAUGAUUCACAUAUCAUUAGCAAAGUGGUUAAACUUAAAACUUUCACUUAAAGCAAAAAUGUCUCAAACAAAUUUUACUUUAGGUUUCACUCAAUGGAUUUUCUACUAAAAUUCUUUAAUAUAUCGAUGUAUUUUAUUUUUAUGUUAUAGAAAAUUUGUUUUAUACAGGAAGAUGUUGGGAUCAUGAAGUAUAUGAAUUUAGAUGCAUAUAGAUUAUCCAUCUCAUGGUCUAGAAUACUACCAAGUAAGUUGAUAAUUUCCCAUCCUUAAACAAUGCAUAUAUCAAGUAAAUUAUUGUAGUCAUAGUAAACUAUAUCCACAUUUAAUCAAAAAAAUAAAAAUAAAACUAUAUUCACAGAUGGAAGGAUAAGUGGAGGCAUUAAUCAAGAAGGGAUCACAUUCUACAACAACUUCAUCAACGAGCUAAUAGCUAAUGGUCACAAAUAUUAAAAUUUGCAUUUUAUAAUUUCUUAAGCAUAGCAUAGUACAUUGCAAUCAUAAUUGAAAAAUUAUUAGUUUUGCAGGUAUAGAAGUAUUUGUGACACUAUUUCAUUGGGAUCUACCACAAGCCUUGGAAGACGAGUAUGGAGGUUUCUUAAGUCCUCGCAUAGUGUAAGCGACGAUGUACUAACGUUAAAACUAUAAUUUAUUUAGAAUUAUAUGAGUAAAUUAAAUUUUCUUCUAAGUUGAAGAAUGCUUUAGAUGUGAAACUAGUAUCUUUUUGUGUGUGCAUGGAGCGGUAAGAAGAGUCUAUAGUGCUACAAAAAGUUUGAUUAUACUUUUACAUUUUGAAUUUUAGAAAUGAUUUUCGGGAUUACGCGGAGCUUUGCUUCAAGGAAUUUGGAGAUAGAGUGAAGUACUGGAUUACGAUAAAUGAGCCAUCCACUUACUGCACAGGUGGAUAUGUUGUUGCGAUAUUUCCACCUGGUAGAUGUUCAGAUUGGCAAAACCUCAACUGCACCGGUGGUGAUUCGGGGACAGAGCCAUAUUUAGUUGCACAUCACCUACUCCUUGCUCAUGCAGCCGCUGUUCAAGUUUACAAGACAAAAUAUCAGGUUCAUUUUAUCUUUGAGUAAUGAUAACUUUGAAGCUCUAAAAUGUACCAAACUUAUGUAUAUUAGUCUUCCUUUCAUCAGUCUUGAGUCUUGACAAGCAGUUUCCUCUAGAUUUUGAAAGCAGGACACAAUCCUUUUGUACCAAGCGCGUCAUAAGGCCUUUAUAUCCUUGUGUCUGCUCAACAAAGUCAGUUUCCUCUACAUCACGAUGUAGAAAAGCACUUUCACAUCUAGUUGAUAAAGGCACCAUCAUUUGAAAGUUGUAAGACCAAUGAUAGUUCUUACUUCUUAUAGUAUAUCCCAUAUAGCAGCAGGGGGAAACAUUUUGCGCUAGACAUCCUUGUAUUACUUGUGUCUAUAGACAAGUUCUCAUAAAUGUUUUUAUCAACUUCAAUACUAAUUGUGCAAGUUUAAUUUACAGGUUCCAUUGUUACUUAAAAGCCAAACUACAUCUCAAAAGGGUUGGAUAGGAAUAGCCUUACAAUCUUACUGGUUUGUGCCGUUUUCAAAUAGCAAAUCCGAUGAAAGAGCUGCAGAACGAGCAAUUGACUUCAUGCUUGGAUGGUUAGUAGCUCAUUGCACACUCGCUCUAUAUAUGAAAUUAUGAACUUAACAUCACUUGAUUAUAUUAAAAAGAAAAAACAAAUGGAGCAUGAUUUACUAAAGCAUUUUCAUUUUUCAUUCAUCUAUCAAAGUAUGAAGUAUUGUUAAUUAUUAAUGUUAUUAUUAUGAAACUCUCAAUACCCUCGUCGUUUUUUGGGUGCAUCCUAUCCUGCACCACCACGAUGUAUUGUAAUUUAAAAAAUUAUAUUAUAAAGUUUUGAAAAUUGAAUAAACACAUAUCCUCAAUUCUAGUAAGGUAUUGCAAGUGUGACAACGGGAGACAAUAUGUGCCCGCGUGCACACACACAGCACCAUAAGAAAGCUAAAAAACAUUCUAUUGAAAUCUCUAUUUCAGGUUUAUGACACCAUUGACAACAGGAGACUAUCCACAACAUAUGCGAUCCUUGGUUGGACAACGAUUGCCAAAGUUCUCUGAAGAACAAACCAGGCUACUCAACGGUUCUUUUGAUUUUAUUGGAUUAAACCACUACACAUCUCGAUAUGCAGCCAAUGCACCUAAUUUAAACACUACUAUACCUUGCUAUCUCACAGAUUCCCUUGCCAAUCUUACAAGUAAACACACCUUUAUUCAUCACUUAUAUCAUAAUGAAUUUUAACUAAUAAUUUAAAUCUUUGUUGAAUUUGACGACGAUCUCUCUUAUUUUUUGUAAUGGAAGCUGAACGUAACGGGAUACCCAUAGGUCCACAGGUACGUACAAGUGCGACCAAAUCAAAUGAAGUUUAUCUUUCUGCUAAAAUAAAAAUAUGAAACCUCCAUGAUUAUAUAUAUCUGCAGGCUGCUUCAGAUUGGUUUUACAGUUAUCCAAUUGGAUUUAAGAAACUGUUGGUCUACAUCAAGGAAAAGUACAAGAAUCCAUUGAUUUAUGUUACCGAAAAUGGUAAAUUACAACAAUCCUCGAUAAAUAUUGCAAAGUAAAUCUAUGAAUGAACAUGAAUAUGUGAACUAGUUAUUUGCUUAGGUGCAUCACACACACACACAUAUCAUAUACAAGCAUAUGGAUAAUGGACUUACCUUCAUGUACAAGAAAUUUUUCCUCACAUACUUGGCUUGAUUUGCAGGUAUAGAUGAGAAAAAUGAUCCAACACUGCCAUUGGAGGAAGCGCUUAAGGACAUUGACAGAAUUCAUUAUUAUCAGGACCAUCUCUCAUAUCUUCAAUCAGCAAUUAGGUAAUGGUUGUUUUUAUAUCUAAAAAUUCUGUCUAUUUGCUUCAAUACACAUCUUAAUACUUUCUAUUUUGUUUUGUUUUUUGUUAAUAUAUAAGGAUCGGCGUAAAUGUAAAAGGAUAUUUUGCGUGGUCGCUAUUGGACAAUUUUGAAUGGGGUGAAGGGUACACAGUGAGGUUUGGAAUGAACUUUGUAGAUUACAACAAUGACUUGAAAAGAUAUCAAAAGCUCUCAGCACAAUGGUUCAAGAAUUUUCUGAAGAGACUUUAAUUAGACUUUCUGAUAUUUAUAUGCAUGUCUCUCUUUGUAAUGGUAUUUAAAAAAGAAACAUAAAUGAAGUAGUUACAUAUGAUUGUUCAUUUUCUAAAGAAAUUAUGCGAUUCUAUAAAUCAUGGCUUUUGUGUAUAUUUAGUCUUUUCUCUUGUUAUGUUUCAAUAAUAACCUUGCCACACCCUUUACAACCCUUACCAUGACCACACUGACAUUUAGAUGUUAUAAGAAUCUUUGGUAAUCUAUCUUGGAAAAGCCUCUGAAAGAAUCAUGAUUCAUAUCGAAGAAUAUUCUUCAUUGCUUUGAAAGUCCACCCUAUCAACUAAGUUUCGAAGACCUACUAGCAACUCCUCCUCCCACUUAAUCACCAUUCACCACUGACACGACCAACACCAGACGCCGUCCCUCUAGCUUACAAUCUCAGCCACAGUUGCUUGCUUCUUUGUUUUCGGCCAUUUGAAAUAGUCGGGGAUACAUCACUCUAAAGCCUGUUCUCUCAAUCCAUUGAUCCUGCAAAAAACAUCAUUAAGGUUAGUUUACCUCCCAAAGAUAUGUGUCUCCCUUUCCAAGCCCUUAUACUCCUUAAAUUUUCCGUUCGCCACAACUUUCGUAACCAGCCUAUAUAAGCCUUCUAUGAUCGAUGCGAAUGCAAAAGGGACAAGUGGAUCUCCCUGUCUAAAGUCCCGCUUGAUUCGACUAUCAUCAAUAGGGCUACCAUUAACUAGUAUAGACACAUGGCUGCCGAAAAUGCAUGACAUAAUCCACUUCCUCCAUGCAUCACAAAAACUCUAUCUAGCAAGCACAUAUUCAAGAAACUUCGAACUAACUAAUAAUAUUUUUGUUGUCCUACCACUAAAAUGGUAAAAGGCUACAGAGAUUUGCAUAGCACAAACUCUGGUACGUGGAUACAGACGCAUCGACACUCCUAAUGUCAAAAAUGCCUAUUAAGCAAGAAUGAUAAAUGACCUUUAACAACACCCUCUUCAUUCCUCCUUACUCCUUCAAUAAUUACCUACAAUUUCAUCAACCUAGUAUAUAGAUUAAGAUUUUGUGAUUAUCAGAAGAAAAAUGAAAAAUCUAUAACUAAAAGCAUAAACACAAGAAUUUAUACUCGAGUUCUAUAACUUACAUAUUAAUAGGCUUUAAUUGGAAACUAAAACACAAAUCCGUUGUAGUCUAGUUGGUCAGGAUAUUCGGCUCUCACCCGAAAGACCCGGGUUCAAGUCCCGGCAACGGAAUCUUUUUUUAUUUAUUUAUAAUUUCUCUUUUUUUUUUUUCCUCGAAGGACUCUGUUUCUUUUAAAUAUUUCCAAUUUUGUAAAUACAUCACGAAAAUGGUAAGUUGGUGCCAAUGGAAUACUACUACCACCCCUCACAAUAUCUGCAGUGCCAAACUUUUGAAAAAUUCUUAUUUUUAUAAAAUACACAUUAAAUUCUUUUAAGUUUUUUAGGACUGAGUUCAGAUAAUUUUUUCUGCAUUGUGAGUUUAUGCUUAUUCAAACUUGAUUUUGUUUAGACAAAAGUAAUUUUAGAACUAAAAAAUUGAUUUUAAUAUGUUUGAUUAUUUUCAAAUAAAAUCAAUUUUGUCUUGAAUUAAUCUCUAAAGUUAAUUUGUAAGCUCAACUUUCUUUUUCAUUUAAGUAUUUAAAUAUAAAUUACUUAUAUUCAACUUACUUUUAAUCAAAAUCAAUUCAUUCAACAUGUGAAAUACGGGGUUAAGUAGAUGUUUUCAAGACAAUGAAAAAGUUGAUAACCGCUUUGAGUAAAUACAAAUAAUAACAUAUCUGAAUUUUAUUUAUUAUUGUCAUUUUGAAAAGAACAAAAACACUUUGGAACUAUUUGUCAAAUUGUUAAAAUAUAACAAUAUAUGCGGUAAUAGUAAGCGUGACAUGAGCUUGAAACAUGUAGCAUAUAUAAAUUUGUUACAAAAGACAAUUUCAUUCAAAGGUGUAGUAGCAACUAGAACCUCAAAAACUACUAAAUCUAAAUCAGCAGUAUCUUAUAUGUACAGUAACUUGAAAGAUCGGUAUGAAGUUCAGUAUUGUAUCCAAUAUUACAAAGAGUGGGCUUGCAUGGCGAAUCAAACCUUAACCUCCAAGUUAUAGCUUCAAACACACUGUGCUUAGGUGAAAUUGUCACCGCGGUUUCAAACACACUAAAACUUAAUGGUCUAUCAAGCCUAUAGCAAUCCCUAAAUAACAUGAUACUUGUUCCAUCACUGUCUCUUUUACGGCUUUAUUAUCUGAAAUUUGAUCAGUACCAGCAAUCUACCUCUUCUACUUGCACUGCUGGCAAAUUCCACUUCUUUGGAGGCCCUGAGGCCUUUGGAGAUCCAACAAAAUUAUGCACAUCAAGUUUCUCAAGUUCUACAGAGAUCGUACGACCAUAAAAACUCUGCAGAUAAAGGAUAAAAAACAUUAAAAAGAUAGCAUUCAGUUGUCAAAGUUGAUAAUCAAAAGAUAGGGCAUGCCAUUAAAAUCUGAACCUGUUGAUCCAUUGUUUCAAGUGCAAGCAUGGCAUCGUCUUGACAUGUGUAUUGAAUAAAAGCAAGUCCCUUUGAUCUUUCUGUGCUUACAUCUUUAACCAUUUGGACUGGAGCACACACCAAAUAAAUGGCACAGGUGUGAGCCAAAGUACUAAAAUCAGUUAUGCACCAUAUUUUAAGUGCUGCUAUAUCGAAGUAUGAGAAAAUUCAUGCACUUACCUUCAGCUAUCUUGCCAAAAUUUGAAAAUUUCUUCUGCAAAGCAUUCUCGCCAGUAAAAUAGGGUAGAUCUGUCUCCAAAGAAGAGCAGGUAGGACUUCAUAAAAAAAUGGUAAAUAAAAGAAAGAAAUAUCCCUUCCAAAAAAAUAAAACAAAAUGCUCCAUAGUCCAUAGCAUCCAGAUAUCAGGAGAGAAUAUUAAAAGGAUAUGAAAGACUGAUCACAGAUCAAAAUGAAGAACUACAUAAUGUAAAGAAAAUUCUCCACACUCAACAAUCAGCCAGAUUUGUGAAAACAGAAACUAGUCAAUCCACAAGUGUUUUUUUAUCUACAUCAAGUUAAUAAGAUAAUCCACAAGAAAAGUUUUUUUUGUAGAUAUCUGGAUGAAGCUUAGUGCUUUGGAACAAAAGGCAUCAAGUGUGUUAGUGGAAGUCCAUAAUUUCGAAUUCAAAAGCAUGUAAUAUGACAGAUAAGUGAACGUCAAUUUUGUAAAAAAUCAAAAUGUAGUUGGCACAAUCAUCUUAGAGAAGAUGAAUGCAAUAUUGCCAAUUUUCCAUCCAAAUGAUUGUGCAGUUGGCACCUUCGGAUUUUCAUUUAUCAGUUACGGACAUUGUAAAAUGACUUUUUUUUUCAUUAUUAUACUGGAACUUAUUUCCAUUACCAUACAGGAAAGAGGAACAAGAACCCAUCUAAACAGAGAAAACAAGUUGUUAAAGAGUCUCACAUUGGAUGAGAUAUGACCUGACUAUGUGUUAAAAGUGGGAGCAGUCCUCACCUUACAAGCCGGCUUUGUAAGGUUGAGUUAGGCCCAAACCAAAUUCUAAGACAAGCAUAUAUAACAAGAACCAAAAAAAGCAUAAUAUUGGCUUAAAAAGGCUCUUAAAUCACUUUUCACUUCUAACAAGAAUACCCUUCUCCUCUACUGCCCAAGAAAAAAAUGACUUAACCUACAUAGAUGCAACAGAAACACAUCUAUCCUAAAGAUGUUGCAACAUGUUUUCAAAAGCGUGCUUUAGCAGAGCAGACAUGUCUUAAUACUACAUAGACCGCUACAGACAUGCACUAGCUGAGCAGUUUAGUUAACUCUAUGAUUUCAAAAUAGCUGCCAUCCCGUUAUCUGCUAUCUCACUAUAGCAUUUUUUGGGUUGACCGCUACACUGCUCUAUAUGGGAUUGAUAACACCGGUUAUAGAUAGAAAUUUCUGAAUGAAAAUUCAGUAGUUGCAUGCAAGCUGCAAUCCAAACCAGUAGAGAUAGCACAGUACACGCCUUCAUCACAAGAAAGAAUCUGACAGGAAGGAAGCUUCCCUUACAAGGGAAGAGCAAAUACUACUCAGAGAAUGCAAUUCAAAAUAUUAUAAAUGAUGGUCUGCCUGCGGCAGCGUAGCAUUCUUCUUAUGUAUAUCUAAUGUGUUAAGUAAAAGCAUUGAAGAGAGCAAAUGGUGAAAUGAGGAUUUUCGUGAUGCAAAUAAGCAAAUUAGAAAGAAAAAGGUAAAUCAGACCAAUAGAGCUUCAAAUUCCUAGUCCUAACUAAUAAACUAACGAAAAACCACGCAUCGAGGCUAGGCUGGUGAUACCCAUUCACAAAAGUGGUUAGUAUUAUUUUGUAUGUGAGAUUUGUCUCUGGGCUAGGAGCAAUUGUUCUUGAUAAGGAGUUCAUUGGAUUGAACUCUUGUUUUCUCUUAUUGUUUCUGUUUUUCACCAUUGUAGAGCUUGAAGCUCACCAUUUCCCAAUUCAAUAACAAUUGUUCUAUCACGCUAGUACGAUUCAACACUUGUAACAAUGAAAACAACAAUGGAUCAACUCCUAAUAUAAUGUAUUCCCUAUAGAUUACAUUCAACACUUGUAACAUUGAAAACAACAAUGGAUCAAAUAAAGAAAUUGAAAACAGCUUGAAGGGUAGAAAAUUAUGAGAAAAUAAGAGAGUGAGAGAGUUACUUACUUUUAACAAGGAUUUUGCUAGCAAGCGGAUAUUCGUGUCGCAUAGAUAAUGAUGAUCUGAGGAGGUUUAGACGAGAACGGUUUGGUGGUGUGUAGUAAGGGAAUGAAGCCAACCCCAAAAUCUUUGUCUCCAUCAAAACUAAAACCAAGCAACCUCGUAUUCGUCGUCGUCUCUGUGUCAGAAAAUAAUCCCAACUCCUUUUUGACUUUUCAAUUGUUGGAUUUAGACUGGUUGGUUGCUUCCGUUUUCGGUAGAAAAAAUAAAUUAUACUACCUCAUUUAUUUUUUAAUUGUUACAUUUUAACAUUUUACACAAACUAAGACAAUCAAUAAAUGUUACUAUUUUUGAUAUAAUAAUUUUUAUUUUUACUAUAAUAACCUUAUUUAUUUAAUAUCUCCACAAUAAUAAAUAAGGGUAAUAUUAGUAAAAUAACAUUUAAUGUUGCAUUGAUCUAUGUAAAGUGACACUUAAAUAAGAACAAAAAAAUUCUUUAAAAGAGACACUUAAAAAGGAACGGAGGGAGUAGUCUUCCAUAGAAAAUUGUGGGUUUAAAUACUUGGGAUUGUCUAUUGCGGAUGAUCCUAAGAAGCUCCAAACUUAGGUGAUUGUAUUGUGCUUUUAAAGUCUAUCUUGUCGGUUGUGCCAAUUUACUUCUUAUUUUCUUCAAGGAACCAUCAAGUAAUAUUUCUCUUAUUGAAUCUUCAUUUGAUUUUUUUUUAGGGGAGAGUGAGGAUGCAAGGAAAAUCCACUAGGUGAAAUGAGAUAGAGUGUUGAAACCAAAAGAUACGGGAGGUUUAGGUCUAAGAGAUCUGAAAUUUUUUAAUUUAGCUCUCUUAGAAAAAUUGUGAUGGAGGUUGAAAAUUGAACUAAACUGGAUGGACUCAGUGUUUUUCGGAUGGUUGAAUUUUUUUUUUUUUUUUCUUAACACAGUCUCGAUGGUUGGAUAAACUCUCAAAAAAAAUUUGGGUCGUAUUUGACUUCCGGUAUACAUUUUACCGAAAUCUCACAAUGGACGCCGAUGGUCAUGUAUGAUCAAGUCGGGUGUACCUCAUGAACAAGAUGUGUGGUAUUCAAGCCAAUGAUUUGAUCUAUCGCGACUCGUCGUAUGCUCUUUCUCGAAGCAGAUGGGGGGAUUUGUUCAACAAAAGGCCCCAUAAGACUGUGUAAAGUGAUCAUACCUUGGGUGAUACCCCUAUUUAUAAUGUUGUAUUCUAUUGAUACACUCCUUGUUAUUUUUAUAUUUUCUCCUUUAAUUUGUUCAACUUGUAACAAAAUUAAUAUGGUUUACUUUGAGCAACUGAUUUCAAAAUAGAUGUGAUGUCUAUCCUCUUUGAAUGAGAUACAUGUUAGUAGGAAAAACCCAACAAUUAUCUUAUAGUUUGUCGGCACUUAAGGUAGUAGAGCACGUUGGUCCUUAGUUUGUUCAUGAAGUGGGAUUAAGGUGAUCCCUGAGACGAUGUAGGAGACAUAGUUUUGUGUUGCACGUUAGUAAUCGAUUAACGUUUUUGGAUAAUUCACUCUAAUAUAAUGUUCACAAACAAAAAUUAUAAAGAUAUUAUUUGGGUGAAAGUUUGUGUGCAUGAAUGUAGAAUAUUUUGGUGAUAAGAAAUGCUAGAAAUCUUACAUUGAGUAGAUAAAAAUAUUCAAUGUGAUAUUUUUCAAUUUAAUAAACUGAUCUCUUGUGAUAGAAUCUCUUCGCGUAUUUAAAUUGUGACAGUUGAUGUUUUUGCUAAGAAUUGAGUCACAAAAAAUCAAAAAUAGCAACCUACAUAGUAUUUGCUACGUAGGCUUUUACACAGAUGGCUAUGACAGAUAAAAUUGUUAAAUGUGACAUUUAAAUCAUAAGUCUAUUAUUUUUCUUCAAAAAAAAGUCACAAGUCUCUUCAACCUAAUAUAUUAAUCUUUUAAGGUUAAACUCUUUAAAUGAGAUUAAACCCUAAUAUAAAAAAGAGAAUUGUUUUUUGUAAUAGAGAUAUUUUAUGAAAAAUUUGUAAUAAUAUGAUGAAAAAGAAAUUAAGACAGAACAAAGAAAUGUUGAUAAGAACAUGAGAAUUGAGAUGUGAGAUGAGAUGGCAACGGUUAUGAUGCCAAAUAAGCCAAAUAUUAAAGAACGUGUACGUGUCUGUUGUCCUCACUCUCCUUCCUUCCUUCCAACGGUAAACUUCACAGAACCUGCUCUUGCUAUCUCAAUCACCAGAUGGGCCCCACAUUUUCAUAGCUGGUCCAAUCUUAUUCAUCAAUACAAAGAAAAGAAAUCAAAAUCUUAAUCAGCAAGGAGGAAAUUAUUGGGGCACUUGCACAGUGGUUUAAGUCAAAGAUCAAAAUCAUAAAACACUCUUUCAACACCGAUAUAGUACACUAUUUUUAUUUAUUCUUUUAUUCAUUCACACAUAUCCUAAGACCAAAUUUUCUAUUUUAUUUUUACAACUUUCUCCAGCUUUAACUACCUUCAUGUCCCAAGUUACAUUCUUACCCUCCACUUUCAUUUACAUGAUUCAUUUUUAGUGAUCACACGUUAUUAGAGUCAACAUUCAAAUUACUACAUUUUAAUGCAAGUUAAUGUUAAUGACCCCUUUAAUAAUUGAAGAAAGUCAUGCUUUACUAUUCAAAUUGAAAUUUAUGAAAUGUUAACUAGUGUUUUCGAAACACUCUUUAAGAAUUUUGGCAAAAUUACACAAUUAGUCCCUUAACUUUAUUUUAGGUAACACUUUCGUCUUUUAUCUUUUUUUUGUCACGAUUUAGUCAUUUAUGUUAUAAAAUAACAACAUAGUUAUCUUUUUUAUGAAAAAAAUAAUCAAAAACUCCAAAAAAAAAAUCAUCAAACUCAUAGGCAAACGUAAAUCUUCAUCAUACAAGCAUAUAAAAUCAAAUUUCUUUGAAAAAAAAUUUCAUAAAAAAUGAUAAGAUAUUGUCAUUUUAUAACAUAAAGGACUAAAUCGUGACAAAAAAAGAUAAAGGACGAAAGUGUUGCCUAAAAUAAAGUUAAGGGACUAAUUGUGUAAUUUUGCCAAUAAUCUUUGAAGAUAAAUUUUUAUUAAAAUCUGUGUAAUCAAGACAUUGAAAUUUAUAAAUUUGACUUUUAUAAAAAAUACUUUUUAAAUUAAAAAUCCUUAAAGAGUGCGGAUAUUCGUUUUUUUGACAAAAACAAGGAUAUUCGUUAACAAGACCCUUGAAAUUUACGGUAUGUUAAGAUUUCUCAAAUUAAAAAUUAUACUAUGUGCAUGUUUGAAUUUCCAAUAUUUACGUUUAUGACGUAUGAUUUGAGUGAAAGUAUAUUUUAAAAUGAUAGACAAAUAUAUGAUAAAUGUGAGUAGUUGUUCUUUAAAAUAUGAACUAAAGAGUUCCUUUUUUUUUUUUUUUUUUGGUACAAAAACUAAAGAGUUCCUUAAUCCUUUUAUUAAUGUUUUUGGAGCUAAAACUAUGGAAACAGAUCUUUGCAUAACUUUUAUUUUAACAACAGGAAAACAAAUAUUUUAACAAAUAUAUAUACGGUCAUUAUUAUAAGUAAAAAUUAACAUUUUAGAUUCAUUUAUUAAAUAAUGUAUGUGAUUUAUAAUAAAGACCAUAUACAAUAUUAAUUAAAUGAAUCUAAAAUAUAAUUUUUUGCUUAUAAUAGCAACUGGAGGGUGUACUUUUUUAGAGAUUAAUUAAUAUAAAUUCGUGUAGAAUCUCUUGAUAGAAUCUCUCCCUCUCCAACAAGUCGGCCCUAGUUUUCUCUAUCUAGGUUUUCUCUUACAAUUUCUUCAUUGAGGGGUGGUUUUGGGUCAAUAUUUGACCUGAAAUCACCCCUCUUCAUCUUUUUCUCUUUAUUUCAAUCUAAAUAAGUGAUUUUCACAUAGAUCUAGGUUUUUUUUCUUUGUAAUUUCAUCAUCUAAGUGUGGUGAUUUGUUGUUCGUCAUCUUGUGCGGCGUUGUUUGAUUUCCCAUCUUCGUGCGGUGUUCAUUUAAUUCAUAUUGAAAGAUCGAUUGUUCAAUCAAAGAUUUGGACGUCAACAUUGCAGAUUCAUCCCUUACGUUUUUAGCGGUGUUUAAUGAUGUAAUCUCUCUAUUUGAAUGAAUGAAUAUCAUUUUGUUUUUGUCAAAAAAAUUAAUAUAAAUUCGUGUAAAAAAUUUAGUUGACCAUCCGAUAAAUAUUAAUUGAAAAGAUAUGAUGAGAUAACUUCCAAAAAUAAUAUAAAUAUAUAAUCAUAUAUUAUUAUUUUAUUUAUACUUGUGAUGGACAUCAAUUAAAUUUUUGUUUCCUUCAAAAAAAAUCAAUUAAAUUUUUGCUGCCCUAAUACUUAUAACCGAAUCUUUGACCGAUAAUCAUAUAUUUUUUUAUCCAACAUGAUAUUUCAAGAUAUUUCAACAAUUUGUAAAAGAAAAGGAAAGAUAUUUUAACAAAUUUAUGUAAUAAUAAUCACCAAUAUAUUUUGUCAAAAAAAUAAAUAAAUAAUCACCAAUAUAUAUAUAUUAUUGGGAAGAAGCUAUUUUAAGAAAAAUUUAUAUGAUGAAAUUUUGUCAAAGAAAAAAAUAGUUAGAUAACCAUAAAUUAUUAUAUUUUUUGUGUAAAAAUUUUAAAUUAUUAAUUUUUUACUUGUGAAUGCAUACCAAUUAAAUUUUAUCUUUUCUUUCCCUAAGUACACAUAAAACGAAUCUUUGACCAAUUUCCACAUACUCCAUAUGAAGAAGAUAGAUAUGUCAUUCAAGUAGUAAGCAAAGGGCAAAAUCGAAGUUUCCAUAGCAUGGUCAAAGAACGUUUUAAAAAUUGACUUGGAAGAAAGAAAGAAAGAAACUAAAACUAUAGCUGUGAUUUAGUAGCAAAAUUCACAUCACAAAUAACACGCAAAUCAAAUUAACAAUUAAAUUAAAUGGGUCCCACAUUUUCUUUCCUUUAAAUAGCAAUUCUUCAUCCUCCUCAUAACACUUAUUCAUUCAACGGUACGAAAAAAAAAAAAAACAUAAACACACGAACAAACAAAGACCAAUUCCAACGUUAAAUUAUUUGACUCAAACAAAACAAAAAACCUUAAUCAUCGUGAACAACAACAAUAACCUUAAACAUGUCUUGCUCCGUCGCGGUUUCGAAUUCGCCGGUGUUUUCACCUUCUUCAUCUCUCUUCUGCAACAAAUCUGAAACGUUAACGUUAUCUCUUUCUCAUCUCAAACCAUCUUCAACAACAACAACAACGUCUUCAUCGUCUUCUUCUUCGCCUUCUCCUUGUUCUUCACCUUCUUCACCUUUUUGUCUUCGGUUACCGAAACUACCCUUGGUUUUUACGUCUAACAAGGAUUCUGGGUCGCAGAAUGAUGCUGUUUUGAAGAGGAAACGACCUACCAGGCUUAAUAUACCUGUUUCUGAACAUGCUUUUUGUGUUCCGGCGACGCCUUCUGCGGUGGCGAGGGAUGUUGUUGAGGCGGAGGGAGAUGGGUAUUCUGUUUAUUGUAAGAGAGGGAGGAGGGAGUAUAUGGAAGAUCGUUAUACAGCUGGGGUUAAUCUUCGUGGUGAAAACAAUUUGGUAAGAAAUUUUUUAACCUUUUUAUUUAUUUUUAAUAGAAUAUAUAAUAUUUAUUUGGUUGGUUUUGAUGUUGAUAUGUUUUUGUCAAUUGGGUUUGUUGAAAGUUUCAAACUUGAUUUCUUAAUUGAUUUGGGUCUUAUUGGAUCUAAUUGUUUGCAGAAUUUCAAUAUUUUGUUCUUUUUUUGGUCUGAUUUGGUAGCUGCAUAUGGAAAAUUUGAGAUUAAUUUAUGUAGUUGAAAAAGUCAAUUUUAAGCUGCUAGGAUUUUUUUGAAUUGUUGCUUUUGAAGUUAAAAAGUUUGUCUUAGUAAUUAGCCAUUAGUUAAAUUUGAAUUUUGUAGAUAGUUGAAACAAAUUAGGAACAUAUGAUUAUGCAUUUAAUGUUUAAUUGAGAUUUGAUGUAUAUGCUUGCUUGUUCUUGUUGUUGUUGAUGACUUGGACUUAUAUUAGAUUUGAUUGUGUAAAAUCUAACUUGUACAAGUUUAUUUUGUGGUAAUUGCAGGCUUUUUUUGGCGUAUUUGAUGGACAUGGAGGUGCCAAAGCCGCUGAAUUUGCGGCAAACAACUUAGAAAAGAACAUCUUGGACGAAGUUAUCAUGAGCGACAAAGAUGAUGUUGAGGAGGCAGUGAAGCGCGGUUACCUCAAUACCGAUUCUGAGUUCAUGAAAAAAGAUCUACAUGGUGGUUCUUGUUGUGUGACAGCAUUCAUUAGGAAUGGUAACUUAGUUGUGUCUAAUGCUGGUGAUUGCCGUGCUGUUAUUAGUAGAGGAGGGGUUGCUGAGGCACUAACAUCUGAUCACCGUCCUUCAAGGGAAGACGAAAAGGACAGAAUUGAGACCCUGGUAAAUUUUCUUACCAUUGUAUUGGCUUCUCUUUUUAUUUAUGUUUUUUUGAAACCUUGUGUUUGAGUUUGGUUCUUAAUCUUAUGCAUUGAAAUUUGUCUUGCAGGGUGGUUAUGUUGAUUUAUGUCGCGGUGUUUGGAGGAUUCAAGGAUCUCUUGCUGUAUCAAGAGGAAUUGGAGACCGACACUUGAAACAAUGGGUGACAGCGGAGCCCGAGACUAAAGUUAUUAGAAUUGAACCUGAACAUGACUUGUUAAUAUUAGCUUCAGAUGGAUUAUGGGAUAAGGUAAUACUUCAAAAUUUCAUUGCGAUGUUAUUGUAUGUGUAUUCGGCGUUUGUCAAACAUGAUUUUGAUUGGAAUGUUUGUCUAAUGUCAAACUCGUGCUAAUCCAAACGCAUUCAAAUCAUGUUUGACAAAGAUAAAAUCAAUUAUGAUGAUUUUCGCACUUUUCUUUUGAUAUUGAAUGAUUAACUGAUCAAGUUUCUUUUUAUCAUUUCAGGUUAGUAAUCAGGAAGCAGUAGACAUUGCUCGUCAAUUUUGCGUAGGAAAUAACAACCAACAACCAUUGAUGGCCUGUAAAAAGCUUGCAAAGUUGUCUGUUUCAAGAGGCUCUUUGGAUGAUACCAGUGUCAUGAUAAUCAAAUUGAAACACUAUGUUUAGAGGUUCAUUGGUAGAACAGAAGAAGAUGGUGGUGCCUGAUGAUUAGAAAUUAGCCUAUUCUUUUCUGUAUAUAUAUUAAUUAUUAUUGAUUAAUUUUAUCUGACGACAUUUAUUGGUGAAUUUUUGUACCCGUAGAUGGGUGAGUAGAGAUUAACAAAGCCAUUUAGCCAUUUGUUUAGUAGAAUAUUUAUCUAAUAAUCAUGUAAUAACUUUAUAGAUUAUCUAAUUAUUUCGGUAAUAAUUCAUUCAUUCUUUUAUAUUGGAUAUAACAAAUUUGUGAUAGUUUAUAGUUUCACUUUUUUGAUGCAUGGAAUGAUUGCAUAGUUCCAUAGAAUUCAAUGAAUCACUUUUUCAAACGGUCAAGACCAAGUUAGUUAGCCUACUGUCUUUUGAAUUUAUCAGCUUAAUCAAACGGUCAGAUAUUUUGACCAAUAGGCUGGUGGAGGUUUUUGUUUACAAAUUUGAAAGCUUAAUCAAGCUUAAUUUAGAUCAAUAACCUAAUUUGUUUCUCAGAGCAUGGAUCAGUGUCACAUGUGGUUUAUGAUGUGCCUUAUUUACUCAUUAUUUGAGUAAAUCCUAUUAAAUUUUAGCAGGCUCUGCUUGCAAGUUUUGAGUCGAAAGUAAAGGAAGAUUCCUAUUAAAGUAUAUGAUUUUUGCUUAAGACCAAAUUUAAUAGCAAAUAGUACGAAAUUUGUCAAAUAUCGACUUCGUAUAUGUCUGGUUUAGCUUUUUCAAAGAUGAAAUCACUUUCAAAUGCACAUUUGGACGUUAAGCUCCAUUUCGUAGCUUCCAUUGUGAUGUGUGUUAGAAAUUAGUUUCUAACGCAGAAUUAUACAAAAAGUUAUGUGGUAAUCUUUUUGUUUCAAAUAGUGGUUAAAGGAUUUUUUUUUCUUUCUUUCUAUGAUGGUACAAGUUUGACAAUAAUUCAUUUUACAAGCAAAGGUUUCAAUGGUUUUGUAAAAUGAAAGUAGUAUGAAACAAUGUAAAAGAAACUAACUGAAGUACAAAAUUACAUGAAAACAUGUAAAGAGUUUCAUGAAAAGUAAUAGUGUUAGCCUCAUGCACCCCAAUGCUAUCAAUGACUUUCAGUUGCAACCUAGUUCGAUAUUAUGAAGUAUUUGUCCGAAUUACAAUGAACUAGUGUGAUUUUAUAAAAGUUAUCACGGUGUUUCAAUGUGAUUUUGACAAAUUCACAGUGAAAACUAAACAAGACCUCAAUCAUUAAGUUACGAUUAGGUACUUUGAUGGACGAACAACAUCUUACCACCCUAUGCUAUAAACAUAGAUUUAAAGUCCGUUCAUUCUUACAUUCUUAUGGAGUACAUUAAUGGCAAGGUUCAUCAUUUCCUUUGUAUGAACUAAAUUGGCGAUUGUUGGUUUAUCAUUGCUACUAUUCGUGUUAUUAGACUCUCUUCUAAUUUUUAAGAGAUAUUACUCACAUCCCAAAAAACUUAAUUUUGUUUAAAUAUAUGAAAAUAGAAAAAAGGUGAAAAUGAUAAUGACCCUUUAUUUUAUUUUAUUUUUUUGAAGGAAAAAAAUUCAUUGCUUUUCAUUAGCUAUCAAGUCUCGGAUACAUGACGGUACAUCAUCAUAAACGUUGGAGCUAGCAUGAGAUGAGGCUACCGUAGCUAAUUCAUGAGCGACCCUAUUGGCUUGCCUCCUAUUGAACUCGACAUAAGAGUUUUGAAAAUUAUAAUCGAACAACUGCCUACAUAUAUCCUUGAGACUUCAAAGAUCAAAAGUCGUCACUUUUUUUCUCUCUCUUUAUUCUUUUGUAACUAAGCACUUUUUUUAGAAGAUGAACUAAACACUUUUACACGUGAAAACUAUUCUCUAAAGUAAUUUUUCACAAUAAUUUGUGUUAAUCCUCACAAAUUUAUACUUAUAACUUUGGAACUAGUUUGCCAAUUUCUUAUCAAGAGGUCCAUAUAUUUUCCUCUUCUUAUACGUUGACAUUUUCAUAAGGAUCACGAGCCUUAAAUCAAUAGUAUAAAAAAAACUUCAAAUUAUUUUUUAUAUAUAUGUAAUACUAAUGUGAACAUUGAACUAAUUUAUAAAUUGGACCGUUGGUGGAAAUUGACCAAGUUUCCUAGCCAUUAGGACUUAGGAGCACUGACUCCGUCCCCUGCCGACCACCAUUUGUGACAUGCACAGAAUAAUGAACUUAUCAUUAUGAACCUUAGGAAUUAAUGAAGAUUUUCAAUUUAAUUUAGACCAAAAUUAAGGUGGGGAAUAAAAUAGCUAAGUGUACAAAUUAAGGUGGGGAUACUAUACUAAUUAAGUGGCGGUGUGAGAUUAAGACAUUAUUUUUGUCUUGACUAAGAGAUUGACUUUAGGAUCAUAAGGUUGGUUAGAGAUAUUAUUGAGAUACCUUUAGGACACGUUCUCAUCAUUCAUGGUCCUUCGAGGAAGGCACAAUGUUUUGUUAACUUAUGUACACUCCAAAAUCCAAAUGAAGUUUUGGUGGAUAAUAUAUGCCAUACAAUUCCCACAAGAUAUUCGAUUCAAGAAGAGAAAGUACAUGUACAUGCAACCAAACUCAAUUAUCAUCAAAUCACCAACCAACGUUUGUAAUAUGCAUUGCAUGUAGCACGUACCAUACGGCAUAAUAAUAUGUAUGUACACCAUUGUAUGAAUUUGACUCAGAGAAAAAUCAGUCUCCUUUAAUGAUAUAUACUAUACUAGCUAGUAUAUAUUAUUUUGGCAUGCCAUGUAUUUUUUGGUAUGUCAAUGAAUCAAUGAUAUAUUAUAUGUACGUCAUGGAACAUGCAUGUUUGGAUUGUUCUCUAUAUAGUUUCUUUUAAUAUUAAACAAUCUUUAUGUUUUUUUUUUUUUUUUUUUUUUUAUAUAUUUGUUGUUGGUAGUCAAAUUAUUUAUUGUGUGUGUAUAUAUGAGUUUUUUUUUUUGUUUUUUGGGAAGAACCACGUUUGCCGCUGUAUGAUGGUCAAACCGUCUUGAUACUUUUUCUCUUUAAAGACUCGAUUUAAUAUUUUUUUUCCUUCAUAAUUUUCUCACAAUCUAGUUUAUAUCUCUGGCAAGAAAGAAAAUAGUAUUUUGAUUAGUUUUUGACAUUUUCAUAAGGCUGUUGUAAUGAGGUAAACUUAAGAGAGAAACUAAUAUAAUCCCUCAUAAACAUGUUAUAACUAAUUUAAAUCUAAUUUUUUUGAUUAAAUUGGUCUGCGAGUCAGAAUUAAUUUUAAGGAGACAAAAAUGUUCAUUCUCAUACAAACUAAUGAAAAUACAUCCACGUGACUUAAGUCAUGUUCGCCUUAUAUCAACGUGAGUUACGUCAUGUCUAAAGCAAGGUUGAUAUAAGACGAAAUUACUUAAGUCACGUUGAAGACAUUUUUGUCAGUUCAUGUGGAAGUGAGCAAUUUUGUAUGGGAGAAGAGCAACAUUCUUUUCUUCUAGCCAAACAAGGAGGCCCGUUUACACUACAAGGCCUCAGCUUAGGCCCCAAACAAUUUUGAUAAUUAUUUACUUUUUAAAAAUAAGUCUUUGCAUUAAAAUGAUUAUAAUUGAUGUUGUAGUAAUAUACUUUUUGAUUAGAUCCUUCUUGUUAUAACGUUGGUAGUCAACUAAUAGCUUAUUCACAAAAAAUAUAUAAUAGUUCAUGUCUAAUUGUAACCAAAUGAUCAUAUUGGCUUAAUUUAACACUCACAACAACAAUAAGUAUACGAGUUACUUUGAACUUGUCCAAUGACUUGAAAGAUAAUUUAAAAAGAUCCUUUCAGACACUUGUAAGAUGGUAUGAGAAGUGGUGGAGGCUAUGAGGAGAGAAGCUUCCUCUGUGAGUCCAUCAAAGGGUGUGUUGAAUCUAUACAUGUUUUGACGCUCAAGUUGGUGAGUGAACAAGAGAGUGAGGUAGAUAUUAAUGAUGAAAAGUGAGGCAGAUAUCUACCGCUAGGCUUUCACCUAACCAUGUGUCCCCAAAAGAUCCUUAUAAUGAUCUGGAGGUAGUCACAACAUUGGAUUCAUACUGGUUGGUCCAUAUUGACAGUCUGGACCACGAACCAAUGAGAUUUAUGGGGUGUCCAUGAUAGGAUCCGCCAAGCAGCAGUAUCCAGUCGGACAUGGGUCCUAACUCGGAUUUAGUAUUGGUCCUGUCUGUAACAAAAAAAGAAACUUGAAAAUGAGUAAUUUGACAUAAAUAAAAGCAAGGGUUAAUUAAGUAAAUGAUCUCUAUAAAUAUACACAAUUUUGUUUUUAAUCCCUACAAAAUAAAAUUGCAUUUUUUAGUCUUUUGUAAAAUUUUAUAUUGACAUAAAGAAGAUACAUAUGUUUCUCAUACUAAUUAAACAAAACACAUUUCAUUCAACGAUAAAGAAAACAUUUGUGAUUGAUUUUACAUCCACAUAUAUGACUUACAAUUGUUUGUUACAACUUUUUCUAUGAAAAAGAAAAUAGUAUUUUUAAACAAAAUAAACACAUUUAAAAAAUUACUCAGUUUGAUACAACUUCAAAAAAAUAAUAAUGAAUUUGAGAAGGGUACAUUUAUAUUUUAGAAUUUUUUUAUUUAAAAAAAAAUUUCUAAAGAUUUUAUUGUUCUAAAUGGCCAAAGUCCUAAAUAUAUUGAUUCUCUAAUUCUUAACACGUUUGACAUUGAUCCAAGACUCCAAGUUAGAACAUGAUUUUUAGAAAAACGAUAAAAAUACAUCAAAGUGAUAAACACCACAAAAACUCACACAUAUUACAAUGUCUCGAGUUCAAAUUCAAAUAAAGAUGUCCAACAUAAUAAUUUCGACAUAUUCAAUUGAGAUGGGCUUUAGGGACCUUUUCCUUAUAAUUGUAAUUGGCAUGAGAAGGAGUGCAAGGUACAAGGCUAAAAACACAUAACCAUCAUUGCAAAAUUUGAAAAAAUUUCUUUGAGCAAUUUGAAUUUUCUAAGCAAGAACUCUAAACAAACAGACAGAUAAGAGGGGAUGGGGGGAAGCAUUGCAUGCUAAGCGUAAAAAAAGAUGGAAUGUUUUGUGUGCACUAACAAGCACUACAUGCCCACCUCAUAAACCAUUAAUGACCCUUCUUUUGUCUCAUUCUUCAUAGACAAAUCUCCCCAACAUUGCAAUUUGCAACAAACACAUUUCCCACAUCUCUUUUACUACCUCAUCAUACACCUCUCAAACAUAGUACUAAUAUUGUUUUUUUGUGUCUUCUUUUAUGUUGUCAAUGUUAGCAAGAACUUUGGGGGCUUCUAACCCUAUCAUAUAGAUAAGCAAUGGAAUACACGUCUUUUGCUUCAUUCAUUAUUGAAUAUUAUAAAGCUUUAUAUGUUUCUUUUUAAAACGAAAGGUAAAGAAAUUAUGAAAGGUUCAUGCUUCAUGUUUUUAAAAUUUAAAUUUAAAGUCAUAGUUGGAUGCACGAAGAAAAGAGCUGAGCUACGUUAACAAAACGUUCUUCUUUUUGCAUUAUUGGCUCGUGCCCAUAUUCGAUCUCGUGGUUACUUGUCCAAUGCAUAUGGGGUUGCUUUUUGCACCCUCUUUUCUUGUUAUACUAACAACCAUGUAUCAUUUUGUUUUCUUUUCAAAAAUUUCCAUGUCUAAAAGUUUACUUUUUGAGUGCAUAUUCUUUUCAAACCUAUAUUGUCAUGCGAGCAUUUUUACAUUAUGAAAGUUUGUCUCUAGUGAUAUGUUUAGAAAAUGGGUCUUCAAGGUUAACAUUAUUAUUAGAAAGGUAUUUUGGUUGUGAUUAACGUACUAGAUGUUGAUCCGUACGUGGAACAUAUUAUUAGAUGAUAAUCAAGAAAUAAAUUUUUAUGAGUAAAAAAAAGAGAACAAGAUUUUUAGAAUUAUAAUGGUCUAGAUAUUUGGUUUUACAAACAAGUAGUAAACAAUUUCUUGAGUUUUAUUUUCUAAAGGAACUUGAAUUUGAAAAGAGUAAUGACAUUUAAACACAAAUAGUUGACACUGAAAAAAUACAGUUACUUUAAACUUUGAUUCAAUUGAAAGACAAAUAAAAGAAACUAAUGAAAAUAAAUAAAUCAAAAUCAUAUAAUGUACGGUCUGAUGCCACUUUUUGUGUUGAUAUAACAUUUUUGUUUGAAGAAAUAAUUUGUCAUAGCAAAUAGAAUCAAGGCUUAAAUAUGCAAACUGCCCCUGUAAUUUGGGCUCAUUUUGAUUUUUGUCCCUGUAAAAAAAAAUAAUUUAAUUACAUCCCUGUAAAAAAAAUUUUGUUUUAAAAAUGUCCCUGGCCCCACUUCGCUGGUGAUGUGGCAUGGGUUUUGCCACGUGGCAGUCCACAUAAUUAAAAAAUUAAAAUUAUUUUUAAAGUUUUAAAAAUUAUUUUUUUAAAUUAAAAAAAUAUGAAAAUAAAUUCAAAAAUCAUUAAAAAAAAUUGAAAAAAAACUGUUAAAAUUAAAUCUUCGACUUUAAUUUUUUUGAAUUUGAAAAUUAUAUUUUUUUCUUCAUAUUUUAAAAAAAAUUAAAAAAAUAAUUUCAUUUUUUUCAGAAAUUUCAGAUUUUAUAAUUUAAAAAAAAUAUUUUUUUUUUUUAAAAUUAUAUGAUAAAAAUAAUUUCAGAAAAUAAUUUAAUUUUUUAAAAUGUUUUUUUUAUAUUUUUAAAUUUUAAAAAAUAAUUUUAAUAUUUUAAUUAUGUGGACUGCCACGUGGCAUAAGUUGCCUAGUCAGCAACUGCCACGUGGCCCAAAACGUUGCCACAUCACCAGCGAAGUGGGGCCAGGGACAUUUUUAAAACAAAUUUUUUUUUACAGGGAUGUAAUUAAUUUUUUUUUUUUUUUACAGGGAUGAAAAUCAAAAUGAACCCAAAUUACAGGGACGGUUUGCAUAUUUAAGCCUAGAAUCAAUAUUUACAUUUCCAUUCGAAAAAGAAAAAAAAAAAAAAAAAAAAAACAUAUCUUUUACACACUAAACUUAGCUAGGCAGAAUCACCAUGAUUGCCAGAAUAUAUAUAUAUUUGUAUGGGAUUUUGGAGAAAAGAAUCCUAACUUAGUCAUUGGGCAAAUAAAUAGUGAUUUUCACGAAUUUUGACAUUUAUUUCGUUAACAUGUCAUGCCUUGGACCUCUAAAAAAAGGUCAUACCUUGGUUGAUGUUAUAUUAUUUUUUUUUGAAUAAAAGUUUGAUGUUAUAUUUGGUUGCACUACAAAGAUAAGAAAAAUAUUUACUAGUCAUGUUUCUAUCAUCAAGACCUAAAUUAAUCGACUUCUAAAGUAAGGAAAAAUCAAAAUGAAAGUUGCGUCUACGCUUUAUUUUGAGUUAGAAUCCUCUACAUUUAUAAAGAACAAUCCUCAUUUCGAUACCCAAUUCAAUUGUUGCAAUGACUCAUUUAAAAUUAUUGAAGAUUAAGUUUGUUAAUAUGAUAACUCAACUAAAUAUUUCUUACAAAAUGCUUUAUACAAGGAAAUAAUAUAGCAUCACGAAAUGGCAACGAACUAAUAUCAUUGGUUUCACGGCCGUGUUUUCCGCAAAGGAAAUUGCUAGUUAUAGCGAAAGAGAAACUCCAGAACAAGUGUCUAUUUAAUAAACAUAUCUCUUAAAUUAUAUCCAUGACAUCAUUGUUUUCCGCCCUAAAUGCUAUUGGCUUAAUGGUGUAUCAUGAACUGCUCGGACAAAAUAUCUCACGUUAAAUAGCAUCAGCGGCGAAGCUAGCAACUUUUUUACGAGGGGGUCAAAUGUUAAAAGUUUAUUUUUAUUUGUAAGAAACUAAGUAAUUUACAAGAAAUUUAUUCUCUAUUUUAUGUUUGAAUCUUAUAUUGACAAUUUUCAUUGCUAAUGUUGAGAAUUGACUCAAAAUUGAGGAUUCAGCCAAAAUCGUGGCCCGAUUUUGGACCAGUUUUUGGACUUAUGAUUCUGGAAAAAUCUACCCAAUUCAAUUGUUGCAAUGACUCAUUUAAAAUUAUUGAAGAUUAAGUUUGUUAUAUGAUAACUCAACUAAAUAUUUCUUACAAAAUGCUUUAUACAGGAAAUACAUAUAGCAUCACGAAACGGCAGCGAACUAAUAUCAUUGAUUUCAUGGCUGUGUUUUUCGCAAAGGAAAUUGCUAGUUAUAGCGAAAGAGAAACUCAGCAACGAGUGUGUAUUUAGUAAAUGUAUCUCCUAAAUUAUACACAUAAUUGUUUUCCCCUCAAAAAGAAAUGCUAUUGGCUUAAUGGUGUAUUGCGAACUGCUCGGGACAAAAUAUCUCGCGUUAAAUAGCAAUGCUCUUCCGCAAAACACCAACAAAUAUGUUUUUAAACAAUUCUAAAAUUUUGACAUGUUUCCUUCGUGAAUUUUCGUGAUCCUUUUCUCCCAAUUUUUUUUUUUGGUAAAGAUAAUGUCUCCCAUAUUUUCAAUGCAAAACACGGCAAUUCUAGCUCUAAUUCAUUUGCAGGGUAAAGUCUUUCAUGGUUUUUUUUUUUUUUUUUUUUGCUUCCUAGAGGCAGAAUACUAGCAAAUGACUUUGUAUGGUGUGAUUAUCCAUCGUAUGCAUCUCUUCAUGAUAUGAUGUGGGUGGAGUUUUCUCACAAUGAUGUUAGGGUGGAUUUUGAUCGGGGAAAUAUUAUUUAUAGAAAAAAGAACAAGUAUAAGAUACUAUCUGACUAUGCCAAAGCACCUACUAUUUCUAGUUUAAAAGACCACAAUAUACCACAAUAUAUUCACUAGAAUUAGACAAAGCAAGUCAUACACGGGCACAACCUUAAAUCAUAAACGUUUGGACACACAUAUGGAAACUGUUAAAAGAAAAAUAAUUUAAUCACAUCAUUUAACGCAAAAGGCAUCUCAAAGGGUAUAUAAAAGUUUACAAAACAAGUAUCGCUAGAUAGCUAGCCAAAAGGGAGAAAAACAAAACAUUACGAAUUAGAAAACCCAAGAUUGGCUAACGAGUUGGAUCACCAUGCGUGAUAGUCGCAAACAUUAUGAGAGUUAUACGAUUUCAGACACCGCCAAAAAUGAAGUUUAAUACACUCAAGUAACUAAUCCAACAUAAUAUGAUGUAAUCUCACUGUUACCAUGAAUUCGCCUACAUGUUCCCUAAACAAACUUGUCUCACCUCCCUCACCCCCUUUUCAAUAUCAAAUAAAUCCUUCCACCACACUGAUGUCUGCCUCCCUCCUCUACGAAUACUAUCAUUUAAACACCAUAUUUAGCCGGUAUAAUUUUAAAUAAAAUUAAUAUAUUUUGGUUCAAAUAGCUCUCAAACGUUUUAGAAUACCAAAUCAAAUUGAUAGUAAAAUCAAUAAAUUUAAUUGUGUUAAAAUAUAUUCUAUUAAUUUGAAUUUUGAAAAUGAUUCAUUGUGAAGUUUUUUCUUCAAAAAACGCUAACAGAGAAACCUACACGUACUAAAUACUGAGAAGUGACGAAUUAUAAAUUCGAACGACGUUCAUGCAUAUCUAAGGUAUCCACAACGUUUUUAGGCUAAAUUACAUCGGAGAUUCUUUAAGUUAUUUAAUUGUAACAAAUUUGUCUUUUAAGUUUUUUCGUAUUACUUACGUCUUUUAAGUUAUUUAAUUGUAACAAGUUAAUCGUUUUAGUAUUUUUUUUUUGUAACACUUAAGUCCUUUUAAGUUAUUUAAUUGUAAUUUGUUGGAAAUUUAGGUUUUAAUAAAAAAACAGAUUUCAUAAAACAUGUUCAACAAUUAUGAAUCAAUAGCGGAAGCAAACAAAACAUUGAACACGAUUAUGAUCGGAUCUAGACAUGUCUGAUUUAUCAAGGAUAUUAAGAAUAAGGGUAUUAAGAAUACCUGGAUGAAGCUUUCGUGACAACUCUCUCGCCAUCAACGAUCUAAAACAAGGAGAGGAGAUGAUCUAAUCUGAAACACACAACAUAGCUUAGCGGCGACUGAUUUGGUUCUUCCUCAACCGGUACCUUUAUACCUCGAGUUCUCUUCAGAUGGGGAGAAGAGAAUGUUUGCCGUGUACGGUGUAUUGGGACCAUAGUCUCUUUUAUAUUGGAUGACUAUUAGAUUUUCCAUUAUUCCGUUAAUGAGUCAUCCAGACAUCCACUCAUUGAAUCCAUAUCUAUUAAUGAAAUAUUUAAUUAAUUAUCUAAUUAGAAAUCCAAUAGCCUUAUUACUUAAUUUAAUCACUAAUCAAUUAAGGCUCACAACUGAUAAAUAGCUAAUAUAAUUAUUAUUACAAUAUUUGUCCACAUAAUGAUAUCGGAAUAUAAUAAAAUAAUAAAAUAUUCCAACAUAACUUUUAAGCCCCAAAUAACUUACAUUUUUAAGAUUUGAAAUCCUCCAAAUUAUUACUAUUAAAUAACUUAAAAGGUUAGAAAAAAAUACUUAAAGACCAACUUAUAAUAAUGAGUUAACUUAAAGACUUGAGUGGUACAUUCAUAUUAAUAACUUAAAAAUGAUCGUCGGAGUUAAUAAAGAAUUUAAAUGAUCAAUUUAUUACAAUUAAUAACUUUAAAAUUAUCGCCGGUGUAAUUUAUCCACGUUUUUACUAUACAAAUUGUACUUACGACAUAUGAUUUUUAUUUUAUUUUAUUUAUUUAGUAAAUUGUUUUAUACUUUUGAAGGUCUAAAACGAUUACUUUGUUGACUUUAUUCUUGUACCGACUUGCUUGUUUUAAGAGUCAAAGGCAAUGUUAUCCAAGAACUCCUUACAUCUUUUUUAUUCCACCACUAACCUAAAAAAACUAACGAUUUAGGCACUUCAAAUUGUACCACCUCUCCAUUAUUUUUUUACUUUAAAAACUCCAUGCCAAUACAUAUCCAAUACCCUCUUUAUUCUUUUUUGAGGGAGGGUGAGGGGUGGGAAUGUGUAAAGGAAUAUACACCUUCUUUAGGUGAUGGUCAAUUUCAUUUAGAAAAGAUGUGGACACAAUAAACUCCGUCACAUAAAUAUAUAGUUCUACAUAACUUUGUGGCAAUAUGCAAUGCAAGUCAAGUCAUGAAGCACGUUGCUUAACCUUCAAAACUUGAAUCUUAUCCAAAACCAAGUAGGUCACCGAGUAAGCAUAAGCACCACAAUUUUAUUUGUUUAUUCUAUUCUUAUACUCCUUCGUGCCUUAGUGUGAAAGGUUGCAAAUUGAAGUUACUAAGAAAACCAUUCCUACGCGUCACACUUUAAUCAUAACCUUGCCACAUAUACUUAGAGACCAUUUUCUACUACCGUGUGGGACAUUCAUAUUUAAGCCAAAUGGCAUCAUUCUAGAAAUUACUAGAAAUUAAUCCAAAUUUAAAUUUAAAUUCAAAUGUCUUUUUUAAAUAAUAUUGACAACUAAAGAAGUAAUUUAAACCAUGUUGAAAUUUUAUCAUGGUUUUCCUUUUAAAAGUCUUGUUUUUCCUCAUUUGUGUAGCUAGUUUUAUGCCAAAAGUCAUGUUUAUGUGGACACAUAUUUCAAUUUUCUAUUUCCCUCAUGCGUAACGCUUUGUCUAUUUUUUUUUUCUUUUAAAAAAUCUUAUAUAGUCAAAUUCAGUUCUAAUGACCUUCCAAUUCAUUUAGACUUUGACAAAUGGCAUGUCAAUAAGAGUUCUAUCUCACUAAAACUUUGUUUGCACAUACAAAAAACCUAAAAUAAAAUGAAUAUAAAUAUAAAAUACAAAAUACACCAAUCAUGCAUUGAAUAGUUUUUUUUUUUUUUUAUUUCUCAACAAAAAUAUUAUAAUCAUACACCAUUUUUUAAAUUUCAUCUUAAUUUAUAUUUUAUAUUUAUAUUAAUAUAAUUUACCAAAGAAGUGAAAUAUAGGAAAACAAAUGUGGGAUAAGUUGGACUUAGGAAUAGGCAUUUUCAUUUUAAAUAAUCUUGUAUGUUACCUAAAAUCAUAAUUUUGCCGUUUAGGGUGAAGUAGUGCAUUUAUAUGAACAUGAGAAUAGGUAUUUUUCAUAUAAAAAUUUAGGCUGAAUUAGGCAAAAGCAAUUUAAGGAAAAACCUUAUCUUUUAAUUUGUAUCCAAACAAAAGAAUACUCUAGUACGGUAUAAUGUAAGGUGUCAAGAACUUAAUAAGGAAAUGAAGAAAUGAAGUACCACAUGUCAAAUUGUUCCAAUAAUUUUGUCACAACACAAGUCAGAGAGAAUUUCCCACAUCUUCUAAAAGAUACGACUAGAUUUUGGGGACCUUACCAAAAUCCAAAAUUUCACAUACAACCAAUUAAAAAUAAGAAUAAAAAAAUACAUUAAAAUAUAACAUAACAUAAAAAUAUUUGGUGGAAGUGUUAUGGUGCACGUCAUAUAGUUGUAGUUUAACUAAAUUUUGUGUGGCUAAAGCCAUAUACAAGCAUCAUUGAAAUCUUUCUAACAUAUUUGCAUUACCUUUACCAGAAUCUAGCACUGUCUUCAUAAAUUCGUGGACCAACAAUUUUUUGCCACGUUAGUGUUAUUACCUACUUAUAUGUUAAUUUUACUCUGUUUCCUACUACAGCCACGGUGUUAUGUUCCCUUUUGCCAACUUGUAACAUUCACCUCUCAACUAUAAUGCAUGCCCAUAUUCCACACUCCAACCACAUGUUCAAAUUAUUAUUCCUACGCAACAGUACCAACUGUAUAUUAUAAAUAAAUUAAAUGUACCUUGCUGGGUAAUUUAAUAAUAAAUACCGAACACCCCUUCAACAGAAAACCUAUCGUGAACCGUUUUUUUAUAUGUAAGAAAUAUUAUUAUAGAAAUGCUACCAUGGUAUUGUUUUCAGAGAAAUAUAGCUUUAACAAAAUUUGAGUUUGGUCCAAAAGUUAGGUGAUGUUAAUUAAGAGUUUUACAUGAGAUGAAAGAUAGUUUGAACUUUGAAUAUAUCUUUUAUAAGUAGAGGUAUUAGUAAUUUAGAAAUCAAAUUUAUAAUAUUGAGUUACAUUUAACUUAAAUUUUAAGAUGGUAUGAAAAUCUAUUACUAUUAGAUUUCUUUAAUUAGAUCACUUGAAUUAUAGUUCGUAUGUAUAAUCCUAACUAUGAAGAGUGUACGUUAAGAAUAAGACACUAACGUGAGAAUAUAAGUUAGACCUAAUCUAAAUUUUAAGAAGUGAAAUAUAAUUAAUUGCAAACUUCUAAUUAACUUAAAUUUUGAAAAAUGGUAUGAAAACUUAUUCAAGAUUCAUUGGAUCAUCUACUGCUAAAUUUCUCUUAUCAAAUUGAAUUACUUGAGUCCAUAAUUCAGAUAUUUAAUCCUAAAUAUGAAGGGUGUGCGUUAAGAGUCAUACAUUAAUGUAAUAUGAUAAAAACAUAUUAGUGAAGACAAUCAACCCCUUAUAAAUUAAGCUCAAAGUAAAUUAUAAAUUCUAAGUGAAAUAUAAUUAACUACAAACCUCCCAUUUUUGCUCAACCUUACUUACACACAUUUUAAUCCCUUAGUCUCCACACUAGUACCACUAAAAUUCACCUAAAUCACAUAGAAAAGGCUUUAAAAACAUUUCCUUAAAUCAAAAUUAAAAACCAUAGUACUUAUCCAAGUAUUGUCUACUAGUGACAUGAAAAUGAAAAAUAAAAAUUGGGAUCUUAAUCUUGGAUAAGGAUUAAAAGUCCAAUCCCUUAAGAAAGAAACAGUAUCACCAAGUUCUCUGUUCCAAGAAUUCUCCAUUUAAUGUCAAAAAACAUUACCGUCCUCUAAUAUCUCUCCCUCAACGUCACACCACCGCUUUUCUUAAUUAUCCACUUCCAUAAUUUCCACGCUGUAACAAAAAUACAUAUUUUAAAAAAUAAAAUAAUUUUCCAAAAACACGUAACACCGAAUGUUAGAAGAACAAACACGCACUACAUGUGUCUAUAUAUAUAAACCUCAUUCCCCUCAAACAAAACCAAACAACACAACGUCAAAAAAAAAAAAAAAAAACACAUUACAUUACAUUACAAUUUUCAUAGUUCAUAGCAAUGAGUUCAUGGGUGAGAGGCAAGUGUAUUGGUAAAGGAGCGUUUGGCGUUGUGAAUUUAGCUUAUUCAAAAAGCGAUUCUAAAGUUUUCGCGGUGAAAUCAGUUGAUACUAAAACUGCUCUUCCAAGUCAGUUAGAAGCGUUGGAGAAUGAGAUUAAGAUUUUGAAACGGUUAUCUUCUUCUUCUUGUUCUUCUUCGCCUCACGUGAUUGGUUUUCUCGGCGAAGAUGUCACGUGCGAAGGAAAUAAAACGUCGUCGUUUAAGAAUCUACACUUGGAGUACAUGCCAGGUGGCACCGUCGCUGAAAUCAACCGUGCUGACGUGGAUGAAAAGUUAGUUAGAAACUUCGCCUGGUGUUUAGUUAACGCGUUACGUGAUGUUCACGCGCGUGGCGUUGUUCAUUGUGAUGUUAAAGGAAGAAACGUUCUCAUCGGUGGUUCCGUCGCUAAGCUAGCUGAUUUUGGUUCAGCUAUGGAAUUUUCCGGUGGUGAAUGUGAAGUACCACGUGGAAGUCCGAUGUGGAUGGCGCCGGAGGUUGUUCGCCGGGAGUAUCAAGGACCGGAGUCUGAUGUCUGGUCAUUAGGAUGUACUGUAAUUGAGAUUUUCACCGGAAAAUCACCGUGGGAGGAUCGGGGAUUCGAGACGUUGAGUCGAAUUGGAUUUUCCGAUGAGUUACCGGAGUUUCCAAGCGGUUUGUCGGAGCUCGGGAGAGAUUUUCUGGAGAAAUGUUUGAGGCGUGAUCGGAAUCGGAGAUGGAGGUGUGAUCAGCUACUUCAGCAUCCAUUUUUGUUACCGUGUGAUCGCGUAGUUGAAACUUCGCCACGUUGCGUUUUGGAUUGUGAAGAAAACGAGUUUGAAUUUGAAGAAGAAAAUGAAGUGAAGUUGAAUAGUGAUGAAAAUGAAAAUUCAGGUAAAAAUAGAAUUGGUAAAUUAGCAACGGGAAUGAGGGUAAAUUGGGAAACGGAAGAUUGGAUUGAAGUGAGGGCAAUUUCGUCUGAACAAAAAGAAGAAGCAACAAUGGAAAAUGAAGAGUAUGAGUGUGACUGUGAGGGGGAAGAAGCUGAAUCAGGGGUAAUAUGGGAAAUUGAGAAUAUAAUGAGGGUAGAAGAGGAAAUGGAAGUUGGGAGUAAUUCGGAAUAUGGGGAUUCUGAUGAAAGGGUAAAAUGGGAAAUGUGGAAAUACAACCGCAACCGUAGGAACAACGUUAUAGGUGGAAGUGGAAGUUGGUCUGGUUGGAGAUGUCGGUAUAGAUACGGUUGGGGAAAUUUUAAUAGGAAUAUUAGUGGAAUAUUCAGCAUUUGCACUUGUUGUAAUAAUUGUAAAUUAUUCAAAUCAUGUAAAUUGUUCUCAAUAUAUAAUAAUUGUUAUUAUUCCUUGUGGUUGAAAAUAUUCUUUAAUUGGUGUUUCAAAUUGAGAUUCAUGUUAAACAUGGUUAAGAGUGUUUUUAUUUUAAAGUUUAGUGGAAAUAAUUUAAUCAGAACUAUUUUAUUUAGUCAAAUAUUAGAAGAGUUCGUUCAAUAUAAAUAAUUUUUUUAAUAAAUAAAAAUGAGAUAUAUUAUUAUUAAAAGAAAAAAAUUUACCCCUCUAAGGAUCAUAUUAAGGGUCAUGCUUAAGAAUAUUGGAGGCCAGAGAUAAUUCUCAAAAGAAAAGAAAACUAGUAUAAGUUUACAUGUCUAAAGAAAAUUGUACUGAUUUUAUAUAUUUUGUACGACCUUGUUGUUUGUUUAUUAUUUGUUUGCAUUGACGUUUAUAACUUUGAAUGUUUGCCAAAAAUCUAUGAAAUCUUAUAUAUUUCAUAAUGUUUACGAAAAAUUUAAUGCAAAAAUAAUUUUUUAAAAUCUUCAUCGAAGAGAAGGAUCAAGAAUAUUCUAAUUUACAGAUGACUACUAUAACAUCAUAUAUGGAGAGAAAUGUUACUCAUGAGGUCAUAUGAAACUAAAAUAUUUAAAAUUGCAUUUUAAAUCCAUAAUGUUCUUUGAAAUUUUAAAGGUAUAGGUAUGUGUUAUAAAUUCCUACUCACUAUUUUAAAAUCCUCAAGACAUUUUUUUGUUGUUGUUAACAUUGUCUCUUAAAAUUCAAGAACAUGAUGUAGUAUCACAUACGCCAACCUUUCAAGGCAAAAUACACGAUAUUUUCCAUUCCAAUAAUUAAUUUUGUGUCAAACUUUGAAGGAAUCAUGAGAAGGCAUUGUCCACUCUUAAAGAAUUAAUUGUGUGUCAAACUCUAUGUAAAUGAAUCUAAAGGUCUAAAGGUAGAUUUCUUAUUUCUCCCAAUUCAAAGAUGGAAAUCUCAAAUACUAAACUUUGCAUAAAUCAUGAGAAGGCAUUUUCCACUCUAAGAAUUAAUUUUGCAUCAAAGAUUUCUUUUUCUCCCAAUCAAAGAUGGAAGUUGCAAAUACUUUCCAGUGCCCAAUACAUUUUGAAUCUAAAAAUUUAUGCAAUUCUAUCCUUGAGCUCUUGUGAAACAUUCAUACUACCAAAGUAUUUUUUUUGUUGAUUUUUCAAGUUACCCAGACUUGAACCAAAGACCUAAAGAUUGACGGCAUAAACCUCUAACCAAUAGAACACUUGGGAGCAAGUAUAAGUAUACUACACAAGUAUUAAGUCUUCUAAAAUUACUCAUGUCUCAUAAUAAUAGUCACAUUUGUAAAAAAAUAGUCACAAAAAGGUUAUCAUUUUUAAUUUCUAAUGUAACUUUAAUUGCUUAUUAUCUAAUUAUAUCACUAAUUAACGCUAUGUGCACAACUUUUAAGUUAUAAUUGUCUCAAAAAAAUUGUCUCGAAAAAAAUUAAGUUAUUAUUCUUUACUUUUCAUUUAUGAUAAUUGACAUACACAUUAGUCAUAGAUAAUUGAUUAAAAUCACCAUUCAUUUUUUUUUUCCAUUUAUAAUUGUUAAUUAUUUCUUUAUUUAUUUUUUCGAUAAGCAAAGAGAUAUGUAUGACAUCAUGACGAGUCUAAAUAGAGUACCUCAUCAGAUGUUUUUUUUUACUACUUGAUAAUUGUUUUUUAAUAUGUAUGAAAUAAUCAAAUACGAUAAAUACCGUAGAAUGACUAAAAAGAAAAACAAUAAAUACCGUAGAAUGACGAGAGUAAUGGUUUGUCUCGAUGCAACCACAUAAGUUUUUGUCUAAGUGUAAAUGUCUCACAUGUUAGUUUGUUAGUGAUAGAGUAGAACUCAUGACCUCUAUAUUUCUCUAAUUCAAUUUUUGUAGGUGUUAUCCAAUAUGGAUCUAUUAGAACAAAAAAUAUACCCACUUCGAGAUACAGAUAUACCCACAUUGACUUGCAAGAACUUAAUUUAGACAUUAUUUUAUGGACAACAUUACAUGGGGAUAUAGGCCUCCGACCCCUCAUAGACUUCCCGUUAUCACACUUAGGAAUCAAAACAAUAUUUGUUGAGUUCAUGUCUUAUAGCAUAAAUCCUAAAGCAAGCCAAUGACAACAAGAUGUAUCAAAAGACAAUUAAACCCCACAUAUCUAACAAGAUUUCACUUCUUGUGGUAUCUAUUUUAAGGAGUGGGCAAAACAAAGUGGGCCCCAAUGUUUAAUAACGGUUUUGGAUGGUUGAUCAAAAGACACAUAAAGAUUACUUAUUUUAUUGAAAAAAGCUGAUCGAGAGUUACGAUUCGAUCACAUUUUACAUACAAAAACAGUUGAUCAGAAAUUACGUUCCGAUCAGAAGCGAAAUUGAGAAGUCUAUUGAGCAACUUUAUGGAUUUUAUAUGGCACACAACAGAAGUGGAAAAAGGCACAUGUAACUUAUAAUUUGGUGUUUUCUUUGUUGGAUUUUCAAUUGGACAACUACGAAACAUGGUCACAAGAAGCAUACCUCAUGUUGCAACCGCAGUAAUGCUUUUUGGCUUUGAGCCAACAAUUGCAUAUGGCAAAUGGAUUUGGAGGAGUCAAUUGGGUUUUGAUGGAAAAGAAAAAGGAAAAAAUGUUUGGAUGAUAUGAAAUUGUAUGCUGUAUAUAAUUGGAUUGAGGUGUGUCAUGUGGACCAUAUAGUUUCUUUACAAUUCUAGAGAUAUUUUUAACAUGCAUUAUUAAUAAAUGUCAGUGCUACUUGUGCUUGCCCAUCACUUGAGAUUGGAUGGCAAACAUAUCCAUAUAGUAAUAAAAAGAUACACAUAGAUAUAUAUCAUAAAAAUAUAAACUACAAUGACCUAAUGUGUGGUACAUUAACACUUCCCUAAAGUAUCUGUUAUAAAAAUGUUUUUUUAGAGAAGUUAUAAAAAUGUUAUAGUUAUUUUUAUAUCAAUUUUUUUGAUCAGAUAGUCUAGUGGCUAGAAUUCACCUUAUUAAUUGUUAUAUUAAACCUUAUCUAUCUAUUUUAAAAUAAUUAUUUUGUCUGAUGAUAUUGGAGGAAAUUUUGUACCUUUAUUUUUAUUAAGAUCACAAAUUCUUUAUUUAUUUCUUUCUAAAAAGUAGUUUUCUUAUCAUGAAGUAAGGGGAAAUGUUUUGUUUGACUCGUGAAACAUACCUCUACAACAAAUAUAUAUUGAACUUUAAUUAAUUUUUUAUUUUUAAAAUAAGAGAGGCCUAAGCCCAAGAAAGAAGAAUGUUAUUGUUCCCACAUCAAAGAAUUGUAGGAAACACUACGAAAAUACUAAAGUAACCUCAUCAACAGUUAACUGCCGAUGGAUAUUAACCAAUGGUAGUUAACCGUCGAUGAAAAUUGGUGUUAAAUUCGCCAUUUUAUGGUAUUUCUUAACUUUGUGCAAAGUGUAAACAACAAUUUUCAAAAAAGAAACUACAUUAAAAUUACGCGUUUUAUUUUAUUUUUGUUUUUUAAAACAAAAGAGGGCCUAAGCCCAAAAAAGACACUGAAAUUAUACAAUGACUUUUGACACCAGUUUGAUCAACUAAUAGUUUUCUUAGUAAACAUCAAUGUAAUUCAAUAUGUUAAUUGAAUUAAAAUUUAAAACUAAGUUGAAGUACAUUCUAGAGCGUAGUAAGACUAGAGAGCACCUCUGUCUAUUGCAGGUGUCAUAGUUUUUUGGUAAUUCUAAAUUUGAAGCAUUACCACUCGAUCACAUGCAUGUCUAUUGCAUGAGUGCAUCUUCCAAAGACUCAAAGUCUUCAUUUACAUGAAAUUUUAAUUCAGCUUUCAACAUUCAUAAGCACUUAAUGAAUUGACGACCAAUAUAUUGGAUGCAUAUUGUUUUGAAUAUGCCCUUAAUAAAGAUGAAAAGGAGAAAGAUGAACUUGAACUCAUCAUUUUUACAGCCGUUAAAAUAGCAUACAUGAUUUGCUUUUGCUACUUGUCUAAAUUUUAUCUAAACACCUAAUUAUGAUGGUUGCCAAACACAUUCAAACAUUUAAGUUAGUAACAAUUUUAUAAGCAUGGCAUUUUUAGUUUACUAACUUUGGUAUUUGAUUGAAGGGUUAAUUAUAUUUUCGGUCUCUACAAAAUUGCGACCUUGUAAGUUUAGUCCUUAUUUAAUUUUAAUAGUUUUUUUAAUCCUUACAAAAAAUUUCUGCACUCAAUAUUAGUCCUUACUCAAUCCAAAUUUGUUUAAUUUAUGCUUAAACUCUUAAGUUUUUCAACAAUUUUUUACAGACGUGUUAAGAACGUUAUUAAAAGGUCCUCCGAAAAAAAUAUCGCAAAAAUUUGAUUUCUACGUCCAUAUUUUUGUUACUUAUAUCUUAAACUUUUGUCGUUUUAAAAAAUUCAUAUUUAAUUUAUUUCAUGUUAAAAAAUUAUAGAUUUUAGCAAAUGAACCUUCAUAGUGUUAUAAACUUGUAUAAAAAGAAUCGUUAAAAAAGUUAAGAGUUUAAGGAUAAUUAAGCAAAAUUUAUUUUAGCAGGGACUAAAAUUAUAAGUAAUUUUUUUUUGUGUAGGGAUUAAAAAAGCUAUUAAAAUUAAGUAAGGACUAAACUUAGAAUGUCGCAAUUUUAUAGAGACCAAAAACAUAUUUAACCCUUGAUUAAAUUAGUUUUUCCUUUUGCCAAUCCAAAAAGUCAUGCAAGCCUCACAUCUUUCUCACUUGUGAGCUUAGCUCAGUUGGUAGGACAAUGCAUUAUUAUUUGCAGAGAACCACUAAACUACCUGACAAAAAAAAAAGCUAGACUUGUUUCCCUAUAUUGUAGAUGCCAAUUAAAGCCUGAAUUUAUUUUUUUAUUAUUUUUUUUUCUUUGAAAAUGAAGUCUGCAAAUCUUAUAGCUUAUGUCUUUUUGGCUUUCAGCAAACUACAAUGGGGCUCUGUUGGAUAUUUUUAGGGUUGUAUGGCCCAAAAGUCCUAAACCAAAUGGCUUUCACCUCCCAUCCGUCAUGUUUCUCAUGCGUCCUCCUAAAUUUCAAAACUGCCCUCAGAUUUUCGGAUUAUUCAAUAUGCUACUCUUAUUUUCAACUCUUCCUUUGAGGUCCAACUCGAUUAGUCUCUUCAGUGGUUCAGUUGUGAUUUUUCCUCUUAAGUCCAACUAGAUUAGUCUCUUUAGCGGUCCAGUUAUAAAGUCGAUUUGUGACAAUACCUUAUAUGCAUCUAUGUUAGGAUUGAUACGAGCUGUUAGUGGGUUCUGAUACCAUGUUGGAUGGAGGAAUGUUUUACAUAUUGAGCUGUAGUUGUUUCAAGGGGCACUCAACAUGGAAAGGAUAUUGAAGAUUUGCAGAAAAGUUUGGACAAUGCUGAGUAAGGUACAUAUACAAGCAUUUCUAAUUUUCUGACAUAAUUACAUUUUCAGAGUGAUUUUCAAAUUAACUAAGAAUAAACAGUAUUGUUCUAAAGUUUUUGAACUAGGAUAAAAAACUUUAACAGUGUUUGUGGUUUCUAGAAGCAUUGCAGAAGAUUAUGGUCAGACUCAGACAGUCAAAUAUAGGUUUGACGCCAUCUAAGUAAUCAGCAUUUCAAUCUUGGGCUAUGUUUCAGAGUUUAUAAGAGAUCAUAGCAGAAUUCUAUUCACUUUGUGUUAUUGUCAAAUCUUAAUUCUUAGUGUUAAUUGAUGGUCUUAUGAUGAAAAUUAUAAAUUUAACCCAAAUAAAAACGGAUAUUAAGAACAUAUCCAUGUACCGAACUAAUAAGUAGCAAGAAAGUGAAAUAAAAGAAAACACAAUGAUUUGAACUUAUCAUUGAAAAACAUUACAGAAACUAACAUGCACUGCAUGAUAAUAAUGAAGUGACAAGAGUGCAAUAUCCUGCAAAUAAAGUAAAAAAGGUUGUUACUGCACAGUAAGAAACAUAAACAAGUUGAAUCAAAGCUUUUCAAGUGUGUCUGUUUCUUCAUUUUAAUUCUAACGAAUGUCUAAUUUUGGAAUGUGUGCUAUCUUUUCCCAGUACACCCUUGUUCCCUCGUUGCAUCGCUCAUUUAAUCCUCCAGACAAACAUAAAUAGUCAGAACCUCAAGUGAAGUGAGGCGUGGAAUACCUUCUUGCAAGGAUUUCAAUCCUUUAUACCAAGCAAAUUCCAUUGUUCGAAUCGUAGACCUUUCCACAUUUUCUCCGGAAAAGACUCAGGCUCAUCACAGUAUAAGAUAUGCAGACACUCUAAAGCUUGGUUUAACGGUUCUCAAAAUCCUCUAUGGGAAAGAUUUCAUUUCUUUACCUACACAAAGGUAGAGAGUGUCAUGACCAUUGAAACUACAGAUUGACAUCAGUGACUCAUAGUUACGUCCAACUGCAAAGAGGUCUUUAACAGAUGGAAGAGAUGGCAACUCAAAUUUCGGGCAAUCAUGGAUGGUCAGAUCAUGGAUUAGCGAGGUCUUUAAUAUGAAUUACAUCAAUUCAUAUUAAAAAGUGACAAAAAGAAAUGCAAAUUCAAUAUAUUUGACAAGGCCUGAGAGUUUGUUGUGAUAUAUGACACAAACUAUAUGAAUGCAAAUUUAUUACUGGACAACACGCGAUGCAUCCAAGAACUCGCGCAUUGCGCAGCAUGGAACGUAAUUGAAGGUUGUAAUAAGAGUAGUAGUACUUCUAGAUACUGAAUCCUGCUACCUCUAUAUGAUUCUACUUCCAUUGUUCUAGACAAGCCCAAUCUAGAGCCCCAAAUAUUUAGAACUUUCUCACCAUUUUAUUUUCCUCCCUUUUGUAAAUAACCAAGAAAGUUUCAUGUGUACUAAACAAACUCAUGUUAAUUUUCCCUUCAACAAUUCAUUUGCUUGUGUGAUUUUUCAAUAUUUGAAAGUGCAGUCUUCCACAAUUUUGUUUAUUGAAUUCUUUGUCUGGUUACAUUUCUGUUGACAAGUCAAUUUUAUAAAUGACAAAAAAUCUUGUAGUCACUGAUUUUAGCCUCCAUAAGGCAAUAAUUUGAUCAAGUAUGAAUUCAAAAAAGUAUUUGUCCCUUUUAAAUAAAUAAUGUAUGUACAUUAUUUGGAACAACCAAGGCACAAAAUGGCAAGGACAACCUCCUGAGGCUUAGGAGAAACUCAAGUGAAGUCAGGUGUCAAAUAUCUUCUGGCAAGGAUCAAGUUCGAAGAGAAAUAAACUAAUGCUAAUCUACUAAAAUAUACGUAGUUAAAAGAUGGAAAAUUCACUUUGUUAUAAAAUAAAACAAUUGAUUUCUCAUUCAGGAAAAGCAGUGGAUGCAACUUGGUUAAUUAACAUUGUCUGACACAAACGAAGUCGGGAUUCAGCAGCAUUCCACAACAUAUACGACACAAACCCAAAACAAUAACACAGAUUAAUCAAUGGCUGUGCGUCUGGAAGAUAGGCCUUUAUCAUGCAGUUCUUUGUCAUAUCAAUCAAACUUUGAUUCCAUAUCACAUGCUCUGCCUCAUUAAUUUAUCCAGUUUUAGAAGUUUCUCCAAUGUAUUUGUAAUGAAUAUCAGGAUCCUCUAUAAAUAAUACAAAAUAAAAAGUUAUGAAAAUGAAAAAGAACUAGAAAAUGCAAUAUAGGUUAGUCUAGAAAACAGUCUUAAGAAAUACCAUAGCUAAAAUAUUGGUCAAAGAGGCCUUUAAUUGGUAAAAGAGUUUGAUGCAUGCAUCAACAAUUUGCAACUCAGAAUAUUCCUUAGAAGUCAUCAGAUUUUGAAGCAGUAAAAUUCUUUAAUAUAAGUCCAGAAAAAUAAUUUAUUUGAAAAGAAAAGGCUUAUGUUAACAACAUGAGUGCUAAUACAUUACCUGCACAAUUAAUUGUAUAUUUCCCCGAAGGAUGACCAAUAAAGAUCUUCCGUGUACUCCAGUGUUCAUUCUUCGAAAUAGGUUCAAACCAAUUCAACCAAAGCCUGAAAAUCACUCAUAUGGAGCAUAUAUAACAAUGUUUUAAAAUUCAGUGAGUUGAGCACUUGAAAUCCAAACAUGUGGUGCAAUGACAUGUGUAUUCACAAUGGCCUAUUUGACCAGCCAGAAGCAGAAACACAAACACAAUACCUUUGCUUCUUGAUUCCUAUUGAACAUAAAAGCAACAUCACCAAAAGUCUAAGUUCGGAAUACGUGCUAUCUUGUUCCAGUCCUCUCCUGUUCCGUCCUUGCAUUGCUCCUCUAAUGUUUUAGUUGGAGAACAUAAACCUUUGAAAAACAUUGAAAACGUUGAAUUCUAUCAGGAACCAUUGCUGCUAUCAUAGAUCCUGUUUCAAUAGGCAAACAUAAUUAAAAUUAAACACAAACAAACAAACAAACUUAACCUAACCAAAUCUUAGGACAAACCAUCUGAGUUUUAACUAAAUCAAAAACUCACUAAAAAAGACAAUGAAACAAAUUCACUAAAAUACUAACCCGUUGAGUGCCCAAAAACAUGAGCCUUUUUCCAACCUAAACGACCCAACAAAGUAAUUGCAUCCUUGGCAUGAUCUUUGUUCUGCACCCAACAAUCAUUCACCAAUAUUCAAAUUUCCAUUUCACUUUUUGUAAAUCAUUCAAAUUAACGUAUUGAUGACAUGUCUGAUGUUUAGAUACUGAUAUGACACCAAGCCAUAACAAACAGAAACUUUCAUUUUUUAUCAAAAUUAAGCAAAAAAGAAGCCAAACAAUAUAUCAUUCAAAUAAACAAUCUAAAACAAAUAAAUAAAAAAGACCAACAAAAACUUAAGAAUAAAAAUGGAGUAAACCUUGAUGAUCAGACUUGCUAAUGGGCACAGAGCUCCGACCCAUGCCCCGAUUGUCAAAAUCGCAAUCCUCGAUACCCCCACCAGGGACUCAUUGUCACCUACUCCAACUGUAUUUUUGGAAUAUGAGCUAUCUUGUCCCAAUCCUCCCCUGUUCCCUCUUUGCAUCGUUCCUUUAAUGUUGGGCAAUCAUUGAUUGUCAGAACCUCAAGAGAAGUGAGGUGUCUAAUACCCUCCGGAAAGCAUCGCAAUUCUUUACAAUUAGAAAUAUAUAGAUAUUGAAGGGAUUGCAGACCUUCCCAAUUUUGCUCAUUACAAUCAGAGAUACGCAGAUGCGUCAAAGCUUGGUUAAAGGGUUCAUUUUGUAACUCCUUCAGUGUUGGGAAAUCAUUUACAACCAGUGAUUGAAGAGAAGUAAGGUUUUUGAACAUCCCCUCUGGGAAGGAUGUUAUUCCUCUACCGUAAUCUAGGGAAAGCUCAGUAAGACCACGGAAGGUAGAGAUUGACCUCAGUAACUCAUUGUUACAUCCCAAUACAUAGAGGGAUUUAAGAGAUGGAAGACAUGGCACUCCAAGUUUAGGGCAAGCUGUGAUUCUCAACUCAGAAAGACAAGGAAACAUCUCCCCUCUUUCCACUUUCAAUAACCCCUCUAUGUUUGGUAGGCAUAGUAAAUGGAGUUCCUCCAGAGAUGGGAAAACCCUCACCUCCACACCAUCCUGAGAUUCAUCAUCAUCCAAGUAUUUCAGAUUAUCCAUAUCAGAUAAUUCCAGUUUUUUUAGAGACGGUAGUUUACCAAUUAACUGAAGUCGCACAACUUUCUUGCAAUUCCCAAGUUCAAGAGAAACUAAAUUACUAAGAAUAAUUAUCCAACUUGGUAAUGAUAAUCCGUCAUAGUAAUUUAUUUUCAAGCACUUGAGAUUUGAGUGAGGUUGAAGCACUUCGAGUACUUGCUGAGCACUAAUAGUUGGGGGAUUGGUAAAUCCAUAGUUGCUUUCCCAUGACAAGCAUAAUUCAUGAAGGUCUUUUUUACCCAUCAAAUCAGCCGCUUGAGCUUGAGAUAAACUGCCAAAAUCUUUUAAGCCUUCGAUACGCAGUUUUCCACCGAGGUUUAGAUCACGUAACUCUGACAAGCUAUUCCCUUUCUCUAAACUAACAAUGUACACACUUAAUGUUUUUAGACUAGUUAAUUUUCCAAUGUUAGGAAACAUUCGAGACAAAGAUAUACAAUAUUCAAUAACUAUAUGUCUAAGAUUUUGUAAGAAAGCCAAGCGUUUUGGGAGACAAAUCAGUUCACCACAAUGUUUUAUUUUCAAGGUUUCCAGUUUUUGUAAGUUGUAAAUUGAGUCAGGCAACUCUUGUAUGUCAAGAUAAAGAAGCUCCAAAUACCUUAAAUGAAUUAAACUACCUAGUAAUGGCCCCCGGAUAAAGGUUGUGCAUAAAACCCGAAGAGAAGGGUCUGUUGGGAAGUAAUCCUGUUCUUCUUUUGGAAAAGUAGAAAACUCAAACCAUGUUCGCAAGGAUUCAACUUUUCUGAAGGCACCCUCAUCGAAUGAUAACAAAUUAUCAGAGUUAAAACUUAUGUGGUGUGUGCUUUUUGACAAACUAGUCAUGUUUGCAUUCUCCAAAUAUAUACAUUCUUGCCCCAUUACUGACUUAGCGAGAUCAUGGACAAGAUCAUGCAUCUUGAAUGAAAUGUUGCCAGAAAAUUCAUCCAUUUUUUUGUCUUGAAAGAAUGAUUUUUGGUACAAUUCAUCCCAAACCAUGAUGCCAACAUCUUCAACCUCCGUAUUACCCCAAGAUGAAAUCAAUCCAUUAGCCAUCCAAAGCUGAAUCAAUUCUUCUUUCAAGAUUUCCCUAUCCUUGGGAAAUAUAGCACAAAAAGAGAAACAUUGCUUUAGGGUCGGUGUUAAAUAAAAGUAACUCAACCUCAAAGAACGCAAAAUAUAAUUUUCUUCUGGUAAAGCCCAAAGCUCAGUGUCUUUAAUAUCAAGCCAUUCCUUUUCUCCAUUCCUUGAGCUCAUCAAACCUCCCAAUGCUUUUGCUGCAAGAGGCAAUCCAUUACAUUUCUUUACUAUCUCCUUUCCUAUUGCUACAAGUUCUGCACGCUCUUCUCUAUAAUGUCCCAAUGCAUAUUCUUUGAACAACAACCAACAUUCACUAUCAGAGAGACCAGACAAAGAGUGAGCUUGGCAUGUUCCCAUGAUUGUUGCAACAACUUUAUCACGGGUGGACACUAAAAUGGAACUACCUUUUGAUCCACACGACAAAACAGAUUUCAAACGAUUCCAUCUAUCUUGUGUUAACCCAGAUUCCAAUUGUUCAUUUUGAUUCCACACAUCAUCCAAAAUCAGCAAAUAUAUUCUCCCUUGCAACAAUUCUUGCACCUUUCUUUGUAUUACAUCUGAAUCCAAGGCAUCACAUAUCUCUCCUGUAAUAUAUUCUAUAAUAGAACACAAAAUCCUCUUGACAGAGAAAGUCUCGGAAACACAAACCCAAGAUCUUAUGUCAAAAUAGUCCCUCACCCUAACAUCAUUGUAGACCAAUUGAACAAGAGUUGUUUUACCAAUACCACCUAAACCAACAAUGGGGUAGACGGAAAGGAAGUCAGAGUCCCUCGCAUGGGUGAGAAGAAACUCAAAAAUCUUUUCUUUAUCAUCUUUUCGUCCAAACACUUCUGGUUUAGCAAUAAUGGAGUUGAUUUGACGCCAUUCAUCUACUUCAUCUGAGCUUUCCCUAACAUAUACAGUACCAUCUCGUAGAAGAAAUUUGUUCUUAAUAUCAGCAAUAUCAUCCAAUCUUCUUGUAAUCUCUUUCAACCUGUUGCCGAUCUGACGGCGAAACACGAUGUUCUUUGGGUUGAAAGAGAAUGAGCCUCCAAGUCGAGCAGACUCGAUCGAACACUCAUCAAGGAUAUCAUCGAGCACAUAAACAGCAUCUUUGAGUUGUUGGAGCCAUACCUUAAUAUAGCUGUCUUUGACUUGUCUCUUCUCAGCAUCUACAAGAACAGCCUCGAUGUGAUUUAAGGAGGUUGAUAGGUUUUUGGCCUUUGACUUGAUUCCAGAAAUGGUAGAAAAUUCACUUUGUAGGAGAGAAUUCACUUUCUCAAACGCAGCUCUAAGUAAAGCUUCGGCCAUUUUUUUAGAAAAGAAAGAGUUGAAAAGUUAUAAGGAAAUGAGAAACUGGUUUAGACAGAAAGAGUGCUAAGGAGACGCAAGUAGGUGUUCAAUAAUUGAUGCAACUUGCAGAGUCCAUUACAUUGUAUUUUAUUGGAUUAACGGUGUUUUAUCUAGAUCAUUUUUGGAUUUAUCUCUUAUAAAAUAUUUUUUUGGUUUAAUUGCACUUUUCCUCUCUAUAGUUUGCCAAUUGUACAAUUUUGCAUCCCAUAGUUUUAAACUAGCGAUUUUGCCCCCUAUAAUUUUCCCCUUUAUGAUUUUAUGGUCCCCAUGAUAUUUAGUGUUGGUUUUUUUUUUAUCAAUUAAUGUGUGUCACGUGUGUAAUUCCAUUUUUUUAAAAAUAAAAAAAAUGGUAUUUUUUAGAUUUUGAGAAGGGGGCACGUGAUUUUUCAGAUUUUAAGAAAAAAUAUCACGUGCCUCCUUCUCUCAAAAUCGAUGGAAAGAGUUUGAUUGAACUACUAUAACGAGUGGUCGACAUAACAAUGAAAUACCUUUACUUUAUAACCCUCUAAAAAAAAUUUAAUUGAUAGUACUUUAUGUAACACUCCGUUUUCUAAACAUAAACAAAUUCAUAAAAAUAAUCAGAGUUUUUCACAUAAACGGAAUGCUACACUUCUUUUCUUAAAAAUCAUAAACGAAAUAAUUAACUAAUAAAUAUCAACAUAUAACAUAACAAAAUAUCACUCAUCAAAAUAAAUCGACUAAAUUAUAAAAAGUCAUUUAAACUCAAUAAAAUAAAUAAAUAAUAAAAUAGAGUGUUACAACUCUACCUUCUUAAAAGAAUUUCGUCUUUGAAAUUUAAAGCACAAGAGAAAAAUGAAUUUAAUUAUUGCUUAAAUAUCUUAAACUUUGUAUAACAAAAAUAGAAACUUCAACAAUACACAAAAUUCACAUUAAAGUUAAUCAGUCAAACAUGAUCACAUAAUAAAACAUCACCAUUAAUUAGAAAAAUACAACGACAAACGACUCAACUACUUGGCCGGUCGGACCGACCUGCUCUGAUACCAAUUGUAACACUCUGUUUUCCCAACAUAAAAAAAUUCAUAAAAAUAAUCAGAGUUUUCCACAUAAACGAAAUGCUACAAUUCUUUUCUUAAAAAUCAUAAACGGAAUAAUUAACUAAUAAAUAUCAACAUAUAACAUAACAAAAUAUCACUCAUCAAAAUAAAUCGACUAAAUUAUAAAAAGACAUCUAAACUCAAUAAAUUAAAUAAAUAAUAAAAUAGGGCGUUACACUUUAUACUACUCUUCAGUACUUGUCGCUUUUAGAGAAUAAUUUUAUUUCAUUUUACUUGUCACUUUUAAGUUUCAAUACAAAAUUAAUUAUUGGUUUGUCAAUAAUACCCUUAUCCAUUUAUUGAAGAAAGAAAAAUAAUAAAAUGAAAUAACAAAUGAUUAAGAGUAUUAUAGAAAAAAAAACACAGAAUUUCAUCAAAAAUAACAAAAUUUAUUUGGUUUCUUGGUAUGUGUAAAUUUCUCAAAAGAGAUAAGUAUUGUGAAAUGGAGAGAAUAAUAACUUUGUUUUACAUUUUAUUUAUAAGAAAUGCAUGUCUUUAAUUGUUUCGAAGUUUAAAAUGAAAAUAUUAUUUUAAAAUAAAAAAUAAUUGUUUGUUCAUGCAAACAUUGAAAUAAUAAGAAAUAAUUAUUUUCUACCUAAAACUCUAACAUUAAACAAAUUUAAAUUGAAUAAGGACUAAUAUUGAAUGUAUAAAUUUUUUAUAGGGUCUAAAAAAACUAUUAUAAUUAAGUAAGAACUAAACUGAAAAGGUCGCAAUUUUACAGGGACCAAAAACAUAUUUAACCCAAAAAAAUUAUUCACUUUUAGUUUAUAUUUACAUGUUAUAAAGGACUAUUUUGGAGUACUAAAUGUGCCCAUUUUUUGUAAAAAGUUUUUAAAAUAAUGACUAUUCUUACAAACUAUAUGGAAUAGAAGAUUAAAAUUACCUUAAAAUUUUAUAGAAACUAAACUUAAGAAUUUGUGAUUUUGCAGCGACUAAAAAUAUAUAUUUAAUCAUUUGUUUCGUGAGCAUAACUCAGUUGGUAGGACAAUACAUUAUUAUAUACAGGGGCCGGAGUUUGAACCCCGGACACCCCACUUAUUCACCUUAUAAGGUGAAUUCUAACCACUAAGCUACCUGACAAAAAAAUAAAAAAGAUUUAAUCAUUUAAUUUCAUACUUGCUCAAGUUCUCUCUCCAAAAAAGUCUAAUUUAUUGUACUAAUUUUAGAUAAAAUAAUAUAUAGGAGUUCUCUUGAUUCUUGAAUCCAAAAAUCACCACUGUAUCUCAAUUCUCACAAGCGUAGGUUAGGGUCUGUUUGGUUCGCGGGUUUUGAACGGGAGGGGAGGGGAAGGGAGGGAAUAUUUUAAAAUUUUUGUGAUUAGUUCAAUUUUUAGAAGGGGAUGAGAGGGAGAGGAAGGGGAACAAAAUCCCUCAUAUAAGCUCAUUUAUGGCUCCUCCUCAAAUUGAAGUUUUUUGGAGGGGAGGGGAGAGAAAAAGAGAUGAGUUAAUGCAAUUUUAAUUACAUUAACAUAAUUAUCCUCAUGUUUAUUUUUAAAUGACAAAACCGUCCUUAUUAAAAAUUUAAGUGUUUUCAACAUAUUGCUUAUUACUAUCUUUUUUGUAACAUGUCAAUGUCAAUUUUUUUUUUUUUAACGAGAAUUGCAUAUUCUUGUCUUCUAAUUAUUAUUUUUUACGUGAAUUCACUUUUUUUUUACUAACGAUGCUUUUAUUUUUUUUAUUUGGAUAUAUUUAUUUUGGGUUUGGUUAUGGUGCAUAAGGAUUUUCCUUAUGCACCCUGCAUAAGGAUUGCUAAUAGGGCCCAUUAAUAGUAGCCCAACAAAUUUUCUGCUUCCUACACCCCAAAAACAGAAAACAAGUAAAACUGGCAAAACAAAACAAACUAUUCAUUUCUUCAACAACCACCUCUCUUUCACCUCUCACCGGAAACCGUCGCCGUUAACCAUCGCCGUCGUUCUUCACCACUGUAUCAAUCGCCAUCAUUUCUCAAGGUCGUCGUUCUCCACCACUGUCUUGAUUUCCCCACCAUCGUCGUUCUUACUAUCGUCGUUCUUCACCUUCCACCACCAUCGGAACACGAGGUCCAUCGGAAACAACCUCCACCACCGGAAACACUAGCCGCCGUUCUUCAUCAACACAAGGUCGUCAUUCUUCACCACCGGAGACACCGUCGUUCACUACACCAGCUCUUCACCACCACCGUCGUCGCCGUUCACUUCCAACACCGUCGUUCACUUCCAACGCCUUCGUUCACUACAACAUCUUCAACAAACAGCAAACAUGUCGAAAUCAAAUCAGGUUUGCACUGAACUUCUUUAUUGAUCGUAAAUUUGAUUUUCAACCAAAACCAUUUUUACGUGGAAAUGGUUUCUAUGUGUUGUACACUAAAACCAUUUGGUGCUGGUAAUUUUUUUCUUUGGAUUAAUGACUCAAGUAUAUUAUAAUCAUCUGAUGCUGGUAAUUGAUUUCUUUGAUCCAGGUUAACAAAUCUAACGACGGGGGGCCAAUUCCAAACUUCAGUAUUGGACUUACGCAAUUAGAGCAAGAGCAAGCAUCUGAUGAAGAUAAAGGAAAAAAAAAGGGUAAAAAGAUGGAAAAAAGGGUAAGUCUUCAAUUCUAUUUGCUGUCAUUUUUAGUACGAGCAAUAAUUUCUUCGUUGAUUUUUUAGUACGAGCAAUAAUUUGUUCAUUAUGCUGCAAUGUUGUUCAAUUGAAAGGUAUAUUUCAUUGAUUCUGAAAUAAAUUGUUUUAUCUAUGUUUCUUUGAUGUUUUGAUUUCAUCAAUCUCAAUUUGUUGUUGUAUAGUUCAUGCUAUGUUUUUAAUUGUUGCUGGAUGUAUGCUCUAUGAUUCAUGUUUUGACUCUUCGUGCUUAACACUGAACUGCUAGUGAUAGUUAACCUAUGAUAUGAAGCAUGCACUCGGACACACACAGCGCUGAUACGACACGUCAGACACAAUUUGAGAAAAUUAGACAAUUCAAUGUAAUCACAUGUGUCCUGUCAUCAUUUGAUUUGAUACGCUAUGUAGCACGGACACUUCUAUUUGACGAGGAUUUGGUUUGUCUGAAUAUCCAUAACCAAUAAGAUCAAUAGAGUAUAUGCGGUGGGAUUUUGCUAGGUCUGGAAUAUUUUUCCUCCAGUGAUCACUGCAAUGAAGUGUAUUCUCAAUCACUCAAAAUAACUGCAGAACCAAACAGACCUAGCUAUAAGACCCUUACAAUAAAUAUGUGAUAUAAUAUGUGUCCUGCAUUUUCUAAUUGAAAUGAAAGAACAUGAAUGCAUGUUUCUUAAUCAAAUUUCUAGAUACCUCUAUUCAUGAAAAAAUUCAAGAAUAAAGAUCCCUAUAAUUUCUAAAUCUUUGCCUGAUAAAUUGGUUGAUGGUUUAUGAGGAAGGAGAGGUGAAAGAAGCUAAAAAGUUGUGACUUAUGAUGAUGAAUGGUUUUGUUAUCUGAUGGUUCUGUUGUAUGCUUCAUGUUUAGAAUGGUUCUGUCUGCUGUCAUUUACUCUGAUAUUGAAGACGUAGGCACAAUUGGUCUAUAUCCUCUUAUAUCUCUGUCUGCAUAGUCCACUUCGUCAUAACUUCAAUCUAAUUUUUCUUCGUCUAAUGGUGCUAAGUACUAGCUGAGGCAUAGUCUACUGUGUUGUGUCUUAUAUUUCAACACUGAUAUGAUGGAUAAAUGUAUCUAAUAUGAUAGAAGCAAAUAUCUGAAGACCAUAUGAUGCUGUUAGUUAUUCUAAUUGUUGCUCCUCCCUAUUAGCUCUCUUCCAUAUAUUUGGUUAUGCAAUAUAAGGUCUUUAUUCCAAGUUCAAAAAACAAGAAAAUGUGAGUGAGUAAUCACUUUUGAGAAAAGGAAUUCUUCACUGAACUCCAUCUACAAUUCACAAAUCACAAGAUACAUAAGUUUAGAAAAUUUAUGUGAGCCUAACUGAUAGGAAUAGGAUCACACAUAACAAAUUCAUGCACUGCUUGGACUUGCACAAUGUUGAAUGUUGGAAAUAACAUAUGAAUGGUGGAAUGGUAGUUCUGGGUGAGCAUCAAGUCUCACGAGAGGCUUCAAUCCAAGAGGAAAAAAAACUGAAUUGAAUUUGUCUUGAACUCUCUCUGCAUUUGUGUGUGUCUGCAUCGUCUUAUAUCUCUCUCUGGCCCACUUGAAUUUUUCUUAACUACAAAGUUUCAAUUGUUUCGUUGAACACUGAGAUGAUAAAUACAUGUGUUUGAUAAGAUAGAAGAAAAAAUCUAAUACUGAGAUGAUAAAGACCGUUGGUUAUUGGUAGUUAUUCUAAAUUUCUAAUAGUGACAUCUCUAUGUUAGCAAUAGUUUUAAUUCAAAAUACAAGAAAACAUGAGAGGAAACUUACAAGAGGAAUGUCUGAAGGUCUGUUCUUUAGAAACUUAGACAAAAUAUGUGAGUGUUCAUUAAACUAUAUAUCUAUAAUUUGCAAGAUCACAAUGUAAUCUGUUUCCUCUUAUGGUUCUGGACAUAACCCUUGAUUCUAAGGUGAACCACAUUAAUUAACUCUAAUUGAGUUCUUAUGUGUUUUGUUUUUUCACAGAAGUUCCAACCAUUGUACUCCAAAACCAUUAGAUGUAUUUAAUGGUUUUCUUUGCUCAUGCAGGUGAAAAAAACUAAAGAGCUAGAGCCAUUGCCAUCAUUUAGUAUUGGACUAACUCAAAUAGAAGAGGAGGGCAGGAAUGAAGAGGCUAAAAGUUCAGAUAUGGAAAAUGAGGAAAAUGCAAAGCAAAGACUGAGGCAUAAGAUGAGUAUACCUAAGGUAUAUGAUCUUAUGAAUUCAGUAAAUGGCAAACAAAGAAAGGAUGAGAUCAUUAACGUAUUGAAUGAAAGUGGCUUUGGGGGAAUGGUUCAUUUCUGAAUCUGUGUUAAUGCUUCAAAAGAUGUUUAUGAAUUUCGAUGAAUUUGCUCAAAAUUAGGUGUAUGGAAUACUGAAACCAUAAGUAUGGUAUAAUGGUUUUGAUAGUGUACUAGGUAAAACCAUACUUAUGGUGUAAUGGUUUUGAUCAAAAUUAUUAUAGGUACGUGGUUCUAAUGGUUUUCUAAAUAAAAACAAAUGUGAUAAACAGUUAUUUUAGGCCCAAGAAUGUUGAAUUUAAUUAAAAUUUGCUCAAAAUUAGGAGUAUGGAAUACUGAAACCAUAAGUAUGGUAUAAUGGUUUUGAUAGUGUACUAGGUAAAACCAUACUUAUGGUGUAAUGGUUUUGAUCAAAAAUUAUUAUUGGUACAUGGUUCUAAUGGUUUUCUAAAUAAAAACAAAUGUGAUAAACAGUUAUUUUAGGCCCAAAAAUGUUGAAUUUAAUUAAAAUUUGCUCAAAAUUAGGUGUAUGGAAUACUGAAACCAUAAGUAUGGUAUAAUGGUUUUGAUAGUGUACUAGGUAAAACCAUACUUAUGGUGUAAUGGUUUUGAUCAAAAAUUAUUAUUGGUACAUGGUUCUAAUGGUUUUCUAAAUAAAAACAAAUGUGCUAAACAGUUAUUUUAGGCCCAAGAAUGUUGAAUUUAAUUAAAAUUUGCUCAAAAUUAGGUGUAUGGAAUACUGAAACCAUAAGUAUGCUAUAAUGGUUUUGAUAGUGUACUAGGUAAAACCAUACUUAUGGUGUAAUGGUUUUGAUCAAAAAUUAUUAUUGGUACAUGGUUCUAAUGGUUUUCUAAAUAAAAACAAAUGUGAUAAACAGUUAUUUUAGGCCCAAGAAUGUUGAAUUUAAUUAAAAUUUGCUCAAAAUUAGGUGUAUGGAAUACUGAAAUCAUAAGUAUGGUAUAAUGGUUUUGAUAGUGUACUAGGUAAAACCAUACUUAUGGUGUAAUGGUUUUGAUCAAAAUUAUUAUAGGUACGUGGUUCUAAUGGUUUUCUAAAUAAAAACAAAUGUGAUAAACAGUUAUUUUAGGCCCAAGAAUGUUGAAUUUAAUUAAAAUUUGCUCAAAAUUAGGUGUAUGGAAUACUGAAACCAUAAGUAUGGUAUAAUGGUUUUGAUAGUGUACUAGGUAAAACCAUACUUAUUGUGUAAUGGUUUUGAUCAAAAUUAUUAUAGGUACGUGGUUCUAAUAGUUUUCUAAAUAAAAACAAAUGUGAUAAACAGUUAUUUUAGCCCAAGAAUGUUGAAUUUAAUUAAAAUUUGCUCAAAAUUAGGAGUAUGGAAUACUGAAACCAUAAGUAUGGUAUAAUGGUUUUGAUAGUGUACUAGGUAAAACCAUACUUAUGGUGUAAUGGUUUUGAUCAAAAAUUAUUAUUGGUACAUGGUUCUAAUGGUCUCAGAUAACACAAAUGCUCUGGUUUAUGUAAUGGAUGACAGUGAGCCACAUCCCAUCUAUAAAUCUUAUACACAUUCAAAACUUCAUCCAGCUUCAAAUAUAUUCCAGCUUUACAACCGACCCUUUCCUCAGGUUUUUCUUUCACUUUCACAAACUCAAUAACCAGUGGACUGUCUGAUGUUGGCCUGUUGUUAGGAUUAAGCAAACUUCCCUUCUUGUAACCUUGUUUGUUACAAACAUAACGCAAAUAAUGUAUCUUUUCUGAUUUCUUAUUUUGUGAAUUAUUCUUCGACUUCAACAUAGUCCUAAUAGAAAAUCCAGUGUUAUAUGCAUAAUUACCAUAAAAAUCUUCAACCUCUUUGAUAGAUUGAAAGACUAAAGACUUCCAUGAUUCUUCAUUGCUAGGGGAGUAACAUUCAGUAUGAAUCAUUGAAGAAGUUUCAACACUCAGUUGUCCACUCUCAGCAUGAAUCAGUGAUGAAGCUUCAACACUCAGUUGUCCACUCUCAGAUGAAGUUGAUAUCAAAUCCAUUGAAAACAGCAACAAACACUAUUAAGAACAAACAACCAUUAGCACAUUAAGCAUUUUUCAUUCAAUAUACAAAACGAUUAACACAUCAAUGCAUGUAAAUUUGCAGAUUAAGCAUUCAAGAUCAGAAAAGUAGACAAGGACUGAAAAAACUACAAACAAUAACACAUCAAUGCUCUUAUUUUUCAAUCUAAUAUUCCUAAAAGUUUCGCAUAAAUCUUUGCUUGACUUGAAUAAUGAGUUAUUCACUCUUGUUUAUCAUCGGCUUAAAUUCGAUUGUAUAGCUAUAAAUUCCAUUUUUCAUGGUUACAAACCAGGAAUAAAAGGACUCCUCUUUUCACUGCAUAUCAUAUUAGGUUCUAGAAGUGACAGUUUUUUGUGAUUGACAGUUUUAUGUGAUACAUUGAUUUUCAUAAGUUGUAAAUUUUAGGUAUCAUACAACUUUCAAUAAGUGUCCUGGAGUUUGUGACACAAGAGUUUUAUGUCUGAAACUAUAUAGAAAAAUAAACUUGUUUGGUUCUGACUAGGUUUGGAUAUUGUUUUUACAGAAAUCAAUUGUAGCAAAUAUAAGUUAUUACAUGAUACAAUAGUCCUCAAAUAUAGUAAAAUGUUAAUGUCUGACACUAUAUAGCAAAUAAACUUGUUUGGUUCUGAUUCUUAAUGCAUCUAAUUUUAGUCUCUUAAUGACACUUCACAUCAAAAUUGUAAGACUCUGAACAAUAAUUUUGUAAAUCAUGUUCAAUGACACUUCACAAGAAAAACUUUAUCUGCUGUUUCAUAUCCUUUACUGAUGGUUUCAGGUUGAGAAAGAAUUCUAUGUUGAGGAAUUAGUGUUUCCUUAUAAGCAAAAUCAUAAAUUCAACACAGAAAUAGAGAAUACAAACAAACAAUAAAUCUUUGCCUGAAAAAACUACAAACAAUAACACAUCAAUGCUCUUAUUUUUGAGGAAUUAGUGUUUCCUUAUAAGCAAAAUCAUAAAUCCAACACAGAAACAGGGAAUACAAACAAACAAUAAAUCUUUGCCUGAAAAAACUACAAACAAUAACACAUCAAUGCUCUUAUUUUUGAGGAAUUAGUGUUUCCUUAUAAGCCAAAUCAUAAAUUCAACACAGAAACAGGGAAUACAAUCUAUUGAAUUUAUUAAGAAAUUCAAUAAAUUCAAUCACAGGAACAGGGAAUGGUUCAUAAAUCACCAAAAAUGCAGGAACAGGGAAUGGUUCAUAAAUCACCAAAAAUGCGAAAUUGAAAACCGAUCAAACACAGAAAAACAUCACAAACGCAAAACCUGAAGGUUAAUCGGAGUUGAGCGAGCGGCGAGCGGCAGAGAAUGAGCGGUGAGCGGCGGUAGAGAAGCACUUAUGAGAUGAGCGGCGGCAAGCGGGAGGGUUGCAACAACAAUGAAUAGGCGAGCGGCGAGCGGCGGUAGAGAUUGAGAGGCGACGGCGGCAGAGAAGCGGCGAGCAGCGAUCGGCGAGGUGAGAAGAGGAAAAUGAUAGUAUGAGAUGUGAAGGAGAGUGUGAGCUGAGAUUAUUACACGUGUAAAACCAAUCUGAAGGUUGAAAAGAGCUUAUGCAGGGUGCAUAAGGGAAACCCUUAUGCACCAUAACUUAUACCAUUUAUUUUAUAGUUUUUGAUUGUAUUAUAUAUUAAAACAUAAUUAAUAAAAUUUGUAGAAGAUUUUUUUAUAAAUAUAUUUUAAAAAUAAUUUCUAACAAUAAAUUUUUUAUAAAUAUUUUUAUAUUGUACUAGAUUAUUUUAGAAGUGCUCUAAUAUUUAUGGAUAUCUAAUAUUUUGUUAGAACUUUUGUGUUUGAUUAUUUAUGGAGUUUUUGGUUACCGAGUUUUCAUGUUUAAAUUUUUAUGAACGGAAUAAUAUAAAAAUCAUGAUAUUGUUUUAAGGCUAGAGGGAUAAAAAAGUAAUUUGGUUUUAAAAUCCAUCCCAUUCCCUUAUGAAUCAAACAUAUAUUUAAUUAAAAUCUCUUCCUUCCCCCUUCCCUCCCAUCAUUUGAACCAAACAUAUAUUUAAUUGAUAUAUCUCCCCUUCCCCCCUCCCUUUCCCUCCCUUCCAUUAAAACCCCUCCCCUUCCCUCUGUUGAACCAAACGGACCCUAAAGAAUUAUAGACUGGUACGUUGUGAGUAGUGCACAAACGUGAAAAAGGAUUGAUGUGUGCUUUUGAAGACCGCUAGGGUUUUACGGCACCGCUUGCGAUUGCACUUGCCCUUAAUUCCAUCAAUUUUGAAUUGAAGUUCGGUUGGUGUUUUAAUCCAAUCGGUUACCAUCCAAUUGGUGUUAAACCUUUAUCAUCAUCAAUUUGUUUUAGCAAUUGUGGGGCUGGUGGUUCAAAGGUAUCACGUAGAAGUUUUUGAGUUACUAGCUUUCAACGAAGUCCUUUACAACAAGUUAACAAGUUGCUGCAAUUGAUAAUUGUAUGUCACAUUUUGGCUCUGUUUGGUAAACAUAACGGAUAACUAUAAGUUCGUUGAUAGCUUAUAGCUGAUAGCUUUUAGCUGAUAGCUUUUAGCUGAUAAAUGUAAAAUGACAUAAAGGGUAUUCUUAAUUCAUAAUAAAAAUUAUAUCAUUAAUUUAAGUAUUUGUAAUUUUGUAAACUAAUUUUUCUUUCAAAAAAUACUUUAAAUUUAUUAAUUUAAUAUAUCCUAUGUAUUAUAAAUUAAAUUAAAUUUUAUUCACUAAAAUUUUAUCUUAUAUUUAUUAUCAUUUAAGUGUUUCCACUUUAUAAAGAAAAUAACAUUUACCUCAAAAAAAAAAAAAAAAAAGGUAGCACUAAUAGAGUAAUACUAAUAACAGAGAAUAAAGAAAAUAACACUUACCUCAAAAAAAAAAAAAAGUAACACUAAUAGAAUAAUAGUAUUUUGUUUCGUAAAAAAAAAAACGAAGGUAUAUAUUUUUUCAAAAAAAAAAAGAAAGAAAAAGGCCAGCUGCUAUAUAUACAAAAAUUGGAAUAAAGGGAUAGUAGUCUUUAUUACGUAGCUUAUUAUAAAAAUUAUAAUGGAUAAAAAUACAAUUUAAAUGAAAUAAUAAGGGUAAAAUUGGAAGAAAAAGUGAGAAGAUAUAAGCUAUAAGCUCAAACGCUACUUGGAAUAGCUUCUGAAAAAUAGCUUAUAAGCUCGUGAAAUAAGCUAUAAACUCAUGGUGAAAAAGUGUUACCAAACAGAGCUUUUUUUGUCAAACGAGCUUAUAAGCUAUAAGCUAAAAGCUAAAAGCUUUUUUUUUGGGUUUCCCAAACAGACCCUUUGGAACCAAGGAAUCACGACAGGUUUGAAUUACGACUGCCCUAGCUCCGGUGUGGCUUUGCCAGCCUCAGCCAUGUUUGACUGACUGGCAGGCAGAGCUAGCGCCUCCAACCCUCAACUUUGGAACCAAGGAAUCACGACAGCUUUCAACAGUGCUCGCACCCACACCUGUUAAGUCUAUUGUCGCUCCUACGGUUCAGAUGACAUCAGUUGCACCUAAGCCCUCGUUUGAUCAGGUCCUACGUGGUAAUACGAUACUGUCUGACCCUCUCCCGGUGCCUUCCAUUCGUGGUGAAAUAUUAUCUGUCAAAAUCACGGAUGAUGUCUAUUUUUGUGAACUAGAUGCUUGCAAAACCAACCUUCGAGGUCGGUUGCUUCUGAACAAAGGAGAUAAGCCUUACUCCUCCAAAGAUCUUGCUGACAAAUUACAGAAGUUGUGGAAAGUGAAGGAGCCAUGAAAUUUGACGUCCCUUGGACAGGGUUAUUAUGAAAUUUUCUUUAAUUCACAAGAGGACAUGCGAACCGUUUGGGUAGACGGUAGUAUUAGCUUGAAGCCAGGCUUACUCGGAUUAUUUGAAUGGACAAAAGACUUCAACAUGCACACGCAACGACAAACUCACACUCAGGUUUGGAUUCGGUUAUGGGAAUUACCACAGGAGUACUGGAUGGAGAGAACCUUAUAUGAGAUCACAGGGGCGGUGGGAACUUCGUUACUCAUUGAUAAUGUGACUAGAAAUAAACUUUAUGGUCAUUAUGCCGCAUUUUGGUUGACAUGGAUCUUUGGAAAGAUAUUUUUAAGGUUCUGUUUGGUUAGAGACGCUUCCAGCUAAGUUGCAUAUUUCUUUCGAGACAGAAUUGGUCUACCCAAUAUAGAUUUCUUUUGUUCUGUUUUUUUUUCUUUUUUUUCCGAGAGUUUUGGCCUAGUCUCCCUUCUUUCUUGUACAUACUUUUUUCCUUUUUUUUUAAUUUUAUUUUAUUGAAUUUAGAGUUUGGCAAAAAUAGGACCGAGGCUUUCCGGGGUGCCAACUUAGUUACGAUGUCGGUGUUGUCUCCUGAUGUCUGACUUUCUCCUGCUGAGCAAAGAAAAAAAAAAGUGCACAAACGUGGAAUGGAAUAAUAAGCAUUACUACAAUUAAAUGUUAAUAUUAAUUUUAAAGGUUAAAUAUGUUUUGGUCCCUGUAAAUAUAUCAAAUUUUUCUUUUAGUCAUUCUAAAAAAUUUCAUUGAUUUUUAAUUUUUUUAAAAUUUUCAAACACCACUUUUGAUUCAUAUUUUUAUGUCAAUUCAUGUAAUUUUUAAUGAAAUUGUGCAGAAAUGUGUAGAAUAUUGUAAACAUUUAUUCGAAAACAUAUUUGAUUUUUUAGAUGUUCAUAUAACAUCACUAAAUUUUAAAGAACCCUAUUUGCAGAGACUAAACACAUUUAUAUUAUUAAGGUGUUGUUAAUUAAGGAGUGCCCCCGAACACUCUUUUAGGAUCACAAGUUUGGAAAAUAUUCUUUCAAAAAAUCAAAUAUUACAAAUUUUAAUACAUUAAUAACAUACAUUUUUAUAAAAAGUUACUACUAUUAAAAGAUCUUAAAAGAAUACUCUUGGAGCAUUGAUCUUAUCAUUUCCCUUAUUUGGAGUAAAGCUCUUAAAACAAAUAAAUUAUUUGGAGUAAAAUUGACUUGGGUCAAUAUGGAUUGAUUAUUAUAUUGCAAUAGACUUGCGUGACUAUCUGUAUUUUGCAUUUUCGAUAAGGAAAGUGUUGACUGAAUGAAAUCAAUACUCCAAAUAUGAACCAUCAAUGGAUAUACGACGUGUUCAUAAAUUUCAGAGGGGACGACAGUCGUAAUAGCUUGGUUUCUCAUCUGUACGCUGCUCUCUCAAACGCGCGAAUCAACACAUUUCUUGACGAUGAGAAGCUUCACAAGGGAUCGGAGCUGCAACCACAACUAUUGAGAGCAAUACAAGGGUCUCAGAUCUGUUUAGUUGUUUUCUCGGAGAAUUACAGUAGAUCUAGUUGGUGUCUUCUUGAACUUGAAAAAAUCAUGGAAAACCGUGGUACUCAUGGUCAAAUAGUUAUACCAAUAUUUUACCAUAUUGAUCCAGCCAUUGUUCGUCGUCAGUUAGGUAAUUUUGGAAAAGCUUUAGAAAUUACAGCUAAAAAAAUGCAAUCAAAAAGGGAGAAGCAAAAACUGUUGUUGCAGACGUGGAAGUCUGCUCUUAGCCAAGCUACAAAUUUAUCUGGCUGGGAUGUCACCUCUUCCAGGUAAAUCAUUUUCUUCUUCUUUUUUUUUUUUAAUAAUUUUAUUUUUUAGAAUCAGAAUGAAUUAAUGUUUUUAAGUUUUUUUUCUUUCACUAUAUUCAUAUUAUAAUUACUGUGUGGUGUGUAAAAAAAAGAAAGAAGCUAGUAUGUGUUAACAAAUGUUUCUGACAAACCAUUUUUUAUAAUAUACGUCAUUUUGGUCACUAUUAUAAAAUUAUAAUACUGAGUUAGCAGAAACAAUGCAUUUUUAUAUGCAGAAAAUGUAAGGAUUAUUCUUCAAUGCAUUGUUUUUAGUCCCAGUUAUUUAUUAAAAUGUAAUGAUUAUUCUUCAAAGUCACACAAAAUUUAGGGAUCAAAAACAUAUUUAACUCUAAAAUAAUUGGGACCCACUAACUAUCACAUCAGCAUUCCGUUGGAGAAUUAACAGCUGAGCCUAAUUUUGAUAACGGAGACAAAAUGUGAGGAUUUUAAAAACAUUAAUGAAAUGUAGGGACUAUUCUUCGAAGGAGCGUAAAAUGUAAGGACUAAAACCAUAUUUAACCCUAAUAUUUACUAGAUCCAAUAGCUUUUCAAAUAAUCUAAUUUUUUUUUUCUUCUUAUAAUAAUAACCGAAUUGUGUAACAUUCUUAUAAACACAUUUAUUUUUUGAAGGAUAUAAACACAUUUAUUUAAAAGUAUAAUUCAAAGUAUAAAAAAGUCGGUCCAAAAUUCCUAUAACUUUAUAUGUUGUUAACUGAUGAUAAUAAUAAUAAUAAUAUUCAUUGAAUUUGAAGGAAUGAAAGUGAACUGGUGCAAAAAAUUGUUGAGGAGGUAUUGGCAAAGCUAGACAACACAUUCAUGCCUCUUCCUGAGCACACGGUUGGACUAGAGUCCCGUGUUGAGAAAAUGGUUCCAUGGAUUGAAAAUAAUUCAACAAAGGUUUGUAUGAUAGGCAUAUGGGGAAUGGGAGGGUUGGGUAAAACUACGGCAGCCAAAGCCAUCUACAAUCAAAUUCAUCGCAAAUUUGUGUACAGAAGUUUCAUCGAAAAUAUUAGAGAAACUUGUGAAAGGGAUAGCAAAGGCGGAUGGCAUAUUUGUUUACAACAACAACUUCUUUCAGAUCUUCUCAAAACAAAGGAGAAGAUACACAACAUUGCCUCUGGGACAAUUGCAAUCAAGAAAAUGCUCUCUGCAAAAAAGGUGCUCAUUGUACUUGAUGAUGUGACCAAAGUAGAGCAGGUAAAAGCCCUAUAUGAAAGUCGUAAGUGGUUUGGUGCAGGAAGUGUAUUAAUUGUUACAAGCAGGGAUGCACACAUACUUAAGUCACUUCAAGUUGACCAUGUCUAUCCAGUUAACGAGAUGGAUCAAAAGGAGUCCCUCGAGCUUUUCAGCUGGCAUGCGUUUAGACAGGCAAGUCCAAGAGCAGACUUCAGUGAGCUCUCAAGUAGUGUAAUUAAGUACUGUGGAGGACUACCCUUGGCUGCUGAAGUCAUCGGAUCUUAUUUAUAUGGCAGGACAAGAGAAGAAUGGACAAGUGUGCUAUCAAAACUAGAGAUAAUUCCUGACCAUCAUGUGCAAGAGAAACUAAGAAUAAGCUACGAUGGUCUAAGUGAUGGUAAGCAAAAGGAUAUAUUUCUUGACAUAUGUUGUUUCUUUAUCGGCAAGGACAGAGCUUAUGUUACUGAGAUUCUAAAUGGCUGUGGACUUUUUGCUAGUAUUGGAAUAUCUGUCCUCAUAGAGCGGAGCCUCUUAAAAGUUGAAAAGAAUAACAAGCUUGGAAUGCAUGAUUUAAUAAGAGACAUGGGAAGAGAAAUUGUUCGUCAAAAUUCAGAAAAAGAUGUUCGCCAAAUUUCAGAAAAAGAUCCAGGGGAGCGUAGUCGGUUGUGGUUUCAGAAAGAUGUACAUGAUGUUUUGACAAAUAAUACUGUAAGAACUUUCUCCAUAUACAAUUUGAAACUUUUGAAUAUCCUCUGUAAUCUUAUGAAAAUUAUAAAGUUCUCUUUGUUAAUGAACUGAUUUGCUCUUCAUAACUAUUUGCUGAAAAAUCUUCAUGUUUGUUACAAGUGUGCUUGGGCCACAGCCCACAUCUGCCGUUUUGUUGCCACUGUUCUAGCAAGUAAACGAAAAACAUUUCCCCUUACUUUUCUUAGUUUUUUCUCUUCACACACAGGGAACAAAAACUGUUGAGGGUUUGGUUUUAAACUUGGAAACAACAAGCAGAGCUAGCUUUAAUACUAGUGCUUUUCAGGAGAUGAAGAAACUGAGACUUUUACAACUUGAUUGUGUUGACCUCACUGGAGAUUUUGGGUUUCUUUCCAAACAACUGAGAUGGGUCAAUUGGCGACAAUCUACCUUCAACCAUGUUCCCAACAACUUUUAUCAAGGAAAUCUAGUUGUUUUUGAAUUAAAAUAUAGCAUGGUUAAACAAGUUUGGAAGGAGACCCCGGUAUAAUAACAUUUUCUUUAAAAUUCAAAUGCUCAUGACAAUAGAAUCUGUUGCCACUCUUUCAUUUCUGAUUUUCAUCUCUAAUUUUUCUUUUAAAUGAUUAUUUUCUUGCAGUUUCUGGACAAGCUAAAAAUUCUCAACCUCAGUCAUUCCAAGUACUUGAAAAACACCCCUAACUUUUCAUUAUUACCGAGUCUAGAAAAGCUCAUUAUGAAGGAUUGUCCAAGUUUGUCCGAGGUACACCCGUCCAUUGGAGAUCUCAAUAAUCUUCUUCUGAUAAAUUUUAAGGAUUGUACAAGUCUUGGCAAUCUACCAAGAGAGAUAUCUCAAUUGAUGUCUGUGACAACUCUCAUACUUGAUGGUUGUUCAAACAUUACUGAAUUGGAAGAAGAUGUAGUGCAAAUGAAAUCCUUGAAAACUCUAAUGGCAGCAAGAACUGGUAUAGAAAAAGCACCUUUUUCCAUAGUUAGUUCGAAAAGCAUUGUUUAUAUAUCCCUGUGUGGAUUUGAAGGAUUUGCACGUGAUGUUUUUCCUUGUCUCAUACGGUCUUGGAUGUCACCAACAAUAAAUUCCUUACCACAUAUCCCUCACAUGUCCUUGGGUGUAGAGAGUAAUGAUUUGCGUUUGGGCAAUCAAUCAUCAACGCUUAGAAGCUGUUCAACACCUAGAAGUGUUUGGGUACAAUGCUGCUCCGAUAUUCAAUUAACUGAAGAAUUAAAAAGAUUACUUAAUGAUCUAAACAGUGUGGAUUUUACUGAAUCAGAAACUUCACAUGCAUUACAAAUCUCAGAUCUAUCAUUGAAAUCUUUUGUUAUUACUCUUGGCAAGAGCUUAUCACAGGUUCCUUCUCUAUCCUUUUAGUCUCACAUGUACUGAUAUCUAUUGUUAAUUAAGAGAACACGAUGAUAUUUUCUGUUUGCAUUUUUUUCUUUAAAUGGUUAAAGUUUCUUGAAGAUACAAAUUUAUUCAGUCAGACGUGUACCAUUGAAGUGAAAUAAUUUUUUAGAUAAUUACACCCUCUUAUUUUUUACUAUACGUGUCAUAUUUUUUAUAAUCAAUCUGGUUUUAUGUCUGGGAUGUUUACCAUUGAAGCAAUCUACUUACUGCAAAAUGUAAUGGAGUGAUAUCGGAUGGAUAAGACUUCCACUUAGUUUUCAUUAAUUUGGAGAAGACAUAGAUAGAGUGCCUAGAGAGAUUUUGUGGAAAACUCUCGACAAGAAAGGGGUUAAGACUGCCUACUUUUGAGCUAUCAAGGAUAUGUGUGGGAGGUUCUCGACUAGUGUGAGGACACAGAGUGGGGUCACAAGAUUUUCCCAUAACAAUAGGACUGCACCAAGGGUCCAUUCCAAGUCCUUAUCCUUUUUACUUUGGUUUUGGGCUUACUUAGGGAGAGGAAAAAGAAAAAUUAUAAGAGAUAGUAUUAAAAACAACAAUUAUUUUUAUGCAAUAAACAAAGCAAAUGAGUUCAAGCACGGUAUAGCUGCUAGGAAAGAAAGGCGUAAUAGAAAAUUAUUCAUAGAGAUAACAAAACCCUCAUCUACUAGAAAAGUUGAGGUUCCUUCCCUUUUCUAAGUCCUAGAUGACAAAACUCUCAACUGAAAUUUAGUGAUAUCAUUAUUAUCUUACAGAUGGAAAUUACCAAAACUUUUAAGUUGAGAUAUUAACUAGCAUAUGGAAAGUGAAAAGAAGUAUAAGAAAAGGUUAAUUAUAACAUGAGAAAAUGGUCAUUGGCCAAUUACAAGUUAAAAUCUGUGUAUGGCAUAUCAGUAUUUCAAGGGUUCUGCAGCUAUUAUAAAAGCAUUCUGCUAUUGAUGUGAGUGUUACAAAACUAUUGCCUCAUUGCUUUAAAUCAGUUUCUGUGUAUAUUUUUAUUUUUAUUUUUCUGUGUAAUGCACUAUUUUUACACUAUAAAUGGCACAAAAAUGUCUAUUAGCAUGAAAUAAUUACACAACUAACUCAACAUAUGUUCAUGAUACAGGGAUUAACAACCACAACCACUGGUUCCAAUGAUUGUUUUGUUCUGGUUAACAAUUAUCCUUCUGGGUUAUCUUAUACAUGUACAGGACCUUCAGUCCGAUUUCGAGUGCCUGAGGAUAGUGAUUGUCACAUGAAGGGAAUUACUUUAUGUGUUGUUUAUUCAUCAACAUUUGAAAACAUGGAAACUGAAUGCCUCGUUGGUGUUUUGAUUAUUAAUUAUACAAAAUUCACUAUCAAUUUAUACAAGCGAGACACAGUAAUGUCCUUUAACGAUGAAGAUUGGCAGGGUGUAAAAUCAAAUUUAGGAGCUGGUGACAAUAUGGAGAUUUUUGUAGCUUUAGGGAAUGGUAUGACUGUUAAAGAAACAGGUGUCCAUCUUGUACAUGGCCAAUCAAGUACUAUGGAAGUUGAGUCGUCGUCAAUGACCAUGGAAGUUGAGCAAUCUAUUAUGGUAAAAAUGGAGCCAUUGCCCGAAGUGGAAGUGCAAACGCAGCCUAAUGUGAAAAUAGAUCCAUCACCUGAAGAGGAAGUACAAUCAUCCCUUGAUGUGAAAAAUGAGGCAUCACUUAUUAUCCAGAAUGAACCAUCACUGGAGCCAUCGCUUACUGUCCAGGACGAGUCAUCACCGAAGCCAAAUGAAAACAUCUUUGCAAAACUUGGAAAGAGAGUUGGUAAAUGUGUAUGCUUGAAACUAUAGAAUAGGGAUCUCAGAAAUUUAUGAUUGCCCAAUUGGGCACACUUUGUCCUAAUAUCGAAAUACCUUCCUAAAUAUUAUCAUCUUAACGACUUUACCUGUAUGUUUUUGUAGGAUACUCAUCUAGUUUUGAACUGCAUUAACUACUUAUUUAUAUAUUACCCAUUUAUCAUGUAAAUGUAAACAAUAAAUAUCAUGACAUCCUCUAAAAAAAAAACAAUUGGAUAGAAAGAUAAACUAAUGAUCUAUCCUGAAGAGGAAACUUAAGAAAAUCGACAUCAUUUGUUUUUAAUACCAUUUCACCAACAUGUGGCACAAUUGGAAAAACAUAUUAGGAGAUGUGAACUCAACUCUUUAAAUGCAUCUCAAUUAUUUUUAUAUAUUAGUUUUCACAGUUAUGUGGGGAUAAACUGGUUUAUCAAAAAAUUAAUACCACUUCUAUUUUUUAAUGCUUUUAAUUUAGUCACUAAAUUUAGGCAGAGAAGACAAUAAAUUAAUGAGAAAUGAUAUUUGUACAUCCAUUUUAUGAUAAUUUUUGUACAAUCUUCUCUCUCAUACUUACAUUAUCUUUUUGGGAGGGAGCUUGGACUAUGCUAAUGUCAGUUUUUAUAUUAGUAGUAUGUGAAACUUCCAUCGUAUUGUUUGAUUCAAUUUAUGUGGUUCUGAAAAUGUUGUUAAGAAAUUCUCAUGCGUGGUAUCCUGCUUUAUGAUUUAAAAAUUUAAAAAAACCAAAAAUCAGUGUCAGAUUUCGAAAAAGUUACUCCCUUCACCCAAGUUAACCCUCCAAGGUCAAUGGGGAAGGCGACGGUGCAGGGAAGGAAUUAGUGAAUAAAAUUGUUAGGUCAUGUAUUGUUUUCGAUCAAAUCGCAAAAACAAAACAUCAACUUUGGCCUGAAGCAUUGAACCCGCUUCCUGAAAUUUAUUUCAGAUUAGACGACUAUCCAUCAAAUUGUUUAGUCCAAAAGCUCUUGAACCGAUCUAUCACCUUGCAUCUAAAAGAGAUUGCAAUCCAAAAAAAUAAAAUUGUAAUAAUAAAAAAUGAGAUUAAAAUAAUCUUUUUGAUAAUUGAAUGUGUGAGGUGAUGUCAUUAUAGAAUUUGAAUGCAUGAAUAUCACAAAAACAUCUCAAAGUGCUUUUUGUUAGUAAUUUUAUGGAUGAAAUUGACUAAUGAAAAACAUUUUCAAGAACCAAGCAAAAAAGAAAGACUUUUGAAGACCAAACUCAAUAAAAAAAAUAUGUAUUUCAAUAAUUUUUAUUAUUUCGAUACAUUUUUUUAUUUGAAUCAGCAACAUUUAUUAGGCUCGGCUAGCACAAGAUGCACUUAACCGGCGAAGGAGGAAAAAGAGUACAAAUAGGCACUACAAAACAGACCGCAGCGCACUACCAAAGACAAACUUGAUAAAAAAAAACCCCUAAGAGCCCAAUUCCAACCAAAGGAGGACUCAAACAACAGCAUAAAAACAACAAGAACGAAAUACAAGUGGAACGCUUAAACAACAAAAAACGCAGGCUGCCAAACACACACAACCACCAACAACAGAAAACAGCUCCCAAAAAAACCAGUCAACAAAAGCUAUCUCACAAGGCACGCCAAAGGGUUCCAACACCAUUCGUAGAAAAGGAAAAGCAGCGCUUUUUAAACGACUUAGACACCACCGCCACGACAAAACUUUAAUAUCAUCCACCAACUCCAUCACCCCCGUCUCCUUAGCAUUGAAAAUUUUAUCAUUCCUUGCCUUUCAUAUCACCUAAAUAGUCGCAUGCCAAAUGAGUCUAAGUCCUCGAAUGAUCUUCUUGUUCGACGAAACCGCAUUCCAACACGCCCAAUGGAUGAACAAGUUUUGAGGAAUGAUGAACAUAAAACCCACCCAAUGGAGAAGUUCUAACCAAACACCUCUCGCAACCUCACAAUGCAUAAAAAGAUGAUUCGUGCUUUCGUUAUCCCUUCCACACAAAACACAACUCAAAUUAAUAUCUGGAGAAAGGGCGUUCCUUCUACGAAGGUUGACACGGGUAGGGAUACGGUCUAACAACAUCUUCCACGAAAGAGCCUGAUAGUACUCAAAAGUAAUAUAUUUCAUGUGUUAAUUUAGGCAUUUUAGUGACUUGUUUUGCAAGUUAUCUAAGGAAAAACUACCAUUUAUCGUAAUUUUGCCAUUUAUGCUUUACAUGUCUUACUCUACUCAAUUUGUGCAGGAAAUGACAAGCAAGGACCAAGAAACCACUUUAUGAGCCAAGCCAAACUCGCUUAAGCGAGAAAGUUCCAGAGAGCAGCCAUCCAUCUCGCUUCUGAGCCGUGGUUUUAUUUCCGAUGCGUUGUUUGGUGAGAACUAUUUAACUCUCGCCCUUGACGAGCUUGUUUGUAUCUUUUCUAUGAUUUAUCUGAAACAUAAUGAUACUUCCACACUUCCAAAGUAACCAACAAAAUAAAUAAUGAAGUUUUAAUCAUAUCCAAUCAUUUUCAAUGGGAAUUAUCUAUUCUUUGUCUUAGCUUACCCAUAAUUUCUACUCUUCUUCAUAUUCUCUUUUAUUUUACUAAAUUCAAAAUCUUUUAAUCCUUUUCUUCUUUCUAUUAGAUUGGAACUAAGUCUUCUACUCUAUGAUACUACUUCUCUUAGAUCAAAAUUCGCUACAUCCCUAUUUAGAUUUGAACUAGCUGGCCCAUUUCAUUCUUUUCUGUUAUACUCCUUCUCUUAACUUGGAAAAAAGCAUCGCCUGCUAUCCUACUUUCUACUUCUCUUCAUGCUCCUAUUAGAAAUUUGAACUAAGUCAUGCAUAUUUUAUUCAUUCUCCUUCUACCGUUCAUCCAUCCCAUGAAGUGUAAAAUGUAGUUGCUGACAUUAUAGGCUAUAGAGAAAUAAUAAGAGCUCACUUAUAUAAAUGAGUUGCACAUAACCACAUAUUAUGUGUAUAUGCACCAAAUAAUAGUUGGAAAAUAGAUAAUAUCGAUUAAAUUGUAUAACCAAAUUUUGUCUCAAAAUAUGAACUCUUAAGUUGUUAUUAAUUACUUUUCAAAUGCCGCAAAUGUAUAAUAAUUUUGACACAUAAAAUCGGAAAGACAGAACCUGAGCGUUAAUUCUCUCUUUUGAAUGAAGUGUUAUGUUACAUAGAAUUAUAGAGUUCUGGUGUCGCCGACUGUGAUCCAGAAGUAUGUCAUUAAUGCACUGCCUGACGCCAACCUUGAUCCUGCAUAAGAUACGCAAAGUCUAGCUUGCAAUUAUUAGCACAACCAUCUCUCAAGAACACCUCUGGAACUAUAAUACAAAUGUGAUAUUCACUAUAGACAAAGCGAAAACAGUAGAAUAUUUAAAUUGAAUGGAAGUUAGUGUCACAGAAAAAGCUUCUACUUGCUGCCAGAGAAGAAACAAAUUUGCAGUAGAGAUAUAUAGUGGAUUUCUAAAUUCUUCUAACUAGUAACUUUAUCCAUAAGAGCAACAUUGUUAAUUUUGACCAUGGGGUAUCGUGAUUUAUAGUCUUGUAAAUCCAACAUCAUUCAAUGAUAUAAUUUGUAAAUUUAUUCGAACUGAAAGACAUGUAUAAAAGGCUAACUUGUGUAGUAAUGAUUUAAAUCAUUGAUGGUGUGACUGUCAUCAACUAACGAAUUUGGUUAAACACGCAUUAAUAUCGAUAAUAUAUAACCUGGAGGAUGUUGUUCUGGUUGCGCGGCGCUUCAUGUGUUUUGAGCGUUAAUCUGAGUUCCUGUAUUUUAGAAAUUGAUAUAUUUUCCUAGCAUUCAAAAGUUGUUAGAUAAUAUAGAUAAUAUCAUCUAUAAACAAGGAAGUCGUUUACACAAUACAGAGGUUGUUUUAGUUUAUCAUUUAAAACUGAAGUGUAUCUAAAAUUGUGCAAAUUUGAUCAAGGACUUGUGGAACUGAUUUAGCUCUAGAUCGAUAGCGACGAGACUGACAUGAAAGCGUUUUACAGGAAAUUCGUUACACCAAGGGUUUUAAUAAAUCAAUCAAACAAUUUCAAAAUUAUGCAAAACAACAGUAGACAGUAGCAAAACUGACAGUUUGCUAUGAGAAGGCUCUCAAGGUUAGUAUUUACAGUCAUAAGCGGGUUGGAUAAACCCUAUAUUCUAGGCAUUUAGUUACUUUGAUAAGAAUAACUAUCAGGGGUUCUAGCUGCUUUUAGAAUGUGCUCAUUCGUGAUGCCUGUAAAGGUGCCACCUUUGCUUGCUUCGAGCCUUUAGAAGGGUGCUUAUGAUCAUCUGAGUCCUUAUGAAGGACAUUGUGUCCUUUAUCCGGGUUUUCCCAGUCCAUUAUGAAAUUAAAGAAAGAAAAAAGGCUUCAAUCAGUCCUUUUCCCAGUCCUUUAUCCUCCUUUGCUUGCUUCGACCCUUUAGAAGGGUGCUUAUGUCACCAGGUACUCAUUUUUUUUGUAUUCCAAAUAUUAAAUUUGUCAUAUAAAAUCUUAUGCUUGGUUUCAUUUCAUGUAUCAGAAUUUAAAGAGGACAUUCUUGUGCAAAUGUGCUGACUCUAGCAUACCAAAGUCUUGGAGUAGUUUAUGGUGACCUAAGUACUUCUCCUCUUUAUGUAUACAAGACCUCAUUCUCAGGGAAAUUGAGCCUUAAAGAAGAUGAUGAAGAAAUUUUUGGGGUGCUUUCAUUUAUCUUUUGGAUAUUUACUAUUAUUGCUCUCUUCAAAUAUGUUUUCAUUGUCAUGUCUGCUGAUGAUGAUGGAGAAGGUACAGUCUUCAAUCAUUGAUGUUGCUUAAGUCUGUCUUCUCAAUUAUAAGAUAUCAUUUUGGAAUAAAUAAAAGGACUAAUAUUGUCUCUCUUAAUUAUAUAUUAGGAUAAAUAGUUAAAUCUUUGUUAGAAUCAAUUGCAGGAGGCACCUUUGCAUUAUACUCACUUCUUUGCAGACAUGCAAGACUAAGCAUUUUGCCUAAUCAGCAACCAACAGAUGAGAAUUUAUCUGCUUAUUCCACAGAAGAUUCUGCCGAUACAUGGCAAUCUUCUCUUUUGAAGCUGUUCUUUGAAAAGCAUCCUAGAUUCCAGAAAGGACUGUUAAUAUUUGUUCUGUUGGGAACUUGCAUGACGAUUGGUGAUGGUGUGAUUACUCCUGCAAUAUCAGGUAGUUUGAUCGGGAGCAGCCCCUCUCAGCUUCUAUUAUUAUGUUUACUUGAUACUUCCUGUACGCUUUGACCUUAAUAUCAGUUCCAGAUUACUUGUUGAACAAGUAUACAGGAGUUUGGUCUUAUAAAAAACAGAAUUGUUUAAAUAUGUGUUUUGUCCCUGUAAAUAGAGCGAAUUUCGGUUUUAGUCCCUAUAAAUACCUUAUUGUUUUCUUUUCAUCCUUACAAAAUCAUGUAUUUGUUUUUUGUCCGUAGUGUCAACUUUCUGUUUAAAAUAACUAACGUGGAAAAUACAAGUAAAUGACAUCCGUUCCAUGUAGAAUAAUUAUGCCACGUGUCAACACCACCACAUCGGGUGAUAGUGAGACAUCAACACUAAUGAACACGUCAUUAAAAACGAGGAGAUAGACAUGGCAUAUCAGCUCCAUGUGUCCGUGCUGAUGUUCAUGCCAGUCGUAGCUCACUAUCAUCCAAUGUGGUUUUGACAUGUGGCAUUGUCAUCCUACGUGGAAAUGAUGGUGUGUACCUUUGUUUACACCAUUAGCUUUUUUAAACCGAAAGUUUAUGCCAGGGACCAAAAAUGAAAACAUUUGAUUUUGCAAGGACUAACCGUAAUAUUUUAAACCAAAAAGAAUUAUGCUAUCCAUCAUUAGCAAUGUCACAGAUACACACAUGCAUUCCUUAAAUUGUAGCUUUAGUUGAUUACUAAUUUCUAGAAUUCAUUAUUUCUCACUAAUGUGAUUAGACAAAAGCACAUUUCACAAUAAAUAAUUGCACUGUUUACCGAAAAUAUACUGUUUCAAGAGUUGAUCCUUAUACAAAGUUCUGUACCAGUUUGUCCGUUUCGGUCUAUGACCAUCCUUUUCGUGUCUCAUUUCAGUAUUUUCAGCAGUUUUAGGAGUUCAAGUUAAGAUCAACCAACUACAUGACAGUAAGCCAACCAAACUUCUAUCAUUACCAUUAUGUCUAUUCAAUGCAUAAUUUUAAAACUCUACCUUAUGUAUUGCGCAGAUUAUGUUGUUAUAGUCUCAUGUAUCAUUUUAGUUGGCCUUUUCUCCAUUCAGCAUCAUGGAACACAUAGAGUUGCCUUCAUGUUUGCCCCAGUUGUUGCAGCAUGGCUUUUGUGCAUCAGUGGUAUUGGUAUAUACAAUAUAUUCCGAUGGAACCGACAAGUAUAUCGUGCACUUUCUCCAGUCUAUAUGUUCAGGUUUCUCAAAACAACUGGCAUUGAAGGAUGGUUGUCAUUAAGUGGAGUGGUGCUUUAGAUAACAGGUAACUAUAAGUUAGUCAAUUUUAUUAUAGUUGUCUAGCUUGUGUUAUUUGAACAACCAAAUUCAGACAAUUUUCGCAAUAACUUUUUAAGUGGUUAACACAGUUCAUGUAAGUGGCUAAUUGCGUUCAGUAGGUGCUUAAUGGACCAUAAGUGAAAACUCAUUGACCAUCAAUUUAACUUCAUCCCAAACUUGUGGUUGAUGAAUUUAUGUUGGUGGUUAAUAAGUUUGGACACCUGAUAUAUCUAUUAAUCAUCUACUAAACAUAAUUAAUCACCUAUUUGAACUAAGUUGAACACUUAAAAAGUCACGAAAAUUGUCUAAAUUUGGUUGUACAACAAAUCAUUUCUCGAUCAGCUACUGUCUUAGGUGUGGAGACAAUGUACGCUGACAUGGGUCAUUUUUCUGCACUCUCAAUAAAGGUAAAUUAAAAGUAUGCAAUAAUUAACAAUGUUGAUCCAAGUAUAUUAGUCUAGCAUACAAAAAUGAAAUCUGAUUUAACAGUUACACGUAAAUCUCAGAUAGCUUUCACAUGUUUAGUAUAUCCCUGCCUGAUUUUGGCAUAUAUGGGUGAGGCUGCAUUUCUCUCUAAGCACCAUUAUGACAUUGAGAGAAGUUUCUACAAAGCCAUACCAGGCAAGAAUUCACUUUAAUAAACAACAAAUAUAUCGAUAUUAUUUAUGAUAACUCUAGGGUAACAGUGCUACUAUUUUUCUGCAGAAGCUGUAUUUUGGCCAGUUUUUAUAGUGGCCACUUUUGAUGCUGUUGUAGGAAGUCAAGCAGUGAUUUCUGCAACUUUUUCCAUCAUAAGCCAAUGUUGUGCUUUAAAUUGUUUUCGAGUCAAGAUUGUUCAUACUUCUAGCAAAAUAUAUGGACAGAUAUAUGUUCCAGAAGUCAAUUGGAUAUUAAUGUGCCUUUGUUUAGCUGUUACAAUUGGCCUUUGGGAUCCAAACAUGAUGGGUCAUGCAUAUGGUAUGAUAUCCUUUUCCAUUGUGUUUAGAUUAAACAAUCAUUUUUAUCCUAAAAUGUGUGAGGUGCUGUCACAUUAGUCUCUAACGUAUCCAAUUAUAAAAAUAAAAUGAAAAACUGCAUAAAUGCGUCUUUCAGUAGUCCGUUUCUUUAUCAAAUGUAUCUUUCAUUAAUUAGUUUAGUUCUCAAAUGUGUCUUCUUGUAGUCAAUUUGGUCCAUAAAAUUACGAACAAAAGACAUGUUUGGGACAUUUUUGUAAUUCGGAUACAAUCAUUACUAUAGUGAUUACGCCUCACACAUUUAGGGAAAAUGACAGUUUAUUCUUAUGUUUACUCAUUAUGAUAUAUGAAGUAUGGAAAACUAAAUUUAAACUACUUUUCUUGGUUUGCAGGGUUGGCUAUCACCACUGUUAUGUUUGUGACAACAUGUUUGAUGACACUAGUAAUUAUAAUGGUUUGGAAACAAGGGAUAAUAAAAGCACUUACAUGUUUCCUAUUGUUUGGAUCUAUUGAACUUCUUUACAUCUCAGCUUCUGUCUGCAAAGUCGCUGAAGGAGGAUGGAUCCCAAUUUUGCUCUCUUUCAUUUUUAUGGCCAUAAUGUUCACAUGGAAUUAUGGAACAAUGAAGAAACACCAAUUUGAUGUUGAAAACAAGGUCUCCAUGAGCAAGAUGGUCCGUGUCCCGGGAAUCGGUCUCAUUUUCAGUAAUCUUGCUUCCGGUAUCCCGGCUAUUUUCGGUCAUUUUAUUACAAAUUUACCAGCAUCCCAUCAGGUUUUAGUUUUCGUAUGUGCUAAAUCAGUCCAAGUCCCUUAUGUCAGUGAAAAUGAAAGAUUAGUCAUCAGCAGGAUUGGUCCGAAGGAAUUCUACAUGUUUCGGUGCAUUGUUCGAUACGGAUACAAUGACAUGCAACAAGAGAAUUACAAUUUUGAAAUUAAAUUGGUAUCUGCAAUAAUACAAUUUAUAGAAAUAGAAGACAGUGUUCCAGAACAAACAAAUGAAUUGACUAUAGAUGAUGGGAGAAACUUAAAUAUGGAAGAUCUUGGUCAGUCACAACACACCUUGAAAUUGAAUUGGUCACAUUCUGAAAAGAAUUGUUUACCAUUUUCAUGCGAUGGCCAACAAGUUCAAGACGAGUCCUAUAAAUUUGAGUCAUUUCAGAUUUUAAGAGCCAAAGAAUUAGGUGUUACUUAUAUAGUUGGGUAUUCCUAUGCAGAGGCAAAAAAAUCAUCUACCAUUUUAAAGAAAUUUGGAAUAGAUGUUGUUUAUGCUUUUCUAAGCAAAAAUUGCAGAGAACCUGAUAUUAUGUUGGAAGUAGCUCAUACUUCUUUGCCAGAAGUUGGUAUGGUUUACCAUGUAUAACUCUAACCUUAUACUGAGGUAUUUGCAUAGAAGAGAAUAGAUAUAGUUUGUAAAUGUUGGUCAUAAACAUUAACAAUGACUUCUAGUAUCUAAGAAUGUAUCAAAAAAUGUUGAUCAUUAGGUUGUAGGUUUUUCAUCAUUGAUCUCUAAAGAGUCUUUGAUUCUGUAUCUAAGAAUGUAAUUCAAAAAGUAGAAUAUAUAUACUUGUACUUUUGUUGAAAUGUAGCUACUGAGAUAUGACACAAUCAUUAAAAUACUUCAUUUAUAUUUACUGAGAUGUUAUUUCCUUUAUUUUCUUCUAUGUAAAUGUAAAUAUUCUCUAUUUUCAUGUAUAUAUUUAUGAUGUAAUUAGAUUGUAAGGUUAUUCUCAAGUUAACCCUUUCAUGAAAAUUUCAUCUGAUCUUGUUGUAUAAAAAUUGUAUUUAUAGUGAACUUAAUGUUCCCUUACUAAUGGCUAACAUAACCAGCACCUGACAUUAUAGAAACUAUAGUUCAGAAUUAGCAAAAAAGGUAAUUAAUACGAUGAUGUUUGAAAAAGAAAAUCAAUUGUCAUUUAAAAAACUUGCCUGCACUCCCAAAGUAGCCAUCAACUAUAUUAUUUGGAAUAUUGCAGUGAUUUGAAUAUACAUGGUCUUAAUAUACAAAUGAUUCUAUAUUAUUCGGCAUACUGUAUUGGAAUCAAUGUUGGUCAAAAGUUUCUUCUUCUUCAGUCUAAUUAAUAUAUAAUUUAGGAAUGUGUUCUAUCUUGUCCCAGUCCUCUCCUAUUCCCUCCUUACAUCGCUCCGUUACAGCUGGGCAACCAUAAAUUGCCAGAACCUCAAGUGAUGUGAGGUGCAGAAUACCUUCUGGCAAGCAUCUCAAUCUUUCACAGAAAGCAAUCUCCAUGGUUCGAAGGGAUCGUAGAGUAGACCUUCAAAAAGUUGUUCCGGUAAUGAAUCAAGCUCACAACAGUGAUGGAUACCAAGAUGCUCCAAAGCUAGGUUGAAGGCUUCACUUGGCAAUGCAUUCACUUAAUUUGGGAAAUCAGAUAUUUCCAAAGUUCGAAGACAGGUCAGGUUUUUCAACAUCCCUUUUGGAAAAUAUGUCACAUCUUCACGUCUAUUAAUCUCAAGGGUAGUUAGGCCGUAGAAACUAGAGAUUGACUCCAGUAACUCAUUGUUACAUCCAUCUACAAUGAGUUCUUUAAAAGAUGAAAGGCAUGGCAACCCAAGUUUAAGGCAACCAACAAUGGCCAACUUAGAAAGGUGGGGAAAAAUCUCCCAUUUCCACUUUCAACAACCGUUCCAAGUUAGGUAAAUUACCUAAAAGCAGAUCCUCCAGAGAUGGGAAACCCCUGACCUCCACACCAUCGCUUGAUUCUUCAUCAUUCACAUACUGCACAUUAUCCAUAUACCAUAAUUGGAGUUUUCUGAGAGAUGGUAAUUUAGCAAGUGAUGGAAGCCAAACACAGUUUCUGCAAUAAGAAAGUGUAAGAACAGCUAAAGUACUUUGAAUUUGGAUCCAACAUGGGAGGUGCAAUCCGUCAUAGCCAUGUAUUUUCAAAAUCUUAAGAUUUGAGUGAGAUUGAAGCACUUCAAGUACUUCCUCGGUGCUAGUAGCAGGUGUCUUGGCUUUACACCUGAUGUUCCAUGAGAAGCAUAUUUCCUGAAGUUCUUUUUUAUCUUGCAAAUUUGCUUCUCGAGCUUCAGACAAACUUCCAACAUUUUCUAGACAUGUAAUGCUUAGUUUUCCUCCUAGCUUUAGAUCAUGUAAUUCUGCCAAGCUGUAUCCAAUCUCUAAACUGGAUCCUGAAUCCUGCCCAAUCUAGAGCCCCCAAUGUUUAGAACUUUCUCACCAAUUUUUUCCCUCCCCUUUGUACAUAACCAGGAAAAUUAUAUUUAAUUAGCCAAGUCAUGUUCAUUUUGCCUUCCACAAUUCAUUUGUGUGUGUGAUUUCGCAAGAUUUGAAAGUGUUUUCUUCCUGAAUUUUGGUUAUUCUUUUCGUAAGUCUUCCUGAAUUUUGUUAAUUUCAUGAUUAUGAUGAUCGUUAUAUGGCAAAUAAGACUUCUGAUGUUACUAGUCGCAAAGCUUUAUACUUCAUAAACUUCACCAUAUCCAUGGUGGAAUCAGAGAAAAUGCAGAAGCUUAAGGAAGAAAAAAGAGAUAAAAUCUCUAGAUUCAUUCAACUGAGAUGAGUUUGUUACAACAUAGCUAUAUAUAGCUGAAUUUAAUCCUAACUAACUGUAACUAACUAUUAGCUAGGAUUAGAAUCAUAGAGAGCUAGUACAUAGUAAAGUUUUAGGGAAUUGCAAGAUAACUUGCUGCGCAAGCUAUCUGUUAGUAGAAAUAAUCACACAGUUUAAUAAUAGUCAUGAUGAUAGAUUGCUUCCUGAUUUUUAUUUCUGAUCUGAGAACUAUCCAUCAAUAUUUUUAGCUCCAGCCGGGGAACAAAUCUAUCACCUUGUCUUCGAAAGAGGUUGAAUUCCAAAAACUACUGGUUUGUUUUUCUUCUGCACAAUUGGAUUUUGAUUUAAAUAUAAACUUCAGAAAACAAAGAUCUCAAGCUAACUGUACUAUUGUGAAAAAUAAACAUCAAAUGGAAAAAUAAGGCUCUAAGAAAAAUUCUUCAGACUGCUCCCUCUCCCCAUGCAAUUACAACUCAGCAGAAGUAUGUAAAGGUUGUGGGGCUGAAGUGUCACUAUUUACAUAAUUUCAUUACCUUUUUUCUUGAUUGAUUUAAAUAUUACAACACAUGACUGAGAUUAUUUAAGUUAGCGUAGCUCUCAAGAUGAGAAAAACCAAAUAAAUUGUGCAUAACCAUGUAUUCUUUGGUGGUUUGAUUGUAAUAAUUUGGACAAGAGGCUAAAGAGCAUUAGUAACAUCUUUGUCUGGUUACAUUUCUGUUGACAAGUCAAUUUUAUAAAUGACAAAAAAAUCUUGUAGUCACUGAUUUUAGCUUCCACAAGGCAAUAAUUUGAUCAAGUGUGAAUUCAAAAAAGUAUUUGUCCCUUUUAAAUAAAUAAUGUAUGUGCAUUGUUUGGAACAACCAAGGCACAAAAUGUAUGAUUAUAAGCUCACCAACAAAAAAACUACACUAGAGGAAUAGGAAAAAGAUUAAUACAAAGAAUCCCUUAUGUCAGCGACAUUAGUACUAGUAGAUAUUGUAAAAUCAGCAACAUCUGUUGUUAGUUGGAAUUAAGUUCGGCUCAUGUGUUGGAUCCUCUCCUUUCAUGCCAACCAUAUCAAUUUUAUAUUCCCUUUUCUCAUUAUUUGAUGGACUAAUAGCUUGUUUACUUCCUUCUUUCGAGAUUAAUUUUUCAGGCCAAAAUACAUUCAGUCCCUUGCCUGUAUGUAUGACCAAAAUACACUCAAUUCCUUUAUAAAAUCUUACCAUACAUCUACAAUAUACUAUUUUUUUUCUUUGCUAUAAGGAUGGAAUUUUAAAUAUGUUUGGUGAAAAAAAAAAUCUGUGAAGGUAAUUAGCAUUAAAAAGUCCUGAAAACCAACUCCAACCACAAGGAGGUGGAGAGAGUAUUACUUUGUUGAAGCAUGCAAUAAAAAGAAAGCCGACUAAAGUUUCGAUAUGUAUGUUAAAAUAAAUCAGUUUGACGAGGCAGAAAAUUCAUGUUAAAGUAUUCACGAAUAUAUGAACUAUGCCUUACCUUGAAAUUAACCAUAACCAGCAAAGAGCUAUCAGUUAAAGGAAAUUGAAAUCUUCAGCAGCAAACUUCAUUCCUAAUAUUGCUUAACAACGUCGCCAAUUCUGGCUAUUGGUGUUUCCCCUGAUCGAACAUGAAACUCCGACUCUUUCAUAAAUGUAUUAUUAUACAUGAAACGGCUAUUUCAUAAAUGAAGGACCAUCACCUGCAUAUUUUCAUGGAUAUAUGUAUUUAAAUUGAAAUAAAGUAAUGUAUGUUAAAAUUAAUACUAUAGGAAUUGAAGAUCUAUACCAUAUCAAUACCAGCAUUAACGAAAGUGGAGACGCGAUAACGAUAAUAUGACCAAUAAGGUUGACAUCUUGAUUUCGCUCAGAUAAAAAUCACAAGUUUCACAUAAAUCAAUUCAAGGAUGUCUUCUUCUUCAUUCCAAUAAACAAUUUUUGGAAUAUGUGGUAUCUUGUCACAUUCCUCUCCUGUUCUCUCCUUACACUCCUUUAAUUUUGGGCAACCACGGAUAUUCAUAAACUCAAGUGAAAUGAGGUGUUAAAUACCUUCUGGCAAGGAUCUGAAUUCGUCGCAUUCAACAAUAUCCAUAUUUCAAAGAGAAAUAAAUGGCACCUGUUCAGUUUCACAGGAGAUGCUCUCUGUAAGUGAUAUGAAUAAUGCUAAUAUACUAAAAUAUAUGGAGUUAAAAGAUGCAAAAUUCACUUUGUUAUCAAAUAAAACAGUUGAUUUCUUGUUCAUAUCAUCCAAAAUCAUCACCUCUUGCUUUCAGGAGAAGCAGUGGACACAACUUGAUCAAUUAACAUUGUCCAACACAAACAUGGUUGGGAUUCAGCAGCAUUCCACAACAUAUCUGACACAAACAUAAUGAAAUAACAUGAGUGUCUCGACUAGAAAAAAUGAAAUACAAUGACACCAUCCUAACAAAGAGCUGUAUACACACCUGCAGAUUUUCUGUCUUUGGUUGGUAACAUGCCAAGCAUCACAGUGCUCCCUUUGGUAAGCAAGAAUGACAAACACAGGGCCUCAUUUCUCACAAUAUGCAUUGGUUGUGACCUGAAUUUUAACUAAAUCAAAAACUCAAUAAAAAAGACAGAAAUACACAAUAAUAACCCGCUGAGUGCCCAAAAACAUGAGCCUUUUUCCAACCUAAAUGACCCAACAAAGUAAUUGUAUCUUUUGCCAUGAUCUUUGUUCUGCACCCAACAAUCAUUCACCAAUUCACCAAUAUUCAAAACUCAACCUAAUUGUAUCUUUUGCCAUGAGCUUUGUUCUGCACCCAACAAUCAUUCACCAAUAUUCAAAUUUCCAUUUCACUCUUUGUAAAUUAUUCAAAUUAAUGUAGCACCAACACUUCAUAUUGAUGAGAUAUGUUUAGACACUGAUAUGACACCAAGUCGUAUAAUUACAUUCAAAAACUUUCAUUUCUUCAAAUUAUUAUUAAAAUUAAGCAAAGAGGAAUCCAAACAAUAUAUCAUUCAAACAAACAAUAUAAAGCAAAUAAAUAAAAAGACCAAUAAAAAAACUUAAGAAUAAAAAUGGAGAAAACCUUAUCAUCAGACUUUCUAUUGUGCACUGAGCUCCGACCCGAACCAUGCCGUCUUCAUCAUUAGGUACGUUUGUUCCUGUUAAUCCCUUUAUUUGUGGACCCCACCCUUGUGUCAAAGGCAAUCCUAACCAUUCAAUUCAAUCUCCACGAAAUCAGCAAAAUUAAAAAUGAAAUCAAAAAUCAAAAAGGAAAUGAAAAAAAAAAUUAAACUAUGAUGAAGAAAAUUACCUGAAUUAGAAUAUUAGAACAUAUCUUUUGGGGGAUACCUUCAAAAGAACUCAACAGAAAAGCCUGCAAAUCAUCCUAUAAUGAGAAUAUAUAACGAUUUUUGAAUAAAAUUCGAGUCAAUUAAUCACUUAAAAUCCAAACAAAAGAAGGGUGUAUUUUAGGGGGAAAUAGAGAUCCUACCAGUAAAAUAGAUUUUUGCGAUGGUGAUUGAGGCAGAUAAGGGUAAACGUCUCUGCUUCUUAAACAUCAAUCAACUCUAUUCUUGGAAUAUGAGCUAUCUUGUCCCAAUCCUCCCCUGUUCCCUCUUUGCAUCGUUCCUUUAAUGUUGGGCAAUCAAUGAUAGACAGAAGCUCAAGAGAAGUGAGGUGUCGAAUACCCUCCGGCAAGCAUCGCAAUCCUCUACAACCCCAAAUCAGUAGAGCUCGAAGGGAUUGAAGACCUUCCCAGUUUUGCUCUGGUAAGGACUCCAAUUGUGGUAAAAAAGUUACAAACAGGGAUUGAAGAGAAGUAAGGUUUUUGAACAUCUCCUCUGGUAAGGAUGUUAUUCCUUCACCACUAUUUAGGGUAAGCUGAGUAAGACCACGGAAGGUAGAGAUUGACCUCAGUAACUCAUUGUUACGUCCAUCGACACCGAGGUCUUUAAGAGAUGGAAGACAUGGCAGUCCAAGUUUAGGGCAUUUCCAGAUAUCCAAACUAGAAAGACAAGGAAACAUCUCCCCUCUUUCCACUUUCAAUAACCCCUCUAUGUUUGGUAACCCAUGUAAUUCGAGUACCUCCAAAGAUGGGAAAGCCCUCACCUCCAUACCAUCCUCAGAUUCAUCAUCAUCCAAGUAUUUCAGAUUAUUCAUACCAUAUACUCUAAGUUUUUUUAGAGAUGGUAGUUUACCAAAUAACGGAAGCCGCACAAUUUUGUUGCAAUCCCCAAGUUUAAGAGAAAUUAAAUUACUAAGAAUAAUUAUCCAACUUGGUAACGAUAAUCCGUCAUAGCAAUUUAUAUCCAAGCACUUGAGAUUUGAGUGAGGUUGAAGCUCUUCGAGUAAUUGCUCAGAUCUAAUUAUAGAUUCCUGUUGCGAUAUCCACGACAAGCAUAAUUCAUGAAGGUCUUUUUUACCCUUCAAAUUAGCCGCUUCAGCUUCAGAUAAACUACCAACAUUGUUUAAUCCUUUGAUACUCAGUUUUCCACCGAGGUUUAGAUCAUGUAACUCUGUCAAGCUAUUUCCUUUCUCUAAACUAACAAUGUACACACUUAAUGUUCUUAGACAAGUUAAUUUUCCAAUGUUGGGAAACAUUCGAAAUAAAGAUCCACAUCCUUCAAUGACUAUAUGUCUAAGAUUUUGUAAGCAAACCAAGCGUUUUGGGAGACAACUCAGUUCACGACAAUAUUUUAUUUUCAAGAUUUCCAGUUUUUGUAAGUUGUAAAUUGAGUUAGGCAACUUUUUUAUAUCAAGAGAACAAAGUUCCAAAUACCUUAAAUGAAUUAAACUCCAUACUGGGCCUUGUAGAGAGGAUGUGCUUAAAACUCGAAGAGAGCUGUUUAAUGGGAAGUGAUCAUGUUUUUUUGGAAUAUAAUUCUCCAAGUCAAACAAUGUUCGUAAGGAUUCAACUUUUUUGAAGGCACCCUCAUCGAAUGAUAACAAAUUUUCAGAGUUAAAACUUAUGUGGUGUGUGUUUUUUGUCAAAUUAGUCAUGUUUGCAUUCUCCAAAUACAUACAUUCUUUCCCCGUUACUGAUUGAGCGAGAUCAUGGACAAGAUCAUGCAUCUUGAAAGAAAUGUCUCCAAAAUAUUCAUCCAUCUUGCUAUCUUGAAAGAAUGAUUUUUGGUACAAUUCCUUCCAAACCAUUUUUCCAACAUCUUCAACGUCCAAAUUACCCAUAGAUGAAAUAAAUUCAUUAGCCAUCCAAAGUCGAAUCAAUUCUUCUUUUAGGAUUUCUCUAUCCUUGGGAAAUAUAGCACAAAAAGAGAAACAUUGCUUUAGGGUUGGUGUUAAAUAAAAGUAACUCAAUCUCAAAGCGGGCAAAAUAGAAUUUUCUUGUGGUAAAGCCCAAAGCUCACUGUCUUUAAUAUCAAGCCAUUCCUUUUCUUCAUUCCUUGAGCUCAUCAAACCCCCCAAUGCUUUUGCUGCAAGAGGCAAUCCAUUACAUUUCUUUACUAUCUCCUUUCCAAUUUCCACAAACUUUGUAUGCUCUUUGUAACGUCUAAAUGCAUGUUGUUUGAACAACAACCAACAGUCACUAUCAGAGAGACCAGACAAACGGUGAGUUUCCCAUGUUCCCAUGAUUGUUGCAACAUCCUCAUCACGAGUGGACACUAAAAUGGAACUACCUUUUGAUCCACACGACAAAACAGAUUUCAAAUGAUCCCAUCUAUCUUGUGUUAACCCAAAUUCCAAUUGUUCAUUUUGAUUCCACACAUCAUCCAAAAUCAGCAAAUAUAUUUUCCCUUGCAACAAUCCUUGCACCUUUCUUUCCAUUACAUCUAAAUCAAAGUCAGCACACUUCUCUCUUGUGAUAGAUUCUAUAAUAGAACACAAAAUCCUUUUGACCGAGAAAGUCUCAGAAACACAAACCCAAAUUUUUUUAUCAAAAUUGCGACUCACCCUAACAUCAUUGUAGAUCAAUUGAACAAGAGUUGUUUUUCCAAUACCACCUAAACCAACAACGGGAUAGACAGAAAUAAAGUCAGAGUCCUUCGCAAGGGUAAGAAGAAACUGGACAAUCUUUUCUUUAUCAUCGUCUCUUCCUAACACUUUUGUUUCAAGAGGGGUGGAGCUGGUUUGGCGCCCUUCAGCAGCUUGAUCUGGGCUUUCCCUAAGAGUUACACCCGUAUGGAGAGAAAACUUGUUCUUACGUUCAGCAAUACGAUCCAACCUCCCUGUAAUCUCUUUCAACCUGUUACCGAUCUUAUGGCGAAACUUUAAAGAUGUGAAUUUUCUCAGUCGACUAGACUUGAUCGAACACUCAUCAAGGAUGUCAUCGAGCACAUAAACAGCAUCUUUGAGGUCUUGUAGCCAUACCUUAAUGAAGUUGUCUUUGACUUGUCUCUUUUCAGCAUCUUCAAGAACAGCCUUGAUGUCAACUAAGGUGGUUGAUAGGUUUUCAGCCUUUGACUUGAUUCCAGAAAUAGUAGAAAAUUCAUUUUGAAGCAGAGAUAUCAAAUUCUCAAACACAACUCCAAGAAAGGGAUCAGCCAUUUUUUGAGAAAAAAAAGAGUUGAAAAGAUAAGAAAAAUGAGAAAUUGGUUUAGAUUGAAAGAGUAAUGAAGUAAACAGAAUGAAGAACUUUGAAAAUAAAUGCAAUGGUAGUAGAAAGUUAGGUGCUGAAUGGUAGUAGUAAUUUUUAAAAUAAAUGAUUUGGAGGAAGCUUCAAUGUACGUUUACCUCUUAAUAUAAAAAAAUAAUAGAAAAAAUUCACUUCAACAUGCGUAAUCCAUAAACAUAAUACUCCCACCGUCCCAAUUUAAUUGAACCAUUUAUUCAUUUCACACUUAUUAAGAAAAAUAUAUUAACGAAGAAGACAGAAAAAUAGUUUUGAGUGUUUUUGUUAAUUAUUGGUCCAUUAUUCUUUAUCAUAAAUGUAAAGUAGAAUAGAUUAUAUCGGAAGUGAUGAAAGUAAAAUAUUAAUUAGAGUUAUAAUUAAAAAAAAGUAAUUAAUAUUGUAUUUAAAAGUGAAAUGACUCAGUUGUUUUGAGAUACUUUUUAUUGAAAAUAACUCAGUUAUUAUGGAAGAAGAAGUAGAAUUUUACGGUGACAGGAAAAAAAACAAGUACCAAAACCGAAACCAUGUCAGAAGCAAUAAGACAAGCGGUGCCUCGGUGGUAGAUUCAUGAACUUGUAAAUUCUUUAUUCAAGAUGUGACCGACCACUUUAACCAAUAAGAUGUGGCCGAUAGAAUAAUGAUCCCUACACAGCACGAUAGCCAGUUGUUUAUGGGUCCAACUCCAACACUUGUUUUAUUGGUGAAAAAAAUAAGUCUUAUCUAUUAUUCUAAUGUUUAGAUAAAAUAAUAUUCCAUCUAUCCCGUGAGUUUUUUUUUUAAGAAAUCUAUCCCGUAAGUUUGAUUCAGUUAGUAAAGGAUAUUGCGUAUUAUAUGUAAGAAUCGGAGUUCGAAACACCAUACUUUUUCACAUUUAAAAUCUAUUAACUUAACUCUAACCACCAAACUACAUAACAAAAAAAAAACAAUAUUAAAAACCAUCUAACUGUCAAAAUUAUAGUUUCAAUUUAAUCAUUUAAUUCAAAAUUAUACUUCUUAUGAUAUCUAUGUUAAGGAGUGGGUAAACACAUCGUAGGCCCCUAUGUUUAAUAGCAGUUUUGAUGGUUGAUCAAUAAACACAUAAAUAUUGCUCACUUUAUUGAAAAAAGCCGAUCCAGAGUUACGAUCUGAUCGUAUUUUACACACAAAAACAAUUGAUCAGAAGUUACGACACGGUUGGAAGCAAAAUUGAGGAGUCUAUCGAACAACUUUAUGAAUUUUAUAUGGCACACAACAGAAGUGGAAAAAGGCACAUGUAACUUAUAAUUUGGUGUUUUCUUUGUUGGAUUUUCAAUUGGACAACUACGAAACAUGGUCACAAGAAGCAUACCUCAUGUUGCAACCGCAGUAAUGCUUUUUGGCUUUGAGCCAACAAUUGCAUAUGGCAAAUGGAUUUGGAGGAGUCAAUUGGGUUUUGAUGGAAAAGAAAAAGGAAAAAAUGUUUGGAUGAUAUGAAAUUGUAUGCUCUAUAUAAUUGGAUUGAGGUGUGUCAUGUGGACCCUAUAGUUUCUUUACAAUUCUAGAGAUAUUUUUAACAUGCAUUAUUAAUAAAUGUCAUUGCUACUUGCAUGCCCAUCACUUGAGAUUGGAUGGCAAACUUAUCCCUAUAGUAAUAAAAAGAUACACAUAGAUAUAUCUUAUCAUAAAAAUAUAAACUACAAUGACCUAAUGUGUGGUACAUUAACACUUCCUGAAAGUAAAUGUUGUAGUUAUUGUUUAUAUUAAACCUUAUCUAUCAAUUUUGAAAUAAUUAUUUUGUCAGGUGAUAUUGGAGGAAAUUUUGUACCUCUAUUUUUAUUAAGAUCACAAAUUCAUUAUUUUUUUCUUUCUAAUAAAUAGUUUUCUUACCAUCAAAUAAGGAAAAAUGUUUUGUUUGAUCCGUGAAACAUUUUUUUUUUAAAGAACAAUACAUAAUACCAAGAGAUGGAUAAGUACAACACAAACAUCAAGCUAUGUCGUGAGUAAUCAAGUUCUGCUAAUAAUAAAAGUGUCUCCAAUAUUUUUGCCCUACAACAUAAGUACAACACAAACACAAAACUCAUGUAUUGAUACAAAAAUCUGCAUAAUUAUGAAGAAUUGCAGGAGCAACCAAGUUCUUUGCUUAUAAUAAAACGAUAGAAAAAAAUAUCCAAGUUAAACUAACCAUUCAUAUUGACAUUACUAACUAAAACGUUGAAUGAUUCAAUUACAACACCUCUUGGCCCGCCUCGGAUCAGCCAUAACAAUCUCAGCAGCUUUCUCAUUAGCCAUAAUUUUCUUCAACUCUGAAGCAUUCUUCUUAGUCUAAGACAUCAAAUUCCGACUAAGACUUAUCAAAUCCUUCUUCCUCUGAAGCAUUAUUCUCGGUCUAAGACAUCAAAAUUAGUUCAAAUCAGCAAAAAGGUAAUAUAAAUCCAAGUAAAAUAAGAACAGUAAAAAUUCACAGUAACAGAGAAGUUAUAAAAGUAAUUACAAUUCCCAUAUUGUACGCAAGCAUUGUCUCCUCAUACUCCUCCUUGAACUUCUCAAACUUAGCAAUGAAUCGAGCCUUAUCCUAAAAUACACAUAAAUCACAAAAACAUUUAAAAACAAAACACGAACUAAGAUUUAUAUCAAUUUUCUUCAGUGAAACAUAGGUGAAAUUCUCACAGCAUCCUAACCUAUUUCAACCUUUAUAUCCAUUCCAUUCCUUUCCACCAACUUUCCCAACCUAAUUCAAAUUCACCGUAAAUCACGUUAGAAAACUCAAUAACAUUCAAAAUUUCCUAAAAAUCAAAUUCAACAGUUAAACAAUAUUGCUUCACAAAACUCACCACGACAAUGGAUUUGUUGCUUGGAUUCUCUUUUCUUAAACCUCUCUCUGAAUUCAGACCUAAAAAUCACAAAACAAAAAUCAUCAGAAUCAAUGGAACUUCAGCAUGUUGCAAAUCAGACACAAAUUUGUAUGGCUGAUUCCAGUACAGGUUUCACUAUAAGAAUUUGUAUACGAUCACUCUAUCAGACACAAAUCAGAUCGAAAUUAUAACUCAACAUCAACAAAAUCUACACCAGAAUCAAGAUUAUCACCAAUGUUAUAGUGAAAACCUAGAAAAAGACCAGAUGUAAUAAGUUUUAUUCUAAAAAACACCAUUGUUUGUUCAAUAAAACAACAAAAUACAAAAUUCACUUAAUUUAACGUUAAAUCAAAUAAACAUAAAUAAACCCAGAUAUUUAAUUCUAAAAUUCACAAAUUAGCAUACAACAAAUUGAAUACCUGGGAAAAUGGAAUUAGGUCAGCAAAAUCAAUGAAUUUUCAUGGGUUAAAACCAACAAAUCUAGAUGUAGAGGAUUUUGAGAUCUGGAUUUGAUGUGAGAUGAAUAUGUUCAUUCUCAACUCACAGUCUUGUGGUGGUUUACGUAAGGUGGCUGGAGCUAGAGGCAAUGACGAUGAAGAAGAGCAGAGCAUCGACUGAGAGAGGAGAAGAGAAGAGCAGUGACCGGAAGAGAAUGAGAGAGAAGAGUCACGUUUUUUUUUUUUGUUAAGAGGCAUUGAGCGUGUGAAAUAUUUGUCAUUUACAAUGUUAAGAGGCAUUGAGCGUUUUUUUUUUUUUUUUUGCAUUGGAACAUUUGUCAUUUACAAUGUUACUUUUAACUUUACAUGGGAACUGCUUUAUUAUACACACAGUUGCACAACCAUAUAAAUGUGCAUGGAAAAUAUACGCACGUUUACAGCUUUGCCAUUGAAAAUGUGCAUCCGAAAUAUGAAAUGCUUUAAAUGUUCUUCAUGUUUGAAUGGUGUACCGCCCUAGCAUAUAGUGAAGAGAUUUGAAAUUUGAAAAUGGCAUUAAAUGUGAUAUUAUUAGCAAAAGUUUCCCGCUCUAAAUCUAGGUUUAGGGUUUUAGAGGUGUUGUGUGCAUUGUACAUUAGGAUUAGAUAAUACUAGGACUAUUACCCGUGCUAACGUCCGGGACAUUAAAAAUGGAGAAGCUAAAAAAGUUCCGAUAUUAUUCAUUACAUAAAAAAUAAAAUAAAUAAACAUAAAAAGUAUUUAAGAGCAUACAAAAUAUUGGGUCACACAUUUUCGAAUAUCUCCUUAUAAACUACAUUUGAAGUGGUGCUGAUACAAUCCCAUUGUCAUCCGUUAAUAAUUUCUUCAGACCAUCCCUUGAUGUCACACGUGAUACUGCAACAUAUAGCUGCCCAUGUGAGACGACCGACUGUGGAAGAUAGAUGCCAACUUGCUAUAGAUCCAAACAGCUGCAACUGCCAACCCUAUAGAUGCUAGCCAGCAGCUGAAACCAACAACUAAAAUGCCAACAACACCAUGACAGCACCCUGAAACCACCAAAAACCUGCACAACACCACCAGAAAAGCUCCCAAAAUGACAGCAGAACCCGCACAAAAUAAAGGAAUUAAACGUAAGGAAUGUUGAAUAACUAAAUAUACUUCGCAAUCAUAUUUUCAAUUUAUAAACACAGAGCGAAGUGGAAAGCACAAUCAUUAAAGGUCAGCAUCAAUGGACAUAUUGGUGUGUUUGAAAAAAAAAUAAACAUAUGAUUUUAAAGUAUCAAUCAAUUUAUUAACAACAUAAUACAUGAUGGUAAAAUCUAUUUAAAUAUCAUCAAUUCACUUACAAACAAACCAAAAAUGUAAUGGAAUAACAAAGUUAGGGAAAAGUUACAGGAACAACGAUUUAGGAUAUAUAUAGUAGCAUCUUCAACACAUAUGGCUGAUACGAUGCCGCAGACGACAACGGCCAAGGUGAUGUCGGAAUCGAGAGCAUUGGUGAAGGGCGACGACAGGAGAGAGCUGCGGCAACGGAGAGAGCGGCAACGACAGAGAAUUUUGUUUGAAUGUCUGAGAGUGAGGUGGAAGAUGAACAACUCAAAGGGCGAAGAGAUUUUUUUUGAGUAAAAGCAAUCUGAAUUCCAACACAUAAAGAAGGAAUAAUGAGAGUGGAGAGAAGAGAACUUUAAAAUGAAGGAGAAAGAGGUGGACAUCGAUAAGUGUGGAGUCAAUUUGGGAAUUGGAGGAUAAUUAAUGAGUCAAAACUUGGAAAAGUGCAUAGGAAAUAUACAUCAAAUUUGAAAAUUUGACUCAGAUUAGAUCAAAGGAUGAGAUGCAUGCUUAGCCAAAUGAUGAGAUCCAACGGCCUCCCUUGUUUUGGAGCCAAAACCAUUUAGGUUUAGGGUUUGCAAUUUCAUUAGCAAUGUUAACAAAGAUUAGAUAUAAGCAUGACUAGGACUAUUACCCGUGCUAACGCCCGGGACAUUAAAAAUGGAAAAGUUAAAAAUGUUCCGAUAUUAUUCAUUACAUAAAAAAUAAAAUAAAUAAACAUAAAAAGUAUUUAAGGGCAUACAAAAUAUUGGGUCACACAUUUUCGAAUAUCUCCUUAUAAACUACAUUUGAAGUGGUCCUUAUACAAUCCCCAUUGUCAUCCGUUAAUAAUAUCUUCAGACCAUCCCUUGAUGUAACACGUGAUAUUGCAACAUAUAGCUGCCCAUGUGAGAAGACCGGUUGUGGAAGAUAGAUGCCAACUUACUUAAGUGAUUGUCCCUGACUUUUGUUUAUAGUCAUUGCAAAACACAAAGCUAUAGGAAACUGUAUGCGUUGAAAUUUGAAAGGAAUUCUGGUAUCAGAUGGUUCAAUGACAAUCUCGGUAUGUAGACCUUCUCUCCAACAUUGCUUCCUGAUAUUACCCUCCCUUCAAUAACAUAUCUUCCCAUCUUAGUGACUAUUAGUCGAGUACCAUUACACAAACCUGCUGUUAUGUCCAAAUUUCUCAACAACAUAAUAGGAACUCCAACUUUCAAAGUAAUCUUGUGAUUAGGAAGACCCGAUGAAUUGAUUGUGUUCAAGAAUUCUGGUAUGUGAAUAUCAUCUGGCCUAUUGACUGAUGCGAUAUCUGCUAUUACAGAAUCACAACUCAAAUAUGUCCUUUCUUCGCCGGGAAUGAGAGACAAAACAUAGUUAUUAACCUCAUCAACAAUUGUAUUUUUAGGAGUCAAUAUUGCUUUAUCUUGAAAAAAAGAUGUAUCAUGCAUAUUGAGUAAUAUUGACGGAUAGAUGCAGUCAACAAUUGAAGCAAUAUGAUCACUUGCGCUAUUAACGAGUAGAUCAUCUGGGAUUUCCACCUGAAUGCUAUCAUCUCCAAUCCCUAAUACCCAUUUGGCGAAUUCUGUUCUUUCUUGUACCUCAUUUGGUGAACAUCCAUGCAAAAGUCUCAUAUUCGUUGUUAAUGUUAAUACCUCACAAUGUCGCCAAAGUUUUGACGAAUUAAUACUUGUAUAAACGACAUCUGGUCUGGUGCCUUUAGGAACGACUGGUAGAAUCUGUCGAAAAUCUCCACCAAGAACCACAACUUUACCACCAAAAGGAAUGUCUGUCCUCCUGUUAUUAUGAUCUUUAAGGACAUCCCUUAAGGUGCGAUCAAGAGCUUCAAAGCAAUGUUUGUGCAUCAUAGGUGCUUCGUCCCAGAUGAUUAGUUUUGCUCGUAUAAUCAAUUGUGCCAACGGACUUUUAGGCUUUAUAGUGCAAGUCGAACAUUCGUCCACAUUGAAAGGAAUGCAAAACCUUGAGUGUGCUGUUCUUCCGCCAGGGAUAAGCAAUGCGGCAAUACCGCUGGAUGCAACUGUCAACACAAUUUCACCCUUCGAAUGCAAUGCUGAUGACAAAGCUCUCCAAAUAAAUGUUUUACCUACAUUAAGGAACCUAAUUAGAUUAAUAUCAUACACUUGCCAAUAUAUAUUUCUCACCGGAAUUUAACAAAAUAAUCAAUUGUUGUAAACUACUAUAUUUCAAGUAUAGAUCUGAUGCAAAAUUGUUGUACUAUUAUGCUAAUAUAUACCAUCAAAAUAAAAAUUUGAUAAAACAAUAAUUUUCCCAGCCAAAGACUACAAUAAUGAUUAUUACAAAUUUUUUUGAAUGUUAUUAAAACGAUAUAUUUUAAUAGGCAGCAAUGUGAAAUUUAAAAAACCAAGAUGAGCUUCGAAAACAAACACGUGAUAGAUAUUAUUGAAGUAGCAAUAAACGUCACAAGAAAGGGGGGGUUUGAAUUGUGACCCUUUUAAAAAUUAUUCCUGAAACUUAAUUUUAGAUUUAUAUACUCAAGAAUAAUCUUGGUGAAUGUUAGUUUAUCAAGAUUAGAGUAUAUAACAAUUAAUUGAAUUAGAACAGAACGUUCUGAAGAAUGAUUAUAAACAGAAUGAGAAAAAUGAAGUUAAGUUAAAAGAUUAUUUUAGCAAGGACCAGAAUGUUCUGGAGAUUAAUAAAAUAAUGUGUGUGUGUUGUGUAACUUUAAAUAAAGAGAGAGAGAGAGAGAGAGAGAGAGAGAGAGAGAGAGAGAGAGAGAGAGAGAGAGAGAGAGAGAGAGAGAGAGAGAGAGAGAGAGAGAGAGAGAAAUAACACAGGAGAGUUAUCCUGAUUCACCAAACCCGGCUACUUCCAGUCCCCACACCUCGUGUGAGAUUAUCCACUAUAGUUUUCUUGCUAACAGAAACUUCUGACUAGCACUACAAUUUCUUGAUCACACCAGAUCAGUCCAUAACACCUGUAUUAUCAACCUCAGCAGGCUUAUACAAUUCUUUGCACACUAGCAAAAGAAAGGUUGGAAUUUUCUAUCUCAAAACUAUUAAGCCCAAUAGACUUUGAGAAAUACAACACACUUUGUAUGAAGAGAUUUGUUUGGAUAGAAUAAAUACUCAAAUCUUUGUUUGAGUUUUACAAGAGGCAAAUUCAAGAGAGAUGAUCCAAGAGAUAUAGUGAGAGAGCUUGGAAUUUGCUUUGUAUGUGAAGAGCUUUGUUUGUAGUGAUGAUUUUCACUUUGAGAGAUAUUAGCUUUCAAAACUCUUGCUUAUGACCUUCAAAGGCCCUUGUAUUUAUAGGUGAGGAGUGUCUUGGUGACCAAGGGAGAAAAUAGAGCUGUUGGACACGUUUUUGAUAGCUGUCCAAAGUCUCAUUUGAUUUCUCUUUUCUUCUUAAAAAUAGCCAGAACGUUCUCAGAAUGUUCUUUCUGAUUUGCCUGACUUUGAAAGCACUGUUGCUUUGCUUGCGCAUGAGAUAACCAGCUGUAAUGAGCUGUAUAACUUGCAGCCCACUUCUGAUGAUGUCAUGUCCUUUUGCUCUAGUGAUGUCAUGCUUAAGUAAGCCAUGUGAUCUUAUCCAUUUAAUGGGCUUUACUUUUCCAAAUGGGCUUAAAGCUUUUCUUAUGGCCCAAUAGACAUAAUCAGCCAAGCUUUCUUGCUGUGCAGACUUGUUCGCUUUUGAUGUACUGUUCCUUUUUCAUCGUUUUCGCCAGAACGUUCUCAUUUCAUUCUCAUGAAACAAAUUCUCACAAAAACGAAUUAGUAGAUAACAAGAUUAAAUAAAUAUAAUAUGUUUGUAAUCUUUAAAACAUCAAAUAAGGAUUUUGUCUCAACAAUCUCCCCCUUUUUGAUGAUGACAAACAUUUAUAAUUUAUUUUGAUUUUGAUUUUGAGUUUUUGAAAAAUUUGUUAAAAACUCCCCCUCAAUUUUAGCAACCAAAAUUUUGUGCCAUUUUGAGAGUUUUCCAGAAUUUGUUUAUGGACAAUUGAGUUUGAUAAUUUUAUCAAAGAACUCCCCCUCAAUUCAUGCAUUCAAGAUUUAAUAUGCAAAAUGAGAAUAUAGAACAUAAACAACAUAAUUCAUAAAUCAUGAAGAUCAUUACAAGGUAUCAAACCUAGCAUUUCAAAACAUCAAAAAGCAUUGUUCAUAUGCGCACAUACUAGCAGCAAUUUGAUCCUUAGUUAAUCAUGAUCAAAAGACAUAAACAGAGAAAUAAAAACAGAGUUUUUUUUAAACAUCAAAAUACUUAAACAUAAACAGCAGCAUAGUGAUCUAUUCUUCCCUAGAUCCUAACUGUUUUCCUGGUCCUCCUAACUCAUAAUCCCCUAAAUCAUCUCCCCCUUUGUCAUCAUGAAAAGGGGCAGCAGCAGCAGUAGGUGGAAUGGUUGGAGAAGAAGCAUCAGAUGAUGAAGAGAUAGUAGGCAUGAACAUGGGAUACAUAGGAACUGGGAAUGGGUUUUGUUCUGGUCUAGCAAACUCAUUCUUGUCACUUAUGGAGUCCUUCCACUCCUGACAGAGACUCUCACGCGUCUUUGUUCUUUUGCCUUUCCUUNNNNNNNNNNNNNNNNNNNNNNNNNNNNNNNNNNNNNNNNNNNNNNNNNNGAAGAGACUUAAGGGAAUCCAUUUGGACAGAUGAAUCAAAAGCUUGUGGAGCAAAUAAUUUGUCCACUGAAUCACAUUGAAACAAAGCAGAAUAAUCAUGCUUUUGAGGAGAGAUAAACAAUUUUGAAGGUUUUGUGAUUAUGGUUUUUUCAGUGAAACUUUGAAGAAUUUCUGAAGCUUUGACUUUUGACAGAGAAGCAUGAUUGCCAAAGUUUUCAAGCAGUUCCUGAUCUUCCUCCAUCACAGGAGAACGUUCUGAAGAACGUUCUGGAGGAUUGCAGUGUUCAUCAGAAGCAUUUUAUGGAACUGGAUUCUGCAGAUCAGGCCCAUCUUCCCUCUUUCUUUUGAGGUCAGAAGGAGGCUCAUCAACAGGUUCCUGCUUCAUGUGACUCAGAUUUUUUGGAGUAAAUUGAGAAUACUCAAAAACAGAUUUUUCACCUUCAAAAGGAAUAUGAUUCUUAAUGAAGAUUUUGGUAAGAGCCAUUCCAUAAGGAAGACAAGAUUUUUUGUUACGAGACUGAAUAACAUUGAUCAUGUUAUGAAUAAUGAUAUGAGGCAGACUCAAUUUUUCUUUCAUUAAGAGAUGAUACAUGACCAAGAGAUCAUUUGAACUAACAUGUUGAAAAUUACCAUUUCUAGGCAAGACACAAUGUUGGCUUAUGCCAUUCAGCAUUUUUGGGGUUGGCAGAAGGUUCGAAGAAACAAACUCAGUGACAUUUGGUUUGAAAAGGAGUUUGUAAACAUUUUCAGAAUUGACUUCAAGUUUUUCAAACCAAUCAUCACCAAAGACAGUUUGACCAGAAUUUGAGAUACCAAGAGUAUCAGAGAUUACCUGUGGAGUGAGACGUAUCUCAACAUCCUUAAUCCUAGACACUAUUAAGCUUUCCUCAGGGUAUGCUUCUGCCAUGAAAUAGAAAGCUUGGACAAGCUUUGGGUAGUGUCUCUCACGAAGCUGUAGAAAUUUGGUCCAGCCUUGCUCAUCAACAUACUCCUUAAGAACGACUUUGUCUUUUUCCAGCUUGACAAAAUCAUAAUACCUUCCAAUUCCAAUUGACCUAUUUCCCCAUUUUUCUUUGAAAUCCUUUUUCAGAGAAGGAUCAAACAGAGGUACUCUCUUUCCUGUAGAGAUAUGAAUGAUCUUCUGUUUUGAAGGAUUUUUGGGCUUUGGAGAACAUUCUGGAGAAUAAUCUGAAGAGAGUUCAUAGUCUUUAUCAGAAAGACUUUCUGAAGAACGUUCUGGAGAACGUUCUGGUUGAGCAGUUUGCUUCUGCUUUCCUUUGUCCUUCACAGUUGGUUUAGGCUUUGGUUUUGGUACAGAAACCUUGAUAGGAGGUUUAGAGACCUUUUUGUUACUCUUAGGUUUGGGCUUAAGAGGAGAAGGAGUUUUCUCAGCCAAAGGGGUAGUUGGUUCAGUUUCUUCAUCUGAAUCAGAGAUUUCAUGUACAGUUGUGUCUACACUGUUGGUUUUCUUUGUUCCAACUGCAGAACGAAGCCUUUGAGAUUUUCUAGGUCUUGGAUUAGGAGCAGAUUUAGCCUUCUUGGGAGGCAACUUCCUUUUGGUCAUGUUCCUGAGAUGAGGAGCCAUUUUGUUCAAGUUUGGAGGUUCCUGAGGAGCGGUUGGUUGAUCUUCAACACCUACUCUUGGUGUGUUGAGAUUUAGGUUGACCGAAGUUGGUUGUGGUUCAACGUAGAGUACCAUCGCGAGAGGAUGGAAGGAUUCAGGGUCAGGGAUGAAAGGAAGUUCUUCGUCGUUUUUCAAUGGAGUUUUUUCUGGUGUGGUUUCGGUGGUGAGAUAACCAUCUUGCAUGAUUGGUUCUGUGGAGUUAUUGAGCGGAGAUUGUGGUGGAGUUUCGAAUGGAGUGGUUUCCUUGGUUGGUGAUGGAGUUGAAUCGAACAGAGGAGGAGAUGACAGCGGUUUUGUCACCGGAGGAGAUGGUGGAGAAGGAGAACGGGUUGGUGAAGGUGAAGGAGAAGAGUCAUCUGGGUUAGUGUUUCCGGUUCCUUUGGUUCUAGCCAUUUUGUGAUGAAGAAAAUGGUGGUUGAGAGAAGAAGAAGAGACGGUUUGAAGAAGGAAGAAAGUGGGAGUUUAGAGAGAAAAAGUGAAAACCGGUUUUGGGAGAAGGAAAAAGGUAAGAAGUGACUAUUAGUGGUUUAAUGAUGAGAGAGAGGACAAGAGCAUUAAUGAGCUGUAAGAGAUUUCUUGGUAAUUAAAUUUCUACCUAGAGAUUAGCUUAAAUAGAACUAAGCUGAAAGGACAAGGUUGAGGCGUGACCCUCAAGCCAGUCUUUGGGAGACAUUUUUCAAAGAAUGUUUUCAGAACAUUCUGAUGAAGAGAGACUCUUCCUAUUUUAAUCCUUUGCAAGGAUUUUGAAUAAUAUGCAAUUUUUCUUUAAUGAAAUUAAAGUGAUCCUCAACUAAAGGUUUAGUAAAGAUAUCAGCUAAUUGAUUUUUUGUAUCAACAAAAAUCAAUUCAAUUUCCUUUUUAUUGACAUGAUCCCUAAUGAAAUGAUGUUUUAUUUCAAUAUGUUUUGAUCUUGAAUGUUGAAUGGGAUUCUUUGAUAAAUUUAUUGCACUUGUAUUGUCACAAAAUACUGGAAUAUUUGUGUACCUUAUUGAGAAAUCUUCAAGUUGAUUUUUAAUCCAGAGAACUUGAGAACAACAGUUGGCUGCUGACACAUAUUCUGCUUCUGUAGUUGACAGAGCUAUAGUGUUCUGCUUUCUGCAUGACCAACUUAUGAGUGCAUUCCCAAGAAACUGACAUGCUCCACUUGUACUUUUUCUUUCUAUUCUGUCUCCAGCAUAGUCAUCAUCACAGUAUGCUAUAAGAUCAAAACAAGACCCUUUGCUAUACCAAAGGCCAAGAUCAGUAGUACCUACUAGAUAUCUGAAAAUUCUUUUUACAGCAGUUAAAUGAGAUUCCCUUGGAGAGGUUUGAAAACGUGCACAUAAACCAACAGCAAAAACAAUAUCUGGUCUGCUAGCAGUUAAGUACAACAGAGAUCCAAUCAUACCUCUGUAUUCUUUUUCAGAAAUGGUUUUUCCAUUUUCAUCCUUAUCUAAAUUAGAUGUUGGAUGCAUGGGAGUUGCCAUUAUUUUGGCUUCAUUCAUUUUAUAUUUUUUAAGAAGAUCUCUUAUAUAUUUUUCUUGACAAAUAAAAAUGCCAUUUGAUUCUUGCUUAAUUUGCAAGCCAAGAAAGAAUCUUAAUUCUCCCAUCAUACUCAUUUCGAAUUCACUUUGCAUGAGAUUUGAAAAAUCAUCACACAUUUUUUCAUUUGUUGAACCGAAUAUGAUAUCAUCAACAUAAAUUUGAACAAUUAAAAAAUUUGUUUUGUCAUUUUUUCUAAAAAGGGUUGUAUCAAUUUUUCCUCUAGAAAAAUCAUUUUUGAUUAAGAAUGGACUUAACCUUUCAUACCAAGCUCGAGGAGCUUGUUUAAGACCAUAUAGUGCUUUUGUGAGUUUAAACACAUGAUUAGGUUUGUUUGUGUUCUCAAAACCAGGAGGUUGAUGAACAUAAACUUCCUCAUUUAAAAAUCCAUUUAAAAAGGCACUUUUGACAUCCAUUUGAAAUAAUUUAAUAUUUUUAUGAGAUGCAUAUGCAAGAAGAAUUCUAAUUGCUUCUAACCUGGCUACCGGAGCAAAGGUUUCAUCGUAAUCAAUACCUUCUUGUUGAUUGUACCCUUGAGCUACCAAUCUAGCUUUGUUUCUGAUAACUUUUCCUUCUUCAUUUAGUUUAUUUCUAAAUACCCAUCUUGUUCCAAUGAUGGAUUGAUUUUGAGGUUUAGGAACAAGAUUCCAUACUUCAUUCUUUUCAAAUUGAGAGCGUUCUUCUUCCAUGGCUUUUACCCAUGAUUCUUCACAUAUUGCUUCUUGUAUAUUUUUUGGUUCAAUGUGAGAAAUCAUUGCCAUGUUGACAUCAUUAUUCAUAAAUGAUCGUCUUGUUCUUAUUCCAUCAGAUGUGUCUCCAACGAUUUGUUCAGGAGGAUGAUCACCGACGGUUUUCCAGCUUUUUGGAAGAACUUGAGAAGAAUGUUCUUGAGAAUCAUUACUUUCUUUUUGAGGAAUUUCUUCUUCAUCUUCUUUGUUGAUUAUCAAGUCAUCAAACUCAUCAAAAAUAACAUGCAUGCUUAUUUCCAUGGUUUGAUUUUUCAAAUUAUAAAUUCUAUAUCCUUUGGAGUUUGUUGCAUAUCCUAAGAAUAUUCCUUUAUCUGAUUUUGAAUCAAAUUUUCCUAGAUUUUCUUUAUCAUUUAAAAUAUAACAAUAACAUCCAAAAAUAUGAAAAUAUGAGAUGUUAGGUUUUAUAUUUUUCCAGAGUUCGUAUGGGGUUUUGUUUAAAACUUUUCUAAUUGAAACCCUGUUUAUGAUAUAACAAGAAGUAUUUAUGGCUUCAGCCCAAAAGUAUUUUUCUACAUUUGAUUCAUUUAACAUUGUUCUUGCCAUUUCUUGGAGUGUUCUAUUUUUUCUUUCAACAACUCCAUUUUGUUGUGGAGUUCUUGCACAUGAAAAAUUAUGAGAAAUUCCUUUUUCAUCAAAGAAGUUUUUAAAGAAAGCAUUUUCAAAUUCUCCUCCAUGAUCACUUCUUACUGAAAUGAUUUUUGAUUCUUUUUCAUUUUGAACUAAUGUGCAAAAAGUUUUGAAUGCUUCACAAGCUUCAUCUUUAUGUUUUAAAAAUAGAACCCAUGUAUAUCUGGAAAAAUCAUCAACUAUAACAAACCCAUAUUGUUUUCCACUUAGACUGGCGGUUUUAACAGGACCAAAUAGAUCUAUGUGAAGUAGUUCAAGAGGUCUCUUAGUUGAAACAAAAUCAUUUGUUUUAAAACUGCUUUUAACUUGUUUACCUCUUGUACAAGCUUCGCAUAUUCUAUCUUUUUCAAAAUCAAUUUUUGGAAGUCCUCUUACAAGAUCCAGUUUGGCGAUUUUUGAAAUAGUUUUCAUACUUAUAUGUCCAGCUCUUUUGUGCCAAAUCCAUUUAUCUUUUUCAAGUGUCAUAAAACAUGUUUCUGCUGGAAUAUCAUCUAAGUAUAAAGCAUAUAGGUUUUUCUUUCUAGAAGCGGUAAAGAAAAUCUUACCUGAGGAUGUAUGUUUUACAAUACAUGUAUUAGGUUUGAAAAUAACUUCAAAGCCACUAUCACAUAAUUGACUUAUGCUUAGUAGAUUGUGUUUUAAACCUUCAACAUAUUGAACAUCCUCAAUUUUUGCAGAGUCUUUUUUACCAAUAAUACCUUUACCUUUAAUUUGUCCUUUGUCAUUAUUGCCAAAGGUUACUAGACCUCCUUCCUUUUUUGUGAAGGAGAUGAAGCAUUGUUUAUCCCCAGUCAUGUGUCUAGAACAACCACUGUCCAAGUACCAUGGCUUUGUUCUUGCAUCUUGUGAGGAUCCCUGCAUUUUGAGUUAGUGGUUCCUUAGGUACCCAUGAAGAUGUGGGUCCUUUGUGGUUAGUUUCUUUGGUCUCAAGAUGUUUAAUCUUGAGAAAACAGUUUAAUUCUAGAUGACCUAAUCUCUUACAAUAUGAGCAUUCUUUUCUUUUUAAUGAGAAAGAAUGUUCUGGAGAAUGUUCUGAGAUAGAUGGUUCUUCUUUAAUUUCUAGUUUUCUCUUUUUAUGAAAACAGACUGAUUCAUGAUGUCCCCUUUUAUUACAGAAAGAACAUUUUAGUUUUUGUGGUAUAAGAACCUUUUCAUAAAUUUGAUUAAAACCUAAACCAGUUUUGUCAAAUUCUGCCAUUUGUGAACCCACAAUUUUUUGAAAUGUUUCUGUUGAUUUUAUAAACUGUGAAAGAUCAUUUCUAAGUUCUUUGACUUCCUUUUUAAGAAUAACAUUUUCAUUUUUAGAAAUUUCAGGAAGUUUUGUUUUUCCAAAAGCUUUUAAUUUUUCAGCUGCUUGAAAAUAAGAAUCUUGUAGACUUUGAAUGAUUUUCUUUUGAUCAUUAUUCAAAGUUUGAAGUUUCUCUUUUUCUUCUUUUAACUCAGAAAUUUCUUUUUGUAAAGAGUGACAUUUGUUUGUUAAGAAAUUUGAGUCAAAUAAAAGACUAUCAAAUUUAUUUUCUAACUCUUUAUAUACUAGAGGUUGGUUGAUAAGAAUUACCUCUUCGUUUUCUGAAUCUGCCAUUAGAACCAUGUUGGCUUCAGUGUCUUCAUCUUUUGAUUCUUCAAGAUCAUCCCAUGUAAACAUUGAUUUUGAGUAGGGAGAUUUUUUCUGACUCUUUUUGUUUAAUGGACAUUCGUUUUUGUAAUGUCUUAAUUUGUUGCAUCCAAAGCAGGUUACUUGACUUUUGUCAACUUCUCCUUUUGAGUUAUCUUUCUUGUUAGGAAAGUAUUUCUUUAUUUGAUCUCUUCUUCUCAUCAUUCUUUGAAUCUUCUUUGUGAUGAGAGCUAGUUCGUCUUCUGCUUCACCUUGGAUGUUUUCUUCUUCAUUGGUUUCUUUAAUUUCUUCGCUUUGUGAAAAGACAUCUUCUUGUUCACUUUGAGAUGCUUUGAGAGCAACCAUCUUUCCUUUCCUUGAUGGUUUAUCAUCUUGCAGCAGCGUCUCAUGAGCUUUUAAUGACCCAAUGAGAUCUUCAAGAGCUAAAGAGUUUAAGUCUUUAGCUUGUGUGAUUGCAGUUACCAUGGGUCUCCAUGUGCUUGGAAGACAUCUUAAGAUUUUUCUUAUCCGAUCAUGAGUGGUAUAAGUUUUUCCAAGUGAUCUUAAUUCAUUCACAAUAGAUGUGAAUCUGGAGUACAUUUCAUCAAUGUUCUCAUCUUCGUUCAUUUCGAAGAUUUCAAAUUUUCUUACGCCAAUGUCUAUUCUUGUUUCUUUUACAUGGCUAGUUCCUUCAUGAUGAAUUUUUAGAGUGUCCCACACUUCUUUUGCAGUCACACAUUCAUCAACUCUUUCACUUUCUUCCAUGCUUAGUGCGCAUGAUAGAAAGAGUCGAGCUUUAGAGUUUAGAAGUACUUUUUCUUUAUCUUCUUUUGACCAUGAUGCUUCUGGUGUGAGUGUCUCCACCUUUGUUGUUGCAUCGGUUGUCAUAGGUAUGUGUUCUCCAUUUGUGAUUAUUUUCCACAUAUCCACAUCUUGGGAUCUAAGGAAUAGUUCCAUUUUUCCUUUCCAGAAAUAAUAGUUCUUUCCAUUGAAGAAUGGUGGUCUUGUGCAUGAUAGACCUUCUGGUAUAUACUUUUCUUUUGACAUUGCCUUCUUCCUGAAUCUUUUCCUCCAACACUUGUUAGGUGUUUUUGUAGAGCCCGAGCUCUGAUACCAAUUGAAGUAGCAAUAAACGUCACAAGAAAGGGGGGGGGGUUUGAAUUGUGACCCUUUUAAAAAUUAUUCCUGAAACUUAAUUUUAGAUUUAUAUACUCAAGAAUAAUCUUGGUGAAUGUUAGUUUAUCAAGAUUAGAGUAUAUAACAAUUAAUUGAAUUAGAAUAGAACGUUCUGAAGAAUGAUUAUAAACAGAAUGAGAAAAAUGAAGUUAAGUUAAAAGAUUAUUUUAGCAAGGACCAGAAUGUUCUGGAGAUUAAUAAAAUAAUGUGUGUGUGUUGUGUAACUUUAAAUAAAGAGAGAGAGAGAGAGAGAGAGAGAGAGAGAGAGAGAGAGAGAGAGAGAGAGAAAGAGAAAAAUAACACAGGAGAGUUAUCCUGGUUCACCAAACCCGGCUACUUCCAGUCCCCACACCUCGUGUGAGAUUAUCCACUAUAGUUUUCUUGCUAACAGAAACUUCUGACUAGCACUACAAUUUCUUGAUCACACCAGAUCAGUCCGUAACACCUGUAUUAUCAACCUCAGCAGGCUUAUACAAUUCUUUGCACACUAGCAAAAGAAAGGUUGGAAUUUUCUAUCUCAAAACUAUUAAGCCCAAUAGACUUUGAGAAAUACAACACACUUUGUAUGAAGAGAUUUGUUUGGAUAGAAUAAAUACUCAAAUCUUUGUUUGAGUUUUACAAGAGGCAAAUUCAAGAGAGAUGAUCCAAGAGAUAUAGUGAGAGAGCUUGGAAUUUGCUUUGUAUGUGAAGAGCUUUGUUUGUAGUGAUGAUUUUCACUUUGAGAGAUAUUAGCUUUCAAAACUCUUGCUUAUGACCUUCAAAGGCCCUUGUAUUUAUAGGUGAGGAGUGUCUUGGUGACCAAGGGAGAAAAUAGAGCUGUUGGACACGUUUUUGAUAGCUGUCCAAAGUCUCAUUUGAUUUCUCUUUUCUUCUUAAAAAUAGCCAGAACGUUCUCAGAAUGUUCUUUCUGAUUUGCCUGACUUUGAAAGCACUGUUGCUUUGCUUGCGCAUGAGAUAACCAGCUGUAAUGAGCUGUAUAACUUGCAGCCCACUUCUGAUGAUGUCAUGUCCUUUUGCUCUAGUGAUGUCAUGCUUAAGUAAGCCAUGUGAUCUUAUCCAUUUAAUGGGCUUUACUUUUCCAAAUGGGCUUAAAGCUUUUCUUAUGGCCCAAUAGACAUAAUCAGCCAAGCUUUCUUGCUGUGCAGACUUGUUCGCUUUUGAUGUACUGUUCCUUUUUCAUCGUUUUCGCCAGAACGUUCUCAUUUCAUUCUCAUGAAACAAAUUCUCACAAAAACGAAUUAGUAGAUAACAAGAUUAAAUAAAUAUAAUAUGUUUGUAAUCUUUAAAACAUCAAAUAAGGAUUUUGUCUCAACAAUCUCCCCCUUUUUGAUGAUGACAAACAUUUAUAAUUUAUUUUGAUUUUGAUUUUGAGUUUUUGAAAAAUUUGUUAAAAACUCCCCCUCAAGUUUAGCAACCAAAAUUUUGUGCCAUUUUGAGAGUUUUCCAGAAUUUGUUUAUGGACAAUUGAGUUUGAUAAUUUUAUCAAAGAACUCCCCCUCAAUUCAUGCAUUCAAGAUUUAAUAUGCAAAAUGAGAAUAUAGAACAUAAACAACAUAAUUCAUAAAUCAUGAAGAUCAUUACAAGGUAUCAAACCUAGCAUUUCAAAACAUCAAAAAGCAUUGUUCAUAUGCGCACAUACUAGCAGCAAUUUGAUCCUUAGUUAAUCAUGAUCAAAAGACAUAAACAGAGAAAUAAAAACAGAGUUUUUUUUAAACAUCAAAAUACUUAAACAUAAACAGCAGCAUAGUGAUCUAUUCUUCCCUAGAUCCUAACUGUUUUCCUGGUCCUCCUAACUCAUAAUCCCCUAAAUCAUCUCCCCCUUUGUCAUCAUGAAAAGGGGCAGCAGCAGCAGUAGGUGGAAUGGUUGGAGAAGAAGCAUCAGAUGAUGAAGAGAUAGUAGGCAUGAACAUGGGAUACAUAGGAACUGGGAAUGGGUUUUGUUCUGGUCUAGCAAACUCAUUCUUGUCACUUAUGGAGUCCUUCCACUUCCUUGACAGAGACAUUUCAAAAGUCAUCCAAGACAGAUAAUGCAAAAUUGCAUUGUUCCCUUCAAUUACCCUAGUCAAGUCACUGCGUGUCUUGCUGCAGUCUUUCUCAACCUUGGACCUUUUGGUUGGCCUUUCAUUGUGCUCAAAAAUCCUUUGCGCCAUUGAAGGAGAUUCAUUGAAUCUUGAAGGAAAGGAGAGAUUAGUUUGAAGAGACUUAAGGGAAUCCAUUUGGACAGAUGAAUCAAAAGCUUGUGGAGCAAAUAAUUUGUCCACUGAAUCACAUUGAAACAAAGCAGAAUAAUCAUGCUUUUGAGGAGAGAUAAACAAUUUUGAAGGUUUUGUGAUUAUGGUUUUUUCAGUGAAACUUUGAAGAAUUUCUGAAGCUUUGACUUUUGACAGAGAAGCAUGAUUGCCAAAGUUUUCAAGCAGUUCCUGAUCUUCCUCCAUCACAGGAGAACGUUCUGAAGAACGUUCUGGAGGAUUGCAGUGUUCAUCAGAAGCAUUUUAUGGAACUGGAUUCUGCAGAUCAGGCCCAUCUUCCCUCUUUCUUUUGAGGUCAGAAGGAGGCUCAUCAACAGGUUCCUGCUUCAUGUGACUCAGAUUUUUUGGAGUAAAUUGAGAAUACUCAAAAACAGAUUUUUCACCUUCAAAAGGAAUAUGAUUCUUAAUGAAGAUUUUGGUAAGAGCCAUUCCAUAAGGAAGACAAGAUUUUUUGUUACGAGACUGAAUAACAUUGAUCAUGUUAUGAAUAAUGAUAUGAGGCAGACUCAAUUUUUCUUUCAUUAAGAGAUGAUACAUGACCAAGAGAUCAUUUGAACUAACAUGUUGAAAAUUACCAUUUCUAGGCAAGACACAAUGUUGGCUUAUGCCAUUCAACAUUUUUGGGGUUGGCAGAAGGUUCGAAGACACAAACUCAGUGACAUUUGGUUUGAAAAGGAGUUUGUAAACAUUUUCAGAAUUGACUUCAAGUUUUUCAAACCAAUCAUCACCAAAGACAGUUUGACCAUAAUUUGAGAUACCAAGAGUAUCAGAGAUUACCUGUGGAGUGAGACGUAUCUCAACAUCCUUAAUCCUAGACACUAUUAAGCUUUCCUCAGGGUAUGCUUCUGCCAUGAAAUAGAAAGCUUGGACAAGCUUUGGGUAGUGUCUCUCACGAAGCUGUAGAAAUUUGGUCCAGCCUUGCUCAUCAACAUACUCCUUAAGAACGACUUUGUCUUUUUCCAGCUUGACAAAAUCAUAAUACCUUCCAAUUCCAAUUGACCUAUUUCCCCAUUUUUCUUUGAAAUCCUUUUUCAGAGAAGGAUCAAACAGAGGUACUCUCUUUCCUGUAGAGAUAUGAAUGAUCUUCUGUUUUGAAGGAUUUUUGGGCUUUGGAGAACAUUCUGGAGAAUAAUCUGAAGAGAGUUCAUAGUCUUUAUCAGAAAGACUUUCUGAAGAACGUUCUGGAGAACGUUCUGGUUGAGCAGUUUGCUUCUGCUUUCCUUUGUCCUUCACAGUUGGUUUAGGCUUUGGUUUUGGUACAGAAACCUUGAUAGGAGGUUUAGAGACCUUUUUGUUACUCUUAGGUUUGGGCUUAAGAGGAGAAGGAGUUUUCUCAGCCAAAGGGGUAGUUGGUUCAGUUUCUUCAUCUGAAUCAGAGAUUUCAUGUACAGUUGUGUCUACACUGUUGGUUUUCUUUGUUCCAACUGCAGAANNNNNNNNNNNNNNNNNNNNNNNNNNNNNNNNNNNNNNNNNNNNNNNNNNAAAUAAUAUAAAUCAAGUAGGGGAGGGGGUGGGUGGUGUGGGGUUAGAAGAAAAGAAUAUUUUUUUUUUUUUUUGUUUUUUUUUGAAAAAUUUUUGCCCCAUUAUAAAAAAACCCCUUGUUUUGUCUUUGAUUUGUUCUUUAUUUUUUUUUUUUUUUUUUUAAAAAGAAUUCUCCCCAUGAUAAAAAAAUGUUUUUUGGAGUGGAGGGAGGUUUUUUUUUAGAGUUUUUUUUUUUUUAAAGGACACUUUGGUUUUUGUUAAAGUUUUUAAAUUUUUGGGCAUCCCAAAACCAGGGUAACUUGACCUUUUUUCAAAUUUUUUCCUUUUGGAGUUUUUUUUUUUUUUUUAGGGAAAAGUAUUUUUUUUAUUUUGAUUUUUUUUUUUUCCAUCAAUUUUUGAAAUCUUUUUUUGGGAGAAGAGCUAUGUUCUUUUUUUGGCUUCCCCUUGGAUGUUUUUCUUUUUCAUUGGUUUCUUUAUUUCUUCGCUUUGUGAAAAGACAUCUUCUUGUUCACUUUGAGAUGCUUUGAGAGCAACCAUCUUUCCUUUCCUUGAUGGUUUAUCAUCUUGCAGCAGCGUCUCAUGAGCUUUUAAUGACCCAAUGAGAUCUUCAAGAGCUAAAGAGUUUAAGUCUUUAGCUUGUGUGAUUGCAGUUACCAUGGGUCUCCAUGUGCUUGGAAGACAUCUUAAGAUUUUUCUUAUCCGAUCAUGAGUGGUAUAAGUUUUUCCAAGUGAUCUUAAUUCAUUCACAAUAGAUGUGAAUCUGGAGUACAUUUCAUCAAUGUUCUCAUCUUCGUUCAUUUCGAAGAUUUCAAAUUUUCUUACGCCAAUGUCUAUUCUUGUUUCUUUUACAUGGCUAGUUCCUUCAUGAUGAAUUUUUAGAGUGUCCCACACUUCUUUUGCAGUCACACAUUCAUCAACUCUUUCACUUUCUUCCAUGCUUAGUGCGCAUGAUAGAAAGAGUCGAGCUUUAGAGUUUAGAAGUACUUUUUCUUUAUCUUCUUUUGACCAUGAUGCUUCUGGUGUGAGUGUCUCCACCUUUGUUGUUGCAUCGGUUGUCAUAGGUAUGUGUUCUCCAUUUGUGAUUAUUUUCCACAUAUCCACAUCUUGGGAUCUGAGGAAUAGUUCCAUUUUUCCUUUCCAGAAAUAAUAGUUCUUUCCAUUGAAGAAUGGUGGUCUUGUGCAUGAUAGACCUUCUGGUAUAUACUUUUCUUUUGACAUUGCCUUCUUCCUGAAUCUUUUCCUCCAACACUUGUUAGGUGUUUUUGUAGAGCCCGGGCUCUGAUACCAAUUGAAGUAGCAAUAAACGUCACAAGAAAGGGGGGGGGGUUUGAAUUGUGACCCUUUUAAAAAUUAUUCCUGAAACUUAAUUUUAGAUUUAUAUACUCAAGAAUAAUCUUGGUGAAUGUUAGUUUAUCAAGAUUAGAGUAUAUAACAAUUAAUUGAAUUAGAACAGAACGUUCUGAAGAAUGAUUAUAAACAGAAUGAGAAAAAUGAAGUUAAGUUAAAAGAUUAUUUUAGCAAGGACCAGAAUGUUCUGGAGAUUAAUAAAAUAAUGUGUGUGUGUUGUGUAACUUUAAAUAAAGAGAGAGAGAGAGAGAGAGAGAGAGAGAGAGAGAGAGAAAAAUAACACAGGAGAGUUAUCCUGGUUCACCAAACCCGGCUACUUCCAGUCCCCACACCUCGUGUGAGAUUAUCCACUAUAGUUUUCUUGCUAACAGAAACUUCUGACUAGCACUACAAUUUCUUGAUCACACCAGAUCAGUCCGUAACACCUGUAUUAUCAACCUCGGCAGGCUUAUACAAUUCUUUGCACACUAGCAAAAGAAAGGUUGGAAUUUUCUAUCUCAAAACUAUUAAGCCCAAUAGACUUUGAGAAAUACAACACACUUUGUAUGAAGAGAUUUGUUUGGAUAGAAUAAAUACUCAAAUCUUUGUUUGAGUUUUACAAGAGGCAAAUUCAAGAGAGAUGAUCCAAGAGAUAUAGUGAGAGAGCUUGGAAUUUGCUUUGUAUGUGAAGAGCUUUGUUUGUAGUGAUGAUUUUCACUUUGAGAGAUAUUAGCUUUCAAAACUCUUGCUUAUGACCUUCAAAGGCCCUUGUAUUUAUAGGUGAGGAGUGUCUUGGUGACCAAGGGAGAAAAUAGAGCUGUUGGACACGUUUUUGAUAGCUGUCCAAAGUCUCAUUUGAUUUCUCUUUUCUUCUUAAAAAUAGCCAGAACGUUCUCAGAAUGUUCUUUCUGAUUUGCCUGACUUUGAAAGCACUGUUGCUUUGCUUGCGCAUGAGAUAACCAGCUGUAAUGAGCUGUAUAACUUGCAGCCCACUUCUGAUGAUGUCAUGUCCUUUUGCUCUAGUGAUGUCAUGCUUAAGUAAGCCAUGUGAUCUUAUCCAUUUAAUGGGCUUUACUUUUCCAAAUGGGCUUAAAGCUUUUCUUAUGGCCCAAUAGACAUAAUCAGCCAAGCUUUCUUGCUGUGCAGACUUGUUCGCUUUUGAUGUACUGUUCCUUUUUCAUCGUUUUCGCCAGAACGUUCUCAUUUCAUUCUCAUGAAACAAAUUCUCACAAAAACGAAUUAGUAGAUAACAAGAUUAAAUAAAUAUAAUAUGUUUGUAAUCUUUAAAACAUCAAAUAAGGAUUUUGUCUCAACAAUUAUAACAUUACGAAUGAGGUUACAUUUUAAGAUGCAAGAUUGCCGUAAUUUAACAAUCCAAAGUGAGUAAUCAAACAGACACGCGAGACUAAUUAUCACAUUAUGAACGACGAUCAGAUUUUAAGAUGCAAGUAUCGCAUGUCUGUUUCAUUACUCACUACUUUUCCUUAUGUGUAAACUUUUCAAGGCUACGGUGACACCGCAAUUCAAAAUAUGCAAGAAGUACUGAAAUUUGGUCGAAACGAUAUAUUUUAAUAUGCAGCAAUGAUCUCAUUAAAAAAACCAAGACGAGCUUUGAAAACAAACAUGUGAUAGAUAUUAUAACAUUACGAAUGAGGAUACAUUUUAAGAUGCAAGAUUGCUGCAAUUUAACAAUCAAAAGUGAGUAAUGAAACAGACACGCGAGACUACUUAUCACAUUAUGAACGACGAUCAGAUUUUUUGAAUGCAGCAAUGCCGCUUUUUGAAAAAUCUGAUACACUACUUUUCCUUAUGUGUAAACUUAUAAAGGCUACGGUGACACCGCGAUUCAAAAUAUGCAAGAAGUACUGAAUAUUGGUUGAAACGAAAUAUUUUAUUAUGCAGCAAUGUGAAAUUUAAAAAAACCAAGAUGCAGCAAUGCCGCUUUCAAAAAACUCUAAUUGUGUUUUGAAACAAACACGUGAUAAUAUAUUCGACAGUAUAAUACAUUCCGUUGUAUUGAAACAUCUGGUGUAAAAUAAUAUCUACUAUGAUAAUAUAUAUUUUCAACGACUGACAACACAUUAUAUUAUGUAUAAAAGAAAUAACCUUUAAACAUACACGGAUACACGUUAAAGUAAAAGUAUGAAGGUUCCUCUGACACCGCAAUUCAAAAUAUUCGCACAGCAAAGAAAUUAGAUUCCGUCAACAAUGACAAAGUUGUGAGCAUUUAAGUAAGAAACUCAACAAAAAGUGAAAUGCAGCAAUGCUGCUUUCAAAAAACUCUAAUUGUGUUUUUCAUAGAAUCAUACUCCCUUAAAAUAGGUUUCAACGAAAGGUCAGACAUACCAGAUAAACUGUGCAAAGCUUUGCGAGUAUUCUCUGCAACAUCAUUAUCCAUUCUGUUUCGUUUGAUCCACCUUGACUACUAAUUAGCCGUAACAAUAAGUUUUUUUGCAGAGAGAACAGAUGUGUAAGUAUGAGCCUCCAAAUGAUAUGUAAACCAAUGAAUUACCGCAUAAAUAGACAUUAAUGCGAUUUGGGUAACAACAAUUCUGAAUUAAUGACAUGACUUUGAAGCUGAACAGACACGUCCAAACAUUGAAUCAAAAAGAUCGUGAAACAAAGCAUGGGAAAACACUAUAUGAAUCUCUUCCAUAAUGCAAUCAAAGAGAAGUAUAUGACAAUUAAUACUAAUCAUAUAUCUUAUCUGUAACAUCAGCAGAAAUGAUGUUUUUUUUUGUAUAUCUGAGCAUCUUGAUAACUAAAAACGCACAUCUGACCGCAAUAAACCUACCCAAUUAUCAUACUGCUGAUGGAUUAGCAAUUUAAGGAAACACAUCAAUCUAAAAAUAUAAUGAGAUCAUCUGAUUAUAAAGGUUGUUACAAUUUUAUUAGGUGCAUUUGACUAAUAUCAUUGCCGAUUCCAUCAUUAUUAUUUAUCUAUCAAGAAAACGCCGUUGCUACAAAGCAAUAUAUUAAUAACAACAACGCCGCGUGUAGCAUUGUAUUCGUCUGUACACAAUAGGAGGUGAAUACUGCAUCUUAAUUUGUUUAUUCAAUAAAGAAGUUGUGCCAUUACAGGGAUUAAAAAAGAAAAAAGCACCAUUGCAUUAUCGGAAUAACCCACACCUUUUGAAUUACAUAAGACUGAUUUUCUAUUUUGCCUACCAGAACUUGCAAUACUAAAAAUGCAAAAUUUAAAAGAAUCUAAUAUAGAGCAUUAUUCACUUCUAAACAUCACACCCUUCUUAAUGAAAAAAAGAAAAAAAAAAUGAUGCAUUCAAACAAAAUAUGAAGCAUAAGUCUGCCACGCCACCACUAAAACUCAUCCAAACGUUGCACAUUGUUAAGAAGAUCAGUUGCGAAUCACACGAAGGUAGAGAGUUGUGUUGCUUCCAGCCAUUGGAGCACCAAGAACUAAUCGGGAACCUUGGCGAAGCCUGCGUGCCAUAACCAAUCUCUUCCAGCCACCUCCGAUUAUGAAAUGAGGUCCGCCAUCAGUAGCAAACAUCAAAGUACAGCCCCACACAUUGCCAUUGUCAUCAAAGUAAAGCGAAUAAAGUAAGUUUGUUUACUGUCAAAUGCAUAUAAAUAUAAUUACUCACGUUAAUAAAGUUAAGCUCGACUGUGUAAGUUCUAUACUUGAUACGAAGAUCAUUGACAAUCCUUUCCAAUUCAGAAUUCGGAUUAGGGUUCAGAGGUGCUGUUAUAAAAAAACAACAAAAAAGAAACAUAAGUGAGUUGUACAAAACUGGAAAUAACAACAUCAAAUGAUGGAAACUUAUACCUAUCAAAGCAUGGUAGGAAAGCAGUGCCUGGAUUCCAUUAUUUGCCAUGGGAUUCGAUUGAACUUGAAAAAGAAUGAGAUGUGAUUUUUUUGAUUCCAUGGUAUGGUAUAUAUACACGUUCAGAUUCAUUCACUAUGAUAAGGAGGUUAUGAUACCUAUACAUUGUUAUCAUAUCAAAGGCUUUGGAAUCAAUAACAACAUUAAAUGCAAUCAUGGAAUGGGGGAAGCCACAACCAAAAGCGUUAAAUGUAAUUAGCAUGGGGAAACUGAAAGUGCCAAGUCAAAUGAGAUCAAAGGAUGAGAUGAAUGCUUAGCUAGCUCAUUUGAUCAAACGGCUCUCCUUAAUUGGCGCCCAAAAUGGCUAGGUUUAGGGUUUUGCAAGGUAAUUAGCAUUGUUAACAAAGAUUAGAUAUAAGUAUGAUAAGAUAAGAUAAGAUAUAUUGAAUUUUAAUAAAUUUUUAAUUUUUAAAAUAAGAGAGGGCCUAAGCCCAAGAAAAAAACUACACUAAAAGUACAUAAAAUUGCUUUUCUUACUGCAAAAACUUUCUAAUAACACAUGAAAGUUACUAAAUUGUCCAUAGAAGUAGUUAACUACCAUUGGCAAGUCCGACAUCAGUUAAUUACCACUGACUCCCAACUGCAGUUAACUACCGCUGGCUCAUCUGCACUUAAGUUCGGUUCCUAGCAGAGCAUCAAUUGUGAUUAUGCGCGUUUCGGUCGAAAAAAAUAAAAAAAUCGAGACUUAUUUGGAAUGUUACGGAACAUUCCACAUCCUCUAUAUGUAUUUUUACAGAGGUGUCUAUAAAUUUGGUAACAUUCCGACUAAGUCUCGAUAUAUUUUGAUUUUUUGACCGAACCGUGCAAAAUCACAAUUUUUUUCAAGUUCGAGUCCGGAAAAGUGACCUAGACGUUGAAUUUUUUCAUGAUUUUUUGCACUCAUGUUUAGGACAAAAAAGAACAUCUCCCACAAAAAUUUUGAACUUUUUCGACAAUGGACGAAUCCUUUAUAUCUAAUCCUAGCAAACAUGCAAACCCUAAUUCCACAAUCCUAAACCUAAAAAAUUGGCUCCCAAAUUUGAAAUUUGAAUUUCAUAUUGGAAAACCAAUGCACACUACUCAAUACAUAUCUUAAGGGCUAGGAUUAAAUGCGACUAAUACCUCAAAUUCGUCCUUGAAUUUUAAAAAAUCGGUCAAAUUCGUCCCUGAAUUUUGCGAAAUAUCUAUUUAGUCCCUGAAUUUACAAAAUAUCAAUCAAAUCAGUCCCUCUGUUAAGUUGGUCUGUUUACGGAGGUGACGUGUAACGUUAACCUCUUACAAGGCUUACCAUGUCAGAUGUCACGCAAGCAGGGACCAAAUUGAUUGAUUUACAGAAAAUUGUCAAGGACCAAAUUGAUGGAUUUUCAGAAAAUUGCCAACGUUUCCAAGGACCAAAUUGAUGGAUUUUCAGAAAAUUCCCAACGACUCUUUCUCCCGUUUCUCAUUAAAGAAUCUUUCUCCUCUUCCUCAUUAACGGCUCUUUCUUCCCCAAAUAUAUAAAUUUGGAACCCUAAUGUUAUAAUUUGUUACCUAGAGUUCAAAAUCCCCCAAAUUUCUUCCAUGACUUGAUGUCAAUGUUCUUCCCAAUUAAAUAAACUUAACACCCUAAUUUUUUUGAUUCAAUUCGAAAUUCAAAAACCAAUGGUCAUUGUUGAAGAUUCGGUGUUCAGAAAUGAUGGGUAGUGGGCGUAUGGGCAAAAAAAACUACAAUAGUCAGUCUUCAUCUUCAAGCUCUAUGUACAAUGAUAAGGUGAGAGAGCUUCAAUGUUGCUGACCUAGAAUUUGUGUUGUAAGAGAAGCCAACACUGUCAAUAACCAAGGAAGGCCUUUCUAUAUCUUCCCUCUGCCAAAGGUUUGUUUAACAAUGGUUAUGUGAUGUGUAAAUGGUUUGUUUAAGAUAUUCAUAGGAGUAUUUUGUUUGAUUGAGUUGUUUAAAAUGAUAUUGUAUUGUGCCAAGUCCAUGUAAUGUUGUAAUGAAAAGAGGUUGUCAAUGAAUGAAUCAAACCCUUCUGUCAAAAAAUUUCAAUCAAAUUGGUCCUUGAAUUAUAUGCAUAUCCAUCAUAUCGAUCCUAAAAUUAGUGAUAAUACCAUCAAAUAGGUCCUUGAAUUUUCACAACAGAUAUCACUGUGAUCCUUGGUGCAUAUAUUUGCUGAACAAAGUAAAAAGUAAAAGACAUGCACUUUGACUAUAAAAAGACAGACAUUUGCAUACCAUCAUAAGUCAUAUAUUUGAUGUUCAUAAGUCAUUACAUAGCCAAAAAAAUAACAUUACAUAGCCAUAAAGUCAUCAAAUCGUUUGAUGUUCUUAAGUGAUUACAUAUCUGUUAUCACGAUUUUGGGGUAUCAAGUCAUUAAUUAGGCUUGAACCUUUCAAUCUUUGAUAUUCUCUAUUUUUUCUUGGGAAGGGAAAAAUUGAGAAAACCCUUAGAAAUUCUAAGUUCGGGGGUCGUUUUCGUUACGGGAAGGUGUUAGGAACCCGCAAUGACUAUAGUACUCUAUAGGAACCGUUUUCUUAGUUUUAUGUCUACGCUUUAUUUUUAAUGCUAUUUAUUGAAAAAAGAAGUUGUUUAUUUAGGUUAAGAAUGGAGGGAGAAAAUGUUUGGGAUUUUAUUUAUUGGACUUGGAGAGGUUUUGACCUCUUGCCUACAUACCCUUUUAAGGGAUCAAAAUUCCAUGUAGUUCUCUUUAAAAAAUGUUUUUGUGUGUUUGAUUGAUUUUAAGUUUUGGAAAAUGGUUUUGAAGAAGAGAAAGAGGCCGUAAAGGCAUGAGAGAAAAAAAUGGUGAAAGGUUGGUUCAAUUAUUAUUAAAAAAGGUCUAAGUUGGAAUUAGAGUUCAUUUGAGUUUGAUUAAGAAAAUAAAGGGAAAAUUCAAUGGAGUUUUGACUCCAAGGUUUAUUUGGAAAUUUUUUUCAAGUGAUGGAAUUUGCUUAUUUUGGAAAAUUGAUAUUUUUCUAAGUAUCGCGUUUCCUAAGCAUACAUCUAAAGCGGUAAACAUACAACGUGUGUGCGUGUCGGUGCUUGUGUCGGUGUACAUCAUUAGAGAGUCCAUUGUCCGUUACAUUGGCCCUAGUUUACAUUCUAUGGUCUUGCAAGAAAUUAAAAGGAAAUUUAAACUACCUAAAAUAUUAUAUGACAUUUUAACAUAGAAAUUAAAAGGUAAAAAUGCCUAAACUAUGAGAAAUUGAGAUGAAAAAGGUAGAAUGCUUAUGAGGUGAAUGAAACAAGAAAUAAAAUGGUUAGUAAAAUAAGGUGUAAAAUGAUAGGAAACAAGCAAGGAAACAUUGAAUGGAAUAGCAAAAAAGAGAGUAAUAAAGUGGUAAAAUAUGCCCAAAACUUGUCAUAAUACCUAAACAUGUACACGACCUAUAAUUCUCUCAUCAUAGCAAUUUAAAAGGGGGUUUAUUUUAUACCAUAAUGUGAGAAUGACAAGAACACAUUCAAGCCAAGAAUUAUGACAUAUUUCUAGAGAUACUUUGCACUUUAUUUCUUGACAAAAACACACAUUACUUGCAAAACAAGAAAAAAAGAAAAAUUCACAUCCACAAACAGUAAAACACACAUAUGAUCAGAGACAUAUUCAUCAUGAAAUUGCAUAUUAACCACUCAUAUCAUGUCAAGACCUCAUGAACGAAUUAUGGCAAGAAAAUUCACAAGUUUAAUAAAAAAAAAUGAACAUAUCAACAAGAAAAUGUUACAUAUAUUUUUUUAUCAUUUUUUAACAUGUAAAAGCAUCACAAAAGUAUUAAAAAUACCUCAAGAAACAUAUAGGAAUUUUUAGGAAUUUUUUGCACGAAAAUUGGACGAGCAGGGGGUUCAGAUAGCAAGAAACAGGGUGCAAAUAGCAAGAAAUAAGAAAAAAAAAGCAGAAACAAACAAACUGGAAGCCCAAGCCCAAAACCCAUGGAUCCGGAUGCACAAGGAGCGUUGGAUUGAUCCAGGAAGAGAAACCCUAGAUCUAAAGGCUCAGAAUGAAGGGGAAGAACCGGGAAUAAACCCGACCGGUUCAGUUGUUUAUAAAAAGGCUUGGGGACCGGUUUUUUUCAUUUCUUCCUCUCCUUUCUCUCUCUUCUCUCAUUCUAGUGAGAGAAGCUCUCACUUCUCUCCUUUCUGAUGAAUUAGGUUCUGGAAAAGUUAGGGUUUUCUGAAUGUUCUUGGUAAUUUUCUGUUUUGAUCUAACUAAAUGGAGAGAGAAAAUGUGAUUCUGUUUUUGGUGAUGUGACUGAUUCUGUGGAUCCUUUCUGAUUUGUGCAGUGAAUGCACCUUUUAUAGGCUGCCAUGUGUGAUUCUGAACCAAUGGAAGAGGAACACCUGUUUUGGACUUAGGGACUUUCCUGCAAAAAUAAGAAAAUUGGAGGACUGGACUGCAAAUAAGAAAAAGGACCUAAAAAUGCAAUUUUAAAAAGUAUUGGACUAAAAUGUAAUUUGGAAAAAACGUAAAGUGAAACCAAAAAUAAAAUCAACAAAAGGACUAAAAUGAACCAGUUACAAAAAAUGAGGUAUUUUAAAAUACCUCUCUGUCGAAAUUUUGACAGGAAAAGACCAAAAAUACCCCUAGGGACUAAACUGACUCAAACUGACUCAGAUGCAAUUUUUGAAAUGGUUUUUAAACAGAGAUUCAACAAUGAUUUGUACAGACAAGUUGAAAAGACUCAGAGGCAAACACAGGGACUAAAAUGGGUUCCAAUGCGGGAAAUGACCAAAAUACCCUUUUUGUAUGAUUUUUUGAAAUAAAAUGCAAGAAAAGCAAUGCAAUGAUUCAGAGAGUUUUCAAAUGACUUGUAAUGCAAGAAAGACACUUUGGGUAGUUUUAUUCAAGAAAAUCAUGAUUGAACAUACUUCGAGACAGAGACAGUAAAAUAUGCAGAUGAAAAGAGAGUAAAGGUUCGGAGUAAAAUAAUAGUAAAUUGACAAAUAUCAGUGUUGAAAAAGAAAUUUGAAUGAGUAUUUUUAGGUCCAAAAUCAGGGUAUAACAAUAUCCAAAAAAGCAUAAACUAAACAAGUCCAAAAAGCAUAAUUUAAACAAGCAUCAAUGCUUUGGAAAUCCUGAAGUUGGGUAUAAACUCCAUGUAUUGGGGUUGAGUAGAAGCGGAUGACCCGUAAUUUGGAUUUGGAACUCUAAUAACUCUAGGAGUAGUUAGAUUUUGUGGAGCAAGACCCCUCAAUGAUGUUUGUUUAUGCAUGUCAUUUGAAAUCACAGGUCAUCUCAUGCCAUAUCUUCUUGUACUCAUUCUCUGCAAAUAAAAUCAAUCAUAUCCGUCCUUAAAUUAUAACAAAAUCCAUCAAAUUAGUCCUCAAAUUAUGUCAGUAAGUCUCAAAUCGAUCCUUAUGUAAUAGCGGGGUAUAAUUGGAACACAUGAAAAAUUACACUGAAAAGUUAAAUCUCAAAUUUUUACCAUUUCCAUCAAAUUAGUCCUUGUACACGUGGUUGCCUUGUUGACACGUGUACAUGACAACACAACAUGCAAGAGGACACGUCAUCACCACUAACGGAGCUUUUGGACGGAGGGACCAUUUUGAUGGACGUCUGUAAAAUUCAAGGACUAAAUAGAUAUUUCGCAAAAUUGAGAGACGAAUUUGACCAAUUUUUUAAAAUUCAAGGACGAAAUUGAGGUAUCAGUCCAUUCAAUGUUAUACAAAAGUCUGAAAAAUAAAACACACAACACACGCGUUCCUUUUUCCCAGUGUUUUCUUCUUCUUCUUCCUCUUAUCAUCAUCACCACCGCCAACCCUCUCCCUCAAUCCACCGACGUUCUACCCCGUAUGUUCCAUGUCUUUUCUACUUUAACCGUCAUAUUUCUCCUCUCAUACUUCGCCGUCGUCGAUUCCACUGCCACUUUCUUUCCAUCGCCACGGGAAUAAUGAGAUUAAGCGCGAGAGUGAUCGACCUAAACUUAUUCCCUCUCUCCAGGUACUCAAUCUGUUAACUUUGAUGUUAGUUCAUACAAAUUUGCAUGUAACAAAUUUGUAUAAGAACAGGCAUAGACUUCUUAACCAAUCAAAUAAACUGCUCAAUCAAAGCUUACUCAAUUUUAUUGUAAAAGAAGAAAUAGAAAAUUUAGGUGGUUUGAAAUGUAAGAUCCAACAUAUGUUAGAUAUGAAAUUACUGUUGUGCUUUGAUGAUUUUUUCUCCUGAUUCCAAAAAUAUAGUUUUAAGCCAAUUUAUGGCAUUGAGUGAUUUGAUUUUCUGUUUCUUUUUUGUCUCAUUGGUUCUAAGUUGGAUGAGAAAUUAGUGGCCACAGAAAGAAGAAUGAAAUAUAAGUUAAUUAACAUUUUUUCAAUAACUUUGAAUUUUUGCUGAUUUUUCUUUAACUAUUGUUUUCUAAUACCAUUUGAAGUAGUCGUUUUUAUUAGAUUAUGUCAUUGCUACAAAAUUUUCUCUAUAUGGGUUCAUGUUGAUUUUGAAAUGAUUGCAAAUUUGUGUAUAAGCAUCUGUAUGCAAACCUCUCUUUUAAGAGCACUAUUUUUUGUUCCGGCUUUGUGUUUUUUGCGGAUGUGCUUAUGAUUUGUGCAGCUACAGGUUUGUUACUUACAGAGCUUUCCAAAUGUGGUAUGUUGCUUUGUUCAUUUAGUGGUUGAGAAUGAAAUUAGUUUGCACUCCCUGAGAAAAUAGCUCUCUAAACUGAAGUUCCCAUAAUCUCUUAUGAUCAUUGUACACACCAAAUCUCUUACCCUAAGUCAAAUUUACUGUACUGAGUAGAAAUUAUCUAUUCUUUCAUUAAUAUUGAAAAAUCUUUCAUCCCUUCAACAUUGUUUCUGAGUAUGAUGUUACCAGUGAAUUUUUGGUAUGUUCCUUACCAAUUCACAUUUUUUAUUGUUACUUUUAUUGGACAAAAUUACUUCUUGCGUCUAUUCUUCCCUGAUUCAUAGAAGUUGUUCUACAAUGGUUUUUGUGAAUUUGCAUUGGAUAAGAGGACCACGGCCAUGGUGGUCAUAGCACAAUUGCGACAACAAGUGGAAUUGCACUCUUAUUUUUGGAUCUAUGUCAUACAAUCAUAAUUGGUGGUGGUGAGUGGAAGAGCAUGAUUGAGUGCAGAAUUUUUGAAGGUGUACGUUUCAAGCUGGGUGAUCAGAUGGUCGGCAAAAGUGAAAUUGUUUACCUUCAUGUCUAUCGAGAUUUCAGUUUUUAAGCUGGGGUCUUCAUAUGAAUUUCCAUUUUGAAUAUUGUUUCUAUUGUAAUCUGCCAAUUAUCAGAAUUGUGUUAGAUAAGUUUGAGUCUAAUGUGUUCAGCUCCACUGUGUAAUCUGUUUCUGUAUUUCAUUUUCAAUAGAAUCCAAUUAAAACAACUUAUUCUGCUUGCUUAAUUAUCAUCUCCAAUCUGCACAAGUAAUACUAUAAACAGGGUCAUAUUAUUCUAUUGAAAUUGAAAUACGGAAACAUAUUACAAAGAAAAUGACUAAAGGCGGUGUAUAAAGAAGUUUUUCGCAAUUUAUGAAUUGUUCGGUGCUGAUGAAAUAAAGGUGUUGCCGUUUUGUUAGUCUGCCAUCGAUGUAAGUAUGUACUGUAUUUAUAUUAGUCGUUAAUAAAUGUCUUAAUAAUGGUCGUCAAACCUAACCCAUCAGUGUGUUGCUUAAUUUGUUUUUACAGAUUUGUUUGACCUGACUGUAGCAUUUGCCAUCAUAUCUGAAACGCAUAAAUUCAUGUUUUACUGUAUACUCGGUGAUCAAUCCUUCUGUCUAUAUGAAAAGGCUUGAUGUAUACUGGUACGGUGAUUAAAUUUUCGCAUAAAUCAGUUCUUCUCAUAUUAUAAAUAACUUAUAAUAAGGAUUGCAGCAACUAAUGCUUCAAUUUUAUGCUGUCUUUGUUUUUCUUCGCAGGUUGAGCACAAUUAAGGCAUUGCAUUUUUGGAGAUCGUUAUCAUUGUUAUACCAUUAUUAUCUUUGCUAAUAUAUGCUCCUAAUUGUUUAAGAAUUUCAUCUCUGGUCCAUACUGACGGUUUAUUACUGAUAUCAAUGGCACCAAUCUCAAUUGAUACUAUGUAUCACAUUAUCACCAACAAAGGUGUAACUUGGUUAUCAUUAUGAUCCAUUUCUGAUUCCGUAAUUAUACUAUAUCCAAGUUCGUUGUUAACUUAUUACAAAUAAUUUGUCGUUUAGAAGAAUAUUAACCACAAAUUACUCAUAGUGAUUUAUCGUUAUGAAAAUACAUAUAGAGAAUAUGAAAAUUUACGUAGUAUAUUGACUGAGCCUCAAUUUAUUUUGAAUUUUUCACCGAAACACAUAAAAUCACAAUAUUUUUGCAACUUCACAUCCGAAAAAGUUAUAUAGACGUUGAAUUUUUUCGUUAUUUUUUGCACAUAUGUUAAGGACAUAAAAAAACAUUUCCCACAAAAAAUUAGAAUUUUCCGACAACGGAUGGAUUAAUUAUGAAUUUUUAAUGCGCCAAAAACUCAAGAAACUAAAACAUCAAAAGAUCGACUUAGAAAUUGAAUUUUGAGUUGGUUUUUUGCACACAACUCUAUAAAAAUACAUAUAGAGGGUCUGUAAAUUUUCAUGGAAUUCCAAAUAAGCUUCAAUUUAUUUUGAUUUUUCGACCGAAACGCGUAAAAUCACAAUUGAUUCUCUUCCAGAAACUGCACUUAAGUGCAACAAAAUCAGCUGUAGUUAACUGCAACUGAAGCCAGCGGUAGUUAACUACAGCUGAGAGUCAGCAGUAGUUAACUACCGUUGGGGGAAAUUUCAUAACUUAAAUGUGUUUUUAGGAAUUUUUUGAUGUGAGAAAAACAAUUUUCAAAAGUAUAUGUUUUUUAAAAUAAAAGAGGGCAUAAGACCAUAAAAGGCACUGAUACGAUGACCUUUAACACCAGUUUGAUCAACUAAGACCAACCACAAUGGUGAGGUCUUAACAAUUUAAGAUCCGGUACCUAUUAGGUACCUCCAUUGUGGGAAAAAUAUUUGGGGGUCUCUUAAGACCCUCAUUUUUAAGUGGACCCCACACAACUUUUUAAUAAAAUAAUCAUUGUUUAGUUACUUUUGUUUAAAUGUAAAUGAUAAAGAGUUAUUGGUGGGUCCCAUUUAGACCUUUUGUUAGAGCGUCUCUGUUGGAGUGGUUGAGUACCUAUUAGGUACUAUCAUUAAAAAAUUAUAAAAAAAUGAUUUGUCAAUGUGGAAUCCGUUUAAGACCUCAAGAUUGAGGAUCUCCAUUGUAGAUCACAUGCAUGUCUAUUGCAUGAGUGCAUCUUCCAAAGAUUCAAAGUCUUCAUUUACAUGAAAUUUUCAUUCAGCUUUCAACAUUCAUAAGCACUUAAUGAAUUAACGACCAAUAUAUUGGAUGCAUGUUGUUUUGAAUAUGCCCUUAAUAAAGAUGAAAAGGAGAAAGAUGAACUUGAACUCAUCAUUUUUACAGCCGUUAAAAUAGCAUACAUGAUUUGCUUUUGCUACUUGUCUAAAUUUUAUCUAAACACCUAAUUAUGAUGGUUGCCAAACACAUUCAAACAUUUAUGUUAGUAACAAUUUUAUAAGCAUGGCAUUUUUAGGGUUGUAUGGCCCAAAAGUCCUAAACCAAAUGGCUUUCACCAUUUCUCAUGCGUCCUCCUAAAUUUCAAAACUGCCCUCAGAUUUUCGGAUUAUACAAUAUGCUACUCUUAUUUUCAACUCUUCCUUUGAGGUCCAACUCGAUUAGUCUCUUCAGUGGUUCAGUUGUGAUUUUUCCUCUUAAGUCCAACUAGAUUAGUCUCUUUAGCGGUCCAGUUAUAAAGUCGAUUUGUGACAAUACCUUAUAUGCAUCUAUGUUAGGAUUGAUACGAGCUGUUAGUAGGUUCUGAUACCAUGUUGGAUGGAGGAAUGUUUUACAUAUUGAGCUUUAGUUGUUUCAAGGGGCACUCAACAUGGAAAGGAUAUUGAAGCUUUGCAGAAAAGUUUGGACAAUGCUGAGUAAGGUUCAUAUACAAACAUGUCUAAUUUUCUAACAUAAUUACAUUUUAAGAGUGAUUUUCAAAUCAACUAAUAUUUAACAUUAUGGUUCUAAAGUUGGUGAACUAUGACAUAAAACUUUAACAUUGUUUGUGGUUUCUAGAAGAAUCAAUUUGGUUACAUAACAUGAAAAAUGGUUACCAUAAGACAAGGAGAAAGAAUAAGCAUGUAUCUUUACACUCGCAACAAAGAAACACACCAACUUUGGCCAUUGCAGAAGAUUAUGGUUAGACUCAGACAGUCAAAUAUAGGUUUGACGCCAUCGAAGUAAUCGGCAUUUCAACCUUAGGUUGUGUUUCAGAGUUUUGAAGAGAUUAUCAGAAUUCUAUUCACUUUGUUUUCUUGUCAAAUCUUAAUUGUUAGUGCUAAUUGAUGGUCUUAUCAUGAAAAUUAUAAAUCAAACCUAAAUAAAAACGAAUAAUAAGAACAUGUUCAUGUACCGAACUGAUAAGUAGCAAGAAAGUGAAAUAAAGAAAACACAAUGAUCUAAACUUAUCAUUGAAAAACAUCACAGAAAACACAAUGUUUGUUUCUUCAUUUUAAUUCUAACGAAUGUCUAAUUUUGGAAUGUGUGCUAUCUUAUCCCAGUCCACCCUUGUUCCCUCCUUGCAUCGCUCAUCUAAUCCUCCAGAAAAACAUAAUUAAUCAGCAAGAGUAUCAUGCAAAACCCCAAAACAGUUAAAAAGGUGCACAUGCACUUAACAAACUCAUCAUCAUUUUCUCUUCCAUAAUUCCCUUCCUUGUUUGUACCACUUUGUCCUUGAAAGAAUUCACAAUUACCUUUGCUAACUGAAUUAUUGCUUAUUGUGAAAAACAAAAAUAUCUCAAAGUUAUCUUAUGUGAACCAAAUACAAAACCAGUAAUUAAUAAUAUCAUAACAACAACAAAUUACAAAUUUGAUGUAUCAUUUUAAACUGAGUGAAAAACAUGAAAAAACAAAAGUCAUUGAAAGAGACAGAAAAUUUAUAUGCUAAAAGGGCAUUAUAAGGCUCUAAGACAGAUUUUAGAUGUCUGUUUUUCUCUCCCAUUGCUGCUCCAACUCUCUGCAGAAGUAUAUUACUGGAAGACAGAAGACAAACUAACAUGUGCUGCAAAACCACCAUAGUGAAGAGACAAGAGUGUCAUAUCCUGCAAACACAGUACAAAAUAUUGUUACUAUACUAUAAGAAACAAAAUCAAAAAAGGGUGAUGGUGGAAGAGAGAGCCUACCAAAUGUGAUAGAAAUUGGAAGCAUAUAUGUGUGUGCUUUUUCAUUCAAUCAACAUGUAAUUUUGGAAUGUGCGCUAUCUUGUCCCAGUCCUCACCGGUUCCUUUCUUCAAUCGCUCCUUUAAUGUUGGGCAACCUCGAAUUUUCAAAAACUCAAGUGAAGUGAGGUGUUGAAUAGAUUCGGGAAAGGAUCUCAAUCCUCCACAAUAACCAAUAUCAAUAGUUCGAAGAGAUCGAAGACCUUCCCAUGUUUGUUCCGGUAUAGACUCAAGCUCACCACAAGAAGAGAUACUCAGACACUCCAACACUAGGUUGAAGGGUUCAUUUGGUAGUUUCUUCAAUUUUGGGAAAUUAGAAAUUUUCAAACUUCGAAGACAAGUCAAGUUUCUUAACAAACCGUCAGGAAAGCAAAUCACGUCUUCACCGUUAAGAAGGUGAAGGGUGGUAAGACUACAGAAAUUGGAGAUUGAUCUCAGUAACUCAUUGUUACAUCCAAAUACAAUGAGGUCUUUAAGGGAUGGAAGGCAUGGCAACACAAGUUUAGGGCAAUCAAUAAUGGUCAAAUUAGAAAGAAGAAGGAACAUAUCUCUUAUUUGCACUUUCAACAAACGCUCUAAGUUUCGUAGUCCUGCUAGUAACAAUUUUUCCAAGGAUGGAAAAGCCCUCACCUCUACACCAUCAUGAUAUUCAGCAUCAUCCAUGUAUUGCAUAUUAUUCAUACCCCAUAAUUCAAGCUUUUUUAGAGAUGGUAGUUUACCUAGUGAUGAAAGAACACAAUUAUUGCAAUACUGAAGUUGAAGAUCAACUAAACUAUUAAGAAAUCCAAUCCAUUUUGGCAAGCAUAAUCCGUCAUAGUAAAGUAUUUUCAACCUCUUGAGAUUUGAGUGAGGUUGAAGCAUUUCAAGUACUUGCUCAGCAGUAGUAGUUGGUGUCUCAGUUUCACCAUUAUUCCUCCAUGACAAGGAUAAUUCUUGGAGGUCCUUUUUACCCAUCAAAUUGGCAUGUCGAGCUUCAAAUAAGCUACCAACAUUUCCCAGACCUUGUAUGCUCAGUUUUCCUCCAAGUGAUAGAUCAUGUAGCUCUCCCAAGCCAUACCCCCUCUCUGACUGAACAAUGUAUACACUUAAUGUUCUUAGGAAAUACAAUUUUCCAAUAUAAGGAAACACACAAGACAAUGAAUUACAAUCUUCAAUGACAAGAUGCCUGAGAUUCUGUAAACAAGUCAAGUGUUUUGGUAGAAAAGUCAGUUUUCGAAAAUAUUUCAAUUUCAAGAUUUCCAAUUUCUGCAAGCGAUAAAUUGAGUCAGGAAGGGUUUCUACGUCAAGAUCACGAAGCUCCAAAUACCUCAAAUGAAUUAAGUUCCCAAGUGACGAUAACUUGAAAGUGUUUGUGCUUAAAACUCGAAGGGAGCGAUUUGUUGGGAAGUAAUCGUAUUCUUUUUCGCUGUAAAACUCUAGUUGAUACAACGUUCGCAAGGAUUCAACUUUUUUGAAGGCCUCAUUGAAGGAAAACAAGUUAAUAUCAGAGUAAAAGCUAGUAUGGUGUGUGCUUCUUAACAAGUUAGUGUUAGUAUUCUCCAAAAUCAUACACUCUGACCCCAUAACUGAUUGAGCAAGAUCAUGCACUAGGUCAUGCAUCUUGAAAGUAAUGUCUCCUGAAUAAUCAUCUAUCUUGAUGUCUUGGAAGAAUGAUUUUUGGCACAGUUCCUUCCAAAUCAUAUUGCCAAAAAAUUCUACAUCCAAAUUAGCCUUUGAGAAAAUAAAUCCAUUGCCCAUCCAUAGAUGAAUCAAAUCUUCCUUUACAAUUUCCAUAUCUUUGGGAAAUAUCGCACAAAAAGCAAAACACCGCUUUAAGGUCGGUGUUAAAUGAAAGUAGCUUAACCUCAAGGCUGGCAAAAUGGAAUUCUCAUAUGGUAAGGUCCAGAGAUUACUGUCUUUAAUUUCAAGCCAUUCAUUUUCAUCACUCCUUGAGCGCAUUAGACCUCCCAAUGCUUGUGCUGCAAGAGGCAAUCCUCCACACUUCUUUACUAUCGCCUUACCUAUUGCUACAAGCUCUUCCCGUUCUUCUCCAGCACAUCCAAAUGCAUAUUGUCUAAACAACAACCAACAUUCGUUUUCAGAGAGACCAGAUAAAUGAUGAGCUAAACAUGUUCCCAUGAUUUCUGCAACAUCCUUAUCACGAGUGGAAACUAAAAUGGAAGAUCCUUUGGAUCCACAUGACAACGCAGAUUUCAACUUGUUCCAUUUGUCUUGGCUUAAUCCUAGUUCCAAUCCUUGAUUUCUGCUCCAUACAUCAUCCAAAACCAGCAAAAAUCUUUUACCUUGCAAUAGUUCUCGUGCUUUUCUUUGUAUUACAUCUAAAUCCAAGGCAUCAAACUUGUCUUUUGUGAUAGAUUCUAUAAUGGAACACAAAAUCCUUUUGACAGAGAAAGUCUCCGAAACACAAAUCCAAACUUUUGUAUUAAAAUUGCUACUUACCCUAUGAUCAUUGUAGACCAUUUGAGCAAGUGUUGUUUUACCAACACCACCUAGGCCAACAAUAGGAUAGAUGGAUAGGAAGUCAGAUACUUGCGCUUGGGUGAGAAGAAACUCGACAAUCCUCUCUCUAUCAUCUACUCGUCCAAACACUUUGGGUUCAGCAAUAAUGGAGCUUGUUUGGCGCCAUUCAGCAACUUCAUUUGGCCUUUCCCUAACAACGACACCCUCUCGUAAAAGAAACUUGUCUUUACUUUCAGCAAUUUGAUCGAAUCUCCUUGUAAUUUCUUUCAACCUUUUGCCGAUGUCACGGCGAAACACAAUGUUCUUUAGGUUGAAACAGGACGAGGCUUUAAGUCUACUAGAUUCAAUGGAACAUUCAUCAAGAAUAUCAUCAAGCACAUAUACAGCAUCUUUGAGUUGUUGGAGCCAUACCUUAAUAGAGCGGUCUGUGACCUGUUUCUGCUCAGCAUCUUCAAGAACAGCCUUGAUCAGAUCCAAGGUGGUUGACAACUUUUCAGCCUUUGAUGUGAUUCCAGAAAUGGUUGCAAAUUCAUUUUGAACAAGAGAUAACAAAUUCUCAAAUACAACUCCUAGCAAGGCCUCUGCCAUUUUUAGUUAGUACUAGGAAUAUCGGCUGUUAGGUGAUCAGUUGGAAAUUAUGAAGGAAAAUAAAACAAAAUGCAGAUUUGAUUCAAUUUAGAGCAACAUCCACUAAGCACUGGGGUGAUAGUGCUAGGACCCACACUUUAAAUUUAAUGUCAUUAUUAUGGAUCCAUUGUUGACUUUUGUUUCUUUUUUUUUUUCCUACCAUUUCAUACAGAAAUAAAAAACAGUCAUAUAAUCUAUCUUGGCUAUUUCUCAAAACGUAAAGUUCUUACUUGCCCUUUGAAAGAACAAGCAAGCCAAAUCUCCAUAUAAAAGUCUAUAAAUAAAUUUGAUUCCAAUGAAGAAAAGUUCUGAAGGGUUAAAAAAGAAAAAUAUAAAAUUAUCUACAAAAACAGAUACACUAUUUGAAGGAAAUUUUCAUAUUUUUAGUCAAUAGGAAUCGAACUCGGUACCAAGUGGUUUAUAACAGUCAAUAGCGUGCAUGACAUAUCAAUGAGUUUUUCAUCAGAGCAUAAUUUUUAGCUAUGAAGAAUAUUACAAUAACAUGAAAACAUUUUGACUGCAACGAUACCUUGCUUAUGUGAUACUCUAUUAUCAUAGGCAUAAAAGAAUUAACUUCGAAAAAUUUUCUUAAAUUUCAUUAAACUGGCUUUCAUGUAUUUGGCCUUUAGGAAACAUAAUUAAAUUUGGUAUUAACCCUACACAAGAGAAGUGUAACCAUAUAUAUUUGUUGAGUUUUACAAGUUAAUGUAUGUGUUUAAAUGAAUGUUAAUUGGACGGAAAUACAGCGCACGAGUAUCAUGUAUAAUUAAGUACAACAUUGGUUCUCAAAUUUUGCUUGCAAUCUGGAAUUUUUACCAGAUAAUUGAAGCGAAAAAUAAAGUAAAAGAACAGAAUAAUAUGCACAAAAAAGUACUGUUUUUUUUACUUCAAUUAAAAAUUAAUUAUAAUGUGCAAAAAACUUAAAUCAGUUUAGAGAGGGGAAAUUAGAGAGGUUGGUAUGGUAACAUAGAAAGCGUAAAACUAGACCUAAUCAUGUUAAUUAAAUAAAAAAUUAAAUAAAAAAUCUUCUGCUGCUUAAGUAAAAAAUUAAGCAAGACUGGAGUAUCAUAUAAAACCCAAAACAAGAACAUUGUAUGACCAAUGUUUCUACUUUCCUUGUACUAGACAAGUCCAAUGAACUUUGUUUAUUGUUUUUGGUAAGACUUGCUGAACUUUGUUGAUUUCAUGAUGAUUAUGAUUGGCAUCUGGCAAAUAAGACUUCUGAUUUUAACUAGUUGCAAAGCUUCAUACUCAUUCUGAUAGAUUGUUUCCUGAAAUUUGUUUCUGGUCUGAUAGCUAUCCGUCAAUAUUUACCUCCAACCUGGGAACGAAUCUACCACAUUGUCUUUAAUUUGAAAGAGCUAUGCUAAUUGAACUAUUGUGAAGAAUAAAUAUAUAAAGGCAUAAUAAGGCUCUAAGAAAGAUUCUGAAGUCUGCCUCCUAUCCACAAGCUACUACAACUCACAGCAGAAGUGUCACUAUUUACAUCACUGCAUUACCUUUUUGAUUGAUUUUAAUAUUACAACAGACGACUGAGAUGAUUUAAGUUAGCAUAGCUCUCAAGAUGAGAAAAACCACAAAAAUUGUGCAUAACCAUGUAUUCUUUGGUACAAUCGUUCAAUUAAUAAGUAUUUCAGAGAUUUGAGAGAUUGAGAAUUCUAUUAACUUUGUUUUAUGUCAGAUCCUAAUUAUUGUCAUGAAUUAUUCAUAGCAAGUUCAUUUACUGAACAGAUAAGAAACAAGAAUUUGAAAUAAAAUAAGGAUGAGUUCUUAAAUAUAUUUGGUAAAAACUAAAUUGUGAAGGUAAUCAAUAUUAUAAAUCCUUAAGAUGAAGUCCUUUCUUAAGGAUCAUUCAUGUGUGCUGAUGAUAAUGAACUCAAGUUGGCUGAGACUUCAUCUGUUGCUUUUUUUUUCGGACAACUGUUGCACCGGACUAUUCAUUACUCCUCAAGUCCUCUGUGGUGUGUUUGUGUUGCUUAGUGGGUGGUUACAUAUAUGGUAUAUAUUUCUCUACCCCCUUCCAUUUACUAUAUUUUGCUACCCCAAGUUAUUCACAUCAUUGAUAAUUUGUGCCUUGUUUAUUGAAUUCUUUGUGUGGUUACAUUUCUGUUGACAAGUGAAUUUUAUAAAUGACAAAAAUCACGUAGUCACUGAUUUUAGCUUCCAUAAGGCAAUAAUUUGAUCAAGUAUGAAUUCAAAAAAGCAUUUAUCCCUUUUAAAUAAAUAAUGUAUGUACACUGUUUGGAAUAACCAAGACACAAAAUGUCUGAUUAUAAGCUCACUAACAAAAAACUACACUAGAGAAAUGGGAAAGAGAUUAAUAUAAAGAAUCACUUAUGUUAGCAACAUUAGUACUAGUAGAUAUUGUAAAAUCAAGGACAACCUCCUAAGGCUUAGGAGAAGCUAUAUAUAACUCUUUCAACAUCUGUUAUUAGUUGGAAUUAAGUUCGGCUCAUGUGUUGGAUCACCGCUGUCAACAUCCUCUCGUUUCAUGCCAACCAUAUCAAUUUUUCUCAUUAUUUGUGAUUUCCAUUGCUUCAUUUGAUGGACUAAUAGAUUUUUCACUGCUUUCUUUGGAGAUUGAUUUUUCAGGCCAAAAUACAUUCAAUCCAUUACCUGUAUGUAUGACCAAAAUACAUUCAAUUCCUUUAUCAAAUCUUACCAUACAUCUAAAUAUGUUUGGUGAAAAAAAUGAUGUGUGAAGGUAAUUAGUAUUAUAAAGUCCUGAAGCAUGCAAUAAAAAGAAAGCCGACUGAAGUUUCUAUAUGUUAAAAUCAAACUGAAAGUUUCUAUAUGUGUGUUAAAAUCAAUCAAUUUGAUAAGGCAGAAAAUGCAUAUUAAAGUAUUCGCUAAGAUAUGAACUAUGUUUACCUGGAAACCAACGAUAACCAGUAAAGAGAUAUCAGUUAAAGGAAAUUGAAAUCUUCAGCAGCAAACAUCACUCCUAAAAUAUGCUCAACAACGUCGCCAAUUCUGGCUAUUGGUGUUUCCCCUGAUCGAACUUGAAACUCCAACUUUCCAUAAAUAUUUCAUACAUGAAGGGACUAUUUCAUAAAUGAAGGAUCAUAACCUGCAUAUUUUCAUGAACACGUGAAAUUAAAUUGAAAUCUAGUAGUAUAUGGAGUUGAACAUCUUAAUACUAUAGGAAUUGAAGAUCUAUACCAUAUCAAUACUAUGAAGGAUCAUAAGGAAGUGGAGACGCCAUAACGAUAAUCUGACCCAUUAGGUUGACAUCUUUAAUUGAUUUCGUCUCAGACAAAAAUCACAAGUUUCACAUAAAUGAAUUCAAAGAUGUCUUCUUCAUUCCAAUAAACAAUUUUUGGAAUAUGUGGUAUCCUGUCACAUUCCUCUCCUGCUCUCUCCUUACACUCCUUUAAUUUUAGGCAACCACGGAUACUCAUAAACUCAAGUGAAGUGAGGUGUCAAAUACCUUCUGGAAAGGAUCUCAAUCCUCGCAUUCAACAAUAUCCAUAGUUCAAAGAGAAAUAAAUGGCUCCUGUUCAGUUUCACAGGAGAUGCUCUCUGUAAGUGAUAUGACUAAUGCUAAUCUACUAAAAUAUAUGGAGUUAAAAGAUGCAAAAUUCACUUUGUUAUCAAAUAAAACAUUUGAUUUCUCAUUCAUAUCAUCCGAAAUUAUCACCUCUUAUAGUUUCUGUGGUUCAGCUGAAGCAUCCUCUUGCUUUCAGGAAAAGCAGUGGUCCGACACAAAUAUGGUUGGGAUUCAGCAGCAUUCCACAACAUAUCUGACACAAACAUAAUGAAAUAACAUGAGUGACUCGACUAGAAUCAUGAAUUACAAUGUCACCUUCCUAAUAAAGAGCUGUAUACACACCUGCAGAUUUUCUGUCUUUGGUUGGUAACAAUGACAGACACAUGGCAUCAUUUCUCACAAUAUUUACCAACACACGAGAAUUAUAAUAUGCAUUGGUUGUGACAAAAUGCUCUAGAUUGUUAUUGAUGUCGAUGAUAGUUUUACCCGGAGUAUUAUACACAUGUUGAUCUUGGCUUCCCUCACUCAAAAGAUGUUUUAACAACUAUGUAACAAGUGGUUCCUGCACAUAGAAAUUAAACUAAGACAAUAAUAUUGUUAUAAUGAUGUAAAAGAGACAAAGAAGCUUUAAAAAAUUGUUCCGACUAGAAAUUACACUCAGCCAUCAAAUUGAAACAUGCAAUUAUAGAUUUCAAUACCACAAAUAAAAAAAGGGAUAUUCAGAAACGUCAAAUAAGGAAACCAUAGUCAAGAGACAUGAGAGGCAUAUCCUGCAAAUAGAGUACCAAGAGAUUGUUAUGAAACACAGUCAAAAGAAAUAAAGAUGGAGGCAGAAACACCAACAUCUCUGUUUUUUGAUUCCUGUUGAAAUCAGUAGCAGAAACAUCACCUGCCAAAGAGUGAGCCAAACAAUAUAUAUUAUUCAAAUAAACAAUCUAAAACAAAUAAAUAAGAAUGACCAAUAAAAACUUAAGAAUAAAAAUCGAGAAAACCUUGACACCGAUCAGACUUUGCUAAUGGGUACGGAGCUCUGACCCAUUGUCACUUCCUCCACUCCAAAAGACUGCGUCUUCGUCAUUGGGUAUGUUUGUUCCAUUAAUCCCGUUAUUUGUCUUGUGUGUCGACGCCAAUCCUAACCAUUCAAUUAAAUCCCCACAAAAUCAGUAAAAUUAAAAAAAAAAAUCCAAAAUUCAAAUUAAAAAAAAUUAAACUAUGAUGAAGAAAAUGACCUGAAUUAGAACAUUUGUAACUUUAGUUGAGCAGUGAAAUAUCUUUCAUGUAGUCUGGAUCUCUUCCUGCGGAAUGGGUUCCAAAUAAGUCAACAACGAGAAUAAAAAUAAAGAUUUUUGAGCAGUUGAAAUCCAAACAUAAGAAGGGGAAAUUGAGAUCUUACCAGUAAAAUUGAUUUUUGCGAUGUUGAUUGUGGCAGAUAAGGGUAAACGUCUCUGCUUCUUAAUCCUCGGUAAACUGUAUUUUUGGAAUAUGAGCUAUCUUGUCCCAAUCCUCCCAUGUUCCCUCUUUGCAUCGUUCCUCUAAUGUUGGGCAUUCCCAAAUUGUCAGAACCUCAAGAGAAGUGAGGUGUCGAAUACCCUCCGGCAAGCAUCGCAAUCCUUUACAGCUAUAAAUCUGUAGAUUUCGAAGGGAAGUGAGGUGUCGAAUACCCUCCGGCAAGCAUCUCAAUCCUCUACAACUCGAAAUGUGUAGAGCUCGAAGGGAUUGAAGACCUUCCCAAUUUUGCUCUGGUAAGGACUCCAAUUGUGGGAACCAAUCUACUUCCAGAUAUUGAAGACAAGUAAGGUUUUUGAACAUCCCCUCUGGGAAGGAUGUUAUUCCUUCACCCUCCAUUAGGGUAAGCUGAGUAAGACCACGGAAGGUAGAGAUUGACCUCAGUAACUCAUUGUUACAUCCAUCCACAUAGAGGCCUUCAAGAGAUGGAAGAGAUGGCAGUCCAAGUUUAUGGCAAUAUGAGAUUUCCAAGUAAGAAAGACAAGGAAACAUCUCCCCUCUUUCCACUUUCAAUAACCCCUCUAUGUUUCGUAGGUAUCGUAAAUGGAGAUCCAUCAGAGAUCGGAAAACCAUCACCUCCACACCAUCCUGAGAUUCAUCAUCAUCCAAGUAUUUCAGAUUAUCCAUAUAAGAUAAUUCCAGUUUUUUUAGAGAUGGUAGUUUACCAAGUAACGGAAGCCGCACAAUUUUGUUGCAAUUCCGAAGUUCAAGAGAAAUUAAAUUACUAAGAAGGCUUAUCCAACUUGGUAACGAUAACCCUUCAUUGUAAUUUAUUGUCAAGCAUUUGAGAUUUGAGUGAGGUUGAAGCUCUUCAAGUACUUGCUCAGCACUAAUUAUAGAUUCCUGUUGGGAUAUCCAUGACAAGCAUAAUUCAUGAAGGUCUUUUUUACCCAUCAAAUUAGCCGCUUCAGCUUCAGAUAACCUGCCAACAUUGUUUAAUCCUUGGAUAUGCAGUUUUCCACCGAGGUUUAGAUCACGUAACUCUGUCAAGCUAUUCCCUUUCUCUACACUAACAAUGUACACACUUAAUGUUCUUAGACAAGUUAAUUUUCCAAUGUUAGGAAACAUUUGAGACAAAGACCGACAUUCUUCAAUGACUAUAUGCCUAAGAUUUUGUAAGCAAGCCAAGCGUUUUGGGAGACAACUCAGAUUACGACAGUCUUUUAUUUUCAAGAUUUCCAGUUUUUGUAAGUUGUAAAUUGAGUUAGGCAACUUUUCUAUGUCAAGAUAAAUAAGUUCCAAAUACCUUAAAUGAAUUAAACUCCAUAUUGGGAUCUGCAGAGAAAAUGUUCUUAAAACACGGAGAGAACUGCUUAAUGGGAAGUGAUCAUAUUUUGUUGUAAUAAAAUAAUAUUUCUUCAAGUCAAACAAUGUUCGCAAGGAUUCAACUUUUUUGAAAGCAUUUUCAUCGAAGGAUAAAAAUUUCUUGCUGUUAAAACCAAUGUGGUGUGUGCUUUUUGACAAAUUAGUCGUGUUUUUAUUCUCCAAACACGUACAUUCUUGCCCCAUUACUGAUUGAGCGAGAUCAUGGACAAGAUCAUGCAUCUUGAAAGAAAUGUCUCCAGAAUAUUCAUCCAUCUUGCUAUCUUGAAAGAACGAUUUUCUGUACAAUUCCUUCCAAACCAUGUUUCCAACAUCUUCAACCUCUAAAUUCCUCUUUGCAAUAAAUCCAUUAGCCAUCCAAAGCUGAAUCAAUUCUUCCUUCAGGAUUUCUCUAUCUUUGGGAAAUAUAGCACAAAAGGAGAAACAUUGCUUUAGGGUUGGUGUUAAAUAAAAGUAACUCAACCUCAAAGCAGGUAAAAUAGAUUUUUCAUGUGGUAAAUCCCAAAGCUCACUGUCUUUAAUAUCAAGCCAUUCCUUUUCUUCAUUCAUUGAGACCAUUAAACCCCCCAAUGCUUUUGCUGCAAGAGGCAAUCCAUUACAUUUCUUUACUAUCUCCUUUCCAAUCUCCACAAGCUUUGUAUGCUCUUCUUUGUUACGUCUAAAUGCAUGUUGUUUGAACAACAACCAACAAUCACUAUCUGAGAGACCAGAUAAACGGUGACUUUCCCAUGUCCCCAUGAUUGUUGCAACAUCCUCAUCACGAGUGGACACUAAAAUGGAACUACCUUUUGAUCCACACGACAAAACAGAUUUCAAACGAUUCCAUCUAUCUUGUGUUAACCCAGAUUCCAAUUGUUCAUUUUGAUUCCACACAUCAUCCAAAAUCAGCAAAUAUAUUUUCCGUUGCAACAAUCCUUGCACCUUUCUUUCCAAGACAUCUAACUCAAAGUCAUGACACUUCUCUAAUGUAAUAGAUUCUAUAAUACAACACAAAAUCCUCUUGACCGAGAAAGUCUCAGAAACACAAACCCAAAUUUUUUUAUCAAAAUUGCGACUCACCCUAACAUCAUUGUAGAUCAAUUGAACAAGAGUUGUUUUUCCAAUACCACCUAAACCAACAAUGGGAUAGACAGAAAUGAAGUUAGAGUCCUUCGCAUAGGUGAGAAGAAACUCGACAAUCUUUUCUUUAUCAUCGUCUCUUCCUAAUGCUUUUGAUUCAAGAGGGGUGGAGCUGGUUUGGCGCCCUUCAGCUACUUGAUCUGGGAUUACCCUAAGAGUUUCACCCGUCUGUAGAGAAAACUUGUUCUUUCUUUCAGCAAUAUCAUCUAACCUCCUUGUAAUCUCUUUCAACCUGUUACCAAUCUCAUGGCGAAACAUGAUGUUCUUUGGUUUGAAAGAGGUAAAUCCUCUGAGUCGACAAGACUCGAUCGAGUACUCAUCAAGGAUAUCAUCGAGCACAUAAACAGCAUCUUUGAGGUCUUGUAACCAUAGCUUAAUAGAGAGUUCUUUGAAUUGUUUCUUCUCAGCAUCUUCAAGAACAGCUUUGAUGUGAACUAAGUUGUCUGAUAGCUUUUGAGCCUUUGACUUGAUUCCAGAAAUGGUUGAAAAUUCAUUUUGAAGGAGAGAUGUCAAAUUUUCGAACACAACUCCAAGCAAAGCGCAAGCCAUUUUUUUGUGAAAACAAAUUAAAGAGUUGAAAAGAUAAGAAGACGAGAAAUUUGUUUAGAUAGAAUGAGUGUUGAACCAAGCUGGAGGACCUUUGAAAAUAAAUGCAAUGAAAGUAGAAAGUCAGCAUGUAGGUGCUCACAAACAGAAUAACGAUCUUCAGAAAAUGUUUAUGAAUCUAGUGCCUGCAUUUUUUUAUUUACGUUCCAUAUAAAAUUUCAUUCAAGUUGGUGUAACGUCAUUCACUUAUAUUUAAUCUUUAAAAUUUCAUGCCACUAGUGUUUAAAUUUAGUACUCUGGGUCAGGGGUGGAUCUGGUUUCACAAUAUUAAUGGGGCAAUUUUUUUUUUUGUCAAACAAUUAAAUAAUAUUAAAUUUGAUAAGAAGAUAUAUUAAAAAUAGUUGUUGCAACCAAAAUUACAAAGAAAAGUAUCUAUUUUUCAUUUGUUGAAUAUAAACUAAAAUUAUAUAAUUACUAAUUGUUCUAAGAACAUCCCUUUCUAUAUAGAUUACAAGAGAUGAAUCAAAUGCUCUAAGAGGAUACCCAUGCAUAUGGAUGGGUGAGCGUGUUGCGCUUUUUUUGAAAGUAAUUCACAAUUGUGUAGAAAUUAUAUAUAUAUAUAUAUAUAUAUAUAUAUAUAUAUAUAUAUAUCAUUGUAUUGAUUUUUUUGAGAGCAUAUUGAUAUAUGAAUAAAAAUAUAGAUAUAUGUAUAAACUGUACAAAAAAAUUAUUUAUUUAUAAAAUAUGAGUACAAAUACAGACACAUUUAUAAAUAAAUAAAUAGGUUCUCUAAUUAAUAUAUGAAUAACAAAAACCCAUUUGGGGUUGGCCCAGCGGUUGGCUUGGGAUCUUGGAGUUUGCUCCUUCAGAGGUCUCAGGUUCGAUUCACUCUGGUGUCAAUUUCGGUGGGCUAAGUCCAUACAGAGCUUGCUCUGGCUUUAAACGAUGCCCCCGCAAGUGGGCGGUGGGAUUGGUCCCCUCGGAUUAGUCAAUUCUUGGAUCGGAUACCGAGUUUUCAAAAUAUAUAUAUAUAUAUAUAUAUAUAUAGGGGUUUGCUAGAACACACCCACUAGUUUUUAUGUGGGAGUGUUUUAGCAAAGCUACACCUUAAGGUGUAUUUAACCACUUUUUAGUUAUUCAAUUGCUAAAAUACUCAUUCUAAAAACUAAGUGGAUGUAUCCUAGCAAAUGCCUAAAUAAAAAUAUAGACAUCUGUAUAAAUUAAAAAAUAACAUAUAACACCAUCUUAAUAUAUGAAUGAAUAUAUAGAUACAUGUAUAACAUAAAAAAAAAAAAAAAAUAGUUGUUUAUAUUAAUAUAUCUUGGAGUUUGCUUCUCCAGAGAUUUUAAGUUCGAUUCUUGGAUCGGAUACCGAGUUUUAAAAAUAUAAAAAAAAAAAAAAAAAACACCUUGUCAAGAAAAAAAAAGAACACCCUUUUUUUUUUGGUACAAAAAGAACACCUUUUUAUUUAUUUAAUUAAAUAUAAGUUUCAAUACGAUUAUGGUUAAGGAGGUCAUUCAGUGAUACCUCUAUCUACUAUAAAUAAAUAAAUUUAGGAAAACAAGUUGACCAACAAAUUUAUUAUUCGAAAAAUAGUUGACCCACAAAUUCAUAAUAGUAACCGUAUGCUUGUGUUUUUUGACAACUGUUUUUUUUGCAAACAAAAAUCUUUUAUUUUUUUAAAAAAAGAAAAACUUUUACACAUUUUCAUUCAUUAUAAAAAGUGAUAUAUUGUUAUUUGUCAACUUUAUCUUAUUUCUAUAUGCCACUUUAUUGUUAUGAGAUUAUUUUGUGGAAUUUUUUUUUUCUGACCCUAUUGGCCAAAAAUAUAUAUAUACAUUUGAACUAGGCGCAUAUGGGUCAUUGUCAUUCAGUGUUAUCACUAAACCAAUGUAUAUUUGAUGUUAAUUUUGCGCAUCCAAUAAUAUAUAUACCAUUUUUUAAAUCAGUUUCACACACCAUGAGGCAUGAACCAUCCAAUUUUUCAUUUUUGUUCCCUCAAAAAAAAAAAUCAUUUUUGUUUUUUUAAUAUAAGUCUUAUAAAAAAAAUAAAUAUAGGGUCCCCAUGAGCUUAGAUUUUAAGGUAAAUUUCUCUAGCUACUAGGCUAUUUGACAAAAAAAAAAUAAAUAGGAGAUUUUAUAAUUUUAAUUGGAUUCUAUAUUUUAUUUUGAAAAAUUACUUGAAUAUGAACAAAAUCUAGAUUUUAUUUUGAAUAUAUAUAUAUCUUGAAAUAAUAUAUAUGUCAUUUCGUCGGAUAAUUAUCGGUGAAAAAUAUAUAUUUCGUCGGAUAAUAAUAAUAUAUAUAUAUAUAUAAUUUAUCGGUGAAAAAAAUUAUUUCGUCGGAUAAUUUUUCACAGAUAAAUUAUAUAUAUAUUCGUCGGAGAUCCUAAAUUAUCCAAUUAAAAAAACAAAAAUGAAAAACUGGAUGGUUUGUGGUGUGUGAAACUGAUUUAAAAAAUGGUAUAUAUAUUAUUGGAUGCGAAAAAUUAACAUCAAAUGUACAUUGGCUUAGUGGUAACACUGAAUGGCAAUGACCUAUAUGCGCCUGAUUCAAUUCCUCCUGAGUGAAAAAUUUUAAUUUUUUCUCAAAUAAAUAAAAAAAAGCAAAAAACGAAAAAAAAAUAAAAAAAAUUGAUUUUUUUUAAAGGGGGUCAGAGCUGAAAUUUUUUUGGCCAAUAGGGUCAGAAAAAAAAAAAUUCCUAUUUUGUGCUGAUGAGUCACUACAUAGUAGAGUCGACGGUUGUUGUCAAUUAUUUGAAUAUAAUUUUUGCAUCUUCUAAUAAAAAUGAGAAUAACUAUAAUAUUCUAAUUAUAUAAAUGUGAAUAACUAUAAUAUUCAGGAUUUAUACGGGGACAAACAUGAUUUUCCAAAUUUUAGAUUCACUUAAUUUCUUUUUUUGAUGUUAUUUAUUAGGGUUUUGGCUUAAUCCCUCUUUUACAUAAUUUUUCCUUUUUUAAUAAAAUUUCAGAGUAAAUGAUAGAAAAUAGGAGCAGCUUACCAACCUAGUUGAGAUGUCUAUAAUUUCUUCUUUAGUUUACCUUUCUUGCUCUCUUGAUUAAAAAAUAAAUAAAGAAUCUACUUUUACAUCAAAGUUCAUGAAUCUAGUCCUAGUGGCCUGUAUAAUUGCUAGGAAGAGUUUGAUUGAUCCACUUUAACCAUUAAUACGUGGCCGACAAAAUAAUGAAAUAACUUUGCUUUAUGAAAACUUUGAUUUGGCAUUUUAAUUUCGUACCCUAGCUAAGGAGUAAGGACGAUAACCGGUUGUUGAUGGGUCCAACUCUCUAAUAUCAUUCUUGUAUUGCAUUUACAAUGUUUGUUCAUACACAUAAUUAGGACAUGAAACUCUCAAGUCUCAAAUGAAAGAAAAAUCAAUUUUACAGUUAUUUCAUUAGUUUUUUUUUUUUUUUUUUCUACCAAUCAUUUUUAAAUGCCCAAGCAAUUCAUCUUGCACAAAAUAUUGAAAACCAUCUAACCGUCAAAACUCAAGUUUCAAUUUCAUCUUGGGAUGACAAUGGGUAUCCAAUGGAUAGAAUACUAUAGUAUCCAUCCUCAUACCAUUAUUUAUAAAAAAUAUCCGUACCCGAAUCCGUAUCCUCAAUGGGAAAAGGGUGUAUUUAUAGUAUUAGAUAAAACAAAACAAAAAAAAGAAAGAAAAAAAAAACAGAGAAGUGCUAUUUUCCACAAAGAUUUUUCCAACAAAUACCAAGAAUGUAUUGCUUUUCUGUUUUAUAGAGAUGGAGGAAAACUAUUAAUUCCGGAUUUAAUGGAAAUCAUGGCCAUGUGUUUAUGAAAAUGGAUGGCGGAUAUCAAGUCGUGGUUUUCGUGGAUAACAGAUUCGUAGGAACAAGCAUUUUCCAAAAAAAAACUCAAUGGCAUGCUCGCCAUUUUAAACAUAGAGCACAAAAAUGUCAUCGUGAGCUUAGUUCAGUUGAUAUGAACAAUGCAUAAUAUAUACAAGGUUUGGGGUUCAAACUCCGACCAACAAACAAAACAUAGAGCAUAAAAAUAAAAAUAAAAAACCUAAAGAAAAUGGCUAGUUCGCCAUUUCAUAUCAAGAACAGGAAAUUAAAUACUAAAAAAAUAUUAUUCCGUUUCAAAAUAUAAGCAAAUUUUAUUUUUUAGGUUCAUUUAAUUAAUUAUGUAUAUAGUUCAUAAUAUAGACCACAUAUAUCAUUAAUUGAAUGAAUUUAAAAAAUAAAAUUUGCUUAUAUUUUGGAACUGAUGGAGUAUAAUGCUCGGCAACUGAAAUGUAGAGUGCUGAGAAGUUCAGGAAAAAACCUGCGGUUUCACAGAAAAUGUUGAAAAAACUGGCAUGGUCGCCAACAUAUCAAUUUUUUUCUUUACAGGGACAGAAGAAAAAAAAAAUCAGAUUAUUUUGUGCUGAUGAGUCACUACAAAGUAGAGUCGACGGUUGUUGUGAUUAGUCAAUUAUAUUUAUAAUUUUUGUAUCUUCUAGAAAAAAUGAGAAUAACUUUAAUAUUCUAAUCAUAUGAAUGUGAAUAACUAUAAUAUUCAGGAUUUAUACAAGGACAAGCAUGGUUUUCCAAAUUUUAGAUUCACUUAAUUUCUUUUUUGUUUUUGUUAUUUAUUAGGGUUUUGGUUUAGUCCCCCUCUUAUAUAGUUUUUCCUUUUUUAAUAAAAUUUCAGAGUAGACGAUAGAAGAUGGGAGCAGCUUACCAACUUAGUUGAGAUGUCUAGUUUAUUCUUUAAUUUACCUUUUUCUCUCUUAAUUCAGUAUCGUUCAUUCCCAAAGUAAAAGUCGAAAAUGCCCCUACGCAUGUUAACAUGCUCUAGUGCAGAUUAUAACGUAACUUAAAAUAAGUAGCGUGACUUAACAUGCGCUAGUGUUAUUUGUGAGUUAUUUGUUGAAUGCUUAGCGCAAGUUAACAUGCGCUAGUGUAUUGUGAAACGUGAGUUAACUCACGUUGCCAUUUGCACUAGCGUGAGUUAACUCACGUUCAUAGCAGACAACAGAAACUGCAAUAAAUGCAGUGCAGUAACAGAACUGGAACUUGAAAAGUGUAAAAUGACCCGUAAUCACGCCACAUUCAUAACUUAACCGAAUUACGCCAGUUUAACAAGAGUAUCGGAUAAUACGACAUAAUCAAUCCAAAUUACUCAAAAACAUCGUUUUUCUCACAAUCACGUAAUCACACAUAAACGAUCCAAACGGUCCAAAUUUCCCGAAAAUACACAAGAUAUAAGCAGACUUAAUGACACGUAAACAAUCCAAAACAAUUCAUUUCAUAUAUUUAUAUAAUAUUAGUUACAUAUUGGCCAUAAAUAUCAAAAUUACACAACCGGCCACCAAAAAAAUAUUUCGGGGUGUAAUACCAACAAAAAAAAUGACGAACACCGACCGACCCAGAAGUGUCAUAACAUAUCUAACUAGACUAGUGAUAGUGCAUAUUCUUCGUAUUCAUCCAUGACUUCGAUCUCUUGCUUUGGCUUUUCCGGAGUGUCCAAAUUAAUAGGAUUGUGCUCAUUUGUUGGUUUCUUUGGCGGCAUCGGAUCCUUAGACAUGAGCUCAUCGAAGGCGGCUUGUCUAUCCAAAAACUGAAAAAGCCAUUGCUUCGCCACACUUUCUUUGUUUUUUUCCUUCAAAUCCGUGAGAAUAUUCCUAGGCUUUGCCAAGCUCUUUGUCAUGUCGAUAACUCUUUGCUUAUCCUUCCCUCUUAGUCGACCCGCAAGAAGGUGGCCGAAUAAAUUUGGCGCCAAGUCAUGGUUGUGAACUCCACAAAGCAUUGUAAUCCACCAUUCUUAUUUUUUUUUUCAAAGAAACAUUUCAACCUAAACGGACAGUUACACUUCCUUGAGCCCGUGCCUUCAAGCUUCGGUUUCUUCCUCGUCUUAUGUGGCUUGUAUUCACCACUCCUCUCACAUUGCGUCGUCACGUAUGGCACUAUAGUACUAGAUUUAUCUAUAGAAAUAGUAAAUCCCUCCCUACCCACUUGUCGAUAAACCCAACCAAGUAAUUCUUCUCGAUCUUUCCAUCUUUCAUUUGUUGUAAAAAUGACCCGGUGUUUACUUGAAUAACACGAACACCGGUAGGUACCAGUUUAGGCUUCUCUUCAAAGUUACCAGUAGGUACCGGUUUUGUUUGGCUGUGAACUAUGUGAGCUUCAACUUGAAAAGGAAUUUUCACUUUAAACUUCACAUCAUUGGUUGGUUUGCGUACGCCGGAAGCUUUGUUUAUGCCCGUUUCGGCUCAACGCCAUCCUCCGCCACAUUUUCAACCAUGCCACUCAAUGUCUACUCAAUAAAAAAAAAUAAAGAAAAAAUAAAUAAGUGACUUGUGCGGCAAGCAAAGGAAAUAAAAAAGUGGCGCAAAAUUUCAAAUUCUGGGCUACUGUUAGUAGCGUGAGUUAACUCACGCAAGUGCUAUCUACCUACGCAACUUAAGUCACGUUGCCCUUACAACUAGCGUGAGUUAACUCACGUUGAGCCCAACGCUUACUGCAAUGAAAAACGAAACUACCAGCAAACCCAGCAAAAAGGAAAAAGUUUUGAUUGUACAUUACCUGUUCUUUGAUGCUUGAUGAGCGUAGAAACUUGUCUCCUGACGAUUUGCAAUGAUUUGGAAUGAAGAUUUUGACUCAAAAUUUCGCACUUUUGGGGGUUUUUGGAGGUGGAGGGAAAGAAAAAAUGGAGCUUUGUGGUUGCCUGCUGGGUUUUGAACGAAAAUAGUACUUGACGCAAGUUAACAUGCGCUACGUGACUUAACUCACUCUGCGUGACUUAAGUUAAGUUCUCCUUAUAACUAGCGCAUGUUAACUCACACUACGCAAGUUAACAUGCGUAGGGACAUUUUCGACUUUUACUUUGGGAAUGAGCGAAUUCAUUUGGGUAAUGAGCAGAGAUCCAUAAAAAAAAAAAAAAAAGGUUUAAAUAUGUCUUUAGUCCUUGCACUUUUAUCAGAUUUUUGCAUUGGUCCCUACACUUUUUUUUUUUUGUUUAGAAUUGAUCUCUGCACUUUGUAAAAAUAUUGGUAUUGGUUCCUCUAUUAACUUUCUGUUAAAAAAAACACAAAACUAUUGAUAUUGGUCCCUGCACUUUGUAAAAAUAUUGAUAUUGGUGCCACGUGGCGUGAAAUGAUUGAGCCACGUGGCACUCCGUUGGUUUUGUUUUUUUUUUUUUUUAACAUAAAGUUAACAGAGGGACCAAUACCAAUAUUUUUACAAAGUGUAGGGACCAAUGCCAAAAUCUGAUAAAAGUGUAUGGCUCAAUGACACAUUUAAACCAAAUAAAGAAUAUAUAUGAAUCUAGUCCUAGGGGCCUGUAUAAAUCUAGUCCUAGUGGCCUGUAUAAUUGCUAGGAAGAGUUUGAUUGAUCCACUUUAACCAUUAAUACGUGGCCGACAAAAUAAUGAAAUAACUUUUCUUUAUGAAAACUUUGAUUUGGCUUUUGUGACAGGUUAUAAUGCUAUGUUAUAACUUUACACUUUACUUAUUUAAUUUCAUAUAAAAUUUCAUUCAAGUUCUGGUGUAACAUCCAUCAUUCAAUGAUAUUUAGUCUUUGAAAUUUCAUGCCACACUGGCAUUUUAAUAUCGUACCCUAGCUAAGGAGUAAGGACGAUAACAUUAACCGGUUGUUGAUGGGUCCAACUCUCUAAUAUCAUUCUUGUAUUGCAUUCAAUGAUAUUAAUGUUUGUACGUACCCAUAAUUAGGACAUUCUCUAGUCUCAAAUGAAUAAUCAAUUAAACAGUUAUUUCAUUAGCUUUUUUUUUUCUACCAAUCAUUUUUAAAUGCCCAAACAAUUCACCUUGCACAACAUAUUGAAAACCAUCUAACCGUCAAAACUCAAGUUUCAAUUUAAUCAUUUAACUCAUUACAUAUCAACAUGUACAAAACUUUGUUUCCCAUAUCACAUGCUCUACCUCAUUAAUUUGUCCAAUUUUGGAAGCUUCUUCAACGUACUUGAAGUGACUAUUAAGUCCUCUCAACAAUGCAAAAUCGAAAGUUACUAAAACGAACUAGAAAUACUAUAGCUAAAAUAUGCACUUAAGAAAAAGUUUAAUUCUUCAUAUCCUUCCAGUUGUGGUUAAAGAGUUCAAUGGAUGCAUCAACAACUUGCUACUCAGAAUAUUCCUUAGUAGUCAGCAGAUUUUGUAGCAGUAAAAUUCUUUAGUAAAAAACCCAGAAAAAUAUUUAUCUUAGGAAAAAAGAAAAGGCUUAUAUAAUGUUAACAACAUACUACAUUACCUGCACAAUUAUUUGAAAACUACCGCAAAGGUUGAUCGAUAAAAUAUCUCUUGUGUACACUCUAGUGCUGAUUCUUCGAAACGUGUUAAAACCAAUUCAACCAAAGCCUGAAAAUCACUCCAUAUGGAGCAUAUAUAACAAUGUUUUGAAUGAAAAUUAAGUAAAUUAAGCACUUGAUGAAAUCCAAACAUGUGAUUCAAUGACUUUUGAUCUCAUCACAUGUGUAUUCACAAUGGCAUAUUUGAUAUCAGACAACUCAGCAGAACGAUGUACAAGAGACAAACAAGAAGCUUUAAAAAAUUGUUCGGACUAAAGAUUGUAGUCAAUCAUCGAAAUGAAGCCAUGAACAUGAAGAGCCCUAAUGGCAGCAAGCCUAUGAAAGAGGGAUAUUUACUGAACUGAUAACAAAUAAGAAAAGAGGGAUAUUCCAUUAGACCCACGUUUAUUUGAAAUAUUGAAUCAUGAUAUGUAAAUGAAAAGCUAAAUAGCACAUAGAAAACAAAAAUAAAACCUAAAGGGGGUGUUUGUUUCAAGGUUAAGAAUGACAUUCCCGGGAAUACAUGGCUAGGGAAUGAUUAUACCCAUGUUUGUUAUGAGGUUGAGAAAAAAAUAUUCCUGGGUAUAAAGAUUCCUGGGAAUGGAGUAACUUCCCAUAACUUCCAUUAUUCCCAUGUAAAGAGAUGGGAAUGUGCAUUCCCAUGAUAUUAUGCAUAGAUUUAAAAAAAAAAAAUUGUAACUUCCAAUUUUUCCAGGAAUGUCAAGUUAUUUGCCAAACACUUUUUUUAACAAAUACCCAAUAAUCAAAUUUUCAUAUUUUCAUUCCCGGGUAUAUUAUUCCUGGGAAUAAUUUGUGUUUUCCAAAAACAAACGCUCGUAUGCACAAAAGUUCAACCAUACUCAACAGGCACACAUUGCAAAAAUUCAAUUAGUUUAGAAAUUAUGGUAGGCAAAAGCCAUAUGUAAUACAUGAAUUUCUGAUACUAAUCGAAUGGCAUUAUUGUGUACCAAAACAUUUGAUUUUGUCAAUGUAAGCUCCCAUUUAUUUAUCCAUCAACUAAGCCAACAGUCACUAUAUCCUUCCUCCACAUACUUCCUGCAAUUGAUGAGCUGCAAGGUUCUGAUUCAUUCAUUUGACGCACAUCCAUCUGAAAUAUUGAAUCACGAUAUAUAAAUGAAAAGUUAAAUAGAACAUGGCAAAAAGAAAUUACUCAACAGGCACACUCUGCGAAAAUUCAAUUAGUUUAUAAUCCAUGGUAGGAAAAAUCCAUAUGUAAUAUGUACAUAAUUUCAGAUACUAAUGAAAUAGAAUUAUCCAACAAAAGACAAAUGCUAGGAAAGACCCGAAAUGAAUUUAUAGAGUGGCACCCCUCCUUACAUGUUGGUUUUGUAGGGUUGAGUUAGACCCAGUGUACAAUAUAAUAUGGCAUUAGAGCCUAUGGAUUCAGACCACCUACCAUUUAUAUCCACGCACCAAGUCCAAUAGUGUUGGGCAUGAGGAGGUGUAUUGGGAAAAACACAAGCCCGACAUAGGAUAAAGAUAAGACAUGAAAAAUUUAUAAAUAGUGGCACCUCUCUCCUUACAAAUCGGUUUUAUAGGUUUGAGUUUGGUCCAAUAUAGAAAUCUACUACAUUGUAUGGUAGAAUGUUAGAAAACAACCCAAAGUGAAAGAAUAAAAGGAAAUAAAUACGGUUAUUUAUUAUUUGCAUAUACCUGUUGAUGAAGGAAUCGGUGUGCGACCUUGUAUUCCCUCUGGAGGAUGAUGUGCUGAACAGAACAAUCUGAACGCCCACGGUGAAGAAUAUUGUUGCAGCCCUGGUGAAGAACAAUGCUGUAGUGCAGAACAGAACAAUCUGAACGCUCCUGGUGAAAAAUAUUCGAUACGAAAUGCUCGAUGCUCUGAAAUAAAAAUCUGAACUUGCUUCGAAUUUGAACAGAAAUUCUUGAUGCCGGUGGAAUCUGGAGAGAGGCCAUGAAAGGUGGAAGAAAUUUUGGAAUUAGGAUUCUAUUUAAAUUUGCUUGUUUUGAGAGUAUUUGGGCAUCCAAUUGACACCUCUAGUCUACACAGUGAACCACCACAUUAUGCAAACGUGCACCUUAGGUAUAGACAAUAACAAAACAAUAUAGAAUGAAUUCUUAUAAGUUAGUUCAUGAAAACAAAAUAUUUCCAUUUUGAUAUCAGAAAUGGUCAACUCAGACGUAUGCACCCUUCACUCUUAGUGGUAAUGGACAGUCUUAUCAUGUAUUACAGAUUUCGAUUCCCCAAACAAAAAUGGAUAUCUAAUACAUGUUCUCUCACUGAACCGAUUAGAAGUUUUCUACUGGAAUAGGUAGCAACUGAACAUAGAUCCAUUUUCUAAAGAUCAUUGAAAAUAUUUGUCGGGUCGAUUGAAAAGUCAAGUAAAUGAUAAAAUCUGGAUUUUAUUUAUAAAAAGAAUCGAAAAAUCCAGAAAAAAAAAGUACCUGUUGGGCAAUAAUGUUCUUUCUCUCCUUUUCUUUAACUUUCUUCUCAUUUUCUGCUUCAACUUUGUCUUUUAUAAGCUCAUCUACCUUGCUCGUAUAUUCCCGAAUAGACUAGAGAAAAAUAAAAAAUGAUUAUUAACAAAAGAAAAAAAUGUUUGUCCUUAAUAAUAAUUGUAAUGAAAGAGACCCUUGUAAAAAACAUACCUGUAAGAGAUAAGGGAAGGAAAAAUCCAUCAUAUUGUUCUUCCAAGCUAGCUCUAAUGCAACAUCUGGCCGUAUUAGAUCAUAACAAGUAGAGAGGCACGAUGCAAAACACUCUUUCUUCCCCUGAAAAACAAAGACAGAAAGAAAUCUUGACCAAGUAAGCAGUAAUGAAGUGUAGAAAGAAUGAAUAUAAUUCAUAACGAUGAAGAGGUCACACCGCAGAAUGUGACAGGGCCUAAUCUGGCAAGGAUCUAAUAAAUGUACACCUGCUCACUAAAAUAAACAAGCAAAUCCUCUGAGAGUUUCUGGUCACCAGAUUGAUAGCAAGUUUCCAUGCAGUCCUUGUAAAGUUUGUCUUUCUUUAACAUACAAAUGGACUGUUUCCAUCUUCCAGCUUUCUUGUAAAUAUAAGCAGCAACACGUCUCAUCUCAAGGAGCUCGUGCUUCUCAAUCUGAUCAUGUGUAUUGUUGAAACCAAUCAAUAAUCAUUCAAGAUUUAGAAGUUUGCGAAAAGGAUGUAGAACUCAAUUUGGCCAAAUAAGUAAGAUAAGGAAAAUCCACCUUCUGUGCAAGACCUAUCUGAUUGAAGUUGUCAUACAGAUCUAUCGAUUUACGAAGUCUAUCGUAGUCCACCUCGUCAACAUAAAUUUCAUGCAAAGCUUCAUUAAUAGAAAACACAUUGCUGCUUUGAACUUCAACCAUGUACGGCUUUAUCAAUCGGAUAUGGCCUGCCUAAAAAUCAGAAAAUUCGAGCAACAAGUAUAAUUAUUGCAUUAAUCAUUUGCAACUAAUUAUUUACAUAACCUAAUAAGAUUAAAAUUACAGAUAUUAGGCAAUAGAGUACAAGAAAUAUAGACCUUCUGCGCUAUUUCUACAAUACGGGCAUGUUCCACAUGACGGGCAAGCACAUUAAGAAGAUCAUUUAUAAUAUCAGGAUGUUCUUGCAAGUAGAAAUGAACAGCCUUAUAAUAUAGUUCUACACGACCAACAUUUACUAUAAUAUGUUUGAAUUGCAUGUGGUCCCAUGCUUCUCGAGAGUGAUUCAUUACAGUGAUUGCAGCAUUAUUAAACUCUUCAAAUUGCACAUAUAGGUAUGUGAGUUCUUUCCAGAGUUGAUGUUCAUCACACGCCUGAAAAAGCUUGAGACUGUUGAGGUUGGUUGAGAACAACUUAAUGUGCUCCAUUAACAUCUCAGGACGAUAUCUUGCGUAAAGAACUCCCAACUCAGUAAAGAUACUCUCAUGAGCACACUCCAGUUCUAUCCCUUUCUCCAUUAGAGAGAUGAGUUCAUUGAAGCGUCUUCUGUUCUGAUAAUACUUGCAAACUUCUUCCAGAUCGUCCGCCUUCAUAAAAAUGAUGAGUGAUUAGCCAUAAAAACGGAAAAUAACAAACAAAUCAACAGUUUAUCUGCUACUUAUUGUGUAUACUAAUAACUAGAUGUUCUAUACUUCACCGGAACACAUCCCAUUAACUUGCAUGCAAUGAAAUUGAAAUAUGAGCGGAAAACCUGGAUACUGAAAAUUGGAGACAUAGGGACAGGGGUGGUAUUACUGUCAGAAAAAAUAAACGAAAGUUUAAGCUAGAAAUCGUGCCACCUGAACAAUAACAUUGAGACCACAAAUCUGAGCUAAGGAGGAUUCCCCAGCAUCAAUGCAGGAAAAACAAACAUCCUUCCAUGUUUUCAAACUGUUUGCUUUCUUAGCAGCAUCAACAGCAUCUUGGAAUUGUUGAAGCUUCACCAAUGUCACUGCUAACUUAGCCCAGUCAGGGAUAAAAGCAAAUAUAAUUUUUGCAGCCUCAUAAAGCGCCUCAGCAUACAAGCGGUCUCCAACAUUUGGCAAAUUAGAAACAUUUGGCAUCAAAAUAAACUCUUCAAUUUCUCCAAGCCGACCAAUCUUUGCAUACGCAUAAAUGAGCUCACUGUCCACCUUGGGCUCUUUGGUCUUCUGCCUAACCAUGAGAAGGUACUUUACUAGGUCAUGGUAUACAUUUGCAACUUCAGCAGCCUUUAUAACCUCUAAAAACUGAGUGGCAUCAUCUGCACGGAUGAACAACUCAAUUGCAUCACUUACUAAGCCUUUUCUUAGUUUCGCCUUAGCCACCUGGCUCCAUACAGAAUCUUCUUCAACGCAGAAUGCAAACUCCAUAGCUCGAUCAAUGGUCUUAAGGUUAUCUAGCAGAACAUUAACAGCCUUAACAUUCAGAUUAAAUUUCUUGAAAACGGCAAAAGCUUCUUCAUAUAAGCGUGCUUCCACUGCCGCCUUCCCGACAGCAGAGCCAUCAAAGUUGUCCAGCCUAUUUAUGUAACCCAUGACUCUUAAAGGAUCUGCUUUUAUUGCAGCAAGGAUCAGUAAGCUUUUUAGAGUGAAGUUUGCACUAAAAGCAGAAUUAUGUAGCACAAUCUUGUCGAGAAGGUCAAUCACUUCAUGGGUAAGAUUGGCAGUCAUAAAAGCUUUCACUGCAGCUGAAACUUGGUCAGGACUCUUGCAUUUAGGCAAAGCAGUAGACACCACUUGAUCAAUCAACUGUCUUCUAAACACGUUCCCAGGAUUUAGAACCUCUUUCCAGAGGCCACCAUCCAUCCGUUCCAUAACAUAUCUGACACAAACAAUAUCAUAAAUAAGACGAGUGUCCCAGACUAGCAUUUUGAAAUACAAUAGCACAAUAUUAAUGAAGAAUUGUAUACACACCUGGCUUGGAGUUUGAACAAGGAAUUUUUAUUGGUCACAUUAACAAGCUCAUAAUCACAUUUCCCCCUUGUGUAAGCAACAACGGCAAGUGUUGGGUCCCUUUGCUCACAAUAUUUACCAAUAACACGAGAAUCAUAAUAUAGGUUGGUUGUGAGAAAAUGUACUGGAUUGCUAUUGCUGUCAAUGAUGAUUCUCCCAAGAGCAUUAUGCACAUGUACAUCUCGGCUCCCCUCCCACACAAGAUCCUCCAAGAUCUGAGUAAGCAAACGAAGACGAUUCCUGCAUAUAGAAAGUAAAAUGAGAAAAUAAUAUGGUAAUGUGGAGAUGCAGGGCAGAGAGAAAAAUAGCAUACCUCUUUACAAAUUCUUCAACUAAAGGCUCAACUGGGAAAGGAGAACGAAUCGAAAGUACAAGACCUUUAAUGAAAUUUUCAGGGCAUCGAUCAUCUAACAACUGCCCUACAACUAGAGGAAUCUUUUGAGGAUUGACCUAUAGGUAAGAAAUAUAAUGUUAGAAAUUCACGUUUAAGAUUAGCAUAGAAAGAUUCAAAAUUAAAUGCAAUCACAAAAAAAAAGUUACCCUUUGAACAUAUUCUUCAACAUAAUGAAGCAUGUUUUGACUAUAGAGAUAAUGUAUGAGAUGAGGAACAAAACCAAAACGAUCACACACAUUAAUCAGUGGCCGUGCAUUUGGAAGGUUGGUCUUCAUUAGAAAGUUCUUUGUCUUCUCAGCAUCAUAAUAGCAUGAUUCCCGGGUUACACGCUCUACCUCCGUAAUAUGUCCCGUUUUAACAGCUACUUCAAUGUACUUGAAGUGAAUGUCAGGAUUCUUACUGUACAAUACAGAAUCAAAAGCCAAAAUUAUUAAAGUAAUUACUACCAAAAGCAAAAUAUAGUCUGUCUGGAAAAUCAAUGCCAUUUUCAUUCUUCAUUUAGAAAUACCUAGAUCUCAAAUGUGCACCCAAGAAAAGGUAUAAUCCUUCAUCAGAAUUGAAUUUCUCAAAGAGUUUGAUGCAUGCAUCAACACCCAGCUGUUUCGAAUAUUCCUUGGAAGUCUGCAGAUUAGGUACUAGUAAGAUUAUUUUAUACAGAAACUAUAAUAACAAGAAAAAAUAUCCAUGUUACAGUACCUGCACAAUUAUUUUAAGAUUUCCCCCAAGGUUGACAAGUAAAAGUUGUUCCAUACACUCCAGUGCCCAUUUUCGAGGAAGGGUUCCAAAAAACUUAACAAGAGCCUGAAAAUCACUUCAUAAUAAGAAGACAACAUAUAAAAGACUAAGUAGAUACAGUCACUCUAGCACCUGAAAUCCAAACCUGAUGUUCAAUGGCAUCAGUUUUCACAAUGAUGCGUUUGAUGUCAGGCAACUCAGUAUAAUGCUGCACAAGAGACAGACACGAAACUUCAAGAAAUUACUGACAACAAAUUACAGUCAGUCAUUGGUAUGAAAAGCCAAGAACCUGAAGAGCCCGGAUGAAAAGGCCGGCCUUUUCACAAAGUUUAGCAAUACGUGGACGAUCAUAAUGACUAAACACGCCUUUUGCCAAUAUAGAAUCAGCAACAUUUGGAAAGGUCUUAAGAUUGAUUUCCAGCAGCUAAAAAUGAUUAGAGCAAAUUUUCAUAAAAUCACAAAAAAAAUAUUGUAUGACUCCAUCAACUCGUAGAUAAAGAUUAAGGCAAAGAAAAUAAAGGAACCUUUGUUUGAAGAUGUCCAUGUUCAGGUAGGUCUGGCUUCAGCAGUUCCAACAAAAAGGUAGUUGCCUCACGGAUCAUAUUCCUCUAAAAAGUAACAGUAGAAACAUACAAACAAAAUUAAGGGUUGACGACUUGAUGUUUCCAGCACAUAAAUAAAAAACAAAAGGAAAUGAUUGGCUCUUUAUUUAACAAAUAGUUCUCGGUACUCAAAUUAAAGGAAAACAUACACGGGAUGGUUAAAAACCACUAUCAAUGCGAGUUUUCGGAAAGAGAAGGUCUGAUUCCAUUAGAUUUUUCAUUUUUCCAUUAAGUAGAAAAUAACUUUUCUGAAAUGCAAAAACGCAUUAUUCACUCUGCCACUUAAAACAUUACAUAAAGAUUUCAUAAAAGUCGAAGUAGAACAGGCUCAAGUAAUCAAGUAUUAUAGGUUCUAAAAAGGAAAAUGAAGAAUGAAAUGGAGACAGAAAUUGUGUACAUGAUACUUCCUUUUCUAAGUUAGGUCAAAUUACAAGUUACGCUUGAUAUGGGAGAACAAUGAAACCUACAUCAAUAAAACAAAAGAUAAAAUUAAAUAGACCUGAAGAAACAGAUCGGCUAUUUUGUUGUAGUCAACAGGGCAACCCCCCUCCAUUCGCAACAUCAUCAGAGCAAAAUCUAGAGCACCCUACAAUGGAACAUGUUCUGAGUAAAUGAAUAAACAAAAAGUAAACUCACAAGAUAACAGAUAUUCUAGAAAGAUAAACAUCAUAAGUAGCACAGAUGAGGUGAUAUCAUUUUAUGAUGUUUGGAUGUUUGGACUUCGGAUGCAUUCAACCAUCAUGCAUGAGGUGCUAUAAUUUUAUGGGAAAUGUUAACGAGUGCCCCCCGGGGCACUUGUUAAGCACUUUAAAUAGUAAGUUUUAAAUGAAAAGUUGUGUAUUGAAUGUAUUGGAAAUUGUAAUAAUUGACUUUUUAAAAGAAUAAUUACUAAAUUUGGGAUGCUUAAAGAGUGCCCUGGGGGCACUCGUUAACAAGACCUAAUUUUAUAAGUGCACCACAAUGAUCAGAACUGAAAUAAGUUUACCAAUAAAGUAUUUCCAUAAGGCAAAACUUGAUCAUUUCAAAUCGAACUACACUAACCUGGGCAUCUGUUUGCAAUAUUGUUUGCAGAAGGAAUAUGUAAUCAAGAGUGUAUCCAACCUGCAGUAAAUAAAAGGAGAAAAAUACAUCAUGCACUGCAAAAAUAAUAAUAAUUAACUAUGUAAUAAAACAAAAGUAUAACAUUCAUUUAACAGUCCAAUAUUACCACUAUUUUCAUGAUUUUGUAAAGUCUAAUAAAACAAAUGUUUCAUUACCUGCUUUGAGUAUGUCAAAAUCUUAUCAUAUUCCCUCCUCUCAGCAAAAGCUGCAAUAACCUUUGGUGUGGCACUUGCUUUAGUAUAUAUUUUCAAUGCCAGGUCUUUAUCCACUUUCUGCAUUAGAUGUGUGUCUUAUAAGAUUGAAUAGACAAACGAAAGGAAUAUAUAGCAAACUAAAUAUGGUUAUUGAAUCGAGAUUCAAAUAGUGAAUCAGAAGAACUAUUUUCUAAAUUGAGAAUUGGAUCUUAUCACAAAUCGUAAGAUACAUUAUCAAAUAGUUAAGAGUACUAGAAUCGAGAAUCGAGAUACAACUAGCACCUAGCAUCGAGAAUCGAGAUACAACUUGCAUGUAUCUUAGGAUAUUGAUAACCAUAAGUAUAUUCAACUGAUAAAGAAACUAAGAAUCAAUUAUAGAUUUGUAUGAGAACAGAACCUUCACAAGGUCACCAAGCUCUUCAGUGCAUUCAAGUUUAUCCUCUGCUAGCCAUUUUCCUAAAAGUUUCUGUUUGUUUCGACUUACGGCUAGCCGUGACAUUUUCAAUGACUCAAAAGCAUCCAGUUUUCCACUAGAAAACAGAUGGUCAAAGUAUUGUAAGCAUGAUGGUGCAUCUUCCAAAGGUACGUUCUGAAAAAUAAUUUACAGAAGAUAAUUAACAAAAGAAAUGAACAACUUAAUGAAAUCGUCAUGUUAUUACUCUUCCAUCCCAUUAACAAAAAAAUAAAUGUAACAUCAUGAAGCACGAACAAUCCUUGGAUUAGGCAUGUCCCAGUGUCGGACAUGUGUCGUGUCCGACACCGACACAUAUAAUUACACUGAAUUAAGUGAUUUUCUCAAAUUAUUAGCGGUGUUUGGGUUUCAGCGUAUGUGACGUGUCCGGUGUCCGUGUUUGUAUCCGUGCUUCACUAUUUUAUUCCAACUCUACUUUCAAAAUAAUACAAUAUACAUCACUCUUAUGUCAAUUAUACUUCACCAUACAUUUAUGGCGAUACUUAACACUCUCAAUAAUUAAUAACUCUAGUUACGACAUUCCAGCUUGAAGGUGUGUGACGAGUAUCUAGUAUCUAACCGUUGUGUUUGACUGCUAUCAAUGUCACUGUCGUAUUUAGUGUCUGCCUCAAUGCUUCGUAGAUUAAUAAUCAUCCUUAUGUAAAAUUGUUGCACACUUUUAUUUAUUUACAAAUUUUCUUAAUUUAUAUAAAAAUACCUAAAAAUGAAAAUUAAACAAUCCGAGUAAUAAGCACAGUUAAUAACCGGAAACAGCCGUUAAGACCUAGCUCAACUAACAAUGUCGAUAUUGUUAGGCUAAACAACUUUAUUAGGCUAAACCGGACAUUGCAAUUGCGUGUGAGUUUCAGGUGUUGGUGUUUUGACAAGAAAAAAAAUAGGAAACAGACACACACUCUCGCGCAGAUGAAUGAAAAUUGUUAACAAGAUUGCAAAAGCAGAGUGCAAAAACCAUUAAUAUAACAGAAAAUAGGGUUUGAUCGAUAUUUGGAAUGGGAAUGUGAGAAAUUACUAACCGUUGAGGAUUCUUUCAUGGAGUUAGGAGUGUUAUCACCCGCCAUGACGAUCGAAACAGAGUUUUAGAGAGAGAGAGUUGAAAUUUUGAAGAAGAAAGUUUGCGAGUAAGAGAUUGGAACACAGUGACAGUGAGAGCGAGAGUGAGCGAGUGGAAUGAAGAGAAUAGAGGAAAAACUGUUUUAUUAUAAGAGCUACGUGUGCUACAAGCAAGCAUAAGCAUUUAUAUUUUUUUAAAAAUCAAGGGCAAGAUUGCAUAACCAUAUCUUAUAAACAAGAGUAAGACAAUUUUUUUACCUUUAUGUGUACCGUUUGGCUAGGUUUUUUUUUUGUCUAAAAGCUACUUUAAAACAAAGUUAAAAUAAAACUCUUUAAGAAAAAAGUUAAAGUUGUUUGGUUUCUUUAAUUUUUUUUUAGUUCUAAAGUUAUUUUUAAGUUAAAAAUUAUUUAGCAAAAUAUUGUACAAAAUUUUAAAUUUAUUAUUUUUUUGGUGGUGUUUGGGGUUCGAACUCGCGACCUUGCAUAUAUAUAAGUACCGUUUGGCCAUGCUUUUUUUCGGUCUAAAAGCAACUUUAAAACAAAGUUAAAAUAAAGCUCUUUAAGAAAAAAGUUAAAGCUGAUUGGUUUCUUUAUUUUUUUUUUAGUUCUAAAGUUAUUUUUAAGUUAAAAGUUGUUUGGCAAAAUUUUGAUUUUUUUUUUUUGUGGUGUCCAGGGUUCGAACCCGCGACCUUGCAUAUAUUUAUACAUUGUCAAUAUCAACUGAGUUAAGCUAGAGAAUAAUUUGUUUUUUCUUUUCCAAUUAUAUUGUAUAACAAAUUUUGUUAUAAGAAUAUCAUAUUUUUGGUGUCAUUUAAAAAAAAUAAGAAUUUAUAUUAUAUGAUAUUAUAUUUGUUACAUUGUUGGAGUCAUUGACAAAGAUAUGUUUAGUUUUUUUAAUAAGAAAAAAAUAUGCAUAGUUUGUUACAAUAUAAAUGUGUAAAAUAUAUAUAAGUAUAAUUUUUUUAAGCAUCUAUACUAGUACUUUUAAUUAAAAUCAAAAUUUUAUAAAAAUAAUAAUUGUUACAAUAUAAAUGUGAGGAUGAGAGCGAGAGUCUGUGAGGAUGAACGGACAGUCCGACUGCGGCCACAACGCAGGGAGGACGUCCGGUGUUCUUCUUCGCCGGCGGAGAGAUCCAAUUGGGGGGGAAGGGAGCCAAGCUGGGUGCCACUUAAAGGGGGGGUUGGGGGAGAUUGGCUUGUUGUGAGUCCUAGAAUGGGGAAAGCGCGGCGACAAGGAGAUCGAGGUCGGGAUCGGCAGCGGAAGGUCAAGCGGUUCCGUGAUUGGGACGAGGCAGGCAAGAGACAAUCUAGAACUAGGGAUUCACGCAGGUUCGGUUACGGCAGCGAUGCGGAUUUCUACCAAGACAGGCUUGCUGAGCGGUCUGAUGAGGAAUUGAGGAAGGACUGGUUGCGGUUUGAGAAUAGGAAUCGCGCUAGUGGUCACAGCUCUGGGGUUGCUGGUUAUGCGCGUCGGAUUCCGGCGCUGGACAGGCUUGGUGAGGGCGGUAGGAAGCAGGACACGCGCGACAUCAGCGGAGCCACCAAGGCCUUGACGAAUGCGGCUCUUUUUCGACGGUAUGUCACGUUUUAUUUUACUAAUUUUCCACCGUUCUUAUCGAAUUUUUAUUUACGAAAAGGGUUUGAGGUUUGUGGCAUGCUGGACGAGGUUGUGGUACCCCGUAGGUGCAAUGUUAACGGAGAACGGUACGGUUUUGUGAGAUACUCGAAUGUCCGGGAUGUUAGUAAGUUGUUGAAAGCCGUGAAUACUGUUUGCUUUGGUAAUUUCCAAAUUAAGGCAAAAGUUGCUAAUUUUGACAAGGCGGCAGCUAGAGUGGUUGAGAAUUUGGUGGUUGGCGCGGGUGCGAAGGAUACCGCGGGAGGAGGUGUUAAGGUCGGUAAGGGAGUUAAAUCAGUUGUUGAGGGUGAUGUGAUGGAAGCUGGAUCGAAAGCUGUUGAAGGCCAAUCGGAUGGACUAGAGGGACGGGUGCCACAAGCCAGAGUGGGUGCGUUGGAUAACGUUCAGGUUGGUGACGUGACGGUGAGCUUGGGUAAGGGGCAUAGUAAGGAGCAACAGGGCGGUAGCGGGAAAAGUAAGUUCGUUAAGUUUGAUGUUCGUCAUACAGGGGGGCGACCUUCAAUCCAAAAUUUGGUCCGGAUGUAUCGUUCAAGUGUGGAAGAUCUUCAGUGGGCCCGUUCAGGUGUGACUGCUACGGUGACUAAUGGUGAGAGUAUCAGGGGCGUUCAAGAUAGAAUUGCGGAUGCGGGUAUAUCAGAAAUUGACAUCAUUCCAUUAGGCGCUGACAAAGUUUUCAUUCGUAGUAUGUCCGAGGUUAGUGUUACAACUAUUUUGAACGAUGCUAAGGAUUUCUUUGCUUAUUUUUUCACCAAUAUUGUGAGAUGGGAUAAGAAUUUGGUGCCGUUCCAAAGGGGGGCCUGGUUGAGGUUGUAUGGUAUUCCGCUGCACGCUUGGAAUGAAAGCUUUUUCAAAUUAUGUAUUCUUGACGUGGGAAGGCUUUUACGUAUGGACACAUGCACUGUGGAAAAAGAAAGAUUUGAUUAUGCUAGGAUUCUGGUGGCUACAAAUUCUUUAGAGAUUAUAAAUUGUUCGGAGAAGCUUUUGAUAGAUGGUGUUUUGGUCACUGUGAAAGUGGUAGAGGAGUGGGGUUUUAAUAUUGGCGAUGAUGCUUGCCUUUACGAAGAGGAGGAGAAUGGGUCAAUUGAGGGUCAGGCUGACCCAGAAGAUGUGCAUAUUGAUCACGAACAUGAGGUUAACGCAGAUUUUUUGGUUGAUAAAAUAGUCCAAGAUUUUUUUGAUUCGGAGAGUAACGGAAGAAUUUUUGAAGAUAAGGUGGAGAAGGCGGUCUCAAAGACGGUUAAGCUUAAAGCGGUAGGUGGUCAAUCGAAAGUGGGUAGGUGUAGUGAAGCCUUGCUCGAGGGGGAUUUACAACCUUUACGGUUAGAGCCCUUUGUGGAUCAAUUGAUGGGUAGUGCGUCACCUGAGUGUAAGGUUGAUGGGCAUGGCAGUGCCGACGUUCCUGUGGAUAGAAGUGUUGAUGCUGAUGAGUGUCCAAGUGAUGGGGGGUCAGUUACUGUUAGGAAGCUUCGAACUCGUCGAAUGGUUUCAUGCCCUCCCAGAGCUGAUCGUUCAGUGGUAUCUGGUCCGUGGAGUCUGGAUUGGAUAAAUGAUCAACAUCUUAGUGACGUAGGGGUUGUGUCUUCUUCUCGGAAAUUUGACGCUAAGGGUAAGAGGCUCAAGGCUUGUCGUAAUAUUCAAGAGGAUGUUGUUGUUAAGCGAAAGAAGGUGAAGGGGUUAUUGCGUCAUUCAGUUCUUAGCUUGAAAAAAGUGGCACGGCUUCCUACUAAAGACCGGAAAGUGGUUAUGAAAAUUCUAAAGAAAAAUGAUCGGAAGUUUAAAGGAUCCAAUUCAAUCAGAAAGACGGCUAGGAUGAUUUCUAAAGACCUAUCCGAGAAUUCAUCAUCUUCUAGCUCUAUUAAUAAUAGUGACUGGAAGCAUUGGGUGGUACUUCAUGGGAGUGACAAGGUGGUGGCGGAGGAUGUGAAGACCCUAGGGGAAUCUAUUGGUGUGAAUCUUAGUGGGUACAACAAUAGAUUUGGGGUGUUAGCAAGAAAAGGGAUGGGGAAAAAGAAGAAGUUAGCUUUUGGUGAUGGUGGUUCAGGAGGGGCGGUUGAGGGUGUUGUGUAGGCGUGGUAGCGGUGGCUGGGAGGGUGUGGGAGAUGAAGUUGUUAUCUUGGAAUGUAAGGGGGUUGGGUGGUUACGAGAAGAGAAAGGAUGUUCGAGCUCUGGUGAGGGAUAAGCAGCCGUUGAUUUUAUGUCUGCAAGAAACGAAGUUGCAAAUGUGUGAUGUUAAUGUGUGUUCGUCGGUUUGGGAUAGGCAGUCGACGGAGUUCUCUUUUCGCCCGUCCCAAGGGGCGUCAGGGGGAUUGCUGACCGUUUGGGAUGCCUCGGAGGUUGAGGUGUGGUCGUCAGGCUGCUUUGAUCAUGUUUUGAGUAUUCAUGGCCGGUUCAUUUCUUCAGAUGAAGAAUUUCACUUAUUCAAUGUGUACGCUCCUUGUGAUGGAGGAGCUCGACAGAUAUUAUGGGUUGCUUUAACGACUCGUCUUCAGGCUCUUAGGGGUAAAAAGGUGUGCGUUUGCGGUGAUUUUAAUGCGGUCCGGAGUCGGGAAGAACGUAGGUCGGCGACGGUUUAUGGCGGUGUGUCGGAGUAUGGUCCUUUUAAUCAAUUCAUAGAGGAAAAUGGUUUGCUUGAUUUACCGUUGUGUGGGCGUAAUUUUACUUGGUUUAAAGGGGAUCGUCGUUCAAUGAGUCGACUUGACCGGUUUUUGGUUUCUGAAGAGUGGAGUUUGGUUUGGCCCAAUUGUAUUCAGGUUGCGCAUUUGAGAGGUUUAUCUGACCAUUGCCUGUUGAUUUUGUCUGUUGAUGAGGAAAAUUGGGGGCCUCGACCGUCGCGGUUCUUGAAAUGUUGGUCAGACACCCCGUGUUAUAAGCAGUUUGUUACUGAUAAGUGGAAAGCUUUACAGGUGGAAGGUUGGGGUGGAUAUGUUUUAAAAGAAAAAUUCAAAUUAAUCAAAUUGGCGCUGAAAGAGUGGCACAUAUCUCAUUCGCAGAACGUAGCAGUGAAAAUUGAUUCUCUUAAGGUCAGGUUGGCCGAGUUAGAUGGUAAAGGGGAGGUCGAGGAGUUAUCUGACGCAGAAUGUGUUGAGUUGCAUGGUGUGUCAGAAAAUAUUCAUUUGUUAUCCAGGCUUCACAAUAGUAUCUGUUGGCAGCAAUCGAGGAACCAGUGGCUGCGUGAAGGUGAUGCGAACUCUAAGUUUUUCCAUUCCAUUAUGUCCUCUCGUCACCGUCAUAAUUCUAUAAGUUCAAUUUUGGUUGAUGGUACUUUGGUUGAGGGCAUUGACCCUGUUAGGAAGGCGGUGUUUACCCAUUUUGCGACUCACUUUCAAUCGUAGAGUGUGGAGCGACCAAGUGCGUCGAAUCUCCAGUUCCGCAACUUAUCUUUGGUUGAGGGAGGGGGCCUGAUUAGACCUUUUUCGGUAGAUGAAGUUAAGGCUGUUGUGUGGGAUUGUGAUAGUUUUAAGAGCCCGGGUCCGGAUGGAGUAAAUUUUGGAUUCAUAAAGGAGUUUUGGGUUGAACUGAAAGAUGAUAUCAUGAGGUUUGUCACUGAGUUUCAUCGAAACGGGAAGUUGGUAAAAGGUAUUAAUACUACUUUUAUUGUUCUUAUCCCAAAAGUUGAUAAUCCGCAGAGGCUUAAUGAAUUUAGACCUAUCUCUUUGGUAGGAAGUAUGUACAAAAUUAUAGCUAAGUUGUUAGCUAACAGAUUAAGGUUGGUGAUUGGUAGUGUGAUUUCUGAAACUCAGUCUGCUUUUAUUAAGAAUAGACAGAUUCUUGAUGGUAUUCUUAUAGCCAAUGAGGUGGUGGAUGAAGCUAAAAAGUUUAAGAAAGAUCUUAUGUUGUUUAAGGUGGAUUUCGAAAAAGCGUACGACUCUGUUGAGUGGGAUUACUUGGAUUCGGUUAUGGAAAGAAUGUCGUUUCCUGUCUUAUGGAGGAAAUGGAUUAGAGAAUGUGUGGGUACUGCUACAGCUUCUGUUCUUGUUAAUGGUAGUCCUACUGAUGAAUUUCAACUGCAUAGUGGCUUGCGUUAGGGGGAUCCCUUGUCCCCUUUUUUGUUCCUGAUUGCGGCUGAGGGUCUUCACACGUUGAUGAAAGCGAUGGUUGACAAUCAGUUGUUUACGGGGUACUCGGUUGGGGUGGCAAACCCGGUUGUUGUUUCUCAUCUGCAAUUUGCGGACGACACUUUGCUGCUUGGCCAUAAAAGUUGGGCUAAUGUUCGGGCUCUUCGUGCGACUCUUGCCAUUUUUGAGUUGAUGUCCGGUUUGAAAGUGAAUUUCAAUAAAAGCUUGUUGAUGGGUAUUAAUAUCUCUGAUUCUUGGUUGAGUGAGGCUGCUUCGGUGUUGAGCUGUAAAGUAGGUAAGAUUCCUUUUUUGUAUCUAGGUUUGCCUAUUGGGGGUAAUCCGCGGAGACUUUCGUUUUGGGAUCCUGUCGUGAAUCGUAUUAAAUCUAGAUUGUCGGGGUGGAAUAGCCGGUUUCUCUCUUUUGGUGGUCGCUUGAUCCUUCUGAAAGCCGUGUUGACUUCUCUGCCUGUCUAUGCUCUUUCCUUCUUUAAAGCUCCAACAGGUAUAAUCUCUUCCAUUGAUUCUUUGUUUAAUAAUUUUUUUUUUUUUUUUUUUUUGGGGGGGGGGGGGGGGGGGAGUGAGGACCGUAGGAAAAUUACUUGGAUAGAUUGGAAUACUGUUUGUUCUAAAAAGGAGUUAGGAGGGUUGGGGGUUAGGAAGUUGAAGGAAUUUAAUGUAGCUUUGCUAGGGAAAUGGUGUUGGAGGUUGUUAGUAGAUAGAGAUGGCUUGUGGUAUCAGGUUUUAGUCGCCCGUUAUGGCGAGAUCGGUGGGAGAUUGGAGGUGGGGGGCCGGAGUUGUUCUUCUUGGUGGCGGGAGGUAGGGAGGAUCUGUGAGGGUGGGGGCGGUGUAGGGGGUGAUUGGUUCGGCAGUAGUGUGAUUAGGAAGGUGGGGGAUGGUGCUGAUACGUUGUUCUGGUCUCAUAGGUGGUGUGGUGAUCGUCCUUUUAGUGAGCGGUUUGGCAGGUUGUUUGACUUAGCUGAGAACAAAGCCAUUUCAGUGGCUUCUAUGUUCUCUCUUGGCGUGGUGCAGGGGGGGAGGGUGGAGUUGGAGGCGAAGAUUGUGGGCUUGGGAGGAAUUUUUAUUAGAGGAGCUUAGGGCUUUACUGCUUGAUGUUUCUUUGUUGCCUAAUGUUUCAGAUAGAUGGUUGUGGCUACCUGACCCUGUGGGGGGUUAUACUGUUCGAGGAGCUUAUGUUAUAUUAAUAGAGGGCGCUCAUCCUCUUUUGACCGAAGCAAUGGAUCUAGUUUGGCAUCGUCAGGUCCCCUUAAAGGUCUCGAUUUUUGCUUGGAGACUUCUCCGGGAUCGGUUACCUUCAAAAGCAAAUUUGGCAGCUCGUGGUGUUCUCAGUUCUGAGGCGACUCUUUGUGUUAUGGGCUGUGGUCAUGUUGAAACGGCCGAACAUUUAUUUUUAUUUUGCCCAAAUACUGUUUUGUUGUGGCAGCAGGUGCGCAAUUGGCUAGGUUCUAUGGGGGCGGAUCCGAAUAAUCUUCAUGAUCACUUAGUGCAGUUUACUUACUCGACAGGUGUUGGUAAAGCUAAACGUUCUUUUCUGCAGCUAAUUUGGAUUCUGUGUACUUGGAUUGUGUGGAUCGAACGUAAUAACCGCUUGUUUGGUAAUGUUGUAACGGAUGUCCCAAGGUUAUUGGAUAAGGUUAAAUUGUUAUCAUUACGGUGGCUGAAAGCAAAAAAAAAACGUGUUUGUUUAUGGUACUCAUAUGUGGUGGUCUAGUCCUUUGUUAUGUUUAGGCAUUGGUUAAUUCCUGUUUUUUGUUCUUUGUGUUGGACUCUGUAACAUUUUGUAUCUUGUAGCAGAAUUCUAGGCACAUCUUGUGCUUGGAAUAUGCUAUGUUUGUGUUAAUAUAAUUCCAUUUUGAUGUGUUCAAAAAAAUAAUUGUACGCAUUGCGCAACACUGAAAAAAAUAUACGCAUUAGUGUAACAAAAAAAAAAAGACAUACAGACAUAAAAUAUUACUCUAAACGCUAAUGUGUGUGUGUAUAUUUGUGAGGUUGAAGAAAGGGAAUAAAAAUAUUUGGUGUCAUUCAAUGACUGCAUAAAUAAAAAUAUUUGUGAGGUUGUGAUAAUUAAACGAUAUUAAAAUUAAAUAUAUAAGUGAUUAAUAGAUAAUAAAAUUCCUUCAAAAAUAGAUAAUAAAAUUAAAUUGAUCCUCCUUUAAAAAAAUUAUAUGGACCGGUUCAAAAAAAAAUUAAAUGGAAGAAAAAAACAAAUCAAAAUAUAAUAUUAAAAAAUAAAAUAUAAGGUUGCCUGUGUGAGUUGAAGAGAAGUGCUUGUGAAAUAAAUUACAGAGAAGUAGUUUUUUGAAGUAGCAUUCAACAACUUUUAAAGCUCAUUCCAUUCAAUUUUAUGAAUUCUAAAAAAAAUACAUUUUUUCGAAGGUACUUUAUUGAUAUUGUGUUUCGCCUAGCUUCUCUUUAAAAAUGUAGAGAAGUUGGAAAAAAAGUCGAGUCAAACGGUACCUUAUAAGCUUAUUUGAUUAAAAUAGAUUUGUUUCGUAAUUUUCACUUUCUCACAGGUUUAUAUCUUAUUUUCACUAAUUUAUGGUUUUUUUUUUUUUAAACACCACUGAAAUUCACGCACACAACAAAGUCUCAGGUUUAGACUCGGAUAGAGGUGUCCAACCUAACCAUUGACAGAUGAGUUAGGCUUUCCAGACAAUUUAUGACAGUUUUUUAUAAGCUAAUUCAAUUACCUUGUAGUUUAAAGUUUAUAAAGUAUCAUUAUUUAUCUCAACAAUUUUACCCUUCAAUCUUAAUUGAAAAAAAGUAAAUAUUAAUUAAAUAUAUCAUUUCAUAUUUAUAAGUUAGUUCAACCGCUAAUUAUUUAAAACAUUACAAAUCCAACUAGCUAGUUUACUUGCUAUCAACUAUAAGAAGGCCGAUAAGUUAUCAUCUAUAAUUUCAUGACUGUUGCUUUUCUGACAUCUAAUAUGUCUUGGAAACACAAGUAAAUGACUAAAAAAUUCAACAUAGUUAACUGCUGUCGAUUUUCUAGUUAUAAGCCAGCAGUAGUUAACUACUGUUAGAGAUAUUUUAAUAUUUUACUUGUGUUUUUAGGAAGUUUAUGAUGUUAAAAAAACAAUCGUCUAAUUUCAUAUGAUAUAAGGUUUAUCGGUUCAGUAUUUGCUAUUUUACCAAACAAAAUCAAUAUAUGAAAUUGGAAGGGAUGAUAGCUUUAUUAAGUUGGAAAGUUUAGGUGAGAUAGACUCGAGAGUUAUCCAAAAUCAAGGUAUACCUUGAGACUUAACAAAUUCAUUUUUAACUAGUAUAACUUGUCCCGUGUGUAAUAUUUAUUUUUACAAUUUGUCUCGUGUUUAAUAAUUACUUUGGCUUUUUAUCAAUGACAAAUCUUCUAGAUGUAUGAUAACUAUUUUAAAGGUUUCAUCCUCAAAAUAAAAAUAAAGUUAAAAGGUUUUAUUUUAUAAAGGGUAAAUAUCUCUUUUCGUCCCUGUAAUAUUAGUGAAUUUUGGUUUUAGUCCCUGUAAAAAAAGGAUUUAGAUUUGGUCCCUGUAAUUUCAGAUUUUUCCACUUUUGGUCCCUCAUUCCACCACGUAAGCAGAAUCUGCAUACAUGGCACGUAAAAAUGAGGGACGAAAAGAGGUAUUUACCCUUUUAUAAAGCAAACUAUCGUUAUUUAUUUAGGAAAAGAAAUUUUUUUGACUGUUUUCCUUAAGUUUGUUGUCGUUUUCUUCUAAAAAAAAAAUAUUUUGUUAAAAAUCGAGAUGUUACAAUUUUUUUUUGUUUUGUAACACAGACUUUAGGACUAUCGGAAUGUACUCCCUCCGUCUCUAAAUUAUAGUCGUAUAAAGUUUAUGCACGAUUAUUAAGGAAAUGAUUAAUUGUAUUGAUUUCAAUGGUAAAAUUAACAUCAUUUACUAAGAUACUCUUAUUAACAUGUAGUUAGUGAAAUAGUUAAGUUGGAUGAAAUUUAAUAAAUAAGGAUAUAAUGAUGGAAAAAAUAAAUGAAUGUUGCAUUAGUAUUUGUAAAGCGACAAUUAUUUUGAUAAAAAGAAAAAAUGCGAGAUUAUUAUUGUGAGACGGAGGGAGUAAUCUGUAGCAUAUAAUUUAUGACACAAUUCACUUCAAAAUUACAUAAAUAUACGAGCGAUCAGUUUAGAGUUUAGUAGUAAGAGUUCGAUCAUCUAUAUAACUUUUAGACAAUUGUAAAGCAACGAUUAAUGUCACUUAAUAAAUUUUAGAAAUUACAUAUAAAUAGAAGAACAUAUACAUGUUUGUAAACUCUGCUACUGAUGUGUGAACAGAAAAUAAUAAUUAUUUCAUCAAAAAAGAAAAUAAUAAUUAUGACAAAAACAUUAAUUUAUGUUAAGAUACAUGUUUGUGACAAACUUUAACAUGUUUGAGAGGAUUGAUGAUGAGGUUACUAUUGCUUGGUACAGCACAACCAACUUUCUUCAAUUCUAGAAAAGUUUGUGUAGUGUCAGGAUCAAAGCCACCUGCAAACUGAAUGUCUUGAUGGGUGAUGAGUUGGAUAAAAAAGUAAAUGUCAAAUUCAGAAAGUUCUGAGGAAUGUUAUUGUACCUGAUGUACUCUGAAUGCAAACUUAACUCCUUGUAAUAAGAGGUUAUUAUUAUCUUCAUGCAAAGCUUCAUGAGAUUUUAUUUCUUUAGUUAUUCGUUUCAUGAAUUCCUUUGCUAGCCUCAGUGAACAUAGCUUUAUCUGCAAGUUAUUAACAUGAUAAAGCCUUUCAAUAGGUUUUUAUGGUAAAUAAUAAGAUACCCUUUUGAAACAUGUAUAUCAUAAAAGGUAUAGAUGAUUCUGAUGUUAUUGUAGUGAUACUAUCUAUAUUAUGUGACAUGCAUCAAACAAAAUCAUUCAAUUGUGUCAUGAACUAUGAUUAAUUUCAUUUUAUGGAUUGUUGGUUCAAUUGUAUACAAUAAAGAAUACAAUAAUAUUGGAAAAUGUAAGACCUCUAGACAAUUGCUUUUUUAACAUCUGAAACUUCCUAAAAACACAUAAAAUACUAAAAUGUCCUCAGCAGUAGUUAACUACCGCUGACUUAUAACUAGAAAACUGACGGUAGUUAACUACCGCUGGGCUUUUUAGUCUUUUUCAUGUGUUUCUAGAAAAUAUUCAAUGUCAGAACAACAGCCAUCAGACCUCUAACCUCAUCUAAAAAUUUAUAGUAUGAGAGUCUAUUCAUUUGGGUUAUCCACCAAUUUAUCCAUGCACCUAGCCCAAUAGUACUAGGUGUGAUGGAGUGUGUUGAAAAAAACCAAGUCACGCAUUGAAAAUAGAUAAACCAUUUAUUUGUUUUCGUGUUUGUACAUCAAUAUCCAUAUGUUUUUUGUGAAGCUACUACUCUCAACAGCUUCGUAAAAAUCAUGUCAAAUGGUCAAUGGGACGUGAUAAUUUUGGUCCAACUGCCAAACCAAACAACCACAAAGUUUUUAAGAGUGUCACUUCUCACCUUAUUAAUCAUAGAGAUGAGUUGGACCCAAUAGAAAAAAAAAAAAAUCAUAUUUUGUGAUUUCACAUAAGCUUGAGUUUAAGCAAAAUUAACCAAUUCAAAAUAUUUUUCUUCAUAAUCUUUAGGACACUAGACACAUAUAAAUGCAAGCAUUUUUUUUAAUGUUUUAUAGUGAUCUAUAAUGCAUAAACAAGGUAUGAAUUUCUUACCUGACCAACAAGGCCAGUGUCCAUCAUCCACUCCCAAGGGAUAUGAAAAUUCCUAUAUUUCUUACUUGAACUCUCCCUUAUCCUCUCUUUACUACUUACACUUCCCUCCAACCUGCAAAAUUUUAAAAGCAAAACUUUCAAUUAAUUCUAAGUAUUGCUCAAAAACUUUAGUUAAACUCAACUCUACAAUUUUUGUACAUGCUCGCCUGUCUUGUAAUGCUUGUAUCCUUUUCAGGGCCAUAGAAAUUGGCUCUUUUGGAUUAUCCUCAUAUGAUGAAACUUCUGAUUCAAGAUUCUUUAGUUCUCUAUAGUUACAAGCAGCUUCUCUUAAUGCAUCUACUUUUUGUUCUGGCCAUUGUGGAAAAUGCUUUAAGACUGAUCUUUCAUCUACCAGUGUUGAUAAUUCUCCAUCAAGCCAUUUGAUGAAUGUUUCCACCUCAGAUAUAUCUGCAUAUGAAGCUGAUUCUACUUGUUUGAUUAAGAAACUGAUGAAUUCUUUUUGGCUUUGAACUUCUGAUUUUAUCUGUCAAAAAAAUGUAUCAAGUAUCAAUAAAAGAGUGUUCAUUGUUUUAUAGUUAAAGCCUUGCUUGGAUUGGUUUCUUUGAGCUUAUCUAUUGGAAUAAGUACUUGUGAGAUUAUUUCGGAGAGCUUAUGGAAACAUCUUAUUACAUGUCCAUAAGUUAAUGGAUUUAAAUUGUUUUAUAUGAUUAAUACUUAUGCUAUAAGCAUUAGUUUAAACUGUUUAUCCAAACAGGCCUAAAGAUUUAACAUUAGAAAAUUUUGAAGCUAAAUAUGAGAAGUUUGGAACUAAACUUACAGCUGAAAGAUGUUUUGACCGAUUUUCGAUUUCCUCAAUCAUGUUUCUGGUGAAUGCUACUGCAGGAAUUCCAUUGUGAUGAGUUUUGUUUUCAAUGUUGGCAUCUUUUCGUGUAAGCGAACGAUACAAUUCGAUUACUUCUGGCACACGACGAACUGUUUUCAAACCGAUAGACGAUUUUGAUGGUGUUGGAGGUGGUGGAGGUGCUGCUGUUGGCUGCAUUUUCAUUCCCUUCUCAUUUUUAUGUGAAGGUGAAAAAAGAGUAGAAGCAGGUUUUGGAGGAGGAGUUGGUGGCAAAACUAUUGAUGACUUUUCCUUUCUAGGUGAAGUUGAUGAGUCUUGAAAAUCUUGAUUUUCUGAACUCUUUUCACACAUGAUUGCUUGAAGUGCAGGUUUAAGUGUAUGGUGUGAAUCUGAAUUGUUAUCAUCUAUGGAUUUUUGUAUCUUUUUCCAUAGUAUGGUUUUUCUCUCCAUAUUGUGUGCUUUGAGUGAAAUUAUCUGUGAUUUUAAACGAGAUACUUCUUCUUUAAGUUCUUGGUUUUCUUUCUGUAGUAACUCAUUUCUAGCCAUGUGAAUUUCAAGUCUUUUUUUGAAAGAUGUUGUGAUCUCAGACUCAUUCUCUACCUGCAACAUUUUCUCUCCUUUUUUCACUCUAUAACAUGGUUAUCAAUUUGAUAUCUUGUACACUGAUUUUUGUUAUAUAUUUGGUCUUGUUUUUGAAGUAAGGUUGGUAUGUCUUGGAGUUAAAUAUCCAAGAAUGCCCUCUAUGGUACUAAUAAAGGUAAAUCAUCAUUUAGAUUCUUAAAUAUGUGAGAUGCUUUUAUAAUUGUCUCUGAAUGUAUAUUUUGUUGGUUAGUUUAGUACUCGAAUAUGUCUUUUGUUAUUUGAUCCAUUAAAAUACUGAUAAAAAAUAUGUUUAGGGAUGUUUUAGUAAUUUUGAUAUAUUCAAAAAUAAUAGUGAUAGGGUCUCACAUAUUUCUAAAAAUGAAUGUUUACACUAUUAAUAGUGACCUUAUGGGCCUAUUGGGAACAAUGGUAUUGAUAGAGUAAUUUGGACAUUUCACAUAAAUUUAAUGCUAUUUGACAUGAAGAUUAAUUAUGAUGCCUUUGUAAGAAAAUUUAUAAGUGAUUGAAGAUUACUUUGGUUUGCUGGCAGCAAUAGUAUGUGAAAGCUGCCUUUAGAGUGUCAUGUUAGGUACAACAUUAAAUAUGUUGGUCAAAUUUAAUGCUAUUGUUUCUAGAUUAAUCUAUGUGAGGUGAGAGAUUUCUUGCUCUCUAAUUUGUUAUUAUGUCAAAACUUUUUUAGGUUAGUGGUACAUCUAUAGUGUAGAAGUUGUUUAAGUGAGGUUUUAGUUAGUAUAUAUGCUUGUCUCAUUUCUACUUUGAAUCUUGUUCCCUUUUCUUCAAUUGAAUUUGAUUUAGAAUUCAUAAGUUAUAGUACAUGUGAUGUGGUCCAAAAAAACUAGUCGGUAUACUGAAUGGUUGAAAGUCCUAACUUACCUAGAUGGAACUCUUUUUCAAUGUGUUUGGUUUCAAUGUGGAAAGUAUUAACAAUGACUUUAUUUUCCCCUUAUGUCAAACAUCAUUGUAGUUUUGUGUAAGGAUGAAAAUCAAUUCUUAGACAAGUUGAGAUAUUGCACAUGUGUUAUUUUUUUUAGAUUGAUUCUGAUAAAGCAUAUGUUUGUUUUCGCAGUAGAAAAUUGAUUGAGGUGUGUUAUCUUUUAAACUAGGGUUUGUAGCUUCAACGUAUAAUUUUUUUAUCUCACUUUAAAUAUCAUAACCAAACACAAAUAAUUUUUUUUUCAUAUUAUGAAAAUCAAUUCUAACACAAAGAAACUUAUUUUUUGAGUAAAAAGAAUUAAAUAUAAACUAAUUUGUUGCUCCUUCAAACACAAUAUAGCUUCAUUGUGAUAGUUGUCUUUCAUUUCACACUGAUUACACUUCUUGUAGUUGAGUGGCAUUUGGCUUAUUCUUUGCUUGUGAAACAAUGAAAAGAGUGGUAGGAAAAAUGUGUCUCAUUCAGUGAUGUUUAUUGAAGAGUAAAUAUUUUCAUAAUGACUACUACGUCAUACCAAACCAGAUUCUUAUGAUAUUUACAUUUUUAUAUUUUUUUUGUUUUAUUUUUUAAUUUAAUAUGUUGUUUCAAAGCCUCUUCUAAACUCUUUUAUUUUUCUUUCAUCCUACUCCUUCUAUAGUUGAACAUUACCACCCCUACACACCGAAAGUGUGAAUUUGAUGUAGAUUGGUUUUCUGUGACAUGUUGAGGCCUACUAUACUUUAGGUGAAGAACGUGACUAAAUUUUUCAAGUUUAAAGUGUUGUUCAAACUUUCAUAACAAAUCAUUUUUUCAUCUCUUGAAUCUUGAUUAAAUCUUGGUAUCCGACCUAAUAGUUGAUUAACUCGAAAGGUCUAAUCUAAUUGUUCAUUUGUGGAGGCCAUUUAAACACACACAAAAUUGAGAGGUUCUUAUAAUAUUUUAGACAUUCAUUCAAAAUUUCUAAUGAUACACAUGAAUCGACUUAAAAGCAGAGACCAAAAGUAGCAAUGUAAAACUUUUGGAGAACCAAAACUCUAAAAAAAAAAUUAAAGGGACUAAAAAGAAAAGAUAGAAUAUUAGUAGGGACCAAAAAAUGUUUAGCCCAAAAAUAAAAUAAUGUUAAUUGAAAGACAUUUUAAGAAUAACAUUGUUAAAUAAAGUAAAACUAACAUAACAAUUUAUAUACCAACAAUUGGUAUUUAAAAAAAUAUUAAGUAAAAAUAAUUAGUUUUCAACCUUUUUCAGAUGUAAUUUUAUUUUAGCAAUUUCUUUUUCCACACUACUUUAUUAUCACGCGUCCUACUGAAUUCUGAAAAUACCUCCGUUCGGAUUAUAUAGUCUGAAUGAUUUUUUGAAGGUUUUCAUAUUAUAAAAUUUGAAACCUCUAAAAAUCCAGAAAAAAUACAGAAUUUUGCACUGAUUCAUCCAAAACGUGUAAAUGUACAGUUUGAAAAAUACUAUCUGAAAACUCUAAUAAUAUUUCAUAUUACAUAUUCAGAAUUGUGUCAAACUCCCAAAAGACCAUUUCAAAGAUAAAUUACAGUGUAUGAUAAUGAAAUUUAACCAACAGGUUAACAAAAUCGCAAUGAGAAGACACAAAGCAGAAUUGAAUCAAAGAAAUUGAGAUGGAGGAAAGACCCAAUCCAAGAAGAAGACAGCAAAGAAAAUUGAAUGUAUUUUCUAUAGAAAGUGAAUAGAGAGAAAGAAAAAAAAAAAAAAAAAAAAAAAAGCUAGAAUGCAAAAGAAAGGGGAAAAAGAGAAAAUUGGAUUUUCUCAAGAAAAUGCAGCGGAAAAUAUCUUUUAAGGUGGAUACCAGAUUAGCUCUUAUACCAUGUUAUAAAACAUGAUAUACAUAGAAGGAACAAGAGAAAACUCAAAAAAUCUUUCUAUUUAUGAUAAAUGUAAAUGUUACAAAUGAUAAGAGAGACAUCUCAAAAAAGAGAAUAGAUGGACUAGUGAGUAAAUGAAAUAAUAGCAUAGUGGAUAUUUUUCCUUAAAAAAAAGCAUAGUGGAUAUUUUCUUAUUAAUCAAAGUUUUCCUUAAUCUGAACUUUGUUUUAGGAGACCUUAAUUUGUACUUAUAAAACUAUUUUGAAAGACAUGUAUUUUGAAGAGAGGGAGUAGGUGAUAAUGUAAGCAUUGAAUGCAGUUUGAACAAGUCAAAGACAAAGUGUGUUUGGUGGGGAAUGUAAUGUUAUGAGGGAAUUCAAAUAUUUUGCGGUGAAUUUUAUGUUUGGAUAAUAAUUUGAAGAAUUUUCAAAAUGAUGGGAAUUUAUGAAGUAUUUUGUUCAAGUUCAAUUUAAAGAAUUUCAAAUGACACCUCAAUUUAGGUGAAUUUCAAAUGAUUGAAAUUUGACCUCAAUUUUUUCAAAAUUUUCAAUUUGACCUCAAUAAAUUUCCAAAAAAUUAUAAAUUGACCCCUUAAAUUUUUCAAAAAUUAUAAUUUGACCCCUCAAAAAUUUUUAAAUUUACAAAUUGACCCCUAAUUUUAAUUUUCAAAUUUGGCCCAAAAUUUAUAAAAUUUAUAGAAAUUUUUUAUUACUCCACCCAAACAAAAGUAUUGAAAAAUGAAAGAAAUUUAAUCGAAUCAUUUAAAUUGCCUAAAAUUUAAAUUCUUUAAAAUUGUAUAAAAAUACUUGUACAAAUAUAAUUUCUUUAGACGUUAUUGAGGUUCACAUUAUUCAUCUAUGUAGCAACCAAUUUUGAUGUCUUUGAGACAAUUACAUAACAUGAGUACCAUUGAAACUCUCUUUUAAACUCUCUCUAACACUCACUAUUUUAUUUAAUGAGAUCGAUAUGUGUUCUACACUUUAAAAAUAGGUCAUACCUAAAUGGCGAAAAAAACUCGUGAGUUUCACAAAAUAAAAGAGUGAAUGUUGAAAAGAUAGUGUUCCAAAAACUUCUCAUUAAAUAACACCUUACAAAAUCUAAAUCAAAGUUAUUAUAGAGGCUCAAUCAAAACUCAUCCCAACAAUUGUACAAUCCAGUAGUAUCUAAUAAAUGUGUGAUGUAAAACUAGAUUGUUUAUUGGUGUUCAAGUAUGAAAACAAAGAAAAUGAGACAAAGAAAGUCAAUAAUGGACCCACAAUGAUAAAUUUGUGAUUGAAAAUCUGUGUCCUACAAACAUCCCAAUCUCCUAAUCCUAAUGGAACCUUGCAAGUUGCAUCAAUUAUUGAAUUUUGUAUAUACCAAUUACAUUUUUUCUCACCGUUCUUCUUUUUACUACAACACUUCUCAUAUUUUCAACUCUUUCUUUUCUGAAAAAAAAAUGGCUGAAGCUUUACUUGGUGUUGUGUUUGAAAAUCUACUAUCUCUUGUUCAAAAUGAAUUUGCAACCAUUUCUGGAAUCAAGUCCAAGGCUCUAAAGCUAUCAACCACCUUAGAUUUGAUCAAGGCCGUUCUUGAAGAUGCUGAGAAGAAACAAAUAACAGACCGCUCUAUAAAGGUAUGGCUUCAACAACUCAAAGAUGCAAUCUACAUACUAGAUGAUAUUCUUGAUGAGUGUUCCAUUCAAUCCACUCGACAAAAGGGCAUAUCUUCUUUUACAUUAAAGAAUAUCAUGUUUCGCCAUAAAAUUGGCACUAGGUUUAAAGAAAUUACAAACAGAUUCGAUGAUAUUGCUGAAAGUAAAAACAAGUUUCUUCUACAAGAAUGUGUUGCUGUUAGGGAAAGGUCAAUCAAUGUGGCUGAAUGGCGUCAAACUAGCUCUAUUAUUGCUGAACCAAAAGUAUAUGGUCGAGAAGAUGAUAAAGAGAAGAUUGUCGAGUUUCUUCUCACCCAAGCAAAGGGCUCUGACCUCCUUUCCAUCUAUCCAAUUGUUGGCUUAGGUGGUAUUGGGAAAACAACUCUUGCUCAAUUAGUUUAUAAUGAUCACCGGGUGAGUGACAAUUUUGAUACAAAAAUUUGGGUUUGUGUUUCUGAGGCUUUCUCUGUUAACAAAAUUUUGUGUACUAUUAUAGAAUCUUUUUCAAGAGAAAAGUGUGAUGCCUUAGAUUUAGAUGUUAUACAACGACAAGUGCAAGAAUUGUUGGAAGGUAAAAGAUAUUUGCUUGUUUUGGAUGAUGUGUGGAACAGAAAUCAAGAACUGGAAUUUGGAUUAAGCCAAGAGAAAUGGAAUAAGUUGAAAUCCGUGUUGUCAACUGGAUCCAAAGGUUCAUCCAUUUUAGUCUCCACUCGUGAUAAGGAUGUUGCUGAGAUCAUGGGAACAUGCCAAGCUCAUCAUUUGUCUGGUCUAUCUGAAUAUGAAUGUUGGUUGUUGUUCAAACAAUAUGCAUUUCGACAUGAUAGAGAGCAGCAGACUGAGCUUGUCACAAUAGGAAAAGAGAUAGUAAAGAAGUGUGGGGGAUUGCCUCUUGCAGCACAAGCAUUGGGAGGCCUAAUGUGCUCAAGGAGUGGAGAAAAAGAAUGGCUUGAAAUUAAAGAUAGCAGGAUUUGGUCUUUACCGAAUGAGAAUUCUAUUUUGCCUGCUUUAAGGUUGAGCUACUUUCAUUUAAACCCAACCUUAAAACAAUGUUUCACUUUUUGUGCCAUGUUUCCCAAAGAUAUAGAAAUCAUGAAGGGAGAUUUAAUUCAUCUCUGGAUCGCCAACGGAUUUAUAUCAUCAAGGGAAAAUUUAGAGGUAGAAGAUGUUGGAAAUAUGAUUUGGAAUGAAUUGUGCCAAAAGUCAUUUUUCCAAGAAAUCAAGAUGGUCGAUGAUUCAGGAGGCAUUUCUUUCAAGUUGCAUGAUCUUGUCCAUGAUCUUGCUCAAUCAAUUAUAGGAUCGGAGUGUUUGAUUUUGGACAAUACAAACAUAACUGACCUGUCAAGAAGCACACACCAUAUUGGUUUAGUAUCUGCAACACCGUCAUUAUUUGACAAGGGUGCUUUCACAAAAGUUGAAUCGUUGCGAACAUUGUUUCAGAUAGGUUUUUACACCACAAGAUUUUAUGAUUACUUCCCAACCUCUAUACGGGUUUUACGCACAAACUCUUCCAAUUUAUCAUCGCUAAGUAAUUUAAUUCAUUUGAGGUACUUGGAGCUGUUCGAUUUCCAUGACAUAAAAACCCUACCUGACUCAAUUUAUAGCUUGCGUAAUUUGGAAAUCUUGAAACUGAAACAUUUUUCUAAACUUCGUUGUCUACCGGAACACUUGACUUGCUUACAAAAUCUCAGACAUCUUGUUAUUGAAAAUUGUGAUGCAUUGUCCCGUGUGUUCCCUAACAUUGGUAAAUUAUCUUCCCUAAGAACAUUAAGUAAACACAUUGUCCGUUUAGAGAUUGGAUACAGCUUGGCAGAAUUACAUGAUCUAAAGCUAGGGGGAAAACUAAGCAUUACUUGCCUAGAAAAUGUUGGAAGUUUGUCUGAAGCUCGAGAAGCCAAUCUGAUAGAUAAAAAAGAACUUCAGGAAAUAUGCUUCUCAUGGAACAACAGGCGUAAAACCAAGACACCUGCUACUAGCACCGAGGAAAUACUUGAAGUGCUUCAACCUCACUCAAAUCUCAAGAUCUUGAAAAUACAUGGCUAUGACGGAUUGCACCUCCCAUGUUGGAUCCAAAUUCAAAGUAGUUUAGCUGUUCUUAGACUUUCUUAUUGCAAAAACUGUGUGCGGCUUCCAUCACUUGCUAAAUUACCAUCUCUCAAAAAACUCCAAUUAUGGUAUAUGGAUAAUGUGCAGUAUGUGGAUGAUGAAGAAUCAAGCGAUGGUGUGGAGGUUAGGGGUUUCCCAUCUCUGGAGGAGCUGCUUUUAGGUAAUUUACCUAACUUGGAACGGUUGUUGAAAGUGGAAACAGGGGAGAUUUUUCCCCGCCUUUCUAAGUUGGCCAUCGUUGGUUGCCCUAAACUUGGGUUGCCACACCUUUCAUCGUUUAAAGAACUCAUUGUAGAUGGAUGUAACAAUGAGUUGCUGGAGUCAAUCUCUAGUUUCUACGGCCUAACUACCCUUGAGAUUAAUAGAGGUGAAGAUGUGACAUAUUUUCCAAAAGGGAUGUUGAAAAACCUGACCUGUCUUCGAACUUUGGAAAUAUCUGAUUUCCCAAAAGUGAAAGCAUUGCCAAGUGAAGCCUUCAACCUAGCUUUGGAGCAUCUUGGUAUCCAUCACUGUUGUGAGCUUGACUCAUUACCAGAACAACUUUUUGAAGGUCUACGAUCCCUUCGAACCAUGGAGAUUGCUUUCUGUGAAAGAUUGAGAUGCUUGCCAGAAGGUAUUCGCCACCUCACAUCACUUGAGGUUCUGACAGUUUAUGGUUGCCCAGCUGUAGCAGAGCGAUGUAAGGAAGAAAUAGGAGAGGACUGGGACAUGAUAGAACACAUUCCAAAAUUAUCUAUUAAUUAGAUUGAAGAAGAAGAAACUUUUGACCAACAUUGAUUCCAUUACAAUAUGCCAAAUAAUAUAGAAUCAUUUGUAUAUUAAGACCAUGUAUAUUCCAAUCACUGCAAUAUUCCAAAUAAUAUAGUUGAUGGCUACUUUGGGAGUGCGACAAGUUUUUAAAAUGACAAUUGGUUUUCUUUUUCAAACAUUAUCGUUAUUAAUUACCUUAUUUGCUAAUUCUGAACUAUAGUUUCUAUAAUGUCAGGUGCUGGUUAUGUUAGACAUUAGUAAGGGAACAUUAAGUUCACUAUAAAUACAAUUUUUAUACAACAAGAUCAGAUGAAAUUUUCAUGAAAGGGUUAACUUGAGAAUAACCGUACAAUCUAAUUACAUCAUAAAUAUAUACAUGAAAAUAGAGAAUAUUUACAUUUACAUAGAAGAAAAUAAAGGAAAUAACAUCUCAAUAAAUAUAAAUGAAGUAUUUUAAUGAUUGUGUCAUAUCUCAGUAGCUACAUUUCAACAAAAGUACAAGUAUAUAUAUUCUACUUUUUGAAACACUUUUUGAAUUACAUUCUUAGAUACAGAAUCAAAGACUCUUUAGAGAUCAAUGAUGAAAAACCUAGAACCUAAUGAUCUUGAUCAUUGGCUAGUAGAAGUCAUUGUUAAUGUUUAUGACCAACAUUUACAAACUAAAUCUAUUCUUUUCUAUGCAAAUAUCUCAGUAUAAGGUUAGAGUUAUACAUGGUAAACCAUACCGACUUCUAGCAAAGAAGUAUGAACUACUUCCAACAUAAUAUCAGGUUCUCUGCAAUUUUUGCUUAGAAAAGCAUAAACAACAUCUAUUCCAAAUUUCUUUAAAAUGGAAGAUGAUUUUUUUGCCUCUGCAUAGGAAUGCCCAACUAUAUAAGUAAUACCUGAUUCUUUGGCUUUUAAAAUCUGCAAUGACUCGACUUUAUAGGACUCGUCUUGAAGUUGUUGGCCGUCACAUGAAAAUGCUAAAGAAUUCUUUUCAGAAUGUGACCAAUUCAAUUUCAAAGUGUGUUGUGAAGCACCAAGAUCUUCCGCAUUUAAGUUUCUUCCAUCAUCUAUAGUCAAUUCAUUUGUUUGUUCUUGAACACAGUCUUCUGAUUCUAUAAACUGUAUUAUUGCAGAUACCAAUUUAUUAUCAAAAUUGUAAUUCUCUUGUUGUAUGUCUUUGUAACCGUAUCGGACAAUGCACCGAAACAUGUAGAACUCCUUCGGACCAAUCCUGCUGAUGACUAAUCUUUCACUUUCACUGACAUAAGGAACUUGAACUGAUUUAGCACAUACAAAAACUAACACCUGAUGGAAUGCUGGUAAAUUUGUAAUAAAAUGACCAAAAAUAGCCGGGAUACCGGAAGCAAGAUUAGUGAAAAUGAGACCGAUUCCUGGGACACGGACCAUGCCUAAACAAGGUCCUAAUGAUAACAUCUUGCUCAUCGAGACCUUGUUUUCAACAUCAAAUUUGUGUUUCUUCAUUGUUCCAUAAUUCCAUGUGAACAUUAUGGCCAUAAAAAUGAAAGAGAGCGAAAUUGGGAUCCAUCCUCCUUCAGGGAUUUUGCAGACAGAAGCUGAGAUGUAAAGAAGUUCAAUAGAUCCAAACAAUAGGAAACAUGUAAGUGCUUUUAUUAUCCCUUGUUUCCAAACAAUUAUAAUUAUUAGCGUCAUCAAACAUGUUGUCACAAACAUAACAGUGGUGAUAGCCAACCCUGGAAACCAAGAAAAAUAGUUUAAAUUUAGUUUUCAAUACUUCAAGUAUCAUAUAAUAAGUAAACUUAAGAGUAAACAGUCAUUUUCCCUAAAUGUAUGAAGCUUAAUCACAAUAGCAACGAUUGUAUCCGAAUUACAAAAUUAUCCCUAAAGCGUCUUUUGUCUGUAAUUUUAUGGACCAAAUUGACUACUUGAUGAUAGAUUCUAGAACUAUACUAAUUAAUGGAAGAUACAUUUGAUGAUGAAACGGACUAAUGAAAGACAAGUUUAUGUAGUUUUUUAUUUUAUUUUUAUAAUUUGAUACAUUAGAGACUAUUGUGACAUCGCCUCACAUAUUUUAGGAUAAAAAUGAUUGAUUAAUCUAAACACAAUGGAAAAGGAUAUCAUACCAUAUGCAUGACCCAUCAUGUUUGUAUCCCUAAGGCCAAUUGUGACAGCUAAACAAAGGCACAUUAAUAUCCAAUUGACUUCUGGAACAUAAAUCUGUCCAUAUAUUUUGCUAGAAGUAUGAACAAUCUUGACUCGAGGAAAACAAUUUAAUGCACAGCAUUGGCUUAUGAUGGAAAAAGUUGCAGAAAUCACUGCUUGACUUCCUACAACAGCAGCAAAAGUGGCCACUAUAAAAACUGGCCAAAAUACAGCUUCUGCAGAAAAAUAGUAGCACUGUUACCCUAGAGUUAUCAUAAAUAAUAUCGAUAUAUUUGUGGUUUAUUAAAGUGAAUUCUUGCCUGGUAUGGCUUUGUAGAAACUUCUCUCAAUGUCAUAAUGGUGCUUAGAGAGAAAUGCAGCCUCACCCAUAUAUGCCAAAAUCAGGCAGGGAUAUACUAAACAUGUGAAAGCUAUCUGAGAUUUACGUGUAACUGUUAAAUCAGAUUUCAUUUUUGUAUGCUAAACUAAUAUACUUGUGAUCAAUAUUGUUAAUUAUUGUAUACUUUUAAUUUACCUUUAUUGAGAGUGCAGAAAAAUGACCCAUGUCAGCAUACAUUGUCUCCACACCUGCGACAGUAUCACGUAGGAAAAUUAAUCUCAUAGCUCUUUAGCUGCAAGAGAAAUGAUAUUUUGUACAACCAAAUUUAGACAAUUUUUGUGACUUUUUUUAAGUGUUCAAAUAGGUGAUUAAUUACGUUUAGUAUAUGAUUAAUAGAUAUAUCAGGUGUCAAAACUUAUUAACCACCAACAUAACUUCAUCAACCACAAAUUUGGAAGUGGUUAGCCAUAAUUUUCAGUUAAGUACAUACAAAUUUAUGGUUAAUGCUGUUACAUUGAUAGUCAAUGAGUUUUCACAUAUAGUAUAUCCAUGAACCACCUACUGAACGCAAUUAACCACUUAUUUGAAGUGUGUUAACCACUUAAAAAGUUGUUGCGAAAAUUGUCUGAAUUUGGUUGUUCAAAUAACACAAGCUAGACAACUGUAAUAAAAUUGACUAACUUAUAUUACCUGUUAUCGAAAGCACAACUCCACUUAAUGACAACCAUCCUUCGAUGCCAGUGGUUUUGAGAAACCUAAACAUAUAGACUGGAGAAAGUGCACGAUAUACUUGUCGGUUCCAUUGGAAAAUAUUGUAUAUACCAAUACCACUGAUACACAAAAGCCAUGCUGCAACAACUGGGGCAAACAUGAAGGCAACUCUAUGUGUUCCAUGAUGCUGAAUGGAGAAAAGGCCAACUAAAAUGAUACAUGAGACUAUAACAACAUAAUCUGCGCAAUACAUAGUGUAGAGUUUCAAAAUUAUGCAUUGAAUAGACAUAAUGGUAAUGAUCGAAGUUCGGUUGGCUUACUGUCAUGGAGUUGGUUGAUCUUAACUUGAACUCCUGAAACUGCUGAAAAUACUGAAAUGAGACAUGAGAAGGAUGGUCAUAGAUCGAAAAGGAUAAACAGUACAAUUAUUUAUUCUCUGUAAACACCGAAAUACUAUAAUGAUCAACUCUUGAAUCAGUAUAUUCUCUGUAAACAGUACAGUUAUUUAUUCUGAAAUGUACUUUUGUCUAAUCACAUUAAUGAUGAAUAAUGAAUUCUAGCAAUUAGUAAUCAGCUAAAGCUAUAAUUUAAGGAAUGCAUGUGUGUAUCUGUGACAUUGCCAAUGUUGUAUAACAUAGUUCAUUUUGGUUCAAAUAUUAUGUUUAGUCCCUGCAAAAUCAAAUGUUGUCAGUUCAAAUAUUAUGUUUAAAAAAGCUGAUGUUGUGGACCGAGGUACACACCAUCAUUUCCAUGUAGAUGACAAUGCCACAUGUCAACACCACAUUGGAUGAUAGUGACAUAUAGCAUGGCCACACGAAGCUGAUAUGCCAUGUCUAACUCCUCGUUUUUACUGACGUGUUCUAUUAGUGUUUGAUGUGUGUCACUAUUAUCCAAUGUGGUGUUGAAACAUGACAUAGUCAUCCUACAUGGGAAGGAUGUCAUUUAGUCGUAUUUGCCACAUCAGAUAUUUUAAAUAGAAAGUUGACACUACGGACAAAAAACAAAUACAUGAUUCUGUAAGGAUGAAAAGAAAGAGAAAGAAAAAAAAAAGGUAUUUAUAGGGACUAAAACCAAAAUUUGCUCUAUUUAUGGGGACAGAACACAUAUUCAAACCAUUCUGUUUUUUAUAAGACCAAACUCCCUUUUACUUGUACAACAAGUAACCCAUAGAUUAACAGAAGGGAUGCUCCUGAUCAAAGUACCUGAUAUUGCAGGAGUAAUCACACCAUCACCAAUUGUCAUGCAAGUUCCCAACAAAACAAAGAUUAACAGUCCUUUCUGGAAUCUAGGAUGCUUUUCAAAGAACAGCUUCAAAAGAGAAGAUUGCCAUGUAUCGGCAGAAUCUUCUGUUGAAUAAGCAGAUAAAGUCUCAUCUGUUGGUUGCUGAUUAGGCAAAAUGCUUAGUCUUGCAUGUCUGCAGAGAAGUGAGUAUAAUGCAAAUGUGCCUCCUGCAGUAAAAUAAGGAACAUAAGAAAGAAAUUCUUAGAUGCUCAUGAACCAAAGAGAUUGAUCUUGAUUUCUACCAAUGGUUUCUUAUAUAACAAAAUUAUAACAAUGUGUUCCCUUUUUAUUUUUUGUUUUAAAAUAGUCCCUUAUUUUACAAAUGUUACAUUAAAUUUAUCCAUUUUAAAUUUUAAAACUAUCCAUUAUUGUCCCAUAAGUCCUAGCUCAACCGGUGAAAAUGCCGAAAUUGUUAGGCCGGACAUCAUGAUCGAGAUUCGAACCCCGGCACCUCCACUUUGUGUGUGUGAGUUUACGAUGGCUUUACCAUUUCUUCUAUCUACCAAAAAAAAAACUACUCAUUAUUUUGUAAAAGCUAUACCAAGGUGGUCCUCUCUGUAAAACAAAGAACAAUUUCAUUACCAAAAAUACCAAAAGAAAAUUGAAAUCUAAAAUAAAGAUAAGGAACCAAAAUUAUUUAGUCUAAAAUUAAUCUUCAAAUAUUUAUCUGUUAAUUAAGUAAUCAUAGUAGACAUCAUGACAGAGAAGGAAAAUUAUGGCUCAAAAUAAUUAUAUAAAGUCAAAAAGAACAAAUAACAGAAUAUACAAUGCUUCUGAGUUCUGUCAUCAUUUUAUUCAUUUGGUAAAGCCAAAAAAACAUCCAAAUAUCCUUUAUGGGAGUUUUGGCUGAAUAAUAAUGUGAUUAUAAAAAUAAUUGAGUUGACUUAAUCAACUUAAAAGCCAAAGGAACUGAAAAGAUACACACCAAAAGUACCAACAUCAAUGAUUGAAGAUUGUACCUUCUCCAUUAUCAUCAGCAGACAUGACAAUGAAAACAUAUUUGAAGAGAGCAAUAAUAGUAAAUGUCCAAAAGAUAAAUGAAAGCACUCCAAAAAUUUCUUCAUCAUCUUCUUUAAGGCUCAAUUUCCCUGAGAAUGAGGUCUUGUAUACAUAAAGAGGAGAAGUACUUAGGUCACCAUAAACUACUCCAAGACUUUGGUAUGCUAGAGUCAGCACAUUUAAACAAGAUGUCCUCUUUAAAUUCUGAUACAUGAAAUGAAACCAAGCAUAAGCUUNNNNNNNNNNNNNNNNNNNNNNNNNNNNNNNNNNNNNNNNNNNNNNNNNNNNNNNNNNNNNNNNNNNNNNNNNNNNNNNNNNNNNNNNNNNNNNNNNNNNNNNNNNNNNNNNNNNNNNNNNNNNNNNNNNNNNNNNNNNNNNNNNNNNNNNNNNNNNNNNNNNNNNNNNNNNNNNNNNNNNNNNNNNNNNNNNNNNNNNNNNNNNNNNNNNNNNNNNNNNNNNNNNNNNNNNNNNNNNNNNNNNNNNNNNNNNNNNNNNNNNNNNNNNNNNNNNNNNNNNNNNNNNNNNNNNNNNNNNNNNNNNNNNNNNNNNNNNNNNNNNNNNNNNNNNNNNNNNNNNNNNNNNNNNNNNNNNNNNNNNNNNNNNNNNNNNNNNNNNNNNNNNNNNNNNNNNNNNNNNNNNNNNNNNNNNNNNNNNNNNNNNNNNNNNNNNNNNNNNNNNNNNNNNNNNNNNNNNNNNNNNNNNNNNNNNNNNNNNNNNNNNNNNNNNNNNNNNNNNNNNNNNNNNNNNNNNNNNNNNNNNNNNNNNNNNNNNNNNNNNNNNNNNNNNNNNNNNNNNNNNNNNNNNNNNNNNNNNNNNNNNNNNNNNNNNNNNNNNNNNNNNNNNNNNNNNNNNNNNNNNNNNNNNNNNNNNNNNNNNNNNNNNNNNNNNNNNNNNNNNNNNNNNNNNNNNNNNNNNNNNNNNNNNNNNNNNNNNNNNNNNNNNNNNNNNNNNNNNNNNNNNNNNNNNNNNNNNNNNNNNNNNNNNNNNNNNNNNNNNNNNNNNNNNNNNNNNNNNNNNNNNNNNNNNNNNNNNNNNNNNNNNNNNNNNNNNNNNNNNNNNNNNNNNNNNNNNNNNNNNNNNNNNNNNNNNNNNNNNNNNNNNNNNNNNNNNNNNNNNNNNNNNNNNNNNNNNNNNNNNNNNNNNNNNNNNNNNNNNNNNNNNNNNNNNNNNNNNNNNNNNNNNNNNNNNNNNNNNNNNNNNNNNNNNNNNNNNNNNNNNNNNNNNNNNNNNNNNNNNNNNNNNNNNNNNNNNNNNNNNNNNNNNNNNNNNNNNNNNNNNNNNNNNNNNNNNNNNNNNNNNNNNNNNNNNNNNNNNNNNNNNNNNNNNNNNNNNNNNNNNNNNNNNNNNNNNNNNNNNNNNNNNNNNNNNNNNNNNNNNNNNNNNNNNNNNNNNNNNNNNNNNNNNNNNNNNNNNNNNNNNNNNNNNNNNNNNNNNNNNNNNNNNNNNNNNNNNNNNNNNNNNNNNNNNNNNNNNNNNNNNNNNNNNNNNNNNNNNNNNNNNNNNNNNNNNNNNNNNNNNNNNNNNNNNNNNNNNNNNNNNNNNNNNNNNNNNNNNNNNNNNNNNNNNNNNNNNNNNNNNNNNNNNNNNNNNNNNNNNNNNNNNNNNNNNNNNNNNNNNNNNNNNNNNNNNNNNNNNNNNNNNNNNNNNNNNNNNNNNNNNNNNNNNNNNNNNNNNNNNNNNNNNNNNNNNNNNNNNNNNNNNNNNNNNNNNNNNNNNNNNNNNNNNNNNNNNNNNNNNNNNNNNNNNNNNNNNNNNNNNNNNNNNNNNNNNNNNNNNNNNNNNNNNNNNNNNNNNNNNNNNNNNNNNNNNNNNNNNNNNNNNNNNNNNNNNNNNNNNNNNNNNNNNNNNNNNNNNNNNNNNNNNNNNNNNNNNNNNNNNNNNNNNNNNNNNNNNNNNNNNNNNNNNNNNNNNNNNNNNNNNNNNNNNNNNNNNNNNNNNNNNNNNNNNNNNNNNNNNNNNNNNNNNNNNNNNNNNNNNNNNNNNNNNNNNNNNNNNNNNNNNNNNNNNNNNNNNNNNNNNNNNNNNNNNNNNNNNNNNNNNNNNNNNNNNNNNNNNNNNNNNNNNNNNNNNNNNNNNNNNNNNNNNNNNNNNNNNNNNNNNNNNNNNNNNNNNNNNNNNNNNNNNNNNNNNNNNNNNNNNNNNNNNNNNNNNNNNNNNNNNNNNNNNNNNNNNNNNNNNNNNNNNNNNNNNNNNNNNNNNNNNNNNNNNNNNNNNNNNNNNNNNNNNNNNNNNNNNNNNNNNNNNNNNNNNNNNNNNNNNNNNNNNNNNNNNNNNNNNNNNNNNNNNNNNNNNNNNNNNNNNNNNNNNNNNNNNNNNNNNNNNNNNNNNNNNNNNNNNNNNNNNNNNNNNNNNNNNNNNNNNNNNNNNNNNNNNNNNNNNNNNNNNNNNNNNNNNNNNNNNNNNNNNNNNNNNNNNNNNNNNNNNNNNNNNNNNNNNNNNNNNNNNNNNNNNNNNNNNNNNNNNNNNNNNNNNNNNNNNNNNNNNNNNNNNNNNNNNNNNNNNNNNNNNNNNNNNNNNNNNNNNNNNNNNNNNNNNNNNNNNNNNNNNNNNNNNNNNNNNNNNNNNNNNNNNNNNNNNNNNNNNNNNNNNNNNNNNNNNNNNNNNNNNNNNNNNNNNNNNNNNNNNNNNNNNNNNNNNNNNNNNNNNNNNNNNNNNNNNNNNNNNNNNNNNNNNNNNNNNNNNNNNNNNNNNNNNNNNNNNNNNNNNNNNNNNNNNNNNNNNNNNNNNNNNNNNNNNNNNNNNNNNNNNNNNNNNNNNNNNNNNNNNNNNNNNNNNNNNNNNNNNNNNNNNNNNNNNNNNNNNNNNNNNNNNNNNNNNNNNNNNNNNNNNNNNNNNNNNNNNNNNNNNNNNNNNNNNNNNNNNNNNNNNNNNNNNNNNNNNNNNNNNNNNNNNNNNNNNNNNNNNNNNNNNNNNNNNNNNNNNNNNNNNNNNNNNNNNNNNNNNNNNNNNNNNNNNNNNNNNNNNNNNNNNNNNNNNNNNNNNNNNNNNNNNNNNNNNNNNNNNNNNNNNNNNNNNNNNNNNNNNNNNNNNNNNNNNNNNNNNNNNNNNNNNNNNNNNNNNNNNNNNNNNNNNNNNNNNNNNNNNNNNNNNNNNNNNNNNNNNNNNNNNNNNNNNNNNNNNNNNNNNNNNNNNNNNNNNNNNNNNNNNNNNNNNNNNNNNNNNNNNNNNNNNNNNNNNNNNNNNNNNNNNNNNNNNNNNNNNNNNNNNNNNNNNNNNNNNNNNNNNNNNNNNNNNNNNNNNNNNNNNNNNNNNNNNNNNNNNNNNNNNNNNNNNNNNNNNNNNNNNNNNNNNNNNNNNNNNNNNNNNNNNNNNNNNNNNNNNNNNNNNNNNNNNNNNNNNNNNNNNNNNNNNNNNNNNNNNNNNNNNNNNNNNNNNNNNNNNNNNNNNNNNNNNNNNNNNNNNNNNNNNNNNNNNNNNNNNNNNNNNNNNNNNNNNNNNNNNNNNNNNNNNNNNNNNNNNNNNNNNNNNNNNNNNNNNNNNNNNNNNNNNNNNNNNNNNNNNNNNNNNNNNNNNNNNNNNNNNNNNNNNNNNNNNNNNNNNNNNNNNNNNNNNNNNNNNNNNNNNNNNNNNNNNNNNNNNNNNNNNNNNNNNNNNNNNNNNNNNNNNNNNNNNNNNNNNNNNNNNNNNNNNNNNNNNNNNNNNNNNNNNNNNNNNNNNNNNNNNNNNNNNNNNNNNNNNNNNNNNNNNNNNNNNNNNNNNNNNNNNNNNNNNNNNNNNNNNNNNNNNNNNNNNNNNNNNNNNNNNNNNNNNNNNNNNNNNNNNNNNNNNNNNNNNNNNNNNNNNNNNNNNNNNNNNNNNNNNNNNNNNNNNNNNNNNNNNNNNNNNNNNNNNNNNNNNNNNNNNNNNNNNNNNNNNNNNNNNNNNNNNNNNNNNNNNNNNNNNNNNNNNNNNNNNNNNNNNNNNNNNNNNNNNNNNNNNNNNNNNNNNNNNNNNNNNNNNNNNNNNNNNNNNNNNNNNNNNNNNNNNNNNNNNNNNNNNNNNNNNNNNNNNNNNNNNNNNNNNNNNNNNNNNNNNNNNNNNNNNNNNNNNNNNNNNNNNNNNNNNNNNNNNNNNNNNNNNNNNNNNNNNNNNNNNNNNNNNNNNNNNNNNNNNNNNNNNNNNNNNNNNNNNNNNNNNNNNNNNNNNNNNNNNNNNNNNNNNNNNNNNNNNNNNNNNNNNNNNNNNNNNNNNNNNNNNNNNNNNNNNNNNNNNNNNNNNNNNNNNNNNNNNNNNNNNNNNNNNNNNNNNNNNNNNNNNNNNNNNNNNNNNNNNNNNNNNNNNNNNNNNNNNNNNNNNNNNNNNNNNNNNNNNNNNNNNNNNNNNNNNNNNNNNNNNNNNNNNNNNNNNNNNNNNNNNNNNNNNNNNNNNNNNNNNNNNNNNNNNNNNNNNNNNNNNNNNNNNNNNNNNNNNNNNNNNNNNNNNNNNNNNNNNNNNNNNNNNNNNNNNNNNNNNNNNNNNNNNNNNNNNNNNNNNNNNNNNNNNNNNNNNNNNNNNNNNNNNNNNNNNNNNNNNNNNNNNNNNNNNNNNNNNNNNNNNNNNNNNNNNNNNNNNNNNNNNNNNNNNNNNNNNNNNNNNNNNNNNNNNNNNNNNNNNNNNNNNNNNNNNNNNNNNNNNNNNNNNNNNNNNNNNNNNNNNNNNNNNNNNNNNNNNNNNNNNNNNNNNNNNNNNNNNNNNNNNNNNNNNNNNNNNNNNNNNNNNNNNNNNNNNNNNNNNNNNNNNNNNNNNNNNNNNNNNNNNNNNNNNNNNNNNNNNNNNNNNNNNNNNNNNNNNNNNNNNNNNNNNNNNNNNNNNNNNNNNNNNNNNNNNNNNNNNNNNNNNNNNNNNNNNNNNNNNNNNNNNNNNNNNNNNNNNNNNNNNNNNNNNNNNNNNNNNNNNNNNNNNNNNNNNNNNNNNNNNNNNNNNNNNNNNNNNNNNNNNNNNNNNNNNNNNNNNNNNNNNNNNNNNNNNNNNNNNNNNNNNNNNNNNNNNNNNNNNNNNNNNNNNNNNNNNNNNNNNNNNNNNNNNNNNNNNNNNNNNNNNNNNNNNNNNNNNNNNNNNNNNNNNNNNNNNNNNNNNNNNNNNNNNNNNNNNNNNNNNNNNNNNNNNNNNNNNNNNNNNNNNNNNNNNNNNNNNNNNNNNNNNNNNNNNNNNNNNNNNNNNNNNNNNNNNNNNNNNNNNNNNNNNNNNNNNNNNNNNNNNNNNNNNNNNNNNNNNNNNNNNNNNNNNNNNNNNNNNNNNNNNNNNNNNNNNNNNNNNNNNNNNNNNNNNNNNNNNNNNNAAGCUUUAAAAAAUUGUUCGGACUAAAGAUUGUAGUCAAUCAUCGAAAUGAAGCCAUGAACAUGAAGAGCCCUAAUGGCAGCAAGCCUAUGAAAGAGGGAUAUUUACUGAACUGAUAACAAAUAAGAAAAGAGGGAUAUUCCAUUAGACCCACGUUUAUUUGAAAUAUUGAAUCAUGAUAUGUAAAUGAAAAGCUAAAUAGCACAUAGAAAACAAAAAUAAAACCUAAAGGGGGUGUUUGUUUCAAGGUUAAGAAUGACAUUCCCGGGAAUACAUGGCUAGGGAAUGAUUAUACCCAUGUUUGUUAUGAGGUUGAGAAAAAAAUAUUCCUGGGUAUAAAGAUUCCUGGGAAUGGAGUAACUUCCCAUAACUUCCAUUAUUCCCAUGUAAAGAGAUGGGAAUGUGCAUUCCCAUGAUAUUAUGCAUAGAUUUAAAAAAAAAAAAUUGUAACUUCCAAUUUUUCCAGGAAUGUCAAGUUAUUUGCCAAACACUUUUUUUAACAAAUACCCAAUAAUCAAAUUUUCAUAUUUUCAUUCCCGGGUAUAUUAUUCCUGGGAAUAAUUUGUGUUUUCCAAAAACAAACGCUCGUAUGCACAAAAGUUCAACCAUACUCAACAGGCACACAUUGCAAAAAUUCAAUUAGUUUAGAAAUUAUGGUAGGCAAAAGCCAUAUGUAAUACAUGAAUUUCUGAUACUAAUCGAAUGGCAUUAUUGUGUACCAAAACAUUUGAUUUUGUCAAUGUAAGCUCCCAUUUAUUUAUCCAUCAACUAAGCCAACAGUCACUAUAUCCUUCCUCCACAUACUUCCUGCAAUUGAUGAGCUGCAAGGUUCUGAUUCAUUCAUUUGACGCACAUCCAUCUGAAAUAUUGAAUCACGAUAUAUAAAUGAAAAGUUAAAUAGAACAUGGCAAAAAGAAAUUACUCAACAGGCACACUCUGCGAAAAUUCAAUUAGUUUAUAAUCCAUGGUAGGAAAAAUCCAUAUGUAAUAUGUACAUAAUUUCAGAUACUAAUGAAAUAGAAUUAUCCAACAAAAGACAAAUGCUAGGAAAGACCCGAAAUGAAUUUAUAGAGUGGCACCCCUCCUUACAUGUUGGUUUUGUAGGGUUGAGUUAGACCCAGUGUACAAUAUAAUAUGGCAUUAGAGCCUAUGGAUUCAGACCACCUACCAUUUAUAUCCACGCACCAAGUCCAAUAGUGUUGGGCAUGAGGAGGUGUAUUGGGAAAAACACAAGCCCGACAUAGGAUAAAGAUAAGACAUGAAAAAUUUAUAAAUAGUGGCACCUCUCUCCUUACAAAUCGGUUUUAUAGGUUUGAGUUUGGUCCAAUAUAGAAAUCUACUACAUUGUAUGGUAGAAUGUUAGAAAACAACCCAAAGUGAAAGAAUAAAAGGAAAUAAAUACGGUUAUUUAUUAUUUGCAUAUACCUGUUGAUGAAGGAAUCGGUGUGCGACCUUGUAUUCCCUCUGGAGGAUGAUGUGCUGAACAGAACAAUCUGAACGCCCACGGUGAAGAAUAUUGUUGCAGCCCUGGUGAAGAACAAUGCUGUAGUGCAGAACAGAACAAUCUGAACGCUCCUGGUGAAAAAUAUUCGAUACGAAAUGCUCGAUGCUCUGAAAUAAAAAUCUGAACUUGCUUCGAAUUUGAACAGAAAUUCUUGAUGCCGGUGGAAUCUGGAGAGAGGCCAUGAAAGGUGGAAGAAAUUUUGGAAUUAGGAUUCUAUUUAAAUUUGCUUGUUUUGAGAGUAUUUGGGCAUCCAAUUGACACCUCUAGUCUACACAGUGAACCACCACAUUAUGCAAACGUGCACCUUAGGUAUAGACAAUAACAAAACAAUAUAGAAUGAAUUCUUAUAAGUUAGUUCAUGAAAACAAAAUAUUUCCAUUUUGAUAUCAGAAAUGGUCAACUCAGACGUAUGCACCCUUCACUCUUAGUGGUAAUGGACAGUCUUAUCAUGUAUUACAGAUUUCGAUUCCCCAAACAAAAAUGGAUAUCUAAUACAUGUUCUCUCACUGAACCGAUUAGAAGUUUUCUACUGGAAUAGGUAGCAACUGAACAUAGAUCCAUUUUCUAAAGAUCAUUGAAAAUAUUUGUCGGGUCGAUUGAAAAGUCAAGUAAAUGAUAAAAUCUGGAUUUUAUUUAUAAAAAGAAUCGAAAAAUCCAGAAAAAAAAAGUACCUGUUGGGCAAUAAUGUUCUUUCUCUCCUUUUCUUUAACUUUCUUCUCAUUUUCUGCUUCAACUUUGUCUUUUAUAAGCUCAUCUACCUUGCUCGUAUAUUCCCGAAUAGACUAGAGAAAAAUAAAAAAUGAUUAUUAACAAAAGAAAAAAAUGUUUGUCCUUAAUAAUAAUUGUAAUGAAAGAGACCCUUGUAAAAAACAUACCUGUAAGAGAUAAGGGAAGGAAAAAUCCAUCAUAUUGUUCUUCCAAGCUAGCUCUAAUGCAACAUCUGGCCGUAUUAGAUCAUAACAAGUAGAGAGGCACGAUGCAAAACACUCUUUCUUCCCCUGAAAAACAAAGACAGAAAGAAAUCUUGACCAAGUAAGCAGUAAUGAAGUGUAGAAAGAAUGAAUAUAAUUCAUAACGAUGAAGAGGUCACACCGCAGAAUGUGACAGGGCCUAAUCUGGCAAGGAUCUAAUAAAUGUACACCUGCUCACUAAAAUAAACAAGCAAAUCCUCUGAGAGUUUCUGGUCACCAGAUUGAUAGCAAGUUUCCAUGCAGUCCUUGUAAAGUUUGUCUUUCUUUAACAUACAAAUGGACUGUUUCCAUCUUCCAGCUUUCUUGUAAAUAUAAGCAGCAACACGUCUCAUCUCAAGGAGCUCGUGCUUCUCAAUCUGAUCAUGUGUAUUGUUGAAACCAAUCAAUAAUCAUUCAAGAUUUAGAAGUUUGCGAAAAGGAUGUAGAACUCAAUUUGGCCAAAUAAGUAAGAUAAGGAAAAUCCACCUUCUGUGCAAGACCUAUCUGAUUGAAGUUGUCAUACAGAUCUAUCGAUUUACGAAGUCUAUCGUAGUCCACCUCGUCAACAUAAAUUUCAUGCAAAGCUUCAUUAAUAGAAAACACAUUGCUGCUUUGAACUUCAACCAUGUACGGCUUUAUCAAUCGGAUAUGGCCUGCCUAAAAAUCAGAAAAUUCGAGCAACAAGUAUAAUUAUUGCAUUAAUCAUUUGCAACUAAUUAUUUACAUAACCUAAUAAGAUUAAAAUUACAGAUAUUAGGCAAUAGAGUACAAGAAAUAUAGACCUUCUGCGCUAUUUCUACAAUACGGGCAUGUUCCACAUGACGGGCAAGCACAUUAAGAAGAUCAUUUAUAAUAUCAGGAUGUUCUUGCAAGUAGAAAUGAACAGCCUUAUAAUAUAGUUCUACACGACCAACAUUUACUAUAAUAUGUUUGAAUUGCAUGUGGUCCCAUGCUUCUCGAGAGUGAUUCAUUACAGUGAUUGCAGCAUUAUUAAACUCUUCAAAUUGCACAUAUAGGUAUGUGAGUUCUUUCCAGAGUUGAUGUUCAUCACACGCCUGAAAAAGCUUGAGACUGUUGAGGUUGGUUGAGAACAACUUAAUGUGCUCCAUUAACAUCUCAGGACGAUAUCUUGCGUAAAGAACUCCCAACUCAGUAAAGAUACUCUCAUGAGCACACUCCAGUUCUAUCCCUUUCUCCAUUAGAGAGAUGAGUUCAUUGAAGCGUCUUCUGUUCUGAUAAUACUUGCAAACUUCUUCCAGAUCGUCCGCCUUCAUAAAAAUGAUGAGUGAUUAGCCAUAAAAACGGAAAAUAACAAACAAAUCAACAGUUUAUCUGCUACUUAUUGUGUAUACUAAUAACUAGAUGUUCUAUACUUCACCGGAACACAUCCCAUUAACUUGCAUGCAAUGAAAUUGAAAUAUGAGCGGAAAACCUGGAUACUGAAAAUUGGAGACAUAGGGACAGGGGUGGUAUUACUGUCAGAAAAAAUAAACGAAAGUUUAAGCUAGAAAUCGUGCCACCUGAACAAUAACAUUGAGACCACAAAUCUGAGCUAAGGAGGAUUCCCCAGCAUCAAUGCAGGAAAAACAAACAUCCUUCCAUGUUUUCAAACUGUUUGCUUUCUUAGCAGCAUCAACAGCAUCUUGGAAUUGUUGAAGCUUCACCAAUGUCACUGCUAACUUAGCCCAGUCAGGGAUAAAAGCAAAUAUAAUUUUUGCAGCCUCAUAAAGCGCCUCAGCAUACAAGCGGUCUCCAACAUUUGGCAAAUUAGAAACAUUUGGCAUCAAAAUAAACUCUUCAAUUUCUCCAAGCCGACCAAUCUUUGCAUACGCAUAAAUGAGCUCACUGUCCACCUUGGGCUCUUUGGUCUUCUGCCUAACCAUGAGAAGGUACUUUACUAGGUCAUGGUAUACAUUUGCAACUUCAGCAGCCUUUAUAACCUCUAAAAACUGAGUGGCAUCAUCUGCACGGAUGAACAACUCAAUUGCAUCACUUACUAAGCCUUUUCUUAGUUUCGCCUUAGCCACCUGGCUCCAUACAGAAUCUUCUUCAACGCAGAAUGCAAACUCCAUAGCUCGAUCAAUGGUCUUAAGGUUAUCUAGCAGAACAUUAACAGCCUUAACAUUCAGAUUAAAUUUCUUGAAAACGGCAAAAGCUUCUUCAUAUAAGCGUGCUUCCACUGCCGCCUUCCCGACAGCAGAGCCAUCAAAGUUGUCCAGCCUAUUUAUGUAACCCAUGACUCUUAAAGGAUCUGCUUUUAUUGCAGCAAGGAUCAGUAAGCUUUUUAGAGUGAAGUUUGCACUAAAAGCAGAAUUAUGUAGCACAAUCUUGUCGAGAAGGUCAAUCACUUCAUGGGUAAGAUUGGCAGUCAUAAAAGCUUUCACUGCAGCUGAAACUUGGUCAGGACUCUUGCAUUUAGGCAAAGCAGUAGACACCACUUGAUCAAUCAACUGUCUUCUAAACACGUUCCCAGGAUUUAGAACCUCUUUCCAGAGGCCACCAUCCAUCCGUUCCAUAACAUAUCUGACACAAACAAUAUCAUAAAUAAGACGAGUGUCCCAGACUAGCAUUUUGAAAUACAAUAGCACAAUAUUAAUGAAGAAUUGUAUACACACCUGGCUUGGAGUUUGAACAAGGAAUUUUUAUUGGUCACAUUAACAAGCUCAUAAUCACAUUUCCCCCUUGUGUAAGCAACAACGGCAAGUGUUGGGUCCCUUUGCUCACAAUAUUUACCAAUAACACGAGAAUCAUAAUAUAGGUUGGUUGUGAGAAAAUGUACUGGAUUGCUAUUGCUGUCAAUGAUGAUUCUCCCAAGAGCAUUAUGCACAUGUACAUCUCGGCUCCCCUCCCACACAAGAUCCUCCAAGAUCUGAGUAAGCAAACGAAGACGAUUCCUGCAUAUAGAAAGUAAAAUGAGAAAAUAAUAUGGUAAUGUGGAGAUGCAGGGCAGAGAGAAAAAUAGCAUACCUCUUUACAAAUUCUUCAACUAAAGGCUCAACUGGGAAAGGAGAACGAAUCGAAAGUACAAGACCUUUAAUGAAAUUUUCAGGGCAUCGAUCAUCUAACAACUGCCCUACAACUAGAGGAAUCUUUUGAGGAUUGACCUAUAGGUAAGAAAUAUAAUGUUAGAAAUUCACGUUUAAGAUUAGCAUAGAAAGAUUCAAAAUUAAAUGCAAUCACAAAAAAAAAGUUACCCUUUGAACAUAUUCUUCAACAUAAUGAAGCAUGUUUUGACUAUAGAGAUAAUGUAUGAGAUGAGGAACAAAACCAAAACGAUCACACACAUUAAUCAGUGGCCGUGCAUUUGGAAGGUUGGUCUUCAUUAGAAAGUUCUUUGUCUUCUCAGCAUCAUAAUAGCAUGAUUCCCGGGUUACACGCUCUACCUCCGUAAUAUGUCCCGUUUUAACAGCUACUUCAAUGUACUUGAAGUGAAUGUCAGGAUUCUUACUGUACAAUACAGAAUCAAAAGCCAAAAUUAUUAAAGUAAUUACUACCAAAAGCAAAAUAUAGUCUGUCUGGAAAAUCAAUGCCAUUUUCAUUCUUCAUUUAGAAAUACCUAGAUCUCAAAUGUGCACCCAAGAAAAGGUAUAAUCCUUCAUCAGAAUUGAAUUUCUCAAAGAGUUUGAUGCAUGCAUCAACACCCAGCUGUUUCGAAUAUUCCUUGGAAGUCUGCAGAUUAGGUACUAGUAAGAUUAUUUUAUACAGAAACUAUAAUAACAAGAAAAAAUAUCCAUGUUACAGUACCUGCACAAUUAUUUUAAGAUUUCCCCCAAGGUUGACAAGUAAAAGUUGUUCCAUACACUCCAGUGCCCAUUUUCGAGGAAGGGUUCCAAAAAACUUAACAAGAGCCUGAAAAUCACUUCAUAAUAAGAAGACAACAUAUAAAAGACUAAGUAGAUACAGUCACUCUAGCACCUGAAAUCCAAACCUGAUGUUCAAUGGCAUCAGUUUUCACAAUGAUGCGUUUGAUGUCAGGCAACUCAGUAUAAUGCUGCACAAGAGACAGACACGAAACUUCAAGAAAUUACUGACAACAAAUUACAGUCAGUCAUUGGUAUGAAAAGCCAAGAACCUGAAGAGCCCGGAUGAAAAGGCCGGCCUUUUCACAAAGUUUAGCAAUACGUGGACGAUCAUAAUGACUAAACACGCCUUUUGCCAAUAUAGAAUCAGCAACAUUUGGAAAGGUCUUAAGAUUGAUUUCCAGCAGCUAAAAAUGAUUAGAGCAAAUUUUCAUAAAAUCACAAAAAAAAUAUUGUAUGACUCCAUCAACUCGUAGAUAAAGAUUAAGGCAAAGAAAAUAAAGGAACCUUUGUUUGAAGAUGUCCAUGUUCAGGUAGGUCUGGCUUCAGCAGUUCCAACAAAAAGGUAGUUGCCUCACGGAUCAUAUUCCUCUAAAAAGUAACAGUAGAAACAUACAAACAAAAUUAAGGGUUGACGACUUGAUGUUUCCAGCACAUAAAUAAAAAACAAAAGGAAAUGAUUGGCUCUUUAUUUAACAAAUAGUUCUCGGUACUCAAAUUAAAGGAAAACAUACACGGGAUGGUUAAAAACCACUAUCAAUGCGAGUUUUCGGAAAGAGAAGGUCUGAUUCCAUUAGAUUUUUCAUUUUUCCAUUAAGUAGAAAAUAACUUUUCUGAAAUGCAAAAACGCAUUAUUCACUCUGCCACUUAAAACAUUACAUAAAGAUUUCAUAAAAGUCGAAGUAGAACAGGCUCAAGUAAUCAAGUAUUAUAGGUUCUAAAAAGGAAAAUGAAGAAUGAAAUGGAGACAGAAAUUGUGUACAUGAUACUUCCUUUUCUAAGUUAGGUCAAAUUACAAGUUACGCUUGAUAUGGGAGAACAAUGAAACCUACAUCAAUAAAACAAAAGAUAAAAUUAAAUAGACCUGAAGAAACAGAUCGGCUAUUUUGUUGUAGUCAACAGGGCAACCCCCCUCCAUUCGCAACAUCAUCAGAGCAAAAUCUAGAGCACCCUACAAUGGAACAUGUUCUGAGUAAAUGAAUAAACAAAAAGUAAACUCACAAGAUAACAGAUAUUCUAGAAAGAUAAACAUCAUAAGUAGCACAGAUGAGGUGAUAUCAUUUUAUGAUGUUUGGAUGUUUGGACUUCGGAUGCAUUCAACCAUCAUGCAUGAGGUGCUAUAAUUUUAUGGGAAAUGUUAACGAGUGCCCCCCGGGGCACUUGUUAAGCACUUUAAAUAGUAAGUUUUAAAUGAAAAGUUGUGUAUUGAAUGUAUUGGAAAUUGUAAUAAUUGACUUUUUAAAAGAAUAAUUACUAAAUUUGGGAUGCUUAAAGAGUGCCCUGGGGGCACUCGUUAACAAGACCUAAUUUUAUAAGUGCACCACAAUGAUCAGAACUGAAAUAAGUUUACCAAUAAAGUAUUUCCAUAAGGCAAAACUUGAUCAUUUCAAAUCGAACUACACUAACCUGGGCAUCUGUUUGCAAUAUUGUUUGCAGAAGGAAUAUGUAAUCAAGAGUGUAUCCAACCUGCAGUAAAUAAAAGGAGAAAAAUACAUCAUGCACUGCAAAAAUAAUAAUAAUUAACUAUGUAAUAAAACAAAAGUAUAACAUUCAUUUAACAGUCCAAUAUUACCACUAUUUUCAUGAUUUUGUAAAGUCUAAUAAAACAAAUGUUUCAUUACCUGCUUUGAGUAUGUCAAAAUCUUAUCAUAUUCCCUCCUCUCAGCAAAAGCUGCAAUAACCUUUGGUGUGGCACUUGCUUUAGUAUAUAUUUUCAAUGCCAGGUCUUUAUCCACUUUCUGCAUUAGAUGUGUGUCUUAUAAGAUUGAAUAGACAAACGAAAGGAAUAUAUAGCAAACUAAAUAUGGUUAUUGAAUCGAGAUUCAAAUAGUGAAUCAGAAGAACUAUUUUCUAAAUUGAGAAUUGGAUCUUAUCACAAAUCGUAAGAUACAUUAUCAAAUAGUUAAGAGUACUAGAAUCGAGAAUCGAGAUACAACUAGCACCUAGCAUCGAGAAUCGAGAUACAACUUGCAUGUAUCUUAGGAUAUUGAUAACCAUAAGUAUAUUCAACUGAUAAAGAAACUAAGAAUCAAUUAUAGAUUUGUAUGAGAACAGAACCUUCACAAGGUCACCAAGCUCUUCAGUGCAUUCAAGUUUAUCCUCUGCUAGCCAUUUUCCUAAAAGUUUCUGUUUGUUUCGACUUACGGCUAGCCGUGACAUUUUCAAUGACUCAAAAGCAUCCAGUUUUCCACUAGAAAACAGAUGGUCAAAGUAUUGUAAGCAUGAUGGUGCAUCUUCCAAAGGUACGUUCUGAAAAAUAAUUUACAGAAGAUAAUUAACAAAAGAAAUGAACAACUUAAUGAAAUCGUCAUGUUAUUACUCUUCCAUCCCAUUAACAAAAAAAUAAAUGUAACAUCAUGAAGCACGAACAAUCCUUGGAUUAGGCAUGUCCCAGUGUCGGACAUGUGUCGUGUCCGACACCGACACAUAUAAUUACACUGAAUUAAGUGAUUUUCUCAAAUUAUUAGCGGUGUUUGGGUUUCAGCGUAUGUGACGUGUCCGGUGUCCGUGUUUGUAUCCGUGCUUCACUAUUUUAUUCCAACUCUACUUUCAAAAUAAUACAAUAUACAUCACUCUUAUGUCAAUUAUACUUCACCAUACAUUUAUGGCGAUACUUAACACUCUCAAUAAUUAAUAACUCUAGUUACGACAUUCCAGCUUGAAGGUGUGUGACGAGUAUCUAGUAUCUAACCGUUGUGUUUGACUGCUAUCAAUGUCACUGUCGUAUUUAGUGUCUGCCUCAAUGCUUCGUAGAUUAAUAAUCAUCCUUAUGUAAAAUUGUUGCACACUUUUAUUUAUUUACAAAUUUUCUUAAUUUAUAUAAAAAUACCUAAAAAUGAAAAUUAAACAAUCCGAGUAAUAAGCACAGUUAAUAACCGGAAACAGCCGUUAAGACCUAGCUCAACUAACAAUGUCGAUAUUGUUAGGCUAAACAACUUUAUUAGGCUAAACCGGACAUUGCAAUUGCGUGUGAGUUUCAGGUGUUGGUGUUUUGACAAGAAAAAAAAUAGGAAACAGACACACACUCUCGCGCAGAUGAAUGAAAAUUGUUAACAAGAUUGCAAAAGCAGAGUGCAAAAACCAUUAAUAUAACAGAAAAUAGGGUUUGAUCGAUAUUUGGAAUGGGAAUGUGAGAAAUUACUAACCGUUGAGGAUUCUUUCAUGGAGUUAGGAGUGUUAUCACCCGCCAUGACGAUCGAAACAGAGUUUUAGAGAGAGAGAGUUGAAAUUUUGAAGAAGAAAGUUUGCGAGUAAGAGAUUGGAACACAGUGACAGUGAGAGCGAGAGUGAGCGAGUGGAAUGAAGAGAAUAGAGGAAAAACUGUUUUAUUAUAAGAGCUACGUGUGCUACAAGCAAGCAUAAGCAUUUAUAUUUUUUUAAAAAUCAAGGGCAAGAUUGCAUAACCAUAUCUUAUAAACAAGAGUAAGACAAUUUUUUUACCUUUAUGUGUACCGUUUGGCUAGGUUUUUUUUUUGUCUAAAAGCUACUUUAAAACAAAGUUAAAAUAAAACUCUUUAAGAAAAAAGUUAAAGUUGUUUGGUUUCUUUAAUUUUUUUUUAGUUCUAAAGUUAUUUUUAAGUUAAAAAUUAUUUAGCAAAAUAUUGUACAAAAUUUUAAAUUUAUUAUUUUUUUGGUGGUGUUUGGGGUUCGAACUCGCGACCUUGCAUAUAUAUAAGUACCGUUUGGCCAUGCUUUUUUUCGGUCUAAAAGCAACUUUAAAACAAAGUUAAAAUAAAGCUCUUUAAGAAAAAAGUUAAAGCUGAUUGGUUUCUUUAUUUUUUUUUUAGUUCUAAAGUUAUUUUUAAGUUAAAAGUUGUUUGGCAAAAUUUUGAUUUUUUUUUUUUGUGGUGUCCAGGGUUCGAACCCGCGACCUUGCAUAUAUUUAUACAUUGUCAAUAUCAACUGAGUUAAGCUAGAGAAUAAUUUGUUUUUUCUUUUCCAAUUAUAUUGUAUAACAAAUUUUGUUAUAAGAAUAUCAUAUUUUUGGUGUCAUUUAAAAAAAAUAAGAAUUUAUAUUAUAUGAUAUUAUAUUUGUUACAUUGUUGGAGUCAUUGACAAAGAUAUGUUUAGUUUUUUUAAUAAGAAAAAAAUAUGCAUAGUUUGUUACAAUAUAAAUGUGUAAAAUAUAUAUAAGUAUAAUUUUUUUAAGCAUCUAUACUAGUACUUUUAAUUAAAAUCAAAAUUUUAUAAAAAUAAUAAUUGUUACAAUAUAAAUGUGAGGAUGAGAGCGAGAGUCUGUGAGGAUGAACGGACAGUCCGACUGCGGCCACAACGCAGGGAGGACGUCCGGUGUUCUUCUUCGCCGGCGGAGAGAUCCAAUUGGGGGGGAAGGGAGCCAAGCUGGGUGCCACUUAAAGGGGGGGUUGGGGGAGAUUGGCUUGUUGUGAGUCCUAGAAUGGGGAAAGCGCGGCGACAAGGAGAUCGAGGUCGGGAUCGGCAGCGGAAGGUCAAGCGGUUCCGUGAUUGGGACGAGGCAGGCAAGAGACAAUCUAGAACUAGGGAUUCACGCAGGUUCGGUUACGGCAGCGAUGCGGAUUUCUACCAAGACAGGCUUGCUGAGCGGUCUGAUGAGGAAUUGAGGAAGGACUGGUUGCGGUUUGAGAAUAGGAAUCGCGCUAGUGGUCACAGCUCUGGGGUUGCUGGUUAUGCGCGUCGGAUUCCGGCGCUGGACAGGCUUGGUGAGGGCGGUAGGAAGCAGGACACGCGCGACAUCAGCGGAGCCACCAAGGCCUUGACGAAUGCGGCUCUUUUUCGACGGUAUGUCACGUUUUAUUUUACUAAUUUUCCACCGUUCUUAUCGAAUUUUUAUUUACGAAAAGGGUUUGAGGUUUGUGGCAUGCUGGACGAGGUUGUGGUACCCCGUAGGUGCAAUGUUAACGGAGAACGGUACGGUUUUGUGAGAUACUCGAAUGUCCGGGAUGUUAGUAAGUUGUUGAAAGCCGUGAAUACUGUUUGCUUUGGUAAUUUCCAAAUUAAGGCAAAAGUUGCUAAUUUUGACAAGGCGGCAGCUAGAGUGGUUGAGAAUUUGGUGGUUGGCGCGGGUGCGAAGGAUACCGCGGGAGGAGGUGUUAAGGUCGGUAAGGGAGUUAAAUCAGUUGUUGAGGGUGAUGUGAUGGAAGCUGGAUCGAAAGCUGUUGAAGGCCAAUCGGAUGGACUAGAGGGACGGGUGCCACAAGCCAGAGUGGGUGCGUUGGAUAACGUUCAGGUUGGUGACGUGACGGUGAGCUUGGGUAAGGGGCAUAGUAAGGAGCAACAGGGCGGUAGCGGGAAAAGUAAGUUCGUUAAGUUUGAUGUUCGUCAUACAGGGGGGCGACCUUCAAUCCAAAAUUUGGUCCGGAUGUAUCGUUCAAGUGUGGAAGAUCUUCAGUGGGCCCGUUCAGGUGUGACUGCUACGGUGACUAAUGGUGAGAGUAUCAGGGGCGUUCAAGAUAGAAUUGCGGAUGCGGGUAUAUCAGAAAUUGACAUCAUUCCAUUAGGCGCUGACAAAGUUUUCAUUCGUAGUAUGUCCGAGGUUAGUGUUACAACUAUUUUGAACGAUGCUAAGGAUUUCUUUGCUUAUUUUUUCACCAAUAUUGUGAGAUGGGAUAAGAAUUUGGUGCCGUUCCAAAGGGGGGCCUGGUUGAGGUUGUAUGGUAUUCCGCUGCACGCUUGGAAUGAAAGCUUUUUCAAAUUAUGUAUUCUUGACGUGGGAAGGCUUUUACGUAUGGACACAUGCACUGUGGAAAAAGAAAGAUUUGAUUAUGCUAGGAUUCUGGUGGCUACAAAUUCUUUAGAGAUUAUAAAUUGUUCGGAGAAGCUUUUGAUAGAUGGUGUUUUGGUCACUGUGAAAGUGGUAGAGGAGUGGGGUUUUAAUAUUGGCGAUGAUGCUUGCCUUUACGAAGAGGAGGAGAAUGGGUCAAUUGAGGGUCAGGCUGACCCAGAAGAUGUGCAUAUUGAUCACGAACAUGAGGUUAACGCAGAUUUUUUGGUUGAUAAAAUAGUCCAAGAUUUUUUUGAUUCGGAGAGUAACGGAAGAAUUUUUGAAGAUAAGGUGGAGAAGGCGGUCUCAAAGACGGUUAAGCUUAAAGCGGUAGGUGGUCAAUCGAAAGUGGGUAGGUGUAGUGAAGCCUUGCUCGAGGGGGAUUUACAACCUUUACGGUUAGAGCCCUUUGUGGAUCAAUUGAUGGGUAGUGCGUCACCUGAGUGUAAGGUUGAUGGGCAUGGCAGUGCCGACGUUCCUGUGGAUAGAAGUGUUGAUGCUGAUGAGUGUCCAAGUGAUGGGGGGUCAGUUACUGUUAGGAAGCUUCGAACUCGUCGAAUGGUUUCAUGCCCUCCCAGAGCUGAUCGUUCAGUGGUAUCUGGUCCGUGGAGUCUGGAUUGGAUAAAUGAUCAACAUCUUAGUGACGUAGGGGUUGUGUCUUCUUCUCGGAAAUUUGACGCUAAGGGUAAGAGGCUCAAGGCUUGUCGUAAUAUUCAAGAGGAUGUUGUUGUUAAGCGAAAGAAGGUGAAGGGGUUAUUGCGUCAUUCAGUUCUUAGCUUGAAAAAAGUGGCACGGCUUCCUACUAAAGACCGGAAAGUGGUUAUGAAAAUUCUAAAGAAAAAUGAUCGGAAGUUUAAAGGAUCCAAUUCAAUCAGAAAGACGGCUAGGAUGAUUUCUAAAGACCUAUCCGAGAAUUCAUCAUCUUCUAGCUCUAUUAAUAAUAGUGACUGGAAGCAUUGGGUGGUACUUCAUGGGAGUGACAAGGUGGUGGCGGAGGAUGUGAAGACCCUAGGGGAAUCUAUUGGUGUGAAUCUUAGUGGGUACAACAAUAGAUUUGGGGUGUUAGCAAGAAAAGGGAUGGGGAAAAAGAAGAAGUUAGCUUUUGGUGAUGGUGGUUCAGGAGGGGCGGUUGAGGGUGUUGUGUAGGCGUGGUAGCGGUGGCUGGGAGGGUGUGGGAGAUGAAGUUGUUAUCUUGGAAUGUAAGGGGGUUGGGUGGUUACGAGAAGAGAAAGGAUGUUCGAGCUCUGGUGAGGGAUAAGCAGCCGUUGAUUUUAUGUCUGCAAGAAACGAAGUUGCAAAUGUGUGAUGUUAAUGUGUGUUCGUCGGUUUGGGAUAGGCAGUCGACGGAGUUCUCUUUUCGCCCGUCCCAAGGGGCGUCAGGGGGAUUGCUGACCGUUUGGGAUGCCUCGGAGGUUGAGGUGUGGUCGUCAGGCUGCUUUGAUCAUGUUUUGAGUAUUCAUGGCCGGUUCAUUUCUUCAGAUGAAGAAUUUCACUUAUUCAAUGUGUACGCUCCUUGUGAUGGAGGAGCUCGACAGAUAUUAUGGGUUGCUUUAACGACUCGUCUUCAGGCUCUUAGGGGUAAAAAGGUGUGCGUUUGCGGUGAUUUUAAUGCGGUCCGGAGUCGGGAAGAACGUAGGUCGGCGACGGUUUAUGGCGGUGUGUCGGAGUAUGGUCCUUUUAAUCAAUUCAUAGAGGAAAAUGGUUUGCUUGAUUUACCGUUGUGUGGGCGUAAUUUUACUUGGUUUAAAGGGGAUCGUCGUUCAAUGAGUCGACUUGACCGGUUUUUGGUUUCUGAAGAGUGGAGUUUGGUUUGGCCCAAUUGUAUUCAGGUUGCGCAUUUGAGAGGUUUAUCUGACCAUUGCCUGUUGAUUUUGUCUGUUGAUGAGGAAAAUUGGGGGCCUCGACCGUCGCGGUUCUUGAAAUGUUGGUCAGACACCCCGUGUUAUAAGCAGUUUGUUACUGAUAAGUGGAAAGCUUUACAGGUGGAAGGUUGGGGUGGAUAUGUUUUAAAAGAAAAAUUCAAAUUAAUCAAAUUGGCGCUGAAAGAGUGGCACAUAUCUCAUUCGCAGAACGUAGCAGUGAAAAUUGAUUCUCUUAAGGUCAGGUUGGCCGAGUUAGAUGGUAAAGGGGAGGUCGAGGAGUUAUCUGACGCAGAAUGUGUUGAGUUGCAUGGUGUGUCAGAAAAUAUUCAUUUGUUAUCCAGGCUUCACAAUAGUAUCUGUUGGCAGCAAUCGAGGAACCAGUGGCUGCGUGAAGGUGAUGCGAACUCUAAGUUUUUCCAUUCCAUUAUGUCCUCUCGUCACCGUCAUAAUUCUAUAAGUUCAAUUUUGGUUGAUGGUACUUUGGUUGAGGGCAUUGACCCUGUUAGGAAGGCGGUGUUUACCCAUUUUGCGACUCACUUUCAAUCGUAGAGUGUGGAGCGACCAAGUGCGUCGAAUCUCCAGUUCCGCAACUUAUCUUUGGUUGAGGGAGGGGGCCUGAUUAGACCUUUUUCGGUAGAUGAAGUUAAGGCUGUUGUGUGGGAUUGUGAUAGUUUUAAGAGCCCGGGUCCGGAUGGAGUAAAUUUUGGAUUCAUAAAGGAGUUUUGGGUUGAACUGAAAGAUGAUAUCAUGAGGUUUGUCACUGAGUUUCAUCGAAACGGGAAGUUGGUAAAAGGUAUUAAUACUACUUUUAUUGUUCUUAUCCCAAAAGUUGAUAAUCCGCAGAGGCUUAAUGAAUUUAGACCUAUCUCUUUGGUAGGAAGUAUGUACAAAAUUAUAGCUAAGUUGUUAGCUAACAGAUUAAGGUUGGUGAUUGGUAGUGUGAUUUCUGAAACUCAGUCUGCUUUUAUUAAGAAUAGACAGAUUCUUGAUGGUAUUCUUAUAGCCAAUGAGGUGGUGGAUGAAGCUAAAAAGUUUAAGAAAGAUCUUAUGUUGUUUAAGGUGGAUUUCGAAAAAGCGUACGACUCUGUUGAGUGGGAUUACUUGGAUUCGGUUAUGGAAAGAAUGUCGUUUCCUGUCUUAUGGAGGAAAUGGAUUAGAGAAUGUGUGGGUACUGCUACAGCUUCUGUUCUUGUUAAUGGUAGUCCUACUGAUGAAUUUCAACUGCAUAGUGGCUUGCGUUAGGGGGAUCCCUUGUCCCCUUUUUUGUUCCUGAUUGCGGCUGAGGGUCUUCACACGUUGAUGAAAGCGAUGGUUGACAAUCAGUUGUUUACGGGGUACUCGGUUGGGGUGGCAAACCCGGUUGUUGUUUCUCAUCUGCAAUUUGCGGACGACACUUUGCUGCUUGGCCAUAAAAGUUGGGCUAAUGUUCGGGCUCUUCGUGCGACUCUUGCCAUUUUUGAGUUGAUGUCCGGUUUGAAAGUGAAUUUCAAUAAAAGCUUGUUGAUGGGUAUUAAUAUCUCUGAUUCUUGGUUGAGUGAGGCUGCUUCGGUGUUGAGCUGUAAAGUAGGUAAGAUUCCUUUUUUGUAUCUAGGUUUGCCUAUUGGGGGUAAUCCGCGGAGACUUUCGUUUUGGGAUCCUGUCGUGAAUCGUAUUAAAUCUAGAUUGUCGGGGUGGAAUAGCCGGUUUCUCUCUUUUGGUGGUCGCUUGAUCCUUCUGAAAGCCGUGUUGACUUCUCUGCCUGUCUAUGCUCUUUCCUUCUUUAAAGCUCCAACAGGUAUAAUCUCUUCCAUUGAUUCUUUGUUUAAUAAUUUUUUUUUUUUGGGGGGGGGGGGGGGGGGGGGGGGGAGUGAGGACCGUAGGAAAAUUACUUGGAUAGAUUGGAAUACUGUUUGUUCUAAAAAGGAGUUAGGAGGGUUGGGGGUUAGGAAGUUGAAGGAAUUUAAUGUAGCUUUGCUAGGGAAAUGGUGUUGGAGGUUGUUAGUAGAUAGAGAUGGCUUGUGGUAUCAGGUUUUAGUCGCCCGUUAUGGCGAGAUCGGUGGGAGAUUGGAGGUGGGGGGCCGGAGUUGUUCUUCUUGGUGGCGGGAGGUAGGGAGGAUCUGUGAGGGUGGGGGCGGUGUAGGGGGUGAUUGGUUCGGCAGUAGUGUGAUUAGGAAGGUGGGGGAUGGUGCUGAUACGUUGUUCUGGUCUCAUAGGUGGUGUGGUGAUCGUCCUUUUAGUGAGCGGUUUGGCAGGUUGUUUGACUUAGCUGAGAACAAAGCCAUUUCAGUGGCUUCUAUGUUCUCUCUUGGCGUGGUGCAGGGGGGGAGGGUGGAGUUGGAGGCGAAGAUUGUGGGCUUGGGAGGAAUUUUUAUUAGAGGAGCUUAGGGCUUUACUGCUUGAUGUUUCUUUGUUGCCUAAUGUUUCAGAUAGAUGGUUGUGGCUACCUGACCCUGUGGGGGGUUAUACUGUUCGAGGAGCUUAUGUUAUAUUAAUAGAGGGCGCUCAUCCUCUUUUGACCGAAGCAAUGGAUCUAGUUUGGCAUCGUCAGGUCCCCUUAAAGGUCUCGAUUUUUGCUUGGAGACUUCUCCGGGAUCGGUUACCUUCAAAAGCAAAUUUGGCAGCUCGUGGUGUUCUCAGUUCUGAGGCGACUCUUUGUGUUAUGGGCUGUGGUCAUGUUGAAACGGCCGAACAUUUAUUUUUAUUUUGCCCAAAUACUGUUUUGUUGUGGCAGCAGGUGCGCAAUUGGCUAGGUUCUAUGGGGGCGGAUCCGAAUAAUCUUCAUGAUCACUUAGUGCAGUUUACUUACUCGACAGGUGUUGGUAAAGCUAAACGUUCUUUUCUGCAGCUAAUUUGGAUUCUGUGUACUUGGAUUGUGUGGAUCGAACGUAAUAACCGCUUGUUUGGUAAUGUUGUAACGGAUGUCCCAAGGUUAUUGGAUAAGGUUAAAUUGUUAUCAUUACGGUGGCUGAAAGCAAAAAAAAAACGUGUUUGUUUAUGGUACUCAUAUGUGGUGGUCUAGUCCUUUGUUAUGUUUAGGCAUUGGUUAAUUCCUGUUUUUUGUUCUUUGUGUUGGACUCUGUAACAUUUUGUAUCUUGUAGCAGAAUUCUAGGCACAUCUUGUGCUUGGAAUAUGCUAUGUUUGUGUUAAUAUAAUUCCAUUUUGAUGUGUUCAAAAAAAUAAUUGUACGCAUUGCGCAACACUGAAAAAAAUAUACGCAUUAGUGUAACAAAAAAAAAAAGACAUACAGACAUAAAAUAUUACUCUAAACGCUAAUGUGUGUGUGUAUAUUUGUGAGGUUGAAGAAAGGGAAUAAAAAUAUUUGGUGUCAUUCAAUGACUGCAUAAAUAAAAAUAUUUGUGAGGUUGUGAUAAUUAAACGAUAUUAAAAUUAAAUAUAUAAGUGAUUAAUAGAUAAUAAAAUUCCUUCAAAAAUAGAUAAUAAAAUUAAAUUGAUCCUCCUUUAAAAAAAUUAUAUGGACCGGUUCAAAAAAAAAUUAAAUGGAAGAAAAAAACAAAUCAAAAUAUAAUAUUAAAAAAUAAAAUAUAAGGUUGCCUGUGUGAGUUGAAGAGAAGUGCUUGUGAAAUAAAUUACAGAGAAGUAGUUUUUUGAAGUAGCAUUCAACAACUUUUAAAGCUCAUUCCAUUCAAUUUUAUGAAUUCUAAAAAAAAUACAUUUUUUCGAAGGUACUUUAUUGAUAUUGUGUUUCGCCUAGCUUCUCUUUAAAAAUGUAGAGAAGUUGGAAAAAAAGUCGAGUCAAACGGUACCUUAUAAGCUUAUUUGAUUAAAAUAGAUUUGUUUCGUAAUUUUCACUUUCUCACAGGUUUAUAUCUUAUUUUCACUAAUUUAUGGUUUUUUUUUUUUUAAACACCACUGAAAUUCACGCACACAACAAAGUCUCAGGUUUAGACUCGGAUAGAGGUGUCCAACCUAACCAUUGACAGAUGAGUUAGGCUUUCCAGACAAUUUAUGACAGUUUUUUAUAAGCUAAUUCAAUUACCUUGUAGUUUAAAGUUUAUAAAGUAUCAUUAUUUAUCUCAACAAUUUUACCCUUCAAUCUUAAUUGAAAAAAAGUAAAUAUUAAUUAAAUAUAUCAUUUCAUAUUUAUAAGUUAGUUCAACCGCUAAUUAUUUAAAACAUUACAAAUCCAACUAGCUAGUUUACUUGCUAUCAACUAUAAGAAGGCCGAUAAGUUAUCAUCUAUAAUUUCAUGACUGUUGCUUUUCUGACAUCUAAUAUGUCUUGGAAACACAAGUAAAUGACUAAAAAAUUCAACAUAGUUAACUGCUGUCGAUUUUCUAGUUAUAAGCCAGCAGUAGUUAACUACUGUUAGAGAUAUUUUAAUAUUUUACUUGUGUUUUUAGGAAGUUUAUGAUGUUAAAAAAACAAUCGUCUAAUUUCAUAUGAUAUAAGGUUUAUCGGUUCAGUAUUUGCUAUUUUACCAAACAAAAUCAAUAUAUGAAAUUGGAAGGGAUGAUAGCUUUAUUAAGUUGGAAAGUUUAGGUGAGAUAGACUCGAGAGUUAUCCAAAAUCAAGGUAUACCUUGAGACUUAACAAAUUCAUUUUUAACUAGUAUAACUUGUCCCGUGUGUAAUAUUUAUUUUUACAAUUUGUCUCGUGUUUAAUAAUUACUUUGGCUUUUUAUCAAUGACAAAUCUUCUAGAUGUAUGAUAACUAUUUUAAAGGUUUCAUCCUCAAAAUAAAAAUAAAGUUAAAAGGUUUUAUUUUAUAAAGGGUAAAUAUCUCUUUUCGUCCCUGUAAUAUUAGUGAAUUUUGGUUUUAGUCCCUGUAAAAAAAGGAUUUAGAUUUGGUCCCUGUAAUUUCAGAUUUUUCCACUUUUGGUCCCUCAUUCCACCACGUAAGCAGAAUCUGCAUACAUGGCACGUAAAAAUGAGGGACGAAAAGAGGUAUUUACCCUUUUAUAAAGCAAACUAUCGUUAUUUAUUUAGGAAAAGAAAUUUUUUUGACUGUUUUCCUUAAGUUUGUUGUCGUUUUCUUCUAAAAAAAAAAUAUUUUGUUAAAAAUCGAGAUGUUACAAUUUUUUUUUGUUUUGUAACACAGACUUUAGGACUAUCGGAAUGUACUCCCUCCGUCUCUAAAUUAUAGUCGUAUAAAGUUUAUGCACGAUUAUUAAGGAAAUGAUUAAUUGUAUUGAUUUCAAUGGUAAAAUUAACAUCAUUUACUAAGAUACUCUUAUUAACAUGUAGUUAGUGAAAUAGUUAAGUUGGAUGAAAUUUAAUAAAUAAGGAUAUAAUGAUGGAAAAAAUAAAUGAAUGUUGCAUUAGUAUUUGUAAAGCGACAAUUAUUUUGAUAAAAAGAAAAAAUGCGAGAUUAUUAUUGUGAGACGGAGGGAGUAAUCUGUAGCAUAUAAUUUAUGACACAAUUCACUUCAAAAUUACAUAAAUAUACGAGCGAUCAGUUUAGAGUUUAGUAGUAAGAGUUCGAUCAUCUAUAUAACUUUUAGACAAUUGUAAAGCAACGAUUAAUGUCACUUAAUAAAUUUUAGAAAUUACAUAUAAAUAGAAGAACAUAUACAUGUUUGUAAACUCUGCUACUGAUGUGUGAACAGAAAAUAAUAAUUAUUUCAUCAAAAAAGAAAAUAAUAAUUAUGACAAAAACAUUAAUUUAUGUUAAGAUACAUGUUUGUGACAAACUUUAACAUGUUUGAGAGGAUUGAUGAUGAGGUUACUAUUGCUUGGUACAGCACAACCAACUUUCUUCAAUUCUAGAAAAGUUUGUGUAGUGUCAGGAUCAAAGCCACCUGCAAACUGAAUGUCUUGAUGGGUGAUGAGUUGGAUAAAAAAGUAAAUGUCAAAUUCAGAAAGUUCUGAGGAAUGUUAUUGUACCUGAUGUACUCUGAAUGCAAACUUAACUCCUUGUAAUAAGAGGUUAUUAUUAUCUUCAUGCAAAGCUUCAUGAGAUUUUAUUUCUUUAGUUAUUCGUUUCAUGAAUUCCUUUGCUAGCCUCAGUGAACAUAGCUUUAUCUGCAAGUUAUUAACAUGAUAAAGCCUUUCAAUAGGUUUUUAUGGUAAAUAAUAAGAUACCCUUUUGAAACAUGUAUAUCAUAAAAGGUAUAGAUGAUUCUGAUGUUAUUGUAGUGAUACUAUCUAUAUUAUGUGACAUGCAUCAAACAAAAUCAUUCAAUUGUGUCAUGAACUAUGAUUAAUUUCAUUUUAUGGAUUGUUGGUUCAAUUGUAUACAAUAAAGAAUACAAUAAUAUUGGAAAAUGUAAGACCUCUAGACAAUUGCUUUUUUAACAUCUGAAACUUCCUAAAAACACAUAAAAUACUAAAAUGUCCUCAGCAGUAGUUAACUACCGCUGACUUAUAACUAGAAAACUGACGGUAGUUAACUACCGCUGGGCUUUUUAGUCUUUUUCAUGUGUUUCUAGAAAAUAUUCAAUGUCAGAACAACAGCCAUCAGACCUCUAACCUCAUCUAAAAAUUUAUAGUAUGAGAGUCUAUUCAUUUGGGUUAUCCACCAAUUUAUCCAUGCACCUAGCCCAAUAGUACUAGGUGUGAUGGAGUGUGUUGAAAAAAACCAAGUCACGCAUUGAAAAUAGAUAAACCAUUUAUUUGUUUUCGUGUUUGUACAUCAAUAUCCAUAUGUUUUUUGUGAAGCUACUACUCUCAACAGCUUCGUAAAAAUCAUGUCAAAUGGUCAAUGGGACGUGAUAAUUUUGGUCCAACUGCCAAACCAAACAACCACAAAGUUUUUAAGAGUGUCACUUCUCACCUUAUUAAUCAUAGAGAUGAGUUGGACCCAAUAGAAAAAAAAAAAAAUCAUAUUUUGUGAUUUCACAUAAGCUUGAGUUUAAGCAAAAUUAACCAAUUCAAAAUAUUUUUCUUCAUAAUCUUUAGGACACUAGACACAUAUAAAUGCAAGCAUUUUUUUUAAUGUUUUAUAGUGAUCUAUAAUGCAUAAACAAGGUAUGAAUUUCUUACCUGACCAACAAGGCCAGUGUCCAUCAUCCACUCCCAAGGGAUAUGAAAAUUCCUAUAUUUCUUACUUGAACUCUCCCUUAUCCUCUCUUUACUACUUACACUUCCCUCCAACCUGCAAAAUUUUAAAAGCAAAACUUUCAAUUAAUUCUAAGUAUUGCUCAAAAACUUUAGUUAAACUCAACUCUACAAUUUUUGUACAUGCUCGCCUGUCUUGUAAUGCUUGUAUCCUUUUCAGGGCCAUAGAAAUUGGCUCUUUUGGAUUAUCCUCAUAUGAUGAAACUUCUGAUUCAAGAUUCUUUAGUUCUCUAUAGUUACAAGCAGCUUCUCUUAAUGCAUCUACUUUUUGUUCUGGCCAUUGUGGAAAAUGCUUUAAGACUGAUCUUUCAUCUACCAGUGUUGAUAAUUCUCCAUCAAGCCAUUUGAUGAAUGUUUCCACCUCAGAUAUAUCUGCAUAUGAAGCUGAUUCUACUUGUUUGAUUAAGAAACUGAUGAAUUCUUUUUGGCUUUGAACUUCUGAUUUUAUCUGUCAAAAAAAUGUAUCAAGUAUCAAUAAAAGAGUGUUCAUUGUUUUAUAGUUAAAGCCUUGCUUGGAUUGGUUUCUUUGAGCUUAUCUAUUGGAAUAAGUACUUGUGAGAUUAUUUCGGAGAGCUUAUGGAAACAUCUUAUUACAUGUCCAUAAGUUAAUGGAUUUAAAUUGUUUUAUAUGAUUAAUACUUAUGCUAUAAGCAUUAGUUUAAACUGUUUAUCCAAACAGGCCUAAAGAUUUAACAUUAGAAAAUUUUGAAGCUAAAUAUGAGAAGUUUGGAACUAAACUUACAGCUGAAAGAUGUUUUGACCGAUUUUCGAUUUCCUCAAUCAUGUUUCUGGUGAAUGCUACUGCAGGAAUUCCAUUGUGAUGAGUUUUGUUUUCAAUGUUGGCAUCUUUUCGUGUAAGCGAACGAUACAAUUCGAUUACUUCUGGCACACGACGAACUGUUUUCAAACCGAUAGACGAUUUUGAUGGUGUUGGAGGUGGUGGAGGUGCUGCUGUUGGCUGCAUUUUCAUUCCCUUCUCAUUUUUAUGUGAAGGUGAAAAAAGAGUAGAAGCAGGUUUUGGAGGAGGAGUUGGUGGCAAAACUAUUGAUGACUUUUCCUUUCUAGGUGAAGUUGAUGAGUCUUGAAAAUCUUGAUUUUCUGAACUCUUUUCACACAUGAUUGCUUGAAGUGCAGGUUUAAGUGUAUGGUGUGAAUCUGAAUUGUUAUCAUCUAUGGAUUUUUGUAUCUUUUUCCAUAGUAUGGUUUUUCUCUCCAUAUUGUGUGCUUUGAGUGAAAUUAUCUGUGAUUUUAAACGAGAUACUUCUUCUUUAAGUUCUUGGUUUUCUUUCUGUAGUAACUCAUUUCUAGCCAUGUGAAUUUCAAGUCUUUUUUUGAAAGAUGUUGUGAUCUCAGACUCAUUCUCUACCUGCAACAUUUUCUCUCCUUUUUUCACUCUAUAACAUGGUUAUCAAUUUGAUAUCUUGUACACUGAUUUUUGUUAUAUAUUUGGUCUUGUUUUUGAAGUAAGGUUGGUAUGUCUUGGAGUUAAAUAUCCAAGAAUGCCCUCUAUGGUACUAAUAAAGGUAAAUCAUCAUUUAGAUUCUUAAAUAUGUGAGAUGCUUUUAUAAUUGUCUCUGAAUGUAUAUUUUGUUGGUUAGUUUAGUACUCGAAUAUGUCUUUUGUUAUUUGAUCCAUUAAAAUACUGAUAAAAAAUAUGUUUAGGGAUGUUUUAGUAAUUUUGAUAUAUUCAAAAAUAAUAGUGAUAGGGUCUCACAUAUUUCUAAAAAUGAAUGUUUACACUAUUAAUAGUGACCUUAUGGGCCUAUUGGGAACAAUGGUAUUGAUAGAGUAAUUUGGACAUUUCACAUAAAUUUAAUGCUAUUUGACAUGAAGAUUAAUUAUGAUGCCUUUGUAAGAAAAUUUAUAAGUGAUUGAAGAUUACUUUGGUUUGCUGGCAGCAAUAGUAUGUGAAAGCUGCCUUUAGAGUGUCAUGUUAGGUACAACAUUAAAUAUGUUGGUCAAAUUUAAUGCUAUUGUUUCUAGAUUAAUCUAUGUGAGGUGAGAGAUUUCUUGCUCUCUAAUUUGUUAUUAUGUCAAAACUUUUUUAGGUUAGUGGUACAUCUAUAGUGUAGAAGUUGUUUAAGUGAGGUUUUAGUUAGUAUAUAUGCUUGUCUCAUUUCUACUUUGAAUCUUGUUCCCUUUUCUUCAAUUGAAUUUGAUUUAGAAUUCAUAAGUUAUAGUACAUGUGAUGUGGUCCAAAAAAACUAGUCGGUAUACUGAAUGGUUGAAAGUCCUAACUUACCUAGAUGGAACUCUUUUUCAAUGUGUUUGGUUUCAAUGUGGAAAGUAUUAACAAUGACUUUAUUUUCCCCUUAUGUCAAACAUCAUUGUAGUUUUGUGUAAGGAUGAAAAUCAAUUCUUAGACAAGUUGAGAUAUUGCACAUGUGUUAUUUUUUUUAGAUUGAUUCUGAUAAAGCAUAUGUUUGUUUUCGCAGUAGAAAAUUGAUUGAGGUGUGUUAUCUUUUAAACUAGGGUUUGUAGCUUCAACGUAUAAUUUUUUUAUCUCACUUUAAAUAUCAUAACCAAACACAAAUAAUUUUUUUUUCAUAUUAUGAAAAUCAAUUCUAACACAAAGAAACUUAUUUUUUGAGUAAAAAGAAUUAAAUAUAAACUAAUUUGUUGCUCCUUCAAACACAAUAUAGCUUCAUUGUGAUAGUUGUCUUUCAUUUCACACUGAUUACACUUCUUGUAGUUGAGUGGCAUUUGGCUUAUUCUUUGCUUGUGAAACAAUGAAAAGAGUGGUAGGAAAAAUGUGUCUCAUUCAGUGAUGUUUAUUGAAGAGUAAAUAUUUUCAUAAUGACUACUACGUCAUACCAAACCAGAUUCUUAUGAUAUUUACAUUUUUAUAUUUUUUUUGUUUUAUUUUUUAAUUUAAUAUGUUGUUUCAAAGCCUCUUCUAAACUCUUUUAUUUUUCUUUCAUCCUACUCCUUCUAUAGUUGAACAUUACCACCCCUACACACCGAAAGUGUGAAUUUGAUGUAGAUUGGUUUUCUGUGACAUGUUGAGGCCUACUAUACUUUAGGUGAAGAACGUGACUAAAUUUUUCAAGUUUAAAGUGUUGUUCAAACUUUCAUAACAAAUCAUUUUUUCAUCUCUUGAAUCUUGAUUAAAUCUUGGUAUCCGACCUAAUAGUUGAUUAACUCGAAAGGUCUAAUCUAAUUGUUCAUUUGUGGAGGCCAUUUAAACACACACAAAAUUGAGAGGUUCUUAUAAUAUUUUAGACAUUCAUUCAAAAUUUCUAAUGAUACACAUGAAUCGACUUAAAAGCAGAGACCAAAAGUAGCAAUGUAAAACUUUUGGAGAACCAAAACUCUAAAAAAAAAAUUAAAGGGACUAAAAAGAAAAGAUAGAAUAUUAGUAGGGACCAAAAAAUGUUUAGCCCAAAAAUAAAAUAAUGUUAAUUGAAAGACAUUUUAAGAAUAACAUUGUUAAAUAAAGUAAAACUAACAUAACAAUUUAUAUACCAACAAUUGGUAUUUAAAAAAAUAUUAAGUAAAAAUAAUUAGUUUUCAACCUUUUUCAGAUGUAAUUUUAUUUUAGCAAUUUCUUUUUCCACACUACUUUAUUAUCACGCGUCCUACUGAAUUCUGAAAAUACCUCCGUUCGGAUUAUAUAGUCUGAAUGAUUUUUUGAAGGUUUUCAUAUUAUAAAAUUUGAAACCUCUAAAAAUCCAGAAAAAAUACAGAAUUUUGCACUGAUUCAUCCAAAACGUGUAAAUGUACAGUUUGAAAAAUACUAUCUGAAAACUCUAAUAAUAUUUCAUAUUACAUAUUCAGAAUUGUGUCAAACUCCCAAAAGACCAUUUCAAAGAUAAAUUACAGUGUAUGAUAAUGAAAUUUAACCAACAGGUUAACAAAAUCGCAAUGAGAAGACACAAAGCAGAAUUGAAUCAAAGAAAUUGAGAUGGAGGAAAGACCCAAUCCAAGAAGAAGACAGCAAAGAAAAUUGAAUGUAUUUUCUAUAGAAAGUGAAUAGAGAGAAAGAAAAAAAAAAAAAAAAAAAAAAAAGCUAGAAUGCAAAAGAAAGGGGAAAAAGAGAAAAUUGGAUUUUCUCAAGAAAAUGCAGCGGAAAAUAUCUUUUAAGGUGGAUACCAGAUUAGCUCUUAUACCAUGUUAUAAAACAUGAUAUACAUAGAAGGAACAAGAGAAAACUCAAAAAAUCUUUCUAUUUAUGAUAAAUGUAAAUGUUACAAAUGAUAAGAGAGACAUCUCAAAAAAGAGAAUAGAUGGACUAGUGAGUAAAUGAAAUAAUAGCAUAGUGGAUAUUUUUCCUUAAAAAAAAGCAUAGUGGAUAUUUUCUUAUUAAUCAAAGUUUUCCUUAAUCUGAACUUUGUUUUAGGAGACCUUAAUUUGUACUUAUAAAACUAUUUUGAAAGACAUGUAUUUUGAAGAGAGGGAGUAGGUGAUAAUGUAAGCAUUGAAUGCAGUUUGAACAAGUCAAAGACAAAGUGUGUUUGGUGGGGAAUGUAAUGUUAUGAGGGAAUUCAAAUAUUUUGCGGUGAAUUUUAUGUUUGGAUAAUAAUUUGAAGAAUUUUCAAAAUGAUGGGAAUUUAUGAAGUAUUUUGUUCAAGUUCAAUUUAAAGAAUUUCAAAUGACACCUCAAUUUAGGUGAAUUUCAAAUGAUUGAAAUUUGACCUCAAUUUUUUCAAAAUUUUCAAUUUGACCUCAAUAAAUUUCCAAAAAAUUAUAAAUUGACCCCUUAAAUUUUUCAAAAAUUAUAAUUUGACCCCUCAAAAAUUUUUAAAUUUACAAAUUGACCCCUAAUUUUAAUUUUCAAAUUUGGCCCAAAAUUUAUAAAAUUUAUAGAAAUUUUUUAUUACUCCACCCAAACAAAAGUAUUGAAAAAUGAAAGAAAUUUAAUCGAAUCAUUUAAAUUGCCUAAAAUUUAAAUUCUUUAAAAUUGUAUAAAAAUACUUGUACAAAUAUAAUUUCUUUAGACGUUAUUGAGGUUCACAUUAUUCAUCUAUGUAGCAACCAAUUUUGAUGUCUUUGAGACAAUUACAUAACAUGAGUACCAUUGAAACUCUCUUUUAAACUCUCUCUAACACUCACUAUUUUAUUUAAUGAGAUCGAUAUGUGUUCUACACUUUAAAAAUAGGUCAUACCUAAAUGGCGAAAAAAACUCGUGAGUUUCACAAAAUAAAAGAGUGAAUGUUGAAAAGAUAGUGUUCCAAAAACUUCUCAUUAAAUAACACCUUACAAAAUCUAAAUCAAAGUUAUUAUAGAGGCUCAAUCAAAACUCAUCCCAACAAUUGUACAAUCCAGUAGUAUCUAAUAAAUGUGUGAUGUAAAACUAGAUUGUUUAUUGGUGUUCAAGUAUGAAAACAAAGAAAAUGAGACAAAGAAAGUCAAUAAUGGACCCACAAUGAUAAAUUUGUGAUUGAAAAUCUGUGUCCUACAAACAUCCCAAUCUCCUAAUCCUAAUGGAACCUUGCAAGUUGCAUCAAUUAUUGAAUUUUGUAUAUACCAAUUACAUUUUUUCUCACCGUUCUUCUUUUUACUACAACACUUCUCAUAUUUUCAACUCUUUCUUUUCUGAAAAAAAAAUGGCUGAAGCUUUACUUGGUGUUGUGUUUGAAAAUCUACUAUCUCUUGUUCAAAAUGAAUUUGCAACCAUUUCUGGAAUCAAGUCCAAGGCUCUAAAGCUAUCAACCACCUUAGAUUUGAUCAAGGCCGUUCUUGAAGAUGCUGAGAAGAAACAAAUAACAGACCGCUCUAUAAAGGUAUGGCUUCAACAACUCAAAGAUGCAAUCUACAUACUAGAUGAUAUUCUUGAUGAGUGUUCCAUUCAAUCCACUCGACAAAAGGGCAUAUCUUCUUUUACAUUAAAGAAUAUCAUGUUUCGCCAUAAAAUUGGCACUAGGUUUAAAGAAAUUACAAACAGAUUCGAUGAUAUUGCUGAAAGUAAAAACAAGUUUCUUCUACAAGAAUGUGUUGCUGUUAGGGAAAGGUCAAUCAAUGUGGCUGAAUGGCGUCAAACUAGCUCUAUUAUUGCUGAACCAAAAGUAUAUGGUCGAGAAGAUGAUAAAGAGAAGAUUGUCGAGUUUCUUCUCACCCAAGCAAAGGGCUCUGACCUCCUUUCCAUCUAUCCAAUUGUUGGCUUAGGUGGUAUUGGGAAAACAACUCUUGCUCAAUUAGUUUAUAAUGAUCACCGGGUGAGUGACAAUUUUGAUACAAAAAUUUGGGUUUGUGUUUCUGAGGCUUUCUCUGUUAACAAAAUUUUGUGUACUAUUAUAGAAUCUUUUUCAAGAGAAAAGUGUGAUGCCUUAGAUUUAGAUGUUAUACAACGACAAGUGCAAGAAUUGUUGGAAGGUAAAAGAUAUUUGCUUGUUUUGGAUGAUGUGUGGAACAGAAAUCAAGAACUGGAAUUUGGAUUAAGCCAAGAGAAAUGGAAUAAGUUGAAAUCCGUGUUGUCAACUGGAUCCAAAGGUUCAUCCAUUUUAGUCUCCACUCGUGAUAAGGAUGUUGCUGAGAUCAUGGGAACAUGCCAAGCUCAUCAUUUGUCUGGUCUAUCUGAAUAUGAAUGUUGGUUGUUGUUCAAACAAUAUGCAUUUCGACAUGAUAGAGAGCAGCAGACUGAGCUUGUCACAAUAGGAAAAGAGAUAGUAAAGAAGUGUGGGGGAUUGCCUCUUGCAGCACAAGCAUUGGGAGGCCUAAUGUGCUCAAGGAGUGGAGAAAAAGAAUGGCUUGAAAUUAAAGAUAGCAGGAUUUGGUCUUUACCGAAUGAGAAUUCUAUUUUGCCUGCUUUAAGGUUGAGCUACUUUCAUUUAAACCCAACCUUAAAACAAUGUUUCACUUUUUGUGCCAUGUUUCCCAAAGAUAUAGAAAUCAUGAAGGGAGAUUUAAUUCAUCUCUGGAUCGCCAACGGAUUUAUAUCAUCAAGGGAAAAUUUAGAGGUAGAAGAUGUUGGAAAUAUGAUUUGGAAUGAAUUGUGCCAAAAGUCAUUUUUCCAAGAAAUCAAGAUGGUCGAUGAUUCAGGAGGCAUUUCUUUCAAGUUGCAUGAUCUUGUCCAUGAUCUUGCUCAAUCAAUUAUAGGAUCGGAGUGUUUGAUUUUGGACAAUACAAACAUAACUGACCUGUCAAGAAGCACACACCAUAUUGGUUUAGUAUCUGCAACACCGUCAUUAUUUGACAAGGGUGCUUUCACAAAAGUUGAAUCGUUGCGAACAUUGUUUCAGAUAGGUUUUUACACCACAAGAUUUUAUGAUUACUUCCCAACCUCUAUACGGGUUUUACGCACAAACUCUUCCAAUUUAUCAUCGCUAAGUAAUUUAAUUCAUUUGAGGUACUUGGAGCUGUUCGAUUUCCAUGACAUAAAAACCCUACCUGACUCAAUUUAUAGCUUGCGUAAUUUGGAAAUCUUGAAACUGAAACAUUUUUCUAAACUUCGUUGUCUACCGGAACACUUGACUUGCUUACAAAAUCUCAGACAUCUUGUUAUUGAAAAUUGUGAUGCAUUGUCCCGUGUGUUCCCUAACAUUGGUAAAUUAUCUUCCCUAAGAACAUUAAGUAAACACAUUGUCCGUUUAGAGAUUGGAUACAGCUUGGCAGAAUUACAUGAUCUAAAGCUAGGGGGAAAACUAAGCAUUACUUGCCUAGAAAAUGUUGGAAGUUUGUCUGAAGCUCGAGAAGCCAAUCUGAUAGAUAAAAAAGAACUUCAGGAAAUAUGCUUCUCAUGGAACAACAGGCGUAAAACCAAGACACCUGCUACUAGCACCGAGGAAAUACUUGAAGUGCUUCAACCUCACUCAAAUCUCAAGAUCUUGAAAAUACAUGGCUAUGACGGAUUGCACCUCCCAUGUUGGAUCCAAAUUCAAAGUAGUUUAGCUGUUCUUAGACUUUCUUAUUGCAAAAACUGUGUGCGGCUUCCAUCACUUGCUAAAUUACCAUCUCUCAAAAAACUCCAAUUAUGGUAUAUGGAUAAUGUGCAGUAUGUGGAUGAUGAAGAAUCAAGCGAUGGUGUGGAGGUUAGGGGUUUCCCAUCUCUGGAGGAGCUGCUUUUAGGUAAUUUACCUAACUUGGAACGGUUGUUGAAAGUGGAAACAGGGGAGAUUUUUCCCCGCCUUUCUAAGUUGGCCAUCGUUGGUUGCCCUAAACUUGGGUUGCCACACCUUUCAUCGUUUAAAGAACUCAUUGUAGAUGGAUGUAACAAUGAGUUGCUGGAGUCAAUCUCUAGUUUCUACGGCCUAACUACCCUUGAGAUUAAUAGAGGUGAAGAUGUGACAUAUUUUCCAAAAGGGAUGUUGAAAAACCUGACCUGUCUUCGAACUUUGGAAAUAUCUGAUUUCCCAAAAGUGAAAGCAUUGCCAAGUGAAGCCUUCAACCUAGCUUUGGAGCAUCUUGGUAUCCAUCACUGUUGUGAGCUUGACUCAUUACCAGAACAACUUUUUGAAGGUCUACGAUCCCUUCGAACCAUGGAGAUUGCUUUCUGUGAAAGAUUGAGAUGCUUGCCAGAAGGUAUUCGCCACCUCACAUCACUUGAGGUUCUGACAGUUUAUGGUUGCCCAGCUGUAGCAGAGCGAUGUAAGGAAGAAAUAGGAGAGGACUGGGACAUGAUAGAACACAUUCCAAAAUUAUCUAUUAAUUAGAUUGAAGAAGAAGAAACUUUUGACCAACAUUGAUUCCAUUACAAUAUGCCAAAUAAUAUAGAAUCAUUUGUAUAUUAAGACCAUGUAUAUUCCAAUCACUGCAAUAUUCCAAAUAAUAUAGUUGAUGGCUACUUUGGGAGUGCGACAAGUUUUUAAAAUGACAAUUGGUUUUCUUUUUCAAACAUUAUCGUUAUUAAUUACCUUAUUUGCUAAUUCUGAACUAUAGUUUCUAUAAUGUCAGGUGCUGGUUAUGUUAGACAUUAGUAAGGGAACAUUAAGUUCACUAUAAAUACAAUUUUUAUACAACAAGAUCAGAUGAAAUUUUCAUGAAAGGGUUAACUUGAGAAUAACCGUACAAUCUAAUUACAUCAUAAAUAUAUACAUGAAAAUAGAGAAUAUUUACAUUUACAUAGAAGAAAAUAAAGGAAAUAACAUCUCAAUAAAUAUAAAUGAAGUAUUUUAAUGAUUGUGUCAUAUCUCAGUAGCUACAUUUCAACAAAAGUACAAGUAUAUAUAUUCUACUUUUUGAAACACUUUUUGAAUUACAUUCUUAGAUACAGAAUCAAAGACUCUUUAGAGAUCAAUGAUGAAAAACCUAGAACCUAAUGAUCUUGAUCAUUGGCUAGUAGAAGUCAUUGUUAAUGUUUAUGACCAACAUUUACAAACUAAAUCUAUUCUUUUCUAUGCAAAUAUCUCAGUAUAAGGUUAGAGUUAUACAUGGUAAACCAUACCGACUUCUAGCAAAGAAGUAUGAACUACUUCCAACAUAAUAUCAGGUUCUCUGCAAUUUUUGCUUAGAAAAGCAUAAACAACAUCUAUUCCAAAUUUCUUUAAAAUGGAAGAUGAUUUUUUUGCCUCUGCAUAGGAAUGCCCAACUAUAUAAGUAAUACCUGAUUCUUUGGCUUUUAAAAUCUGCAAUGACUCGACUUUAUAGGACUCGUCUUGAAGUUGUUGGCCGUCACAUGAAAAUGCUAAAGAAUUCUUUUCAGAAUGUGACCAAUUCAAUUUCAAAGUGUGUUGUGAAGCACCAAGAUCUUCCGCAUUUAAGUUUCUUCCAUCAUCUAUAGUCAAUUCAUUUGUUUGUUCUUGAACACAGUCUUCUGAUUCUAUAAACUGUAUUAUUGCAGAUACCAAUUUAUUAUCAAAAUUGUAAUUCUCUUGUUGUAUGUCUUUGUAACCGUAUCGGACAAUGCACCGAAACAUGUAGAACUCCUUCGGACCAAUCCUGCUGAUGACUAAUCUUUCACUUUCACUGACAUAAGGAACUUGAACUGAUUUAGCACAUACAAAAACUAACACCUGAUGGAAUGCUGGUAAAUUUGUAAUAAAAUGACCAAAAAUAGCCGGGAUACCGGAAGCAAGAUUAGUGAAAAUGAGACCGAUUCCUGGGACACGGACCAUGCCUAAACAAGGUCCUAAUGAUAACAUCUUGCUCAUCGAGACCUUGUUUUCAACAUCAAAUUUGUGUUUCUUCAUUGUUCCAUAAUUCCAUGUGAACAUUAUGGCCAUAAAAAUGAAAGAGAGCGAAAUUGGGAUCCAUCCUCCUUCAGGGAUUUUGCAGACAGAAGCUGAGAUGUAAAGAAGUUCAAUAGAUCCAAACAAUAGGAAACAUGUAAGUGCUUUUAUUAUCCCUUGUUUCCAAACAAUUAUAAUUAUUAGCGUCAUCAAACAUGUUGUCACAAACAUAACAGUGGUGAUAGCCAACCCUGGAAACCAAGAAAAAUAGUUUAAAUUUAGUUUUCAAUACUUCAAGUAUCAUAUAAUAAGUAAACUUAAGAGUAAACAGUCAUUUUCCCUAAAUGUAUGAAGCUUAAUCACAAUAGCAACGAUUGUAUCCGAAUUACAAAAUUAUCCCUAAAGCGUCUUUUGUCUGUAAUUUUAUGGACCAAAUUGACUACUUGAUGAUAGAUUCUAGAACUAUACUAAUUAAUGGAAGAUACAUUUGAUGAUGAAACGGACUAAUGAAAGACAAGUUUAUGUAGUUUUUUAUUUUAUUUUUAUAAUUUGAUACAUUAGAGACUAUUGUGACAUCGCCUCACAUAUUUUAGGAUAAAAAUGAUUGAUUAAUCUAAACACAAUGGAAAAGGAUAUCAUACCAUAUGCAUGACCCAUCAUGUUUGUAUCCCUAAGGCCAAUUGUGACAGCUAAACAAAGGCACAUUAAUAUCCAAUUGACUUCUGGAACAUAAAUCUGUCCAUAUAUUUUGCUAGAAGUAUGAACAAUCUUGACUCGAGGAAAACAAUUUAAUGCACAGCAUUGGCUUAUGAUGGAAAAAGUUGCAGAAAUCACUGCUUGACUUCCUACAACAGCAGCAAAAGUGGCCACUAUAAAAACUGGCCAAAAUACAGCUUCUGCAGAAAAAUAGUAGCACUGUUACCCUAGAGUUAUCAUAAAUAAUAUCGAUAUAUUUGUGGUUUAUUAAAGUGAAUUCUUGCCUGGUAUGGCUUUGUAGAAACUUCUCUCAAUGUCAUAAUGGUGCUUAGAGAGAAAUGCAGCCUCACCCAUAUAUGCCAAAAUCAGGCAGGGAUAUACUAAACAUGUGAAAGCUAUCUGAGAUUUACGUGUAACUGUUAAAUCAGAUUUCAUUUUUGUAUGCUAAACUAAUAUACUUGUGAUCAAUAUUGUUAAUUAUUGUAUACUUUUAAUUUACCUUUAUUGAGAGUGCAGAAAAAUGACCCAUGUCAGCAUACAUUGUCUCCACACCUGCGACAGUAUCACGUAGGAAAAUUAAUCUCAUAGCUCUUUAGCUGCAAGAGAAAUGAUAUUUUGUACAACCAAAUUUAGACAAUUUUUGUGACUUUUUUUAAGUGUUCAAAUAGGUGAUUAAUUACGUUUAGUAUAUGAUUAAUAGAUAUAUCAGGUGUCAAAACUUAUUAACCACCAACAUAACUUCAUCAACCACAAAUUUGGAAGUGGUUAGCCAUAAUUUUCAGUUAAGUACAUACAAAUUUAUGGUUAAUGCUGUUACAUUGAUAGUCAAUGAGUUUUCACAUAUAGUAUAUCCAUGAACCACCUACUGAACGCAAUUAACCACUUAUUUGAAGUGUGUUAACCACUUAAAAAGUUGUUGCGAAAAUUGUCUGAAUUUGGUUGUUCAAAUAACACAAGCUAGACAACUGUAAUAAAAUUGACUAACUUAUAUUACCUGUUAUCGAAAGCACAACUCCACUUAAUGACAACCAUCCUUCGAUGCCAGUGGUUUUGAGAAACCUAAACAUAUAGACUGGAGAAAGUGCACGAUAUACUUGUCGGUUCCAUUGGAAAAUAUUGUAUAUACCAAUACCACUGAUACACAAAAGCCAUGCUGCAACAACUGGGGCAAACAUGAAGGCAACUCUAUGUGUUCCAUGAUGCUGAAUGGAGAAAAGGCCAACUAAAAUGAUACAUGAGACUAUAACAACAUAAUCUGCGCAAUACAUAGUGUAGAGUUUCAAAAUUAUGCAUUGAAUAGACAUAAUGGUAAUGAUCGAAGUUCGGUUGGCUUACUGUCAUGGAGUUGGUUGAUCUUAACUUGAACUCCUGAAACUGCUGAAAAUACUGAAAUGAGACAUGAGAAGGAUGGUCAUAGAUCGAAAAGGAUAAACAGUACAAUUAUUUAUUCUCUGUAAACACCGAAAUACUAUAAUGAUCAACUCUUGAAUCAGUAUAUUCUCUGUAAACAGUACAGUUAUUUAUUCUGAAAUGUACUUUUGUCUAAUCACAUUAAUGAUGAAUAAUGAAUUCUAGCAAUUAGUAAUCAGCUAAAGCUAUAAUUUAAGGAAUGCAUGUGUGUAUCUGUGACAUUGCCAAUGUUGUAUAACAUAGUUCAUUUUGGUUCAAAUAUUAUGUUUAGUCCCUGCAAAAUCAAAUGUUGUCAGUUCAAAUAUUAUGUUUAAAAAAGCUGAUGUUGUGGACCGAGGUACACACCAUCAUUUCCAUGUAGAUGACAAUGCCACAUGUCAACACCACAUUGGAUGAUAGUGACAUAUAGCAUGGCCACACGAAGCUGAUAUGCCAUGUCUAACUCCUCGUUUUUACUGACGUGUUCUAUUAGUGUUUGAUGUGUGUCACUAUUAUCCAAUGUGGUGUUGAAACAUGACAUAGUCAUCCUACAUGGGAAGGAUGUCAUUUAGUCGUAUUUGCCACAUCAGAUAUUUUAAAUAGAAAGUUGACACUACGGACAAAAAACAAAUACAUGAUUCUGUAAGGAUGAAAAGAAAGAGAAAGAAAAAAAAAAGGUAUUUAUAGGGACUAAAACCAAAAUUUGCUCUAUUUAUGGGGACAGAACACAUAUUCAAACCAUUCUGUUUUUUAUAAGACCAAACUCCCUUUUACUUGUACAACAAGUAACCCAUAGAUUAACAGAAGGGAUGCUCCUGAUCAAAGUACCUGAUAUUGCAGGAGUAAUCACACCAUCACCAAUUGUCAUGCAAGUUCCCAACAAAACAAAGAUUAACAGUCCUUUCUGGAAUCUAGGAUGCUUUUCAAAGAACAGCUUCAAAAGAGAAGAUUGCCAUGUAUCGGCAGAAUCUUCUGUUGAAUAAGCAGAUAAAGUCUCAUCUGUUGGUUGCUGAUUAGGCAAAAUGCUUAGUCUUGCAUGUCUGCAGAGAAGUGAGUAUAAUGCAAAUGUGCCUCCUGCAGUAAAAUAAGGAACAUAAGAAAGAAAUUCUUAGAUGCUCAUGAACCAAAGAGAUUGAUCUUGAUUUCUACCAAUGGUUUCUUAUAUAACAAAAUUAUAACAAUGUGUUCCCUUUUUAUUUUUUGUUUUAAAAUAGUCCCUUAUUUUACAAAUGUUACAUUAAAUUUAUCCAUUUUAAAUUUUAAAACUAUCCAUUAUUGUCCCAUAAGUCCUAGCUCAACCGGUGAAAAUGCCGAAAUUGUUAGGCCGGACAUCAUGAUCGAGAUUCGAACCCCGGCACCUCCACUUUGUGUGUGUGAGUUUACGAUGGCUUUACCAUUUCUUCUAUCUACCAAAAAAAAAACUACUCAUUAUUUUGUAAAAGCUAUACCAAGGUGGUCCUCUCUGUAAAACAAAGAACAAUUUCAUUACCAAAAAUACCAAAAGAAAAUUGAAAUCUAAAAUAAAGAUAAGGAACCAAAAUUAUUUAGUCUAAAAUUAAUCUUCAAAUAUUUAUCUGUUAAUUAAGUAAUCAUAGUAGACAUCAUGACAGAGAAGGAAAAUUAUGGCUCAAAAUAAUUAUAUAAAGUCAAAAAGAACAAAUAACAGAAUAUACAAUGCUUCUGAGUUCUGUCAUCAUUUUAUUCAUUUGGUAAAGCCAAAAAAACAUCCAAAUAUCCUUUAUGGGAGUUUUGGCUGAAUAAUAAUGUGAUUAUAAAAAUAAUUGAGUUGACUUAAUCAACUUAAAAGCCAAAGGAACUGAAAAGAUACACACCAAAAGUACCAACAUCAAUGAUUGAAGAUUGUACCUUCUCCAUUAUCAUCAGCAGACAUGACAAUGAAAACAUAUUUGAAGAGAGCAAUAAUAGUAAAUGUCCAAAAGAUAAAUGAAAGCACUCCAAAAAUUUCUUCAUCAUCUUCUUUAAGGCUCAAUUUCCCUGAGAAUGAGGUCUUGUAUACAUAAAGAGGAGAAGUACUUAGGUCACCAUAAACUACUCCAAGACUUUGGUAUGCUAGAGUCAGCACAUUUAAACAAGAUGUCCUCUUUAAAUUCUGAUACAUGAAAUGAAACCAAGCAUAAGCUUUUAUAUGACAAAUUUCAUAUAUGAAAUGCAAAAAAAUGAGUACCUGGUGAGAUAUUCCUUGUUCUACAAUUUGCUCAGAAGGAUUCAUUGUUGAAACAUAUAUAGAAAAUGAGGUAAGUUAUGAAGAGAAUGAUGAGAUAGAGAAAUAUAUAGAAAAUGAGUAAUGGAAGAAGUGAAGUAGUAACAAGGCAAGUGGUGUGUGUGUCCAAAGAAGUUAUAAAAUGCAUUCAAUGCUCUUUUAACUUUCUUUUGUUGGACUUCAUUAACCAACCUAACACCUUCCCCUUACUAGUGGUAAACAACUUUUUCUUAACUAUUUCUUUCUGUUCAAAUAGUAUUUUUUCAAAACUAAUGUACAGUGUUGAAUUGAAUUUGGAUAAAGUAGAUGUUACUGAUUUCAAUUAUAAGUAACUUAUUGUCAUAUGAGUAGAGAUAUAAACGAUGAUUUAUAUAUUUUCAGAUUUUAAGUUUUUAAAAAAUAAAACUGUUUUUCCCUUUAUGUCCUUUGUGCAUAAGAUUGAUUUUUCUAUUUUUGUUUCAAUUUUCGAGUUUUACAUGGAAAGUAGUCGGAAUUAGGUCAAAAACUAAAUAAAGUCGGACUAAAAAUUAUUCCCGCUAACAAUUGAACUCGAAUUCUCUUAAUUCAUCCUUAACUAAAACUCAUUUAAUACUUGAACCAAAUUCCCAGGACUUUAAACAAUGGAUUGGAAGUCAACAAUGGGCCAUGUUGUUUGGUACUCAUUUAUAUUGUGUGAUUUGGUAAAUACCUCUUUCCUUAUUCAUGUGUCAAGUAAUUAGUCUCUAAAAGCAAACCGUUCCUUAAAAUGGUCACUGAAACAGGAUUGGAAAAAAGUUUUCAUAAAAAAUUGCAAACAUAAAAAGAAAAUCCGAGCAUAAAGGGCUAGGAUUCUAACCCUGAAAAUGAUGUGAAUUUGUCUCCUUGUCGUCUAACAAUACAAAUUUCAAACCCCCACGGUACAUUUGUAAAAUAGUUGUAAAAUAAUUAUUAAUGUCACUUUAAUUAAUAAAAAUAUACAUUUCUCAAUUUUUUUAAAUGUCUUAAAUUGAAAUAUUAUGUUAAAAUUUAAUACGAUGCACUAAAAAAUUUCAUAAAAAUGAAAAUAUUAAAUAAUAUCGAACAUUUUUUUUCCUCAAACAUGAUUGAUCACCAUCUUAUUAUAUUACAAAAGUGGGACAUAUUGGUAGCUAAAUAUAAACAUUGCACUAUAUGAAUGUCUGGUUUUCAUUGACCUUUAUUACAUCCAAUUGAGGAAAGAACCAAAUUUUCCACCAAACAAAGGUAUGUGAUUGAAGCCUUUUUUCUUUCUUUAAUUUCAUAAUCCUAUGCAAAGUUCCUUCCACAAUGGAAAUUCACUUAGGGCACCAUGUUUUAUUUAAAGAACAAAGUAUGGUGAACCUGAAUUAGGCACCCAUAGUAUGGUGUUAAUUAAUAAAUUACCAAACAAUAAAGAUACUAUGAAGACUUCAUAGUAUUACAUUACUUUGUCUUGCAAAUUGUAUACUUCUUUUUAGGUAGUUGAUGUUCCCAUCUUUGUGUGGGUUAAUUAUAAUAUUGACGGUUCAACAAUAAUAAAAAUAAUUAAAUAUGUAAUCCACUAUACAACCAAACUGCGGGUGAGUUAAAAAUAGUUUUUAGAAGAUCAAAUAUCACUUAUGUUAAUCUUUCUCUCACUCACGUGCAAUUCACAUGCUACUUAAUCUAAUCCCAAUCCAUGAUACACUUUAUUAUAUAUUUACUUCAGAUGUGUUAUGAAGUCGUAAUAGGAUAAUGUUUGUAUUCGAUUAAUACUUUUACACUAUGUUUAUUUUUAAGAAAAGAUCAUGAGGAGGAGAGAAAGUUGAGGGAAAGAAGCGGUUUUUAUUAUUUGGAAAACUCUGAAAAGGUUAAGGAAAGAAAGAAUUAGCUUAUUAAAAAGUUUUCCUCACAAAAAUGGAUAGAAAGGUUGAAAAACAUCCUCAUAGCUCAGUUGGUAGGGAUAUUGCAUAUUAUAUGCAGGGGUCGGGAUUUCAACCUCAGACACUUCACUUCUCCACGAUUAAAUUGUGUAAGCUCUAGCCGCUAGGUUACUUGACAAAAAAAAAAAAAAAAAGUUGAGAAACACUCAUAUUUAUUUUUUAUUUUUCAAUUUACCAUCUUAUUUUUUAUUGUCUCACAAUUGCAUUGCUCCAAUGCUCACUACUACACUUUCUUUUUCCAUGGAUAUUGUAUGUAGACAGAAAAGUAUGCUUAUAUUGUUAUAAUAUUUAUUUAUUUGUGUGUGUAUAUAUAUGAAUAACUUUUCAGGUAUUUAUGUCAAUUAUUAAAUAUAGAUUUUUCUUUCCUCUAACACUUUCUCUUCUUAUACUAAACAACUAAAAUAAUUCCUUACUUUCUACUCUUUUUCUUUCUUCAUGUAAUCUUUCCUUUCACUUUCAUUCUCCAACCAAAUAAAGCCUUAGUUUUUUAGUUUUAAAUUGAUUUUUUAUCUGUAAAAAUGUGCACCACGUUAAAUUGGUUUUUAGUUUUAAGUCAUAAAAUAUAUGCAUCAUUGCGUUAUUUCCAUCAAAUCAAGUUAAAAAACUGCAUACGUUGUGCUUAUUGUUGAGUUGGUGUAUUCAAAUGUGAGUAGUCAAUACAUGUGUUCAAAUACAAGGAGGCUCAUUAAUCUCUAAUCCUCGUCGAAGGCGCACCACAUCAUACCUCAUGCACGCCUCACCGCACAGGUGUGUUGGAUCAAUCUCUAACGACUUCAUAACAUGCCAGGUUUAUAAGAGACAACUACAACAUCCCCAAUUAUAUAAGUGUGGCUUCACGCCACACCGAAGCUGCAUUCAUAUUUUUACCAUAUUUCUACUCAUUUUUUCUUUCUUAGUCACAUAGUGACUUAGCGUCGGAGUAUUAACAUGUUUUAUAAGUUCCGUUCACUUCAUCAAAGAAUCCCCUGCAUCAUAUCGAAGAACAUCUUUUAUCUCAUCGAAAAUUGUCUUGUACAAGCACAAACACCAAUUACUUGCACAAUCUUUUCGUUGUGGAAAAAAUUAUAGUUCUUGUGAAUAAUUUUGAAACCUAGUGAUUCAUAAGGUUAUCCACUCUCAAUCAAGUCUCAACAACCAAAUUAUUGAUUUUCUCCUUUUAAAUGUAAGUCUAACCGUACAUCAAUUAUGGCUCGUACAUUGCAUGUUUGAAGAGUAAGAGAUGAGAUUUUUUUUUUUUUAUUUGGAAUGUGAGAGUUUCAACUUUCAAUUAUGAAAUUCCAUAAUUUAAAAUUUUGAGAAAAAAAAAUCAAAAAAUAGAAUAAGAGUAUCUAAGUGAUUUGACACAAUUGAUUGUGUUUUACCUAAGAUGGAAGUAUUCAGAGUGAUAAUUGAAACAAUUCUUAACCCUUUUUACGUACUCUCUAACCGAAAUUCAAAUUAAUCAAGUCUUAGCUUUUCAAUAGAAAUUGAAGGAUUACAACAAAAAAAUGAAAAUUAGAAAAGAUAAUUUUAAGAAAAAAACUUAUAACCCUUCGAAAAAUAAAAACUAUAAACUCAUAAGUGUUUGAUUUCUUGCUCAUGCAAACAUAACCAUAUAGGAUAAACAAAUAGAAAUGGUAAAUAUCUAAUGGUAACAUUUUUCUUUCCGGCAACUACACUGAGAGCAUCAAUAUCAAGACUUUAGCACAUAAGAAGCAUCCAACUCAAAAGAUUCGUCUAAUCAUCCAUAAUGCGAGAGUCUUUUAACUUAAGUAUCACAUUAAAUAUUUUUAUUUACUCAAUAUAAAACUCCUAUUAUAUUUAUGUUCGGAAAUAAUUUGAUGCAAACGGUAUUAAAUUGAAUGAAAAAGAACGAUGAUCGACGCCGACGAACCACUCACCAAUGGAACCGGCUAUGCCCCUGACUUUUCUCAAGAAACGAAUUAAAUGAAGGAACAAGUAAAAUUUGAACUCAAUGAAAUAGAAUUUUAAUUCAAUAAAAUAACAUUUUAAUUCUCCAUAGAAUCCUAAGGAAAAAUGAUGCACAUGUAUAAAUUUUGUGUAAAAAUAAAAUUAUUAAUUCUUCAUUUAAUGACAAAUUUACAGUAACUUUUCUUUGAAGGAAAAUUUACAGUAACUUAAAAUGUAGGAUAUAAUAUAAUGCAUAGCCAACUUCAAUAAAUGUAUCUCUCAAAAAAAAAAAACUUCAAUAAAUGUAUCAUCAUCCAUAGUUAAAUACAUAUUUGUUCCUUUUUUUUGAAUGAAUUGUUCCUAUGAGUAUGACCAAGAUUAAAAUGGACCAUCCUUUUUCUAGACCAUCCUUUUUCUAGAGAUGAUAUGAGGUCCUCCUUUUUUUUUAACCAAAACAAAGUUAACUAUUAUCAUUAAUCAAUCAAUGUUCAAUAUAAGAAGGAUAAGAAUAAAAAAUACGGUGACUAACCCAAAAACAGACCGCCUUAGCUAAAAUAUGAACAACCAUGUUCGCUUGUCUUCUAACAAAUUUCACCUCAAAAUUAAAAUAUAAAGAUAACUGAUAAAUAAUACUAAAAACAAUAGCAUCAUACGAGGUCCUCCUAAGUUGGCAAAAAUUGUGAAAUGAAAAGGGAUAUAGGUAGAAACAAUUGUUGGGUCAACAAAUGUUAGAGACAACUGUAUGGAAGGUAUGCUUUCUACAUCACACAUUAAUGAUUGGUCCCUCCUUCAAUUCCUUUCAUUCAAUCAGCUCUAUAUACCUUCAAAAAUCAAAAGAUGGUGCACGAGUGAAGUUGACUAGACCUUUCAACUUUAUCCAAAAGAAGAGACAAUAGUCAUGCUUUUGAUGCAGCCUUCUGCCCAUAAAACCAUACCAUAUUUCCUACUCACUAUAUAGAUUCAAGUUGAAGUAUUUUUUCAAUAAUCAAAUCUCUAACCGUUAGAAAGAUAAUUCUCAUAAUAUUUGGAUGGAUAUUUUUCAUAAAAGUUGGAUAUGCACGUGUUAAAGGAACUAAAAAUAGUAAUUUAUAUUAAAAAAGAACAAUUAUUUAUUAAAAAGUUUCAGAGUAUUUAAUAUAAAAUGCACAAGUUCCGAUACAAUCUUACUAUUUUAAACUUUUUAACAUGUGCAAAUAGAAAAACCCAUUUUAAAAGAGCAAUGAUAUUUGUACAUCCAUUCCAUGACAAUUUUAGUGACAACUUUGUUUUUCUCUCUUCUUAUUGGUCAAAAACAAUGGAGAGAGAAAAAGGAAGAGAGAUGAUAAGACCAUCAUGUGAGUAUGAGAGAGAAAGUUGUACAAAAGUUGUCACAAAUUGGUUGUACAAAUAUCAUUUCUCAUUUUAAAAUAACUAUGACACAUGGAAAGAGUUGUCGUUAGUAAAAAAUCCAACAAUAUUUAUUAGGGUUAAUUAAGUUUUUGGUCCCUAUAAAUAUUUGAAGUUUCGUUUUUAGUCCCUAUAAAAAUAAAUCACAUUUUUUAGUCCCUACAAAAUUUUAUGUUAUAGCAUGGGAGAAAAUAAUUAUAAAACAUGGGAGAAGUUGUCCAUGGUUAAAAUUUUAAAAUAUUUAUUAUAAACGGGAAAAGUUGUCGCUGAUAGAAAUUUCAAAAUAGCUAUUAUAUAGAUAGGAUAAAAUGUCAUUGAUACAAAUUUUAAAAUAAAUGUCAUACACCAAAGAAGUGUUCAUUAUAAAAAUAUUAUUAUACAUAAGACAAGUUAUCGCUGAGUUAUCUUGAAAUAAUUAUUAUGCAUCGGAUAAGAUAUGGCUGAUACUAAUAUUCAUUGAAUUAACAUUUAUUUUUCACAACUUUUAUAUAUAUAUUGCAUGAGAAUGAGUAACUUAUGUGAGAAUGGUGAGAAUAAAUUGCAGUCAUCGGAUUAGAAGCAAUGGAUUAGAUUAAAACAUCACUUAAGUGACUCAUGUGCCAAGCAUGCGACCAUUCUCUUCCUCUUUUCCAUCAUUCACGCGUCCCUUAUUUUUCUUCUCCCUCUCUCCUGGGUUUGCGGUUCCAAAUUCCUUGACAUCUUUUGAUUAUUUCAUUUUUUUUUAACCUUGAAUUGUUAAAAAGAUGAACCUUAAAAAGAUUAAGGGAACAAGAACACAUGAAGGAACUCUUACUCUCCCAAAUUGAUAUUAUUAUUUUAAUUGAUAAAAUUUCACGAUUAUUUUUUCUAAUUAACCAAUUCACCUUCAUUCAUAUAUAAUAUGAUUUGUAACUCCAGUAUUACAGAUUUUAGAAGGGUUUUCUAUUGAAUUUGAGUCUGAAUCCAGAAACUUCAAUAACAUAUACGAUGCUCUCCUUGUGCCUGAACUGGUGGGGACGCUGCAAACGUGGUGGACAGUGAAGGCUGCGGGUUUCGUGUUAAUGAGGAUUGGCGUUGCCGGAAAAGAUGGUUGAAGUUGAAGAUGAAGGGAAGAAGAAAUUGUUGCAGCGUAUAAAGGAAGAAGAAGGGUUAACCAAAAAGUUGGAACGCAUGAGUGAAACUAAUGAGAAUGGCACAUGCUUGGCACAUGGGUCACUUAAGUGGUGUUUUAAUUUAAUCUAUUGCUUUUAAUCCGAUGGCUGCAAUUUAUUCUCAUCAUUCUCACAUAAGUUACACAUUUUCAUGUGAUAUGUCCCCUAUAAUAUAUAUAUAUAUAUAUAUUAUAGAUUGUUUGAGAAAGUUACACAUUCUUGAAGGAUUGUUUGAGAAAGUUACUGCUGAUGAUGUUGUUAAGAUCAAUCUUGGUUAUUGUUCUGUGGGAAACCGAAUUGGAAAAGAGUCUUAUGGAGAAACUUGAUAGGAAGAACAAAAGGAGAUGGAAGAGUGAGAGUCAUAGACUCAUAUAUAGUUAUUAACGUGGGAGAGAGAAUGAAAGAGAGUCACGUGCUAUGUAUUAAAUUAAAAUCUAAUCAAAACCGUAUAUUUAAUCUAAAGGCUGAUGUUUCAUCCUCUCACCCUCUCAUUUAAAAACUCCUCUCAACACCCUAUAUAUAUAUAUAUAAACUGAAAUAAAUCAUCUCCACCAAAGGUUGCUGCACGGGUAUCUUACUAGUUUUAAGGAUAAAACCUUUAACGUAACGACUAGAAAAGUUGCGGAAAAAUUCAACCAUAAAUAAACAACUGAAUUUUGAUAUACAAAGUGGAAUUUCUCAAAACAAUAGUGCUAUAAAUCGUGACAACCAUUCUUGCGAAUAUAUCACGAGCAACCAUUUCAUAUAAUUUUUUUUAAAGUCUUAGUUUUCUUUUUUAACCUUCUCUGCAGUAUAAGAUGGACUUGAAUCGGUACAUCAAAAUGUUGUUGUUUCAAAUACAGACGCCAUGAUUUAUGAAAUUAUAGAAAUUCUAACUCCAAACUGAAAUUUUGAAAAUUUGGAUGAUAAUUUGUCUAUAGAAGAAACAAAAAAAAAGGAUCAAAUGACAUAUAGAGGAAACAAUGUUAGCAUUUCAUGUAUUUUGUAAAUUUUGAUGUUUAAUUCAAUCUGCCCUGAAUUGGUUCAUCUUUUUUUUUUUUUUUUUGAAGGAUGGUUCAUCUUUAUUAUUUGAUAUUUGAGUAUGUCAUAUAUUUUGUAAAUUAUAGGAAGAAGAAGUAGAAAUCAUAGAUGAAAUGUAACGAUGCGACAAAGUUAGCUUAAAUGCAAUGACUAUAUUCCGGUAUAAAUGAUCCUAAAAUUUAUACCACUAAAGUAGUCUCACAUGACUAACACCCACAAAUAAAUCCUUUGGAUCCGUGGUUUCAACAUUGUGGAUCACCACUUGUGAUUCCAACAUUAUGAAAGUCACCUCGAUAUGCAUUCGUGAACAUAUAUUUUCAACCAAAACAUACAUGUAAAUCCAAAGAAUUUAACAUGAUAUCCAACAAUCAAUAAUUUUAUAACCGAGAAUAAGUAAGACAGAUAAUUUCACAACGCACAUGUCAAUUGACAAUACAUCCAUCUUGUACAUCCAUCCUUUGGUCUGCAGCGUUGAGCCUCUCCUUGGCUAAUUUUGCAGGUAGUAUGUGAGUUUCCCUCGUUGACGAGAUCGUGGUGGCCCACAUUCAGCUUUGAGUCUCCUUCACAACAUGAUUUGUUGACACGAUCUUUGAUGCGCAGCUCCACUGGAUACUUGUUUCUUCUCUUGUCCUUCUUUGUGGUUAAAUGGCACUACAAACACGAAACAAGGGUAUUAAUCAUCAUUGUCCAUUUCCACUUAGUCUUGACUCAAUCUGCGAUCCUUGCGACCACAUACUCGGUUAGUGGGCUCGAGAAAGAAUUAGCUUCCUUUGCACGGUUUUUCCAGAAUUCUCCUAACCUUUAGUCGGUUGGCGUUUCCAUCAACUAAAGUUUUUGGGUGAUAAAAUCUUAACCUCAAGUUACCACAUCAAAUUAUCAAAAAAAUUGGGUGAUGAAAUCUUUGACUCGAGUUACCACAUUAAAUUAUCAAAGUUUUUGGGUGAUAAAAUCUCUUACACAAUUGACAAAAUUUAAGGGACAUUUUGGCCACUCCACAUUUUUAAAGAAGAUGGAAUUUUUCUUUCGCAACAAUUACUCACACACACACACUAAAGAUUCAUCAUUAAGAAGUAUGAAAUGCAGCAAAAUAUCCCCUAGCCCUAUAAUUCAGCCAAAUCAAAAAGAAAAGAGGAAUAAAAAUGUUACCACUUCUUGAGCUCAAAACCAUCACAAGUCCAAGAGCUAACUUACUCUAUCAAAUGAUCUUAGACACACAAAAACCAAAUAAUGUUCUCAUUUGAAUCUACGAUUCUUAAAGGGUGACGUGUUUGAAUUUUGCAUAAAAGUUAAUAAUAUUAAAAUAAUCUCUAAAAAAAAUAGAAUUUUUAACAAAAUAUGAUUUUUUUUUAUAUUUUUAGCGGUUAAAAAUUCAUAUUUAUCCGUAUUUUGUUAAAAAAGAAGAAGAUAUUUUUACAAUAUUCUACACAUUUUUGUUUAAUUUCGUUAAAAAUACAAAAACUACAUAUUAGUUGACUUAAAAAUAGAGAUAAAAAAUGGUGAUUGAAAAUUGUAUAUGGAUUAACAGCUGAAGAAAUUUUUUAGAGGGAUUAAAGCAAAAAAUUGAUAUAUUUAUAUGAAAAAAAUAUAUAUUUAACCUUAUUUAAAAUGUAGUGUGUUUUAAUCAUUUUCAGGUUUCAUUUUUCUUCAACCAAUUCAAAAUAAGGGAAUUCUAAUUUGACUUUAGCACUAGUGUGAUUUGGCUUGUAGAUUAACUUCUACUAUAUGGUAAAAAGAGUUUACUAUAUGACUUUCCAUCAAUCCAAGCAUGCAUCAUCAUCAAUCAUGAACUUUUCUUCCUCUCUUAAGCUAAAUCAAAUGAACUUUUCUUCCUCUCUUGAGCUAAUAUUGAUGAAUUUGGCAUCCAACAAAUAUUGUACCUAUAGACUUUCUAUAGCCUAGAGGUUAUAUAGUCCUGGGUAACACCAAGAGCUAAUACACCUUGUCAUGUUGUUUACUUACAUGACACCAAAUUACAUACAUGAAUAUCAACAAAAUUUAAUGAUUAAUUACAAAACAUUAGUAUUUAAGUGGUUAAGUAUUACUGUAUUUUUUAAAUCAUUCGAAAUUCUAAAAUGUGAAUAAAAAAAUAUUAUAAUAAUCACUUUAUCAAAUUCAAUAUGAAUAAAAUGAUCAUUUAUGUGAAAUUGUUCUGAGAAGUUAAAAUUUCAAGUUGUUUAUAGAGAUGCACAAAGGAAAAUUUAUAUUGUCACUAGAUCACUUGUUUUAUUAUAUAUGAGUGUAUUCAAACGUCAACAUUUGAUGUAUUUUUUUCAUUACUCCAAAGAGUGCUCGUAAAUAAAUGACUUUGAAUAUCAAUUAUUAAGUUAUUUCUUUUAACGUUCAUUAUUUUUUAAUAAAAUAUAAGUUUGUUUUUUAAUAAAAGAUUUUUUUUUUUGAAACUCACUUAAAACUGAAAUCUAUUAAAACAGGGUUCCAUAAUAUAUAUGAAUCACUUCAAAAACAAUUUUGGUUUACAUUCAAUGUCAAAUUAUUUAGUAAAUCAAUAGGAAUUAUACAAUUAAUAUGAAUGAUAAUGUAGAAUAAUGAUAAGUGCUAGAAAGUAGUGAUUCAAUGUAUAUUUAAAGCACUUUUGUAAUUUGUUUCACAAGUUAUUUAGGGAAAAGCCGAGAGAAAAGUGAAUAAUUGCCCUAUUACGUUUUAUGUAUCUUACUUUAUUCAUUUGUGCAGGAAUUGAAUGUCAAGACACCAAGCAAAGAAGAAAAUCAAAGAAAAUGUACAUAGGUCAACUCACCAUGGCGAGUCAAGGGCGAGCCCAAGGCAAGCAGAGGCAGAGAGUUCCAGAGACCACUCGCCCCCAACUUGCAACGGCGAGUGGAAGGCGAGAAACCUCGCAAUGGCGAGCCCAGGGCGAGGAGGAACAGAGAGCAAAGGUUCAAAGUUCGCCAUGGCGAAUAAUAUACUCGCGAGGCGAGUUAAGGCGGCCAAAACUCCUCAGAGCUGACGUGGCAGAAACCCACUGGUGAAGAAACAUCAACUCGCCAUGGCGAGCAUAGACUCGCGAGGCGAGUUGAAUCAAAACAGGAAAAGUAUAAAAACCCAUUCAGUCAUUUCAGUUAUGAGAUUAUUACUUCCUUAGAGAGAGAAUAGGGUGAAAAUUCACCGUUUUCAUAGAGCAAGAGUGAGUGAGUGUGGAUUCAUCAAGAUUUGUUGAGAAAUCAAUCUCUUAUCAUUGAUCUUCAUAUUUCCUACCACUUUUGUAAUGUUCUCAAGACAAUGAUGAAUUAAAUCUCCUUAGUUUGGAUUAGAGGUACUUUAUUAAGUUGAUAAUGUAAUCUUUUGAUCUUGCAAAUAUAUGAUUCUAGCAAUUUACAUGAUAUUGAUGAUAUUCUUGUAUUUCAUUCCUUAUCUUUGAUUUAGAUGCUAUUUAGAAAUACUUUUGAAUCUGGGUUUAGAAUAUUUAUCUAUCAAAACAAUGAUUCUAGACAUAGGAUUGAUGUUUUGAUAAUCACACAAAGUAUCGAAACUUAAAGCUUUCAUAUCAUUUAAUAGAUUGAGAAAUCAUCGAUUAAACGAUACGAUCAAAUAUUGGAUUGUUUAAUAGUUUGGGAAAUCAACGAUUAAAAAACACAAUUGAACUUACAAGAUCAUUUGGACACGAAUGAUGUCGUCGACCGAUACGUGAUAAUAUCGAUAAAACGCUAGAAUCCAUAUAUGUGAUUAUUAGGUUAUGUUUGACGCUUAAUCAACGAACUCUAAUUCCAACGCUUUUACACCUUAUUAAUCUUCGUUUUUAUCUUCGUAUUUUAGUUAUCAUAGUUUUAAACAAACAACCAAAUUACUCUUGAACUUAAAAUGAUAAUCGAUGUUGAACGGUUUGCGAUAUCGCACUAAUCCCUGAAAAGACGAUACAUAAAUACUUACUUUUGAUUGGUAGAAAAAUACUACAUCAAAUAAAUCAUUCAGUUACAAAGCAUUCUUUUUAAUUAGAUGAUUUCAAUAAAAUAAAAUAAAAUAGAUCAUACAAUAUGUUCUAGUUGUGCAUAAACAAGUUCUCAUUUCAAUGAUGCUUUAUUCAAACAAAUAACUUUACCAAUAAAAAUUUCCGUUUACUAUCAUGAAAGGUUAAAAUAGUUGUGAAAAUUUAGUUAAAAAGAUUUGUUCUUAUGAGUAGCAAUUUUUUUAUGUUACCUCCUUGCUAUGUAUGUUAAUGGGAUAAACGUAGCACACGGUUAUACUUAAGAGAUAUUUUAUAACGAUUAUUAUUUUAUGAAAUGUUUUUACAGUUUUGUAAAAGUGCUAGAAACUAUUUAAUUAUUUAAAGGGGGUAAUGAACUUUAUACACUAUAAAAAGAUCAUAUAAUUAUACUUUUUACAUGCAAAAUGCAAAAAAUAUGACUGAAAUUCUUAAGUUUGUUUAUGUUAUGUUUCUAUUUAUUUCCAUGUUUAUUGUCACAACAGAAGUUGGUGGUAAGUCAUUUUUUCAUCCUUUUCAAUUUUCCUUCUUUAGUUUGUAUUUUGUACCCAACCUUUUUAUCAUGUUUUAGUAAUAUUGUUAUAUUAUCUUUUUCUUUACGACAGGUGAAUGUAUAAAUGAUAUUGAUUGUCCACAAACUGGGAACUUGUUUUAUGUUUUUAUUUGCAAAAAUCGCAUAUGUGAAUUGAUUAACAAAUACCCUCAAAAUCUAUGAGUACUAGUUCCAAGAGAGUAAAAAAACUUCUUACAAAGGAGAUAUGUAACCAUAUGAUAGAAUAUUCUAUGAGAUAUCAUUUGUUAUUGUACUAGCAUCUACUAAUUUUAUAUUUCUUAUCCUAUUAACAUGAACUUUGUAUUUUUGAUUUUGUACUCUAAGAUAAUGGUAAGACAAAAAGGAGAAUUAUAUAGAUUGUCUUCUCCUCUCUUAAUUUUGGAGGUAUUAUCAUGACAUCCGGUUCAAUCAUAUUACAUCUUAUUUUUUAGUCCACCACCUAUAAGAAUAAUUGUAAUAGUUAUAUUGAAAGAUAACUCUAUCUUACUUCAAAACCUAUACUUUUGUUUUAAUGUUAUAAUGUUAUUACACUUGUCACUUUCAAACACUUAUUUAUAUUUGUUUUACUUUUUUAUGAGAUCUAAUAGUCUUGGAUACCUUUUUUAUUUUAGAAGAUGUGGAAAACUAGAAUGUCACUGCAAAACAAUAAUUAGCUACUAAAAUAACAGUAAAGAAGUUAAUUAAUUGUAUAUUUUGUUGUGUCAACAACAGUUUUUUAAAUUGUUGUAUAACUAUAUGAACUAAGCUUAAUAGUGCAUGUGUUAUAUAUUGACGUAAAUUUAAAAUAUUUUUGUCAUAAUAUUGUUGUUGUUGAUUUUUAUAUUAAUGAAUACCUAUCAAUAAUUACCAAUAAACAUAUUUAAUGUGUGUUCUUUUUUUUACCAAAUUUAUGUGGGUUCUUGACAAGUUGAAAUCUAAGGAGGGUGUAUUGAAUUAGAAUUUAAAAGACAAUUUUUGUAUGAAAAAGUCUUGUGGAUUUUAAAAGACUAUACAUAAUUUUAGUGAUUUUUAAGACUUUAAAAGACUAUUAAAAUUUGUAAUUUGGAUUUCAAAGAAUUUAUACGAUAAGAUUUCAUGGGAUUUGAAAUGACUUUAUAGGUUUAUAAGAUUUCAAUGUGCUUUUAAAGAAUCAUUAAAGAAAAAUGAUAAUAACACUCUUUAUGAUGAUAAUUUCAAUACACACCUUUUCAUUUUUUUUUUUUUUUUAAGGAAACACUUUUUCAUUUGUUAAAAUUCAAAUUAUUCCAUUAAAAAAUAUAUUGUUUUUGGUGUAUUAUUUUGUGUAAAUUAUUGUUCUUGCAUAUCCAUGUUUGUCUUUUAGAAUUUUGAUUCACGUCUGUGAAGUGGGGUUCAAAUGAAGAAAUUAUUGAUACCCCAGAUUUAUGGAUUAAGAUUUAUAUAUAAAAAAAAAUAACAAUGUUUUAUAAAAAAUCUAAGGUCCGAACUCAGUUCUUGUUACUCCUCUCUUGGAUGGAUCCAACUAUCUCGCAUGGAGUCAUUCAAUGAUUCGUGCUUUUGGCGUGAAAAACAAAUUGAAAUUUAUUGAUGGUUCGAUGGAGAUUCCUGAUGAAAAUGAUCUGAAUCGUAGUGCGUGGGAACGAUACAAUCAUCUAAUUCAGUCCUGGAUCAUCAAUUCAGUUUCAUCUCAAAUUGCUCAAACACUGGUUUUUCAUGAAUCCGCCAUUGAUGCUUGGUUAGAUCUCAAAAAGUGUUUUUCUAAAGUUGAUAGAAUACGCAUUGCUACACUUCGAUCCACAAUCAACAACUUGAAACAAGGUUCAAAAUAUGUUUUAGAUUACUUUAUUGAGAUGCAUACUCUAUGGGAGGAGUUGAAUUCUCAUAGACCUAUGCCUCACUGCGCUUGUCCCCACCCUUGCCGUUGCGCCUCCGUGAGAGAAGCUCGCAAUUUUAGACUUGAGAAUCAGGUCAUUCAAUUUCUUACUAGAUUGAAUGAUCAAUUCACAGUUAUUAAAACUCAAGUUUUCAUGAUGGAUCCUCUUCCAUCAAUCAACAAAGUUUAUUCCUUAGUGAUUCAGGAAAAAAGCAAUAAUCACUAUGUAGAUUCUUCCGUUGAUGAUCAUGUUUCUUUGGUGAAUGCUUCUGAUUCACGCAAUAAGCCUCAAGAGAGAGGAACAAGAUAUUCUACUGGACCUAAACCUCCAAGACAUUGUAGUUUUUGUGGAAGAAAUAAUCACACAGUUGAUUAUUGUUAUGCUAAGCAUGGCCACCCUAAUUUUCAGAAGCAAGCUCCCUCUAUCAAUACUUCAAGCAGUAAUGAAACAUAUGAAGCUACACCAGGAAGUUGCAAUGAUGCAUCUUUACCUAGUUCUAGUAUUUCACAAGAGAAGUAUGACCAGCUUGUUAUCUUGCUUCAACAAGUGAAUCUGCUUCCUUCAUCAUCAACACCUCCUGCUAGUGCCAAUCACAUCAAUUCACCUUCUAUGUGAGGUAUAUCAUCCAUUUUCUCUUGUUCCAUUUCAUCUAAAUCUGAUAUUUGGAUUUUAGACUCAUGAGCUAAUGAGCACACUGUUUCCUCCACACAUUGGUUAACUUCUUAUCAUAAAUCAACCCUAAACCUGUGAAUUUACCUAAUGGUACUUCUGUUCUUGUUCAAUAUAUGUCGACACCAUUCAAUUUUCACCUUGGAAAUGUCCUAUAUUCUCCAUUAUUCAACUUGAACUUGAUUUCUAUUUCCAAGCUUUUUCAGUCUUUACAUUGUCAUGUCAUUUUUCAUGAUAAUAAAUAUUUCUUAAAGGAUCUUCACUCCUAGAAGAAGAUUGGUUUGGGUGAUCAGAUUGAAGGUCUUUAUAGAUUAGCUUUAGAUUCCUUUAAUCUUCCUCUAUGCAAUAAUUUUUCUGUCAAUCAUAUUUCCACCAAUACAAAUUUAACCAUCCCUUCUUCUACAUUAUUGCAUUUCAGGUUAGGACAUGUAUCUCAUAUGAGAUUAUCUCAUAUGUCUCAACUAUAUCCUAGUCUUACUUUUGAUCAUAAUACUACUUGUGACAUAUUAACAAAUAACUAAAUAUGGUCUUUCAAUAAAAUAAAAAAUAACCUAAUAGUCAAUAGAUCUCGCAUGGAAAAGAGACAGGGGCCUAUCUAACACCCAUCCCUUAGAAGUCAAAACUAGCAAUGUCCAUGAUAUGCUUUAAUGACGUGAACAAGUUAAACAUAGGAGUAAUUUUGUUGUUUUUCUUUACAUACCUUAAAACUUCUAAAAUGUUGAUAAAUAUAGUUAAACAAGAGUGCUAUUUGGUACGAUAGAUUCAACGACGAAACGCAGCAAAUGGAUACGUGCAAAGAUUGGAACAAGUAUUACUCCACAUUUGGGGCAAAACAUGUUGUUUAGUGCGGUGAUUAAGCUUGUUAACACCUUUCGUUAGUUCUCGUUGAUGCAUUGCUCGUAACAAUGAGCAUUACACAUAGUUAAAUUAUCUAUUAAUGAGAUCAUGUUCUUGAUAGAAAAAGUUAAAUUUUCGUUCUUACAAAAUAUGAACUAACUCGUGAAGACAACAUGUUAUUGAUUUUUGUUUUAAUCGAUUUUUUAUUUUUUAUUUUUAAAUAAAGGAGUCGAUUUUUAUAUUAAAAAUCAAAUUGAGUUGUGUUUUAGGUCAAAUCUUAUCCAACAAGAUUUUUUUUUUGGUAUAAUUAUUUCUUCAUAAAAUUAAAGUAGAUUAUUAUUAUAUUAAAAAAUGUGUAAAAUUAAUAAAUAAAAAAAAUUGUCUAUCCUUUUGUUUAUCUUUCUCCCCAUCACACACAUACAUAUCUUAAGAAACAAACAAAAAAAGUGAAAAUCUCAUACAAUGACACAUUAGUCGUUAAUCAACACUCUUCUCACACUUCUCAUUUUCUUCACAUUGCUUCUAGCGACGGUAACUAACCGUGGCUAAAACAAAAUGGCAACAAUUAGCGACGAAGAACGCGACGGUAACGGAAUUAAUCAAACACCGUUACGAAUCCCUGAAUUGCUCUAUGUUUCUGUGAAGAUGGAGAAUCCAAUCCGCGCUCUCGCUGGAAAUCUUUUUCCUCAUGUUUUUUGUUCUUCUGCAUUGCUUGGGGAUUGUUUGGAUUCUUCGAAAGCUGUAAUUUUGAUUCGUACCCUUUUUACUGUUUUAUUUGUAGUUUAAUGGGCGAUUCUGUUUUUUUUCUUAUUGUUGUUGUUUUUGGUUUAGAUUUUGAUGGAACGUGAAUCUGCGUCAAUGUGGGAGUUGAGCUUUGUUGUUCCACAAAAUCACGGUAAUAAUGUUUUUAAGUUAAUAUUUGGAUAAACAACUUAAUUAAUUGCUUAUAGCAUAAGUUGUUAUUAUAUGAGUAUCAAAGCCCGUUUGCAUUGACUUGAGCUUAUCCACCGGCAUUAGCACUUGUGAGACAAUUUAGGAGAACUUAUGACAUGUUCUUAAGCUGUUUUCAGCUUAUGAAAAAAAAUAUAGAUUAUACCAAAACAAUUUAACUUUAUUUUAUCUUUUGUUAUAAUUUAUUAAAGUAGCUUGUACAUGAUGAUAAACACUUAUACUAUAAUUUGCAAAUUAAGUUGUUUAUCCAAACAGGGACUUUAUGUAUUCUAUAACAAAAUAUAAAAUAAAUUCAAUCUGUUUUCAUAUAAGCUAUUCUAGAGAACUUGUGGAGAUAAGUUGAAGAGAGUUCACGGACAUGUCUUAACCGGUUUCCAUGAACUCUCCCAACGAGUCUGACAAGUGCUUAUGUUAGUAGAUAAGCACAAAUAACCAAAUCCAAUCAGGCCCUAUGAAACGAGAGAAACUCUUCUCAUAAAUUCUUUAAGUAAGCACUAAGUGGUCAUUUGGUUUUAAAUGUGUAAGGUCAUGUCACUAGUAUCCAUAUAGUCCCUGAAUGUGUUGAAAUUACGAAAAUAUCUCUGAAUGUGUCUUCUGUGAGUAAUUUCAUUGACCAAACUGACCAACGAAAGACAUGUUAGAGCCCCAAAUGACAAACAACAUCUACAUUUAUGGAUGUUUUUGCAAUAUUGAUAUAUUCAACGACUGUAGCGAUUGUGUCUAUCCUUCCGAGCAUGUGAAAAUAAGAUGACAUUAUUUUUGUACUCUUUCAACCUUUUUCUUAUGUUGUAAAAUAAAUUCAAAUAAGCUCUUCCAAGCAUUAUUUCGCCGGUGCAUAAACAGAAAAUAAUUGACUUUUCUAAUAACGCAGAUAAUAACUGUAUUGGCAUCAUCAUAAGAAGAAGCUUUAAUGUCAGGACUUCAUUUUGUAACCUGACGUGUUGACUUUGUUUGAGAAUUUCAGAAGCUUUGGAUUUCAAAUUCCUCCUAAAGCCAAAAGACGACAAUUCACCUUGUUUUCUUGAGGAGGGUCCGAAUCGUGUACUUGUAGCGGGAGCAUUGCAAGAUGGUGCUAGGCUUGCUUCAUUUAAGCUUGAUAAUGAUCAUGCUGUUGAGUAUAAAGUAUUUGUUCAAGCAAGCAAAGUUUCUUCCUUUGAUCUGGCAGCUAGUUGGAGGGCUUAUAAGGAGAAUUUUCAUCCUUCGGCUGUACGCGGGAUACCUGACGUCAGCAUAAAUUCAGAAGUUCAGACAGAAAGCGAGGUAAGACUCCAACUGCCAGUUUGCUUCAUCUUGUUUACUUUUUCCCCUUGGUUCAAGGUUCACCACAUUGUUUUUCUUCUGGUAGCUGUAGAACAAAGACUUACUCUGGCUGCAAGUCUUUAGAUGAUUGUGCUAAAAAGCCUCAUGUGAAUGUGCAGGAUGUCUUAUACUUUGUUUUUGCUGUAAAAUAAGUGUACUGUUAAACGUGGUUUAGUUAAGUAUUAGAUAUGCUAAUUUGUCUCAUACUAUGUUAUUUUGUGGUUAUAAUGGUAAAUAGUUGCAUUAUAUAGUUAGUAGACAGCUGCAUCGAAUUGAAAGAUGUUUCGUUUUCAUUCUUUAAAAUAAAAUAACAUGAAUCAGCCUAACAGGUGACUUGCAUUUCAUAUCCUGUUUUUUUUUUUCCUUUACUUUUUCAUGUUUUCUACAGUUUUAAUUAUGUGUUGUAAUCAAUAUUCUUAUAUUAGUGCAGUCAUCACUGUGAUAGUCCAAUUACUUUUUUGUUGAUGCGCAACUCUAAUUAUUUUCCCAUGAAAUUGUAUCGGCGCACUAGUCAUGCCUCAGGACUCUUCUUUAUUAACCGCCAAUUUUAAUUUUAAUCUCUUCGUGGAACUGUAGUUUGUCAUUAAAUGUUUUUCUAAUCUGAUAGUGCAAAAUGGUUAUUAUUAAGGUUCAAGUGAUUAAUCUAGCACAUAAAAAGUUUAUAGUUGAAUUACAUGUCUUUCUCAUACAUUGCCAUUUCAUCCACCACAACUUGUAGUCCAAUCAUGCAUCUUAACUGGUGGCCUUGAUAUGUUCUACUUUUCUUUUUCUUUCUAAUUCCAACUUAUGAAGUUAUGAUAAAUAUGUUUUUUUGUGAACCAUUUCUAUGGACCUCAUGGCUCACACUUUAUUUUUCUAUUUUUUUUUUUAGAAUGUCUCUUCUGCGAGUUUGGAACUUGAUCUUGAGCAUUAUGUUGUCCCAGCUCCCUCAAGUUCUCCAAAUUCAUCUGCUGUAUAUGCAGCUGACAUGACAGAGAAUCCCAGAUCACGGAAUAGUGGGUAUGGCAGCAAUUCAUAUUCCGCCGGAGAUGACAGUGGUUAUGUUGAUCAACCUGAAACUGUAAAUAUUUAACUUUCAAAUUCAUAUUUAAAAUUUAUGAUUGACUUUUAGAUUUUAUAUUGGGCCUAACAGACUCAUCCUUACAUGACCAGUUUGUAUAAUGCGGGUCACCCAUGCUUUAUACACACUACACAUGCCAUAUCUCUGAGCAAUGUGGGACUAAAUCCACCCUUUUAAGCCCAACACAUUGAAGGUGUUGAAGGUUGCAAUUGCAACUAAGGCAACUCAAAUGCCGCAUGUUGGAAAUUCUGCCUUUAUUGCGAUCCACCCCUAGUCGCCCAAUUGCGACAUUUGAGUUUCCUCAUGUUGCCUUGCCUUGUAUUGGCUUUGAGGGGGUGGAUUUAGUCCCACAUCGGUUAGAUAGAACUCUUGAUAAGAGUUUAUAAAGAGGAGGCACUCCCUUACAAGCCUGUUUUGUAAGGAUGAGUUAGGCCCCAAAUUUCUACAUGGUAUUUGUAAGGAUGAGUUAGGCCCCAAAUUUCUACACCGCAAUUAGCCGGCAAGGGGCGGACCGCAAUUAAGGCGGAAUUUCCAACAUUGACGUUAAAUUUUAAAAGAGAAUAUUUUGUCAAACAACUGUAAGAUCGACGAUGUUGUACGGAACAGGGUGUUGGGUGGUAAAACACCAACACGAGAAUAAAAUAAGCAUAGUGGAGACAAGGAUGUUGCGUGGGAUGUGUGGUAAGAUCAAAUGAGAUAUGAUUAGAAAUGACAAUAUUAGAGAGUUAGAGUAACAUGUAUAAUAGAAAAGAUGGUGGAAAAUAGGUUUAAGUGGUUUGGGCAUAUUCGGAGAAGACUUGUAGAUUCUGUAGUAAGGAGAGUAGAUAAUGGAGGAUAGUCAGGUCACGAGAGACAUAGGAAGACCUAGAAAAACUAUAAGAGAAAUUGUUAAGAAAGAUCUAGAGAUGAAUGAGUUGGAUCGAAAUAUGGUUUAUAAUAGAACAUUAUGACGUGAUAUGAUCCAUGUAGCCGACUCCACUUAGUGGGAUAACGUCUGGUUGUUUAACUUUCUCAGAGAUUUUUAAUAAAUACUCAUGCACAGUCAUGUAAACCGUAAAGUACUGACCCUUAUUUUAAUAUUAAAACUAAUCUCCGAAUUCUAAUUAAAAAGGAAAGUAAAUGAUGAAUAUCUAUCUUAGAAUUUGUGGUUGGGCCUUACACAACCCAACAAAACCGGCUUAUAAACACUUGCUCAGGCAAUAUCACUUCCAAUGUGGGACUCUUAACACACACCCCUCACGCCUAGAACUAGACAUCUGGAGCGUGACCCGAGUGGUCCGAUAGCGGAAACUUGAUAGCGGUGGUCCAACAGAUCUUGGAUAGGCUAUGAUACCAACUUAAAUGUUUUUAAAAUGAAUGGCUUGUACAUAUCUUGCAAUGAGAUAUUCAAAUUCUAACUUAUAUACAAGAAAGAAUCUCUCAAGAAAAAGAAAACAAUGAAAUUAAAUCAAUCAUAGUAAAUAGAGAAUAAUCAACAUUCUAAAAUACUGUAAAGUGGAAUAAUGAUAUAGUGAAAUAUUUUUUAGAUUUUUCAACACUCACUGUCAAGCUAAAACUUACCAAGAUUUUAGUUAGUUACAACUUUACAAGUAUGUGUAGCAAAUAGUUGUGUAUUUGAUGUUUUUAAAAUGCAAAAUACCAGUACUUGAGGUUAAGAGGAAAAAAAGAAAGUAAGCUAGUAGGUUAUAUUAAUUAUUGAUUGUGCAAUGUAUCAUAUCUAAUUGGCUAUGUUGAUGUUCCAACUAGGAGAUGGAGGUCAAUACCCUGGUCCCAUCUAGGGUGUAUGAAUGUCGCAAACUUGUUAAAUCUCUGUCAGUGGGAACAAUGUCAACACUGCGAAAGGAAGAUGGUCAGAGGGGACCUUUUGUUGAUAGGGGUGUUGGAUUUCCAAGAAUUGUAAAAUCUUCUAGUUUAAAGUCAUUUACUGUUGAUCUUAGUUUGGACACUGAUACCGAGGUUUGUAUAAUUGAUUUUCACUUUUGUUUUAUUAUUCAACUUUAAUUUUUGGUGGACUGAUUUAUAUUGCUUUUAACCGUUAAUUGUGGUUGUUUACAACAUUUGCUUCUGCCCCUCCUUUUUUCGGAUAGAAUUCAUUUCCAGCAGCAGCUGGAGCUGUUGCAGCUGGUGCCGUUGCUGAUCAGAUGCUGGGUCCCAAGGAGGAUAAACAUUUGGCGAUUGUCAUGGUAUUAUUCUUGCUUGUGAAAUAACUAGUUAUGAAGUUGUUUUAGCAACUUUUCUGAUAAUAUUUAUUUUUGGCUGUAAAUUGAGACUCAAAAAUAAAGGAACAUACCGUGAAAUGUUUGAAUUUGGAAGUACAUGGUGAAAAUGUCACAUUCCCUUUUGUAUUUAAUCUAAUUUAGUGAAUUAAAGUAUUUCGAAUUGAAUAAUUCAAACUACUUUUACUUAGGUGAGUCUGCCAGCUCGAGGUAAAACUUUCACUGCAGCUAAACUUACAAGAUAUCUUCGCUGGUUGGGUCAUAAUACAAAACACUUCAACGUUGGUAAGGUUGUUCACAUUCUUGACUUGAUUCUUCUUUGUAAUGAAGGUUAUGUCUGGAUAUCUAAUGGAGCGUAGUGGAAUGAAAUGAGAUUAAAUGAAGAGUGGAAUAGAACAUAAUGAAAUAGACUUACCAUUCCUUUCUUUGCAUAUUUUAAUCAUGCAAUGGAGAAACGGGCUUGUUUCAUUCUAUUCCACCCAAAAUGGAGGGGAAAAGUGGGAUAUUGGAUGGAAUGGAACCCAUUUCAUUCCAUCUUAUUUUAAAUAAUUCCAAACAACGGAACCUUCAAUGAUUUCAUUCCAUUUACUUCCAUUAAUCCCAAUCUAGCCCAAUAGUCUUGCACCUAGUGGAAGAUUGGAAAUAUAUCAAGUAUGAAGUUAACAUUCUCACAUUUUGAUGUCACAGUAUCGUCGCCUUAAGCACGGAGCUAGUCAGGUAAACUUAAUGGAAAUGAAUCAAUAGGAUAGUUUAUUUCUUAUUUAUUUAUUUAUUUAUUUAUUUAUUAUGUGCUUCUAUAUAUAGAUUCCAUUCCUAUCCGUCAGAUUUGCACCAUUUAUAAAUAUGUGACAUGGGGCUUUGAUUUGUUAACAUGUUUCAUCACCCAACACAAGAGUACUAACCUUCUGCAGCACCUAGAUUUGACAUAUUUUACAACCAAAUGGAAUAUGGUGUAGUUCUGUGACUAAAAUGGGUUCGUAGCACACACUCUUUUAACAAAAUUAAGCUGAAGGUUGGUAGAUUAAAAUUACGGAUUAAAGGAGAAUGAUAAGAAGAAAUAUGACGUUAGUGAAGUAUGAUUUGAUACAAAUUUGACGAUACUAGUUUGAUAGUGACUUGAUACCAAGGACUUAAAACUAAUCCUUAUUUGUAGUAUACGAGACUCCUAAUCCUAAAUAAAUAGGAAACUCAGAAAACAAUCAUGGUAAUAGUGAUAUAACAUGGAAUCUAAUUCUAGGAGAUAAUUUAAGACACUCUAAGAUUAUAAAUGGAACCAAGAAGAUAAAUAUAAUAUCAAAAACAUUAUGAGAUGUUUCAUGUAUGUUCUAAUAAUCUAUUAUACAACGAGUUUUUACAACAAUCAUGAUUCAUAGAAUCAUGGAUGAGCUGCUUGACCUACAAAUUUAAGCAAUCAAGUGUUGCGACCACAAGUUUUAACCUGAAAAAUUUAGAAUGAAUGAUUUGCAUUACACAACGGUGCAGAACAAAAUAUAUAUACUAGAGUAGAGAGUAUCACUUUAAAUAAGGAAAAGUAGAGUUGAGAACAAGGUUUUCUGGUGCUGAAUAACUUAAGAGAUUAGCUCUCAACCUUUUGUAUUUAUAAUAAGAAUAUAUACAAAGUAAAUCCCAUGAUCAUAGGGAGUAAAUCUGUCCUAAUUAUAUAAGAGAUAUUUACAAGGAAAUAAAGAUAAUAUAAAUAAGGAGAUAAUAUAUCAGUCAAUGAUACUAUUAUUACGCAUAUCUCAACACUCCCCUUCAAGCUGGAGCAUACAAAUCAUAUGCAUCAAGCUUGUCACAUAUGCAAGUGAUCCUUGGUCCUCGAAGAGACUUUGUGAAGAUAUCGGCUAGUUGAUCAUUACUAUUAGAACCAACAAAAGAAGUAGCAAUUUCACCAGACAUAAUUUUCUCACGAAUAAAAUGACAAUCGAUCUCAAUAUGCUUAGUUCGCUCAUGAAAGACUGGAUUAGAGGCAAUGUGUAGGGCUGCUUGAUUGUCACAAAUGAUACUCAUAGUGCCUAUUUUACUGAAGUGAAGCUCUUGGAGAAGAUGCUUGAGCCAUAUGAGCUCACAUGUAGUAAGUGCCAUAGCUCUAUAUUCUGCCUCUGCACUUGAUCUAGCAACGACAUUUUGCUUCUUACUUUUCCAUGAAAUCAAAUUGCCUCCAAUGAGAACAUAAUAUCCAGAUGUGGACCUUCUGUCAGACGGACUUCCAGCCCAAUCUGCUUCUGUAUACGCAACAAUAUCUGAAUGACCUCUGUCUGCAUAAACAAGAUCUUUUCCAGGGGCUCUCUUGAUAUAUCUUAGAAUUCUAACCACAACAAUCCAAUGAAUAUCACAAGGGGAAUUCAAGAAUUGACUAACAACACUGACUGCAUAUGAAAUAUCAGGUCUUGUCAUGGUCAAAUAAUUCAGCUUCCCAACUAACCUCCGGUACCUUCCUGGAUCUGAAAAGGUCUCCCCUUGUCAUGGGCGUGAGAGAGGUGUAUUGGGAAAAUCCAAGUCUCACAUCGGAUAGAUAAGACUCUUGAGAAAAGUAUAUAAAGAGGAGCAAUCCUCACCUUACAAGCCGGUUUUUUGAGGAUGAGUUAGGCCCUAAAAUUUUAACAAGUAGUAAAUUAAGGAUUACCACUCAAGAGAGUAUCACACUACAUCAAUUGAUCACUAUGGGGACUCACUGUAUUAAAUAUUUGUUUUAUUCUUGGAAUCAUGAUUUUAAAGUUGGCUGUCGUGCUUUGUUGGAAAGUUUUUAAUUUAUGUCAUUCUUUUAUGUAGUCUGCUGAUUUCUUUCGAGCUGACAAUCCUGAAGGCAUAGAGGCACGUAAUGAGGUAACUUCUGGCCAGUAAAUUAAUUCAAACAAGUAAUAUAUGAGAGUAAAGUUUAUUGAUUUCUGACAUAACUUGGUUAUAACUAAAAUUAUCAAGAUGUUGCUUCUAAAUUUUUUUCAAUUUUAUUAAAAGAAAUAAACUACUUAUCUUUAAAGGCCUUUAACAAAAUUCCUUUUUUUUUUGGUUUGCUUUAGUUGUCAAUUGUUCACUUGCGUUUAAAUCAAUUAAUGACUAAAGAUCUGAAUAUAUUGAAAACAAAUCAUUUCGGGAGCUGAUUCUAAAGUGUUGCAUUAAAGAAAAUCAACACCAAUUGAUGUUAUAAUACAAAAUGAGUUUACUUAUAUCAUUUAUUGAAUGGCAACACCAUUUACGACCCAUUUUUGUAGAAUAAAAAUCAGAAAAUAAACGCAUAUUGACAAAUACCAGAAUUUACGACUACUUGCUCUUAUUCAAAUGCUCUAUUUCUAACAUUGGUUUAUCUUGAAUGAUCUUGUUGGUGUUGACAUCCAGCAAUUGUAGAAGACCCAAUCAAAAUAUUCAUUUUGAUUACCUUUUUAAGACUGAUAUAAUGUUACUUUUAGUUUUUGGUAUUCAUUUUGUUAUGAAUGAUUCUGAUAACGUUAACACCAUGUUGACCUUUCUCUGUGUACAUGAUUUUAAUAUCAUCCAAAUCCUGUACACCCAGGUAGCAAAAUUGGCAUUUGAAGAUAUGAUAACUUGGAUGCAAGAAGGUGGUCAGGUAAAUUCAUUCUUGCUGGGAACCUUUUUUCUUUUUUGUUUUCCUUUAAGUUCUCUGCAUAAAUUUUUAAGUUCAAUUUAGGUUGGGAUAUUUGAUGCCACAAACAGUAGCAAGCAGCGAAGAAACAUGCUGAUGAAAUUGGCUGAAGGAAGAUGCAAGGUAUUUUAAUCACAGAUAGCUACUGUUAUUUAGGUAAUAUAAAAAUGGCGUAUGUAGUUUUAAGGUAUUUUUACACUCUUCUGAUGCACCUUUGUAUUUUUAUUGCAGAUUAUCUUUCUGGAGACAAUAUGCAAUGAUGUAGACAUGAUUGAAAGGAAUAUUCGUUUUAAAAUUCAGCAAAGUCCUGACUAUGCAGAAGUGUAUGUUUGCUUUAAAACCUGUGACAUCUUGUCUCAAUCACUUUGUAGAAACGUGCACAAUUAGCUUUUCUUUUGCAGGCCAGAUUUUGAGGCUGGGCUACGAGACUUCAAAACUCGUGUAGCCAAUUAUGAGAAGGCAAUUCUUUCAUAUAUACUUUUAAUAACUUUUCUCGGUGAGCUUUUGCUUUAAAUAAUGCUGAUUUCAUCAUAUUACUAGGUUUAUGAGACGGUAGAAGAGGGAUCUUACAUAAAAAUGAUUGACAUGGCCAGUGGACGUGGUGGGCAAAUACAAGUAAGUUUUACCUGCAAUUAUGUGAUUUGUGUGUGUUGUAAAUUGCCGUCUACUUGGCUCAUUGUUUUGUUAGCCAGUAACAAUAUCACAAGUUAUAUAUGCAUGUCUGUUGACCAUACUCUAGUUGUUUUUUAGAUGAGUAAAAGUUUAUUUUUGUAGAUACACUUGAAAGUUUGAUUAAUAUGAAUAUUAUUGAUUGAUUGGUAAGUUACAAAUUACAGGCUCUAAUAAUAUUAUAUAGACAAUUAAACAUGAGUCUUAAUAAAUGAUAGCCAAGAAAAAGGAAAUAAAGUUUAUCUUGAUAAUUAUACAUUGUUAUGGACCUUAUGGUGAUAUGUACAACACAAAAGGUUGCCUCCAAAAAUUAUACAAUGACCAAAAGUGGAUCUUCUACCAAUAGGAGAGCCUGCCUUAUCUGCAUUUGAAUAUCAUACAACUUAAGUUGGGCCCUUGUUUUCAUAGAUCAGACCUUUUCAUCGGGCUUCUUUAAUACACUUCAAGAUGUGAGUUACGCCGAGAUGUGAAUUAUAGCAUCCCAAUGUCCUUUACAAGGUAAGUUAAGAAAUCAACUUUCCAUAUUAACAACAAAGGAGAUCUUUGGAAGAGCAAAUUGGGAUAAUUUUGCUUGGUCACUAGUCUUCUGUAUCUCUUUGGGUUUGAUAGUCUUCACCAUGGAGGAAUACAUUCUUCAUAUCAACUUGGAGAGACUUGACACCAUUCUUUUGUAACAUUUCAAGACUUGGAUGACCUAGUUGAGCAUGUACUAGAUGAGGGUAAUCUUUGGUGGUGCAUAUUCGGGAGUGGUUAGGGAGAUGAUAGAGGCCAAGUAUUAGGGUGGUGGACAUCCGGGAAUGGUCAUUGGUUAAAAUAGGUGACAGCUGACAACGGAAAAUUGGCAAUAGCAGUCGCUAUGGGUGAUUCUAAGUGGCAGCGCUAAAAAAUAUGCAUUGUAGGUGUUGGCAGUUGCUAGGUAGGCAGCACAGGGUGGCUACGAUUUUGACGUAGAAGUAAAGUCUCCUAAAUCGAGACUGUUGAUAUCAACUUGAAAGGGUCUCUUAGUAAUCUGAAUAUUAUUGAUUAAUAAAUUACAAAUGACAUGCUCUAAAAUAUAUACUAUUGAACAUAUUUCCUAAUGAUAGUCGGAAAAUCUAUCUUAAUAAUUAAAGAACAUUAUAGUCAUGUAUGUUCAGAAGAAUAAAAGGAAAUAAUUAUUUAUUUUAUCCUAAAAUAGCCCCGCUUAUAACUAUUCUAAUAAUUAGUUUAGAUGUAAAACCCUGGUUUAGCCGUUUAGGUGGAAAUUCAAAUGACAUAGUUUCACUUGCUCUUCUAAUUUUAAAUAACUUAUGACAGCAUAAAUUUGAGUUUGCUUUGUGCCUACCUUAAUAAUUAUUUCAUUUUCAUGGUUCACUGGAAGCAUAGAAUUGAAAGCGUGUUUUAUAAUUUUGUUCUGCACACGCAAAAUUUAUGAUGAAACUUGUACAAAUAUUCUGAAAUUUUUGUGUCUCCAUGAUUUUCUCUAGCCAUAAGAAAUAAGGUCUAUAGUAUGACAUUGAUUUAUUAAUUAUUCACGAUUUAUCUCUUUUGGUUUAGGUGAACAAUAUCAGUGGCUACCUACCUGGCAGAAUUGUCUUUUUCUUGGUAAGCUUCUUCAAAGAUUGUAGUUAAUUACAUUCAAAGUCUUGCAUUAUUAAAACUCAGGCAGGAAAAUAAUUGAUUUAACAUUAUUAAAACUCAAGAAGUGAAAGGGAAAAUUAGAGAGAAUCACUGAUUCUAUUUCAGCUAAAUGAUUUCAUUCAUCUGAUUUUGAUUGAGAUACGUCACUGGUAUGUAUAGAGGUUAGAGUGGGCUUACUGACCCAGAUACAACUAUGAAAACCAAACUGUGAUUGAUUCAACCCACAGCUAUGAACGAAGCUGUCAAAUGACUAACCAAAGCCACCUGCUACCGACACUAGUCAUAAUCGAAUGUUAAUUACAAUAUAACAACAUAGUGGGCUACUAUUGAGAAAUUUCAUGAACCAACCUUAACCUUAAUCAAGAGUCCUUUGGGCUUAAAAUGUUAUAGGUUCAUCUUCCUUAUGCUAAAAUCAAACUAUUAGGUAAUGGUACAUGAAUCAAAGUCUUUACCAUUUGUGUUAGAGGCAUUGAAACCAUUUCAUAAACCAACUACCCAAAAUUUUUGAAACUAUUAGGUAAUGGCACAUGAAUCAUUUUAUAUCACUAAUUAGAAAAUUAGUGAAACUUUUCUGUCACUAUAACCUUUUCAAAUUGAGAUAUUCGCUAAUUUGGAAUAGGUUUUAGCUUAUUGCAGUUUCUCAAAUGAGAUGAAUAUCUAGCUCCUAACUUACCAAAAGGCCCUUAUAAGUUUAUAAGUUCUUAUGGACAAGCAAGAUGGGAAAGCUUCUUAAAAAGUUGAGGGUAGUUUCUUUCGUAACAAAUAGCAAUCCUCUUUUGCCUAACUUCCCAAGAUAGUGUUUUUUAGAAGUCUAUUAUACACACUCUCCAAAUGCUACUCCAUGUUAUUUGAAGUUUCUCAAGAGUAUCUGGUUAUUUUCUUCAUGUCUUGCAGAUGAAUACGCAUCUUACACCACGCCCAAUAUUACUCACUCGGCAUGGAGAAAGUCAGGAUAAUGUGAGAGGCAGAAUUGGAGGAGAUCCUGCAUUAAGGUAUAUUCUCAUAUUUUCUUGGUGUAUAAUUGCCGAGGACACAUGCCGACAAAGGUACUUGUAUGAAUGAAAACGAAAUUCCUGUUUUUUGCCUUAAAGAACUGGUAUCAAAAUAAAUUGUGGUACGGGUAUCGUAAGACUUCAUAUGUUACUGGCUUCUGAUUGUACUAGUUGUAUUUCAUUCGUACUUGACCUAGAAUAAUGGUUUAAGUAGGAGUUUUAGGUCCUUUUUUUAUAACAUUUAAUUAUUUGAAGCAUAUUAAUGGUGAUGAAAAACUGAACGAUAGUAUCACUGGUUGAUUAGGAACAAUAACGGAUACUAAAGGUAGUUGUGAUAAGUCACGAAUGAGAUGAUUAAAAAGAAGUGCUAUGAAGGCACUGUGACUAUAUGAAGUGGAAAAUCUGAAUCGUAUUUCUCUUAUUGUUAGAUAUUACUUUCUUUUCUUCCACCUUGCUCGUGAUUUCUCUUUUUACUACUUUACUUGGGUGUACCCUCGUAGCUGAGAAGCAAAAUAAGGCUAGCAGCUCAUUGUUGUAGCCUUAUUGGUUUAAAGGGCCGUGUUUUGUAAAGAGAAGUGGCAAAGUAGAAGUAGGGCUUAAUUGGUUUGAAGGGAUGUGUUUUUUAAAGUGAAGUGGCAAAGUAGUUAUGGUUUCUCUAUCUUUGACUUAUUUUUUAAUGUGAUACCUGAUUUCUUUAACAGUUGCUGUAAAUUUUAAGCUGACUAACUUAACCAAAUUGUUUCAACAGUGAGGCUGGAGAACUUUAUAAACAGAAGCUUGCCAAAUUUGUUGGAAAACGUCUCAAAUCAGAACGAGCUGCUUCUGUAAGCUUUUCCAAUAGUAUGGAUUAAAUUCUGGCAUUCAUUUUUUCUUCAAAUAAAUCAUAUGAUUACAAGAAAUUAAUGCUAGUAUGCCAUGUGCCUUCUAGCAAUACUCCUUUGUUUGCUAUAGCAACAUAUAUCAUUUAUCUUGAGUUGUAUUCUAGUAUCAAUGACAAUGAUGAAGAUUAUUUUUCACUUAAUCAUGCAGCAAACGGUUAUAGUGUUAGUGAUUGGCAAUGUAUUGUCAGUAACUUAUUCCUUAAUCGGAUUAAGUAUAGGGAAAGGAGGCGCAGACCUUCAAAGAUCUACAGCACUAGUUAGAAAAGAUUCCUUGGACAAGAAAUGAUACAUGAACUAGAAUUACAAAUUUUCAUUAUAAUAUUGCCUUUUCAUCAUUUUGCACAUCUGACACUACCAAAUACAAAGCAUUCUUUUCACAUAUAGGAUUUUGUAGAAGUUAUAUAAAACAAUGAUGAAUGGGUUAUUUCCAUGUCAGUUAAGCGCAUGCAUGAACGUACUGAAAUGAUGAAUAGUUUGUGAUAUUUGUCACCUCUGUCUAGAUAUGGACCAGUACACUACAGCGAACAAUUCUGACAGCAGGCCCCAUUGUUGGAUUUCCUAAGGUUAGUGUCAUCCUUAAGUCAGAAAAUAUGGAUUGACAUAAUUGCACAUUGAUUGUGUUCCUGCAUCGACUUUCUAUACAUUUUAGAUACAAUGGCGUGCACUUGAUGAGAUAGAUGCCGGGGUGUGUGAUGGAAUGACAUACCAAGAAAUCAAGAAGAACAUGCCAGAGGAGUAUGAGUAUGUCUCAAACUUGUAAUCUCACUUAUUUGAAAGCUGAAUGAACUAGUAUUAUUAGAUAAAAAAUCAAGUGUUUAAAAGUAGCAUAAUGCCAAUUAAAAUGUUUAAGUGUAUUUAGUUAUUUUAUUUAUAUUUUGGUUAUUUCCAUUGCAGAUCCCGCAAAAAGGACAAACUUAGGUAUCGUUAUCCUCGUGGGGAGUCUUAUUUGGACGUUAUUCAAAGGUUGAUACAUUGCAUCUUUAACACUAUUUAGAUCCUAGCUACUACUUGUUUGACAUAAAUAACUUAAGUUUUCAUGAUAUUUCAGGUUAGAGCCUGUAAUUAUUGAGCUUGAGCGGCAACGAGCACCUGUUGUUGUGGUAUCUCACCAGGUAUUGCAUAUAUGAUGUUAAAAAGUAAACUUGCAUUUAUGUAUCUUUCACUGGUUUUAAUUCUUGACAUUUUUGCCAAUACUUCUUCAUUGCAGGCAGUUUUGAGGGCAUUGUAUGCUUAUUUUACGGACAGGCCUUUGAAAGAAAUUCCACAUAUGGAGGUAAUAUAUGAGUUAAUAUUUAUCUGAAUGCAAUGUUCUUACUGUCAUAUAUGGAGUUGAUGCAAAAACCUGAUUGUGUUUUUGGCAAAUAUUUUAACUUUGAUAUGAAAAUGUUAGUAUAUUGGUUGUUAUGUUCGUAUUUUCUCCUUCACUGAGAGUUGAACCCUGAUUCUUUUACGCUUUCAACUCAUUUAACCUUUGGCAAUUAUUUAAGCACAUCUUUUGGUUAUUUUCAUUAAAAAAUAUUUAUGUGGUUCACCCACCAAAAUUUCAGAAACAUUUUAAUGGAUCAAGAAUUUGAACAAGAUAUCUAAUGUGAGGUUUGCUCAUUUGCAGGUGCCACUUCAUACUAUAAUAGAGAUAGAGUUGGGAGUUACAGGUGUCCAAGAGAAAAGAUACAAACUAAUGGACUGAUGUGAGUAUAGAAGAAGAGAAGAAAAGGGAUGUUAACAAAAGAUUUGAAGUAAACUUUUUUUUUUUUUUUUGUAAUGAGGAAAAAAUGAUGAAUUAUCAUGUAAAUUGUGAUCCUCUUAAAAGUUAUUUAUUCAUAUUGAUGAGCAUAUCUUAGUUCCUUAUUUGAAGAAUUUUAAAGUUCAAAACAAAAGUAGCACAAGUUUUUACUCAGCAAACUCAAAGUUCCCAUCCUUUUCAGUUCACUCCCUUUUUUGCAAAUCCAUUAAAUGCUGAUAGAAUUAGUUAAAAACAACUUAAAGAAGUAGGUAUGGACCAACAUGAACAAUUUUUGGUCCUCUCCUGAGAGACUACGAGUAGCAGGUUUGCAGGUCUCAGCAUUUGUAGGCCAACUCAGACCAAUGAAAAACAACCACAAAUAAUUUUCCAAUUUUUAUGUCUAUAUUACCAACAUUUCUCAUAGAAAACUUUCAAAUGGCGUUAAUUUAUAGAGGUCAUUAAUGAAUUUUAUGAAAAUUCACCUUAAUGAAUUAUAUAAACACCUAUUGGAAGGGACCAAGACAUUCUGCAUUUUGCCGCAUUCAUGUAGUCACGAUAUCCAUGAUUUGAUAUCGGACGUUUUUUAAGAUCAGUAUAUUUUCUCAAAAGAAUCUGACGAUCUCGAUUUAACGAUCACACAUAUUGUGGCCGCAUGAAGAUGGCCACUGCCAACAGCAUGCAAUCCAAUUUUCUAUUGGAUGAUGUUUUCCAAGAAGCUUUGAAGAAGUAGAUACCAUCAGCAUGCUGCAUGCCUACUCUAUAAAAAGUAAAAACUAGAAAAAGGAAAGAAAGAAAUAAAAAGUAGUGAUAGAUGCAUCACCGGAAACAUGUAUGAAAAUAUGGCAUUGGCAUGGAAUCUAUGCAAAGAUCUCUUACUGCAGUCAGCCGUGGACUGAGGGUGACUAUAGUACUACUACUACUAGGGUGGUCAAAAUAAAUGGAAAGACGAAAAAGUCCUUCAUUUAUAGUAUAGGUUUCCAUUCACAUGGGACCCCUGAAUUCUCACAUUCAUCCAUCUUGAUAUCUUUAAAACAUGAAUUAGGAGGGUCCCAUUUUCUGCCUCACUAGCUAAACAAAUACAACAGCCACUCUAACAUUGACAACUGAAAUAUUGUUGGCGUAGAACUGAAAUAUUGUUGGUAUAUGCAUAAGUUUGUUUAUUGAUCAACCAAUAGAAAUAAAUUUGUUCAUAAUAUAAUAGCUAUUUCAUUUAUGCACCAUAAAAAUAACUAUACAAGACUUAAUUAUAGAACCCUUCUUUACCAUCAUUCAAUCUUUAUACGCAGACGAUUUGUUAAUGAUUAUAUGAAAUUCACACACACAACUAUGAAAUCUCAUAUUCGUAUUUAAGUGAAAAUUUCAGUUUAGUAAUAUGAUAUGCAUAUGUAUUGCAAAUUUUUAAUUGUUUUUCUAAAUAUAUUCAACAAACUAAUGUUAGGAGUGGAGAAACUAGUAUUUGACUUACUCACUCUAACACUCUCUUAAACCUUCUCAAAAUUGUACAAUAUCUCAUUUAUUAGUCAUAAGUCAUAAGACCUUUUGCUACACCAAAAUAAACUAAUUAAAACUAAAUAUAAAUAAAUUCACACUCAAACCCUCCACAUGAAUCUAAUAAAACUCACCUACCUACCACCUUCCACUGCCAUUGCCUUCACGGGUGUUCAUUUCUCCCCCCUCCUUUUUCUCUUCAACCUCCCCUCAUCCCAUCCUCACAUUCAUCACUCCCUUGGAUACAAGGACUCUUCUCCUUUCACAAAACCAUACUACACUUCAUAAUUUCUCAAUUCCCUUCAAACAUAUCCACAUACACAACAACAAACCAUAACAAAACAAGAAUCUUCUACAUUGUACACACAAAUAUGGUAUUAUUAAGGUUCUCUUUGAACAUAUAAAAAAAUCUUCUUCACAAACCACUUCAAGUUCAAUCUUUUCCUAAAAAACCAUUCCAAAUCUAUUUCACCUAUUAGACCAAAUUUCACUUCUCAACUCACGCUGAAAGUACCGAGUGUAACUUAAGUCAGAGAUGCUAAACCAACCCAACUCAGAAAACUCAUCCACCAAUCCAUUGAAUCAACUAGCACAAAACAUGUCCUCCGACAACUACAUCAUGCUUGCAGCAAUCAUUUCUCUCCUCCUAGUAAUCAUCUUUGUCCUCCUUCUUCACCUCUACGCCAAAUGGUUCCUAGCUCAAUCCAAUCCUCGCAGUCCGGUGAACCUCUCCGACAUUCCAAUAUCUCCCAACUUCCACCACCAUUUCAACAUCCAAUCCCCACCAUUUAAAGGACUCAACUCAACAACACUUUCAACCAUUCCCACGUUUGUGUCUGAAGAAAAAACACAAGAACUAGAAUGUGUGAUUUGUUUGAGUUACAUUGAAGAAGGAGAGAUUGGAAGAAAGUUACCAAAAUGUGGACAUGCUUUUCAUGUUGAAUGUAUUGAUAUGUGGCUGAAUUCACAUUGUAACUGUCCCAUUUGUAGAGGUUUGAUUGUUGAGGAAGAUUCUCAUGGUGGUAAUGUUGUUGAGAUUGUGAUUGAUACUCCAAGUUAUAGUGAGAGUGGUUCUGUUUCUGUUUCAGAAACUAGUUCUUUAUCUUUGUUUGGAUUUUCUUUCAAGAGAAUUCUUAGCAAAGUUUUUCUUUCUUCACAUGUAAAUGAAUUAGAUAAUGGUUCACAAUGAUAUUAUUUAUUUUUUGUUCUAUUGUUUAUAACUAUAUAUUAUAUAUACAACCAUGAGAAGUUAAUCGCUAUGAUUAGACAAUUUUUGUUUGUUUCAGCUUGUUUAUGUAUAUCCUAUUAUUGUUAAAUUGUUUGGUUUCUUUUGGAUAUGUAAUUUUCAUUUUUAAUUUCUUAAUUGGUUUAAGACUUGAGAGAAUUAAAUUAAAUCAUACACACUCAAGAACUAAUAUAUCAACCUAAUCACUUCUACAACAAAGCGAUUGUGAACGAGACUACAUCAACCAUAUUUAACCGCGAUUUUUUUCUUUUCAAUAUUAGAGAUUGUGUGCGUGUUUGAAUUAAUUGUAAUUUUGACGAAAUCACGAUGAUGCUGUAAUUUUUUAGAAGAUUCAAAGUAAAACUUUUAUCAAAAUCGUAGUAAUAAAAUGGGAUUUUACUAAACUCACACUAUAAGUCUCUUUACUAAUUUUAAUGACAUUUCACAUGCAAGCAAUGUCAUGCAAAUAUCUUCUACAUCUAAUUAAUAAUAUAGAAUAUAAACAAAUUAUGUGAAUAAAUAAACAAGACAACAAAAACACUUGACUAAUAUUGUUAUGUUUCUAUGUGAAGGAAAGAAGUGUGGCAAGACCAAGAGAGUGUCUUCCUCAAAGUCAAACGGAAAGAAAAGACAAGAGGAAGUACUUAUUUGGCAACAAGUGUCUGCCAUCAUCUGUCAUGACUUAUGACACUUUUUUGCAGCAAUUCAUUGUUCUGAAAGUCUAGGCUUUCUUUUGUUUCUAUUGUGAUUAAAUAGUCAAGCAAGGAAGGACAAAAUGAUGGGCCAUGAGGAAAGAUAGAAAUGCUAGAAAACACAGUCUUAUUAUUGAAUGAAAUUGGUGUGAGUCUCAUUGGUUUAUCUAAGAUUUAUUUCUAAAGUACGAGACUCAGGUGAAUUUUAUACAAUAAAAGAGUGGUUGUCAGACAAAGUGUUAGAAAAAGAGUGUUUUAAGAUGGAUCAAAAUAUAGGAUAUAUAAUAUAUUAAUGGAUCGACUCAUUUCACAUUUCACACUAUAGUUUCGGGCGUUAACUAUUAGUUAAGUAUAUGAAAUUGUAAACCAUUAUUAAUUUAAUAGAUGGAUUACACUUAAAUUUACAAAAUUUCAAUCACAUAAUUAGAUGAAAAAAAAUUGUCCCCGAAAAUUUAGUUAUGUUGGUAAGGACAAUAAAUAUAUGCAAGAUCUGGGAUUCAAACCUCGCACACCAUUAAAAGAUGAGAGAAAAAAUUGGUUAAGAAAAUUAAAAGAGAGAGACAAAGGCAAUAAAGAUAGAUAAUUCUUUUCGAAUGAAACACGUAUUUUAACACAUAAAAGACAACACCACAAUAUGUCGAAGAAGUGUCAUGUCCGAUAUACAUGUUCCAUGCCCUGACACGAUGCGGAUUGAGAUCAUCUCCAAUAUGCAUCCCUCUUCGACAAAGAAAAUGAGUGUGGAAGGUGAGAGAAAAAGGGGAAAACGAUAAAAAGAUUAAGAAAUAAAAAUAUUAGAGAGAUAGAUAGAGAAAAAGGCUUAAUAACAGUUUUCGCCCCUUAAGAAAAAAAAUUACAAAACUGCCCCCUAAGUUUUGCAACUGUAGCAGUUUUGGCCCCCCAAGGAAAAAAAAAGGGUUAAAUAUGUUUUUGGUCCCUAUAAAUAUACCAACUUUUUCGUUUUAAUCCCCCUAAAAUUUUCCUUCAACUUUUAGUCCCUAAAAAAAUUUUCAUCUUCACUUUUGGUCACUCUUUUAAAGUAAACUCAUAUGUAGAAUUCAUAUUUUUGAAUAAAAAUUUGCAGAAAAAUUCUUAAUAUUAUAAGAAUCUUACCCCAAAAAGUUUAGAAUUUUUUAACAAAACAUAAAUUUAAUAUGAAUUUUUAUAUUUUUUAUGGUUAAAAAAUUCUAAUUUCUUUUUGUAAUUUUUUUUACAAUAUUCUACACAUUUGUGUACAAUUUCAUUGAAAUAUACUAAAAUUAACUUUAAAUUAGGGAUCAAAAGCAGUGACUGAAAAUUUUAUAGAGACUAAAAGUUGAAGGAAAAUUUUAGAGGGACUAAAACAAAAAGUUGGUAUAUUUAUAGGGAGCAAAAACAUAUUUAACCAAAAAAAAAAAAAAAUAACACUGGGCACCUCACUUAGGGUGCCACGUCAGCGUAGACAGAGUCAAAAUUGGCCUACAGGUGCAAAACUGCCACAGGUGCAAAACUUAGGGGGCGGUUUUGUAGUAAUUUUUUCUUAGGGGCUAAAAUCGCAACUUUGAGAAAAUUAGGUGGCUGAAACUGCUAUUAAGGCAAAGAAAAAUAUAGGAGAGAAAUAGGGAAAAUAAGGAAAAAUAUAGGAGAGAAAUGGAAUAGAUGAAGUACAUGAUUUUUAAUUUUAAAGAAUAAAUUCACAACUCUAUAAUUUUAUGAAUUAAAUUUGUGAUUCAAUUUAUUUUUAAAACAAAAGUUUAUGUCCUCUGGGAGUGGGACCUGGUCAAUGUUUUAUGAAGAAGCUCUUCUGCAUGAGCCCAGCUAUGUAAAUACGGUCAAUGAAACUGCUACAAGUGAGGCCAUUUAUAGUGACCUUUGCUUUGUAAUAUUUAUUAUUUAGUACACAACUUGGCCCUAUAUAGUCUAACUUAGCUAAAUAUCAUGCAUGCAGCUUUUGUUUUUUGACUCAUCUAAUGAUGCAGCUGAAACUAUAAAACAUUGAUGAUCUAGAACCAGAAUGCUACACUACAUAGCUUCACACAUGGAAAUAUUCUUGGCCGAAAAUACAGUUUUGUGCAUGGAACUAAUAUCCAAAAUAGUUGGAUAUUAAUAAGUGAGCACUAAAACAAAUAUUCUUGUUUGUGUUGUUGGAUAUCAUCUCACUUUUAUUUUUUUGUUGGAUAUUUGUAUUGACUGCAUUGUGUUGUUGGAAUCAAUGUUCCAACGUAUCUCUGUAAGAUGUUGGAUACGAUGUUCCAACAUCCUGGCACGGUUCAGUGUGCCUGAGUUCAUGCUUAUUUGUACGGGCGCCCUUUAUUGUUUAAGGAAACAAUAUUUCCUUAUCUUAUUGAUCAAGCAACGCGCAUAUCUUUACAGAAUCAGUUGUGGAAUAUUCCUAAAGUUGUGUUUAUAUUUUAGGAAAUAUUUGAAGUUGUUUUGUGACGAUCCUAAAGAUGUUCCGACAUUAUAGGACUUUCCAUAUUUGUUUCUAAUUCUUGUUUUGCAGAUCAGUUGGACGAUCUGUUUUGUUCUGAAGCCCAACAAGUUUAUUUGACUUGAGUUGCUUCAGUAUAUAAGGGAGACUUCAAGACCUAAUGAACUAUUCAAGCCGUAAUUCUAAAAAGUUUAGAUUUUUAGGGUUUUGAGUAUACAUGUGUUCUACUCUUGUAUCAUGUUGAUGCAAGUUUAGUACCUUUAUUGUGAGCCUUUCUUGUGUCGUUUGUGAUACAUGUUAAGGACUGUGUGUUAAGUUGUAUUCACUUGUGUACUACACCAAAGCUUGUAAGCAAGGUGUUAGUUGUAUGUUUGAAGGUAACUUCACCGUUAGUUUGUGUUUUAGGUCUGAUAGGUCACAUGGGUUGUGAUUGACCAUAGGAUAGUGAGAUGAGAUCUCAGAUCUAGGAGUUCCUAGAUUGAAAUCAAUAUGGGUAGGUCCUAGGUCUUUAGUGUAAACGAGGAGUUUGCUGAGAGCUAUAGAAUAAGGACUGCACUAGUGGAUUUCCUUCCUGGAUUGGUAGCCCCCAGAGUAGGUGUGUUUGUCACCGAACUGGGUCAACAAACUCACUGUGUUCUUUACUUUCUUGUCUUUUAUUUCUUGUUUUUUAUCUCUGUUUAUUUCGUAAUGUUGGAACAUUGAACGGAACAUUAACGUUGAAACAUCUUACAGAACAUAUUAAAACAAGUGCGUUAGAAUUUCAUUUUUGCAUACCCUUAGUGACAGUUAACUGUUACUCCCUCCCUAACAGUCUUUGCCGAGCAAUAAUUAACUCUUAUUGGGGGUAAUAAUUAAAGUGAGAUGAGUAAAAUUCUACUAUUUUUUGCCGUCGAUUCUUGGAGAUAUGAGCUCUUAUAAUCAAAGUAUAGCAAGGUAAAUAAAGCAAAAAAAAAAAAAAAAAACAACAAAAGCAUCAAUCGAUAACAAAGUAUAGGUUUUGUAAAAUCAUCUGCUAAAAAAAAAAAGGUUUUGUGAAAUCAUAAUGGGUAAGUGUGAUUCCAAUAAAAUUUAUUGUGAUACAAAACAUUAGAAUAAAAUUGAUUUCUGCCAUUCCUCUAAGAUUUUGAUGAUAAAGUAUUGAAAAACAAUUGGAUAUACUAAUAAAAUCUAUUCAACGGAGUAUAAUAAAUGUGCAUGACCAUUGAUGAAGGAUUUUUACCUCUCAUAAAACUAUUUACACGUAAGUAUAAUAGGAUCGUGUCCACAGGGAGUUGCGUAUUUCAUAAGCAUUUUCACAAUAUUUGUCACAUUAAGUGUUAGGGUAUAAAUUGUUUGUUUGUGUAAAACUAUUUUCCUAAUCGACAUAAAAGUAAAACGAGAAGAGAUAGGGCUAUUCCGCUUGCGGUCAGAGACAUCAACCAAGCGUAACAGCUGCAAUCUCUCGAUCGAUUAACGGAUUCUAGCUUUUUAAACUAUAUUAUCACAAUCACUCGACAAUAUCAUUCGUGUCCAAAUGAUAUCGUUAUUUCUAAGAGAUCGUUUAAAUAUCGAUUUCCCAAACAUUUAAACGAUCACAAAGUCGUUUGGGUAGUUUAAUCGACGAUUUCCCAACCGAUUAAAUUACCCAAAAACAUUAAGUUCUAGAUUAAAAGUGAUUAUCAAAUAUUAACAUCCAUGUCUAGAGUGAUAACUUAAGAUAGAUUAUUAUUCUAUUUCUAGAUUCAAAAGUAUGUGUCCAUAUCAUUUUGAAUCUCAAUAAAACAAUAAAAACAAGAAUAACAACAAUAUUGAAUAAAUAAGCUAGAACCAUAUAUUAAAAGAUCAAAAGAUUACAUAAUAGCUUGUUUGAAUACCUCAAAACUACAAGAGUAGAUGUAGCUACAUAUGUCUAUGAUAGCUUUGCAAAGGAUGAAGAAAGGGUGAAGAUUCCAUGACAAGAUCCAUGAUGUCUCAACAAAUAUUGGCUUGAAUCUACUCCUAACUACCUUGCUUUGUGUUUCUCUCUCUAGAAAAGCCCUAGUCUCUCUCUAAAACCAGAAAAAUAUGAAUAAAAAUGUAAUAGAAUAUUUUGGAAAGAGAAGAGAAAACUAUUUAUAUGGGCUGACUGCGUGCCAGUUCGCUUAAGCGAAUCAUAGUUCGCUUAAGCGAACAUCCAGGAAAUCUAAUGUUGACCAUUGAGGAGCUGCCACGUGGUCCUUAUCUUCUGAAGUUGGAUGAACUUCGCUUAAGCGACACGCAAGCGAACGUGUGAGCGAACUUUCUUGGAGCUCUCUGUAACUAGUUCGCUUAAGCGAACCGUAGGUCGCUUAAGCGAAAUGACCUUUUCUUCAUGAGCGAACUGGAAGCGUGCUAGUAAGCGAAGAAUCCUGGUGCUCUCUGGAACUUGUUCGCUUAAGCGAACCAUAGGUCGCUUAAGCGAACUGAGCUUUAUCAUGAGCGAACUGAAGGCGUGCUUGUAAGCGAAUAGAACGGUUGCUCUCUGUAACUGGUUCGCUUAAGCGAACAGGGGUUCGCUUAAGCGAACAGACCUUGGUUCAGGAGCUUCCUUCUUUUGGUCCUUGCUUGUCAUUUCCUGCAUAAAUUGGGUAGAAUCAGGCAUGUAAAGCAUAAAUGGUAAUAUUACACUCAAAUGGUAGCUUUUCCUUAGAUAACUUGCAAAACAAGUCACUAAUUUGCCUAAGUUAACACAUGAAAUAUGUUACUUUUGAGCACUUAUCAACCAUAUAAUAAAAUCUAUUGAUGAAUUGAACAUGUAUUAUAGCAUGAGAAGCACUAGAGAAGCUUAAAAGACUAUAGUAGAAGAUAUGAAGAAAGGUCAACCAGAAGUCAACAUCUAGGAUCAGAAGAAAGGAUGCUCAUCAGACUCUGAAGGAUGCUACUCAGACUCUGAAGGAUCAUCUGACUCAGAAGGCAACGUGAGACUUGGAAGACCCCCAGCUCAGAAGAUCUUGAGGGACCCAGACUCCACGUCAGUUUUGUCAUCAUAUGUAGUUAUCUCUAUCAAGGAUCUGAGUACAGUUUUGUUUUCUUCUGACAACAUGUAGAAAUGGACAAAGAACUUCAUGGACAAAGAGAAUGAACGGAUAAUUUGAGUUUAAGCUAAGCAAAGGAAUUUCAAAUGAAUAUUCAACGGAAUUAUCCAUAUCAGGAAAUGGUCCAACGUCCUUGAUUUGAAACUUCUCAACAACUCUUAAUGCGAUGACACUCUUCUCCAUCGUCUCUCAAAUCCCUGCCUAUAAAAUGAGCUGAAGACCUGAAGAAGAUCAACAAGACUCUGCUAUUUUUACCGUGUCAUUACUAUGUCAAAAUCAAAUAGAGAAAAAACACUUAGAAUUUCUUAUAUAAGUUUAUAUCUUAGAAAUUCUAAAGUCUUAAGAAUAUGUUCAAUAUUUUUCUGUUUAUACCUCUGAUUCUAUAUCAAGUGUAAGAACAAAUUUGUUUACUUGUAAACAAAUAGAAAUCUCUUGCUUGUGAAGUUUGAGCACUAGAAGUCUCUCUCUCUCUCUCUCUCUCUCUCUCUCUCUCUCUCUCCCUCUCCCUCUCCCUCUCUCGCUCUCCCUCUCCCUCUCUCUAUAUAUAUAUCAGAUUCUGACCAAUGUUUAAAACUUAAAAAAAGAAUCAAACACAAUUUAACCCCAUUCUUAUGUUUUUCUCACCUUCAAAACAUGCACUAACUCAAUAUACAAAGUUAUAUAUAUGGAGAUCAAUUUACUGAAAUAGUAAACCUUUUAAAGUUGCUCUAAAUAAAAAAUAUAUAUAUUUUUAUAGUUACAUCCCGGUUACAUACAUAAGAAGAAAAAAAAGCUCUUACAAUGAUUAUGAAAUACAGUAAAGUGUAGUCAAUUUUCUAGAUUUUGUAUAAAGCAUAUAAGUUAAAGUGACUACAAAUAAUACCUAAGAAUAUAAUUAAUGAUUUGAAAAAUCCUCUCAACGUCUUUGAGUCAUGUCUGAGCUCCGUCAAGAUCAUAUCUGCCCUUAAAGUUAGGCGGAUGGUUCCUCAGAAAAGUCUCUAACAUACGAACUCCAUCAUUACCUCCAACAUUAGGCUGUUGCCCUACAGCUUGAGCCACAACUUCCAACACAGCAGCAAUAGCAGCAUCCUUCCUUCCAGCCAUCUCGGUUCACUAUACAACAAACAUUAAUUAGGAAACACAACGACAGUAUUCAACUGUCACACGACACCAACGACUCAACUACUUGGUCGAACGGACCGACUUGCUCUGAUACCAAUUGUAACACCCUGUUUUUCCAAUAUAUAAAUAAUAUAAAAAAGAUCAGAGUUCAUCACAAACAGGAUGUCACAUUUCGUUCUUCAAAAUAAUAUUUAACACAAAUAGAGUUAAAAUCCACUCUUUAUUUAAAUCAUCUGCUAACAACAAUUUUCAACAACGUCGCAAAAUAUUUAUUCUUUCAACAAAAUGGCACUAAGGCCUCAACAUAAACAACGUCAAUAAACAACAAAGUCCCCAUCCUGUUAUGUAUCAUAGCGACUCCUAAGACGACACGGGGAAUAACUCACAUCAGCGGUUACUUCUGGUUAUCUGCACGUUACCCACGUAGAGGCAACAUUCAAACAGAGGGGUGAGAUUUCACAUUCAAUAAUAAUAAGCAUAUAAUUCUAUAAAAGAAUUUAACAACACAAAAUAGCAUCAAUUCAUCAUUAACGAUAUUAAUAAACAAUAAUUCAUGUGAGAGAAUUUAACAACAUAAAACAACAUCAAUUCAUCAUUAACAAUAAUUCAUGUGAGAGAGUUUAACAACUCGAAACAACGGCAAUUCAUCUUCAACAAUGCUUCACAUAAUUCCAAUCAACAAUUCAUCAAUUAUCUUCACUUCAACAAUGCAAUAAUAACAACAACAACAAUACAACAACAACAACAAUUCGACAAUGCAACAACAACAACUCAACAAAUGCUAAUAUGCAUGUGGUACCAUCAGAGCAUCAAGCUCCUUACAACAGAGCAUCAAGCUCCCUUUUAUUAUAUAACAGAGCAUCAAACUCCCAUCGAUUAAAUAACAGAGCUUCAAGCUCCAUUUGCUUAAAAUUAACAGAGCAUCAAGCCCUCUUCGCUUAAAAUGAUUAUGUAUUAGAAAGAACUCGAUUAGUACUUUUAAUGGCAUUUUAAGCAAAAAUUAGCAAGCGAUGUUUAGAUAAACUGAUCAGAUAAAGAAACCACAUAAGAUUGAACUCAACCUUCCUUCAAAACAAAAAAGAAAAAUAUUGAACCCAACCUCUCUCUCUCUCACUCUUCUUCGGAACACCGUGACCUUCAGAAAGUUUCGGUUUUCAUCUUUGUUAACCAGACGCAACCUCACAUCACGUUUAUCGACCGUUCUCUCUUCAACUUUCCAGAUUCGACAUAUCUCCAACAACACUACUUCAUGGAUCGACGAACCGCAUCGUAAGACCUGGAUCGCGGGACUCAUGGACACUCAAUCAACGAGUCCUGAGUUAUGAGAUCUCUUAUAUGCCUGUGACAUGGAAAGGUAUAGAAAAACCAAAAGCCGUAAUAGUCAUAACAUGUCAAGAAUCAAAUACAAAAUAAGGUCCGAGUACCAAAUUGAUCCAUGUCAAAUAGUGUACACGUACCUGAGAUUGAAAGACGUGAAGCUAAUGUAAUGAGAGAGAGUUUAUUAUCUUAUGUUUGUUUUGGAUCUGAUAUGAUUUGUUUAUUUCGGAUCUGAUUUGCUUUGUUUCUUUCUUCUGGAAAAGAAUAUGAUAUGCUUUGUUUAUUAUUAUGGGGUAAUAUUAAAUUCAACAACAGUAAAUCAUUGAUGGUAAGUUUGAUAAGUUAUUUUUAAUUAAUACAUGAUGAGGACAUUUAUUCAAUCAUUGAUUUUAUCAAAAAUAAAAUAAAAUAAAAUAAUAUCUACCAUUGAUUUGUUAAUUUAACCUAUUCAAAGUGAUUUCUGUACUUUAGAGUGUGAAAUGAAUAAGAGAAUUGUUGUUCACACAUUUGAUAAGGCUGAGAAACACGAGUAAAAUUCGUUUUUGCCCCCUUGGCAGUUAACUACCGAGCAAUUCAUCAUCAACAAUGCUUAACAUAAUUCCAAUCAACAAUUCAUCAAUUAUCUUCACUUCAACAAUGCAAUAAUAACAACAACAAAGCAUAUCAUAUAACCUCAUAUCAUCAACAUAUACAUUCAUAUAAUAAUUCAUCAAUCAUGAGCAACAUCAUAUAACCUCAUAUCAUCAACAUAUACACUCAUAUAAUAAUUCAUUAAUCAUGAACAAUAUCAUAUAUAUUCAUAUAAUAAUUCAUCAAUCAUGAACAACAUCAUAUACAUUCGUAUUUAUCAACAUAUACACUCAUAUAAUAAUUCAUUAAUCAUGAACAACAUCAUAUACAUUCAUAUAAUAAUUCAUCAAUUACGAACAACAUCAUAUAUAUUCAUAUAAUAAUUCAUCAAUUAUGAAAAACAUCAUAUACAUUCAUAUUCAUCAACAUAUACACUUAUAUAAUAAUUCUUUAAUCAUUAACAUCAUAUAACCUCUUAUUCAUCAACAUAUACACUCAUAUAAUAAUUCAUUAAUCAUGAACAACAUCAUAUACAUUCAUUCAAUCAUGAACAACAUCAUAUAUAUUUAUUAAAUAAUUCAUCAAUCAUGAACAACCUCAUAUAUACUCAUAUAAUAAUUCAUCGAUCAUUAACAACAUCAUAUUCAUCAACAUAUACAUUCAUAUAGAUAUUAAAUCAUCCAACAAAGAUAUUCACGUCACACCAAGUUAGAUCCAUCACAACAUAGGUUAAAUACUCUUAAACACCUUAAUUCAACUCAUAGUACACAAGUUUUGAAUUUUGGAGACAAUCCAUAAAUUUUGGGUUGACUUACAAAUAGUUAUGCGGAAUUUUUAUAAAAUUUCACUAAGAUUGAACUCAACCUUCCUUCAAAACAAAAAAGAAAAAGAUUGAACCCAACCUCUCUCUCUCUGUCACUCUUCUUCGGAACACCGUGACCUUCAGAAUGUUUCGGUUUUCAUCUUUGUUAACCAAACGCAACCUCACAUCACGUUUAUCGACCGUUCUCUCUUCAACUUUUCAGAUCCGACACAUCUCCAACAACGCUACUCCAUGCAUCGACGAGCCGCGGUGUAAGAUCUGGAUCGCGGGACUCAUGGGCACUGAAUCAACGAGUCCUGAGUUACGAGAUCUCUUCUAUGCCUGUGACAUGGAAGGGUAUAGAAAAACCAAAAGUCGUAAUAGCCAUAACAUGUCAAGAAUCAGAUACAAAAUAAGGUCCGAGUACCAAAUUGAUCCAUGUCAAAUAGUGUACACGUACCUGAGAUUGAAAGGCAUGAAGGUAAUGUAAUGAGAGAGUUUAUUAUAUUAUGUUUGUUUUGGAUCUGAUAUGAUUUGUUUAUUUCGGAUCUGAUUUGCUUUGUUUCUUUCUUUUGAAAAAGAAUAUGAUAUGCUUUGUUUAUUUUGGAUCUGAUUUGCUUUGUUUUUUUCUUUUUGGAAAAGAAUAUGAUAUGCUUUGUUUAUUAUUGUGGGUUAAUAUUAAAUUCAAUAACAGUAAAUCAUUAAUGGUGCGUUUGAUAAGUUAUUUUUAAUUAAUUCAUGGUGGGAACAUUUAUUCAAUCAUUGAUUUUAUCAAAAAUAAAAUAAUAUCUACCAUUGAUUUGUUAAUUUAACCUAUUCAAAGUGUGAAAUGAAUAAGAGAAUUGUUGUUCACACAUUUGAUAAGGCCGAGAAACACGAGUAAAAUACGUUUUUGCCCCCUUGGCAGUCAGUUAACUGCCGAGCAAUUCAUCAUCAACAAUGUUUCACGUAAUUCCAAUCAACAAUUCAUCAAUUAUCUUCACUUCAACAAUGCAAUAAUAACAACAACAACAACAAUGCAACAACAACAACAACAAUUCGACAAUGCAACAACAACAACUCAACAAAUGCUAAUAUGCAUGUGGUACCAUCAGAGCAUCAAGCGCCCUUCGAUUAAAUAACAGAGCAUCAAACUCCAUUUGCUUAAAAUUAACAGAGCAUCAAGCCCUCUUCGCUUAAAAUGAUUAUGUAUUGACACAACCAAUGCAACAACAACAACAACAACAACCACGACAACUUUGCAUUAUGACUUCAUAAUUCAUCAAUCAUAAACAACAUCAUAUACAUUCAUAUUCAUCAACAGAUACAUUCAUAUAAUAAUUCAUUAAUCAUGAACAACAUCAUAUAACAUCAUAUCAUCAAGAUAUACACUCAUAUAAUAAUUCAUUAAUCAUGAACAACAUUAUAUAUAUUCAUAUAAUAAUUCAUCAGUCAUGAACAACAUCAUAUAACGUCAUAUUCAUCAACAUAUACACUCAAAUAAUAAUUCAUUAAUCAUGAACAACAUCAUAUACAUUCAUAUAAUAAUUCAUCAAUUACGAACAACAUCAUAUAUAUUCAUAUAAUAAUUCAUCAAUCAUGAAAAACAUCAUAUACAUUCAUAUUCAUCAACAUAUACACUCAUAUAAUAAUUCAUCAAUCAUUAACAACAUCAUAUAACCUCAUAUUCAUCAACAUAUACACUCAUAUAAUAAUUCAUUAAUCAUGAACAACAUGAUAUAUAUUUAUUAAAUAAUUCAUCAAUCAUGAGCAACCUCAUAUAUAUUCAUAUAAUAAUCCAUCAAUCAUUAACAACAUCAUAUUCAUCAACAUAUACAUUCAUAUAGAUAUUAAAUCAUCCAACAAAGAUAUUCACGUCACACCAAGUUAGAUUCAUCACAACAUAGGUUAAAUACUCUUAAACACCUUAAUUCAACUCAUAGUACACAAGCUUUGAAUUUUAAAGACAAUCCAUAAGUUUUGGGUUGACUUAGAAAUAGUUAUGCGGAAUUUUCAUAAAAUUUCACUAAGAUUGAACUCAACCUUCCUUCAAAACAAAAAAGAAAAAGAUUGAACCCAACCUCUCUCUCUCACUCUUCUUUGGAACACCGUGACCUUCAAAAUGUUUCGGUUUUCAUCUUUGUUAACCAAACGCAACCUCACAUCACGUUUAUCGGCCGUUCUCUCUUCAACUUUCCAGAUCCGACACAUCUCCAACAACACUACUCCAUGCAUCGACGAGCCGCGGUGUAAGAUCUGGAUCGCGGGACUCAUGGGCACUGAAUCAACGAGUCCUGAGUUACGAGAUCUCUUCUACGCCUGUGACAUGGAAGGUUAUAGAAAAACCAAAAGCGGUAAUAGCCAUAACAUGUCAAGAAUUAGAUACAAAAUAAGGUCCGAGUACCAAAUUGAUCCAUGUCAAAUAGUGUACAUGUACCUGAGAUUGAAAGGCGUGAAGGUAAUGUAAUGAGAGAGAGUUUAUUAUAUUAUGUUUGUUUUGGAUCUGAUAUGAUUUGUUUAUUUCGGAUCUGAUUUGCUUUGUUUCUUUCUUUUGAAAAAGAAUAUGAUAUGCUUUGUUUAUUACAGAUCUGAUUUGCUUUGUUUCUUUCUUUUUGGAAAAGAAUAUGAUAUGCUUUGUUUAUUAUUAUGGGAUAAUAUUAAAUUCAACAACAGUAAAGCAUUAUUGCUGCGUUUGAUAAGUUAUUUUUAAUUAAUUCAUGGUGGGGACAUUUGUUCAAUCAUUGAUUUUAUCAAAAAUAAAAUAAAAUAAAAUAAUAUCUACCAUUGAUUUGUUAAUUUAACCUAUUCAAAGUGAUUUCUUUACUUUAGAGUGUAAAAUGCAUAAGAGAAUUGUUGUUCAGCAUUAGCACCAGCACCAGCAUUAGGCUGUUGCCCCACAACUUGAGCCACAACUUUCAAUGCAGCAGCAAUAGCAGCGUCGUUUCUUCCAGCCAUCUUUGUUCUAUACACAACAAACAUCAAUCAAAACAGCAUAAAGACAGUAAUACAACUGUUACUCGACACUACUCGACUCAACUACUUAGCCGGAUGGACCGACCUGCUCUGAUACCAAUUAUAACACCCCGUUUUUCCAACAUAAAAAUUUCAUUUAAAUAAUCAGAUUUUUCCACAUAAACGGAAUGCUACACUUCUUAAAUCAUAAACGAAAAUAAAUAACAAUUUAUUCUUCAAAAAUCCAACAACAUAUCUAAUACUUCGCAGCGGAUUAAAUUCAACAUCUAAAAUAGUCUUGACACAAAGGCCUCAUCAAACAUCUUAUAAAAUUCAAUUUAACAACUUAAUCAUGUAUAUUCAUAAGCAAUACGUAAGGAAUAGAAAAUAGCCACAAAGUUCUCAUCCCGUUAUGUAUCAGAGCACCUAAAGACACACGUGAGAGAUAGUCCACUCACGACAGCAACUUAUUCUCGAUCACCUGCAAGUUACUCAUACGAAGGGCAACAUUUCCAAGCAGAAGGGGUGAGAUUUCACAUUCAAUAUAAUAAGCAUAUAAUUCAUCAAAAGCAUUUAACAACUUAUAUUUCAUCAAUUAAUAACAUUACUCUUAUUAUAAUGCUUCAUUAAUAACUCAAUCAACUUCUAAUCAUUAUUAACUUCAUAUUCAUCGCAUUAUUAACAACUUAGACAUCUCAUACGACUCCAAUAAUUUGGAUCAACAUCUUACAACUUAACAACUUAUACAUCUUAAUGGUAUUAAUUCAUCGCAACAGCAAGACAUCAUCGUUUAAACAUAUGCAGCAAGUCACCAUCAUUAAUAAUCAUCAAUUAUAACAAUUACAACUUCAUAUCAACGUCUUUCACAAUAUAUAAUAUUUUCACAUUUAAUCAUAAAAGUAAAUUAUCAAUAUUAAUCAUCUUAUUCAUCCUCUCUGAACCUCAUUAUAAUCCUUAACAACUUCAUUCCUACCCCAUGGGUCGACUCAUAACAUCACGUGCGACAAAAGAUCGCAAGAAACCUAAACAAGAUUGUCUGCCACAAGGUUACUCGCGAGGCGAGGCUCUCUACUCGCUAUGGCGAGUUCAGAAAAAUGGUGCACUCGCUAUGGCGAACUCACUACUCGCCAUGGCGAACUGAAAAAGGGUGCUCUCGGGAGUUUUGACAUUUUUCACUCAAAAACCUCAUUCCUGACUUCUCUACGUCCAAUCUUGAUCUAAAAACUUGCCCAAUCAUUCCUAAACAGGUUAAGGCACUCAAAACCAUCUAAAACUUGACCUCUAACAUCAACUCACAAAAUCAUGUUUCCUUCACUGGUCAACUCGCUAUGGCGAGCAAAUUCUGGGCUUACUCGCGAGGCGAGAGGGUUUACUCGCUAGGCGAGCGAUGAACUUCGUCACUCGCGAGGCGACUACUCAUACUCUCCAGGGCGAGCGAUGAAUGUUAACUCACUCUUGGUUCUAACAUCAAAACUGAUUCUAAACAUUGUUCUAUGAAUAUUAUAAGGUCUGGACACUAUCUCUACAUCAAUCUAACCGAUUAUUCAUCUUAAUUAAUCAAUUCUCCAUCUUUUAACCUAAUUCUCAAACUCUCAAAAUCAUCUCCCUCUACUUGUUAAAUCCAUUUUCAGAAUCAUACAACUUAGAAUUAGAGAAAGUCAGUCCCACCCUUACCAUAAUAUUGAUGAUCGGCGGUCUCUCUCCCUCUUGGUUCUCCUCUUCUCUUGUUUUCUCCCUUUUUCUCCAAAAAGCAGUUUCACGUAAAAGCUUUGCUAAACUUAGUUUCCUCCUUAUAUCUCUCCUCCAUCCACUUUAUCUUAUUUCCUCUAUUUCCACAAAACUCUUCUAAAUUCCAAAACAGCGCCACAUCUCAAUAUUUAUUUUAUUUUCAAAUCUUAUUCUAGUAAAUAAUAAAAUAAGUCUUUAAAUAACACAUCACAUAAAUCAUCAAAGUGGAUUCUAAACUCUAUAAAAUAAUUAAAUAAUUAAAGAGGGCGUUACAUCAGAGACUCCAAUAUCAAAUGUAGUCAUCUCCACCACCGGCCUAUUGUAACAAGAUGCAACGAUGUGUCCCAUAUCCGGCAAUGUCAACCAUUUGUCGGGAGUUGCAAAGCUACUAGUAUUUUUGGGAGGAUGCAAUCCAUCCAAAAUGUACUUGUAACAGUCCGCGCUCAUAUAUACCUCGAUGUAUUUGUUCCUAUGCUCUUUCAACUCUUUAAUAAGUGCUCUCCGCACCAUAACAUGACUUUCUUCCGUCAAACCCACGCGUUUGGCAAUAGUCCUAAACCCACAAUGUUUGUCACCAAUAACAUCCACAAUUCCGUCAAUGUAUUGUCGUCCUCCAUUAAUCUUCCGGCAAGAAGGUGCCCUGCUACAUACCGCACCAUCUCAUGGUUGUGAACGCCAUUAAGAAUAGCCAAUUUCCAAGCAUUGUUUUCCCUCACGACAUAUCCACGCACCUUGAACAAACACCCACAUUUUCUUGAUCUCGUUGCCUCAUGCUUCACUUUUGUCUUCGGUAAUUUGUGCUCGCCGAACCAACUCCAACAUAGUAUUUCUACCUUCACAAGAUCUUCUAAUGAUAAUCGUAAAUCCAGCCCUAUUUGCUUGUCGACGGACCCAACCGAGCAAUUCGUUUUUAUCUUUCCAUGUGUCUCGGGUCGAAAAUAAAUGAGUCGUGUCCACUUCGUUGUCACGAAGUUUCCACACAUCGGAAUUGACGCUUGAAGCCUCAACUUUAAUGGAAGCUUCGACCUUAGCGGGAGCUUCAACCUUAAUGGAAUCGACAACUCUAGGUUUUUGAUCACCCGAAUCAUCACCCGCAUUCUCAACCUUAUCUAUAAAUAAACAACAUACAAUUACUAAACUAAUUAAUAAACUUUUAUCUAAUAUCAUAUAAUAACAUAAACAAAAAAAAAAAAAAAAGGGAAAAAAAUUGGGCAGUAGCUACUGCCAUUUGAAAAUUUUUAAAAUUUUCUAAGUUACCGCCGACAGUUAACAACCGCUCACACCCAGCGGUAGUUAACUGCCGCUAAAGGUCGUGACAAUACAAAAAAAAACCAGAAAAUUCAAUAAAAUGUAAUGGAUUUUAACGUUGUAAUACCUGUUCUUUGAUGCAUAUUAUGUGUAGAAACAUCCUAGCAAUCGAUCAACAAUGAUUUGGAAGCAAGAUUUUGACACAAAAAUUUUGAAAUGAGGAUUUUUUGGGUAUGGUAUUGGUGAUCUAAGGUGAUGAAUGAAUAGGAGAUGUAGGGGUUUUCUGGUUUUGGGGGGAAAACCAACGGCAAUUAACGACCGCUGGAACCAGGCACGUCAGUUUGAAUGGGUCAACCUUUACUCUAAAUGGCUGAGAUGCGGAGAGCGCAUGGUGAGAUAUCUGCCGGAGAGGGUGCUUCGUUAGUUUGGGUGGGUUCAGACCAUACCAAGACAUCCUGUUCAGAGUGCACCUGUUGAUGUUAACUUGGCGGAGAUCACAAACCGCUUUCAUCGUACACUUGAUUAUACGCUGACACCUCAGGAGUUGGGAGAGAUUGCAGUUCAUGGUGUGGAUGCAGAAGAAGGAUACAUCGAGUGGUUUUACCAGGUGUCUUAUCCACGCACGAUUCUUCCCGACAUGCCGGUACGUGUUCCGAGGCCACCGGAGCGUGAGAUCCUUGAUGCGUGAGCUACUAAGGAGGAUGAAGAUCUUGCGUACUUACAACUUAGCGGAAGGAUGAGCCGCAUCAGAGACCACAUCUAUGUUGUGAUGAGAAAUUGUCUGGUGCCGAAAGGGACUGAGGAAUGGCAGCAUUUGGGGGAUGCAUUGAGAGAGGUGCAUGAUGGGAAAGUUUACCGUCGUCGGGGAGCUACUUAGGGUGGCAGGGGUGGUGGCAGAGGUGGCGGUGGUACGGGUGUAGUUAUUAGGGGCUGAUAGUAUUGUAUUUUAUGUUUAUGUUUGAACAUUUUGAAUGCUUUUGAAUUAUGUAACACCUGGAUAAUUUUUAAUGUUAUGUAAUCUUGGAUAAUUUUUAAUUAUAAUUGAUUAAUGUUUUGUUCGAAAAUUAUGUUGUGUUGAUUAUUUUAAUGUUUAUAAGUUCGAUUUACUGUUAGAACAUGUUAGCGGUAUGAUAUGUCUGUUUGGAAGCAAGCAAAAUGCGCCAAAACAGAGGCUCAGCCAAAACAGAUGGCUUCUGCCUCUGUCCUGAUGCAGUCCAGAUUAUAUAAUCCUGACAGGUUUAGCACAUUCGGAUUAUGUAAAUCAUCGUUCACCCUCCCCCCCUUUGUUGACUUUCAAUGGGGUCAUUUACACGUUUCGGAUUAUAUAAUCCGGAAGCUAUCUAACUUUUUCGGAAUAUAUAAUCCGUAACAAUAUAUUCAUAAAUGGCAUCAUCAUCCAUCAGGGUGGAUGAAGUGCCAAAAUACACGAAUAAAUCCGGAAUGAGUUCGGAUUAUAUAAUUCAGACUAGGGGUAUUAUGGAAAAAAUAUAGGGCGCGCGAGGAAAGGCAUAGGGUGGGAAAAACAACACUCUAAAUCAUAAUGCUUCGAUCUGCACUAUAUAUACCACAAGUCUCACUCUGUUUUUAUUGUGUUUUCUUUUAAAGCUAUAUCUUUUGAUUUUGCAACCCAACCUAGACCACAUUGACUAGAAAGUGCAUUCAACGUAGAGACGUGUACGGUUUUUCCUUCAUGUUAUUUUUUUUUUUCUGCAACAUCUUUGUUCAACUCUUUAUUGAAUGGAAUAUUCGAUUUAUUUAACUAAAGCUUUAAAUAGUUUCCCCAAUAACAAGAUGAAUGGUUGGUUAUAUAAGGAAAUGGAAGAAAAUAAAAAUUAAACUUUAUAUGCAAGAUAAAGACCUAUGCCACUAGGAAUCAAAAUUAUAGGAUCCCAUAAUUAGUUCCACCAAUUUGUCUUUUAAAAAACAACACUUAGUGGAAUCUGUGUAUAUAUACUUUUACCAAAAGUUCAAGAAGCACAUUUUCUUAUGAAAAUAAAGAGAUUUUAACAAGACAAGAAAGUGAUACUUUAGAUUACGUUGGUUUAGUGGCAUUGUAGCACCCUCAUUGCUCCAUUCUCCACUAUGUUUUGCAUUAGCAUGCAUUUAGCUUUGUCAAUAUUAUUUUUAGGUAGCUUUACGCAUUUUUCUUUGGACAUUUUUAUUUUGGAUUCAAUUAAUAUAAAAAAUGUAAAGAUUUUUUAUAUUGUCAAUUAGCAUUUUUUUUCCUAACCUGCCGUAAUUAGAAUCUUUGAUUCUGAAAGAGGUAUUCUCAUAAUUUAGAUUCAUUUGAAUAUGUUAUGAGACUAAUAUUCAAGUUAAUGGACAUUUAUUUAUUUUUUAUUAGAAUUGAACUACCUUCUAUCUCUCAAAUGGACGUCACACAUGUUGUUUUCUUAAAAAAAAUUAUAUUAAAAAAAUUAUAUUAUCAACUCUCUCAAUACCCUCUUUAGUAAAUUGACUUUUAUGAACAUUAAAAGUCACACAUAUGAGAUAAUUUAUUAUGCUUGUAAUAUACUAGUGUCAAACUAAAAUCUUCAAGUCUUUAUUUUACGGUAAGUUUAAACUUCAACAAAGUAAAUAAUUACUUAUAUAUAGAACAUUCCUUAAUUUUAAGGAUAUGAGUGUUACCUUAAUAAACUCGCAAUAUAGUAGGAAAAAAACAUUUCAAGGAAGGAUACGUACAAAGUCCUGUUUAAGAUAACUGGAUAAGUAAAACUUGUUCAAUAUAAUUCAAUUUUAGAUAUAAGUCUUGACUAUACCGGUCUUUAGAUCAGAUAUCGAGUUUUCAAAAAAAAAUAAAAUAGAAUACAAGGAGAACACAAAUUUAAUCGAUCUAAUUCAUAAUUAGCGAUAUAAAAUUGACGAAGUUAAGUAUAUCAAAUUCUAGAUAAGUUUGAUAUAUAUUGGAAGAUGAUGAAUGAACAAACGCGGUCAGCCUUAGGUUAUUUAUUGAUAAAAAAUUAUCCAUCUUUAUCAUUUUUUCUCUUUUAAUCUAAAUAAAUUAUUUUUACAUUGAUUUAAAUUUUUCUUCUGUGAUUCCGUUUUUCAGUUGAUUAUUGUUUUGUUUGUUGUCAAUUGAUAAAGUGAGGCAUUACUUGUUUGAUAAGUUACAUAUAUCAAACUUUUUUUUUGUCAAAUAGUCUAAUGACUAUAGAAUUCACCUUUAACACGAAUUAGUGGGGUGUUGGAGUUUGAAAUCCGACCCUUGCAUAUUUCAAUGCAUUGUCCCUAUCAAUUUAGUUGUGCUCACGGAGAUAAAAUAUAUUAAAUUUUAUAAAUUUGAUGAUAUAAUUCACAUAUAAAAACUUCUAAUUAAUCCCUUCAAAAAAACUUCUAAUUAAUGUAAUAAAACAAUUCUAAUUACUUUCUUUUUGUUUAUUGUUUCAUUCAUAAUAUUAUUAUGUAUGUACAAUACGAUCGAUGCAUGCUAGAACCCUCACAUGACCUUUCAUUUUCUUUCCAUUUCGAUCAUUGUUUACACUUUCAAAUGGCAAUUUUAUGGAUGAUAACAAAACACAUUUGAGCACAAUUAAGGUACAAAAAAUGUUCAAGCCCAAAGGGCAAGAAUAGACAUAGAAGCAGAACCCAUAGUUAAUGCAACAAAAGAAGCCUUUUUCAAACGUGGAUCAGAAUUCAUAAGCUUGUUGUGAAAGAAAUCAGCUGCUAUGAGAUCAACAAGUGCCAUAUAAAUUAGAAUUCCUGAAGAAAUUGAACCUAGUAACCCUUCAAUUAUUAAGGCAUUAGGGUUACUAUCAUCAUAACCAGUCAAUGAGAAUAAUAUCAUCCCUAAAAUUAUCCCCAUUGGGGUUGUUACUGAAAACAUGAAGCACAUGUAUGCCACUGUUCCAUAGCUAAAUCCUGCCUGCAAUUAUUAAUGGUAAGAUAUGUAUUAGCAUAACACCAUGUAACAUAUUUAAGAUUUAAAAGGUUAUUUCUUUUUAUUAUUUCUAUUCUUUGUUGUCCAUUGUAUUUGAACCUAAUGAUAAGAUUUUGACAUUUGGAAAUUCAAAUCUCAUAUGUUAUAAUCUUAAGAUGGUCAAUAGUGACACUAAUUGAUAAUAAUUUCCCAAUCCUCAAUAUUACUAUUAUUUUCUUAUAUAUAUUUGACCAUCUAGACCAUUAGAAUGGGUUUGUGUGACUAGAAGAAGAAAAUUGUUUUAUCCACGUAAGAAGUUGUUUAAAAACACAUAAAAAUGACAAAAAAAACUUCAAUGGUAGUUAACUAAAACUCGUUUUUCUUGCUUGAAGCGAGCUGCAAUUAAAUACCGUUGCGGUUUUUAGUUAUUUUCAUAUGUUUUUUGGUCAAGUAAUAUAUUGGCUAGAAUUCACCUCAUAAGGUGAAUAAGUGGAGUAUCCGAAGUUCAAAUCCCAAUCACUACAUAUAACAAUACAUUAUCUUUGUCUACUGAGAUAUGCUCCCAGUGAUAAUUUCAUGUGUUUUUAAGCAACUUCUUACAUGAAAAAGAAAUUUUCCAAAAAUAUAAUUAUGGGUAAAGGUGUAAAAACAUUAUACUAUUUGACCAUUUAAACCACCAUCUUUCUAUUAUUAAAAUAUUUGUCACUGACUUUGGUCAACAUGUUAAUUUUUGACCAUUUAAACCAUCAUCUUUCUAUCAUUUUCCAAAUGACUUUAUGACUUUGGUCAACAUGCUAAUUUUUUUUGAGUGGUGAUACAUGUACACCCCCAUGUGGCAAUACACCUCUUACACCCACACAAAAUUUUGACAUGUGGCAAGGAAAAGAGAGAGGAGAUGAAAGAGAAAGUAUGGUUGUGAGAUAAAUUUACCAAAAUAUCCUUAAUGCAUGGGCUUACAAUAGGGUGUAUGAUUAAAGGAUGUUCAUGUAACAUUUUCCUUUUUUUUCUAACAAAACUAUGUGUUUGUCACUGAAAUACAAUACAAGUACAUAUAUUGUUGUUUUCCUGGACAGAGUGGACAACAUGUUGAGUUGUCAAGAAAAUGAAAGAGUACGAGUAGCUAAAAUCAAGUUCUGUCAUGAAGCAACAAUAAAAACAAAACAAUAGAUUUGGAGAUAAGAAUCUCCAAGUCCCCAACAAAUCAACAAUAAUGAAAAUCAAUAAAAUCAUCUUCAACAUCAUUACACGUUUAAACAAAAUCAUGUAGCCACUGGGCUAGGAAUUCAAAAAUUGAGGUUCGAACUCUGACUUCUGCAUGUAUGUUAGACUUAUAUAGUAACAAUAUCACUGUAAUUCUAGUAUCAAUCAUAACAUCCAAUUAACUUUUUAUCUUUCAUAAAUCCUCUCUCUAAUAAAUAUUUCUCAGCAAUGAUAAUAAUCAAAGUAGAGCAAGAGAAAGAAAGAAUUAAGAAACUAACCUGAGCAACACAACCACCAAGACCCAUCCCUUCAAAAAUCUGAUGAAAAGCCAAAGCAGCAACUAAAGGCCUUAUAGUACAAACAUUUUGAGACAUACCCAUAGUCACACCAAUUAUAACUGAAUGAAAUAUUAUCCCAAUCUCCAAUACUUGUGAAACCAAUCUUUGUUUCAAUUUAAUUAACUCUUCCCCUCUUUCACAAUCUCCUUCACCACCUUCCAACUCCAUCUCUUUCUCACCCACCGGCGCAUACUGUCCGUGCUCCACGUGGGAACUCGCUACGAGGUCCACGAAGAGCGCGAGAAUUGCGCCGAUGAGAGUUACUAGUCCUGAGAAGGGAAAAUCCUUCCAAGGAUGACGGGAUGCCACGUGGCAGUCAGCGAGUGCUGCGUAGGCGUCUGGGAGGACGUGGACUAGGGAAGUGGAGAGUAUCACGCCUGCCGCGAAACAUUUUAUUAAUACUAAUGCUCUAUCGUAUAACGGUUUUCCUUGGAAGACACGAGCUAAAAGUACUGGCGCCGUCAUACCGACGGCGCUGGUGAUGAAUAUGACAAAGAGGGAGAUUAUUUUUAGAUGUGAUGCCGCGGCGCCGUCGCGGCAUGAGGUUUCUCGAGCUAUGUCUUGUGAACAUGAUGUUGCCAUGUGAGAGAGAAGUGUUGGGAGAGAGUGAAUGUGUUUGAAGUUGAAGAUGACGAGGAAGGUUGUUUUGAAGAGGGAAAAGAAAGUGAGUGAUAAAUGAUGUGGACCAGUUUCUGUUUUUGUUGUAGAUUAUGCACCAUGUGGGGUAUCCUAUAGAUGUUGUUUUCCAUUGUUACGUGUUGGAAUCUUGAAUUAUUCUUACACUCAUUUGUCAUUUCUCUUUUCUUUCUUUUUUAGAUUUCUAAGAAAAUAAAUUUUGAAAACAAGUGAUAAUGAUAACAACACUUACUCUAACUUUUAUUUUGUUGUCAAAAAUAAAUCGACAAAUAUCAUUAAAACUCACAUAUAUAACUGUUCAAUAACGAGUUUAAAAUCGGAUGAACGAAGAUGUACGUCAUAAAUUUUGACAAAGACAACAAAGGUAGGGUUUGUCAAAAAAUAAAACAGAGGCUGGUCUUACAUACAAUCCUAUUUUUAUUGCUAGCUUAUUGAUGAAACAUGUUUUAAUGGAGCUACUUGUAUUUUAUUUAAUAAAAGAAUCGAUAUUACAAAAGAGAGUUAUAGUAUAUGUUACUUACAAAAUAUAUAUAAUUGAAUAAAGUAUUGAGAUUUUUUUUUUGGUUGAUGUUGAUAUUAGUAAGUUUACACAUGACCUGCCUAACACGUAUUAAGAUUUAUUACGAAAUUUGAAAACUUAGUCACGGUUGUAAUAUGGAAGAGAUAACAUAAAUUUUAGUUUUUUACAAAUUUUUUACGAGGACAAUAUAAUUUUUUUUUGACAAAGACAAAUAUAAAAAAUAAAAUCUAUUUUUAAACUUCAAUACAUUAAAUUUAAAGAUCAUGCAAACUUGUGUCUUAAGGACACAUGUUAAAGAACUAUAAAUAAUAAUUAUUGAUUUUAUCUAUGGUACAUUAAUAAAUAGGGAGCUUCUAUGAAGAAGUCGAGAAAUUGACUUUUUUAGUGAAGUCGUUUAAUUCAACCAAUCAGAUUUCAAGUCAUGACACGUCAGAUGUUGGGAUAAAUUUUAAUAUGGAUCACUUGCUUCAUAUGUUCCACCAUAGACAAGUUUAUUUCAAAAUUUUAACGGUUAGAUUUGUUUGGUCUCUAUGUUAUUGUGGUACACCCUCUACACAUGAUUUUUCUUAUUUUUCCAAUUCUCUUUCCUCUUUAUCACUCAUUCAUCUCUCUCAUAUUUCUUUCUCUUUCUUUAUUUAUCCAUAUUCCCUUUCUUCCAGAUUUUUAUCAAAUCACUAUGUCACUCUUCAACAUCUUCAUCAUACAUUCAUCGUCUUCAUCAUCUUCAUGUGAAAAAAAAUCGGAAAAAAAAGAAGAAAAAGAAAUUACAAAAUUAAAAAAAAAAACAUAAUAAGUAAUUACAAUUGCAUAGAAACAACAACAACGACGUAAAAAUGCAGAUGAAGCUAUAGAUCCAUCACAAUAAACCUACCAUAGAUUCCAAAACGUCAACAACAAUUUUUGGUAUUUUUUCUUGAAAUUAAAUUUAUUUAUUUCAAUUUGAUUGCUUAAAGUUACAAAACAUUGUUUGAAAUCGCAAAAAAAUGUUACUUUGUUCAUGAAUGUCUUAAAGUUAUGUUGUUUUGGUUUUGGAUCGCAUGGGUUUUAACCGGGUCAUUAUGACCCGUCUGGAGGUAGAAGAUGAAGUAUUAAAAAAAAUUAAAAAAAACAUCUUUCAACAUUAUGGGAAUCGAACUUGUGACCAACCAUUUAAAAAUGUUUGCCUUAACCAACCAACUAACCACUAUGUUUUGGAAAAUUAGGCGUUUUGAUUUUAUUUAAUGGGUUUUAAAUUAUAUUGAAUGAACAUAUAAUUAUCAUUAAUUUCAUGCUUUAGAAAUUUCAAUACUACUCCUUUUUAUAAGAUACAAAUGUAGAAAAAUUCACCGACCAAGAAAAUCAAUUUUUCUACUGUACUACCGGAAAUUAUAUAAAAAACAAUUAUAUUGAUAAUUUUUUUUUGUUGAUAAUAUUAUUAAACUUUUAAAGAUAUCAAAGAAAAAUCAUAAGCAAUAAUUUAAUGUUUUUACUAAUAAAAAUUCUUUUAUGUGUAAAUAAUAUAUAUUGUUUUUCUUAUUAUUUAUGUCAUAAUAUAUUGUUUUUCUUAUAAUUAAUAGGAAAUUGACCAUAAAGUCUAUCAAAACAGUGACACUAAGAGCACGACUGAAGACAAUUUUGAAAAAUUUAUGAUACAUAAAAAUUCAAAAUAAAAUCACUUCUCUAACCGUACCCACUAAAGUAAAGUCAUAGCCCUUAUGUUUUAAAAAUUGGACAUGUCAUUAACACAGCAAGGGUAUUGAACUAAAUUAAAUCAAUUGACUUAGUUGAAUAGUUGGUCUCUAUAAAAAAAUUGUAGGUUCUUGUUAAUCGAUGUCUUUAGGGUAAUAGUUAAAGAAUUUACAAAUAAAUUUUUUUCUUAAAAAUAUUUAAUAAAAAACAUUUAUUAAUGUUGAUAUUUUGAAAGAGUCAUGAGUUUUCAAAAUAAAUAAAUUUCUUUUGGAGAUAUUUUAAAAAUAAUAAUGAAAUAUUAAAGUUUUAUCUUCGAUGUAAGUUGAUCUGACAAACUAUCACAUUUGAAACCUAGUCAACAUGGAAGGACAUUGAUUUGACGAUCAAAACGAACCAAAUCGACUAACGAUAUCAAAUAUAAUCAAUCAGACCGUUGAGUAUGACCUUAUUAGAAUAAGAACGAAGUAGGAACUGGGAUUUUGAAAAUCAGAAUCUUCGGUGUAAGUCGGUCUUACAAACUAUCACAUUUGAAACCUAGUCAACAUGGAAGGACAUUGCUCCAACGAUCAAAACGGACCAAAUCGACUUAACGAUGUCAAAUAUAAUCAAUCAGACCGUUGAAUAUGACCUUAUUGAAAUAAGAACGAAGCACGAACUGAAAUUUUGGAAAUCAGAAUCUUUGAUGUAAAUCAAUAUGACCAACUAUCACAUUAGAAACCUAGUCAACUAGGAAGUACGCUUGUCCGAUGACUGAAAAGAGUCUAGGUCACAAACGAAAAACAAAUAUAAUCAAUCAGACAUUUGAAUAUGACCUUAAUAGAGUAAGAAGGAAGUAGGAAUUUGAAAUUUGCAGAUCGAAAUCUAAUUGGUAAGUCGAUCUGACAAACUAUCUCUUUAGAAACCUAGUCAAUCGAGAAGUACACUUGUCCAACGACUGAAAAGGGUCUAGGUCACAAACAGAAACAAAUAUAAUUAACCAGACCGUUUAAUUAGAUUAACUUUUUUCUAUAAAGAUAUAGGAGUACAAAUAAAUAUCAGAUCGACAAAAUAUUUUAUUUAAUCUUUUUAUUAACCAGACUGUUUAAUAAUUUUUAUUUUUAAAAUCAAUAUUUUAUUUCAAAUAAAUAUCUCAACAAACUAUUGAUCUUAUCCAUAGUAAUAUCUCAACCAGACCGUUUAUGUAAUACUUUCAAUCCUAUCCAUUAAAUAUUUCACUCCAUUUGUUUAAUAAUUUUUGGUUUAAUGAAUGAACGGUUACUUCAAUUUUAACAUUAUUUGUUUCAAUAAAUUUAGUUUUAUAUUUAUUUUUGAAUUUAGAAAUUUUCAAUAAGUAGUAGUAUAAAUAUAUAAUAUAUUUCACCCAAUUAAUAUAACAAGUACUUGAUAUAGUGGUUAGUUUUUCAAGGAUUUACUUUUAAGUACACGGUUCGAAACCUUGAGCCUUCAAUAUUUUCAAAUUUUGAGUAUUUUUUUUCUAUAAAAGUCAAAGAUGUUCCAAAGUAAUUGCGCAUUUAUUUUGGUAUUUACUAUUAUCAAUAGGCAUACCAAAUCUAAUAAAUGCUUAAUUAUGUCUAUAAUGAAAGAAAUCCACAUGUUAACUUUUUUAUCAUGAUUUUUUCUUAGCUUUCCUUAAAAAAAUUUGCUACCGUAUUAAUUGGAAAGGAAUUGGAAAACAUGUCAAUUGCAAAACAAAAAUAAAAAUAAAGAGAGCAGGGAUCGAGUCCGCGACCAAAAUGUUUUGAAAAUUUGCUAAACCACUACAAUGCAUACAAUCCAUUUGUUCCUUUUUUCGCUCGUUUCUAUUUGUAAUAAAAAGUCCGAUUAAAAAAAAAGUGGAAGUCGUCUUCAACCUCCAACCGGGUCGUCUGAACCCGAUUCAGACCAUUGGCAUCCGAAAUUGAACCCGAUGAUUUGUACUUAUUUUCAAGGUCGAAAAUGAUGAUUAUAAUUCGUUUUCAAUACUCUUCUAAUUCUCCUCUUCCUUCCUAUCUAUUUAAAUCACAAAAUCAGGUGUUUGGAAAAAAUGUUGUGUUGUUCAAACAACAUUUAAACCAUCGUCGGAUUACUGCUGUUAUCGUCGCGUUCAUCCUAUCUUUGCGGCCUAUGUUGCUGAAUAUUACGACAUAGAUCUGGAAACUUUAAUAACACAAAUCAUGACAUUUUAAUUUUUGGAGGUGAAUUUGAGUAGCUAUUUUGUUUUUUGUUCAAUAAAGAAGAUGAUGAAGGUAUGAACAUGGUGAUGAUGUUCAUAAUCUUCCUGGGUUUAUUUAUUUUUAAUAAUGAAAUAUUUUUUUAUAAAAAGGAUUAUCUUAAAAAGGUUUAUUUAAAUAUUUUUUGAAAUAGAAGGAAGAAAAAUUCAAAAAGGAGAAAAGAAAUAAAUAUAGUGUGAAAGGCAACACAAUAAUACUAGUGAAAUGCUUAAUCUGAUGAUUUAAAAAAUCUAAAGGCUAAAAUACAAUUAAAUUUGACUGAAGGUACACAAUACAUACCAUGCAUCCGCCAGUAUAACAUGGCAUAACUAACACACGUGGCGUGUUCUUAUUAGCUGUAGGGUUACUUCACCGAAAAAGUCAUUUUGACAACUUCACCGUAGAAUUUCCCUAAUAAAUAAGUACUCUAAGAACACAUGUUACCACUUUUCUAAAUUUAAUAAUAAAAAUAACAAAAAUAAUACUUAUAUAUUGUAAGUAAAAGCAUAACUUAAACAUAAAUAAAAAUAGAUGAUAAAUAUUUUAAAAGUUUGAACUUGAUGAAACUUUAAGUAGUCAAAUUUAUUCAUAAUUGACUAUAUACUAAAAUAUUCUAGCAUUUUUUUCAACGCGAACCACUAAAUUAUUUGCAAGAAAAAAUCAUCGACUUUGUACCAAAGUCUUCUUGCCUUGACAAUUUUUAUUACCAGAAAUAUCUCUCUUUCUCUCUAUAGUUCUUGUUAUAUCUCUUUCGAUCAACGAACUUGUUUGGAUAGAUAAAUGUAUUUUGAAGGUAGCUAAAUUUAUUAAAAAUGUAUAUAUACUUUUUUUUGUUAGGAAGUAUAUAUACUUUUGGGUAGUCAAAGAUACCUCGUGAUUAUUAAAGGCUACAACCUUGAUUGUAAUUGAGCAAAACAAUGGUCACUCAGAAAAGUGAAUGCUUUAUAUAAAUGAUGGUACGACAAAUAUUGCGGUUAUGUGGCCAUGAUGUUGUAGAGAUUAUGUCAUUAUCUAAGUGAUCAUAUGCGAAUAUAUUUUAUAUAGAUAGCAAGGCAGUGAAAGAGAGAAUUGUGUUACAUGUGAAGUGAUUUUUCCUAUCUUAGAACUCUAUUUGGAAUAAGUGUAUCUUUGUAUUCAACUUCUAGUUUGAAGGUGCUUAUGAGUUUAUGCUUUCUUCCGAUUUUGUGUUGUAUAUUAAACAUUUUAAUUUUAUGAUAUGGUUAUAAUGUAGAUUAGGGACCAACUUGUGAUUGGUUUGAGAUUUGAGUGGUAAGGAACUCGAGUACUUUAAACAAGUGGUCAGAAGUUUGAUUUACGACUCUUGUAUUUGAAGAAAAUCUAAUUGGAAGAGAAGAAUUUACCUUGUAUGUUCAAUAGGCUUUGCGGCGAGAUCAAUCAUGACUAAGCGGCAAUGAAUAUAUCAUAUCUAUAACAUGAAUAUAAAAAAAAAAAUAUAAAUCCGAGAUCAUAUAUUUGGGAAAAUAGUUAACUUUCAUUGAAUGACAAUAUAAAACUUGUAAUAAAAUAAUAACAAUUGCUCUUUUCAAAAUAAUAAUAAUAAUAAAAAUAAAAAUAAUAACAAAACCAUAAAAAAAUUCUAAAAUGUGUGAAAUCAGGAUUUGAGCAGGAAAAUUUUAAAUUUUUUACAAAAUUAAAUUUAACAUAUUGUUUUGGUGAAUUUAAAUAAAAAGAAUAGUAAAAAGGUGGCACUUUGAUUUUUUAAAUAAAUAGAACAGUGAAAAAAACUUUACUGUAACAAAUAUAUUAAAGUCAAUCAAAACUUUAAAGGAUUUUUUUCUCAAACAAAAAAUUAAAGGAAUCAAACAUAUAACCAAUAAAAAGAAAGAUAGUAAUAGAGUAAAAAGUGUAAAAAAAAAGCCUAUUUUUCCAUAUAUAGACCUUGUUGGAAAGUUAAAAGAACAAAAAAAGCCUAGGAGAAUUAAUGGUUUAGACUAACGAAUGGGUUAUGGUCGGGUCUAAACAUGACCCCUAAUUCUGGGUUCUAGAAAUAUGGCCUCUAAUAGUAAGUAUUUUAAAUCAAUAAAUACCAAGAAAUAAUAGAUUGUUUAUUAUUUAUUGGUAUUGGUAUUUAUCAAUAAAUACCAAUAUAAAUAAUAGUAAGUAUACUGUUUUUUGAGUACACAAUUAAAAAUCAAUAAAUAAUAGAUUAUUGGAAUACCUCAUACUAUUAAAAAGAAUAAGUGAGUUUAACUCUUAGAAAAAGUGCUAAAAUCUAAGGUUAUGGGACCUUGAUUAAUGACUUGUGUAAAAUAUGACGUACAAGAGAUGCCUUUCGGCUGCUACGAAAAAUGGAAUGGCAAGUGGUUCCUAACAUCGUAAUCUAUAACAUGAUCAUUGAUAGUUCAUUUAAAGACGGACUUCUAAUUCAGGCACGACGUUUAAAUUCCAAGAUUGUUGUCUCUUUGAUGAAAUGCAUGUAAAAAUCAGCUUUCUAAUAUUGUAACUUAUAGUUCUCUUAUCAAUGGUUUGUGCAAAUCUGGGAGGAUCUCUUGUGCAUAGGAACUUUUUGGUACAAUCAGUGAUGACGGUCCAACACAAUGUUAUCACUUACAAUAGAUAAAUGCUUUCUGCAAAAUCCUAAAUAUUGACAUGGGAAUUUCCUUAUUUGUACUAAUGUUUGAAAGGGGAUUGACUCGUACAGUUUUGACUUGUAACAUCUUGAUUAAAUAGGUAUUGCAAGAGUUAAGAGGAUUGAUGAAGCCAUUAACCUCUUAAGUGAAAUGUAUAGCAAAAAUUGGGUUCCUGAUUCUGUAACUUAUAAUUCUCUUAUUGAUGGCUUGUCUAAAUCUAGGAUUAUAAGUUACAAUAUGUGUUCCUGUUGUGAAUCCCAAUUAAAACUCACACAAAUGAAAUAAACAAUGAUGUGUGGAGCAAGAGAUAGUGGUAAUCUAUGAGAACAAAUGGUUUUCAAGCAACAACAACAAAACAGCCCUAGACUAGUGUAUAGCAAAAUCACAUAUAUAGAUAACAAAGCAUAAACAAGAUAAGUAAGAAAGGAAGAACAAAACACCAAGAAGAUUGUUGACUCAGUUCAGCCAAUGUGGCCUAAUCUGGGGGAGAGAGCAGCUCUCCAAUCCAAUAUGAGAAAGUGUUACAAAGGGUUACAAGAAACUCUAGCCUUCAAGCUUUACACAUGAACAAACCAUAGAUUCUACCCUUUGGUGUUUCCCCACUCUCACAAUAUGAACCCUAAAGAGAAGUCACUAGAGGAAGCUUUAGAUCCUUCCAACUAAUGAACUCCUCCACUACCCAAGGUGAUUACAAUGUUUUUCCCAACCCAAGAGACACUCUCAACAAAGACACUCAACCCAUUGGUUCCCUCCUUUGUUAUCCAAGUUCUCUUAGACACGAUUUGCAUCUGACCCAAGAUUGACCAGUCCUUAUCAGAGAUACUUAACGAGCAAGUUUCUGAAUCGUGUCACGAUUUCCCAAAAUCGUGUCACGAUUUGGCGUCCUGCAAACUGGCUCACGGCACCUCGAAAUCGUGUCACGAUGCCAAAAUCGUGUCACGAUUUCUCUGUUCUUCCAGACCACAAAUUUGAAGCCAAUAUCAACAGUUCCUGAUGUGCUGCUUAUCAAUUGAUUCUAGGUUUUCUUAUGUAGUGAGUGAGUGAAUGGAGUUGACUCAUACUCUACAAUGACGUGAGUUUAAUUUUCAUUGUCGAUGUUAGGAUUUUGUUGAUGAAUAAUAUGUAAGUAAGAAAUUGACUCAUACUUUAUAAUGGUGUGAGUUUAACUUUCAUUGUGAAUGUUAAUAUUUUCUUGAUAAGUUGAUAGUAUGCAAGUACAUUUUGAAGGAAAAAAAUUACUAAUAUUAGUGUAACAUCUAAAUUUCAGUAAUUUUUUUUACGAAAGGCAUCAUUGAAUUUAAUUUGCUAAAUGAUAAUGAAAGAUCCAGGCAAAUAAAUUAUAAUGAUGGAUAAUGGCCCUAUUUAUCCCCUAACAAUUUUUUUUUUCUUUCAAAAAAGCCAAAUAUUUUAUUAAAAUAUGAGUCUAACACACACCUAAGAACUUAUUGCUUUUCUGAUAAAUUGCUUAGCCUCCUUUGCUGAUAAACCUUGGGUGAAUGAAUAGGAGGGUGAAUAUUUUUUGGAAGUUACUUUUUCCAUCUUUUGAGUUUCUCGUUUGCCCUAUUCGGAUUUUAAAAUCCAAAAUAUUUUAACGUAUUUUGGAGAAUUUUAUAAAGUGUUUAUGCUCAGAACUACAUAGAAAACGAAAAACUGAAUAAGAUGAGAAAAGAAGGUCUCAUAGUUUUUAGACAUUUCACUGAUAAACUAUAGAUGAAUACAAACCACUUAACCACAUCGUGCAAUUAAGUAAAAAUAAUAAACCCUAUAAUGUGCCUUAAGAAUGGUUAAGGAGUACAAUUUAAUAAUACAUUUUUCAGAGAUUAAUUUCCUUUUGGUGUAUAAUAUAGUUUUGAAUUGAUGCAGGAAGAUAACCCAAUUUUACAGAGAUUAAGAAAAUCUAUAUAUGGAGUUAAACUCACAAUGAAAGUUAAUCUUUGAAGAAAAUGUAAAAUUAAACUCCAUAAAAUUGGUCACUGAAUCUAUAUAUGGAGUUUUGACCAAUUUUGGAGAAGGAUUACAAAAUUCAAUCCAAGCAGUUAGUUUUUACAAAAAUGGAUUCAAAAACAUCAAAUAAUAUAUGGAGUUUACAUUAGAUCACUACUUAAAAAUGAUUAGUAUUGUUACUUUGUUCAAAUGAUUUCUACUAAUAUGGAGUUUUUACAUUAUUAGUGAAAUACAUUCUGAACAAUACAAUAUGGAGUUUUUACAUUAUUUGAUGUUUUUGAAUCCAUUUUUGUAAAUAUGGAGUAGUGAUUAAAAUGAUCACUACUCCAUAUUAGCAGUUAGUUUUUUUGAACCAUAAAUAUUAGUAUUGUUCAGAGUGUAUUUCAUAUGGAAAUCAAACCCUCCACCUCCUCAUCUCUUCAGUCCUUUAACUACCCACCCCACAUUGCCAACCUUAUUGAACAAUUAACUAGUAAAUAAUUUUUUGAUAAAACAAAUGAACAGUUUAGUAUUUAACACUUCUAACAUGCAAAGAGUACCGGAAAAAAUAUCCGAAUGAAUUCAUAAGCAAUUCCCCAACUCACAAUUAGAAACUUAAAUCCUUAUUCUAUCACUUAACACGUAUCAACGAGCAACACGCAAAAAAAUAGUGUUACCCUAAGCUAGCCCAUACAAUAUUACAUUACAUAAAAGGUUACAAUCUACAAAACUAAUGCAGCAACCCUUUUCAAUGAUUCAGAUGCCUUGUGAACAUCGGACUCUGAAUGCCCUGCAGAAACAAACAAUCUUAUUCCUACAGGCAAACGGCACUUGUCUAAUGUUGAUCUUCGAGAAGUCGCCACAAAUACAGAAUCUUCUUUCAAAACCUGUGAAUACAGAACAAUAAAUACCAGCAAAACCGAAAGUAAGAAAUAAACAUUGUCACAACAAUUCUUACACGUUCGGCAAUAUUUUCAAGCAGGCGUAGGUCAUCAUUCAAAGAACCCGUUGACUUCUUUAUUCUCAAAUAAACAAUUGGUGACUCUGGAUGACUCACAAUCGUGAAGCCUGGUAUUUCCAACAACCCUGCAGUAGCCAAUGCAUCUCAUAUAAAAGUUCUCAACAAAACAAUAAAAUGAAAUAAUAGACACUACAAUACAAUUCCAUUUAUGAAAGUAGCAGCGGUGAUAUCAAAGCCUACCUUUCCAUAACACAGCAAUGUUGUUCUUCAACUUUGUUAAUAUAUUGGGAUUUUCGUCAAGGACAUCAAUAGCUGUAAUUGCAGCGCUUGCAAGAUAUGGAGGCAAAGAAGCAGAAAAGACGUAGCCAGAGCUGCUCAAUCGCUGUAAGAGUUGAAAACACAGACAUUAGCGGAGGGAAAAUGAACGAGAAAUAAUAGCAUGAUCAACCAAUCACUUCGCCUUGAAAAUAAAUUCUUAAUUUCAGUACACUUGGAAAUCUAAGUUGGUUUAUGAAUCAGUAUUACAAAUGACACUACCAUACCUGGUGAUCUAUAACUCUUGCACUUCCGGUGCAGAAUCCUCCUUCUGUGGCCAAUGCAUGUCCCAUAGCAGCAGUUAUAAGAUCUAACUUCUCAACCUGCAGCACACGACCACAAUCACCAACAGCAGUAGAAAUUUGAAUGCAUUAACGGUGAAUCUGGUGGGACUGUAUGCACCCACACCCAAACGGAGAUUUUCGGUACAUACUGGAACUCCGUAGUGUUCAGUGAGACCUCUUCCAGAACUUCCAAGCACACCAAAUGAGUUGCUCUCAUCCAGUAAAAUACGAAACCGAUAUUUUUCCUUCAAUUUAAUGAUAUCAUCUAAGGGUGCUAUUUGACCAGAAUUCUGAAAUUUUUAAAAGUAAACAUAUGUUAACAAAUAAUGAUCAAGCAAUUUUAGUUUUCACUUAAAUGCUAGUAUGAAAACUAGUGAAAGAAUAUCUACUAUAAGUCAGAAUAGUUGACAAAACCAGAGCAAAUAGCAAUAGUGUUUUAAAGAACGACAUUGCAAUAGGCACCAGUCUAACAGCAACACCAUAUGCUCACAAUUUGUGUUUUUAAUACUUCGUUUAUAUCUUCAAUUUGCAUCUGUUUAUUAAUUACCAUACUAUCUCACUAGAAAUAGUAGUUCAUAUAACAACUUGCCAAUACUUCAAAUUGCAAGAAACGGGUAAUUCAUUCAACUGAAGGCUGUGAGCACUCCACUCGAAACACGAUAUAGAAGUGCAAAGCUAAUAAAAAUACGCUUCAACAAAAAUAAAAAUAUAACGCUAAUAUAGAAGUGCAAAGCUAAUAAAAAUAUAGAAGUGCACGGCUAAUAUACACAACAUCUACCUGGUAGAGAGCUUCGACAACAAUAUAACGCCUCAAAUUCUUGGUGUGCUUAUACUUAGAAGUAAGCUUCUCUAAAGUUUCUUCUAAAGAAUCCAUGUCAUUGUGCUUAAAAUACACGACAGUGCUUCUAGAAAGAUAAAGGCCAUUCUGUAUUCCCCAGUGGACUCCUUCAUCCCUGUUAAAAAAUACAAAAUUAUAUAUGAAACUAGAGCCUACUUGAAAUAUCACAGUUAUAUAAAGUGGAUGAAAAAAGAAUUAAGUUCAUUCUUCACACCAUUGUAAUAAAAAAAGUAAAGAUGGUAAUAAAACCAUCCAAAUAGUUCUAUAUAUGUGGUGUAUGGUUAUCAAUGCCCAAUAUAAAUGUCAUCAGACAAAAAAAUUGAACAAAAAUGGAUAGUAGAUGCUUAAAGUUAUGCAUACUUACGCCACAAUUAUAUCUCCUUUUUUAGAAAAAGCAGGAAUAGCACUGAACAUGGUGGAAAGUCCAUAAGAGUAUAGAAUUGAAUCAGGCGUUCCUAAAAAUUUUGCUAUUCUUGCUUCACAGUCAAGAUGUACAUCUGCACAGGGAAAAGUAUCAUAAGAGAACAUGCAUUUCCUCAAAAACAAACUUUAAUAUUAAAGCCUUACCAAUUGUUCCAUAAAAUCCACGGGGGCCACAUGAACCAACACCAUAUUUCUCUAAAGCAGAAGUGCAUGAGUCCUACAAUAUAAAGUAAAUAUAGAUUCAGUGUACUGAAGCACUGGUCAAGAAAAAGAAUUUAUUGAUAUGGGAUCAUGUCCUUACAAGUAACUUUUGAUGACCUAUAAGCCCAAGAUAGUUUGCUGAAGCAAAAUUGAUAACUUCUUUACCAUUAACUAUGGUAUGUGGGCCAGCAGCACUGCAUAAGAAAUUUAUCGCAAUCAGUAUUUUAAAAAAUGGAUAAUUGGCUGUUUUUUCACAAUACUGUUUAACUUACAUAUUAUGAGCUUAUCAUGUCAUUUAUCUGUCUAGAGUGCAAACUGUAAUCCUAAUGUCUCAUUUAUGUAUCAAUUAAGAUCAUUACAAAAACUUGUCAAGAGAAUAUACUUCAACCAAAACUACUUCUAGUGAACUAUACCAGUCUCUCUCUAUUAUCACAAUCUUACAUGAACCUUCCUAAUUUUAACUUCAAUAAAACGAACAGCUUCCCUAUAUGCUAUGAUAAAAGUUAGCAAUGAGGAAAAUGUAUGACAUACAAGGGAGACAUCUGAAAACGUAUGAAAUCACAUGAGAACUUUUAAUCUACACUAAUUUUCUUUAUCGCAAGAUAAGAAGAAAAAUGAUUUAGAAUCUAAAGGGUGGUCUUGUCCAGUGCAUAAGACUGCCACUGUAGUGGGGUCCAAGUAGGGUCUGAACUGACAACCUUAACCUUGCUACUAUGACUACCAUGUCACAAGGUGGAAAACCUACCAAUAUGCUAGGGCUUAUCCUAAAAAAAGUUCAUGAGUUUAAGUCAAAUAAAUGUAACCAUGGCAGUGAUGUUGACAAGUGCAAAACAUAAGAUUAUUUCAGGGAAGGAACGCAGACAAUAAAGCACACAAGUAACAAAUUUGAAAGUGUGCAAAACAUUUAAAAUGAUAAUAGAUGAGGAUGCUACCACAAAAGUAAAUGUAAUCACCUCUCCAGCACUGGUGGUUCAUAGUGCAUAUCUUUAUCAAGAGAAGGAAUAAGCGAUUGUGGAACCCAUUCAUCACAUAACUCGUCAAUUUCCUGCAGAAAUUAAGAAUAAAUUUAGAACAUGUCAAAAUAUAACACAAUGAAUCUCGAAUUAGAUUGUACAACACUACAACUAACAUGGAACACUAUGGUUAGAGUUCCACAUUAAUUUAAAACCAAAAAAGUUAGACGACAACCAACUGUUUUGAUCAUGAAUGAUGGGUCGACAGACAAAGGCAUUCGUUCUACUACUUUUUGGUGAACAAGCGACUGUAAGGGAACAAUUUUCCUAUUUUCAUUGGACACUUCUGACUUCUAAAAAAAAAAAAUAUGUAUUUGAAGAUGCUAGAUGAUGAAAUCAAAUUUGUAUCUGAGGAGUAUCAAGUAUGCAGUCGACAUGGUUAUGAAUACUGCUGAAAAUUUCAAGGUAGCAAGGGAAAUGUAAUCAUAAAGGGAAAUGUAAUCAUAUGCUGAAAUAUCUAAAAAGACUAACGGUUCAUCAAGUUACCGUAAAGGGGGGAAGAAGGAUAACCACGGACAUAUACUCUAGAACAAUGCUUAUUACCAUGUUGAAGAAGUCCAAAUAUGGGAGGAAUUUGACCAGACCUAUUAUGACUAGAUUUGUUACUACUAAUUUGGUUAUAGUUUGUAUCAGUGAUCUAAAAGCAUCAUUGAGAAGUAUGUUUAGGUCAAGGUCAAAUGAGUGAAAAUCAAGUAGGUUCGGAUCUUGGCAAGAGGGAAGAAAAGUAGCAAACAUUGUUUUAGAAGGUUUGAUUCGGAAGAAUGUAAUCAUAUCAUAUGCCUCAAGUUAGCUGUAGUUUCAUGGAUGUUAUAUUCUCCAUGAUAAUGGAGAUGAUCUUCUUGUAGGAUUGGACAUUUGAAUGACGAAUGAAUCAGCUCUAGUUUUUAUUUUGAAAUUUUUUAACAUUAGGAAUUCAUGUAUGAUUUGGUAUUUAUGUUGUUUGAUCUGGUGUUAUCAUUGGAGCGCUACAACGCUGAAGCGGGGCAUAGCAGCCAAUGAACAUCACUGCACCUUCCAUAUUGUUGUGGUUGUGUGCAUCAAUAAUAGCAGGAAAUGCCACCACCCCAUGAGUACCCAGGAAAAAUAUCCACAGAACAGUCGGAAAUUAAUUUGGGCUUUUGUGGGGGUAUUUUAGGGAUAUUGAGUUAAAACACUCAAGAGCAUGAGUUGCAUUAAAGUUAAGGCUUUGUUCCCAGUCUCUUUUGUCAAAACCUGAAAACAUCAAAAUGUUAGGGCAUUUUUCCCGAUUACUCCAGAAAUUUUAUGCGUCUCUCUCCGGCGAUUCUCUUUCUAGUUAUGUCCUCUCUCUGUAGAUUCUCUCUUGAACUUCUCUUUGCAUCUCCAGUGAUUCUGUCUCACGUGCAUUUGAGUAUAUUUUAGUGCUUCUGUCUCUCUGCAUCUCUGAAGAUUACUGGCAAGAACUGCUGCCUGUGUCAUUCCUAGGCAAGAAACUUUUAUUUGAAUUUUAAUGUUUAGACAAUUUAGUUACUUUAACCCUUAGAGGAUUAAACUUCUUGGUUAGUGAUUAGUGGUUACCACAAUUUUUGGUAUUUUCUAUGACUUUUUUACUGUUAAAUAUGAAUUUCAAGUAAUUUUUAUCAUUUUUUAGAAUCACUAUUUUGAGUAACUUUUUUUACAAGUCUAGGGGUUGAGUCUACAGAGGCUUCACAAAUUACCUAAAUUCUUGAAUAAUACAACCUUGGUAUAGAUUAUAGACAAUCACCCAAAAGGCAAGUCCCAAAUGCAUCAUGAAGAUAGAUGCUAUUAAGUCACCGACCAUGAAGCGACAGUGAUUACUUUCAAACUUCACAAAUUGAAAUGCUUCAUUUAUUGAUUCUUAAAACUUCAAGGCAAAAGCAUACAAAAUAUAAAUGCAAGAGUUUGUUCCUAUUUCCAAGUAAGCAACAGAAAAAAUGCAUAUGUUCAGUAAUAAAAGCAUGGCAAAGUCCACAAGUGAGGAGCAUAUUUCCAUCCAUCGAAAAGCUAAUGAUUAAUCAGAUUUGUAAGUUCUAAAACCUCAGAAAGAAUAUUUAGAAAUGCCCCAUGUUAGAUCCAUAGAAUUACUAAAAACUAUAACAGAUAAGCGUAUAUCACUCUAUUUAGAUAUAAGUGUUUGGAUAAAUUCUAAAACCUAAACAUUAAUAGAAACCACUUUUGAACUGCACAACAUACUCAUACAAACUCCACACACACAAAUAAAUUAGAGACAAAUCCUAUUAGCAUUUCAAUGACAUAAUAAACCAAUAAAGUCACUUUACCUUUAAAAAUAAAAUCCUAUUAAUAUACCAAAUGCCAACUUUAUUUUCAAAUUAUAAAUUUUAGACAGCUCUACAUAGCUAACACACAUUCAUAAAAUAACUAAAAAAAUCUAAUACAUAAUAACAACAACCAAGUCUUAUCCCACUAAGUAGGGUUGACUACAUGGAUCAAACGAUGCCACAAUGUUUUGUCAUAAAUCAUAUCUCUGUCCAACUCAUAUAUCUCUAAGUCUUCCUUUGCCUCUUGCGACUUAACUACCCUCCAUCUGAUCUAUAUUACAGUAUAGUGAAAAAACUAGAGUUAGAUGAUAGGUUAACUAGAGUUAACAAGUUGGUUAGGUAAUUAGGGAGUUAGUUACUCCAACUCACUCCCAUAUAUAACUCACUCUGUUGUAUUCAUUCUCUUUUAUCAAUCUAUUCAUUCCACUAUGGAUCUCUAUGAUUAUCUCCCACGUGAAUACUCUUAUACUAGCUUUUUUGCUACUCACUAUGAUCUUUAUCCCUAUGAAUCCAUGAUUCAUAACAAUCUACUCUACAGCAACAACUACCAAUCCUUAUCCCACUAAAUGGGGUCGGCUACAUGGAUCAAAUUACACCACAAUGUUCUAUUGCAACUCUCUAAUGUUUUCAUUCAUUCAUAACCAUAUCUCGUCUAGUCUUACCAAAAAUUGUGCAUAGACGAGAAAUCAAAAUAUAUACACACACGCUCAAAAAGAUAGCAUCAUACCUUGUUUGUCAAGGGUCUUUUAGGAGGCUUGUAACUUUUCUGAGAAAGCAAGAAAAGUAUGACCACCAAGAGAAAAACUUCAAUAAAUAAAUGUCCUGCAAACAUAAGAUAAAAAAAAAAUCAAAUUAAUUAAUCAAUUAAUCAUCCAUCUAUAAAGUAAAAAGUAAAAGAUAAUUAAGUCCAUAACAAGAAAUAUUACCACCAAAAUUAUAUCCAAAAACUAUAGCUCUUGCAGAAGGUGCAUCUAAAGCAUAUGUAACCCAAUUUAAUGUAGUGUUCACGAAAUUAACAGCAGCUGAAGCCAUCAUUAGCUUAAUAUAUCAAUCAAAAUAUCAAUGAAUCCUUCAAUUUCACUCAUGCAUGUGAGUUUUCCACUAUUGAAAUUCUUAAAUCAUGAAAAGUUUAAAUCCUGCAAAGUAUAAGAAAAUCAAAUAUAAGCAUUCCAAUUAACAAAUGGAAUCGAAAAAUUUGAUUUUGAAUAAGAAUCUAAGGAAUUGAAUUGAUGAAUCGAAACGACGUGACCUACCUUAUGAUUGAGAGUGAAACGACGAGAGCUUGAUUCCAUGGGAGAUUCAGAAAUGAUAGGAAGAGAAAAAGAAGAGAAAAGAAGAGAAAGAGAAAACAAAUAUUUUAUUUUAACGGUUAUGAUGGUGCCACGUCAGAUCUCGUUAGCGCUAACUAAACAGUUGUCAUUAGGCCUGUGCAAAAUAACCGGUUUGAGUAGUAAAUCCAUAACCAUACCCGUAACCAUUCUAAAAUAACAACAAAUUUUUAACCAAAUAUCAACCAAACCCAUUUAAAAUGGAUCGGUUAUAAACCAUUGUUAACCAGUUAUCCCUAAAAAGAAAAAGCCCAACCAGUACCAAUUUUUCUGCUUUCCAAUAGAGAAAUGAUAUUUGAACAUCCAUUUUGUGACAACUUUUGUUACAACUUUCUCUCUCAUAUUUACAUUAUUUUUUACUUUAUCUCUCUAUUGCUUUGAUUUUCGUACAAAUACCUAUUCUUUCUUUAUAAAUUAUGGUUGUCCCCAUAAGUUGUCAAUUAAAGGAUGUUCAAAUAACACUCCUCUUUCCAAUAAUACACCAGUAGAAAACGCUUUCAACUCACUCCGAUGACGUGUGCACGGCGGUUCCAUAGACGGAGAUGAAAACGCAAGAGGAGGAAGAGAAAAUCUAGAUGCAGAUCUAGCCAAUACAACUUGUCAUGAUGCGGCAUCUGUCUUUCUAUCUGGAUUCACUUCUGCUUGGCUGCUUGUUUCUUUUCCUUAUUUGCUUUCAUUUUAGGUGAGUUAUUGCAUGGUCCAAUUGUAAAAUUUUCCUAUGUUAGGCUCAUAUAUCUUUACCGGCUGGAACCUGUAAUUUCCUUAUUUAGUGGUAUCUAACUAGUUAUGUACAUCAAUGUUUUUUUUUUACACAAAUAUCAACAAAUAAAAAAUGGAACAAAAUUGCUCUUUUAGAAGGAAAAUAUAGCGUCAGUUUUCAAACUAAAUAAUUCUUUGUCAAUAAUAUAUAUUUAUAUAAACUGAAAAAAAAAUUACUUUUUUUUUUCUCGCUAAGACAUAAAAUCCACAUAAAUUAAACACCAUGAGUUUAGUUCAGUUGGUAGGGAUAUUGCAUUUUAUACCAGGGGUCGGGGGGGUUCGAACCCCGGACACUCUAUUUCUCCACAAUUAAAUUGUGUGAGCUCUAGCCAUUAGGCUACUUGACAAAAAAAAAAUCCACAUAAAUUAGUUAUACAUCCCUAAAAAUAUAGUGAAUUUUAAUUUCUAAAAGACAACAAAAUAUUUUUAUCCUAACAAAAAGUUUUUUGUUUUGUUUUUAGUUCAAUUUAUGUUCAUAUUAAUGUCAAGAUUAUCACUCUUUUAUGUUCAAGAUGUAUCCACGUAUGUCUAUUUAUUAUGUUCAACAUUUGUAUGUCCGUAUUAUGCUAAAGAAAUGUCAAACACGUGUCAAGAUUAUAUUUAUGAAGGACAAAUAAACAAAACGAUUUUUUUUUUAGAAUGAAAAUAUUUUGUUUUAUUUUUUUAGAAUAGAAUCAAAAUUGCUUAUAUUUUUAGAGACAAAAAACUUAUUUAACCCUUAAUAAUAUUUAUGAAAGACACCUAGAAAAAUAUUUAUGAAAGAUACAACAAACAAUAUUUUUUGUGUUAGCCCUUCAGUUCUUGGGGAAAGAGGGCUCUAAUAAUCCGAAGUUUAGACAAAUAUAAGUAAAGUCUGAUCUAAAAUUGUUGAUAUACGCAGAAAUCAAAUUUAAAUUCUUUUAUUAUUAUAAAUAAAAGAAUAACCACAAAUUCAAUUUACUUGAUUUUUGAGCCAAAAUGUGUUUUGAAAUUAAGGGCUCUAAACUUACUUGAUUUACUUGAUUCUAAAUGUGUUUUACUUGAUUUAGUCUUAUCUAAAUGUGUUUUACAAGAUUGCUCCUCUUCUCACAUUUAUAAUUGAAUAUAUGGUUAUUGAAAUGUGUUUUUGAGCCCUUGAGAGAAAAAAUCAAGUAAUUGAACUCAAGUGGUUAUAGCCCUAAUAAUCAAACUCAAGUAUUGGAAAAGUCAAAACACAUUUCAAACCACAAAUUCAAAUUGUUGAUAUACUUGAGUUCAAUUAUUUGGUUUUUUCUUUCAACCCAAAAUAAUAAAUAAAAGCUAACAGUGUUAGUAUUGGAAAAGUCAAAACACAUUUCAAUAACCACAAAUUCAAUUAUAAAUGUGCGAUUUCAAUUUUAUAUUUUUAAAUCCAUAUAAAGUGUGCGUUAAAACAAAUGCAUAUAAAUUUAGGUCGCUUAAUAUUUAAACCUUUCAAGUUACCUCUUUCAAAAACAACAACAAAAAAACCUUACAAGUUACCGGUCAACAAGACAAAGCAAUCCUAGCCAUCCCUAUUAAUUUAUAUUAAAUCAGUGGUUGAGUUUAGAUGAGCCUAAGAUGGGGAAAUUUUACAAUUUCCCCAUGCUAAACGUCGCCUUAUUUUUAACUUUCAAACAAACUUUGACUUUUCUUCUUUUGGAGUUGUUUCAUUUUGACAAUUCUUUUCAAGUUUUGAAAAACACAAGAAGUGAGUGUUAAUGAUCUUCUAGUUCUAGUAGAAUAGAUGAUCCUUCUAAAUUUGUCAUGCAAUUACUAAUUAUUUAUGUGGCACAUAAUCAGUGACAUAGCGAUGAUAGGGAAGAACAUGAUUGGAAAAGAAUAUGGAUACUCCACAAAUUUUAAAUAAAAUGACCAUUUUGCCCUUAAAAAAACUAGACAAGACUAUAAUACUUUUUCUUCUUAUUCCUUCUCCAAAACCAGUAUCUUUGUUCAUUUUCUUCGGCAAUCGCUGUUGUUUAAAGGAGGGGUAACAAUGGUACAAUCUAACAAACAAAUCAAAAUUCUUUCAAAAUUGAACCAACCCAUUUCUGAAUGUAAAAUAUACUCAAAAUGAAAGCAUAUCCAAUUCUGAAAACAAACAAACAAGUCUAAUCAAAAUUCUUGCAAGCGUCGAUGACAGAUCAUAGAAUGAUAUGGUGGGUUGUUGUUUUUUAAAAUGAUCGAAGCUUUAAUAGUUUCUUUCUAUUUCAUGUGAAGCUUUCAUGGUUAGGGCCACGUCACCGGAGGUGUUGCCUGUUGAUAGUUUGCGUUUUUGUUUCAUGUAAAGCUUCCAUGGUUAGGGACACGCAACUGGAGGUGUUCGUUGAAAGUUGUCGAAAAUGUGGAUAUGUGAUGAAGGCAACAACAAACAAUGAGUAAAGAGUAUAAUGAUGACUAGUGAGUUCAAAACGAAUUUCAAAGAGGAAACACACAUGGAGUACGAAAUUGAACUCAGAGGAGGAUGCGAUGGUUGUUUUGACAGGGAGACAGAAGUGGUUGUUGAUGGUGGAGACAAGUGAAGGCGGUAGUAUUUUAGUAAUUUUGCAUGUGUCUUGGAUCAUUAAGGGUAAAAUGGGCCCUACUUGCAUGGUCGUAUAUGAGGCAGGGCGAGGAGGGAGACCAUCCUAAUCCUCAAAAAAUACAAAUUUCAUAAACUAAAGAUAUACUUAGUAUGCUUGCAAAUCAUUUUUUCAAAGUAUCCGAAGAAAAUUCAUUAGUAUACCAUCUUGUAUCCAAUAUACACCGAUUAUUAGGAGCGAAUCAAACCUAAAGUUGGUGUAGAAACAUAUGCAUUGGAGUUCUAAACACAGCCUUCAUUGUUCAAGUGUUGUAGCAUUUUUCCCCAACAACAGUUUUUUAAACCAUGCAAUUGGGUAUUUGUUCUUAUUCUUUGAUAACCACUUUUCUAAUGAUGAACUUUUAUUUGAUUGAGAUUUUUUUUUAAUUCAAUUGUAAUGUUCGCUUAUUUUAAAAAAAAAUUAAACAAUUAAAAUAAGAGCUUAAUUCAAAGAUGAACAUGGGUUACAGUGACAUUCUAUAUUCUAAAAAUAAAAGAAAUGAUAUUUAUAUAACUAUUUUAGACUAUGUUCAAUAGGUUGUUGAAUGCAAACUUAAACAUGUUGAGACCAUUGAAGAUGGGUGUUGAAAGUGAGUGGAAAGUUGAUGUGGAUGAAAGAGGUGAUGAAUGCAUUAAACAUGUUGAACUCUCUCCCGUCAGGCCACGUGGCGCAAUCCGGUUCGUUCAAAAUGGCGCGUGAGAUGCACGCGUCGAGAGGGCGCGUGGGGAAGUUGUGCACGCGGAGAGAGAGAAAGAGAAAUGGAUAAGGGCAGAACACGUGGCGUGUUUCGAUUGGCUGGUUGAAUUUUUAUCAUCUUAAUAUUUUGGACUCAAUUAUUUCAUUGCAAAUAAUUUUUUUUUUUAUACCAAACUUCGUGAUUUUUUUCUCUAUAAAUUGAGACUUGGAUCAUUUGAUUUGGACACAGAAAAAAAAAACCAAGUUUUUCACUCUUUUAAUCUUAUUAUUAGCUUUCUAUUAGCUUUUCUUUUGAAGUUUUAGUCUCUAUUUAGGGAAAUGGAUCCCAAUACCAAUCAAUUCAACACCCAAAAUUCUUCUAAUUACCCAUUUAGCUACCAAAAUUCCAACAAUUAUCAACACCCAAAUCAAUUUUGGCUUAAAUGCUCUUUUGGUCCCUUAAAUAUUUAUUUGGUAUCGCUAUGGUCCCUUAACUAAAAAAAAGAUUGUUUGAGUACUUUAAUUUAAUUUUCGUUACAUUUUUUGGUCCCUUCUAUUAGGUUUCUGUUAGGUUUAAUAAAAAACGUUAAGUGUGGUACACGUGUCGUUUUGGCAUUGGCUCUGGAAACAUUAAGGGACCAAAAUGAUACCAAAUAAAUACUUAAGGGACGAAAAGAGCAUUUAAGCUUUUUUUUAUCAUCUUCAUCAAAACCUUCAUCAUAUUCAUCAAUUAAAUUCAGAAAAAAAGGAAAUAAUCGAAAAAAACUAAAAAAAAUAAAUAUCCACCGAUUCAUCUUGCAAGACAUUGAUGCAUCUUCAACCCAAAUCCAUAACCCCUCUUUUAUUUAACCAUGCCCAAAUUCAUCUUGCAGGACAUUGAUUCAUUUUCGAGUUCAAUAACUCAUCAUCAACAGUCAUCGUCGCCGUUUCUGGGAGGAUCUACUAUCCACUGUCGUUUUUCUAGAUUCAAGGUUUUUGUGAGAGAGAAAAAUGGAAAUGGUUUUAGGAAACUAUGAAGAAUAAGAUUGAAGAAAUGGUGGAUUUUGGGUUCUAAAUUGGUAAAUAUUGAAAAAGAUUUUUUUUCUGGGUUGGUGUGUUGUUGAUGAUGAAGAUCAUGAAGAAGAAGAUGGAAGGAGAAGGAAGAAGAGGAAUAGUACAAACCCUAACGUUUUUUUGAUUUUUUUUUAACAGAAGGGACCAAAACAGGUAACAGAGAUAAAGAUAAAGUACUCAAACAAUCUUUUUUUUAGUUAAGGGACCAAAGCGAUACCAAAUAAAUACUUAAGGGACCAAAAGAGCAUUUAAGCCAUCAAUUUUUCAACCAACAUCCUCAAAACCCAAAUCAAUCCCCCAACCAACAUCCUCAAAACAGGUCUAAUUUUGGUUUUGCCUCAAAUUUCAAUCACCCAUAUUAUAGAUCUAUGAUGUGAUAUCCAUCUCAAACACCCCCAUUUAAUGGUUAUAUGCCAAUGGUGAAUGAAAAUUUUCAGAGUGUUGGUGAAUAUCCUGAAUUUUCAUCAUAAAUAAAUCGUGGUGGAAUGACAAGAGCUAAUGAAGUCACUCCAAUUCCAGAGGAUACAACUCCUAAGAGCAAGAAAAACCAGCAACCAUCAUGGAACACCGAACAAAAUUUGGUGUUAAUUAGUGGGUGGAUAAAAUAUGGAACAUGCAGUGUUGUCGGGAGAAACCAGACAAGUGAAGCAUAUUGGGGUAAAAUUGCUGAGUAUUGUAAUGAGCAUUGCUCAUUCGAUUCUCCGCUCGAUGUAGUUGCAUGCCGAAACUGUUUUAAUUAUAUGAGCAAAUGAAUAAAUAAAUGGGUUGGUGCUUAUGAUGGCGCUAAGCGUUUGCAAGGAAGCGGUUGGUCGGAAGAUGAUGUUUUCGCAAAAGCGCAGGAAUUAUAUGUAUGUGGGAAGAAUGUUCAAUUUACUUUAAAGGAAGAAUGACACGCUCUCUGUGAUCAACCACGUUAUGGUAGUCAAGUAGGAGGAAAUGUUGACUCAGGAAGUAGUGGAUCUAAGAGAUCUCACAAGGACUCUGUAGGAUCUAGUGCUCGUCCAAUGGGUAGGGAGGCAGCUAAAAAAAAAGGUAAAAAGAAAAGCAAGGACGAGACCUUGGAGAAGGUGGAAAAGGAGUGGGUUCAAUUCAAAGAAUUAAAGGAGCAAGAGAUUGAACAAUUGAAAGAGUUAACCUUGGUGAAACAACAUAAAAACAAGUUGCUGCAAGAAAAGACUGAAGCUAAGAAAAUGAAAUGUAUCUAAAGUUAAGUUAUGAAGAGCAUCUCGAUGACCGAAUGAAAGAGCUGUUGGAAAAGUUGGAGCGUGAGCUGUUUGAAAAUUAAUUUUAAUCAAAUAUUUGUUUGUAUUCAGUCAAAAUUAUCAGUGUUGUCUAGUCACGAGUGUUUGCUUUAAUAUUUGUCAGUGUUGUCUAGUCCCUAGUGUUUGCUUUACCAAUUAUCCGUGACUUUUAUUUCAAACACUAUUUGAAGGUCUUCCUCCAUUUGUUGAAAUGUGUGCCUACUGUUUAAUAAAAUGAUACUAUGACGAUGCAAUGUUUCGUCGUCGGUACCGGAUGCAAAAGCACGUUUUCAUUCGAAUCGUUGUAGACCUUUCAAUUAGUGAUAACUACUUCACCCAAUGAGUUGAUGCUGCCAACAAAGAAGGUAUAUCACCGCUAGCAAAAUUUACCACAGCAAUGCGAAUGUUAGCAUAUGGUGUGGCAACAGAUGCGGUCGAUGAAUACAUCAAAAUAGGAGGUACUACAACAUUGGAGUGCUUACGUUCUAGACCGGUUUGAUGAUGUGGAACAGGGAAAGGCUCCAACGGUGAAUUACUUUGUGAAUCAACGUCUCUAUAAUAUGACAUACUAUCUAGCUGAUGGUAUCUACCCUUCUUAUCCAACUUUCGUCAAAUCAAUUAGACUUCCUCAAAGUGAACCCGAUAAGUUAUUUGCAAAACAUCAGGAGAGCUGUCGGAAGGACAUCGAACGUGCUUUUGGAGUGCUUCAAGCUCGAUUUAAAAUCAUCUGUGAACCAACUCGCUUGUGGGACAUAGCCGAUUUGGGUAUCAUCAUGAGUUCAUGCAUCAUAUUACAUAAUAUGAUUGUUGAGGAUGAACGAGAUACAUAUGCUCAACGUUGGAUUGAUUUUGAGCAAUCUGAGGGAAGUGGAUCCAGUACACCGCAACCAUACUCGACCGAGGUGUUACCCACUUUUGCAAAUCAUGUGCGUGCUAGAUCCGAGUUGCGUGAUCCAAAUGUUCAUCACGAAUUGCAAGCAGAUCUAGUGAAGCACAUAUGGACAAAGUUUGGAAUGUUUCGUGAUUGAAGAUGAUUUGUAUCGUACUAAAUAAAUUACUUGUGUGUUGUGUGCUUGUUUGUUAUCUUGCAUUUUAAGCUAUUUGUGUGCUGUGUGCUUAGUUUAUUGUAUUGCAUCUUAAGUUAGAAAAUAAAAAUAAAUUAUUUAAAUAAAUUGUGUUUUUACAAAAAAAAAAAUUGUUAAGUGUUUCUUUAUUUUUAUUUAAUUAUAAUCGAUAAUUGUAAUUUUAUGUAAUUAUCAAAACAAAAUAUAAAAUUAAAUAAGAAUAAGAAAUAAAAUUAGGUGGUGGGGUAGAGUGUUGAAUGAAAAAACCAUUGGAGAGGUAAAAAUUGAAUGAGUGUUGAAUUAAGAGAGAUAAAAUGGUGUGGAGUGUAGGGAAUUGAAAAAGUGGGUGUUGAGGGUUGUUGAAUGUUUGUGACCAUUGUAAAUGGUCUUAGAACAACUUUUGGAUCUCUUUCAUAAUCUUCUUGUGUUCUUACUCUCUCUCUCUCUCUUGUUUUUUUACCAAUAAAAAAGAAGAAGAAAGUUGCCAAUAAAAUGGUUGUACGCAUAUUAUUACUCAAAAAUAAAUUUAGAAACAUUCUUUUGUUGUUUAUUCUUAAAUUGAAGACAAUGUAACCAACCAUCUCACGAUCCACACAAAUGGAAGUAUUAAGUUUCGUUGAACAUAGUUCACUUGACUUGAGGCUUAAAUAAUACUACUUUUAGGUGGCAAAAACAAUCAAGGUAAUGGUUUCACUGAAUUAGAAAUUCUAGUGGCCAAAACAAUCAUGGUCACAAAUUCAAAUCAGCAUAACAUUUUACGAAACAUACCACAUCAAGUGCAGCUUAGCUUAGAAUCUUAUCAUGUAUGCAUUCAAAAGUUUUAUAAUACAAUGCCAAUAUUAGCUUCUACCAAUAAACCUGACCUUGUAUGUACUAAUGUACACACCACUAAAAGUCAUACAAAUGCUUUCUCCAAUGUUUUAACCACAUAAACCAUAGUGUAAAUAAUCAUUUUCUUCACCUGUCACCAAAGAAGCAGCAAUUAGGAACAAACUUUAUAGAAAAUACCAUAAAGAAUCGAUUGAUAGCGAUAAUGGCUUGGGUAACCUGUAAGAAAUUGUAAGUUUAAAAAUGCAGUCUUCAAAAAGAACUUAGAUGCACUCAAACCGGUUUGAGUUACGACUAACCUAAAUACUAAGAUAUCAGAGGCUAUGCUAUAUAAAUUGGGCGACAAUUGUCAUGCAACUCGAGUAACGAUCUAAACAUCUAAGAUUGAAGUAUUUGAUGCAAUAUAUGAAAAUGAGCCAUUUAUAUUUAUUUUUCUAUCUAACAUAAACAUCUCAACAAAUAAUUUAUAUCUAUUUGAUUUUAUCGUCCAAAUAUUUUAUUUUUUGUUUUUAUUACUUUCUAAUUUAUUUUAAUAUAAAAUUAGAAAGGUAUGAAUAUCCAUAUAGUAAAGUAUUUAUAAAUAUUUGCAAGUUAAAUAUCAACGUGUAAAUGAUUUUUUAUACAAAAAAUAAAUGAUUAUAAAAUAAUUGAAAUUAUGUAGAAUUUAUUCCUUAAAAUGUAUUAUUAAUAAUUGUGGUAUUAAUGGUCAUUUUACAAUUGUUCGGUGUGAGAUUUGAACAAUGUCUCUUAAAGAUAAAAGGCAUAUAUAUAUUCAACCCAAUAUAUUAUACCACACACUUUCACAACAAAUUACAAAUCAAAGAAAAACCAUUAAUUAGAAAAUCGAGUUAUAUUUUAUUUCAUGACAAGAAAUUUUUUAUUUAAGUACUAUGACAAUUGUAUAGUUUUACUAAUUUAAUAACGGGUACGGAUUUCUCCGAGUCUAGAUACUUAAAAAAAUAUUUUAUUUUAUUCUAUAUGUGUUAAUGAUUUUACAUUUGUACUAAACUCGGUUAUUUUCAUCCUCAUGUGCAUCUAUUAAUUUAUAGGUACUUAAAGUAUGAUUUGCUUUAUUGUAUUCGUGUAUACCCAUUAAGAUAUUUGUAGUGUACCGUUUCGUGGUAAAUUUUAUUUACGGACACCAUACAUUCAUAAUUUUGGUCAUCCUUAAUUAUAUGUCUAACCCGAAAAAUGCCGGAUAAAUACACUAGUAUUACCUAAAAUUAAGGUAAUAUAAGAGAAGAAUUGUCUAAUUUUACCUAAAAUAUUUUAUCAACAUUUUUAAUCCCCGUCACAAGUUUUGGUCCUUAGAAAGCUAGAGAAAAAAAGUUAUAGGAACUAAAAAAAGUAAUUUUAUUUUGUAUGAACUAAAAACAAAACGCUAAUAUUCAUAAAGGCCAUUUGUAAAAAAAAUAUUCAUAAAGCUCAAUUACUUAAUUAACCCUUAUUAUUAUCAGCGUUGUUAUGAUCAUCAUUGUGGUUGUCGUCUUCGUCAUAUUGUUCCUUCUCGUUUUUCUCUUGUUUUCAAGAUGAUGGUUAAUUUAGUGAUCUUAUUUUUGAGGGCUUUUUUGGGUAGAUAAAUAUAGAAGUAUAGAUAUAAAAAAAAAGAUUUAACAAUUAUAUUUGCGUAGAUUCUGAAACAAUAAAACGAGUAAAACUAUGGAGCUAAAAAUAGUUCAAUUGAAGUUAAGGAUUUAAAAAAUUCACCGUUAAGAAAUUAGGGUUAAAAACAGAAGACUUGCUUCUCAAUUAAGUAUUCUUUGUCAAAUAUUGCUCCCCUACAAGUCAUACUGAACCCCCCCACUCCCUUCUCCUUUUCGUUGCCUUCCGUAAUCUUUCCUCCCCCUUCGGAAUUAGCAAUCCUCGUAUUGAACCCAUCAUUCAUCCAUCCUCUUCAUAUCGACGACAAUGUGUUGGUAAGUCAGUUCGAUAUAUCUCUCUGCCUUCUCCGUUUUGCUUUGCUUUCUCGGUGCACUAUGGCCAAACCAUUAGGUGAAAAAAAAGGUUAGUAACCACAUACCGGAAGAUCUUGCAUUAUUCAUUCUAUCAAAACUUCCUUUAAAAUCUUUAAAACGUUUUGGAUGUGUAAAGAAAACAUGGUCUCUCUUAUUUGAAAAUUCUUAUUUCAUCACCAUGUUCCGCACUAAUUUCAUAUCUAUUCCUCACUCUUACUAUGAUGAUACAACACUCAUCCUACAAGAGAUUGUAGAGACACCUCUUAAAUGUUAUAUCCAUUCACUUUCUGGUGAGAGGUUUGAGAAUAGACUCAAAUUCCAUAUGCCAAAUCCAUUUCAAGUGGAGGACCCUCUCCUCUAUAUUUUAGAGUCUGGAUCUACUAACGGAACUCUUUGUCUCUACGGAGGACCCGAUGAACUUGUAUUGUGGAAUCCAAGUACCGAUGAAUUGAACGUCGUUCCUUCCAGUUCUAUGGUCUCUAUGCCACCUUAUCGGGAUCCUUACACUACUCUUCAUGGAUUUGGUUAUGACCAUGUUAGAGAUGACUAUAAGAUUAUUAGGUGUAUACAUUUUUUUCUACUAGAAGGCGAAGAUCUUUUUCGUCUCAACCUGUCGAAGGAAGAUGUGCAACGGGAUGAAAUAUCUUAUGCACGUGUAUGGGAGAUUUAUAGUUUAAGAUGUAACACUUGGGAAUAACUUCAUGUCGAUAUACCUCCAUAUUGUUUUUCAGGUUUAUUGUACACAGAUGGAAUAUGGCAUUGGUUGUCUAGAAAUAAUGCUCAACAUUACAUGGUGUCAUUUGACCUAAGCAAUCAUGUGCUUUUUAAAACAUUAACGCCCUUAGCAAUACCGAUAGACAUAGAUCCCAAUUUUGAUUUUGAGAAUGUGAGUAAAGAAUUGGUGAUGUUAAAUGGUUCCAUUGCUUUGAUCUCUUGGUAUGAAGAUACGACCACCUUUCACAUAUCAGUUUUAGGUGAACUUGGUGUGAGUGAAUCAUGGACUAAACUCUUUAUUAUUGGACCUUUGUCCGACCUUUUUACGUAUCCUAUUGGAGCAGGGAGUAAUGGUGAUAUAUUCUUCAAAGCAGGAGAUGGAAAACUAGUCUUUGAUUUAAGAACACAGAUGAUUGAGAAACUUGACGGUGUGGAAAAAGCAUAUUCCAAAAUAAUAAUCUAUAAGAAAAAUGGAGGAAUAAAUCAUUAGUUAGUUUUUGUUCUCAAUUAUUAGGAUCAUUUUAUCUUAAAUAAUAAAAAGUGGUUUAUCAAUCACCCAUUAUCAUAUUUAUGAUUACGAAGCAUAUGAUAAAUUAAUAAACCAUCUUGUAAUUAUGAAUGUUGCAGCUUUGACAAAUUUAUAUUGAAAGUAUUUGUACUAUCUUUCUAUUUGUUUAAUUAUAGUUCUAUUUGCAAGAUGAUAUGAUUUCUCUUUCUAUUGUAUUGAAUGGUCUCUGGUUUUUUGGUAGCUAAUGGUUUUAUUAUGACCUUGUUAUGAGUUAUUAUGAGUUUAUAAGUUAUUUUUUCAUUGUACACAUGAAUUAUUACAAGUUUAUUAAUUAUUUCAACACUAAAAGUUUAUGUCAAAGUCAUAUUCCUAAGUUUUUUAGUUUUGUUUCCCUUUGUCGAUGAUUUAUGUUAGUAUCAUGUUGAUGAGUUUUUCUUCCUUUUUUGAUCAGUUUAGAGUGUUCUCUAUUUCUUGCAAUGGUUGUCCACAGACAAGUAGGUUGCAAGUAAAUUCAAUUUUCUCUAUUUAUUGAUUUAGUAUCAUGUUUGCAGAUUAGUAAUCAAUGAUUUAUGGAAUUUUUUUACAGAUUGAGCUCAAUUUUUUUGACCCGAGGAGUUCAUCAACAUCAUCGUUAAUAUCUUGAGACAAAAGGUGCAAUAGUGGAAUACAAUUAUCAGAUGCAACCUGUUCCAGUCAGACCAAGCAGUGCUCUUACACUUUCCAGUAUGGAGAUGGUAGCGGAACCUCAGGCUAUUACGUGUCCGAUACGAUGCAUUUGGAUACUAUUUUUGAGGGAUCUGACUACAAAUUCUUCAGCUCAUGUAGUUUUUUGGGUGAGCUUUCAUGAGCCUGAAAUGGUUGAUAUUUGAUAGCAUAUCUCUUGUUUUCUUUCUUCGUGUUAAUUAGUUUAAUCUAAUCUCGGAAACCGCUACUUUGUGAAUUGAGCAGUUGUAGUAACGAGCAGAGUGGAGACUUGACAAAAUCUGACAGAGCAGUUGAUGGUAUAUUUGGAUUUUGGCAACAACAAAUGUCUGUGAUCUCACAGCUCUCAUCACAAGGGAUUGCUUCUGGAGUAUUCUCUCAUUGUCUUAGAGGAGAUAGCUCUGGUGGAGGAAUUCCGGUUCUUGGUGAGAUUGUGGAGCCUAACAUAGUUUAUACUCCAAUUGUUCCAUCACGGUAAGUUUUUAGCUAACUGCACCCUUCGCAAAUAUUUCAGGCUCAUUACAAUUUAAACUUACAGAGCAUAUCUGUUAACGGCCAGGCACUUCAAGUCGAUCCAUCAGUUUGUGCAACAUAUCAAGCAACAGAGGCACCAUUGUUGAUUAUGGAAAAAAAAUCAUAUUCCUAAGUUUUAUAAACAUGAAGGCUCGAGUAAAGGUUAAAAUUUCAUCUUAUUUGCGUCAUGUUUCUAUUCUAAUUUUUCAACAUCUAACAAAGUAAUUAUGUUAGACAGAUUUGAACUUAUACAUGUCUUUCGGUUUUUACAUGUAAAAGAGAAAAAAUAAAUUAUACUUCCAUUUCCCCAUCUUUUCAUGACAUGUUCAUAAAAGCUGUUUUCAGCUUAUUUCCAUAAGCUGUCUAGAAAAGCUUAUGAAAAUAGCUACAUAAAGCUUUAAAGAGUUUUGUCUCCUGAGGUGAAAUUUCUACAUAAAGCUUUAAAGAGUUUUGUCUCCUGAGGUGAAAUUUCUACAUAAAGCUUUAAAGAGUUUUGUCUCUCCAGGUCAGUCUACGUAAAGCUUUAUCUAUCCACCUUCUAUGCUCUUAAUGUGACAUGACACUACAAACAUUUCUACAUAUCUUGUAUUUAAAAGUUGGUUAAUAUAUUACUCAUUCCCAUGCUGGAAAUGCUGCCACACGUAUGUAACCAUGAAAUUAUAUUUUAGUUUAGUUUUAUUGAGUUAUGGAAAAUGUUAAAUUGAUAACUAUGAGCCUUGCAUAAUCGAUAAUUUAUAGCUGAAUUGAAUUGAUUACCAUGAAAUGCUGCCACACGUGUAACUGUAAAUAAAUAUUAUGUACUAUAGGUUUAUGGAUAUUUUCCAAAAUUAUUUGGUUGUCAAAUCCAUUCCUAAUUCCAAAAAUCAGUCCAUCUUUCCUCUAUUUAAUUUUGCAUUUUUUAGUUUAGUUUAAAAAAUUGAUUAUGAUCUUUGGAAAAUGAAAUUAGAGGCACUGCUAAAUUGAGCUUGAUGUGUUGUUGUAUUAAGUGUUAGAUCAUUAGACUUUGAAGCUGAUGGCUUGUUGGGAGUCUAUGCUGAGAUUUUCGAUACAAUUCUGUCUAGUUUUUCUGCCUCUGCUGCGCAAUCUCGACUACGCAAUCGCAACAUAGCUUUUGGCAUGUUGCACUCUUUUCUUAGUUGCCUCCAAAUGUGAUUAGAUGCCUACAGUUUUGGGGUUUGAUGUUGUUGUUUAGCUAGCGUGCGUUACUGUUUUGAACUCAAUUCAGUUGAAGUUCUGACUUCUAAUUCUAUCUAAUUUUUCCUUAACAGGUCUAGUUUAUGUUGUUAUGGGGUAUUUUUGAUAUAUGGUGAUGAACUGCUGGUGGGUGGUGUUUGGUCCUGCAAUGAUGGUUCUGUUCAAGGACGAGUUACCACUAUUGUCGUGUUUUCUCGACUACGAGCAUGAAUUUGUUUUUUUGGUUGGGUCUAUGAUGGUUCUCAUCUUCCGAAACUGCCAUGUUUUUGACUGUUUUUCUUUAGUUUACUGCUGCUAUAUUUCUGUGUUUUUUCCCUGCUUUGGCGAGGAGUUAUCCCCGAUUACAUAUAGAUCAGGGAUUAGUUUUGUUGCCUAACACUACUCGAUGUCAAACCUUUGGACAAAUUUUCGUUUCCUUGUUACAUAUUGGCAUCCCCACUGACUCAAAUUUUGUCUAACUUUGUCGCUUGUAGAAUGCAUUCCAAAGUGACCUGUUCAAUAUAUACACGCUGCUGGGAAUAGUUUGCACUUAUGGUUGCUGCAAGCUCAGGGGAGAUGAGCUUUUCUAGAGGGCUUGGCUGGUCCGAUAUUCAACAUAGUUGACAAACGAUGCGCAUUUGAAUUAAACUUGUUUGAUUUGCUUAAAUUAGGGUGGUAGCUAUUCGAUUUAUAUUACCAAUGAUAUACAAUUUUUUUUUGAAGAGAUAUAUAAUGUAUUUGUUCUUUUCAUUAUCAAUCAAUUUCAGCUUGUUGAAAUCUUUGAAGUCAAAUAUAUAAAUAUUUUACUGAUUGAUCUACCUAGUCUUGACUAUUCAGUAACAUUUAUGUAACAAAACUAUAGAUUGGCAACAAAUUAGCUACAAAUUACCUACAAAAUAAGUAACAUUUUUUAAGUGUUACAAGUAAUACUUUCAAGUGUUACUGAAAUCAUUUAGUAACACCGGCUUUACCUAACAUUUAUCAAAUGUUACAAGAUCUAAAUAGUAACAUUUGUUUUUGAUUUAGUUACAAUUUUGAAGUGUUACUAAAUCUCAUAUAUGUUGUAGUGUGAUAGGAAAGAAGUGCAUUUUUGCAUAUAAAUGUUAGAAAAUGGUGUAAGUUCUGAAUGAUGGGUGAAUAUUGAUGUUUGGAGUAGUGAGUGUUGUGAAUUAUACACUUGAAUGAGGAUGACCGGAAAUUUUACUAAUAUAUAAUGUUGUUUAAAUGUACCAUAUAUAUUUUUAAUGAAUGUAUUCUCACCACUGCUUUGUUGUUUUGUGUUUGUGGUGUCUGUACUCGUGGGAGGACAUAUACUUAGGUUAAGGAGUUUUAGCUGCGAGGUAUUGGGAUGGUGGCGUUGGAAGUUUUAUUCCAUCUGAUUUAUUUAUGAAAAACUGUAUAGGCAAUUACGUUGUUUUGAUUCGAUAACACUAGGGUUAAGGUGUUUUCAUCGUUUUGUUAAGUUUCUUGGAGAUGAUUUUUGAAACUAUGAUUUUAUUAUGCUAUAGUGUAGAGACCUUAAAUUAUUUUAAUUGAAGUUGAUGAACUAUUUCGCUGCUUUAAUUAUGAUAUUUGAUUUAUGGAAAGGUAGAUUGUCGAAUAUGUGUAGCACCUAUUUAAAUAAAUAUACUUUUUAUGUUACAAUUAUAGUUUACACUUGAGUGAUUUUGAGGCUCCGAUGAUUGCCAUUUCGGUGUUGAACAUUGGGAUAUGGUCGACUGGGUCAUUCCUUCCAUUGAAAGUGGACUGUGAGGGUGGUUUGAAAAUUUUGAGAACUGGCACAUUCCAGAUCUCCGCCAAAAGGGUUGGGGAUCCAAUUCCUCCGUCUCCUCAUUGUUAUGGUGGAGCUCGUCCUGUUGUUGUUGGAUCAUGUUGAUUGAAGCUUGUAGGGCUUCGUUUUAUUGUUGCAGCUUCUGUAACUGGAUUUGCAUUGCUACAACGAUGUUUGGAUUGGCGUCUCCCCCAACCACCGAUUUUGUCUAGAGCGUUAUUGCUUUGAGAAUAUUGAUGGUGGCCUAGGAUAGUUUUACCGAAGCCCCAUAGUGAACACUAACUAUACUUGAAAUAAGCACAAUGAUAACACUCGACUCAGGAGAAAGCUAAGUGAUCAAGUUCUAGGUCUGUAUAUUUAUGGUUCUCUGAGUGUGACCCCAGGGUGCUAUUUAUAGCUCCCCCUACUUUAUGGCGGCAGACUCUAAUCUUUAUUAUGAUUCUUUAUUACAUACAACUACAUUUUUUUUAAAUCAGAUAUCACUAUUUUGAAAAAAUCUAUUUAACACACAUUAUUCUAUUAAGUCCAAAAAUUUGUUGUCAACAAAACAAAAUAUCUAGUUCAUUAACUUCUUUACUGCUAUUGUAGUAGCCAAUUAUAAUUUUGUAGUGACAUUUUAGUUUUUCAUAUCUUGUAAAACACAUCAAGGCAUAAGGCUAUUAAGACUACUAAUUAAAAGCUAAAAGAAAUAUAAAUUGUAAGUGUUUCAACCAAUUAUUAAAGGUAUUCUUAUAAGUGGCGAGGAUUUAUUUAAAAAAAAUUGAGAAUAUGACAUUUUUAUUAAUUAAAGUGAUAUUAAUGACUAUUUUACUACUACUACUACGGAGGGGAUUCAAACUCAACACUUUAAAGUUACAAGGUUAAACUCUUUUCGAUGAGAUAGACCAUAAAAUUAUAGGCGGUAGGAUGGAAAAAAAAAAAAAAAAAAGGUGUGAUAUGACCGAAUUGGAUUCCAAUGCGAUACUUCUAAAAUAAGAGAGAGAAGAUCAAUCUAAAUAAACUCUUUAAUUCCUUACUAUCAUUUUAGAGUAUAAAAUAGUAACUACAAGGUCUAUGAAAUUAAGGAAAAAAAUAUUGUGUGGCAGUACAAUAACUAAAUGAGAGCUCAUGAAAAAUGUAUCAUAAUGAAUAUUGCACAUUUCUUUUACUAGCACAAUAAUCCAUUCUCAUAUGUAAGGUGUUUCUGCACUCUUUUGGGUUUGGUACUCAUAUAAUCGGCGAAGCUUUUUAGUCAAUUCACAUUUGUGAUCAACACAUUUGACAACAUAAAACCAGUCUGUAAUUUGUGGACAAUCGGCAUCAGUUUCACAAUAAAUAUCUACUGUAAUGAAAAAGGAAAAGAAAAGAAAAUAAUGUUAACUAAAACAUGAUAAAAGAUUGUGUACGAACUGCAAAGUAAAUAGAAAAAAUUGAAAAGAAUGAGAAAUGACUUACCACCAUCAACUUCCGUUAUGACAAGAAAUAAGGGAAGAAAUAGAAUCAUAGCAUAAACAAAUUCGAGAAUUUCCACCAUAUGUUUUCCUCUUUGCAUGUCAAAAAUAGAAUAUGAUUUGAUCACCUUUUAGCGUAUAAAGUUCAUGCUCUCCUAAAAUUAAAUAAUUUUUUUUAUCACUUCUAAAAUUGUAAAAUCCUUUUAUAAAAUUAUAAUCAUUAUUAAAUAUUUCUUAAGUAUUUGUUGUGUUUGUCUCUUCAACACACCUAGUAGGCGGUUAAAUAACAAACGUUCUAAUCAUUAAAAUUUAUUCUGUUUUAAUUAACUUUUCAUUACUUUUUGAACCUUUCACGAUAGUAAAAGAUUUUUUUUCUUUGUGAACCAUGAUAAAGUUAUUUUUUGGAAUAAUACACCAAUAUUAUUAUUUUUUGGACAAGAAUGAUGCACCAAUAUUAGAGUGAGAACAUGUAUAUACAUAGUGGCGGAGUAUUACAAGGGCAUAGGUGUGCCCACGACCCACCCUCCCCCUGUAUUACAAGGGCAUAGGUGUGCCACGACCCACCCUCCUCCCUCCCUCCAAAAAAAAAAGUAUAUUUUUGUUCUAUUAGUAAAAUGAUAAAAUAUCCAUGACUUUCUUUCUGACUCCGCCACUAUUUAUACACAAGUAAAAUGUAUGGUAGGAUCAAUUCAUGUUGCUGAUAAAGUCAUUGAAAAAAAAUGAAUGUGUAUUUAAUUUUGUAAUUGCAUGAUUUAUUAUACAUUUUCUUUUUUUUUUGAAGGAAGGAAUCUGUUUUUUUAUUUAUUAUAUACAUUAUCAUUCAAAUCAAUUAUAUAAUUCAUAUUGAUUUAAAAAAUAAUUUGGUACUGAAUUGAAUGUAAACUAAAAUUGAUUUUAAAAUUGAUUCAUAUAAUAAUGAAUUGAAAUAUGUUCUCAGGAGGAAUGCAAUAUACUUGAUUUCAUGUAUAUUUGCAUUCCUCCUGUUUCAUUUUCCAACGUGCCUCUCCUUGUCCAUUUUAUCGUGUUCCAUCGUGGUGUGCCUUUUUCUUGGGCUGAAGAGCACAUCUUAGUAUCUAUGUACUUGAAGGAUCCGAUUGAUUUUUCAUGGCUCCUUUACCACCAUCUCAUGUUGUUGAUAUCAAUGUUAACAGAGAAGAGGUAGUGCUACUCCAUCUAGUUAGUGCUUCAAAUGAUUACACUAUCAGUAGUGCUUAUAGUUUCCUUCAACAAUCAGCAAAUCAAAAUAUCCUUGCAGAUGACAACCAUGUAUUUUGACAUAAAGAUGUUCCUUUGAAAGUCAAUUUUUUUAUGUGGCGUCUUCUUUUCAACCGCCUUCCAACGAAUGCUAAUUUAUGAGAGGAGUGAUUCCGGCUACUUGAAGGGUGUGGUAAUUUAGAGGAUAAACAAUGCCCGUGUUGUCAAAAAGAUCGGACUAAAGCAAUGAGAGAAUAAUACCAAAUCAGCUCAACCAUGCAAAAUCAACUCAUUUUGGUCUUGAAAAACACAACAUGGCAUUACAAUUCAAGAAUAAAAAAUAAAAUAAAAAUAGUUUUUGCUUUCGUAGAGAACAACAAACUAUUAAAACUUCAAACAAAGAAAAUAAAAUAUUGCAAAAGAAAUAAAUGAAGAGGAUAGUCAGCUAAUUAACCCAUGUAUUUUUUUUGUUACAAAGGCUAAAGAGCAAGGAAAACAAAAGAAACAAACAGAUAACUAAAGUCUCAAGUAAAAGGUUCCAGCAGCAUGAGAGGCAAAAGCUCCGCUGGAGGAGAGUCGUGGCGGAUGAGCUAAUUGUCAUGGCGGAUGAGCUAAUUAACUCAUGUAUAAAACAAAAUACAUUAUUCAUACAACUGAAAAAUUAGUUAAUUUCUAGAGUUCAAGAAAUACCAGCAGAACACAAAUAACAGCCCAAACAUUUUAUAACUUUGCUAGUUAUCUUCUAUUAUUCUUACCCCAAGAUCAGUAAUUAGUAAUAAUUCACUUCAUUGAAGAUUCACAAUCUGAGUUCAAAUAUAGAGUUUUCAAAAAUGACAAUGUUUUUUUAAAAGAGAGAGAUACAUAGUCAUACUCAUAUGACAUGCCCCCAUGAAGAAAAACAUGGACCAAUGUCUUACUUUGACAUCAUUUUCAACUAGAGUUUUGAUUUCUUCGUCUACCUUCUUUUGCAUUUCUUUGCCUAGCCCUAAAAUUAAACCCAAGAACUUGCAAAAAAAUAUAUGAACUAAGAAUCAAAUCAAUAAAGUGAUACAAAGUAGUGAAGGAAAAUGGUUAGGGUUUCAAAAAAAAUGGGACUUUUUAUCUUUGUUGAAGUCUUAGCAAGAUAAUGAAGGAAGGUCACUUUCCAUCGAAGAAGAAGGACACAAUUACUUUUAAAAUGACACUGUAGGGAUGAAACAAAAAUGAAAUAAUUAGAGUAUAGCACAUGCUACAGUGACCGGAAAGUUGGUCGCUAAUUUUUUAAUAGAAUGGGUAAACAAAUAUCAGAGAUUGAAUUUUCUGUCACUAAACACCGGGUUCUACUUUAGUCUCCAAACUACAUUUGGAGACGCAAAAACUUAUUGUUAAAAAAUAUUUUAGAACUUUAUGAUGAUUGAAAACUUAUUGUCAAAAUCCUUCGCUAUAAUCCCGAUUUCUAGUAGUGUUUAUGAUUGAACACUCAUGAUAUUUUGUAAGGUUUGAACAUAACUGUGUCUUGUGGCAAUAAAUCAAGCGCAGUUGUGUAAACCUUCCUAAAAUUAUUGUAGGCUAUUUUUGGAAGAAAAGAGUAAAGUAACUUGCACAAAAUUGAGAAUGAACAGUAAAUUUUUAUCACACCUCUCUCAUCGAAAUUUAGUUGUUCCAGCCGCAUAGAACAUUGUAAGCCACCAACAACCACCAUUCCAUCUUCAUUCUUCAUUGUUUUAGCCAUGAAUCCGUUCCUUAUUACAUGACAUUGUCUUAAUCUUCAUCCUAAAGAAGCUAGUGAAGCAAUCAAAUCACCUUUUAUCCAAAUAUCAUUCGCGCAAGUUGUUAAAAAUGUUUGUGAUAUACCUUUGAGACAACAAUUCCUCAACUUAGUGUUAAAGGUGACUGGAUUGCUAUAGUAAUUCCUUAAUAUGAAUACAAAGAUGGAAUCAAAACUUGUAAGGACAACUUGUACAAACGAAUUAUCUGGAAAAGCGUGCAACACAGUUGAAGUUUGGUGCCUUGCGAGCCAAGCUAUCGCCAAUAUGGAAAUCCCUAAGUAAUGGCGAAUGACCUCUCUGGGUAAGGGUUAAUUUCUGAGUCCUCCUUUACAUCUCUAGAGGAUGUUCAAAGUGUGAGAUCGAUAGGAUCUUGAAUCUCAAGAGCAUUGGAGACCUAAAGUACUCUUUGAUAUAAGCCAAUAUUUGAUGUAGACUUUGACUAUUUUGUUUGAGUCUUGGUUGAUAUGGACCUUAAAUAUCAACCCAAGUACGACGCUCUUGUUGAGAGAACAUGGUUUCAUUUUUGUGGAGAUGAGAAUAUUUUUUGUGAAUCGAACCAACUCGAAUUUAGUUUAAAACUCGAUUCGAUAAUUGAUUUAUUGAACUUAGUUCAUGAACUAAAUGAGCUGAAUUUAAGUUGAAAAUUAAGUUUGUUAAUUAUAUGAGUCGAACAUGAACUAUAUAUAGUUCGACUCGUUUGGUUCAUGAACUGACUCGAUUAUAUAUAUAUAUAGGACAUAUCUAAUGAGAAUAGCUUUGUUAUGUGAGAAUAAUGAGAACGCAUAUGGAUCCUUAGAUUAAAAAUAAAUGGUUAUGAUUAAAAGUCCUCUUUUAAACAACACAUGUUCUUUCUACAGUGUAUCAUGUUUCUAUGUUCAACCCAUCUUCAAUCCAAACAACACCAUUCCAGUAUUGCUUUCAUCUAUGCCACCCGCCGGUGACACGACAACUCCGGCAAUUUUUCGAUUGAUGGAGGAACAAUUUCCGAAAGGUUUCUGUAACUUAAAUUGAUUGUUCUGAGAUUGCAAAGCUGACUAAUCCCUGUCGGAAUCUCGUCGGAGAUGAAAUUCCAGCUGAUGCCGAAAAACUUACUGACGUGAAACAUUUAGAUCGACGAGAGUUGAGAGCUUACCGACGACGGUGUCUAUUUUUCCGGUGAGGCCAGGAUAACCGGAUCUAGAUUCGCCGAGAUUUAGAUCAACGACUUAAUGGACGGAAAAUUAAACUCUGACAAGGUUGCAGGGAUGGUCGGUGAUGGCCACAAAGUCACAUCACCCAAAGACGAUGAAGGAACCAAAACGUUUUAGAAAAUUGGGAAUGAAGAGGAAAAAAUUGAAUUAAUUUGGUUUUUCAUCUCUCGUAUUAAUUUGGAUCUAGAUUCAAUUUUAUCAUUUUUCAUCCUGUAUGUGUUUUUCAUAAGAUUGAUUUUGAACCAAUUAUGAGAGAGAAGGGAUACGACGGAUUGGGCGUGAGGAAGAAUGCAGGAUGGAAGGUGUGUUGUUGAGAAAUUUUUUUUUUUCUGCCCUUAUUUUUGCCAAAAAACACAAAACUACCCUACUUUUUCGAAAAAUUGCAAAAAUACCCUACUUUUUCUGAUACCCCUGGCACCACACAACCCCAAGUUGCGGGGUACCCUCAAAGUUGACGAAAUUUUUGUCCUUAUUAUACCCCACAACUCCAAGUUGCGGGGUACUUUCCCUAUUUUUUUUUUUUAAUUUUAAACUACCAAGCAAGAUGGACUUGCGAGGUAGUUUAUAAUUUUUUUUUUUUAAAAAUUAAAUACCCCACAACUUGGGGUUGCAAGGUAUUUUUCUAUUUUUUUUUUAAUUUUAUAAUUAAUUAAAAUAUAUUAUUUCAUCUACUAUAAAUACUUUCUUUCAUCUUUCAAUUUAUCACACCAUUUCAUUUUUUGAUAAUUAGUUGCAUUAUUUUGGUCAGGAUAUUAAUAAUGUUAAUUUAGGCAUUAAUAAUAAAGUAAUUAUAAUAAUAAUCAUUAUCUACGAAAAAUAAUAAUAAUAAUAAUAAUCAUAAUAUAUAUAAAAUAAAAAACUUACGAAAUAAAAUAAAUAUGCAAUAAAGACUAGAUUUCUACUGAUGUCUAAUAUUAGUGCAAUCUUUGCGGGAAUGAUCAGGCAUCCUACAAACGCCGCAUCUUCUCUCAGUUUCCACAUCGUCCAUCUCGGUCCUAAUGCGAGUAAUUGGUGGACGACCUUUCUUUGCCCUACGCAUCGACUUGUUGGGAACCACCUUCAGUCCUUCAUAAUCAGGCCAAUAUGACUGGUGGUGAACCACGUCGAAGUGGAUGUUGUAUACGGCGUACACACACUCAUUCGUGAAUUUGUUAUCGACAAAAGUCUUGUAGUCGUGAGAAAAGCUAGAACAUGCGGCAAUUACAUGUGAGCAUGGUAGGUGUAACGCUCUGAACCGUCCACAGUCACACCAUUUAUUUUGCAGGUCCACCUUGUAUUCUCCCUUUGGUAAUCCUUCUUUAUGGUCGAUGGUUUCACAGACAGAAAAGGUAUAUCGAUCCCGGUCAAACUGAGUGACAUGAUGACUGUUGGAUUUAAUAACCUCAUUCCUGAGAUAUUUCAUGAUGUUUUCUGAGAAUGGCUCACCAGAAUUUACCCUUGCCGCUGCUUCAUGUCCUCUUUUAGCAAACAAGGCCGCCAACCUGUAAUAGGAUGCUUUCACAAUUGCUGUGAUCGGGAGUCCUCGAAUUCCCUUAUACACGUUGUUUUGUGACUCUACCAAGUUACUUGUCAUGUGGCCCCAUCGUCGACCAUCAUCAUGUGAUUGAGUCCACUUUUCUUUGGGAAUGUUGUCGACCCAUGCUAAAGCCUUCCGGUCCGCGACAGCGAUUUCAGAGCGGUAGUAUUCGAAUGUUGGGAUGUUCAUGGCGUAACCUGCAUUGUUUUGAAAAAAUUUAGAUGUGUCUUCUUUAAACAAAUAAUAUGUCGAAAUUACAAGGAUAGAGAUAUAAUUUUUACCCAUGCCUUCAACUUUCUUCUUAAGUUCUCCAUCCUUGAACGAUCGCAUAAAGUUUUGUGCAAUGUGUCGGACACAAAACACAUGGCUUGUCGGAGCAUCAUGCCAUCCAUUCUGUGGAUCAUCAUAUGCGCUCUUUAUCGACACAUGUCUAUCAGAAAUGAGACAUAUGUUCGCCUGUGGGGUGACAUGCUGCCUUAGAUUUUUCAAAAAGAAACUCCAUGCCUCCUUGGUCUCCCCUUCCACGAUUGCGAAAGCAAUGGGAAAUAUCUUGUUGUUCCCAUCUUGCGCAACAGCUAACAACAAUGUUCCUUUGUAUUUACCAUACAACCAAGUUGCGUCAAUCUGGACAAUUGGUUUGCAGAAUUCGAAGCCCAAGAUGCACGGACGAAAGGCCCAAAAGAGACGCUUGAAGACGAUCUCAUUGACCACUUCUGUUGAUGGGUCUGUUUGAAAAUCAAUAAUUGUUCCUGGCAAAUCUUUUUCCAUGACCAUCAACCACUGUGGUAGUUCUUUAUAAGAAUCCUCCCAGUUACCAUAAAUUGAUUCAAUCGCCUUAUUUUUUGCUCUCCAUGCCUUUCUAUAAGAAAUUGUAUAAUUAAACUUCUCUCGGAUGUGUGCAAUUAUAACUUUCACCGUAAUUGAAGCAUCCAUAUGUAGUAGUGAUUUAACACUUUCACAUAUGACAUUGUAACUAAGUUUGCAAUGAUCUUGCGUCAAUUCUGUUGAGACACAUGUAUGAGGAUCCUUCAUUUUUCCAAUCUCCCAUCUAUCAGAUUUUUUCCUCCACGAGGCCCGCAAUUUGAAACCACAAGUAGUAUCUUUACAUUUGAUGACAUACCUUUCAUGAUCCGAUUGCUUCACAAAAUAAUCCCAUGAAUUUUUUAUGUGAUAAUAUCUAAUUGCGAGAAUGCAAUCAUUCUUGUUAUGAAAUUGCAUCCCCGGAGAAAUACCUUCAUCGACUGGAAGAGUCAUUGACUGAUAAAGCUCAGUUGAGUGGUCAUCAAUGACGUUGCGCAUAGACCUUGGUGGGUUGUAAGAAGCUCUGAUCGGUGAAAUUGGUAGUUGUGGCACAAUGUCUUCUUCGUCUUCUUCGUUCUCAUCACCGCUUUGUGCAGCAAGGAGUUCUUCAUCAUCAUCGUCAUCAUCAUCUUGAACUUCAUCAUUUGAGUGGUCCUGGAUUUGGGAGGUGAAUAUAUUUAUUUCAUCGUUUAAAGUUUGAGAUUGUGUUUGAGAGGGAUCAACUUGAGUUAAUCUUUGUGAUGGUUCGUACUGAUUUUGUGACCAUUGUGAAUGAAAAGAUUUUGAUGAUGAUGGAUUGUAGUGCGGUUGUGAUGAUGAUGGAUUGUAGAAUUGACUAGAACUUGAUGGGUAAUUUAACUCAAGAUUAGAUGUUGGAUUCUUCAUCUCAAACGUAACAUAAAGCUCUAUGUAGGACAAAGAACUGUGACUCUUAUGUACGUCAAACAUAAACUCGACAUCGUCGUUAUCGGUUAGUCUUAACGCCUGGUAGUGAAUUGUGCUAGCUCCAUGAAGAGGGUGCACCACUAAGCACUCGUACACGACAACACAUACAACCAAGUCCAUUUAUUGAGGAUUAUCUACGUCAAGCUGGAUUUUAUGAGGUUACGCAAAUAGGGCAUUAUAAAAUUGACAGACAUAUCGUAACCGCUCUUGUAGAAAGAUGGCGAUCCGAGACACAUACUUUUCAUUUUCGAACAGGUGAAUGUACAAUCACGCUGGAAGAUGUAUAUAUGUUACUUGGCAUACCUUUUGGAGGACAAAUUGUUACGGGUCCUCCACAUCUUUCAUGGGAUAUUUGUUUUCAACUCUUGGGAAUAGCUGCUCCAGAACGCAAAACUGAUGGUUUUACUCUCUCAUUGGCGUGGUUAAAGGAAAAUAUGGUCGAUCCAAACUUCAAUCAACAAUCACCUCCAGAAGUCAAAAUACAACACACUAGGAGGUACAUACUAUACCUCAUUGGGGGUUUCUUGUUUCCAAAUACAACUGGAUUAUAUGUGCACAACUCUUGGUUGUAUUUGUUAAUGGAUUUUAAUGAAACAAGAAAAUAUAGUUGGGGAUCGGCAGUUUUAUCUUACCUUUAUCGUGGCUUGUGUGAGGCAUCCCACCCAAACAUAAAAGUUAUAGCUGGAUGUCAUUUUCUCUUACAAGUUUGGGGAUAUUGUCGAUUGACUCAUAUCGCUCCGAGAAAUUCAAAACCACUCCAGUGGCCGUUAGGAUUAAAGUAAGCAUGGUCAACACCCUUUUUUUUUAUUUUUUAUUAAUUCCCGCACAUAUUCUCGCCUAUUACUAUUUUUAUUUUUUUAGUAAAUCUAAUUUUUUUAAUUUAAUUUGUUAGAUGGACAGGAGUAGGUUCAAGGUACUACGACAAUCCAAGCCAUGACACUAUAUCUUACAGAAAACAGUUUGAUGACAUACUACAGCAUGAUGUAAUAUAUCCUUCAUUUUUGAAUUAUUCCUUCAUAUAUAUAUGUAUAACAAAAUUAUUAACAAUACACUAUAUAUUCUCUUUUGUCCCAGUUUAAGUGGAGACCAUACAAGAGAGUUCCACACGAUUUGCCUGCUGACUAUUGGGAUUGUACUGCGACAACUUACCUUAUAUGUUUUGAUAAGGUUGAAUGGCAUCCAACUGAUAGGGUCAAGCUUCAAUUUGGUUUGUCACAAGAAAUACCAGGGGCCCCAAUAAACAUGCAGCAAUUCCAUAAGUUGGACAAACGGUACAAGGCGUGGUAUGAAUCAAGAGGUUUUCGCUUUCCACAAGAGAGCGAACAUUGGGACAAUCGACGCCUUUAUACAUUACCACAAAUGCGGCCAAAAUCUCUCACCCCAACUCAUUCGUAUAUUGAUUGGUUGACAACCACUUGCAAUCCACGUCUGAGGAUUUCAAUUGACAGAAUGCCAAUAAAUUCAGAUCCAGAAGAGGAAGAAGAGCCGGAGAUAGAACCAGAGCAUGAAGCUGAAAUUCACAACAACCAACCACCAAUUCAUGAUGAUUUUUGGGAUGAAGACUUUCUUAACCGACUAGAUGAUCCUCAAUCCCAACCACCUACAACACAAAACACUCAAGGUUCUAUAAUGUAUGAUUUUCUUGACACCCCACAACAAAAUAUCAUCCAACCACCACCAUAUACCACCCCAAGAAAUGCAUAUAACCGUAAUUAUCAGUCAACUUACCAACUGAAUUCAAUGUCAAAUUUUGGUUACAAUGACCCAAACCAAGCUGGACCAUCCACCGGUAACUACUUCUCCUAUAAUGACCCAAGCCAAGCUGGACCGUCCAACACCAAUUACCCCCCCCCCCCCCUACAACGACCCCCAAUACUCAAUGUACACCAACCAAAACUACAACCAACCAACACCAACAAACCUACUAUCUCACUUCUCUCCGGAUGCGAUGAACUCCAAUGAACAAUUUCUGGAUAUGGGUUGGCCAACAAGGGAACACGAUGUGUCGUUGUCGUUGGGUUAUGGCAGUCAGACACAAUCAACUGCAGAUAAUAAUGACGAAACCCAACAUGACGCUCAAGUAAAUCGUCAAAGAAAUCGUCGUAGACGAGGGUGUGGGACAGGAGGGCAUUUGUAAUAAUUGUAUAUUUGUUAUUAGUUUAUAAAAAUUAAGUUUUUUCUAUUUUUUUUGUUAUUGGCGCGGAACCCCAAGUUGAGUACCUUGCAACCCCAAGUUGUGGGGUAUUUAAUUUUUUAAAAAAAAAAUUAUAAACUACCUCGCAAGUCCAUCUUGCUUGGUAGUUUAAAAUUAAAAAAAAAAAAUAGGGAAAGUACCCCGCAACUUGGAGUUGUGGGGUAUAAUAAGGACAAAAAUUUCGUCAACUUUGAGGGUACCCCGCAACUUGGGGUUGUGUGGUGCCAGGGGUAUCAGAAAAAGUAGGGUAUUUUUGCAAUUUUUCGAAAAAGUAUGGUAGUUUUGUGUUUUUUGAAAAAAAGAAGGGCAGAAAAAAAAAAUUCGUGUUGUUGAAUGGGUUCUUGAAAAAUGAUAGAAUAAGGAGUGGAACAGGUGUUAUUUUAAAUGUCUUUUUUAAUCUCAAUCAUCCAUUUUUGAUCUAAUGGUUAAUAAACAUUCUCACCAUUCUCAUAUAAAAUAUUCAUUCUCAUAUGAUAUGUCCUAUAUAUAUAUAGAGAGAGAGAGAGAGAGAGAGAUUUGUUAGAACACACCCAUUAGUUUUUAUGUGGGAGUGUUUUAGCAAGUUAUGACUAAAAAGUUAAUAAAUACACCAUAAGAUGUAUGUUGCUAUAACACACCUUCUAAAAAAAAAGUGAGUGUGUUCUAGCAAAUUCUAUAGGCAUUUGCUAGAAUACACACAUAUUUUUUAGAAUGAGUAUUUUAGCAAGUGAAAAAUUAAAAAGUGAUUAAAUACACUUUAACGUGUAGCUUUGCUAAAACACUCCUACAUAAAAACUAGUGGGUGUGUUCCAGCAAACCCUAUAUAUAUAUAUAUAUAUAUAUAUAUAUAUAUAUAUAUAUAUAGGGUUUGCUACAAUAGACCCACCUUUUUUCAUGAAGGUAUAUUUUAGCAAGGUGCACCUUUUACUUUAGACAUAAUAACCCAUAUAUUUUAGCAAGGUAUAUUUCAUGAAGGUAUAUUUAAUAAAAUAAAAAAUAAUCUGAAAAUUUUAAUAAAAAUGAAAAAGAAUCCGGUAAAAUGAAAAAAAUUUGGAAAAAUUAAUAAAAAGUUCUAGAAAAUUUUAAAAAAUAAUAAAAAAUCUGGAAAAAUUUAAAAAUAUGAGAAAAAAUUUAUAUUUCUGGAAAAUUCAGGAACUUCUUAUAUUUCGAAAUUCAUGAAUAUAAUAAGAAAAUACAUUUUAUUUUUUUAAAAAAAAAGUUCAGAUUUUUCUUUCGAAAUUAAAAAGUUUGUUUUUUUUUAUUUUUUAUACAAAAAAUAAAAAUAUUGAAAAAUAUUUCAAUAAUUAAAAACACAUAACAUUAGAUCAUGAAGAAUAGAAUUAAGGGCUUCUUAUUCAAUAGUAUAACAUGACUUAUAUACUGAUGUUAAUCAAAAUCCAUUGUAUCUUGUUAUUCAUCUAGAUUAUAUUUUCGAAUAAAAUAAAAUUCUAGCAAUAAAUUUUCAUAAUUAAAAUAACUAUAUAAUAUUAUAUUGUCGAUUUUUUUUAUAAUUUUAAUUUAAUUCAGAAUGUUUUUAUAUUUUUUGAAAAAUUUGAUAUAUAUAAAUUUUUUCCAUAAUUUUUUAUUUUUUUUAACUUUUUCCAGAUUUUUUUUUAUUUUCGUGAUUUUUUUUCUUAAAUUUUCUAUAUUUUUUCAUAAUUGUUUUUUCAUUAUUUUUUAUUUUUAAUAAUUUUUCCAGAAUUUAUUUUUUAUUUUUAUUUUAAAAAAGAAAUACAAAUGCCACGUGUACCAUUUAAAAAAAAUAAAAAAUAAUAAUAAUGCAGUCAUCACGCCACAUAAUCAGAUAUGCACAGUAAGCAUGCCACAUCAUCUCGCCACGUCAGCAAUUAUGCACAGUCACAUAGAUCAGGGGCUAAAAUCAAAGAAUCUUAUUUUACAUGGUUGGAAACUUUUUUUUUACUGGAAGGUAAACCGGAACUCGCCUAAAUUACAGGGAUAAAUACAUAUUAACCCUUAAUGUUUUUUACUUUAUUUUUUCUUCUCUCUCUCAUUCUAUCUCUUUCGGUUCCCUUUGUUCUUCCUCUUUUUUUUCUAUUCCCUCAUUGGUAAUUCUUAGACAGUCACGAAUCAAGCACAUGAAAUUGAAGAAGAACCUUAAGCUCUCAAUGUUGCUCAAUAGCUUCUUUGUUAAAGGCACAAACGUUUGUUUUGCUUCAAAGAAUUUGGUAAAAUGAAGUAGUUUCUUGAUCUCUUCAUUCAUUCUUCAACAACAAUCACCAUUAUAACACUUAGAUCCCUGGAUUCAAAAUACUACGAGUUUGAUUCAAAAAAUUAUGAAUGGAAAGACCAUCUUAUUUUCCCUUGUUUUUAUACAUACCAGUUUGAUUCAAAAAAUUGAAUCAAGGACCGGUAAUGUUUUGAAAUUAUUGUUGUGGAUUCAACUGAGUUUCAAGGAUAAAAUUAUGUUGAAGGUGGCGAUGGUGAUUGGAAUGUCCAUGAAAGAAGAAUGGUAGAAGAAUAGAAAAAGGGAAACCCGACAUAAGAGAAUGAAAGAGAGAAAUGAAGAAAACUAAGGAAAUAAAAAACAUUAACACUGUGUUUCGUAGAGGAGAAAAAGGAGAGAGAGAAGUUGAAGAGAGAGAAAUAGGAGAGAAGUCCUUCACUUCUGUUGUUUGGUUGUGGUGAGAAACAGAGAAGGGAGAGUUAAAACCUGUGGGACCCACUGCUUUUUGAAUCUUCUCAUGGAUGAGGAGAAACAGGCGAGAGAGUUGCAAUUUUUGCAAUUUUCCAAUUAUGCCCUUCCAUUGCAUGAAGAAAAGACAAAAUCUUAAGUAUAUAAUUGAAUGGUUGUGUUCGUAUGUGAAGUUUAUUGCACUUUUAAUUAAUUUCAUAGUAAAAAAUCCUCAAAGUAAAUUAACUUAGCAACUAAAAUAAUAUGAACCACACUUCACUAUAAAAAAAUUAACUUAUUAACCACACUUCCGUACUAUAACUUAAUGAAAAUUAUUCAUUUUUUAAUUAAUUCAAAUAAAGAUUUUAGUUAACGUUGUUAAAAAAAAUGUAUUGCAGGUAAUAUAAAUUAUUUUUUUCACUUAUUCAAAAAAAAAAAAAAAUUCACAAAAAUGAACAUAAAUUAUGUUUUUCUACUCCAAAUAAUUCAAAUAAAGAUUUUAGUUAACGUUGAUAAAAAAAAGUAUUGCAGGUAAUAUAAAUUUAUUUUUUCACAAAAGGAAACAUAAAUUAUGUUUUUCUACUCCAAACAAUUAUUUAGUUUCUUUUUAUUUUGUUUAAGGGUAUUAUUGUCCUUUAAAAGCAAUUACAUUAUUCUUUCUCUUCUAUCUCUCUUAUCUUUCUCUUCUACCAAACAUUACAUCAAAUUUACUCAAUCUCUCACCUUUUUCUCUCUUCUCAAACUCUCUCUUAGGGUGUGUUUGGUUGUCAGAAGAAAGUGUAAAGAGAGAAAGAGGUGAGAGAGAGUUAGAAAAGAGAGAAGUUGAUGAGAAAUAGAGUAGAUUUGAGAUAUUGUUUGGUAUAAGAGAGAAAGAAGAGAAAUAGAAGAGAAAGAAGUGUGUUCAUUUUUUAAAAGACUUAAAUACCCCUAUACUAAAAAAGUUAAUAUAUGAUAUUGUUAUAUUUGAAUUUAAUUUCAUAUAAACAUUAAUGUACUUUUUUAUAUUAAUUUAAUUAAGAAUAAUUAAACCACAUUUUUACAGAGAAAUUGAGUAAAUUAUUUACUUAAUUAAUUAUUCAAGAUAUUUGAAUUUAAUCGAUUAAAUUAAUUCUUUUUUACGUAGUCAUUUAGAUUAAAUUAAUUCAUUAGUUAACUAAUCAGUAAAUUCCAAUAGUUUAAUCCUGUUUUACAAGAGAGAUCAAAUAAGGAGAAGCAUAUAGUUGCUUAGUUUCCUUCGCAACUUUUGUUCUCGACCUGCUACAACAAUAAAAGAAAAAUACUAGAAAACAAAAUGAUAAAUAAUACUAGUAGCCACUAGGGGUUCAGAACCGAACCGAUCCAAAAAAAAAACCGUCAACCGAUCCAAAAAACCGAAAACCGCAAAAAACCGAUUUUUUUUGGAUGUGUUUGGGCCAUAAAAAUUAAAACCGACCGGUUCGGUUCGGUUUUCGGUUUAUAACUUAAGAACCGGACCGAACCAAACCGAACCACACUUAUUAUACUGUUACUAGACUAUUCUAUUACUUAGGCCGGUUUUGUCAGCUGAAACCCUUCAGAUCGCUCUCAUCAGUUACCAAAGCAAACUAGCCAACUAUCAAAGUACCAAGUACCAAGAGCGUGUUUAAUUCUUUCUUACUCCCAAUGAUGACUUUUGCUAUUAAACUGAAGGAAUCAAAUGGUUCAUUCACUAAUCUACCAACACUCCAAACACUAAUCUCCUCUCUUCUCUCCCUUUGCAAUGCGUCGCUCAGGUAACAUUUUUGUGCAUACUCACUACUACUCUGAUAGUCUUUUCCUUCUCUUCAAUAGCUGAAUCAGAUGGAUUAGAAAGAAUGGGUUUUUUUUGGUCCUAUUUGUGAAAUCCAUGAUCAAAGGGCGCUAUUGAUAAUGUAAUUUGGGUUUCUUAUAAUUUUGAAUGCUACUGGUAGCUUAUAUUUUUUGCAUUAUAAGGAAGGGAUGCGUCCCUGUAGAGUUUGGUAGCUAGCUUUUCUUAAAUAAAAUUAGCUUGUGAAAAUCCAUCCGGAAGAAUAUAUUAGAAAGGAUGGGUUCUAAUUAAAUAAAAUUAGAUUAGAAAUUUAUCUUAGAAAAAUUAGCUUGGGUUUCUUUAAGUAUUUUACUUAAAUAAAAUUUAUCAAUUUGUCAAAAUCCAUGAUCAAUAGUUGAAUGAAAUAGAUUAGAAAGAUCAAGUUCUUUGAUUCACUUGCUUCUUUGUGUAUAAAAAAUGUUGAUUGAUUUUUUUUUUUAUCACUUACUUCUUUAGUAUAAUUUCUUCUUGUAUAAAAAAUGUUUGGAACAACAAUUGUUGAUUUGUUUUUUUCCACGUAAGAAUGUAUGUUUGUUUAAGGAAAAAAAUAAAAUUCAAAACAAUCAAAAUUUAUGUUUGAAAUCUUCUUUGUUAUAGAAUUAUUUGUUAAUUCGUAUGUGUAUACUUUGCAGGCUGAAAACACUCAAACUAAUAAGAGUAGAAUAGCUGAAAAUGUUGAAUCUAUUGCUGAACAUGAACUACUUGCAACACUACCAUGGAUAGCAUUUGUUUAUAUUGUUUCAGGCUACAAAAGUUUCUUUAUAAUUGCAUGCUACAAAAGUUUGCGGCAACUUAUAUGUAUCCGGUAUACUUAUCCUACAAAUUAUAGAAUUAGGAAAGAAUUUUCUACAACAUAAUAUAUUAAAUAUAAAAGAGAUACUAUAAGUCAUAACUUUAUAGGUGUAGAAUAAGGAAAAAGCUUCUCUCAAAAUAAUUUUUAAUAAGAAUAUUACUAUCACUUUUUUACAAUUUGGAUAACCGAAAACCGAUCCAAAUUAAAUCGCGAUAAUUUGGAUCGGAUCGGUUCGGAUUUUUUUUCUACCACCAAUUGAACCGAGCCGAACCGCAUAUGUUUUAUUUUUUGGAUCGGUUCACUUUUUGCCUCAUAACCGAGCCGAACCGCACCGCAAACACCCCCAGUAGCCACUGUAUAUAUCACUGAAACAAGGGAGAAAUGUGGAAAAUAGAAAAAAGUUUGUGUCCAUUUCUCCGCACAUAUGGAGAGAAGUGAAAUAGGCAUGGGUCCCACAAUAUUUUGUCUCUCUUCUCAACCAAACACAAGAGAUUGCCCAUCUCUCUCCAACUUCUCUCUCCCUUCUUUCUCUCUUUUGUAUUUCUCUCCUACCAAACACAUCGUUACUUAUUUCUCUAGAUCUUCACAAUUUCUCUUCGUAACCAAACACACCCUAAUGAUUUCAGUCAAACAAAAUAAAAUCAUUUAUGACUAAACUAAAAUUACACGUAUGUCGCUUUGUCAAAAAGCAAAAAUAUGGAUAUUAAUGUCUAAAAUAAAAGGUACACCUUGUUAAAAUAGACCUUCAUAAAAAAAUAUGAGUCUAUUAUAGCAAACCUCAUUUAUAUAUAUUAUAGUUACUCUCAUUUUUAUUUAGAAGAUAUAAAAAUUAUAUUCAAAUAAUUCACUAAUAACAACAACCGUCGACCCUAUCAAUUGUAUCUUCGAACGACAUUUUGCAGUAACUAGUCUGCACAAAAUAAUCUCAUAACAAUAAUGUGGCAUGCGGAAAUAAAGUAUAGUUUUUUAUUUGACAAAAGAAAUAAAAUAUUGUUGAGAAAUAACAAUUUAUCAGUUUUUAUAAUGAAUGAAAAUGUGUAAAAGUUUUUAUUUUUAAAAGAAAAGGAUUUUUGUUUAGAAAAAAAAAAGGCUUAAUUGAUCCUCUCGUCUCUUAACUUAAUUCUUUUUUUUGAAUUGGUCCUGUAACUCUUAAAAGUCUCAAAUUGGUCCUUUAUAUGUGUUUCCGUCGGUCAAUUUAAUCCUAUUUCGUCAAUUUUAAUCUUCUAAAAAGGGAGACCGUUGGAUAAAGGAGGUUUGUGAGAUUUAACCAUGUAUCACCAACACCUAAUUUAUUUCACUUUUCAUCAUCUUCUUCCCUCAUCUUCAUCUUCAUACAAGCUUCAUCAAUCUUCAUAAAAAAAAACCUAUUUUUUUCUUUAAAAAAUUAAACCAUUUAAUUUCAACAAAUACUACAUAAUCAAACCCUUAAAUCUAGAAUUAACAUCACCACCAUAUUAAUAUAAACCUAGAAGAUCAACAACAAAUAACCCAGAAAACAAAACAAAACUCAUCAUUUUAACUCCUCACCUCAUCAUUAACAAAAUAAAAUCCAUUUCUUAAAACCCAUUUGAAAUUUGAAACCCGUCAUCACUUCAAAACUCAUCAGCAACAGUAAAUAUCUCUAUAACGACAGAUUCAAUGAAAGGAAAAGAGAAUCUUAAAACCCAAUGCUUGAUUAAAUAAAUGUCCCAACCCAUUUCUCACAAACCCAUUAAGCAUCAAAAUUCUCAUACUUGCAAUUGAUUGCUUUCCAAAUAUGAUUCCAACGGAGAUUUGAUUUUGUGUAUGUGGUUGUGAUUCUGAAAAGGACCGUGAGAUGGAGAUUUGAUUUUGGUGCAGGUUCAAGAACACAUGCAUGUUCUAGCGUUUCUGUUGAAAUGGUGUUGGUGUUGAGAUUCUGGUGAUGGUGUUAUUGUGGUAAUUCUGAUUUAGGAGAAGAGAAGAGAAGAAUAGGAGGAGGAAGGAAGAAUAUUAAUAUUUAUGGGUAAUUUUGAUUUUGUGGGUAGUUCAGAUUUGCUGGGUUUAUUUUUGGUUUAAUUGCUCAAUAUUUAUGAAGUUAAUGAAGAGGAAGAUGAAGAAAAAGUAUGAAAACCUUUAUCUUGAUAAGAUCCACAGUUUACUCAACCCUUUGCGGAGAACAAGUAUGAAAAUUUGACAAAUUCUAUUAUUAGAAAAUUUGAUUAAAUUGAAUGUUAUACUAACCCUUGAAUUAUUCAAACAAAUCAGCACCUAAUAACAAUAUGAUACAUUGAGCUGGAAAUUAAUGGAAUUCAAUGCGGCUAUAACAUAUGGGGUGCACCAUGUGCGAAGGUGAUUAUGAUGAUAAUGUUGGAUUUGGGUAUGAGAACAGUGUGAUCUUGGGAAGCAAUGAUAAUGCUAGAAUCGGGUAUGAUAUUUGAAGUUGGUAGGAUGGAUUUUUGAAAGAAAAAAAGAAAUGUAUUUUUUUACGAAGAUGAUGAAGAUUGUUGAAUGUUGGAUGAAGAUGAAGAUGAAGAUGAGGGAAGAAGAGGAAGGAAAGUGAAAUAAAUUAGGUGUUGGUGAUACAUGGUUAGAUCUUACAGACCUCCUUUAUUCAACGGUCUCCUUUUUUAGGAGAUUAAAAUUGACAAAAUAGGACUAAAUUGAUCGACAAAAAUACAUAUAAAGGAUCAACUUGAGACUUUUAAGAGUUAUGAGACCAAUUUAAAAAAAAAAUUAAUUUAAGGGCUGAAGGAUCAAUUAAGGCAAAAAAAAAAAAAACAGUUGUCAAAAACACAAGUACGUUACUAUUAUAAAUUUCUUUCUAUACACAAGAAUGGUGUUCUUUCUGUUAAGCAGUGAAUUUCUGCAUAUUAUAUUUUAUCGAAAAAUUGGUAAAAUAGAUAAACUUGUUCAAGAUGUUCAAUACAUUGAAUUAAAGUGGAUGCAUAAGACAAAUAUCAGUAAAUGACACACACCGGAACUAAUUACUCCAAAGAUCAUUAUUCUGUCGGCCACGUUUUAAAGGUUAAAGUGGAUCAAUCAUACUAUUCCUAACAAUUAUACAAUAAUGGACUAGAUUCAUAAACAUUGAUGUACUUUUCAUUUGUGUUCAACUCGGAAAACAAAGAGACAAAUAAUAUACCAAUAAAAGGAGUGAUAUUUGUACAAUUCUUGUGACAAUUACAUUUCUCUUCUUUUUAUUGAACAAAAAUAAAGGAGAGAAAAAAAGAAAAGAGAGAAUAAAAACACAUGUAAAUAUGAGAAAAAAUGAUUAUUUUAAAAGUUGUUUAAAUGGAGAUGUACACUUUCUCUAUCAAUUUGAUCCCGAUAACAAAUUUGUGAUUGAAAAUGUGUGUCCUAGAAACACCCAAUCAAUAAUGGAACCUUGCAAGCAAGUUGCAUAAACUUGUGGUUGAAAAUGUGCGUCCCACGUGAACGUUUGCUCACAAUUAUUGACCACCCUACUUUGCUGACUUUCUACUUUCAUUGCAUUUAUUCUCAAAGGUCUCCUUCAUAAUAGUUCAGCAUUCAUUAUAUCUAAACAAAUUUCUAAUCUUCUUAUCUUUUCAACUCUUUCUUUCUUUUCACAAAAAAAAAUGGCUGACGCUUUGCUUGGAGUUGUGUUUGAAAAUUUGACGUCUCUCCUUCAAAAUGAAUUUUCAACCAUUUCUGGAAUCAAGUCAAAGGUUCAAAAGCUAUCAAACAACUUAGUUCACAUCAAGGCUGUUCUUGAAGAUGCUGAGAAGAAACAAUUCAAAGAACUCUCUAUUAAGCUAUGGUUACAAGACCUCAAAGAUGCUGUUUAUGUGCUCGAUGAUAUCCUUGAUGAGUAUUCAAUCAAGUCUGGUCAACUUAGAGGAUCAUCCUCUCUCAAACCAAAGAACAUCAUGUUUCGCAGUGAGAUCGGCAACAGGUUAAAAGAGAUUACAAGGAGGUUAGAUGAUAUUGCUGAAAGUAAGAACAAGUUUUCUCUACAGAUGGGUGGAACUCUUAGGGAAAUCCCAGAUCAAGUAGCUGAAGGGCGCCAAACCGGCUCAAUUAUUGCUGAAUCAAAAGUGUUUGGACGAGAAGUUGAUCAAGAAAAGAUUGUCGAGUUUCUUCUCACCCAUGCGAAGGACUCUGACUUCAUUUCUGUCUAUCCCAUUUUUGGUUUAGGUGGUAUUGGAAAAACAACUCUUGUUCAAUUGAUCUUCAAUGAUGUUAGGGUGAGUGGCCAUUUUGAUAAAAAAGUUUGGGUUUGUGUUUCUGAGACUUUCUCGGUCAAGAGGAUUUUGUGUUCUAUUUUCGAAUCUAUCACAUUAGAGAAGUGUCCUGACUUUGAGUAUGCUGUAAUGGAAGGAAAGGUGCAAGGAUUGUUGCAAGGGAAAAGAUAUUUGCUGGUUUUGGAUGAUGUGUGGAAUCAAAAUGAACAAUUGGAAUCUGGGUUAACACAAGAUAGAUGGAAUCGUUUGAAAUCUGUUUUGUCGUGUGGAUCUAAAGGUAGUUCCAUUUUAGUGUCCACUCGUGAUGAGGAUGUUGCAUCAAUCAUGGGGACAUGGGAAAGUCACCGUUUGUCUAGUCUCUCUGAUAGUGAUUGUUGGUUGUUGUUCAAACAACAUGCAUUUAAACGUAACAAAGAAGAGGAUACAAAGCUUGUGGAAAUUGGAAAGGAGAUAGUAAAGAAAUGUAAUGGAUUGCCUCUUGCAGCAAAAGCAUUGGGGGGUUUGAUGAGCUCAAGGAAUGAAGAGAAGGAAUGGCUUGAUAUUAAAGACAGUGAGCUUUGGGCUUUACCACAAAAAAAUUCUAUUUUGCCUAAUGGAUUUAUUUCAUCUAUGGGUAAUUUGGACGUUGAUGAUGUUGGAAACACGGUUUGGAAGGAAUUGUACCAAAAAUCAUUCUUUCAAGAUAGAAAGAUGGAUGAAUAUUCUGGAGACAUUUCUUUUAAGAUGCAUGAUCUUGUCCAUGAUCUCGCUCAAUUAGUAAUGGGGCCAGAAUGUAUGUAUUUGGAGAAAAAAAACAUGACCAGUUUGUCAAAAAGCACACACCACAUUGGUUUUGACCUCAAAGACUUGUUAUCCUUUGAUAAGAAUGCUUUCAAAAAAGUUGAAUCCUUGAGAACAUUGUUUCAGUUGAGUUAUUAUUCCAAAAAAAAACAUGAUUUCUUCCCAACAUACCUUUCUCUUCGGGUUUUAUGCACAUCCUUUAUCCGGAUGCCAUCACUAGGGAGUUUAAUUCAUUUAAGGUAUUUGGAACUUCGUUCUCUUGACAUAAAUAUGUUGCCUGACUCAAUUUACAACCUAAAAAAGCUGGAAAUCUUGAAAAUAAAACACUGUGAUAAACUUAGCUGGCUUCCAAAACGCUUGGCUUGUUUACAAAAUCUUAGACAUAUAGUCAUUGAAUAUUGUGAAUCUUUGUCUCGUAUGUUUCCUAACAUUAGAAAAUUAACUUGUUUAAGAACAUUAAGUGUGUACAUUGUUAGUUUAGAGAAAGGGAAUAGCUUGACAGAGUUACGUGAUCUAAACCUCAGUGGAAAACUGAGUAUCAAAGGAUUAAACAAUGUUGCUAGUUUAUCUGAAGCUGAAGCGGCUAAAUUGAUGGAUAAAAAAGACCUUCAUGAAUUAUGCUUGUCAUGGGGAUACAAGGAGGAAUCUACGGUUAGUGCUGAGCAAGUACUUGAAGUGCUUAAACCUCACUCAAAUCUCAAAUGCUUGACAAUAAAUUACUAUGAAAGAUUAUCGUUACCAAGUUGGAUAAUUAUUCUUAGUAAUUUAAUUUCUCUUGAACUUGAGGAAUGCAACAAAAUUGUGCGGCUUCCGUUACGUGGUAAACUACCAUCUCUAAAAAGACUGAGAUUAUCUCGUAUGAAUAAUCUGAAAUACUUGGAUGAUGAUGAAUCUGAGGAUGGUAUGAAGGUGAGGGUUUUCCCAUCUCUGGAGAAACUCUUAUUAGAUUCUCUACCAAACAUAGAGGGGUUAUUGAAAGUGGAAAGAGGGGAGAUGUUUCCUUGUCUUUCUAGGUUGGAUAUCUGGAAUUGCCCUAAACUGCUUGGACUGCCAUGUCUUCCAUCUCUUAAAGAACUCGAGAUAUGGGGAUGUAACAAUGAGUUACUGAGGUCAAUCUCUACCUUCCGUGGUCUUACUCAGCUUUCCCUAUAUAACGGUUUCGGAAUAACAUCCUUCCCAGAGGGGAUGUUCAAAAACCUUACUUCUCUUCAAUCUCUGUCUGUAAAUGGUUUCCCAAAACUGAAGGAGUUACCAAAUGAACCCUUUAACCCAGCUUUGACGCAUCUGUGUAUCACUUAUUGUAAUGAGUUGGAGUCCUUACCAGAGCAAAAUUGGGAAGGUCUUCAAUCCCUUCGAACUCUAAAGAUUCGUAAUUGUGAAGGAUUGCGAUGCUUGCCGGAGGGUAUUCGACACCUCACAUCUCUUGAAUAUUUAUAAAUGUCCAACAUUUGUGAGAAGGGUGCAAAGAGGGAAUGGGGGAGGAUUGGGACAAGAUAGCUCAUAUUCCAAAAAUACAGUUUAAGUUUGAAUGGGAGGAUUAAGAAGCAGAGACGUUUACCCUUUAUCUGCCUUAAUCACCAUCGCAAAAAUAUAUUUUACUGGUAGGAUCUCAAUUUCCCCUUCUUAUGUUUGGAUUUCAACUGCUCAAAAAUCUUUAUUUUUAUUUUUAUUUUUGAUAAAAAAAUCUUUAUUUUUAUUCUCGUAGUUAACUUCUUUGGAACCCAUUCCACAGAAACAGUUCCUGAGUACGUACAUGAAAGAUAUUUUACUGCUCAACCUACGGACAAUUGUUCUAAUUCUGGUAAUUUUCUUCAUCAUACUUUUAUUUUUUUAAUUUUAUUUUUUGAUUUUUUUUUUAUAAUUUUGCUGAUUUUGUGGAGAUUGAAUUGAAUGGUUAGGAUUUCCUUUGAUACACAAGGGUGGGGUCGACAAAUAAAGGGAGGGAUUAACAGGAACAAACGUACCUAAUGAUGAAGAUGACAUGGUUCGGGUCGGAGCUCAGUGCACAGUAGAAAGUCUGAUCAUCAAGGUUUUCUCCAUUUUUAUUCUUAAGUUUUUGUUGGUCUUUUUUAUUUAUUUGUUUUAGACUGUUUAUUUGAAUGAUAUAUUGUUUGGCUUCCUCUAUGAUAGCUUGUAAAAUAGCAGCAAUGGUUCCUGAUAGAGUUCUCUCCUUGGCUUUGCUAAAUGCAACAGGUGGAGAUUUUCAAUGUUUGCCAGAGGUAUAUGUCCCUUUUAUAAUUCUUUGAACAAUUUGAUUUAUUUUUACGGCACUGUGAUUAGAGCAUUGACGACGCUAUUUUUGUAAGACGUUAACUACAUCAAUGAUUGCUAGCCACACUUUUUAAUUACAAACUUAGUUCAGGACGACUGGACUUGCAUACAUAAUAAGUAUAAUUUGUUGGUACUGAUUUUAGGUGAUCCUUUAGGACAAAUUUAGUUGAGAAUUUAUCUUUCUAUGGCUUUGAGUCAGAAUUUUGUUAAGAAUUUCGUAGUACUAAAAUCGUCUUGGUACGUUAUUUGCAGAUUUUUAAAGAAUAUUGACGGUUGUCGAUGCAUGCACUAAACUCUGACCAACCUGUGAAGUAUUUCUCAAGACAGUUAUCUGGAAGAAGAUGUAUGCUAGUUUUAUCUCUUCCCUGCAUCUUCUUAUCCCCAAAUUACUUUCUAAUUUAAAUUUCUAUAUGCAGGAAUCACUUGCUUUCUCUGUUUUUGUAUGGAAUAUGUCUACGAGUAAAAUUAUUGUGAGAAUUGGGCCAUAUCUUUAGAAUUGACGCUGAGCUUGUUAAUGCAACAAAUCAAAAUUCUUGGUUCAAGCUAUUAGCCAGGUGUGUAUACAGCUCUUCAUUAGGAAGGUGUGUAUUUAGCUAUUUCAUGAUUCUAGUCGAGUCACUCAUGUUAUUUCAUUAUGUUUGUGUCAGAUAUGUUGUGGAAUGCUGCUGAAUCGCAGCCAUGUUUGUGUCGGACAAUGUUAUUGAUCAAGUUGUGUUGUGUCCACUGCUUUUGCUGAAAGCAAGAGGAUACUUCAGCUGAACCACAGAAACUAUAAGAGGUGAUGAUUUUGGAUGAUAUCAAUGAGAAAUCAACCGUUUAAUUUGAUAACAAAGUGAAUUUUACAUCUUUUAACUCUUUAUAUUUUAGUAUAUUAGCAUUAGUCAUAUCACUUACAGAGAGCAUCUCCUGUGAAACUGAACAGGUGACACUUAUUUCGCUUCGAACUAUGGAUAUUGUUGAAUGUGAGGAAUUCAGAUCCCUGCCAUAAGGUAUUUGGCACCUCACUUCACUUGAGUUUUUGAAUAUUCGUGGUUACCCAAAAUUUGUUUAGUGGAAUGAAGACAUUUUUUAAGAGACUUUAUUCAUGUGAACCUUGUGAUUUUGUCUCAGACGAAAUCGAUUAAAAUUGUCAACCUUAUGGGUCAGAUUAUCGUUAUCGCAUCUCCACUUCCGUUGAUGCUGGUAUUGAUAUGGUAUAGAUCUUCAUUCCUAUAGUAUUAAUUUUAACAUAUAUUACUUGAUUUCAAUUUAAAUACAUGUAUCCAUGAAAAUAUGCAGGUGAUGGUCCUUCAUUUAUGAAAUAGCCCUUUCAUGUAUAAUAUAUUUAUGAAAGAGUCGGAGUUUCAUGUUCGAUCAGGGGAAACACCAAUAGCCGGAAUUGGCGACGUUGUUAAGAAAUAUUAGGAAUGAAGUUUGCUGCUGAAGAUUUCAAUUUCCUUUAACUGAUAGCUCUUUGCUGGUUAUGGUUAAUUUCAAGGUAAGGCAUAGUUCAUAUCUUAGUGAAUACUUUAACAUGAAUUUUCUGCCUCGUCAAACUAAUUUAUUUUAACAUACAUAUUAAAACCUUAGUCGGCUUUCUUUUUAUGGCAUGCUUCAACAAAGUAAUACUCUUUCCACCUCCUUGUGGUUGGAGUUGGUUUUCAGGACUUUAUAAUGCUAAUUACCUUCACAUAUCAUUUUUUCACCAAACAUAUUUAAAAUUCCAUCCUUAUAGCAAAAGAAAAACAAUAGUAUAUUUUAGAUGUAUGGUAAGAUUUGAUAAAGGAAUUGAAUGUAUUUUUUUCAUACAUACAGGCAAGGGACUGAACGUAUUUUGGCCUGAAAAAUCAAUCUCCAAAGAAGGCAGUGAACAAUGGUGAUCCAACACAUGAGCCAAACUCAAUUCCAACUAAUAACAGAUGUUGAAAAGAGUUAUAUAUAGCUUCUCCUAAGCCUCAGGAGGUUGUCCUUGAUUUUACAAUAUCUACUAAAUGGAAGGGGGUAGAGAAGUAUAUACCAUUGAUGUAACCAUCCACUAAGCAAUACACACAACCACAAAGGAUUUGAGGAGUUAAUGAAUAGUCCGGUGCAACAGUCGUGCGAAAAAAAGCAACAGAUGAAGUCUCAACAAACUUGAGUUCAUUAUCAUCAGCACACAUGAAUGAUCCUUAAGAAGGGACUUCAGCUUGAGGAUAUAUAAUAUUGAUUAACUUCGCAAAUUAGCUUCCACUGAAUAUAUUUAAGAACUCAUCCUUAUUUUAUUUCAAAUUCUUGUUUCUUAUCUGUUCAGUAAGUGAACUUGUUAUAAAUAUCCCUGUGUCUGGGAAGUUUGUUUAUAAUAAUUCGUGAUAAGAACUAGGAUUCGACAUAAAACAAAGUCAAUAGAAUUCUCGAUCUCUCAAACUCUGAAAUGCUUAUUAUUUUAAUGAUUCUAGCUAGAGCAAAGUGGUUGAUUUACUGCUUGCAGACGUUGCACAAAUGAAGGGUGGUUGUGCCUGAGUCGAACACAUCUGAUGUGAAAAUUGGAAAUAUUAGUGAAUAUACACUAUCAGCGUAAAAUUGUUUUGCAUUAACGUUCAGAUAGAGCUCAUUGUUUCCAUGUUUUGCCAAGCUAUGUUUUCAUCUCUACAAUGCAAUUGUAUAAUUCUUCUUUUCCGCCAUGCCUCCCUCGGCCUCAUCAUCGAACUUAGUUGAUUCUCCAAAUUAUUAAAAUCAAACCACCAGAGAAUGCCAAUAUAUUUAGCAAGGUUCCCUAAUUAUCCUGGUUAUGCACAAUUUAUCUGGCGCCAAUAUUUGUUUGUGCACUCUCCUUCUCUUUUUCUUUUUUAAACUGUGUGAUUACUUGUAAUAUUAGAUAGCUUGCGCAGCAAGUUACUCUGCCAUUCCAUAGAUCUUUACUGUGUACUAGCAUCAUAUGAUUCUAAUCCUAGAUAAUAGUUUGUUAGAGUUAGUUAGGAUCAUAUAGAGCUUUAUAUUAGCUUUGUUGUAACCAAUUUCAGAUCAAUUCAAUGAAAUCUAGAAUUUUCUCUAAUUUGUUAGAGUUACCUUUUCUCUUUUUCCUAAAAAAAAAUAAAAAUAUACAGCUUUAUAUAGCUUUCUUGUAACCAAUUUCAGAUCAAUUCAAUGAAUCUAGAAUUUUCUCUAAUUUUCUCUCUUUCUUCUUCAUUGAACUUCUGCAUUUUCUCUGAUUCCACCAUGGAUAUGGUGAAGUUUAAGAGAAUUAAUAGAAUAAAACCUAAAUAGGAUUAGAAGAAAACCUUUGUGUAAUCUAAAGACAAUAUACACAAAUAAUAAUAUUGUAGUUGUUGUGAAUACGGACUCAAAACUCACACCAAUACAAACUAUGAUGUGUGGAGCAAAGGAAAGUAGUAACCAAUAUCAAAGUGAACACAAGCAAUAAUCAACAAUAACAACACCUAGAUCUAAUCUAGGAAUCAAAGUGAAAAGCACAAAUUCACAAGCAAAAGAUAAAAGGAGAGAAGAGAGGAACAAACACACCAAAGAUUGUUGACCAGUUCGGUCCAACUUGACCUAAUCUGGGGGAGAGAUUGAUCUCUCCAAUCCACUAUCAAUGAGUAUUCUUACAAAGAAAUACAAAAGGGUUACAAGAAAUUAGCUUCAACAAGUUCACAAAGAACCCUAAUUUCUACCCUUUUUCCCAAUCUCACAAAUGAACAAGACACUCAAUGAUUUUCACUCACCAAGGUGUUUACAAUGUUUCGCAACCCAAGAGAACUCUAAUCAAAGACCCUCAACCCUAAAAUUACCUCCUCUGAUUUCCCAAGUUUCUCUCUCUUCAAGCUCUCCUUCAAAAUCUGCAAAGAACACUUAUAUAGCAGUUUUCAGCGUCAAAAUCGUGUCACGUUUUCCCAAAAUUGUGUCACGAUUGAUGCGUACGACCAACCUUAUCCUGAAAACUUGCCUAGCAAGUCGAAAAUCGUGUCACGUUUUCCCAAAAUUGUGUCACGAUUGGACACUCUGAAAACAUCUCUCGACAUUACCAAAAUCGUGACACGCUUGUCAAAUUGUGUCACGAUUUCUCUGUUUUCUAACUUUGCAAUUUGAAGACAUACACACCAGGAGUUGUGAACCUAAAGGAUACAAAUAGAAAAGGAAAAAAAAAAGAGCUGAAAUGGUUGAUAACAACACUUUGAAUAAUUUUGGCAAUGUUAAUGACAUGUCUUAGGGUAGUGGAACAACUAACUUGGAACAUAGUAUUGAUGCUAACACUAUUCAUGAUCACUAACUUAGUCAAUUAAAACAUCAACCAGAUUCUCACCAUGCUCCCUAGCAAUGUUGAAAUCUUUAAUGCCGUCCAUUCUCUUAACAAGGAUAAUACUCCUGGCCCUAAUGGAUUUGGAGCAUUUUCCUUUCAAACUUAUUGGAAAUUAUUAAACUGGAGGUUAUAAAUGUUGUUAUGCAAUUCCUCUCAAAUGGACGGCUUCUUCCUAAUUUUAAUCCAAAAACUAUUGUUUUGACCCCAAAGGUCCCUAAUGCUGAUAAUGUGAAUCAAUUUAGGUCUAGAGCGUUAGCCAACUUCAAGUUCAAAUUAAUUACAAAAAUCAAUGCUAGAAGAUUAACUUAGAUCAUGCCAUUAUAAAAAAUAUGUUUGAAUUACAAAGCUAUAGAUUUGUCAAUGUUUGAAAGGUCUUGGCCUAAUCUCCCUUUCUGUUUGUUUUCUUUCCUUUCUUUGAAAACAACGUAACUAUGUGAUACACUUAGAGCAUCACCAUUUACAAAAAAAAAAAAAAACAAUUGGCAUUUGCCAAAUAUUUUGAUACUUUAGACUGGCACUUUUCUAAUAAGGGUUUUCAAAGCUUUUGAUUUAAACUGUACUUUUUGCAAUUGGAUAAAUUGUAGUCUCAAAUCAACAAUGCUUUUUAUGUUGUGAAUGGCAAACAAGAAGUCUACUUUUCUUUUAAGAUACGAGAUAGACAGAGAGACCCCAUCUCCCAUUUACUUUUAUGUCGUAAUAAAGAAGUCAAUAGUGUAACAUCUCAUACUGUUUUUAGGAUUGACGAUUGACCCCACAAAUCAAUAUGAGUCUUUUUAGUAUAUUUUGUCCUUACUCGCACGCUUUUCGAGAAACUUUUCAGAAGGUCACCCAUCCCAAAAUUGCUCCAAGUUGAGCACGCUUAACUGUGGAGUUCUUAUGGUUUGACCUACCGAAAAGAAGAUGCAUCUUGUUUUUAUAGAUAGUACCAAACAAUUCAUAUAAGCCUCCCUUCAACAAUGAUGUUCCAUACUUGCACAACCUCAGGAUCCCCCUCAUUCCGAUGUGAUUUGGUUUUGCCUAUAAGCAUGCCAGGAGUCGGACCACUACCUGCCCUUGUCAGUCUCGGACGUUACAUGACCACCAAGCAGAGGCAUUACAUUCUCAACUGCUUCCGCUUGGUUCGUCCCCGAACCACAUCGUACUGGAGAGGUCUACUUUGAUACCACGUGUAACAUCUCAAACUGCUUUCAAGAUUGCCGAUUGACCCCACAAACCAACACGAGUCUUUUCAGCGUGUUUUGUCCUCGCUUGCACGCUUUUCGGAAAACUUUCAAGAAAGUCAUCCAUCUCAAAAUUGUUCCAAGUCAAGCACACUUAACCGUAGAGUUCUUAUUGUUUAGGCUAAAACAAUUUAUAUCUUGUUUUUAUAGGUAGUAUAAAACAAUUUAUAUAAAAACGACACACAUAAAAAAUAUUAAUUUUACUUCUUAUUGUAGUACAAUGGUAUUAUUUUAUAGUUAUAUUCUAGUUUUUCUUAUCUUCUAAAAUCCAACAAGACAUGGAGGCUAUUAAAACUAAUUAAAAUGUAAGAGUAAUAUAAAUUUUGAAGUGUUUCUCAUAUCUUCUAAAACCCAACAAGACAUCUAAAUUAUUUAUUAUGAUAUCAAAAUAAAAAUAAAGACUAUGAAGUAAGGUAAAAUUUAUUUAUCAACCUAACUAUUAAAGUUAUUCUUAUAAGGCUGAUAUGCCUAAAUUGUAUAACAUGAUGAUACCUCCAAAAUUAAUGGAGAAGAGGACAAUCAAAAUAAUAAUCUUUAUUAACUUAAAGUAAGUUUUUUUGGUACAAUAAAGCAAGCUUAUUACAGUAGAACACUAUAACUGCAAGUUUCAUCAAAUUAAAAAAAUAAAGGAAAAUGUUAACUUGUGCUCUUAAGACAUAAACUAAUGAAACAAAUAUAGAAAUAGUUUAUUGAAAUAUGUGCAUUACAUUUAAUUUUUAGUUUUUUAAUGAAUUGAAUGCACAAAAUUUUAUAAAAUAUUUCUUCUUUUAAAUUUCUUAACAUGAAAUCUAAGGACAUAACUUAACACUACCCAAAAAUAAAAUACUAAAAUUAUUGAAUGUCAUCCAUGGUCCGAAACUAAUAUAAUCAUAAGUGCGCUGCUACCAAUUCACAUUUGUGAUUAAUACAUCUACUUACUAAGUCCUUAGUAUUUUACCAUUUUGCCCCUUUGAGGGGCAUUUUAGUAAUUUUAUAUUGAUGGGGUGUGGUUAAUGCACCCUCAUCAUUUUAGGUGCAUUUCUCAUUUUGCUCUUCACCAUUUUUUUAAUUAUUUUAUAAUUUUUAUAUUUUUAAUAACUUUUACAAUUUUUAUUUUUUUAACUAUUAUUCAAUUUGUUCAUCCAAAUUCAGUUGCUUCUGAAUUGUCGUUGUGGGAGAGUAAGGUAUCGCUUGAUCCGGCAUUUUUCCAACUUCUCUACAUUUUUAAGGAGAAGUUAGAUCAAACACACUAUCAAUUAUUUUAAUUUCAAUAUUGUUUAAUCAUCACAACCUCACAAAUAAUUUUAUUCACACUGUCAUUUAAUGAUACCAAAUACUAUUAUUUCCUUUCUUCAACCUCGCAAAUAUUUACACACACAUUAAUGUUUAGAGUAAUAUUUUAUGUCCGUCUGUCUGUGUUUUUGUUAAGCUGAUGCAUAUAAUUUUUUUUAGUGUUGCUUGGUUGAGUGCUACUUCACCGAUUUGUUUUAACUAUUUUCCAAUUUUUAUAUUUUUAAAUACUUUUAACUAUUUUCCAAUUUUUCCUCCCAAAUUAAGUUGUUUCUACAUUGCCAUUGCGGGAGAUUAAGAUACCGUUUGACCCGGUUUUUUUUUUACUUCUCAACAUUUUUAAAAAGAAGUUAGGUCAAACACAAUAUCAAUUAAGUACUUACUAGAAAGGAAACAUUUUUUAAUGCAUAAAAUUGAAUGGAAUGAGCUUUGGCCAAAAGUUGUUAAAUGCUACUUUAAAAAACUACUUCUCGACAAUAUAUUUCACAAACACCCCUUUUCAACUCACGCUGGAAACCUUUUCUUUUAUUUUUUAAUAUUAUAUUUCAAUAUAUUUUCUUUUCAUUUAACUUUUUUUUUUUUUGAACAAUUCCAUUUAAUUUUAUUAUCUUUUUUUCAAAAGAUUUUUAUUAUCUUUUUAUCACUUAUAUAUUUAAUUUCAAUAUUGUUUAAUCAUCACAACCUCACAAAUAUUUUUAUUCACGCUGUCAUUUAAUGAUACCAAAUAUUUUUAUUUCCUUUCUUCAACCUCGCGAAUAUACACAUACACACAUUAACGUUUAAAGUAAUAUUAUAUGUCCGUCUGUCUGUUUUUUGUUACGCUAAUGCAUAUAAUUUUUUUUAGUAUUGCUUGGUUGAGUGCUACCUCACCGAUUUUUAUUAACUAUUUUCCAAUUUUCAUAUUUUUAAAAACUUCUGAUUAUUUUCCAAUUUUUUUAUUUUUAACUAUUUUCUAAUUUUUUUUCUCACAAAUUCAGUUGCUUCUACACUGCCGUUGUGGGAGAUUAAGAUAUCGUUUGACCCGUUUUUUUUUUCUCUUCAACUUCUCUACAUUUUUAAGAAGAAGUUAGGCCAAGUACAAUAUCAAUUAAGUACUUACUAAAAAAAUGUACUUUUUUUAAUGCAUAAAAUUGAAUGGAAUGAGCUUUGGCCAAAAGUUGUUGAAUGCUACUUCAAAAAACUAUUUGUCGACAAUUUAUUUCACAAUCAUCUCUCUUCAAUUCACGUUGGGAACCUUUUCUUUUAUUUUCAAAUAUUAUAUUUCAAUAUGUUUUUUUCUUCCAUUUAAUUUUUUUUUAGCCGUUCCAUUUAAUUUUUUAAAGGAGGUUCCAUUUAAUUUUAUUACCUUUUUUUCAAAGAAAUUUUAUUAUCUUUUUAUCACUUAUAUAUUUAAUUUAAAUAUCGUUUAAUUAUAACAACCUCACAAAUAUUUUUAUUUACGCUAUCAUUUAAUGAUACAGAAUAUUUUUAUUUUCUUUCUUCAACCUCGCAAAUAUACAGACACACACAUUAGCGUUUAGAGUAAUACUUUAUGUGUGUCUGUUUUUUUGUUACGCUAAUGCGUAUAAUUUUUAUAAAAUUUUGAUUUUAAUUAAAAGUAAAAUUGUAGAUGUCUUUUCUUCAAAAAAGGUAUAGAUGCCUAAAAAAAUUAUGCUUAUGUUAUAUAUAUAUAUAUAUAUGGGUUUGCUAGAACACACCCACUAAUUUUUAUGUGGGAGUGUUUUAGCAAGUUAUAACUAAAAAGUUAAUAAAUACACCUUAAGGUGUAUGUUGCUAUAACACACCUUCUAGAAAAAGCAAGUGGGUGUGUUCUAGCAAAUCCUAUAGGCAUUUGCUAGAAUACACCCACUUAUUUUUUAGAAGGAGUAUUUUAGCAAGUGAAUAACUAAAAAGUGGUUAAAUACACCUUAAGGUGUAGCUUUGCUAAAACACUCCCACAUAAAAACUAGUUGGUGUGUUCUAGCAAAUGCCCAAAUAUAUGUAACAAUUGGUCAGGUUCGAGGUUGCUCAUCAACCUACAUCAUCCGGUUGUUGAGAAGUUUAAGACUUAGUAAGUUUGCAUUAUGAUUUCACAAUACAGUGUUAGAGUAACUUAUUAUUUCACAAUCCGAUUUGAUUGAUUUUUGACCAUGUUUCUUGAAUUGUUGUCAUGACUUUAACACUUCUCAAGCUCAUAGUCAAACUUCAGUUAAAACUUAAGUCAGAGUUCGACUUCUUCUCAACGUACUUCAUACAACGAUUUUUCCAAACUGUCACAUGUUAGGCCAAUUGCUGAAUUUAUAAACUUAGUCAAUGUCUGCUUUUUUUAUGCACAAACAUGCUUUAAGUUUUUUUACGCACAAAUUAAAAAUACAUAUUGCAUUAUUCUUUAUUUCAUGUGCAUAAUUUGUGUUAGGAAACAUAUUGCAUCACUAUUUAGAAAACAACUAAAUUCAAUCAUAACCAGUUUGGAUUGUAUUAUGAGAGCUGCACCAAAUGUUCGAAGACAUCAAUGUCAGAUGGUGCUGGCUAUAUAUGCACAUGUGGAAGUGAUGCUUAAUUUCCAUUUGUUUCAACAAUGUUAAUUGGUCAACGGGGUGCAUAUAAUGUACAUGCAUGCAUUUAUCUAGAAUUUAUAGGAAGAUAAUAGGAUGAUAAAGUAGAAGUCAAGUUACAUUUUCUUUAGCUUAAAAUCAGUUAUGCUACCUUUAUUUUAUAAAUUAUAUGUAACUAUAUUCGCAUACAUCUUAUCCAUAUGCAUUAGACUAAUAUUGCAGUUAUUUUCCUGUUUAGCAUUUCCCAAACGAGGUGUCAAGAACAAUUCUGAAAGGAAAGCGCAAAACAAUCACUCUUAUUGAUGACCAGACACAGAGACAGUACAACUGUCAUCUCAUUACCGCCGAUAGAGCAAGCUAUGAAAAUUACUUGGGUGGUCAGUGGUUCAAUUUCUGCAGAUAACGAGUGAUGGAAGAAGGUGGUAAACUCAUCUUUGAUCUCGAAAAGUCACAGAAGAAAGUGCAAAUUCGAGUUGUUCCAAAGUAGAUAUUUGUUGUUGAACUAUUUUAACUUCUACUAUUUUGAUGUAUCGCUUUGGACUGAAGUCGUAAACUAUCUUGAUUUUGGGAUGUCAUUUGUUCUUUUCAUUUUGUCUGAUGUAAGUAUUGGCAAAAAUUCCUUUUUGGUUAGUCUAUGAAACUUGCAAUCUCUUUUAUAAACCUAACUAUUAUGUAACGUUAAUCUGUACAUUGUUGGUUCCUUCAUUGGUUCCAAUUAGUAUCAUAUUAAUUGUAAUGUUGUUUUUCUAAUCUCUUGAGAAAAAUAAAACAUGUUAUUUUCCUACAGUAAAUCUUUACAAUGCUUUGGUAAAUGUUUUAGAAAUGUGCAUAUAUAUAUAACUUCUAAUUAACACUGCAAUUUGUUUUGUACCUAGCACUUGUCAAAUGAGAUAUCAAUGACAUUUUUAAAAGGAACACAGAAAACAAUCACACUCAUCGACAAACAAGCUCAAAAAAGGUAUAAGUGUCGCUUGAUAACGGCAGAGAGAGCAAGUUACAAAAAAUACUUAGGCGACCAAUGGUUCAAAUUUUGCCGAGAACGUAUGUUAGAGGUAGGUGAUAAGUUAAUUUUUUUUAUCUAGAGAAGCCACCUAAAAAUAUGCACGUUCAAGUCGUUUCCAAAUAAAGAUUUGGUGUUCAUGAUCCACACUUUCAACAUAUCACCUUAACUUUAAUUCUAGACUAGAUUAUUUUCACUCACUGAUGCUACUUCUUUGCUUGAUUUCAUUUGAUGUAAAUAUGGGUAUUACAACAAAACUCUUUUUUUUUUUUUUUUUUUUUUUAUAAUUUUGGAUAAUAUGUAAAUUCACACAUCAUUGAUUCCUUUAUUGGUUCCAAUAGUUUUCAUCCUAAAUAUUAUGUCAAUUCCUAAUCUCAUAAACUGAUUAUAUGCUCUCUUAAUCAGUCCAUACAUAUUUUAUGAUGAAUCACGAUGUUCCUUCGUUUUAACAUCUCUUCUUUCAAAGAAUUUUUUUAUCAAAUAUGUUAUUGAACCCGUGCUUCUAACUAGUUUAUAAAUAUAAAACAAGUUCCCACUUUUUGGACAAUCAGCAUCAAUUUGACAUUUAUCACGUGCUGUAAUAAGAAAAGAAAAAAAGUCAAGAAAAUAAUGCUACUAUUAAAUGAUUGUGUACGAGCUACAAAGUAAAGAAAGAAAUUUGAAAAGAAUAAAAGGAAUGGCUUACCAACACCAAAUUUCGUUGCGAUGAGAAAUAAGGAAAUAAAUAGAAUCAUGACACAAACAAACUUAAGAAUUUGAACCAUAUUUUAUCUUGUUUGAGUGUAAAAAAUAGAAAAUGAUUUGGUCUAUUUAUAAUUUUCCUGCUCUCUAAAAUAAUGAAAUAUUUUUAGCACUUACAAAGUUGAAACCGUCGUUCAUAAUAUUAUGAUCAUUAUUAAAUAUUUAUUAAGUAUAUCAAUGUGUUGUGUUUGUUCUUUUAGCACACUUAAGGUGGGUCAAAUAACAAAAUUACUAAUCAUUAAAAUUCAUUCUUUAUAUCUAACUUUUAUUUACUUUUUUUAAAGUUAAAAGUUUUCUUUUAGACCAUCGUAAUAUUAUUAUUUUGGAAUAAUAUACAUAAUUGGAGAUGAGAAAUAAGUAGAGUGUAUUGUAGGAUCAACUUUUAUUGUUGAUAAAAUCGUUGAAUUAAAAAAAACACCUUUCCUUGAUUUAAAAAAUUGAUGUGUAUUUUAUAGAACUUUUUUUAUUCAAUAAUAUUUAAGGUUCAAAAACUCAACCUAAAAGUAGUGGUUUAGGGACAACCUAAAUGCAGAUGACAUUUAUCUAUAAGAACAAUUAAAAGUAAUAAAAUUUCAGCGUCUAAAAACAUCAUAUAUAUAUAUAUAUAUAUAUAUAUAUAUAUAUAUAUAUAUAUAUAUAUAUAUAUAUAUAUAUGAGUUUUGCUAGAAGAUAACUUUUAUCAGUGGCGGAACUAGGAAAAAAGUAUAGGGUGGGCUAUAAAUAGUGAUGGAGCUUAAUUUUCUUACAGGUACAUUUUAUCAUUGGUUAGUUUCAAUGACUACAAAUUUGUUAUUUGUUGAAUAUAAUUCAAACCGGUAUUUUAAAAUCCGAACCGUUUAUCAACCUUGAUAAACUACAAGAUAAUUGAUCGAACAACUAGGUCAUUAAACCUAACGACUGAAUUAAAUGACUCAACUUCAAUAAACAGAUGUAUAGGUAUUAAAUCGAAUUGAAUCAAACGACCGAGUAAAAAAAAAAACUCAUGACAUAUAUAUAUAUAUAUAUAUAUAUAUAUAUAUAUAUAUAUAUUAAUGUAAAAAAGAUCAUUACAUAAGAAAAUAUACUUAUAAUCAAGUACAAUAAUGAAAUCAUAUUGUACUUGCCUCAAUUAUUUUUAUGAUUUCUAACAAAUUCUAUUUUAUUUUAUUUAUGAUUUCUAAAAAUUAUUUUUAUUUUUUAGAAAAUAGGAAUGAAUCAUAUUUAAACUAAGAUCAAUAUGAUAUCUGAAGUAAGAAAUGAUGUUAGUGAUUGGCCCUUGCCUCAAGUCACUAACGUUGAUGAAUGGGUUCCUUUUGAAGGGCAACUAUUUGAAGAUAAUGAAUAUGUAAAUUCUUUAACAUUUCAAGAGCUACAACAUGAACCCUUGCCUCAAGUCAACAACAUUGAUGAGGGGGUUCCUUUUGAAGGGCAAGUAUUUGAAAGUGAUAAUGUUGCUUAUGAAUUUUAUUGUUUAUUUGCAAAACAAAAUGGAUUUUCUAUUAGGCGUGAUCACAUUUAUAAAUCUAGUAAAAAUGUGUCUGAAGAGAAUCCAUCUGGUGUUUAUAAGAGGGAAUUUAUUUGUCAUGGUGGUGGUAUUGUUAAACCACGCAAAACUGUUGAAGUGGAAAAUCAAAGGAAACGAAAAUCUUCAAGAUGUGAUUAUGGUGCAAAGAUGGUAGUUAAUAAGAGAACAAUUGGCUUUGAGAAAAAAUGGGUGGUUAAAUAUUUCAACAAUUCUCACAACCACGAGUUAUUGGAUAACAAAGAGGUUCGAUUUCUUCCUGCUUAUCGUAACAUUCCAAUUGUUGAUCAAGAUCACAUACUAUUAUUAUCUAAAGUUGGUUGCUCUGUAAGUAUUAUAAUGAGAGUGCUUGAGUUAGAGAAAAGAACGGGCACAGGAAAUUUACCAUUCUUAGAAAAAGAUAUUAGAAAUUUUAUUCAGUCAUAUAGUGGUAUUGGUAAAGAAAGUGAUGCUGCAGAUGUUCUCAGAUUGUGCAAAAGUUUGAAAGAUCGAGAGGAGGCCUUCCAAGUUGAAUUCACAAUUGAUGAAAGUAACAAAUUGGAGCAUAUUGUUUGGGCAUUUGGUGAUUCAAUUCGCGCAUACGAAGCUUUUGGAGAUGUUGUAGUUUUUGAUACCACAUAUAGAAUAAACCGUUAUGGGAUGCCUCUUGGAAUAUGGGUUGGUGUUGAUAAUCAUGGAAAUUCAAUUUUUUUUUGGUUGCGUUCUAUUGCAAAAUGAGAAGAUUUCUUCCUUCGAAUGGGCUAUAAAGGUAAAUUUCUAUUUACUCAAAGUUGUUAUCACUGUUAAAUUUUUAAAUUUGAAACUUUAUUAAAUUAAUUUAGAUUUAUGUUACAAUUUUCAGAGUUUCCUAGCUUUUGUGAAAGGAAAAUAUCCAAAAAUAAUUCUUACCGAUCAAGAUCUUUCAAUUAAAGAAGCCAUUGCAACGGAAUUGCCAAACACAAAACAUGCAUUUUGUAUAUGGCAUAUUGUCGCAAAGCUGUCAAGUUGGUUUUCUUUUCCACUAGGUUCGAGAUAUGAUGACUUUAAACAUGAGUUUCAUAAGGUAUAUCAUUUAGAAUGUGCAGAUGAUUUUGAACGAGAAUGGAAAAUAAUGGUCUCACAGUUUGGUUUGGGCGUGGAUAAGCAUAUUGACUUGCUCUUUUCCCAUCGUAAAUUUUGGGCCUGAGCUUAUUUGAAGGACUUUUUUUUUGCUGGAAUGACAACAACAGGACGCUCAGAAUCGAUAAAUUCAUAUAUAAAAAGAUUCUUAGAUGCUAACAACAGGACGCUCAGAAUCGAUAAAUUGUUAUAUUUUUGUGUAGGUUGGUGUUGCUGUCAAAAUUAGAAAUCAAGCUGGAGAAGAGGCACGAAUGCGUCAAAAGUAUCAUAAUCCUCAUAUUACAACACAUUUUCCUAUUGAAGAACAUGCCUCGUCUAUACUCACACCUUAUGCCUUUAAGUUGCUUCAAUAUGAGAUCGAAUUAUCCGCAAAGUAUGAAGCAAUUGAAGCUGACAAUGGCUCUUAUGUUGUGCAACAUCAUACCAAAGUUGAUGGUGGUCGUAUAGUAAGUUUGAUAACAGAAGAAGAGUCAAUUCAUUGUUCUUGUAAAGAGUUUCAAUUUUCAGGAAUACUAUGUAGACAUGCAAUUCGAGUGCUAAUGUUUAAAAAUUGUUUUGUUCUUCCAUCAAAAUAUCUUCCUUUUCGAUGGAGACGAGAAAGAUCAUUGAUCCCAAAAUCUAGUCAUGUGAUUAACUGCAAUGAUGUAUCCUCUGCCAAAUUUCAGUCUCUAAUUCGAUGUUUGGAAGUCGAAUCAUUAAAGACAAGUGAACGAGAACAGGUUGCUACAAGAGAGUUAGAAAAUAUCAUCAUAAAGAUAAAAAGGCAUGCCUGAAACUCAAGAACAUGUGAUUGAUUUGGAAGCGGAUGUUUCCAACAAUGACGACUACGACGUUGAAAAUCCUGUUGUUUCAAAAACAAAAGGUCGGCCAAAAGGAUCAAGACCAAAAGGAGGGGUUGAAGCUGCCAAGAAGCCUCGUCGUUGUCAUGUUCCAGAUUGUGGUGGAACUAAUCAUGACUCACGAAACUGUCCAAACAAAAAGAGAAAAAUGGAAGUAUUGCCUUCUCAAUCUCCUAAUAAGUAAGUUUUAAUUGGUGUGUCUUGUUCUACUCAUGACUAAUAUAUUAAAUUAAUGUUGACUGAAUUUUUAUGGUGCUUUGAUAGGAUCAUGAAGGGUUGGAAGUAGUCAUCUUGAAAUAGUGAAUUUGACAGAUGAAGCAGCCAAAUAGUUUAGAUCAAACCGUGUAAUUAGUGAAUUUUGUGGCUGCAAUCUGUAAGAUCAAACUAGCAGUAUAUUUUGUAGGAUUAUUAUGAUCAAAUUGUAUAAUUACUAGUAUAUUUUGUACCAGUAUAUAGCCUGUGUUUUGUUCCAGUUCGCCCAAUCUUUCUCUUCUUGAGAGGUCCUGUUUGGCUUAAUAUAUUAUUGCACAUUAUUAUGAUUAUGUGAAAUGUUGAUGUUAAUUAUUGAACAUCAAAUUGGUUAUUAAAAGUCAAAGAGUCUAAAAAAAAAAAAAGUAAAAGAUCAAACUAGCAAUAUAUUUCUGUGAAAUAUAUUAUUGCAUAUUAUUGCACCUCUUAAAAAAGAAGUAAAAGAUCCAAUGAAAAAAUGUGUUCUCUUUUUGACAAACACAUUGGUUGUAGGAAGAGAGAGAAAAUGAUGAUUUCUAGGUGAAUGGGAAAUGACUUUAAAGGACAUGUAUUAUAUCAUUAUUGAAGAACAAUCUAAAUUUCCUUUGAAUUAAUUUGAUUUACAUGAUUGUGAAUUAAUUUGUAUUAGGAGAAGUGAAUCAAUCUAAAUUUAAUCAUUUGUAUUAUAUCAUUACGGGGGAGUAACUAGUGGUUUAAUGACAAUCUAAAUUUCCUUUGAACAACCCCACAAACAACUUGAACCUUUUUUUUUUUUUUUUUUUGUCAAUUAACAACUUGAAAAUUUUAUUUCUUAAAAUACUCACAUUGAAAUAAUUAUUUUAUCCACGUUGGGUUUUGAUAAGGUAUAUAAUACAAUGAUAAGGUAAUUAUUUUAUUCAUAUUAAAUAAAAUAUUACCUCAAGAAAGAAAAAAAAGUUCAUGAUUGGUAAAUAUGUAUGUUUGGAUUGAUGAAAAUGCAAGUAGUAAAAUCUAAAGAUUCUCUACCCUAUGGUAUAAGUUACUCUAUAAGGCAAACUAUACUUCUCUCAAAAAAAUAAAAAAGGCAAACUAUACUAGCGAUAAAUUUACGUUAAAAUGACCCUCUUUUAAUUCAUCAUAUAUAGGAAAAUGAAUUGAAUUUUUUUUUCGCGGACAACGGUGGUAUUUUUGUUAGUUUGUUUUAAUUCAAGUUUAGUUUAGUGAUAAUCACAAUCAGUGGUUAAUCACAUUUUGUUUUAGUUUGUUAUGAAGUUUGUUACAAGUUUGUUAGAGGUUAGUAUAUAAGAUCUAGAGUUUGUUACAUUGCUUGUGCUUCAAGCAACUUAGCUAGAUAUUGUAUAUAAGCUACCUCCUUUGUACAUUUUCGUAUGUAGAAUCAAUAAAGAUCAAUUACAAUUUCAUCAUAAUUUUUCUUCUCUCUCAAUUCUCUCUCUAAUUCACAAAACCUUAGAAUAAGAAACUACUUCUGAAACUGCUUCUGAACUAGCUUCUGAACAAGCUUCCGCUUCUGGUUUUUCUGCGCUAUCAAAUUGGCAUCAAGAGCCUUUGGUUUCAUUCUAAGGGGUAAUCAAGAUCUUCAAUCACGCAAUUUGUAGGAAGAAACGCUGAAGGAAACACCAUGAAUGGUAGCAGCAGUUUCAACACACAUCUUCCAAUUCUUGAAGCACGCAAUUGGGAAAGAUGGAGUGCAGUGAUGAAGAAUCUGUUUGGAGCACAAGAUUUGCUUGAAAUUGUGCAGAAUAGUGUAGGUGAAUUAGCUGCGAAUGCCACUGAAGUGCAAAGGAACGCACACAAGGAAUUGAAGAAGAAAGAUUGCAAGGCUCUGUUCUUGAUUCAACAAAGUCUUGAUGAAGGAAACUUUGAAAGAAUCUCAAAAUCACUAAGUUCAAAGGAAGCAUGGGACAUUCUUUCAAAGUACCAUGAAGGUGAUGAUAAAGUGAAGUUGAUUAAGCUUCAAUCACUGAGAAGGAAAUUUGAGCUGAUGCAAAUGGAAGAUGAUCAGAAGAUUUCUGAGUACAUCUCUAAACUCAUCAAUCUUGUGAAUCAGAUGAAGGCUUGUAGUGAAGCAAUCACUGAUCAACAGAUAGUUGAAAAGAUUAUGAGGACCCUAUCUUCAAGGUUUGAUUUCAUUGUGGUGGCAAUUCAGGAAUCAAAAGAUGUUAAGACAUUGAAGAUUGAGGAGCCGCAGAGUUCAUUAGAAGCUCAUGAAUUGAUGGUUUCAGAAAGAAGCAAUGAAAGAUCAAUUCGACAAGCCCUGCAAGUUCAAACUAUCAAGAAGGAUGAUUAUGAUAGGAAGAACUUCAAGAAAGGGAAGAAAAACUCUAAGGGAAGAAACUGGUCUAAAGGCAAGAACAAUGGAUCUGAUAAAGGUGAAUCUUCAAAGGAAGGAAAUUCUAAUCAAAAGAAGAAAGUUGAUAAGAAGAAGAUUCAGUGUUUCAAAUGUGAGAAAUUUGGACACUAUGCCUCUGAAUGUUGGUCUGGUAAAGGAAAGCAAUCAAAUAAUGAUGAAGAGGAAGCCAAAAUUGCACAAGAUGAUUCAGAUUCUGAGUCAUUAUUCAUGAUGGUUACAACAAUUAGUAAUGAGAGCUGCAAUUCAGAAAGUUGGUUCUUAGAUACUGGUUAAUCUAAUCAUAUGACUGGAACCAAGACAUGGUUAAGAGAAGUGGAUUUUGGAAGAAACACAAAGGUGAAACUUGCAGAUCAUAGAGUAUUAGUUGCAGAAGGAAUGGGGAAUAUUGCUAUUGAAGGAAAGAAUGGGAAAGUGGCAAUAAUUGAAUAAGUUCUCUAUGUUCCUGGAAUGCAGUGCAAUUUGCUGAGUGUAGGUCAAUUCAUUCAGAAAGGAUACUCAGUUACUAUGAAGGACAACACCUUUAAGUUGUUUGAUAAUCAUCAAAGGUUAGUUUUGAAAACUCCUCUUGCAAAGAAUAUAACCUUUCAGACCAAUAUGAAAGCUGUAGAAUUGAACUGUUUAUCUGCUAUGGUAAAAGAUGAAGAUAGCUGGUUAUGGCACUAUAGAUUUGGUCAUCUCAAUUUUAGAGGUCUUAAUCAAUUGGUUGAUAAAGAAAUGAUUCUGGGAGUGCCUAAAAUUGAGAUACCUAACACAGUUUGUGAUACUUGCUUGUUGGGAAAGCAACCUAGAAGUGCAUUCAGUUCAAGUUCAGCAAGUAGAUCAAAGGAGCUGCUUAAUGUUGUAUAUUCAGAUGUGUGUGGUCCUUUAGAGGUUCCUUCAUUAGGAGGAAACAAAUAUUUCAUCAGUUUUGUUGAUGAGUUUAGCAGAAAACUCUGGUUAUAUUUGAUUAAGGCCAAAAGUGAAGCAUUUGAUAUGUUCUAGAAGUUUAAAAUCUUAGUUGAAAAACAAAGUGGUAAAUCCAUUAAGAUUUUAAGAACUGAUGGUGGUGGUGAGUAUACCUCAAAGGUGUUUGAGAAGUUUUGUGAAGACAAUGGCAUUGUGCAUGAAGUCACUGCUCCUUAUACUCCACAACACAAUGGUUUGGCUGAAAGAAGGAAUAGUAGCCUGCUUGACAUGACCAGAAGUAUGCUAAAGAUGAAGAAGAUGCCUAAUACAUUUUGGGGAGAAGCAGUAAGAACUGCAGCAUACAUCUUAAACAGAUGCCCCACUAAGAAACUUAAUCAAAUUCCUGAAGAAAUUUGGUUAGGAUGCAAGCAGUCAGCAAAACACUUGAGAAUUUUUGGUUCAUUGUGCUAUAUGCAUAUCCCUGAUGCAAAGAGAAGGAAGUUGGGGGACAAGAGUGAGCCUAUGAUACUGGUUGGCUAUCAUGAAACAGGUGCAUACAGAUUGUAUCAUCCUCUAAAUCACUCUAUAGUGAUUAGGCUACCUGACCCAAAAAAAAAUUCUACAAGCCACUUUUCUCACGUUGUUUUCGCUAUUUUCUUAUAUCUUGACCCUUACUUAUUGAUGUUGUUGAAACCAAGUUGGUCCACUAAUAACAAUAUCAUUUUAUGUUUUGAUGAUUAAAAAAAAUAUCUAAAUGGUUUUUCAAUUCGCAUUUAACUUAAUUUCUUAUUACUUUGAAAUCUUUCAACAAACUAUAUUCAUUUUAAAUUUUGCAAAUUUAUUUAUGUUAGUUCUAACAUUUAUCCCGCCAUUGCACGGGUCAUGAGCUAGUAAGUGUUAUUGGUACAUGGAGCCUUAAUCUUCUUGCACAAAUACCCACUUAAAAGUUUCAAUUGAAUGGGGUGGGGUAGCUCAACUGGUUUGAGUUAAGGGAAUUUUUUCUAGAGGUACUGAGUUUGACACGGACAAAGGAGAAAAGAGAAAAACUAAUUUCUAACAUACAUUAAAAAAAAAAAAAUAUCUUCUUAAAGCACCAACCCAAUUCAUAUUUUUUAUUUAUGUACUAAAAUGAUAGAUCAGUAUAUUUUUUAUUCAGUACAAAUUUGAAUAUCUGUUUAAACUGUACAUUUUUUAUUGGGUUAAAUAUGUUUUUGGUCCCUAUAAAAUUGGAAACUUCUAAGUUUAGUCCUUACUUAAUUUUAAUAACAUUUUUAGUCCCUACAAAAAUAAAAUUACAUGUAAUUUUAGUCCUUCUAAAAACUAAAUUUGUUUAAUUAUUCUUGAAUUCUUAAAUUUUUGAACGAUUUUUUGGAGACAUGUUUAGAACAUUAUAAAAUGUUCAUUUACUAAAAAAUAUAAUUUUUUAACAGGAGAAGAAUUAAAUAUGAAUUUUUUAAACGACAAAAAUUCAAGAAAAGAGUAGUAAAAAUCUGAACGUAGAAAUCAAAUUUUGAGUUAAUAUUUUGUAGAGGGACUUUCCGUAAUGUUCUUAAUAGGUGUACAAAAGAUUGUUUAAAAAUUCAAGAAUUUAAGCAUAAUUAAACAAAUUUGGAUUAAGAAUGGACUAAAACUAAAUGCAAAAUGAUUUUUUAGGGAUUAAAAAAGCUAUUAAAAUUAAGUAAGGAUUAAAUUUAAAAGGCUCCAAUUUUAUAAGGAUAUAAAACAUAUUUAACCCUUUUUAUUUGAUGUCAAAAGGAAAAGUUCAAUCAAUAAAUUUGUUUUUGUUGUAAAAUUUUGGAUAGUCGGGCAUGAGUGAUAUGCAAAACUAAAACAAAAAAAAAUACAACAAAUGUUACAUGAAGGAUUUUGAUUGAUGAAACAAAACUACCUUGACAAAAAAAAAAGAAUUAAAAGAAAGAAAUUGAAUAAGUUAUUAAGAUUAAUAAAAUUUUCUUGAAACAUCACCGAAGGGUUGUCUUUGAAUAAAGAUUUUAGGAAAUUGUAUAUUUUUGUAUAUAGAAGUUAUAGUUUUUAAAUGAUUGUAUAUUUACUAGAUAAAUGCUUCCUUAUCUCCAAUCCCCAUUACAACUCUGACUAAGUCUUAGGCUUUGUUUGGAUUGAUGGCAUGUGGUGGAAUGGAAUGGGAUGGAGUGGUAUAUAAUAGAGUUCCAUUGUUUGGAUAUUUAAAAAAUGAGUGGAAUGGAGUGGUAUAUGAUGGAAUCCAUUCCAUCCCAUUCCAUCAUCUUCCUUUAUUUUCAUUCCUCCCAAUUUGGGGUGUAUAGAAUGGAAUGAGGUCUAUUAAUUUGACAAUUACCUUUUUAACCUAGUUUUUUUUUUUAUUUCCAAUUGGUAGCCACGAAUUUCCGAUUGAACCCAGUUUUUUAUUUAAUUACACACGUUACCUCUAUACCCAACAACAUCAAACUCUACAACACUGUUCUACAUAGCACUAGACAGUCCAAUACAUCAAAAUCCUUUCUACAAAGCCAAACUACUCAUGAAAAUCAAUGAAAGUUCAUUAUAAUUAAAUAAAAAAAAUGUAAAAAAUGCAACGAAUGGAGAUGGUGGGGGUAACGUGAUGGACAAAUUUUUCAAACAAAAUUAAAACUUUUUUGCUACUAUUAUUUUUGUUACUAUUUUAUUAUAACUAUACAAUUCUAUAUAUGAUAGUAUUUUUAAAUAAGGGUAAAAAUGAAAUAAACAAGUUUGUUCCGUUCCGUCGUAAAAUGAGUUCUAUAAAAUACCCAAACAAUGGAAUGGAAACUCUAUCCCGCUCCGUUCCAUUCCAUCCCGCUCCAUUCCAUUCGUUUUAAAAUAUCCAAACAUAGCCUAGUGUUCCAUGCCUGAUAGUAGCUGGUUAUAUGUAAAUUCUAUUUUCUUAUAUUGAUAUUUCAAUUCCGUUCUUAAUUUUUUUUUUUUUUUUUUUUUUUUUUUUUUUUUUUUAUGCGAAAUACAAAAAUGAUAUUUGACUUAGAAAGUUGUAGACAUAGGCUUUCUCCGUAAGAGAGAGAUAUGGGUAGGAGCAUUUGUAGAUGUUAGUUACCAGGUAUUAGUCUCUGUUUGCAAUCAUACACAUUGUAUGAUCUUAAUGUCGUUACUAAAAAUAAUGAAUCUCAUAUCGUUUGUCAGAUAUGGAAACAUGCGAUCAAUGAAGUAAAUUAAACGAUUAAUUAAUGAAUCCCAACAAUAUUAUCUCUUUGUUCUUGUUUCAUUUUUUUUUAAGAAGUUAAACUAACCCCUUUCAAUUGACACCAGAGAUAAUUGAACCUGAGACCUUAAGAAGGAGCACUCUCAGGUUACAAGUCAAUACGACUAGGCCAACCUAAGUGGGUUUUUCUUAUUUCAUUAUUUAAUUGCAAAGACAAAUAUAUGUACAAAUAAUCCAUCGUUAUGUACUAAAAACAAUAUUCGUAUUUCAAAAAUAUUGCACGAAUUCCUAUGGAUACGGUAACCAUAAAUAUUUAUUUUGGGAAAUGAUAGGUGCAGUGACAAAAUUUAUCAAAAAAAUUUUAAGACAGUGUAUUUGCUAACACCUUUUCUUAAUUACACAACAUUACCUCCCUUAAUUUUCGUCAAAUAACAAAUUUAAUUGAUUGAGACAUUUUCUUAAUAUAUUUUUGAUAAAAACUCUAGAUAAAUAGAAAUGCUCAUUUAUUUUUUUAUACAGCUAUAAAAGCAGCUGAUCACUAAGUAACUAUUUUUUUUAUCUCAAUCUGUUUGCAAUAUUUCAAAAAUUAUUAGAUAAUUUUAUAAAUUAUUACCCCAAAAAUAAAAUUACCAUGUGUGUCACAUGGGAUAAAGAUCUAGUUUACCCUAAAUUUAAAGUAGUUGGAUUAAACCUUCAAAAAAUUGUAUUAAAGUGUUUGCAACUACUUUUAUAUCGACUAAAAUCCUACAAAUAUAAAUUAAAGUGUUUGCAAAUUGAAUUGUUUUUCAUAUCUUUUAAAGCUCAACAAGACAUCUAAUGUAUUUAUUUUGACAUGCAUAAAUUAAAAAGGCUUUGAAGUAAGGUAAAAUUUAUUGAUAUACCUAACUAUUCUAUUAAAGUUAUUUUUAAAAGGUGUGAUACCUCCAAAAUUAUGAGAGAAGAGGACAAUGAAAAAAAAAAAUCUUUACUACCUUAAAACUAUCUUAGAGUAACACACCAUAACUACAAGGUUCAUGAGAUUAGAGAAAUUAAAUUAAAUUAUAUCAUAGAGUGCCAACAUAAUAACCAAACGACAACUCAUGAAAUAUUCUAUCAUAUUUUAAGUUGUUUUCUUUGACAUUAUAACCCAUUCUCCUUUGUAGUAUGUUUUUGCACUCUCCAUGGUUUGAAACUCAUAGAAUCAUGCAUGUGCUUCUACCAAUUCACAUCUUUUAUCAAUGCACUUAAAAACAUAUAACAAGUCCCUAUACUUUGGACAAUAAUCAUCGGUUUCACAUUCUUCAUAAACUAUAAUGAAAAAACGAUAAUAAAAUAAUGUUACUAAAUAUGUUAAAAGAUUGUGCACAAACUAUAAAGUAAAGAAGGAAAUUUUGAAAAGAAUGAAAAAAAUGACUUACUGUCACUCAGUUGUGUUCUGAUGAGAAAUACUAUGGAAAUGAAUAGAAUCAUAGCAUAAACAAACUUUAGAAGUUGAAUCAUAUUUUUUCUUGUUUGCAUGUAAAAAAUUCGAAUAUGAUUUGUUCUAUUUAUAAUGUUCAUGCUCUCUUAAAAAUGAUUUUUAUAGUUUUGGCACUUAUGAAGUUGUAAAAACCCUUCAUAAAAUUAUAAUCAUCAUUAAUUAUCUCUUAAAUAUAUCAAAGUGUUGUAAACAUAAAGAGGUCAAAUGAAAAACUUACUAAUAAUAAAGAUUUAUUCCUUUUGACUAUAAUAUUCAUAUGUAAUUGAGCUUAAGUGGUUAAUGAACUUCACCAAAGAACGAAUCGUUCCGGAGAACCCGAGUUUGUUUCUGAUUUUAUCCAAAUGCAUUUUGGUAUUAUGCCUACCCAACUUGAAAUAGAUUGACGGAAACCAUUGAUGAUGAGGCAUUCUCUAGAUGGAUUUCAUAGUUCUCACCUUGAGAACAAAUUGUAUAGUCAGAGGUCUUUUUGACUUUGGAAUAAGUUCAAAUAGAACUCCUUCACAACUCCCUACAUUUUAAGCUAUAACUAUAAUAAGUCAUUACGAAUCAUGUGUCUUCAUUGUGUUAUGAUAAUGUGAGGAUGGGAGAAUAUUUGUAGAGUUUUAAUUAUGAUAAAUAAUACUGGAAUGAGGAUAUUAUUUCAGUUUUUCAUCAACUUUUUGUGAUGGAAUAUAGGAUAUGCAUUAAUUGCACUAUGACUGCUACACUCAAGCUAUUCGUAUUUCUACCUAUUUAACAUUUGGCUUGAAGUUGAUUAUUUAAAUGAAAAAUGAGUGAAUUUAAUAUCGAAUAUACUGUCACAAUAUAUUCUAUUUUUACUUUCAUUGAUUAGAACUCAACUAUUAUCAAAUGAAAUCAGUGCAGAUAAUUAGACAUUCAAGAUUUUGAGCUGGGAGAUUAGAAUGCAUUGAAGGAAUUGUUUGCCAAACACAUUGGGAAACUUUGAUGAAGGAGCUUGCUUUCACAUAACUCAGGAGAAAAAGACCUGUUCAAACACAGAUUAUCCUUGCAAGUACAAAAAAAAAAAAUGAAAACAAUUGUGUAGAACUAAUGUUAAUGAACCAUUUUUUUUGGACAAACAGAAAAUGUUGAUUCUUAUGUUAAUGAUAGGAUUAGAACCAUGUAAAGAGGAUGCAAGUAUUGGUGGCUCUUCAUUGCUGCUGGUUCCUCUAGUCCCUCAUUUGGCUUUGGGGACCUAUAGAAUAGAGACAAAGAUGAUGCAAGAAAUUGUAUGUAUAUAAAUUUUGAACUUAUCAAAAGGAGAAGGAACAACAACUCAUGAAGGAAAAACAAUCAAAAUUUCUCUUACCAAGCAGAAUAUGAUGUAUUUAGCACCUGAAGAUAGUGUGAAGGAUUCAGCAAUGUGGCAAAUGAAACUGUCGUUCAGCUUUUUUGUCUCUCUUUUUUACUUUAUUUUCUCUUUUUUUACUUUCUCCAACCUUUCUCUCAUGCUGACAGUGGCUUUUGUGGGAUCUUUUACUUUAUUUUCUCUGUUUUUUUUUUUUAAAAACUUUUUUUUAACAUUUCUACCAUUUUCAACUUUACAUGUAAAUAUUACUCCAGCUGCAACUAUUGUUGUUGUCUUUUAGUGCAAUAUAAGAAAUAAGAAAUAUGCCAGUGUCGGCAUGAAAAAAGGAAAAGAUUCCACAAAGUGCAGAGCAUUCAAUUUGCCCCUCUUUCAUUUUCUGAAUAAUCAAUAACCAAUGAAACUUUUUUAUACAUCUUCCUAUAAAAUUUAUUUCAAAGAUAACACAAAAAAUUAUGUUGUAAACUACUAUGUUUUAGUUUUGUUAAUAAGUAUGAUUUUUUUUUUGCUUAUAAUAUGGGACGGAGGGAGUACAUACCUACACCGCUUUGUUAUUCUCACUAUAUGCUUCUCAAUUCAUUCGUCGCCAUCUUCGAUCCAUUAUUGAAAGGAGAAUUAAUACAACUAAUAUUUUUAAUCUAUUAUUGAUGAUCCCAAAUCAUUCGAAUCACAUUGAGUAUUAUUUUAAUUUUUUAACAUGUGUAGUUUAAUUUUUUUAUGAUUAAUUUUGUGCUUAAUGUUUAUUAGUACAAUAUAAUUUUUUUGACCCAUCCGAGAUUUUCUUUCUGAUUCCGCCACUAUUUAUACCCAAGUAAGUGUAUGGUAGAAUCAAUUUAUGUUGUUGAUAAAAUCAUUGGAAAAAAAAUGUGACUGUGUAUUUAAUUUUGUAAUUGCAUGAUUUAUUUUACAUUAUCAUUCAAAUCAAUUAUAUAAUUCAUAUCGAUUUAAAAAAUAAUUUGGUAUUGAAUGUAAACUGCUUUUAAAAAUUAUUCGUAUAUCUAAUAAUUAAUUGAAAUAUGUUCUUAGGGCAGCUUUGUAUGUACACCUUUUUGUACCACUCUGUAAAAUUUCAGUUAAUCAAAUAUAUGGUCUCCGUGACUACGUUUAUUUAGUUGCGUGAUCACUAUUUAUUUGGUUAACUAAGUGGAAAAAUAGUGGUCACGCGCAUUUUAGUUGUGCGACCACAUUUUUUCAGCUUUUAAAUGCUGGAAAAAUAAUGGUCAUUGGUCACGCUGAAAUUUUUCAAAGUGAUAUAAAGAAGUGUACACAUUAAGGGUGUCUACCUACCUAUCUUUAUUCUUCCUCCUGUUUUAUUUUUCGACGUGCCUCUCCUUUGUCCAUUUUAUCGUGUUCCAUCGUGGUAUGCCUUUUUCUUGCGUGAAGAGCACAUCUUAAUAUCUAUAUACUUGAAGGAUCCGAUUGAUUUUUCAUGGCUCCUUUACCACCAGCUCAUGUUGUUGAUAUCAUUGUCAGCAGAGAAGAGGUAGUGCUAUUUCAUGUAGUUAGUUCUUCAAUUCAGCGACAACUUACUGUUGAUGUUAAUGACAGGUGGCGGUGGAAUUUGCACUCUUCAAAUAAUUACAUUGUUUGUAUUGCUUAUAAUUUCAUUCAACAAUCACCAAAUCAACAUAUCCUUGCAGAUGACAACCAUGUAUUUUGGCAUAAAGUUGUUUCUCUGAAAGUCAAUCUUUUUGUGUGCGUCUUCUUCUCAACCGCCUUCCAACAAAUGACAAUUUAUUUAUGAGAGGAGUGAUUCCGGCUACUUAUGGGAGGGUGUGGUAAUUUAGAGGAUAAACAAGAGAAUUGUUGUUUACACAUUUCAUAAGGCUGUGCCACACGAGUCAUUUACGUAAAUGCCCUUCAGCAGUUAACUGCCGAAGUUUUUAGUAAACCGGCGGCAGUUAACUACCGAGGAUUUCCUCGGCAGUUAACUACCGAUGCGAACUGAACAUAACAGAAGCAGAAACUCAAUUUUCUGAGUAUUGAUUCAUUGUUCAAAAAUUCUCCAAACCAUCCAACUUCUCCAAUUUCGAUUUGUCAGCAAAAUCAAAUGCAUCAUCUCCAUUUAAUCACAAGUAAGUAUCUUGACUCAUUUUUAAUCAUAAUGUUAAUUUGGGUAGGUUUUUUUUAUAAAAAAAAUGGUAGUUUUUAUGUGGUUAGGGUUGAUGUAGGAAUUGAAUUUUUUAUGAGUGCAUGUAGUUUAUAAUUGAAUGUAGUUGCUUUAAUUGAUGAUUGAAUGAUGUUAGGGUAUAAUGUGGUUUUCAAUGGUGGCAAAAGAACACAUUUUUAGUAUGUUUGAUAUUUUGCACACAAAGUGUUUGAUAAAAUGUGUCAAUGACAAUUUUAUUGAUUAUUUAGUUAGUUUAGGUAUUGGAUAUGAUUUUGAUUGUAAUUCGAAAAAGUGUAUAUUGAAUUAGGUUGAAUGUGUAUAUUGAAUUAUGUUUAGUUUAGGUUGAAUGUGUAUGACAAUGCAUUUGAUUAUUUACGUUUGAAUGUUAAUGAUAAUGUGUAUGAUAAUGUUUAGGUUCAAUCAAUGUCUUUAUUUUGGUAAAGUGGUUUAAUGUGAAAGUGGUUAUGUUUAGGUUGAAUGUGAAAGUUUAGGUUUUGUUUAGGUUUAGUGUUUUUGAUAAAGUGGUUGAAUGAUAUUAAUUUUAUUAUUUUUUUUGUAGAUAUGGCCGAUCAGGACCCCAUUGAUCCAUCGAAGAUGAUUGGUGGUAGGCGUGCGAUGACUCAGAGCCACCGCAGGAAGAGGCAGAGCAGCCACUUCCCAAAGAGGGGUAGAGGUCGGAGGGGAGAUGGCUCAGGAAGCUCUCAGGCUACACAGCCUGAGGAGUCACAGGUUGUUGACCCGUCACAGCCUGUUGACCAGACUGGGGUGGAGUACCUGAACUAUCAGGAUCAGGUACAGCAUGAUGUGACGGAUGGUGGAUAUGACCAGGAUCAUAUACCACAGCAGCAGGAUGCAGGAGACGAGGAUGACAUUGCAGCAGCUGCUGCACCGGAGGUGUUACCUAUGGAGCCUCCAUUUCCUGGUGGACCGGCUGACUUGUCAUUGCUCCACUCUUAUGCCGAUCAUGUGGCGUUGCCACUCUGGUAUAAUUCAAAUAAUGUAACUGUAUUUUUUUUAAAUAUUUUUUCUUUAUGUUAAAAUAUUUUCUUUAAUUUAAAUGUGUAUUUGUUUAAUUAUUAUAUCCAGUUUUAUAUGUGUUUUUUUUAAUUAUAUUUUGUAUGUUUAAUUGUUUUCUUUAAAUGUGUGUUUGUUUAAUUAUUAUAUCCACUUUUAUAUGUGUAUUUUUUAAUUCUAUUUUGUAUGUUUAAUUCUUUUCUUUAAAUGUGUGUUUGUUUAAUUAUUAUAUACAUUGUUUUAUGUUUAUUUUUUUAAUUCUAUUUUUUAUGUUUAAUUGUUCUCUUUAUAUGUGUUUUUGUUUAAACCAUAUUUAUUUUUCUAUUAUUUCAGGUUCGUAAGCUCCACGUGCUUAAACCGAUUAAUCAUGGGGCCAAGAUUCUCACUCUCGGACGCCCUAACGGGAAUGAGAAUUGGUUUUGGGAUCCGCUUAAGCAGAGCGGGCUACAUGAUUUGGUUUACUUGGGGUACUCCACCGUGCCUCAUCCGGAGACCAGCACCUUUCACAUGCCCAUGGGGGAGAUGACUGUGACAUUGGAUGAUGUCGCAUGUCUCACGCAUCUUCCUAUUGAGGGGCGGAUGUUGGAUCAUGGGAAGAAGAUGCCCAAGCAUGAGGGAGCGGCACUGCUGAUGAGGUAUCUGGGUGUGUCCCAGCAUGAGGCUGAAAAGAUCUGCAACCAGGAGUACGGUGGGUACAUUAGCUACCCGAGGCUGAGGGACUUCUAUACCACGUACCUUGGUAAGGCCAACUUAUUGGCGGGUACGGAGGAUCCUGAGGAGCUUGAGGAGCUGGCGAGGGUUAGGACAUACUGCGUCCGGUGUUACCUUCUGUACUUGGUCGGAUGCUUGUUGUUUGGCGAUAGAAGCAACAAGCGCAUCGAGCUGAUAUAUUUGACGACCAUGGAGGACGGCUACGCAGGGAUGCAUAAUUAUUCCUGGGGAGGUAUGACCCUCGCCUACCUAUACGGCGAGUUGGCUGAUGCAUGUAGGCCUGGACACAGAGCUCUUGGGGGGAGCGUGACACUGCUCACUGUAAGAAAACUUAAAUUUUAUAUUUAUGUUAACUUUAUUUUUUUGUUAACUUUUAUUUUUUUGUUAUAUUUUUCCGUGCGUAAUGAUUUAUAAAUGUUAUUUGUUUGGUUUGUGCAAGCAUGGUUUUUGGUGCAUUUUCCAGGGUUUUACAGUGUUGAUCCCAACACUGACUACGUGGAAAACUAUCCAGUUGCAGCGAGGUGGAAGCUCCAGAAGGGUCAUGGGGGGAGAUCACGUAUCGGUCACUGCUUGAUCGUAUACAAUUAGAUGAUGUAUGUUGGAGGCCGUACGAGGAGCACAGAGAGAUCCAGGACUUCGAGGAGGUUUUCUGGUAUUAUGGGUGGAUUAUGUGUGGUGUCCGUAGGGUGUACCGUCACUUGCCCGAGAGGGUUUUGAGGCAGUACGGAUACGUGCAGACCAUCCCCAGACAUCCGACUGCUGUUAGGGACCUCCCACCGUCUUCCAUUAUGCAGGUGUUCGUUGACUUCCGCACUCACACGAUUAAGGCGGACGAUCGGGGUGAGCAGGCAGGAGAGGAUACAUGGCGGGUGGCGGAUGGCUAUGUCAUAUGGUACACUAGGGUGUCUCACCCUCAGAUCUUGCCACCUAUUCCAGGAGAUCUUCCGAGGCCUGCAAAUAAAGAGCAGAUCAUUGCAGACCAGUGGGAGCGGUAUGAGGCGAGAAGCUCGCCUGACACCUAUGACAUGGUUAGUGGCGCUGUUGCCUAUGCUGAUGCGCAGUUAGGCCAGGAGGAGGUCAUGAGCAUGACCCCUCAGCAGUGGUUUGAGGCCAUGACCCAUAUGAGGGAGCAGAUCGCGCCGAUUUUGACCAGGAGGAGAGCCCAGAGGCCGAGGAGGAGGCACUAUCUGCAGGAUCAGGACCAGUAGUACUAUUUUCCUUUUUUAGGACUUAGUUUUUAGUUUUAGUCUUUUGAUGACAUUGAGUUAUGUAUAUUUGUAUAUUUGUAUAUUUAUAUUUUUAUGACAUUAUUUUUAAUUUCAUGGGCUCGUUUUACUUUGUUUAAUGUACAAAAAUGUUGGUUUAAUUAAAUUGUGCAUUUGCACCAAUAUUUUUUUGUUAUUUGAACCGUUAUGAUGAAUUUUAACCGUUUGUGUAAAAAUCCGGCUUUCAAAAUAAUUUAGAAUGAUAUUGAAAUGCUUUUUAGAAUUAUGAAGAUUUCCUCGGCAUGAAAAUUAAAGUUUGUUCUUGUAACUUCAUGUAUUGAUAAUAAGCAAUUUUCAAUGAGACGUGAUCGUUACCUUUUUUCUAGAGUGUAGUAGUAGUAUUUUAUUACUAAUGACAAAGUUUUAGUUGUCUAGUCAAACCUGAACACUACUAUAUAAUAUAAGUGUGCCGUUGAUUUGCCUCCAAUUCGUGAAAGAAGAUUUGGCGAAGAUUGGAGAGAAAUUGAGAAUUUUGUAAAGUUUUGGAUGUUCAGUUUUCCUCGGCAGUUAACUAUCGAGGUUUUCUUCGGCAGUUAACUGCCGAAAUUUUGAAAAAUCCGGCUGCAGUUAACUGCCGAGGGAAACCUCGGGAGUUAACUGCCGAGGAUCUUAUGCGCUACAAAAUCUGGCAGAAUCUCCUCUCAUCCAUUAUUGAUCUUAUCUUCCAAAUAAUUUCUUCAAAUUUCUCUCAAAAUCUCUCUAAAAAACACAACCAAAUCCAACCAACUUUAUUCAACAAAAUCACAAGUAAGUAAUUAUAAUGCUAUUAACUUACAUUUUAGUUGUUAUAAAUGUUAUUAUUUUUUAGUUUUUGAGUACAUUUAUUAUUUUUUAGUAGAUUUACAUGUUAUAAUUAAUUUUUAGGGUAUAUGUUAGUUGAUUAAUGUUGUUAAAAUAUUUGCAUGAUGUUUAUGUUAUAUGAUUAAUUUUUUUAUUUUAGUAAGAGUAUAUGAUUUAUAAUUUUAGGAUUAUUUUUAUGAAUUUUAGAGUCUAUGUAUAAUGUGCACAUCAAGUGUUCGAUGAAAUGUUUGAAUGAGUUUUUGAUUGAUUGUUUUUAGUUUCUUAUUGUGUAGAUUUAAAACAAUGGCCAGGUGGAUCGACGUUCAUGCGCAAUUCAACGGCGGAGAACCUCAGAGGUUGAAGGUUCGGUGCCUUGGUGUAACGUUAAGAGGUCUCAAGGAUAAACUGACUGAAUUCAACCAAGGAGUCAACCCCAAAGAUACAAGGAUGGUGGAACACGUUUGGUAUAAACGUCCAACGCUCGACGAGGGGAGAGUAUCAUUCACUUGGGUGGAAUUAACGAAUGACGAAAACGUGACGACCAUGUUUUGGGAGCACAGCAUGUUCCAGUGGAUCGAUAUGCGGGUGAAGUUGGUUAGAUCAACUGAAGAUAUCAUCAAAAGUUUGAUUCCGCCGGAAGAUCGUCAUUAGUUAGGGUAAGGUGCAUUCCAACUACAACAAUUGUCUUCCUUUGAAUGAGAUCAAUUCAAACCUGCCAAACAACAGGACUCGAGCAUUUCGCUCGGCAUUCAUUUUUUUCCUUUGAAAAGAUUAAAUUCUUGUUAGGCUGAUUUAGAUGAAGGUAUUAAGUGUCAAGGAAUGAACCUCAUUUCGUUGGCACUUGAAUACCAUCAUCUAAAGCACGCCUAACAAAAAUUUAUUCUUUUCAAAGGAAAACAUGAAUGCCGGGUGAAAUGCUUGAGUCCUGUUGUUUUGCAGGUUUGAAUUUAUCCCAUUCAAAGGUAACAUAAUUGUUGGAGUUGGAAUGCACAUUCCAACUGCAACAAUUGUCUUACCCUGGAUGGGGCAAUUCAAACUUGCUAAUCGGCAGGACUCCAGUAUUCGAUGAGCAUCUUGAACAAUGGUAUUCAAGUGUCAAGGAAUGCACCUCAUUCUGUUGACACUUGAAUACCAGCGUUCAAGAUGCUAAUCGAAUACUGGUGUCAUGCUGCUUGGCAAGUUUGAAUUUGCCCCAUUCAGUGGUAAGAUGAUUGUUGCAGUUGGAAGGUAAAUUUCGGAAUGUAAUGUAAUAUGUAAUACAAUGUAAUGUGAUAACAUAUAUUUUGUUUUGAAUGGAACAAUAAUUAUCUUAUUUUGUUUUCAAAUUUAUUUAUUCCAAAUGCAAUUUUAUUAUAAGCACCAUAAUGUCAAACAAAAUGUGCGCGACACAAAAAUUAAACAUAAAAAAAUCCAAAACAAUUAGGCAUUAAAAGUCAUUACAUUUAUUCUUCCUCGUCACACAAAUCAAUUGGCUUGUCCGCUACAGUCCCUGCAGUACCUUGUUUUGGUCGAGGACCGAAAUAACAUGUCCUCUCGCUCCUCCUCAACCUCGAGUGAUUGUACACUGGCACCUUCGAACCCUUCUUUUUUUCAGAACCAUUGCAAACAAUUCCAUGCCACGUCAUAGGUGAUUUUUCUUUUUUCUUCUCAUCAUCGUGAACGUUACCCUGAUUCUGAUUCUGAGAUAUAUCUACAUUAAAAAAAAAAAUGGCGAUCAAUUCAACCUAUACUAACCUAAACUAUCCUAACAAUUCUAACCAUUCUAACCUAAACUAUCCUAACAUAUCAUAAAAUCAACAAAUCAAUAUAAUCGAAAUUUAACAAAAAAUAACAUACAAUUCGACCACAAAGCAACAAUACAAUAGAAUUCAAAAAACUUACUUGUUUUUGUUAUUAAAAUUGGCUUGUAAUGGCUUCAAAUGACUCAAAAUCGCACCUUGGAUAAUUAAAACGCAAACUUGGAGUUUUGGAAACUCCUAUGCAGUUCUGUUCUUAUAACAUUUUCCUCGGUAGUUAAAUGUCGAGGUUUUCCUCGGCAGUUAACUGCCGCCGACUUCCUAAAAACUUCGGCAGUUAACUGCCGAGGAGCAUUUGCGUAAUUUACUUGUGUGGCAUAGCCAAACUAAAUGUGAGAAAAGCAAUUCUCGAUAAACAAUGCCUAUGUUGUCAAAAAUAUCGGAUUAAAGCAAUGAGAGAAUACCAAAUCAGCUCAACCAUGCAAAAUCAACUCAUUUUGGACUUGAAAUACACAACAUGACAUUACAAUUCAAGAAUAAAAAAAAAGAAGUCUUUGCUUUGGUAGAGUAACAACAACAAACUAUUAAAACUUCAAACAAAGAAAAUAAAUAUUGUAAAAGAAAUAAAUGAGGAUAAUCAGAUAGUUUUUUUUUUUUUGGUUACGGAUAAUCAUAUAGUUAACUCAUCCAUAAAACAAAAUACUAGUAUUCAUACAAUUUAAAAAUUAGUUAAUUUCUAUAGUUCAAGAAAUAGAAUCUUAAAAAAUGACAAUGUUUUAUUAAAAGACAGAGACACAUGGUCAUAUGACCUGCCCCAUGAAGAAAAACAUGGACCUAUGCCUUACUUUGACAAUGUUUUAUUCUGUCGGCCACGUGAACGUUUGCUCACAAUUAUUGACCACCUACUUUUCUGACUUUCUACUUUCAUUGCAUUUAUUUUCAAAGGUCUCCAGCUUGGUUCAGCACUCAUUCUAUCUAAACUAAUUUCUCAUCUUCUUAUCUUUUCAACUCUUUAAUUUGUUUUCACAAAAACAAUGGCUGACGCUUUGCUUGGAUUUGUUUUUGAAAACUUGACGUCUCUCCUUCAAAAUGAAUUUUCUACCAUUUCUGGAAUCAAAUCAAAGGUUCAAAAGCUAUCAGACAACUUAGUUCACAUCAAGGCUGUUCUUGAAGAUGCUGAGAAGAAACAAUUCAAAGAACUCUCUAUUAAGCUAUGGUUACAAGACCUCAAAGAUGCUGUUUAUGUGCUCGAUGAUAUCCUUGAUGAGUACUCGAUCGAGUCUUUUCGACUGAGAGGAUUUACCUCUUUCAAACUAAAGAACAUCAUGUUUCGCCAUGAGAUUGGUAACAGGUUCAAAGAGAUUACAAGGAGGUUAGAUGAUAUUGCUGAAAGUAAGAACAAGUUUUCUCUACAGAUGGGUGGAACUCUUAGGGAAAUCCCAGAUCAAGUAGCUGAAGGGCGCCAAACCAGCUCCACCCCUCUUGAAUCAAAAGCGCUGGGAAGAGACAAUGAUAAAGAAAAGAUUGUCGAGUUUCUUCUCACCCAUGCGAAGGACUCUGACUUCAUUUCUGUCUAUCCCAUUGUUGGUUUAGGUGGUAUUGGAAAAACAACUCUUGUUCAAUUGAUCUACAAUGAUGUUAGGGUGAGUCGCAAUUUUGAUAAAAAAUUUUGGGUUUGUGUUUCUGAGACUUUCUCGGUCAAGAGGAUUUUGUGUUGUAUUAUAGAAUCUAUUACAUUAGAGAAGUGUCCUGACUUUGAGUUAGAUGUCUUGGAAAGAAAGCUGCAAGGAUUGUUGCAAGGGAAAAUAUAUUUGCUGAUUUUGGAUGAUGUGUGGAAUCAAAAUGAACAAUUGGAAUCUGGGUUAACACAAGAUAGAUGGGAUCGUUUAAAAUCUGUUUUGUCGUGUGGAUCAAAAGGUAGUUCCAUUUUAUUGUCCACCCGUGAUGAGGUUGUUGCAACUAUCAUGGGAACAUGGGAAACUCACCGUUUGUCUGGUCUCUCUGAUAGUGACUGUUGGUUGUUGUUCAAACAACAUGCAUUUAGACGUUACAAAGAGCAUACAAAGUUUGUGGAAAUAGGAAAGGAGAUAGCAAAGAAAUGUAAUGGAUUGCCACUUGCAGCAAAAGCAUUGGGGGGUUUGAUGAGCUCAAGGAAUGAAGAAAAUGAAUGGCUUGAUAUUAAAGACAGUGAGCUUUGGGCUUUACCACAAGAAAAUUCUAUUUUGCCUGCUUUGAGGCUGAGUUACUUUUAUUUAUCACCAACCCUAAAGCAAUGUUUCUCUUUUUGUGCUAUAUUUCCCAAGGAUAGAGAAAUCCUAAAAGAAGAAUUGAUUCGACUUUGGAUGGCUAAUGGAUUUAUUUCAUCUAUGGGUAAUUUGGACGUUGAAGAUGUUGGAAACAUGGUUUGGAAGGAAUUGUACCAAAAAUCAUUCUUCCAAGAUUGCAAGAUGGAUGAAUAUUCUGGAAACAUUUCUUUUAAAAUGCAUGAUCUUGUCCAUGAUCUCGCUCAAUCAGUAACGGGGAAAGAAUGUGUGUAUUUGGAGAAUGCAAACAUGACUAAUUUGACAAAAAACACACACCACAUAAGUUUUCACUCUGAAAAAUUGUUAUCAUUCGAUGAGGGUGCCUUCAAAAAAGUUGAAUCCUUACGAACAUUGUUUGACUUGGAGAAUUAUAUUGCAAAAAAACAUGAUCACUUCCCAUUAAACAGCUCUCUUCGAGUUUUAAGCACAUCCUUUCUACAGGUCCCAGUAUGGAGUUUAAUUCAUUUAAGGUAUUUGGAAAUUCAUUCUCUUGGCAUAAAAAAGUUGCCUGACUCAAUUUACAACUUACAAAAACUGGAAAUCUUGAAAAUAAAACACUGUAAUAAACUUAGUUGCCUUCCGAAACGCUUGGCUUGUUUACAAAAUCUUAGACAUAUAGUCAUUGAAGAAUGUCGAUCUUUGUCUCGAAUGUUUCCUAACAUUGGAAAAUUAACUUGUCUAAGAACAUUAAGUGUGUACAUUGUUAGUUUAGAGAAAGGGAAUAGCUUGACAGAGUUACGUGAUCUAAACCUCGGUGGAAAACUGAGUAUCAAAGGAUUAAACAAUGUUGGCAGUUUAUUUGAAGCUGAAGCGGCUAAUUUGAUGGGUAAAAAAGACCUUCAUGAAUUAUACUUGUCAUGGAAAGACAAACAAGGAAUUCCAAAGACCCCUGUUGUUAGUGCUGAGCAAGUACUCGAAGAGCUUCAACCUCACUCAAAUCUCAAAUGCUUGACAAUAAAUUACUAUGAAGGAUUAUCAUUACCAAGUUGGAUAAUUAUUCUUAGUAAUUUAGUUUCUCUUGUACUUCUCCAUUGCAAGAAAAUUGUGCGGCUUCCGUUACUUGGUAAACUACCAUCUCUAAAAAAACUGAGAUUAUAUGGUAUCAAUAAUCUGAAAUACUUGGAUGAUGAUGAAUCUGAGGAUGGUAUGGAGGUGAGGGUUUUCCCCUCUCUGGAGAUACUCGAAUUAUCUUGUCUACGAAACAUAGUGGGGUUAUUGAAAGUGGAAAGAGGGGAGAUGUUUCCUUCUCUUUCUAAAUUGGUAAUCGAUUGUUGCCCUAAACUUGGACUGCCAUGUCUUCCAUCUCUUAAAGACCUCUAUGUUUACCCUUAUUUGCCUCAUAUUCCAAAAAUAGAGUUAUAAGAAGCAGAGACGUUUACCCUUAUCUGCCUCAUUAGCCAUCACAAAAAUCAAUUUUACUGGUAGGAUCUCUAUUUACCCUUCUUAUGUUUGCAUUUCAACUGCUCAAAAAUCUUUAUUUUUAUUCUCGUUGUUGACUUCUUUGGAACGCAUCCCGCAGAAAGAGUACAUGAAAGAUAUUUUACUACUCAACCAACCUAAGGACAAUUGUUCUAAUUCAGGUAAUUUUCUUCAUCAUAAUUUUAUUUUUUUAAUUUUAUUUUUUGAACUUUUUUUAAAUUUUGCUGAUUUUGUGGAGAUUGAACUGAAUGGUUAGGAUUUCCUUUGACACACAAGGGUGGGGUCGACAAAUAAAGGGAUUAAUAGGUUCCUAAUGAUGAAGAUGACAUCGUUCGGAGUGGAGGAUGUGACAAUGAGUCCGGUGGUGGUAGAGGUUUUCGCUUUUGAUCAUUGGGGCGUGGGUCGGAGCUCUGUGCACAAUAGAAAGUCUGAUCAUCAAGGUUUUUAUUGGUCUUUACUCUUUUGUAUUUAUUUGCUUUAGAUUGUUUAUUUGAAUGAUAUAUUGUUUGAUAAUAAUUUGAAGAAAUGAAAGUUUUUGAAUGUAAUUAUAUGGGUUGGUGUCAUAUCAGUAUCUAAACAUCAGACAUGUCAUCAAUAUGAAGUGUUGGUGCUACAUUAAUUUGAAUAAUUUACAAACAGUGAAAUGGAAAUUUGAAUAUUGGUGAAUGAUUAUUGGGUGCAGAACAGUGAUCAUGGCAAAGGAUGCAAUUACUUUGUUGGGUCAUUUAGGUUGGAAAAAGGCUCAUGUUUUUGGGCAAUUAGCGGGUUAUUAUUUUGUGUGUGUGUUUCUCUGUCUUUGAUUUGAUUAGGUUGAGUUUAUUUGUGUGUUUAUUUUUAAAUAGUUUGCCUAUUGAAACAGGAUCUAUGAUAGCUUGUAAAAUAGCAGCAAUGGUUCCUGAUAGAGUUCUCUCCCUGACAGGAGAUUUUCAAUGUUUUCCAGAGGUAUAUCUCCCUUUUAUAAUUCUUUGAACAUUUUGAUUUAUUUUUACGGCACUGUGAUUAGAGCAUUGACGACGCAAUAUUUGUAAGACGUUAACUACAUCAAUGAUUGCUAGCCACACUUUUUAAUUACAAACUUAGCUCAUGACGAGUGGACCUGCAUACGUAAUAAGUAUAAUUUGUUGGUACAGAUUUUAGGUGAUCCUUUAGGACAAUUUUAGUUGAGAAUUUAUCUUUCUAUGGUUUUGAGUCAGAAUUUUGUUGAGAAUUUCAUAGUACUAAAAUUGUCUUGGUAUGUUAUUUGCUAAUUUUUAAAGAAUAUUGACGGCUGUUGAUUCAGACACUAAACUCUGUUGAUUCAUGCAUAUUUGAUUUCUAAGUAUUUCUCAAGACAGUUAUCUGGAAGAAGAUGUAUGCUAGUUUUAUCUCUUCCCUGCAUCUUCUUAUCCCCAAACUACUUUCUAAUUUAAAUUUCUAUAUGCAGGAAUCACUUACUUUCUCUGUUUUUGUAUGGAAUAUGUCUACGAGUAAAAUUAUUGUGAGAAUUGGGCCAUAUCUUUAGAAUUGACGCUGAGCUUGUUAAUGCAACAAAUCAAAAUUCUUGGUUCAAGCUAUUAGCCAGGUGUGUAUACAGCUCUUCAUUAGGAAGGUGUGUAUUUAGCUAUUUCAUGAUUCUAGUCGAGUCACUCAUGUUAUUUCAUUAUGUUUGUGUCAGAUAUGUUGUGGAAUGCUGCUGACUUGCAGCCAUGUUUGUGUCGGACAAUUUUAUUUAUCAAGUUGUGUUGUGUCCACUGCUUUUCCUGAAAGCAAGAGGAUGCUUCAGCUGAACCACAGAAUCUAUAAGAGGUGAUGAUUUUGGAUGAUAUGAAUGAGAAAUCAACCGUUUAAUUUGAUAACAAAGUGAAUUUUACAUCUUUUAACUCUUUAUAUUUUAGUAUAUUAGCAUUAGUCAUAUCACUUACAGAGAGCAUCUCCUGUGAAACUGAACAGGUGACACUUAUUUCGCUUUGAACUAUGGAUAUUGUUGAAUGUGAGGAAUUGAGAUCCCUGCCAUAAGGUAUUUGACACCUCACUUCACUUGAGUUUUUGAAUAUUCGUGGUUACCCAUAAGGAAUUGAAGACAUUUUUUAAGAGACUUGAUUUAUGUGAACCUUGUGAUUUUGUCUGAGACGAAAUCGAUUAAAAUUGUCAACCUUAUGGGUCAGAUUAUCGUUAUCGCGUUUCCACUUCCAUUGAUGCUGGUAUUGAUAAGAUAUAGAUCUUCAUUCCUAUAGUAUUAAUUUUAACAUAUACUACUAGAUUUCAAUUUGAUUUCAUGUAUUCAUGAAAAUAUGCAGGUGAUGGUCCUUCAUUUAUGAAAUAGCCCUUUCAUGUAUAAUAUAUUUAUGAAAGAGUCGGAGUUUCAUGUUCGAUCACGGGAAACACCAAUAUUAGGAAUGAAGUUUGCUGCUGAAGAUUUCAAUUUCCUUUAACUGAUAGCUCUUUGCUGGUUAUGGUUAAUUUCAAGGUAAGGCAUAGUUCAUAUCUUAGUGAAUACUUUAACAUGAAUUUUCUGCCUCGUCAAACUAAUUUAUUUUAACAUACAUGUCGAAACUUUAGUUGGCUUUCUUUUUAUUGCAUGCUUCAACAAAGUAAUACUCUUUCCACCUCCUUGUGGUUAGAGUUGGUUUUCAGGACUUUAUAAUGCUAAUUACCUUCACAUAUCAUUUUUUAACCAAACAUAUUUAAAAUUCCAUCCUUAUAGCAAAGAAAAAAAUAGUAUAUUGUAUAUGUAUGGUAAGAUUUUAUAAAGGAAUUGAGUGUAUUUUGGUCAUACAUACAGGCAAGGGACUGAAUGUAUUUUGGCCUGAAAAAUCAAUCUCCAAAGAAGGCAGUGAACAAUGGUGAUCCAACACAAUAGCCGAACUUAAUUCCAACUAAUAACAGAUGUUGAAAGAGUUAUAUAUAGCUUCGCCUAAGCCUCAGGAGGCUGUCCUUGAUUUUACGAUAUCUACUAGUAGUAAUGUUGCUGAAAUAAGGGAUUCUUUGUAUUAAUCUCUUUCCCAUUCCUCUAGUGUAGUUUUUUGUUGGUGAGCUUAUAAUCAGACAUUUUGUGCCUUGGUUGUACCAAACAAUGUACAUACAUUUUUUAUUUAAAAGGGACAAAUACUUUUUUGAAUUCAUACUUAAUCAAGUAACUACGAGAUAUUUUUGUCAUUUAUAAAAUUCACUUGUCAACAGAAAUGUAACCAGACAAAGAAUUCAAUAAACAUGGCACAAGUUAUCAUCAGCACACAUGAAUGAUCCUUAAGAAGGGACUUCAGCUUGAGGAUAUGUAAUAUAAUAAUAUUGAUUUCCUUCACAAAUUAGCUUCCACUGAAUAUAUUUAAGAACUCAUCCUUGUUUUAUUUCAAAUUCUUGUUUCUUAUCUGUUCAGUAAGUGAACUUGUUAUAAAUAUCCGUGUCUGGGGAGUUUGUUUAUAAUAUUUCAUGAUAAGAACUAGGAUUCGACAUAAAACAAAGUCAAUAGAAUUCUCGAUCUCUCAAACUCUGAAAUGCUUAUUAUUUUAAUGAUUCUAGCUAGAGCAAAGUGAUUGUGCCUGAGUCAAACACAUCUGAUGUGAAGGGUGGUUGUGCAUGAGUCGAACGCAUCUGAUGUGAAAAUGGGAAAUAUUAGUGAAUAUACACUAUCGGCGUAAAAUUGGUUUGCAUUAACGUUCAGAUAGAGCUCACUGUUUUCAUGUUUUGCCAAGCUAUGUUUUCAUCUCUACAAUGCAAUUGUAUAAUUCUUCUUUUCCGCCAUGCCCCCCUCGGCCUCAUCAUCGAACUUAGUUGAUUCUCCAAAUUAUUAAAAUCAAACCACCAUAGAAUACCAAUAUAUUAAGCAAGGUUCCCUAAUUAUCCUGGUUUAUGCACAAUUUAUCUGGCGCCGAUAUUUGUUGGUGCACUCUCCCUCUCUUUUUCUUCUUUGUUAAACUGUGUGAUUACUUGUAAUAUUAGAUAGCUUGCGCAGCAGGUUACUCUGCCAUUCCAUAGAUCUUUACUGUGUACUAGCAUCAUAUGAUUCUAAUCCUAGAUAAUAGUUUGUUAGAGUUAGUUAGGAUCAUAUACAGCUUUAUAUUAGCUUUGUUGUAACCAAUUUCAGAUCAAUUCAUAGAAUAAAACCUAAAUAGGAUUAGAAGAAAACCUUUGUAUAAUCUAAAGACAAUAUACACAAAUAAUAAUAUUGGAGUUGUGAACCUAAAGGAUACAAAUAGAAAAGGAAAAAAAAAGAGCUGAAAUGGUUGAUAACAACACUUAGAAUAAUUCUGGCAAUGUUAAUGACAUGUCUUAGGCUAGUGGAACAACUAACUUGGAACAUAGUAUCGAUGCUAACACUAUUCAUGAUCACUAACUUAGUCAAUUAAAACAUCAACCAGAUUCUCACCAUGCUCCCUAGCAAUGUUGAAAUCUUUAAUGCCGUCCAUUCUCUUAACAAGGGCUCUGAUGGAUUUGGAGCAUUUUCCUUUCAAACUUAUUGGAAAUUAUUAAACUGGAGGUUAUAAAUGUUGUUAUGCAAUUCCUCUCAAAUGGACGGCUUCUUCCUAAUUUUAAUCCAAAAACUAUUGUUUUGACCCCAAAGGUCCCUAAUGCUGAUAAUGUGAAUCAAUUUAGGUCUAGAGCAUUAGCCAACUUCAAGUUCAAAUUCAUUACAAAAAUCAAUGCUAGAAGAUUAACUUAGAUCAUGCCAUUAUAAAAAAUAUGUUUGAAUUACAAAGCUAUAUAUAGAUUUGUCAAUGUUUGAAAGGUCUUGGCCUAGUCUCCCUUUCUGUUUGUUUUCUUUCCUUUCUUUGAAUAUAACGUAACUAUGUGAUACACUUAGAGCAUCACCAUUUAUAAAAACAAAAAAAAUAUAUUGGCAUUUGCCAAAUAUUUUGAUACUUUAGACUGGCACUUUCUAAUAAGGAUUCUCAAAGCUUUUGAUUUAAACUGUACUUUUUGCAAUUGGAUAAAUUGUAGUCUCAAAUCAACAAUGCUUUCUAUGUUGUGAAUGGCAAACAAGAAGUCUACUUUUCUUUUAAGAUACGGGAUAGACAGAGAGACCCCAUCUCCCAUUUACUUUCAUGUCGUAAUAAAGAAGUCAUCAGUGUAACAUCUAAGACUGUUUUUAGGAUUGGCGAUUGACCCCACAAAUUAAUACGAGUCUUUUUAGUAUGUUUUGUUCUCUCUCGCACGCUUUUCAAGAAACUUUUUAGAAUGUCACCCGUCCCAAAAUUGCUCCAAGUUGAGCACGCUUAAUUGUGGAGUUCUUAUGGUUUGACCUACCGAAAAGAAGAUGCAUCUUGUUUUUAUAGGUAGUACCAAACAAUUCAUAUAAGCCUUCCUUCAACAAUGAUGUCCCAUACUUGCACAACCUCAGGAUCCCUCUCAUUCUGAUGUGAUUCGGUUUUGCCAAUAAGCGUGUCAGGAGUCGGACCACUACAUGCCCUUGUCAGUCUCGGACGUUACAUGCCCACCAAGUGGAGGCGUUACAUUCUCAACUGCUUCCGCUUGGUUCAUCCCCGAACCACAUCAAACUGGAGAGGUCUACUUUGAUACCACGUGUAACAUCCCAGACUGCUUUCAAGAUUGUCGAUUGACUCCACAAACCAACAGGAGUCUUUUCAGCGUGUUUUGUCCUCGCUCGCACGCUUUUCGGAAAGCUUUCAAGAAAGUCAUCCAUCCCAAAAUUGUUCCAAGUCAAGCACGAUUAACUGUAGAGUUCUUAUUGUUUAGGCUAAAACAAUUUAUAUCUUGUAUUUAUAGGUAGUAUAAAACAAUUUAUAGAAAAACGACACACAUAAAAAAUAUUAAUUUACUUCUUAUUGUAGUGCAUUAGUAUUAUUUUAUAGUGAUAUUCUAGUUUUUCUUAUCUUCUAAAAUCCAACAAGACGUGGAGGCUAUUAAAACUAAUUUUUUUAUUUUUUAAGCCAAAUAGGGAAUAUACUCCCUCCGUUUCAUAAUACUUGUCCAUUUUAGAGAAUAAUUUUGUUUCACAAUACUUGUCACUUUCAAGUUUCAAUGCAACAUUAGUUAUUGUCUUGUCAAUAAUACCCUUGCAUAUUUAUUGUAGAGAGAGAAAAAAAUAAAAUGAAAUAAUAGAUGAUUAAGGGUAUUAUAAAAAACACACACAUAUUUUCAUCAAAAAUAACAAAAUUUAUUUGGUUUCUUGGUUAGUGCAAUUUCUCCAAAAUGGACAUGUAUUUUGAAACGGAGGGAGUAAUAAAUAAAAAGGAAGACAUACAAAGACUGGGGCAUAGGACCUGACCCAGGGACAACCCAAACGGGGAUACAACAUGAUAAAUUAGUCUAGGAGGAUCAACUCUAAAUUAUCCUAACAUAAAUUCACUAAAUACGAGCGCUACCCAACGAAUCCGCGUACAGGUGCAAAACUAGGUUAAAAAAAGAAUGAAAAGUGAAAAUCCGCACAGGACAUCUAGAGAAUGAAAAAUAGGCUAUUAAAACUAAUUAAAAUGUAAGAGUAAUAUAAAAUUUGAAGUGUUUCUCAUAUCUUCUAAAACCCAACAAGACAUCUAAAUUAUUAUUUAUUAUGACAUCAAAAUAAAAAUAAAGACUAUGAAGUAAGGUAAAAUUUAUUUAUCAACCUAACUCUUAAAGUUAUUCUUAUAAGGCUGAUAUGCCUAAAUUGUAUAACAUGAUGAUACCUUCAAAAUUAAUGGAGAAGAGGACAAUCAAAAUAAUAAUCUUUAUUGACUUAAAGUAAGUUUUUUUUUUUUUUUUUUUUUUUUUUACAAUAAAGUAAGCUUAUUACAGUAGAACACUAUAACUACAAGUUUCAUCAAAUUAAAAAAAUAAAGGAAAAUGUUAACUUGUGUCUUUAAGGCACAAACUAAUGAAACAAAUAUAGAAAUAGUUUAUUGAAAUGUGUGCAUUACAUUUAAUUUUUAAUUUUUUAAUGAGUUGAAUGCACAAAAUUUUAUACUCCCUCCGUCCCUUAAUAAGUGACACAGUUGACCCAAUUACGCAUACCAAUGCGUAAAUUUGAGUUUAAAUAUCUUGAAUAAUAUAUUGGAAAAAAUUAUGAAAAUUUGAUAUUUUGAAAAUACUCAUCGAGACGAAUCUAACGACAUCUUAUAUGAUAUUAUUUAUCUUUGUAUAUUAAUAGAAAAAUAUGGUCAAAAUAAGUUAGGUCAAAAUUGCACAUUUUCAAAUAUGUCAUUUAUUGCGGGAUGGAGGGAGUAAAAUAUUUCUUUUUUAAAGUUUUAAUGGUCCGAAACUAAUAGAAUCGUAAGUGCGCUGCUACCAAUUCACAUUUGUGAUUAAUGCAUUUAUAAAUAUAAAACAAGUUCCCACUUUUUGGACAAUCAGCAUCAAUUUGACAUUCAUCACUUGCUGUAAUAAGAAGAAAAAAAGUCAAGAAAAUAAUGUUACUACAUGAUUGUGUACGAGCCACAAAGUAAAAAAAGAAAUUUGAAAAGAAUAAAAGGAAUGGCUUACCAACACCAAAUUUCGUUGCGAUGAGAAAUAAGGAAAUAAAUAGAAUCCUGACACAAACAAACUUAAGAAUUUGAACCAUAUUUUAUCUUGUUUGAGUGUAAAAAAUAGAAAAUGAUUUGGUCUAUUUAUAAUUUUCCUGCUCUCUAAAAUAAUGAAAUAUUUUUAGCACUUACAAAGUUGAAACCGUCGUUCAUAAUAUUAUGAUCAUUAUUAAAUAUUUAUUAAGUAUAUCAAUGUGUUGUGUUUGUUCUUUUAGCACACUUAAGGUGAGUCAAAUAACAAAAUUACUAAUCAUUAAAAUUCAUUCUUUAUAUUUAACUUUUAUUUACUUUUUUUAAAGUUAAAAGUUUUUUUUUUUUAAGAAGCUAAAAUGAAUUAUAUUACCACCUCAAAAGAGUCUUUCCUAGCACAAGACGUACUAAGGAAAAAACAACAAUGUCCUAUUACAAUCUCCAGUACAAAGCUAAAGAUAAAAGAGAAGAAACAUUAGCCUAUGCCCAUAAUAGUAAACGGGCUAAUCCACCACCCGUGGUAAUUGAGGGGAAGAGAGGAAUACUUCGCCUUCAACCACGUAAAGGCAAGCGACUUAAUAUUGUCUACCACCUGAUUAACCGAGCAUUCUUUGACAUUAAACAGCAUAUUGUUUCUUUCCUUCCAAAUUUCCCAAACAACUGCAUACCAAAUAACCUGAAGAAUAGAGCGAUGUGCCUUUGUGAAACCACCACCCAAACUAAACUGGUUAAAAUGAUCGGACACCUGAAAAGGGGAAGCCACGGACAAGCCUAACCACCUAUGAAUAAAGUGCCAUACAGAACCAAAAAAAUUACAAUGUAAGAACAAAUGAUUUGAAGUUUCCAGAGAGCCACAACCAGCGACACAAAGCCUGGAAGUUUGGUUAAUAACACCACGACGGAACAAAUUAUCUUUUGUGGGCAAUCUAUCUCGAAACAACCGCCACGCAAAGAGCACCACCUUCAACGGAAUGUCUCUAUGCCACAAAAAACAAGCAUCCACUGAAAGCACUAAAGGAGGUUGAAGAGUAAGAUAGUUAUAGGCACUUCGGACAGUGAAGACACCUGAAGAUUCUAACGUCCAAAGCCAUUUAUCAACCUUCGCAACCUGUAAAUUCACAUUCUGAAGCAAUAAUAUUAGAUCCCCGAAUAACCCUUCCUCCCAUACAAACAACCUCCGCCUCCAUGUCCACGCCUCACCGCCUACCCCCCAACCUAAAUGACACAUAUCAAACACCGAGUUCCCCUUAAACACCGAUAAUUCAUAUAGUCUAUUAAACCUGACCCUAAACUCCUCUCCACCACACCAAACGUCCGACCAAAAAAGAGUAUUCUCCCCAUUACCUACCGCCCUCCUGACGUGGUUAGUGAACCACUCCUCCCUAUAUAUUGCGUAAACAUCAUGCCACCACAACGAAGCCUCGCGGCCUCCUCCCAACAGCCUCCCUCCCUCCAACCCAUACCUCGCUACCAACACCCUAAACCACAAAUUGACAUUAUCCUCCAACAACCUCCAACACCAUUUCCCUAACAACGCUAAAUUAAACUCCCUAAUUCUCCUUACCCCCAAACCACCAACCUCCUUACCACGACAAAUAGUGUUCCAAUCCACCCAAGAUAUUUUCCUGUGGUCAUCACCCCCCCCCCCCCCCCCCCCCCCCCCCAAAAAAAAAAAAAAACAAUUUAAAAUAGAUUCGAAAGAGGAUACGAUACCUGACAAACAAAGUUUUCUUUUAGACCAUCGUAAUAUUAUUAUUUUGGAAUAAUAUACAUAAUUGGAGAUGAGAAAUAAGUAGAGUGUAUUGUAGGAUCAACUUUUAUUGUUGAUAAAAUCGUUGAAUUAAAAAAAACACCUUUCCUUGAUUUAAAAAAUUGAUGUGUAUUUUAUAGAACUUUUUUUAUUCAAUAAUAUUUAAGGUUCAAAAACUCAACCUAAAAGUAGUGGUUUAGGGACAACCUAAAUGCAGAUGACAUUUAUUUGUAAGAACAAUUAAAAGUAAUAAAAUUUCAGCGUCUAACAACAUCAUAUAUAUAUAUAUAUAUAUAUAUAUAUAUAUAUAUAUAUGGGUUUUGCUAGAAGACAACUUUUAUCAUCGGCGGAGCUAGGAAAAAAGUAUAGGAUGGGCUAUAAAUAGUGAUGGGGCUUAAUUUUCUUACAGGUACAUUUUAUCAUUGGUUAGUUUCAAUGACUACAAAUUUGUUAUUUGUUGAAUAUAAUUCAAACCGGUAUUUUAAAAUCUGAACCGUUUAUCAACCUUGAUAAAGUACAAGAUAAUUGAUCGAACAACUAGGUCAUUAAACCUAACGACUGAAUUAAAUGACUCAACUUCAAUAAACAGAUGUAUAGGUAUUAAAUCGAAUUGAAUCAAACGACUGAGUAAAAAGAAAAACUCAUGACAUAUGUAUAUUAAUGUAAAAAAGAUCAUUACAUAAGAAAAUAUACUUAUAAUCAAGUACAAUAAUGAAAUCAUAUUGUCCUUGCCUCAAUUAUUUUUAUGAUUUCUAACAAAUUCUAUUUUAUUUUAUUUAUGAUUUCUAAAAAUUAUUUUUAUUUUUUAGAAAAUAGGAAUGAAUCAUAUUUAAACUAAGAUCAAUAUGAUAUCUGAAGUAAGAAAUGAUGUUAGUGAUUGGCCCUUGCCUCAAGUCACUAACGUUGAUGAAUGGGUUCCUUUUGAAGGGCAACUAUUUGAAGAUAAUGAAUAUGUAAAUUCUUUAACAUUUCAAGAGCUACAACAUGAACCCUUGCCUCAAGUCAACAACAUUGAUGAGGGGGUUCCUUUUGAAGGGCAAGUAUUUGAAAGUGAUAAUGUUGCUUAUGAAUUUUAUUGUUUAUUUGCAAAACAAAAUGGAUUUUCUAUUAGGCGUGAUCACAUUUAUAAAUCUAGUAAAAAUGUGUCUGAAGAGAAUCCAUCGGGUGUUUAUAAGAGGGAAUUUGUUUGUCAUCGUGGUGGUAUUGUUAAACCACGCAAAACUGUUGAAGUGGAAAAUCAAAGGAAACGAAAAUCUUCAAGAUGUGAUUAUGGUGCAAAGAUGGUAGUUAAUAAGAGAACAAUUGUCUUUGAGAAAAAAUGGGUGGUUAAAUAUUUCAACAAUUCUCACAACCACGAGUUAUUGGAUAACAAAGAGGUUCGAUUUCUUCCUGCUUAUCGUAACAUUCCAAUUGUUGAUCAAGAUCACAUACUAUUAUUAUCUAAAGUUGGUUGCUCUGUAAGUAUUAUAAUGAGAGUGCUUGAGUUAGAGAAAAGAACGGGCACAGGAAAUUUACCAUUCUUAGAAAAAGAUAUUAGAAAUUUUAUUCAGUCAUAUAGUGGUAUUGGUAAAGAAAGUGAUGCUGCAGAUGUUCUCAGAUUGUGCAAAAGUUUGAAAGAUCGAGAGGAGGCCUUCCAAGUUGAAUUCACAAUUGAUGAAAGUAACAAAUUGGAGCAUAUUGUUUGGGCAUUUGGUGAUUCAAUUCGCGCAUACGAAGCUUUUGGAGAUGUUGUAGUUUUUGAUACCACAUAUAGAAUAAACCGUUAUGGGAUGCCUCUUGGAAUAUGGGUUGGUGUUGAUAAUCAUGGAAAUUCAAUUUUUUUUGGUUGCGUUCUAUUGCGAAAUGAGAAGAUUUCUUCCUUCGAAUGGGCUAUAAAGGUAAAUUUCUAUUUACUCAAAGUUGUUAUCACUGUUAAAUUUUUAAAUUUGAAACUUUAUUAAAUUAAUUUAGAUUUAUGUUACAAUUUUCAGAGUUUCCUAGCUUUUGUGAAAGGAAAAUAUCCAAAAACAAUUCUUACCGAUCAAGAUCUUUCAAUUAAAGAAGCCAUUGCAACGAAAUUGCCAAACACAAAACAUGCAUUUUGUAUAUGGCAUAUUGUCGCAAAGCUGUCAAGUUGGUUUUCUUUUCCACUAGGUUCGAGAUAUGAUGACUUUAAACAUGAGUUUCAUAAGGUAUAUCAUUUAGAAUGUGCAGAUGAUUUUGAACGAGAAUGGAAAAUAAUGGUCUCACAGUUUGGUUUGGGCGUGGAUAAGCAUAUUGACUUGCUCUUUUCCCAUCGUAAAUUUUGGGCCUUAGCUUAUUUGAAGGACUUUUUUUUUGCUGGAAUGACAACAACAGGACGCUCAGAAUCGAUAAAUUCAUAUAUAAAAAGAUUCUUAGAUGCCAACAACAGGACGCUCAGAAUCGAUAAAUUGUUAUAUUUUUGUGUAGGUUGGUGUUGCUGUCAAAAUUAGAAAUCAAGCUGGAGAAUAGGCACGAAUGCGUCAAAAGUAUCAUAAUCCUCAUAUUACAACACAUUUUCCUAUUGAAGAACAUGCCUCGUCUAUACUCACACCUUAUGCCUUUAAGUUGCUUCAAUAUGAGAUCGAAUUAUCCGCAAAGUAUGAAGCAAUUGAAGCUGACAAUGGCUCUUAUGUUGUGCAACAUCAUACCAAAGUUGAUGGUGGUCGUAUAGUAAGUUUGAUAACAGAAGAAGAGUCAAUUCAUUGUUCUUGUAAAGAGUUUCAAUUUUCAGGAAUACUAUGUAGACAUGCAAUUCGAGUGCUAAUGUUGAAAAAUUAUUUUGUUCUUCCAUCAACAUAUCUUCCUUUUUGACGGAGACGAGAAAGUUCAUUGAUCCCAAAAUCUAGUCAUGUGAUUAACUGCAAUGAUGUAUCCUCUGCCAAAUUUCAAUCUCUAAUUCGAUGUUUGGAAGUCGAAUCAUUAAAGACAAGUGAACGAGAACAGGUUUCUACAAGAGAGUUAGAAAAUAUCAUCAUAAAGAUAAAAGGCAUGCCUGAAACUCAAGAACAUGUGAUUGAUUUGGAAGCGGAUGUUUCCAACAAUGACGACUACGACGUUGAAAAUCCUGUUGUUUCAAAAACAAAAGGUCGGCCAAAAGGAUCAAGACCAAAAGGAGGGGUUGAAGCUGCCAAGAAGCCUCGUCGUUGUCAUGUUCCAGAUUGUGGUGGAACUAAUCAUGACUCACGAAACUGUCCAAACAAAAAGAGAAAAAUGGAAGUAUUGCCUUCUCAAUCUCCUAAUAAGUAAGUUUUAAUUGGUGUGUCUUGUUCUACUCAUGACUAAUAUAUUAAAUUAAUGUUGACUGAAUUUUUAUGGUGCUUUGAUAGGAUCAUGAAGGGUUGGAAGUAGUCAUCUUGAAAUAGUGAAUUUGACAGAUGAAGCAGCCAAAUAGUUUAGAUCAAACCGUGUAAUUAGUGAAUUUUGUGGCUGCAAUCUGUAAGAUCAAACUAGCAGUAUAUUUUGUAGGAUUAUUAUGAUCAAAUUGUAUAAUUACUAGUAUAUUUUGUACCAGUAUAUAGCCUGUGUUUUGUUCCAGUUCGCCCAAUCUUUCUCUUCUUGAGAGGUCCUGUUUGGCUUAAUAUAUUAUUGCACAUUAUUAUGAUUAUGUGAAAUGUUGAUGUUAAUUAUUGAACAUCAAAUUGGUUAUUAAAAGUCAAAGAGUCUAAAAAAAAAAAAAAAAGUAAAAGAUCAAACUAGCAAUAUAUUUCUGUGAAAUAUAUUAUUGCAUAUUAUUGCACCUCUUAAAAAAGAAGUAAAAGAUCCAAUGAAAAAAUGUGUUCUCUUUUUGACAAACACAUUGGUUGUAGGAAGAGAGAGAAAAUGAUGAUUUCUAGGUGAAUGGGAAAUGACUUUAAAGGACGUGUAUUAUAUCAUUAUUGAAGAACAAUCUAAAUUUCCUUUGAUUUACAUGAUUGUGAAUUAAUUUGUAUUAGGAGAAGUGAAUCAAUCUAAAUUAAAUCAUUUGUAUUAUAUCAUUACGGAGGGAGUAACUAGUGGUUUAAUGACAAUCUAAAUUUCCUUUGAACAACCCCACAAACAACUUGAACCGUUUUUUUUUUUUUUUUUUUUUUUUUUUUGUCAAUUAACAACUUCAAAAUUUUAUUUCUUAAAAUACUCACAUUGAAAUAAUUAUUUUAUCCACGUUGGGUUUUGAUAAGGUAUAUAAUACAAUGAUAAGGUAAUUAUUUUAUUCAUAUUAAAUAAAAUAUUACCUCAAGAAAGAAAAAAAAGUUCAUGAUUGGUAAAUAUAUAUGUUUGGAUUGAUGAAAAUGCAAGUAGUAAAAUCUAAAGAUUCUCUACCCUAUGGUAUAAGUUACUACUAUAUAAGGCAAACUAUACUUCUCUCAAAAAAAUUAAAAAGGCAAACUAUACUAGCGAUAAAUUUACGUUAAAAUGACCCUCUUUUAAUUCAUAUAUAGGAAAAUGAAUUGAAAUUUUUUUCGCGGACAACGGUGGUAUUUUUUCCAAUUUUGGUGAAAACACUCUACAUUUUUUUUUUAUUGAUAAACGAAAUAACAAGAACUAUUGAAAACUCACGUAAAUGGAGGAGUCUAGUUCAAACCUCGACCACCAUAUCCAACAUAACAAUUUUAGUAUUUUAGAACUAUGACUUAUGUACAAAACACUACAUUUUAAAUAGAGAUUACUUCUUUAAAACUCAUCUCAAACAUGUUUUAUUGGAGCGACCGAGCGUGGGUCACCUUCAGUUUAGGAAACUCUCCCUUUUUGAGAGGGGCGGGUUGGUUAAACCCUUUUCUGAGGAUGAGAUUAAGGCGGCUGUGUGGGAUUGUGAUAGUUUUAAGAGUCCGGACCCUGAUGGGAUCAACUUGGGUUUUUUUAAGUCCUUUUGGCCUGAGUUGAAAACAGAUCUUGUGCGCUUUGUGACCGAAAUCCAUAGGAAUGGGAAAUUAACGAAAGGCAUAAAUUCUACAUUCAUAACCCUUAUUCCUAAAGUUGCUAGCCCACAAUCUUUGAAUGAGUUCCGCCCUAUUUCUUUGGUGGGGAGCUUGUACAAAAUUUGGUUAAUGCAACCUCAUCAUUUUAGGUGCAUUUCCCAUUUUACCCUACACCAUUUUUUUAAUUAUUUUAUUAUUUUUAUAUUUUUAAUAACUUUUACAAUUUUUAUUUUUUUAACUAUUUUUCAAUUUGUUCACCCAAAUUCAGUUGCUUCUAAAUUGCCGUUGUGGGAGAGUAAGAUAUCGCUUGAUUCGGGUUUUUUCCAACUUCUCUACAUUUUUAAGGAGAAGUUAGAUCAAACACACUAUCAAUUAUUUUAAUUUCAAUAUUGUUUAAUCAUCACAACCUCACAAAUAUUUUUAUUCACACUGUCAUUUAAUGAUACCAAAUACUAUUAUUUCCUUUCUUCAACCUCACAAAUAUUUACACACACAUUAAUGUUUAGAGUAAUAUUUUAUGUCCGUCUGUGUUUUUGUUAAGCUAAUGCAUAUAAUUUUUUUUAGUGUUGCUUGGUUGAGUGCUACCUCACCGAUUUGUUUUAACUAUUUUCCAAUUUUUAUACUUUUAAAUACUUUUAACUAUUUUCCAAUUUUUCCUCCCAAAUCCAGUUGUUUCUACACUGCCAUUGUGGGAGAUUAAGAUAUCGUUUGACCCGGUUUUUUUUUUUACUUCUCAACAUUUUUAAAAAGAAGUAAGGUCAAACACAAUAUCAAUUAAGUACUUGAUGAGUCAUUUAUUGACUAUUUUAAUAUGCUUUUUAGUUUAGUUUUAUUUAGAUUUUAUAUAAUUUUAUAUUAGUAUUAUUUCCUUUUUACGAUAGUUUACUUUAAAUUGCAUUUUAUUAUAUUUCAGGAAAGAAUAUUGGAUGGAUUGAGUCUUGGAGCAAAAGAAAGAGACUUGGAGCCGAUUGGACACAAAAAAUAUGAAGAUUGAGAGACAAAAUAUGUCUCCCACAAGUCAGAAGCCUAGCACGGCCCAUGCUAGCCUUGGCACGGCCGUGCCACCCUCCAGAGUGCCUUUUGCUGCUUUUGCUUAGAUUUUAAGCUACUCUAUUUUUGGCCCAAAUGUAAUAGCUUAGAUUUUAAGUCGAUCAAAUGCUAUAAAUAGAGUAGCCAUCCAUCACAAAUAUUCAUCUUUUCUUAGAAUGCAAUAUGUGACAAUUGUCUUUCUAAUAAAAGUUCAUUUACUUUAUUGUUAUUUACUUUUAUGCUUUCUCUCUUCUUCUCCUUGUCUACGAUAAACAUUAGUGAGUAGACUUCUCUUGUCUUGGGAUUGUUGGAUAAGCCUAAUGACAUAAUCCUAAUCAAACAAAGCUUUAAACCUUAAUCUUAUGUAACCCUAAUUCCUUAUCUAAAUUCACCGCUUUAACAUGGAUCAACCAUUAUCAAACUGUGGAAACGAAAGUGGAGGGUUUGAUAAUUGUUUAUCCAUCAUCUUAAAUAUCAAUUCAUAAAACGAAAGUGGAGCUUUGAUAUUCGAACAAGUGAAUUCAGACAAGGAUUGCAAAGUCAGCGAAAUAGGCUUUGCAAUCUUUGAGACAUAUAGUUUCGAUCUUCAAGGGAACUGAUAAUAAUCAAGUCAGCGAAAUAGGCUUGGUUGUUAGAGGAACCAAAAUCUAAUAGUAAUCAAGUCAGCGAAAUAGGCUUGGUUGCUAGAGGAACAUAAGAGAAACUGUCUUGAGAAAUUAGGUCUAACAUAACAUUAUAAGCUUAUAGUUUUGGUUUGAGAAGGACUUGUCAUUUAGAGGAAACCAACGAUCCCAAGGCUCUUUUUAUUAUUAUUAUUUUCUUCCAAACGCUUGAAAACCCCCAACUUACAAUUCUCUCCUCUCUUCUAAUCAUCUCUAAAAAGUUAAUUGAAUUGAACUACUCCCUGUCGGAACGAUACUCUUUUAUACUACUUCGGUAAGACCGUGCACUUGCGGUUUUAUCUCAUCAAGUUUUUGGUGCCGCUGCCGGGGAGUAAACUAAUUUGAUUAACUCUUUCCUUGUGAUUAGAACUCUCUUCUCUUCCUUUUUUUUUCUUCUACUUCUUUUGGCGAAAAUUCUAGCAAACAAGUUGAGGCAGGUUAUUGGAAGUGUUGUGUCGGAAACUCAGUCUGCUUUUGUGAAGGAUAGACAAAUUCUUGAUGGUAUCUUGAUCGCGAAUGAGGUGGUUGAUGAGGCAAGGAAAACUAAGAAAGACCUUUUGUUGUUCAAAGUGGAUUUCGAGAAGGCGUAUGAUUUUGUAGAUUGGGGGUACCUUGAUGAGGUGAUGGGGAGUAUGUCGUUUCCGACGGUGUGGCGAAAUUGGAUUAAAGAAUGUGUUGGUACUGCUACUGCCUCAGUUCUUGUGAAUGGAAGUCCUACUGAUGAGUUUUUUCUUGAACCGGGAUUACGUCAAGGUGAUCCUAUAUCUCCUUUUUUAUUUUUAUUGGCAGCAAAAGGUUUGAAUGUGUUGAUGAAAGCGUUGGUAGACACAGAUCUAUUUACGGGGUAUAGAGUGGGGAGAGAGAAUUCAGUGGUUGUGUCACAUUUACAGUUUGCUGAUGAUACGCUUCUUAUUGGGAACAAAAGUUGGGCUAAUGUGCGGGCGUUGAGGGCUGGUCUCGUCUUGUUUGAAGCUAUGUCGGGAUUGAAAGUUAAUUUUCACAAGAGUUCACUGGUAGGGGUUAAUAUUAAUGAUUCGCGGCUGUCAGAAGCGGCUUCUGUGUUGGGGUGCAAAGUAGGUAAAAUCCCGUUUCUCUAUUUGGGGCUCUCGAUUGGGGGCGAUCCGCGUCGACUUUUGUUUUGGGAACCUGUGGUGGAUCGUAUUAAAUCUAGAUUGUCUGGUUGGAAAAGUCGGUUCCUAUCUUUCGGUGGUCGUUUGAUUCUACUAAAGUCCGUCCUGACUGCUCUACCUGUCUAUGCACUUUCCUUCUUCAAAGCUCCGACAGGUAUAAUCUCUUCCAUUGAAUCUUUGUUUAAUAAAUUUUUUUGGGGAGGGAGUGAGGAAAAAAGAAAAAUAUCUUGGGUUAGGUGGGAGACUUUGAGUAUGAGGAAGGAGUAUGGAGGGUUGGGAGUUAAGAGGUUGAGGGAGUUUAACAUUGCUUUGUUGGGUAAAUGGUGUUGGAGGUUGUUAUUGGAGAGGGAUGCUUUGUGGAGACAGGUAUUAGUGGCUAGGUAUGGUGUGGAGGAUGGCGGUUUGGAGGAUGGGGGCCGGAGUUGUUCUUCAUGGUGGAGGGAGAUUGUGAGGAUUAGAGAUGGGAUAGGUGAGGGUGGAGAGGGUUGGUUUGGGACAUGUGUUAGGAGGAGGGUGGGAGAUGGUGCAGAUACUGAUUUUUGGCGUGAUUGUUGGUGUGGAGAUGUUCCUCUGUGUGUCCGGUUUAGACGCCUUUUUGACUUGACUGCUCACAAAUCAAUCUCAGUUAGGAAUAUGUUCCUGCUGGGGGUGGAUGUGGGCGGGGAGGCGUUGAGGUGGCGUAGGCGGUUGUGGGCUUGGGAGGAGGAGUUGGUAGAGGAGUGUAGGGCUUUGUUACUAACAGUUUCUUUGCAGGAAUCAGUGAUAGACAGAUGGCUCUGGUUACCUAAUCAUGAUGAUGGGUAUUCUGUACGUGGAGUCUAUGACAUGCUGACAUCACAGGAGCAGCCCCAGUUACACCAUAAUAUGGACUUAAUUUGGCAUAAACAGGUUCCUCUCAAAGUAUCUAUCUUUGCUUGGCGACUUCUGAGGGAUCGGUUACCUACAAAACUUAAUUUGGCAAAUCGUGGCAUUCUAUCUGUGGAGGAGCGGUUAUGUGUUUCUGGAUGUGGGAUUGUCGAAGAUGUUUCUCAUUUGUUUUUGUCUUGUACAACUUUUGGUGCAUUAUAGCCGAUGGUGCGGGAUUGGUUAGGCGUGGUAGGUGUCGACUCUCGAUCAACUUCAGAUCAUUUUGAGCAAUUUAUUAAUUAUGCAGGUUGUUCGAGAGGGCGACGGUCUUUCUUCCACUUGAUUUGGUUGCUUUGUGUUUCGGUGUUGUGGAAUGAAAGGAAUGAUAGGCUUUUUAGAAAUAGACAAAGUAUUGUGCCACAAUUGCUAGAUAAAGUGAAAUCAACUUCGUUGUGGUGGUUAAAGACUAGUAAUGUUGUAUUUAGUUUUGGCACUCAUCAGUGGUGGUCGAGCCUGCUUUUAUGUCUGGGUAUUUGACUGAUUUGUUUGUAAUUUUGUGUGGACCUUGACAUUUUUGUGAUUGUUUGGCACAUCUUGUGCGGUAACAAUUACGGUGUCCGUAUUAAUAUAUCUCAUUUUUGCAUGUUCAAAAAAAAAACCGACUUAAAUAUGUUUUAGCACAUUUUAAAGAAUAAUCAAAUCAAAAGAUUACAUAUGUUUUAAAAACUCGUGAAUUUUUCUUUUCUUGAUAUUUUCUCUAUUUUAAAGUUCUACAAGUCACGUCCCUGUGAGUAUAGCUCAGUUGGCAGGGACAAUGUAUUAUUAUAUGCAGAGGUCAGGGUUCGAACUCCGGACACUCCACUUAUUCACUUGAAAAAUAAAUUUCUAGCCACUAGGCUACCUGACCCAAAAAAAAUUCUACAAGCCACUUUUCUCACGUUGUUUUCACUAUUUUCUUAUAUCUUGACCCUUACUUUUAUUGAUGUUGUUGAAACCAAGUUGGUCCACUAAUAACAAUAUCAUUUUAUGUUUUGAUGAUUAAAAAAUAUAUCUAAAUGGUUUUUUGAUUCGCAUUUAACUUAAUUUCUUAUUACUUUGAAAUCUUUCAACAAACUAUAUUCAUUUUAAAUUUUGCAAAUUUAUUUAUGUUAGUUCUAACAUAUAUCCCGCCAUCGCACGGGUCGUGAGCUAGUAAGUGUUAUUGGUACAUGGAGCUUUAAUCUUCUUGCACAGAUACCCACUUAAAAGUUUCAAUUGGAUGGGGAGGGGUAGCUCAACUGAUCUGAGUUAAGGGAAUUUUUUUUCUGGAGGUACUGUUUGAAACGGACCAAGGAGAAAAGAGAAAAAACUAAUUUCUAACAUGCAUUAAAAAAUAAAUAAAUAUCUUCUUAAAGCACCAACCCAAUUAAUAUUUUUUAUUUAUGCACUAAAAUGAUAGAUCAGUAUAUUUUUUAUUCAGUACAAAUUUGAAUAUCUUUUUAAACUGUACAUUUUUUAUUGGAUCAAAUAUGUUUUUGGUCCCUAUAAAAUUGGAAACUUCUAAGUUUAGUCGUUACUUAAUUUUAAUAACAUUUUUAGUCCUUCUAAAAACUAAAUUUGUUUAAUUACUCUUGAAUUCUUAAAUUUUUGAACAAUUUUUUGGAGACAUGUUUAGAACAUUAUAAAAUGUUCAUUUACUAAAAAAUAGAAUUUUUUAACAUGACAAGAAUUAAAUAUGAAUUUUUAAACGUCAAAAGUUCAAGAAAAGAGUAACAAAAAUCUGGACGUAGAAAUCAAAUUUUGAGUUAAUAUUUUGUAGAGGGACUAAAUGCAAAAUGAUUUUAUAGGGACUAAAAAAACUAUUAAAAUUAAGUCAGGACUAAAUUUAAAAGGCCCCAAUUUUAUAAGGAUAAAAAAACAUAUUGAACCAUUUUUAUUUGAUGUCAAAAGGAAAAGUUCAAUCAAUAAAUUUGUUUUUGUUGUAAAAAUUUAGAUAGUCAGGCAUGAGUGAUAUGCAAAACUAAAACAAAAAAAAUACAACAAAUGUCACAUGAAGGAUUUUGAUUGAUGAAACAAAACUACCUUGACAAAAAAAAAAAAAAAGAAUUAAAAGAAAGAAAUUGAAUAAGUUAUUAAGAUUAAUAAAAUUUUCUUGAAACAUCACCGAAGGGUUGUCUUUGAAUAAAGAUUUUAGGAAAUUGUAUAUUUUUGUAUAUAGAAGUUAUAGUUUUUAAAUGAUUGUACAUUUGUAAAUAGAAGAUAAAUGCUUCCUUAUCUUAGGCUUUUUGAAAUAUCUGAAAAUAAAAUGAUUCUUUGUAACCAAUCCCCAUUACAACUCUGAUUAAGUCUGUAGUGUUCCAUGCUUGAUAGUAGCUGGUUAUAUGUAAAUUCUAUUUUCUUAUAUUGAUAUUUCAAUUCCGUUCUUAAUGUUUUUUUUUUUUUAUGUGAAAUACAAAAAUGAUAUUUGACUUAGAAAGUUGUAGACAUAGACUUUCCCUGUAAGAGAGACAUGGGUAGGAGCAUUUGUAGAUGUUAGUUACGAGGUAUUAAUCUAUGUUUGCAAUCAUACACAUUGUAUGAUCUUAAUGUCGUUACUAAAAAUAAUGAAUCUCAUAUCGUUUGUCAGACAUGGAAACAUGCGAUCAAUGAAGUAAAUUAAACGAUUAAUUAAUGAAUCCCAACAAUAUUAUCUCUUUGUUCUUGUUUCAUUUUUUUUUUAAGAAGCUAAACUAACCCCCUCAAAUUGACAUCAGAGGUAAUCGAACUUGAGAUUUUGAGGAGGAGGAGCACACUCUCAGGUUACAAGUCAAUACGACUAGGUCAACCCAAGUGGGUUUUUCUUGUUUCAUUAUUUAAUUACAAAGACAAAUAUAUGUACAAAUAAUCCAUCGUUAUGUACUAAAAAUAUUCGUAUUUCAAAAAUAUUGCACGAAUUCAUAUGGAUACGAUAACCAUAAAUAUUUAUUUUGGAAAAUGAUAGGUACAGUGACAAAAUUUAUCAAGAAAAUUUCAAAACAGUGUAUUUGCUAACACUUUUUCUUAAUUACCCAGCAUUACCUCCCUUGAUUUCCGCCAAAUAACAAAUUUAAUUGAUUGAGACAUUUUCUUGAUAUAUUCUUAAUAAAAACUAUCUAGAUAAAUAGCAAUGCUCAUUUAUUUUUUAAACAGCUAUAAAAGCAGCUGAUCACUAAGUAACAAUAUUUUUUUAUCUCAAUCUGUUUGCAAUAUUUCAAAAAUUAUUAGAUAAUUUUAUAAAUUAUUACCCCAAAAAUAAAAUUACCAUGUGUGUCACAUGGGAUAAAGAUCUAGUUUACCCUAAAUUUAAAGCAGUUGGAUUAAAUCUUCAAAAAAUUUAUAGUCACUAGCAGAGAGACAUGUCCGUCUUUCCGCUCCUUUUAUAGCACUAACAUUUAAAAAUUAUAAACAAUGUUUUUUUUUAUGAAAUUUUAAUUUUGAUUAAAAGUAAAAAUAUAAAUGUUUUUUGUUUUCAAAUUAUAACGAAUCAAACUAACUAUGAUUAUCUAUUUCAAUGAAACUAACACUAUAAAAAAAAAAAAAAUCUAAAUUCAAUUUUUUAAUGACACCAACAACGAUAUUUAUAAUAGAAAAAGUUGUUGUAUAAGAGUAUAAUUGGGAUAAUGAAAAAGUAAGUAUAGAUACACUCUUCUAGUUUGUUACACUUUUUAAAUGAUAAAGAAAAAAAUUGGAAAUUUGUGUUUGUUACACUUUUAUUUUCAUAUUUGUGUUUUCCUUAUAUAUAAUAUAGAUUCAUAAUAAUUUCUUAGUUUUAAGAUUUUACCCUUAUAAUUAUUUAAUGCAUACUAAGAUAUGUUCCUUUUAAAUCACAUCUCACUAUUAUGAUAAAAUAUAUUAAACACACACUAGUCUAUAACAAAAGUAAUACUAAGCUUUCUGCAUAGAGUCAUACACCAAUCUCAUGGAGACAACAAAAUAUAAACUAAUUAACUUUUUUUUUAACUGUUAUUAGUGCCUUAUUGUUAUUUUAUAGUGACAAUAUUCUAGUUUUUUAUAUCCACUAAAAUCCUACAAAUAUAAAUUAAAGUGUUUGCAAAUUGAAUUGUUUUUCAUAUCUUUUAAAGCUCAACAAGACAUCUAAUGUAUUUAUUUUGGCAUGCAUAAAUUAAAAAGGCUUUGAAGUAAGGUAAAAUUUAUUGAUAUACCUAACUGUUCUAUUAAAGUUAUUUUUAAAAGGUGUGAUAUGCCAUGGUGAUACCUCCAAAAUUACGAGAGAAGAAGACAAUGAAAAAAAAAAACUUUACUACCUUAAAACUAUCUUAGAGUAACACACCAUAACUACAAGGUUCAUGAGAUUAGAGAAAUUAAAUUAAAUUAUAUUAUAGAGUGCCAACAUAAUAACCAAACGACAACUCAUGAAAUAUUCUAUCAUAUUUUAAGUUGUUUUCUUUGACAUUAUAACCCAUUCUCCUUUGUAUUAUGUUUUUGCACUCUCCAUGGUUUGAAACUCAUAGAAUCAUGCAUGUGCUUCUACCAAUUCACAUCUUUUAUCAAUGCACUUAAAAACAUAUAACAAGUCCCUAUACUUUGGACAAUAAUCAUCGGUUUCACAUUCUUCAUAAACUAUAAUGAAAAAACGAUAAUAAAAUAAUGUUACUAAAUAUGUUAAAAGAUUGUGCACAAACUAUAAAGUAAAGAAGGAAAUUUUGAAAAGAAUGAAAAAAAUGACUUACUGUCACUCAGUUGUGUUCUGAUGAGAAAUACUAUGGAAAUGAAUAGAAUCAUAGCAUAAACAAACUUUAGAAUUUGAACCAUAUUUUUUCUUGUUUGCAUGUAAAAAAUUUGAAUAUGAUUUGUUCUAUUUAUAAUGUCCAUGCUCUCUUAAAAAUGAUUUUUAUAGUUUUAGCACUUAUGAAGUUGUAAAAACCCUUCAUAAAAUUAUAAUCAUCAUUAAUUAUCUCUUAAAUAUAUCAAAGUGUUGUAAACAUAAAGAGGUCAAAUGAAAAACUUACUAAUAAUAAAGAUUUAUUCCUUUUGACUAUAAUAUUCAUAUGUAAUUGAGCUUAAGUGGUUAAUGAACUUCACCAAAGAACGAAUCAUUUCGGAGAACCCGAGUUUAAUUCUUAGGUGGUACCAUUCUUGUCGGACUAUAAUUACUUCACAGCCAAAAUGCAGAUUACUGCACACACACAAAAAAAAUUCAAUGAUAAUAAAAGUAAAAUUAUCUUUUUAGACCAAUGUAAUUUUUUUUGUUUUGAAUAAUGUAUGAUUGGAUUAAGAACAUAAAAAAUCGUUGAAUUUCCAAAAAUAAAAAACUAAAAUACACAUUUUUCUUUGGUUAAAAAAACUGGAUGUGUAUUUCAUAACACUUUUUUUAUUAAAAUAUAUUUGAAGGUUCAAAAAGUACUCAACCGAAAAUCAGAUAUGCAUAUGUCAUUUAUUCAUAAGAAUCAUUUCGUCUUUUUAAUUUGACAGAAUUCUCAAGUUAAUCAUUUAAAUUUCGAAAGUUUCAAUUACGUCUUUUUAGUUUGACAUAAUUCUCAAAUUAGUCUUUUAAGUUUCAAAAGUUUUAAAUAAGUCAUUUAAGUUGAUAAACUGUUUUACCGUUACCCCUACUAUCAGUUAGUAAUUAACUUAUGCUGAUGUAGUCGUUAAGUUGUUGACUUGGAUCAAAAUACUGUUUUUUAAAAGCCCCAAGGUGUCAAAAUGUUACGUUUAAUCGUCACAAAUGAUCAUUCUAACACUAUAAAUGUUGUUUAAUAGUGCCAAAAAGACUUUGUUGUUGUAAAUAGUUGUCUUUCUAGCACUAUAAAUGAUAAUUUGUGACUAUUAAACAUAGUGGUUUGACACCCUUAAACUUUUAAAAGACAUUAUUUUGAUCUAAGUCAACAACUUAACGGCUAAAUCAACAUCAGUUAAUUAUUAUCUGACAGCAAGGGUAACGGUGAAAUAGUUUAUCACAACUAAAAUGACAUAUUUGAAACUUUUGAAACAUAAAGGACAAACUUGAGAAUUCUGUCAAAUUAAAAUGACCUAAUUAAAAUUUCGAAACUUAAAAUACUAACUUCGAAAUUCUGUCAAACUAAAAGGAAUUCUGUCAAACUAAAAGGAACAAUAGUGAUAUUUAACCUAAAAAAAAAUACACCAAAUUUCGACACACUUGAAAACAUCCAUAUAUAAGAUAUAUAUUAUAAUAUAUUUUUAUUCACAUUUCAUAAUUUUGAUUAAUUUAUAGAAAAAAAAAACUACUUGGCCGCCUAAAUGUUAGUAAAGUUUUGUAAUUAAUCCUUAAAUUUUAAUUGAUAUUCCUUAAAGCCAUCUGGUUAUGUGUAAAUUAACAAAUGACAAGGGCAUGUGACCCCUAUGCUAUAUAUAAAAUGUCUAUAGCUACAAUACCUAGUGGCUCUCAAAUUCAUCAAUAUUACAUGAAAAUGAAUUGAAAAUCAUAUGUGGUGGGUGGUAUUUUUUAAUAAAUUUGAAAACACUCUACAUUUUAAAUAGAUUAUUACUGGGAAACUCAUGCCAAACGUAUAUGUUAUACGUCUCUGUUUUAUUAGCUGACUUAAAGACGUUUUUAGUCUGUUUUUAAGAAGAACCGACUUAAAAGAUCAUAUACGUUUUAAAAACUCGUGAAGCUUUUUUUUUUUCUCGCUAUUUCUCCUCUUUAUUUUAAACAAAACCCUAGUAGUCACUUUUAUCCCGUUGUCCAUCUAGAAAUCACGCGAUUUAACCCCAACUAUAGUGCAUCACACUACAUGUCAUUGUACAUGGACACUUCGGAAUCCAUCCCAUACUCUAAAUGAUAUAGCAAAAACUAUAAAUUGGAGCAAUCCGUCAAGUUUACAGGAAUCGCUCCUAUAAAUUAGGUAUUACUGAAGCCGAGUUGUUGUAGAUGCAACAACCGAUCUAGUUGUUGUGGAAUUAUUGUAAAGAAUUUUUCUUGGAACAAAUAGAGAAUGCUUAUUUUGAGGGGAAAUAGAAAAUCCUUGGUGAUUAAGAAAAGUUAAAACUAAGAGAAUAUGAGUGGAGAGAGAUAGUGUUCUAUUUUGUGAAUCUUAAUGAUUAUGAAUAAGGGAAUGAAUAUACAAAAGUCUUUGAUGUAAGCAUUUAUACACACUCAUAAAAUGUAACUAACUAUUUCAUGCAUCUCAAUCCAUGUUGUGCCAUGCCAGUUGCUAAGUGCAUAGAACUAUUUCAAGAGUUGAGGAUUUUAUUUCGGUUCAGUGGAUAUUGACUCCUUGAAUUCGAUAAACUAGUGUGUUAACCCGUGCAAUGCACGGCGACAAGCUUCAAUUUUUUUUAUUUUCAAAAAUAUAUUAUUUUUUGUUUUUAUUUAUUUUAAUUUACCCGUGUUUUCUUACAUCGCAAUGACAAAUAUGUAUUAUGUAAUUUUAUGUUUAUUAACGAUAAAUAUAUGUCUUAUGCAUCUGUGAAAAAUAUAUUUCCAUUAUUUUCUAUAUUUGUCAACAAAAAUUGGUUGGGAGGAGGGGGUGAAGCGUGGAGGUGGAGGAGGAGGCUGUGGGCAUGGAAGAAAGAGUUGGUAGCAGAGUGUGUGACUUUACUUCACAAUGUUACUUUGCAGUCUAAUGUUUCAGAUCAGUGGCAAUGCACCCCGACUUUGAGGGGGGCUAUUCAGUGUGUACAGGUUAUCAACUGCUCACUUCACAUGAAUUUCCUAUUUCGGAUGCUUCAGAGAACUUAAUUUGGCAUACUCAGGUGCCCUUUAAGGUUUCUAUUUUAGCUUGCGUUUGCUCUGUGACAGGUCCGACUAAACUUAAUUUACUGAAUCGCGACAUAAUAUCUAUUGAGGCUACCCUUUGGUAGCAGGUCUGGUCUUGGAUUGGCGUUUCAAGGGUUGAUCAUCAAAGUCUCCGUGCUCAUUUUCCCCAUUUCACUCACUACUUAGGUGGCUUGAGGGCUCGUCGAUCUUUCCUCCAGCUACUUUGACUUCUUUGUGUUUGGUUAGUGUGGAAUGAACGAAAUAAUAGACUAUUUAAUAAUUCUCACACUUCCAUUUCAAAGCUUAUGGAUAAAGUUAAAAAAAAAAAAAAAAAAAAAUCUUACUAGUGGUUGAAGGCUAAUAAAACCACCUUUGUAUGGUUGUCAGUAAUGAUGGUCGGACCGCUUGUCUUGUUUGGGUAUCAGCUAACCGGUGUUCUUGUAAUUAUUUGACUGACAGAUUGUAUUUUGAGUUGUUUUUUAGUACGCCUUGUGCUCAAGAGGCGACUCUAUAUGUGUUAAUAUAUACCAUUUUUGCUUCUUAAAAAAAAAAAACAAGACUAAUUGCUAGCAAAAAUCUGAGAUUAAAAACCAACUAUGUUUUUAACCUUUGAGUCAUCAAAUUUUGUGUAAUUUGAGUAAAUUAAAAAUCAAUCUUUUGAUUAUUUUUUCCACUUGUAAGACAGAAAAACUUACAUGAUAUAGUGUUUAAAAACCAACUAUGUUUUUAACCUUUAUUAAUGUUGCACAUAAAGUAUUUAAAUAAAAAUUAUACAAUCAAACCCCUUUAGGAGGGAACUACAACCUAAUCUUCAAAUUGUUGAUUGUUUCUUCACUUCUUCAAAUCUUCAACCUUGUCACUUUCAAGGAUGGAAACAACCAAAGGUUUUUUUUUACUAGGUUCAUUAAAUUAGGUAAAGAUAAAUAGUUAUUGGAUGCCACUAUAAAUGACUAAAAGCUACCUUAUGAAAUAUUUUAUCAGAAAGUAUUUUGCUAGCACAAUAAUUCAUUCUCCUCCGUUUGAUGGUUUUGAACUCUGCUAGAUCCGGUACUCUUAGCGUCUUCGAAUAAUCUUAAUCCAUUCACAUCUGUUAUUAAUGCACUUAUGAACAUAAUUCUUAUCCCAAUUUAUGAUAUAGGAUUUUGGACAGUCCACGUUAGAUUCACAUUCAUCAAUUUCUGUAUAAAAUUAACAAAUGUUAAAAUAAUGUUACUAAUUAAACAUGACAAAGAUUGUGUAAAAACUAACAAGUAAAGAAGUAAAUUUGAAAAAGAUGAAAAAUAGCUUACUAUCAACAAUAUCCAUUGCAACAAGAAAUAUGGGAAGAAAUAUAAUUAUACCGAAGACAAAUUUGAGAAUUUCGGCCAUAUUUUUUUUCUUUCUUCUUUGCAUGUAAAAAGGUAAUAUGAUUUGAUCUCUUUAUAUGAUUUAAUCUUCAUAGCACUUAUGAAGUUGAGAAAAUCCUUCAUAAAAUUAAAAUCAUUAUUAAAUAUCUCUUAGUUAUAUGUGUGUUUUGUGUUUGUCCCUUUAUCACACCAAGUAAAGCAAGCAUUCACAUCGCAUAAUAGAAAAGAGAAUUCCUUUUAACCUUUCUUGUCACUUCUAAUUUUUCAUUUCUUUUUAAACCUUUCAUGAUAGUAAAGAGAAGAUAAUAGUUUCUUUUUAGACCUUAGCAAAGUUAUUUGUUGGAAUAACGAAUACACACACAUUAUGGAACCAUGUUUUAAGCAAAGUUUAUGUUCAAUACCAAAAAUUUUGUAAAGCAUUGUGAAUUAUAUAUUUGAUGUGAAUGGUAGUGUAGAAUAAAUCGUGCAAUUACAACAUUAUAUACACAUUCUUUCUUAUUCAACGAAUUUUUUUUUAAAAAAAAAAGAUCUUACAAUAAUUUCUAUGUUAGCAUAAACUAUGUUAUCAUCUCAAUGUUGUAUUAUUCAAAUAAAUAACUUUACCUAGGUAAAAAAAAAAAAAAAAUAUCUCUUUAAUACCAUGAAAGGUUAAAAAAGCAAUGAAAAAGUUAGGAGUAAUGAAAGGUUAAAAGAGAAAGUUGUCCCUUUUAUAACAUGAAAGGUUAAAAAAUAACUGAAGGUUAAAAAAUUCUAACUUAAAGUAGAUAUUUAAAUGACAUUUAUGAAGGUGAGAAAAACACAAGAAGGGGGUUGAAUUGUGUUGACUUUUUCUUCUUUUUCUUUAAAGCUGAAAACACUGAUCAGAAGCAGAUAUAGUUCUACUUCUGAAGUGAUGUUCAGAACUAGUUGCAGCAGAUAAAACAGAGAGAGAGAGAGAGAGAGAGAGAGAGAGAGAGAGAGAGAGAGAGAGAGAGAGAGAGAAGAAAGACACAAGCAAUUUAUACAGGUUCCUUCCACAACCAGGAAGUCAGUCCUGUCCCCCUUGCACUUCCAAGGAGGGUUCACUAUGUAAUAUCUGAUUACAAAUGCUCACUAUUAAACUUAGUAAGAGACUUCAAAUUGUUCAAGCACAACUGCAAGAGAUUUCCUAUGCUCCUGAACACAAUCAAGAGACUUCUAUUGCUCAAGCACAAAUGCAAGAGACAUUUGAAUUCAAACAGAAUUACAAAGAAUAUGUUUGAGUUUGAACACUUGAUAUACAAUCAGUGAUGUUCACAAUACAAAUCAGAUACAGACUCUAAAGACUCUAGAAUUUAUAAGAUAUGAGCUUUGAUAAGAAAUUCUAAGAGAACUUUGAAUGCAGAACAAUUUCAGCAGAGUUUUGGCUCAGUUAAUUCUUGGUAUUGUUCUUGUGAAACUCUGAGUCUUCACUCCUUUAUAUAGAGGUGUGAAAGAGAUGUUGAAUUGCCAGCACAUUCAAAAUAGAGUCGUUUGAAGCUUUUGAUCAAUCACCAAUGAUCCUUUGCCUGAUAUGGUUAUUGUCCUAAGAAGUAUCAAUUUCAAAUGCAUUCCCAUUGUAAAGGAACAUCGUUGCAGGUAGAGCUGUUUUUCUUGUCUUGUAGCAGAGACAAAACAGAGUAGUGGAGGUAGUGGUUGUACACUUCGUACAAACGUACUUUGUCAACGCUCUUUGAAGAAUAAACAUCCAAUGCCUUCAAAUCCUUUCAAAAUAAUCGUUGCUUUGCCUUUCCAGUCUUCUGCAAUCUUUAGACGAGUUUGAAUCCAUUAAACAACUUUUGAAGCUUUAAGUUGCAUCUCCUGAUGAACUGCAACUUCUCGUAAUUCUCAGCUUAUGAUAAAUUUGCUUCUGAUGAACUUGCUUCUGAUGACCUUACUUUUGAUGACGUCAUCACUUCAGGAGCACUUUGUUUUCAGGAGCGCUUUAUCUUCAGGAGUAGUUUUCUUCAGACGCUUUAAGCUUUCCUUUUUGCUGAGUUCUUUGCUCUUUAUUGUUCUUCCAAGACCUUUUUAAGAUGACAAUUUUUUGUCUAUAGUCAUGUACACUUGAACAAAUAUUAGCAUAUCCAAUUGACAAUUUAUAAUACAUUGUUAUCAUCAAAACUCUUAAGGGUUAAUGUUAGACACAUUUUGUUACAACAAUCUCCCCCUUUUUGAUGAUGACAAACAAUAGUAUUUAAAAUGUUCAAUUGUUGUUAAUCUAAUUAACACGUUGACUAUAAGGGUAUGAGGUUUGUAAGCUCCCCUGAGUCCAAUAGUACUUUAAGGUGAGGUUUGUAAGCUCCCCCGAGUUCUAUCCAUGUUAAUUAAAUUCAUCAUUUAAAAAUGAAAUAACUCUCAGAAUAAUCUCACAUAAAAAGACUAAGAGAUUAGAAGAAGGUCCUAUUAAUUUAACUUGAUUAGAAUUAAAUUAAUGAGGCUCAGAGCCUAUAAAUAGUAUACAUCUACUCCCCCUUUUGUCAUCAACAAAAAGUAUAAAAUAAAGACAAAAAGAAAGAUAUGAGAAAAAAUACAUUCAGGAGCAAUAUAACACAUGUAUAUAUAUAGUGAGAAAAAAUAGUGAGAAAUUAUGUAGAUAAAUACAUUCAGAAGCAAUAUAACACAUUGAAAAAAAAUCAGGUCAAACAGUAUCUUAAUCUCCCACAACGACAGUGUAGAAACAACUGAAUUUGGGAGAAAAAAAAUUAGAAAAUAGUUAAAAAUAAAAAAAAAUUGGAAAAUAGUUAAAAAAAAAUCGGUGAGGUAGCACUCAAUCAAACAAUACUAAAAAAAAUUAUAUGCAUCAGCGUAACAAAAAAAUAAACAGACGGACAUAAAAUAUUACUUUAAAUAAUAUUAAUGUGUAUAUGUAUUCGCGAGGUUGAGGAAAGGAAAUAAAAAUUCCCUUUAACUCAAAGUAGUUGAGCUACCCCACCCCAUUCAAUCGAAACUUUUAAGUGGGUAUCUGUGCAAGAAGAUUAAAGCUUCAUGUACCAAUAACACUUACUAGCUCACGACCCGUGCGAUGGCGGGGCUAUAUGUUAGAACUAACAAAUAAAUUUGCAAAAUUUAAAAUGAAUAUAGUUUGUUGAAAGAUUUCAAAGUUAUAUGUUAGAACUAACAUAAAUAAAUUUGCAAAAUUUAAAAUGAAUAUAGUUUGAUGAAAGAUUUCAAAGUAAUAAGAAAUUAAGUUAAAUGCGAAUUGAAAAACCAUUUAGAUAUUUUUUUUAAUCAUCAAACCAUAAAAUGAUAUUGUUAUUAGUGGACCAACUUGGUUUCAACAACAUCAAUAAGUGAGAGUCAAGAUAUAAGAAAAUAGCGAAAACAACGUGAGAAAAGUGACUUGUAGAACUUUCAAAAAGAGAAAAUAUCAAGAAAAGAAAAAUUCACGAGUUGUUAAAACAUAUGUAAUCUUUUAAUUUGAUUAUUCUUAAAAAUGUGCUAAAACAUAUUUAAGUCAGUUAAUAAAACAUGUGACAUAAAACAUGUUUGAGAUGAGUUUUAAAGAAGUAAUCUCUAUUUAAAAUGUAGUGUUUUGUACAUAAGUCACAGUUGUAAAAUAAUUGUUGUGUUGGAUAUGGUGGCCGAGAUUUGAACCAGACUCCUAUAUUUAUGUGAGUUUUCAAUAGUUCUUGUUAUUUUGUUUAUCAAUAAAAAAAAAAAUAUAGUGUUUUCACCAAAAUUGGAAAAAAAAUACCACCGUUGUCCACGAAAAAAAAUUUCAAUUCGUUUAUAGAGAGAGUAACUUAUACCAUAGGGUAGUAAAAUCUAGUAGAGAAUCUUUAGAUUUUACUACUUGCAUUUUCAUCAAUCCAAACAUACAUAUUUACCAAUCAUGAACUUUUUUUUUCUUUCUUUUUUUUAUCGAAUCCUAGUUCUUAUCAUGAAAUAUUAUAAACAAACUCCCCAGACACAGGGAUAUUUAUAACAAGUUCACUUACUGAACAGAUAAGAAACAAGAAUUUGAAAUAAAACAAGGAUGAGUUCUUAAAUAUAUUCAGUGGAAGCUAAUUUGUGAAGGUAAUCAAUAUUAUAUAUCCUCAAGCUGAAGUCCCUUCUAAGGAUCAUUCAUGUGUACUGAUGAUAAUGAACUCAAGUUUGUUGAGACUUCAUCUGUUGCUUUUUUUCGCACGACUGUUGCACCGGACUAUUCAUUAACUCCUCAAGUCCUUUGUGGUUGUGUGUAUUGCUUAGUGGAUGGUUACAUCAAUGGUAUAUACUUCUCUACCCCCUUCCAUUUAGUAGAUAUUGUAAAAUCAAGGACAACCUCCUGAGGCUUAGGAGAAGCUAUAUAUAACUCUUUUCAACCUCAUGUGUUGGAUGGAUCACCAUUGUUCACUGCCUUCUUUGGAGAUUGAUUUUUCAGGCCAAAAUACAUUCAGUCCCUUGCCUGUAUGUAUGACCAAAAUACACUCAAUUCCUUUAUAAAAUCUUACCAUACAUCUACAAUAUACUAUUUUUUUUCUUUGCUAUAAGGAUGGAAUUUUAAAUAUGUUUGGUGAAAAAAUGAUAUGUGAAGGUAAUUAGCAUUAUAAAGUCCUGAAAAUCAAUUCCAACCACAAGGAGGUGGAAAGAGUAUUACUUUGUUGAAGCAUGCAAUAAAAAGAAAGCCGACUAAAGUUUCGAUAUGUAUGUUAAAAUAAAUUAGUUUGACGAGGCAGAAAAUUCAUGUUAAAGUAUUCACUAAGAUAUGAACUAUGCCUUACCUUGAAAUUAACCAUAACCAGCAAAGAGCUAUCAGUUAAAGGAAAUUGAUAUCUUCAGCAGCAAACUUCAUUCCUAAUAUUGGUGUUUCCCCUGAUCAAACAUGAAACUCCGACUCUUUCAUAAAUAUAUUAUACAUGAAAGGGCUAUUUCAUAAAUGAAGGACCAUCACCUGCAUAUUUUCAUGGAUACAUGUAUUUAAAUUGAAAUCAAGUAAUAAUAUAUGUUAAAAUUAAUACUAUAGGAAUGAAGAUCUAU